AAGAGAUGAAGAUCCUGGUACCAGGCUUGGGCCAAUACAACAUGAAGCUCUUUAGACUUGCUUGGAGGACGGUUUUCGUGAUCCUGACCACUGUGAUAUCGAUGCUAUUCCCAUUCGUCUUCAACAAAGUCCUGGAUAUCAUCAGCUUGGGCUUUUGGCUUCUAAUGGUCUAUUUUCCGUUGUAUAUUAGACAGAAACGAAUUCCCAAAUGGAGCACUAAAUGGGUAUACCUGCAAAUGCUGAGCAUGGCCUGUCUUGUGAUAUCGAUCAUGGCAGCUGCGGGUUCGGUCCCAGGACUUAAGGACGACCUUAAGACAAAUCGGCCAUACGGGAUGAGCUACGAUCAAAAUGCAUGGAUCUUUAGUUGAUCGGCCAUUUCAGAAGAAAAGAAUAACAUCAUAGAAGUUUCUACUUUCAUUUGUUUAGUCUGGAAUUACAAACUCUGUAUGUUCUAGCCAUUGCUAAGGAAAACUUGCAUUUUAUGCAAGUGAUGGUUACGCAUUGUCCUGUUGUCGUAAGAAAAUACGAAAUUUUGGUUAUUCAAAGAUGAACCGUAAACGACCCUCCUCUCUCGUUGUUGCGAGCUCUCUCUACCUCAUGGUAGCGUCUUCCUUCCCAUAAACCUUAGAUCUACUUUUUAGCAUUCCUUUCCUCGUCUUCUUUUACACUCUCGAUUUAUCAAAAUAGAAAAAACCCAUAAAGUUCUUUUGAUCUUGAUUCCGAUGAGUAUGGCGGGUCUUGGUCACUCUUAUAGAUCAGGAGACUGGAGUUCCGUUUUGGAGAAGGCAGCGUCUUCCAUGAUCGAUCUAGAGGGUGGAGGGCCUUGUUCACUCAUCUAGAAAAGUAGCUCGGAGCUCUGAUUUGGCGAAGGUAGCGGGUUCUCGAUCGAUUAAGGUAGGGUUGCAUCAGGCUGUCUGGACUACCGUUUGUCGUAGCGGAGAAUGAUGUUGGAACAUGAUCGAGGAGAAUCUCUGAAUCCAGAAGGAGGCAGUCAAUAUCGCUAAAUUAUUUGUCUGGCAACCAAUAUUUUGAGUAGUAAUCGUAAAAGAGGAGAGGUGGAAGUAAGAUCUUACCCAGUUUUGUUGAAGUCAAACAUGCCCUGCAUUGCACACCUAUGUAGUCUCGAGUAUCCUUUAUGUUAAUUCUGGCCGUACAAGUUAGAAAUCAUGGAUAGUAAGGAGGAAAACGAGAUGCAGGUAGCAGCUUUAUGUAAAAAAACUGGGCCAUCUGUGGUCAGAAGCAGACGUGGUUGAAGUGUGUUCAGAAAUACCUUUACAAAAAAGAGAUGAAUGCAACAGAACUGUUCUGGGUAAACUUUACUCUAAACCUAAUGUAAAUUAUCUAGGAUUUCUCUCUACUAUGAAGAAGGCAUGGAAAACAGAUGCUGUCUCAUGUGUACAAAAAGAACCAGGGCUCUUUACCUUUGUUUUUCAAUCAGAGGAGGAGAAGAAGAGGGUUUUGAAGUCUGCUCCAUGGUCUUACUCUAGCAAUUUACUUGUCCUUAAACAGUGUGAUCCUAUAAUUCCAGAACAUUGUUAUGACUUUUCCAGAGCAACCUUCUGGGUAAGAAUAGGGGGUAUCCCCCCGGGAUGGAGACUCGAACCUGUAUAUCAUGAUCUGGGCAGAAAGAUAGGCCAGGUCCAGGAAAUUCAGCUGGAAUCUAUGGGAAAUGUUCAAAAAAGAAGAAGGAAGAGUUAGAGUGGAAAUUGAUUUAUCUAAUCCUUUAAAAUCAGGGGCUAUUCUGGAUAUUGGUACUAAAUGGUUGUGGGUUGAAUUUAAAUAUGAGAGAUUACCUCAUUACUAUUAUUCAUGUGGCAGAAUUGGUCACUAUGCAUCAGAUUGUCCCGAAAUCCCUUAUGCAGAAUCACCUUGGCAGCUAACAAAAUCGGGCCCUACGGACCCUGGUUGAAAAUAGAAGCAAGUAAACACAGCCCUUAUUGGGAAGCUUUUUAUGGAAACCUUGACGAAGAACUCAUAGUUGAAGAAACCAUACCUGUGGAACCUUCUACAGCUAAUGAGGCAAUCCCAACAGCAAGAGAGAAGGAUCAAGACAUGCAAAUAAUAGCCUGUAGUAAAAAGAGAGCAGAAGUUUCAAUGGAACCUGUGACCAUGGAUGCAAUUAUAACUACUCAGAAGGCCUCCAAGGAGUCUGGAAAGCAUAUUAUUGGCACAGAAGACCCUGCCCAAACUUCUUUGAAGAUAGGCAAAAGCAGCAAGAAAAGUAUGAAGGUACAAAAAGCAAAAAAACAUAAGUGUAUACCUGACCCAACUCCUCUCCUCAUAGAUGACUCGAAUCUGAUGGACACUCCAGUAAAGUUGCUCCAAGAUGGUGCAGAAUGGGCUAUGGUGGCUAGCCUUAAUAAGCCACCCAAGACGAAAUGAAGUUAAUAAGCCGGAAUUGUCAAGGGUUGGGCAACCCCCUGACAAUUCAGGAACUUCGAGCUCUAAAUGCUCUUGAACAUCCCAGUUUAAUUUUCCUUAUGGAGACAAAAAAUAAAGCAACGAUGGUGGAAGGUAUAUGUAAAAGAUUACAGUUCCAGCAUUUAUUUCUAGAAAAUCCAACAGGCAUAGCAAGGGGAUUGGCUUUGAUGUGGAAUGACUCCGUAACAUUGCGGGUGAAAGAUAGUUCUAAACAGUAUAUAAAUGUGGAAUGUACUGAAGUAAGCAUAAAUUUGAUGAUGUAGAUUACCUUUGUUCAUGCUUCCACGAAUUUUGGAGAAAGGCAACAGCUAUGUCAACUCUUAAAGACACUUAAACCCCAGAAUUCAACUCCAUGGAUAUGCAUGGGGGACUUUAAUGAGAUCUUAUAUGUAUGGAAAAAGAUGGGCAAGAGAGAAGCAGAUAAUACCAUAAUUGCAGCUUUUCGACACAUGCUGAAUGAGACAUCCUUGAUGGAUAUGGAUAGCCAUGGCUGCGCAUUCACCUGGGCAAAUAAAAGAGAAGGGGAGGAGUUAGUAAAAAAAAGGCUUGACAGGAUGCUUUGUACAUUGGAAUGGCACAUAACUUUUCCUGAAGCAGAAAUCCAUGCGUUACCAGCAAUAGGAUCAGAUCACAGUCCUCUUGUCCUUUGAUUAUAUCAGUAACCUAGGAAAAGAAAGAAGGAUUUUAAGAUGGAGGCUUACUGGAUUGAAAAUGAGGAAUAUCAUGACCUUAUUAUUCAAAUAUGGAAUCAGCCCUUUAUUACUACGCUUACCUUUUCGGAGAAACUUAGGGAGACUGCUGUAGAAUUAAUCAGGUGGAGUAAAGAGAAGUAUGCCCAUGCACCCAGAAGGCUAAAAGAACUAAAUCAGACUCUUAUUGAGAUUACAAAUCAAUCGGAUUAGCACAAUACUCAGAAGCAAGUUCAAAGCAUAAUACACCAGAUUGAUACACUGAGGAAGCAAGAAGAACAAUACUGGGGAUUGAGAUCUCGAGUGAAAUGGCUACAAUGGGGAGAUAAAAGCACUCGCUUCUUUCAUGCGACUACAGUCCAGAGGAGACGCAGAAAUAAUAUAACAAUGCUGCAACUGGAAGACAAUAGAUGGUGCCGUGAUCCAGAAGUACUCAAAACUCACAUUCAAGCUUUUUAUAGCAAUCUAUACAAAACAGAAGGGCACAUACAUUACCAGCCAGUCCUGAACCAAUGUCAUUCUCCUAUUAAUGAAAGAAUUAAUGCAGAGGUGGAGGCAAACCCCAUGAUGGAGGAGGUGCAAGCAGCAGUGUUUCAGCUGGGUGCUUUGAAAGCCCUAGGCCCAGACGGGUUCAAUGGCCUGUUUUACCAGAAUUCAUGGGAAGUAUUAAAAUCAGACCUGUUCCAGCUAGUGCAGAAUUUCUUCAACACAGGUAUUAUGGACCCGCUGCUUAAUCGAACUCAUAUAGCAUUGAUCCCUAAAGUGAAAAAUCCAGAAUCCAUCAGUCAGUUCAUAUCAAUCAGUUUAUGUAACUUCAACUAUAAAAUUAUUUCCAAAAUACUAGCAAACGGAUUGAAGAAGUGGUUGCCAGAAAUAAUAGAACCAGAGCAAGGUGCAUUUGUACAGGAUAGACAAAUCCAAGAUAAUAUCCUAAUCGUGCAAGAAGUUUUACACCAGAUGCGCAUCACCAAGCGAAGGAGAAAACAUCAAACAGUUUUAAAGCUAGAUAUGCAGAAGACAUAGGACAGGGUAGAAUGUGAUUUUGUUAGAGAUUGUAUGCUAAAAAUGGGGUUUUCAAGGAAAUGGGUUGCUCUUAUAAUGCAAUGCAUAACAACAGUGACAUUUAGUGUGAAGUUUAAUGGUGUACCUACCCCUUUUUUCACCCCUUUCAGAGGACUGAGACAAGGUGAUCCCCUGUCACCCUAUCUGUUCAUACUAAUUUCAAAUGUGUUAUCAUGGAUAAUGCAAAAAGCAGUAGCAGAUGACAGCCUUCAAGGAAUACAUCUGACUAGAACACGUCCCAGACUAUCUCACCUAUUAUUCGCAGAUGAUGCUAUCUUCUUCCUAGAAGGUACUCUAAUGGAGUGUCAGAACCUAACACUUACACUUAAUCAAUAUUGUCAUGCAACAGGGCAAGCUAUAAACUUAAAUAAGUCAGGAGUGUCUUUCAGCAAGCAUUGUCCUGUAACCUUACAGAGGAACUUGGCUCAGGAACGGCGAGUACCUAUUAUCGAAAAGACAGGUAAAUAUUUAGGGAUUCCUACAGAAUGGGGGCAAUCGAAAAAAGAUAUAUUUGCAUGGAUAUUAACUCGAGUAAAUUCAAAAUUGGAGGGAUGAAAGGAAAAACUACUUACUAAAGCAGGAAAGGAAGUGUUGAUCAAGAGUGUAGUGCAAGCCAUCCCAUCCUAUGCAAUGGCGAUUUUUAAACUACCAGUGUCCAUCUGUAGAGCAAUUGAAAGGAGAAUAGCGUCAUUCUAGUGGCAGAAAGGAGAUAGUAAACGAGGGGUGCACCGGAAAAAUUGGGAUGCUCUAAAAAGAAGGAAGGAUGAAGGAGGGCUGGGUUUUAAAGACCUGAUUACUUAUAAUGAUGCGAUGCUUGGUAAACAAGCAUGGCGCUUACACCUCUCCCCAAAUGCUUUGUGGGCCAAAGUCUUCAAGGGCAUCUAUUUCCCAUCUGGCGAUGUCUGGACUGCUUAGAAUGGCCAGAGAGCGUCAUGGGGCUGGCGGAGCCUCCUGAAGGGUCGAGACACAAUCAAAGACGAUAUAAGAUGGACAGUUAGGGAUGGGAAAUCCAUUAAAAUCAUACAGGAUAAAUGGUUAGAGGGGAUUAUUGAGGGCCAACCAGAACAACAAGAACCUACCAUGGUAGCUGAUUUGAUCAACGAUACUACGCGAGAAUGGAAUCAACCUCUAAUAAAACAGCUGUUUGAGGAAAAUAUAGCCAACGAAAUUUUAGCCAUCCCCCUGAGCACGAACUCUAAACUUGAUCACAUACUGUGGAUAGGAAACAGAGCCGGAUCGUUCUCUGUAAAAAGCGGAUAUAAUAGGGCGUAUUUAUUAGCUACAAGGAAAAAUCAAUACCAGGCCUCUUAUUCGUACUUGCCUCUACGCAACCUAUGGACGCAGAUCUGGAGUCUCACAGUAUUGCCGAAGAUCAGAACCUUCCUUUGGAGUAUCUGUCAAAACGCGAUUCCAACAAGGGAGAAUCUAUACAAAAGAAAAGUCAUCCCAGAUCCUUUAUGCCAGAUUUGUCACACACAGGUCGAAACCAUAUAACAUAUUUUCUUAUUCUGUCGAUGGAAAAAACGGAUCUGGGAGGAUCAGAGGUUGCAUGGCAUAAAUCUCCAGAGAAACAUAAAGCGAAUAGAUCAAUGGCUGGUGGAGGUUUUUCAAGAAAAAAAAGAGAGGUACCUAUACGGGUGUUCAUCGGGCUGGUUCUUUGGCAGAUUUGGAAGGCCAGGAACUUAUGGAUCUUUAGGGGAAAACACCCACAACCUCCAGAAAUCAUCAAGCUUGCACAGAACUAGAGUAUUACUAUGACGCGGGGGAUGAAAAACCAUAAGAACAAAAGUCAAGAUCAGAUCUUACCAGUGCAUUGGAACCCCUCGAAAAAUUGAGAGGUGAAAAUGAAUGUAGAUGCGUCAUGGAUGCCAGGAGAGUUCCUUGGAUCUGUAGCUGGAAUCGCAUGGGAUGAAUCUAGAUCUGUAGUUGAAGGGUUCGCGGCCGAAGUUAGGGUUUCCUUGGCGUCUCAAGCGGAAGCCGAAGCAUUUCUCCACGGGAUAUGCUAUCUGAAGGAGAUAAGUUCGAAGUGUGUGGGGGAGGCGAAAAGUCAGAUGGUUCGGUGGACAUGUGAGAGCGACAGCUCAUCGGUAGUAGACUUUGUGCUGGGCUGGGCCAAGACUCCUUGGACCUGCGUGAAGUAAUCAAACACUGCCAACAAGAAUUAUCCCAGUGCAAUUAUAUCACUGUCGGAUCCUGCCCUCAAGGCGCAGCCGACUGGCUGGCACGUCAACAUCGAGAAAGGAAAUUGCCCGCGAAUUGGAUGUACUCUCUCCCUCUAUCUCUUGUGGAUAUUUUAUGUUUGGACUGUAAGCUGUCGUUGCAUUCUAAGACUAAGUAAUAUAAUGCAUAUAUAUGCUUUUCGAACAAAAAAAAAAAAAAAACCGCCACAUCCACGUCAAUUGGGUUAGGCUCCAACCAUGUGAUGACAAGCGUGCCGACCUUUCAAGGUUAACAUAAGGGGGAGAGUUAUAAUAUGAAUAAAGAAAGUCCCAUGUUAUUAUAAUAUAUAAAUUGAUAAUUAAACGAAAUCUCAUUAUUUGAAAGCGUUAGUAUGUCCUUUCCAGGAAGAGGAAAAAGAAAAGGGAUGCGUGGAUUUCAAUAUCUAAAGAAAAAGCGACUUUUUUUACCUCUUGGAAGAUACUUUAAUAAUAGUUAGAUAAGGAAUAUGAAUGCAAGAUAAGGACUCAAGCCCACGUGUGAAUUGAGAAUUCCUUCAAAUGAUUAACAUGUGAAUGGGGAAACAUUACAUCGAUGGGUUGGCUUAGAUUGAACAUGCCAUAACCCCAUUAGAUUGAUUGGCUUGUCCAAUACCUCUUCGACAUCCUCGACUAACUCACUUUUAAGCAAAUGUUUCUCCGUGGCCUCAGUCAAACCAGCUCUUUCAUGUAUAUGUUUUCCCCUAAAAACCAAAAUUGAUUGGUGCCCCACUUCAUUUAACAAAUUCAUUUGCUUCAAUUCUAUCUAGGUACUCAAAAAUAGCUUCAUGACCUUACUUGCAUUCCAUUACUGCUAUAUGCAUAUUAGGGAAGACCACAUGACAAAACUUUUCUCAGACUUCAGGCGUAUUGCUGAGUUAUAGAUUGCAUGCAUUAAGAAGUGAUUUACGAGCGUGAUUUAUUGGGAUUUUGGUCCCAAGAGAUCGUUGUCUAGCAUUAUUAGCUCCACUUGUACAUUUAACAAAUGUUGUUGGAGCACUAGUUAAUUUAACUCAAUACAGAAAUAAAAUUCUUCAAGAGGCUUCAAAAAUAAAUUACUUACUCCAAAUGAGAAAUUUAUAUUUUUCAAGUAUUUUUAAUAAAGGCUUAAUAAGUGCCCGCCCUAGGGACAAUUUUCAGCAAUUUGCAUUUGAUUUUAUUUAAAGUUCUCAUAACCAUCGAUGCAUAGAUAAGGUUUGCAACCUAAAGAGCUAGUUACACGAGAAUUCUCACAUAAUAUUGAGAAUUUUGUUUCAUACAUAUUCAAUGAGUGACAUAAAUAGGUCACAUUUUCCUAUAUUGAACCUCUACCAUAUCUUUCGUUUUGGACACUCAAGUUUUGUAGCUUAAAAAAUCAAAUUAGACCCAAAAAUCAACUUUCAAUUGAGAUUUGAGACAUACAUCAGGAUGUUAGUAUUGAAUCGAUUGUAGUUAUAUGAUAUGAUAGCUUUUGGUUAAUAACGUGCAAAUAUAAAUGUGUCUAGGACGUUUGGUAGAGGAUGAUCAAAGGAUUUUAAGGGGUUUGGGCAAUGUGAUAAGGAAAGACGAUUCCAGCAUUUUUAUGAAAAUAGUUUUAUAAUUGUUGGAGAAGUAAUGGUGAAGGAACUAAGGGAUAUGAAGCUUCCCACUCAAUGGGUGGAGGGCUAAACCCUACACACACGGAGCUUAUGGAGGUCUCAACAUGACACCCAACUAUCGCAUUAAAACCCAUUUUUCUAGGACUCCAUCUGCCGACUACAAAAGUCUAUGUCUUGUCAGAAAUCUUUUCUUUUGCUUUAGCGAUAUUCAUCGCCGUACUCAAUUACAGGGGACACAUCUUGACUUUUGUACAAAUAUCUAGUCCAUGCUACAUUAUUCGAGAAAUUGCAUCACGCAUAACCUGUCUAUAACUUGGGCCUAGCAUCAUUCCAACAUCUUCCAUGAGCUCUAACUUCGCACAAUACAAAUACUACCAUAUAGUCACUUUUUUGCCAAACCCAUCUCUCUCCCUCUCUCGUAGUAAGUUUGAGCCUUUGGCUUUCAAGUGGGUGCACAAAACACAAAGCAACCUCGGAGUCAAAGAGACCCACUUUCCACUGGUUUUGAACCGGUUAGUGCUAAUAAAACUUGCAAGUAGGACUAGCUACCAUCCAGAUUGAAACUACACGGAUUCUGAUGGAUGAAUAAAUUUUGGAGGUCCUUUCAUUUGGCAAAACAGAAUUUAGUUUCCACACACAAACUUGCUAACAAUUGCUAUUUCCUUCUCUCUCUCUCUCUUUAGGACAUUGAAAAUGGAUGAGGACUCUGCCACCAAGAACAACCGAAAGUGCCGCCGCGGCCAAAUCGGUGACAUCUCCAUUUUGAAUGCCUCCCCAAAGCGUCUUCAGAUGCUUCAGCUCAUACUCCUUCGACAGCCACCUCAAACGAACUAGGAAUCAACCUUAUCUUCAUAUAUUCCUAAUUUAUUUCUGCUUGUGAGAAAUAUAAAUUUUUUUCACUCAAAGUAACAAUUUAAACAUAAUUCCUUCAUAUAUAUUAUUACUAAAAAACUUAGGAGACAAUAAAAAUAUUUCAAAUGUAAAGAGUCGAUUAGAUUUCAUCGGUUGAUCAAUCCGGGACAUUGUGGAUGGUGAGUGCACACAUAAUAAUAAUAAUAAUAAUAAUAAUAAUAAUAAUAAUAAUAAUAAUAAUAAUAAUAAUAAUAAUAAUAAUAAGUGGCAAUAGGAUCGGGAGUGCUUUUGCUUUCAUUGGACAUUGCUCUGCUAGGCUGGAUUGCAAGUCCUAUUGUGAUGUUCUUUUUCUCCUCCGUGUGCUACAACACCAAUCGCCUGCUCUGUAAUUGUUACCGUGCCAGCGACCUCAACUCCAGCAAAUGUAACCACUCAUAUGGACUCUAUUCGUUCAAUCCUUGGUAUGUAAUUCCAUCACAUAUUAUCACUUCUCAUUACUUGAAAUUUGCACUUUGAUUAAAUUUCUCACAUGAACAAAAGAUCCAAUGGAUGAAAAUAAAAGAGUGAGAUUUUUUGGGGGAUAUAAAUCUCCAGACAUCAACCAUAGAGACUAGAUCAUGAUCAUAUUAAUCUAACUUUUAGUUUGUCCUAGUGCUUUGCUUCGACUAGUGUUCCCUGCUCAAACCUGGGCAUUUGGAUUUGUUGCAUGAUCUCGACAACUCCGAGACAUGAAAAGAAUUGGAUGUAAGAUUGGCCAAACAGUGGUAUUGGUCGCAUUAAAAUCUUGUUCUGAUUAUCGAAAAAUGGCUAGCAACACUCAAAGUGCAGAAUGUUAGGGUGAACAACAAGGGGAAAAAUUAGCAAACGGAAAAAUCACCUUUCAUUAUAACAGUACUUUCACAUAGCCAUGGCAUUUUGAAGAAAUAUCAUCUGGUAAACCCUUUUUGUAGCCGCACCAACAGCAGAGCAAAGCGUCCAAGAUAUCUUAGAAACCUCGAAUGUAUUCCUUUUCCCUGAUGUCAUAAAAGGAAUCUCAUUUUACAUCUUCAUAUUGCCAUCUGAGAGAGCUCUAGUCUAGUUGGAAAUGUGGUUCUUGCUAUACUCACAAGAUUAUGCUUUUAAAGCGAGGUUCCACUUUGACUUUUACCGAGUAAAAAUUUAUAGACAUUCAUUAUACAUUUGUUUCGUAGAAAAUAAGUGAUGUGAAAGACAUUUUCCAAAAAAUAAUGAUUUUUAUUGUUCAAAAUAACUAGUCAAUAAAGAUUUUUUUUUAAUUUUUUAUAAUUAUAGCUUAUGUUUAAAUCUAUUUGUAAACAAUUUAUAAAAGAUACAAGAGAUCAAUUUUUAAAAAAUAUUUUUGAAAAUGUUGAUCUUUUACAAAACAAACGUACCCUUAUUCGGAGUUUUUUUUUUUUGGUCGAAUAUUUGGAGUUUAUUUUGUUGCAAAAUUGAUUGAUUGAAGAUAUUUAUUUGUAGUUUAUUUUUGUUGUGGGCAAUUUACGUUAAUUUGUGAGAGGUAAGAUAAGUUUUUGCAUUUAUAAAAUAUUUACCAACAUAAAGGUAAUUUAAUGAUGCUGAAGCUAAAUUUACAUACACAAAAUACAAUUUAAAAACAUCAGUUUGUUUUCGUGGUAUGAUAGCUUGUAUUGCUACAACAAGACUUUAUUAACUAUUUACUAAGAAUAAGUAUAAUUAAGAAGAAUCAGAAUGUCAGGGAUUAGGGCACGCCCGAUUUCCUAAUUAUAAGGAAAAUUACACACUACCACUCCAACUUCGAAUUAGGCAAGUUACCGUAGCCGUUGAUACAAUUACAUCAUAUCAAAUAAAAUUAAACAAAUCCGCCACGUUGACUAGUUGAAGAGGUUAGCCGUCGCCAAUUUACCGUUUCGACCUCACGCGCGCAACCCACUUUCCUAUUCUAUAAGGGGCAAAUUCGGAACGACGGGCGAAGGGAAGCUUCAUAUCCGUUACGGCCCCUCCUCUGUCCCUCGCACAGUGGUCGCAUCAUCUCUUUCCCACCUUCUUCUUCUUCGCAUGUUGCCCCUCCGCUUGCUUCCUUUUCCUCUCUCGACGGAGCCACAUUCCGGCUCAACGGGAGAUGGCGGAGCCGCAUCUGCCUCAGCUGUGCGGCCGAUCGAUGGGACGCCCGUGUCGGGGCCAUAGAGAGAGAGAGAGAGAGAGAGAGAGAGAGAGAGGAGUGGGGUUAUGAUCGGGGCUCGGCGCACUCUGGGGCUGCAAAGGUGGGGCUGAGCAAACACGUUUAGGCAGGGCGUGCUGGAGUUGAGCAGAUGUGUGAGUUUUUUGAAUUUUUUUUCUCUGACUAGAAAAGGAAAUUCGGAUGGAAUGAGAAAUUGGGUUUUUCUACUCCCAAAAAGGCUUUAUUUAUGGGAAUUAGAGAUAAAUUUUGAUUGGUGGAGUGAAGAUGAGGCGUAAAAGACUUUGGGGGCAUUGUGAUGAUGAUUAGGUAUUUUUCCUAAGAGUUGAUUGGUUGCUUUCUCUUAUUUUCUCCUCUCUCUGUCUCUCUUUCCCCCUCCCUCACGCGGGAAACCCCUCGUCCUGCUCCUUCCUCCUUCUCAUUUUCUUUUUCCUUUUCCCCCGUUCACUCCCUUCCUCACGUAUCUUUCCCUUUCCCCCCUGGUUCUGUUCUUCUUCAUCCUGUUGCUGCCGCCACCUUCAUCACUUCAUCCCAUCUUUAUCAUCUUCUUGCCGCACCACAUUCCAGCACCACCUCACGCCUCAACACCACCGCCCAGCAGCACCCCCACCUAGACCAGCCCCCAAGCCGAGCUCCCCAUUUGGCCAAGAGCUUGGAAGGACCACCUCUGCCACCGUCGAGCCUCCGUUCAAGCCGUGGUUGUCUUGUGUUUUCAUCACCAUCGUGUCGCCAUCGCCGUCGCCAUGAGCCCGCCACCGUCGAAAAUCAUGAGUUAACUCCCUAAUCGUUAAUUAGACCGUUAAUUACGCUUAGGGGUAAUUAGAUUAGCACUAAUAGCGUUUAGUGUUAAUUAAGCUUGGUUUAGUUUAAUUAAGGUUAAGAUUGGUUUAGAUUAAUUUUAAUUACGAUUAUGUUAAUUAAUCAUGGUUUGAUUAAUUAAUUCGGUUUAGUUUAAUUAAUCGUAAUUUACUUAAUUUAAUCGUUAUUUAUUUAAUUAAUCGUAAUUAGCGUAAUUAGUGACGGAUUAAGCAUUACGUAGAGUUUUGCGCUCAUUUUCUUGGAUGCAAUUAUGCGUGAAUUUGAGUGCUACACGUACAAAAUUAUGUGAUGGUUGUUCUAUGAUAAUUGUCUCUUAUUAUUGCAAAAGAUGAUAUUAUGGGCAAUUAAAUUAAAAAAAAAUGAAGUGUCGGGUUUGAACACUAAAUUUUAUGUGCCCAAUAAAACAAUGAGGUUUUAAACUAGGUACGAGCAAAGUUUGACGGGUUAAUAUUGAGUACGUGAGCAAGUACGAAUUUAUUUUGGAAAGUUUUAAAGAAAAAAAAAGGGCCACCCAAGAUUAUUUCCAAAAAGGGUGUUUGGACAAAGAAAUAGAAAAAAAAAUUGAGAUGUCGAGUUCGGACGCCAAAUUUUAUAUGCUCAAUAAAACAAUGAGGUUUUUAAAGUAGAAGUGUGCAAAGUUUGAUGGUUGAUUUCAAAUACUUGAUCCUGUACAAAUUUAUUUCGGAGAUUUUUAAAGAGAGAAAAAAAAAGAGUUGCCAAGUUUAUCAUUUGCAAAGGAAUUUUGGUGUUCUUGGCUAAAUAACGGUAAUAAAAGGUUGGCUUAAUAGAUGAUGUGCUUGAGUGGUUAUGUAAUUGAACCUGUCACCUAACGAGAGUUUGGGGACGAUGCUCGAUUUUGUCGAAUGCCUGGCGGGGGUCCGGAAGUCGAGUCACGGUUGAGGCAUGAUUGAUGCUCCUUUAUUGGAAAGCUAUCCUGAGGCGUAUGCAUAUGCGGGAUGAUGCCGUGCCUGAUAAGGCGGGACACGUGUGAAUGAUUGUUAUGCCGGAAGACUGCCGACUUUUAUGUUGGCCGUGGCCUGAGAGGUCGUAAUAAUUGGAACACGUGUGAAUGAUUGUGAUGCAUUGCACUUAAUUAUGGGAUAAAACUGUUAGGCAUGGUACGGGACGUGCCAAAACGGGUUUUGCCUUAUAAUCAAGACCCGUGUGAAUGCUUGGAGAAUGAGAAUUAUGUGUUCUGAUUAUUGUUUAUGCUUUUGGUAUUGAUAAUGACAUAUGUGACAUGCUAACAUGCAUGGGUGUGUUGAGGCGAUGUGAGUUUAUGUCACGCACUGAACCUCGAGCGUGCGCACAUCCCUUGGUGGUUGAUAAAAUUGCGAUGUUUCAGGAUGCGUUGCUGACCCAUUCAUUUUAUUGCACAUGCGUAAACAAAAUAAAAACCCAUGAUAGCAAAUAACAUGUGAUAGAAAAACAUGAUACAAAUUUCACAAAACAUUUUUAUAUACAAACUAGUUUGUCUACAAAAAGAUCGGCUUUCAAAAAGAAGCUGUCCUACGAUCUAUUAGUCGAACACAUUCACCGAUCUUUCAAACUCCACCUCCACAGGUUCCAGGGGCGUCGGGUCCUUCACAGCCUCAUUAGGAGGGUUAGCUGCACUCUCGCUCAGAGUGGCAUUGACCAUAAUGGCGGGGAUAUCAAAUCCCCGAAGGGGACCUACCAUAUACCCAUUGAGUCCAUGGCAAAAACCACGCCUUGAAUCGAUGAGGUAUCCUUUGAGGUAAGCCCUCAUCAACUUAUAUAGUGGUUACAACCAGCUCAUAGACCCAAUGACUCCCGAGGACAGAGACGUCUAUGCUCUACUCAAUAACAGUCAAAGGCUAACCAAAACGUUCCUAAGGGAUCACUAUCUAAGGACCUAAAAAGAAUGAGCCUAGGACAGGGUGAGACAACGUCUCAGCAAGUUCACCCCCAAAACUCCAGCUAGGAAGGAAAUAUGCGGCCUAAUCACACAAUCACACAACUGCAGAGACUCACCUUAUCUCAGAUCCUCCUUGCAUGUCAGUACGGUUCAUAUCAUAGACAUAAGUAGUAAUAAAAUUCAAUCAAUUGGGACGCAUCAACUUAUAUCUUAAUAAACAUAAUGGUCCCGAUUAUAAUGUCAAAUCGUUAUGACACGUCAUAUACCAUGCCACACAAUUUUGUCCCAUAAUCAGACGCAGUUAAGACACUCAAUCAUGCGUUCCAAUUUUAUCACAAUCCAACGAGCACAGCUUACUCUUCUAGCAUAAUCAAGCAUCGUCUCACCCCAUUGAGUACGACAACAUCUACCUCAAGAUGGCAAUCCCGAAGGAGUAUUGGUCCAAAAUCUAUUGUGACCGGCAUUUGUUGUCUAGAGGCAUCCCAUAUAGGGGCAAUAUCCACGCGACUCAUAUUGGGGACGGGUUCUCAUAUCCAUCACACAAUCAUUCAAUCCUGAACAAGGACACCGUGCAUUACACUCAAAUGUUCCAAUUAAAAUAGUGAACUUGGUCUAUUUUCUUCGUAUUAAAAACACACAGUGAAAAUAAUCGUAUAUGGGUAUAUGGGUAUAUGGUCAGAUCGAACUUUAAAAAUUGAUACCCUUCCUUUUAAAAUCAUACUAUUUGAUAUAGUAUUUAAAACCAUUUUCGAUGUCAAAACCCGACACCUAGUAUUUUCUAAUUAAAUACCAAAAUUUUCUAAUGUUGAAAUAAAUACUAAAAAUCACAAUCACUGCUCAAUUUGCACAAAUUAACAUUCAAUCGCAUAAACUAAGCACACCACUGCAAUUAGCAUGGAAUUCUGGUCACCGGUUAUCCUAAUAUAAUUUCUGGAAAAUAUUAAAUAAUUAAAUAAAUUACAAAAAUAAUUAAAUAAUGAAAAUAUUAAAUAAUUGAUGAGCAAGUAGCUAGGCAUCACAAAGUUGCAUACUUCUCUCCUGUUUAUAUAGAUUUGAAUUAUAUGUCACUCUCGAGCUUUGAUUUCGUUUUAUUUUUUUUCCUCUUCUUUUAGGUAUCAUGUGCCUCGAUCCUUUCUACAAGCCUCUGGUAACCUACUAGUUCUGCUAGAAGAAGUUGGUGGUGACCCCCUUCAUGUAUCCUUAUGCACCUUAUCUGUCUCUACCUUAAACAACACCUCUUCACACUUCCGUCUUCCUUCAUGAGAUGAGGAGAUCGAAUACAGAUGUGGGUAAAUAAUUUUUAGUAUAUUGAAAAGCUUUUCAUUAGUAUGAAAAAGUUCUUUCCAGAAAGAAAUGCAUCAGCAGCCAACUCAAUAGGAAGAGAUACAUCACAUAGGUUAUGAGGAGGAACAUUCAACUGUUGAAUUUGUUGGACAAUCAAAGAUUGUAAAAGAAAGUACCGAGAAGUAAUUUGAGCACUACACCAAUUAUAGAGACCUCAUUGUAUCGACCUUGAUUGUGCUUAUCCUUCCCUUUGUUGAUAAUUUCAUCGACUGAUUAGAAGUUGAUUUGCAUGAGCACCUACAAGGUGCUCUCUAGACCAAUUUUGUGCAGCAUAGUGAUUUUUCCAAUUUCAGGCAUUAUUGUGCAUCAUGAGCAACCUUUCCUCUGGCCAAGUUUGUACAAAUAAGUGAUUAACUCAUUUUUAAAGUUUCAGAGGAACUCUGUAUGGCAUAAUUCAGCAUUCCUGCAUAAUUAUACCAUUCGACAAACCUUUUAAAACUUUUCAAGAUGUUCUAGAAUUGAAACCGAUACGACAUUACAAACAGACAUAUGAACUGGAAAGGACUUGCAAGAAAUGCACGCUUGACAUCGUUAAAAGCUUAUAUUACCCCAAAAUUAUGACCAUUUCGUAUGAGCCACGUAGGAUCUUUUCCAUGUUUUCCUGGUAAAGGCCCUAAUGAAUACUUCGCUUAUUUUAACCUCAAGAGCAUUACAUGAUGUAAGAACCAUAGAACAUUGAACUAAUAUCUCGUGCAUGGAGUUCUCUUACAGGCAGCAAACUCUUAAUUCAUAAAUGCAGAAUAUUUAAAGAUACUGGAAACAAGUUAAGACAUAUUUUACCAUAAAAGAUAACCUUCCCUGAGUUUACUGACCUGAAUGCAUCUUCUCCAUAGGUAUCCACCAGUGACUGAUGGUUUAUUCCUGGCCGAAUAAAAGGUUUUGAAAUGUGAUCUUGAACUCACCAUGCCAUUGCCAGCAGACCCCAAACGUCAGUCUAGAUAGCACAACCAAACUAGGACUUGUGACAUGGACUUGAAGAGGCUGUCCAAUGAAUGCUAGCAGUUAAAAAAGGAACUUGAUUUGGUGUAGGUGUUUUGUCAAACAGUUAGCAGUUUGACAGCCCCCACCAUUCGUGGAGUCUCCUCCAUAUACUUGAACUGAAUUUCAAUAUAUGGUUGCAUGCAUGCUAUCUAACGUUAUAAAUGAUUAAUCUGUUUCCCCAUUUUAGGCUCUUUGUAGAUUCUGAAGCCCACAUGUUUUCUAGCAACGUAAGACCAAGGGUUUUGGGCAAAUUUAGUCGUCUAGCUUAUGCAUUCAAGGCCGGAUUCUUAUACAGGACUCAGAUUCAGGAGUCAAGGAAUAUGAGUGUCGGCCCCUUUGGCCCGCGUGUUCGGCAACAUUUUCUUGGAACUAUUGGAAACUACAAAUAGGGUCAAAACCCCACAAUCUAUGGAGACAAAGCACGAAGAGUAUUGUACAUGUAUUUCAUAUCUAUCUUAGUCAGAAAAUUAUGCCAAUUCAAUUUUUUAGGAUCACUAUCCAGUCCGAAAGGAUAUAAUUUUUCUCUGAUGUCUUGGGGGUGUUUUGAAAACCCUUGGUACAAAUAUUAUCAUUCCUUUUGAAAUUUCUGAUGUGGUAAUGAAGUAUUGUAGUUUUCCUCAUACGAUUCUAAAUCUACAUCCAACAUCAAGAGACCUUAGGUGUCUUGAGGCAUAGAGUUCUCAUUGUCUUACUAAUCGUAGGAUUUUAUUUUAGCAUCUAUAUGCAAUGGAUGAUGUUGCGUCUUGACUUGGAGACGUGGUUUUUAGCAUCGAGUCUUUAACUAAUAUGACAAAUAUGACAGUAUCAUGAGUCGCACAUUAUAUCUUCCUCAACAAACGGUCAAAGUUUCAAAAAAUAAAAUAAAAAAUAAAAGGAAAAAUAAUGAUAAUAGGAAAUAAGGUCGGUCCGCAAAUACUUUAAUAGUUUGCACCUGCUUUGAAAAUGCCAUCAAAAGCAACAACAAACGUGGACGACGACCAGCGUUGACUCUUGUUAACAUCGGGGAAGUUUCUUGCACGCAGCAAUUAGUAUGAAAACGACAAGAAUUCUACACGAGUGGUUUACUCUUUUCCCUCUAUAAAUCAGCUUGAAGGUUCCUAGCAUGGAGAGUUGCUGCCAUUGCUUUUCGGAACCCAUCUUUGUUUUCUUCCUUUUAUGAGAUCCCACUCUAUGCAUCAUUCUUUUUCUUCCUCUUUGAUUGCGUUUGAUUGAGGGAAAGGUUGCAAGUUGUUAAGGUAAUGAAAGUGUCAUGUCUAACUUGUGCUCACUCUUGUUAAGUUGUUCUUAUCAAUGAUCAUAAUGAUAAAUAUGGGGUUUGUGGCCUUUAUUGUUUCUUUCCAUUGCUUAAGAAUUUUGAGCAAAGUUCUGUUUUGCUGUGUAUGCAUAUGCAAUAUAACCACUUUAUAUGAUGAUCUCAAAUGCAUUUAUCAUUUUCUUUUGUUGACACCUAAAUUUUGGUGUCUUUAAAGAAAUAAAAUAAAAAUUGUAUCAGAGCAAAUAAAAGAAAAAAUAAGAGAGGAUCAAUUUGAUUGAUUAUGAAUGGAAGGUUGAAAUUUUGAUUAGCCACCCUUGCUAUGGCGAAUAUUCAAAUCUUAAUAAAUGUUGAAGCAAAUUUUCGGUCAAGAAAUCCAGGUAAAUGAGAAAGCAAUAAAUUUGAUAAAAAAAUAAAAGGAAUCAAAGCAAAAUCAAGCUGGUUGCAAAAUCACGCUUCAAUUUACAUACCCCGAUUUAAGACAAUGCAGAAAUGAAGGUCGAAAUUGCCAUGAAAUGGGGUGUUUGGAACCACUAUAAAAAGGGAUAUUUCAUGAACAAAAAGGAGAUAAACCUUUCAAGAAGUCAAAAAAGGAAAGCCUUUCGGCAGCAUAGUACAGAGAGAAAAGAAGUGAGUGGACGUGAGGGGGAAAGAAAAGGAAAAAAAAAAAGGAAGAGAAGGGUCUUCUUCAGCGUCCUUCGCUCCUCUGCAGCUGCCCGAGCUCCGCCCGCCCGUUCUUCGCCGGCUUCCUUCCGCCCAAGCGCCGACGCCGCAGCAGUCCGUCCGUCCGUCGCCGCUGGUCGCCGCGCCUCCGCCCACCAGUCGCCGUGCCUCCCUCCGCCCGAGCUCCAGCGCCACCGUCCCCGACGCCUGCACCCGCAGCCGCGCCUCUGCACGUCCGCACCACCGUCCCUUCAUUGUAGCGCCGCUCGCCCGCCGCCGAACACCGUCCCUGCCCGCAACCCGCAGCCGCCCGUCGCUGCGCUUCCGAACACCGCCACCGCCGCUGGUUGCAGCGCCAUCUCUGCUCGUCGCCGCGUCCGCCCGUCACCAGGAGCUUCUGCCCGAGUACCGUCGCCACUGCUGCCCUCCGCCCGUCGCCGACGCCGCAGCAGCCCGCCCGUCGCCGUCGCCGUCGCCAUCUCUGCUUGUCGCCGCGCCCGCGCCCGUCACAGCUCCUGCCACCACCGCUGCCCGUGUCCCACACCGGCAACGCCGCCUGCCUGCGCAGCCCUGACGUCGAGUUCCAGCCCUACAAGCCAUCCUCGGAGCCCCGGCGACCCUGUUGCAGCCGCAACGUUCCCCUGAGUCCAAGCUGUCAUCCCCGUCCUGUUUUUGGCCGAGCCCUGACUAGUGCCGACGGCCAAUCUCCCCUGCACACGACAACAACCCGCUGUUGGUUCGCCUGCCACAGCCCAACCCGACCCAAAUCCGUCAGUCCUGUUUAGAAAAAAAAAAAAAAUCCAAUCAAGGUACUUUAUUUAUUUAUUUAUUUAUUUAUCAAGUUUUGUUAUUAUUGCUUAAAUUGGAACAUUAAAUAUCCAUGUUCAUUUUAUGAAUAUUUUAGGUAUUAUCCGUAAGAUUUUGCCCAAAAUUACUAUAAUUACUAAUUUAAUUUGUAAGAUAUUGGAUCAUUUUUUAAUUAUAUUGAUUUUUUGGGCACUUUGAUAGUAUUUUGAUUCUUAAAUCGUUAUUAUAUUACUUUGAUAGUAUUCUGAUUCUUAAAUCAUUAUAAUUAUUAAUUAUCCGUAGGGUCCUAGAUAAUGUUUGCACAUUUUAAUAAUCUCAUUUAAAAAAAAUAAUUUUCUAAGAUAGGAUAGUGUUUAAGUCAAAUUAACCCCUAAAACAUAUUAGAAAUUCAUUUUAGACAAUUCACUUAGGUUUUUUAUCACGAUUUUUUUAAAAAAAAAUACAAAAAUAUUAGGUGCAAGUCAAAUAGUUUGCAUAUUAGGUUCAUUUAAUUAGCAAUUACUUGUUAGUAAUAGUUUAAGUGCACGUUAUAUAGUAAAGUUCUAAUUUCAAGAUAAAAGAAAACCCAAAAAAUUGCUUGCUUUGUGAGUUUAUUUCUUUUGGUGCAAGUCAUUUGAUUGUUUAAUAAUGGAUGAGCAUUCAUGUGACCCAAGGUUAGGUCGCGGCAUCUGUGUACUCCCAUCAAGUGAUUAAAACCAUGUCGCUUUGCCUUUUACAUGUUGUUUUGAACCCCACUUAUGGCUACAUGUGAACGUUUAUAUGGUCAACUAAGCUGUAAUUAUCUUGCUAAGUGAAGCAAGAAAGAAGGGAGCUUUAUAACUCUCUAUCUAUGUCUCAUGUGUGGUCCUUUGGUCUUCAAUAUAUGCUCUAACACUACAGGAUUUGGAGGGAUUAUGAAGGGAGGGAAAUGGUCCUAAAAGAGACUAGAAGGAAGUGUUCUAGUAAAUUCUAUGUUAAUUUUAAAUAUUGGAGGUAUUUGUAUAUAAAUUGAUAAAUUUAUUAUUAACUCUUGCUAGUUCUUUUAUAUUACAUCCAUCUAGAAAUCCUAUUUAUAUCAUAAUACGUUCUUUUCCUUUCUUUUCCCUCCUAGCGUGUAAACAAAAUUAUAACUCAAUCAUUUCAACUCCUUUCUUUCCUUUUUACUCAUAAUUAAUUAAAUCUCUUCUUUACCCCCAUAAUUACUCCAUUCAAACUGAGUGUCAAUAUGGAGGUCGGGUCUCUCUCUUCUUCGAUAAGAGUUUCGUCUCUCCCUUGGUGUAGUAUUCCCUAUCCAUGGUUAUAGUUCUCCCUUGAUACCCUGCUCAUGGAGCCUCUUCCAAAAUCAAUCCUCCUUACCAUUCUAUUUCAUCUUGGAACGCCAUAUCCGUAUAUCAUUCAUGGUCCAACAUCCUCCCUUCUCCUCCAAUCCUGUACCAUGACGAAAAUCAUUUAUCUUCACUCGCUCCAUACUUCAUGCCCAAUACCCGACCCUACCUCUUCUGGUCGCUGAAGCCGUUCAUAGAGCUCCCUUCAUGCACAAGCCAUAACCCUUACCUAUCCUUUGCAAGCUGAAAAUAAAGUGCCUGUGGUCCCUCCCCCCCCCCCCCCCCCUGUUCUGCAAUUCUGCAAGCUCUGUGGUGUCUUGACUUGGUGGUUAGCUUCUCUCACGCUGUUCUUCAUGUCUAUUUCUUGCUCAGCCUUCCAAUUCUGAUUCAUUGCUCGGGCGUGUCCUAUAGUGGUAAGACAGAGUCAACCAUGGACAGAGAGUUGGAAAGGGAACUUAGGCUUGCUGCACUUCGUAGAAGAAUGGGAAGAAUGUGGUCUGAAGAUGUUAUAGUCAAAGUGCACGAGAAAAUUCCUAAGGAGAAAUUGCGAGAAUGCAACCUUACCUUGUUGGGGAAACUACUCUCAAGAUCUAAUGUUAACUUCCAAGCAUUCCUACUGACCAUGAAAAGGGCAUGGGAAAUAGAGAAUGUGGUUUGUGACCAAAUGGAACCGGGCUUAUUCUCGUUCACAUUUAGCUCGGAUUUGGAGAAGAGAAAAGUACUCGAAGCUAGCCCAUGGUCUUUCUCAAAUAACUUGCUUGUCCUCCAACAACUAAACCCUAAUCUGCCAAUCCACUGUCACGAAUUCACUCAUUGUGCCUUUUGGAUGCAAGUGCUUGGCUUGCCUCUAAUUCGAAUUACUGAGAACACGCUGCUUGAAGUGGCAUCAAUAAUGGGUAAAAUUCUGGAGGUGAAGAUAGAACGGAAAGGCGGCAGCCUGUGCAAAGUUGGAAGGGUUCGGGUGCUUAUGGAAUUAUCAUGCCCUUUAAAAACAGGGGCUGUGGUGAACUUCGAAGAUGAUCAAUUUUGGGUUGACUUUAAGUAUGAACGACUCCCUCAUUAUUGCUACUCAUGUGGGAGAAUUGGCCACUACACGACUAGCUGUGAGGAAGUGCCCUACAAAGAAGCCGGGUUGGAGGAGAUUGGUGAUGGAAUUUUUGGUGAUUGGUUAAAAGCUGAAGAACACAAGAUAAGCCCCUUUUGGAACUUUUUUUAUGGGAAGGAAUGUCUGAUGCCAAAGGAGGAAGUACUUAUUCCCGAGACACUAGCACAGGCCGGCACUUUGGAGGACUUAGCUCCUACCAAAAAUGAUAACCCACAGGGAGUGAGGCAUGGAAUUAUAAAGCUCGAGGAGUCAUCUGAGCGGAAGGGCAAAGGCUUGGCCGAUGUAGGAAUGACAGCAAAAGGUAAGAGAGCUAAAGGUACGCCACGCCUGAUCUUAGACAGAGCAUGGACGGAGUCUCUCCCCAAGGGCCCCGCGGCUUCAGUCAAGAAGAGUAGGAAGGAUCAAAAGACUCCUAUUAAGCCCUCACAAUAUGGAAAAAGAGAAACCACAGUAAGCAGGAACGGUGGUGGUGAUCAAUACCGCUUUCCGUUGGUGGCUGUUCGGAAGGCCACGAACGACUUUAAUGAGAGCCAGGUCAUUGGUACAGGCGGUUUUGGAAAAGUGUAUCGGGGAGAAUUGAAUGAUGGAACAAGAGUAGCUGUUAAGAGGGGUAGUCCUCAGUCCCAACAGGGAUUUGCAGAGUUCCAAACUGAAAUCCAGAUCCUUUCACUGUUCUUUCACCGCCAUCUAGUUUCUUUGAUCGGGUAUUGUGAUGAAAAGGGUGAGAUGAUUUUGAUUUAUGACUACAUGGCGAAUGGCACGCUUAGUAGCCAUCUUUAUGGCUCUCGCCGUCGGAGCCUGAGCUGGAAGCAGAGGCUUGAGAUAUGCAUUGGUGCUGCUAGAGGGCUCCAAUACCUUCACGCUGGCAAUGAAAUAGCUGUCAUCCAUCGCGAUGUGAAGUCUACAAAUAUUUUGCUUGAUGAGAACCUCAUGGCAAAGAUUGCUGAUUUAGGGAUUUGCAAGGGAGGGCCGGGAAUUGAUCAGACCCAUUUCACUACAUCAGUGAGAGGGACUUUUGGAUACCUCGAUCCAAAUUACUACCUUACGUCUCAAGUAACAAAAAAAUCUGAUGUGUAUGCAUUUGGGGUGGUUUUACUCGAAGUCCUUUGUGCAAGACCCCCUGUUGAUCCGUCACUCCCCGAGGAGCAGAAGAACCUGGCGGCAUGGGCAAUGAAGAUGCAAAAGAAAGGACAGUUGGAUCAUAUUAUAGACCCUACUCUUGUGGGUAAAAUCAAACCGGAUUCUCUUCGGGAGUUUGUGGCAACGGCUGAGAAAUGCUUGGCCGACCGUGGGGUUGAUCGGAUUUCUAUGGGAGAUGUGCUUUGGAGAUUGGAAUAUGCCCUUCGACUUCAAUAUGCGGUUGUGCAAUGGGACCCUGAAGAAAUAGCGGUAACAUGAUUGGUGGGUGAUUCCUUAAGACAUAAAUGAAAGAAGAUGAAGGCAAGGAAAAAGGAGAGGAGAAUGUUGGGGGAAUUCUCUAUAUUUCUGUAUAUACAUCUCAAUGUACAAGGGUGAUAUUAUAGUACAAGUCAUGUACAAGAAAAUGCAACUAAAUAAUCUAUGAAUAAGAUCUAAUAUUAAUUGAUCCUAAUAGUAUCUAGAAGAUAUCGCGUAUCUUCCAACACUCCCUCUCAAGCUGGUGGCUUGUAGAUAUCCAAGACACUUAGCUUGCUUAAAAGAUACGCAUGCUGUCUCUGACAUAAGGGUUUGGUGAAGAUACUACUGGCUGUUCUUCUGUCCCAUUUUCUUGUGACUCAAUCACUCCUUGUUGGAUUUUCUCUUGAGUGAAAUGGCAAUCCAUUUAUAUAUGCUUUGUCCUCUCAUGAACAAUGGGGUUUGAUGCAAGUUUGAGAGCUGCAUCAUUGUCGCAGAAUAAUUUGUAGGUCCUCUAACUCGUACCCCAAGGUCUUGAAGUAGGCCUCGCAACCAAACUAUUUCACAUGUGGUCUUUGUCAUGGCUUGAUAUUUUGCUUCUGUUGAAGAUAAUGAGACGGUUGGUUGCUUCUUUGUUAUCCACGAAAGUAAAGAAACCCCCAAUUUAAUACAGAAACCAGUAAUAGACCUUCUGCUCAUCGGACAAGUCACACAAUCCGCAUCACAAUAUGUAGUCAUACUCAUAUCACACUUUCUGGAAAGGAGAAUCCCAAGUCCAAGACACUUCUUCAAAUAUUUCACUGUCUUUAGUGUUGCAUUCAUAUGAGAUUGCUGUGGCUUGUGCAUGAAUUGACUAAAUGUCUGCACUGCAUAACUGAUAUCUGGUCUGGUCAUAGUCAGAUAUAUGAGUUUCUCAAUGAGUUUCUGAUAACCCAAAGGAUCUCUGAGUACGAGAUCGUCUUCUUGAGAUACUCCAGCAUCAUAAUCUGCUGUAGUUAAUUUGACAUUUUGCUCAAUUGGAAUAGCAGCUGGCUUGCAUCUUGAUAAACCUAUUUCUGAUAUGAUUUCCAAGGCAAAUUUUCUUUGGCUGAGAGAAAUCCCUUGGUUUGAUUGUGCAAUCUCAAUUUCAAGGAAAUAUUUGGGUGAACCCAAAUCCUUUAUAUGAAAGGUAAAAUGCAAAUAUUCCUUGAAGUUUUUGAUAGCUCCUGUUCCCAGGAGAGGCCUUCGUCAUUUCCCUGAACCACGCCCGGGUUGGUUAUCGGGGAAGGCUUCACGGGGAUCUGAAGUGGGACCCCUUAACCUCGAAGGGUGUUGGCCGGGGUAUCCCAAUGGGGAAGUUAUCCCAUACUACUUCCUCUCACUUGCCUUUAAAUGGCUUGUGAGGGGUAGUCCUCCCGGGAUUUCCUAUUCAGGAGGGAACCUUUUAAGGACAUGUUCAGGUCCAAAACUUAAAUCCUUUAUAUGAAAGGUAAAAUGCAAAUAUUCCUUGAAGUUUUUGAUAGCUACUUCAUCAUUGCCCAUAAUAAGUAUAUUGUCUACAUAUAUCAUCAAAUAGAUAGACGACGUACCUUUGGUCCAUGUAAAAACAACAUAGUCAUAUUUAGAUUGGUGAAACCUAGUAGCUAUCAAAGAGUCGGCAAACUUGGCGUACCUCCAUCUGGAGGCUUGUUUAAGGCCAUACAGGGAUUUGCGGAGACGACAUACCCUAUUCUCCCCCUGUCUCCGUAAGCCUUGUGGCAUGUCCAUGUAAAUUUCUUCAUUUAAGUCUCCAUGCAGAAAAGCAUUGUGGACAUCCAUCUGGUACAAGGGCUAGUCUUGAAAUGCCGUUACUAAAAGAAAAGAACGAACUGUAACAUUUUUGGCCACAGGGGAGAAGGUUUCAUUAUAGUCGAAGCCCUCUCGCUGUGUGAAACCCUUUGCAACCAAUCGUGAUUUGUAUCUUUCUACUUAUCCAUCUGCUCGAUACUUAAUAUUGUGUACCCAUUUGCAGCCAAUUGCCUUGCAAUGAGGCGGUAAUGACACAAUUUCCCAUGUCUGGUUAGCCACUAAAGCUUGGAGUUCUGCCUCCAUAGCUUUUUGCCAUCGCAAAUCAGUGCAUGCUUCAUUAUAGGUGGAUGGUUCUCGCUCUUCAGAUAUGCGAGUGAUGCAACAUCUAUGUUCUGGAGAUAAUUUAUCAAAAGAAACAUAGGAAGAAAUUGGAAAUCGAGUACCUGGUGGGUUCCAUUCACCACAUAUGUAAUCUCGGGUCCAAGUCGGCAGGAGCGUAGCUCGUUCAGAAUGUCACGGUUGAUCAUUCUUUGGAGGUGAGUGGUCUUCUUGAGUCUCUGACUGAGAUAAGUCAUUUGUAUCCCCAUCAUUAGUCUUGAUCUAUCACUUCCAUAAGAGGAGUCACUUCCGCAAUGGCUUAAAUCCUGGAGAAUUACUUGUGCUUUCUAAGGAAGGAAGGAAAGCAUAUGCCGGAUAGUUGAAGACUUCCUCAAUAUGAGAAGCAGAAGAAUGCCCCUUAUCCAUGGUUGGUUCUUGCAUAGCAAAUGGGAAAACAUUUUCUUGGAAUACGACGCUCUACUAAUAGAAAACUCUUCUGUGGAUGGAUCAAAUACUCAAUAUCCCUUUUGAAGAGUAGGAUAUCCCAUGAAUAUGCAGCGGCGAGCACGAGGACCCAUCUUAUCUCUAGGUCCUACUAUUGUGGUGUAGCAUAAACAUCCAAAAACCUUCAAAUGACUCAACUCUGGUUUCUUGCCAAAAAGUAACUCAAAGGGAGUUCAUCCGUUAAGCACCUUAGUUGGCGUGCGGUUGAUCAAGUAAGCUGCAGUCAAUACACAAUCUCCCCAAAAUUUGUCUGGAAUGGAAGCUUGAAAUUUCAAGGUCCGCGCAACUUCCAAUAGGUGGCGAUGCUUCUGUUCCACCACUCCAUUCUGUUGUGGUGUAUAAGUACAUGAACUUUCAUGUAAUAUCCCUUGAGAAGAGAAUAGUGUAGCACAUUCAUGAUUAAAAAAUUCUCUUCCACUGUCUGUCCGGAUUCGUUGCACAGAUUUUCCAAAUUGAGUCUUUGAUAGAGAAAGAAAAAUUUUCAAGUUCAAUGAAACUUGACUCUUAGAUUGUAUGAGGAAAAUCCAUGUGGCUCUACAAUGAUCAUCCACGAUGGUGAGGAAGGACGGAGACCUAUCAUGGUUCGGAGUAUGAUAUGGUCCCCACACAUCAAUAUGAAGUAAUGAGAAAAUAGUGUUUGCACAAUUUUUGCUUAUUGGAAAGGGAACACGUGAUUGCUUUGCAAGUGGACAAAUAUGACAUUGAGGAUAAGGAAAUGAAGAACUAUGGCCCAUUCUGGAAUGCAGAAGACAAUUUUCACUAUUAGUAGUCAAAUUACACAAUGAUUUCUUAUUACAAGGAAUAUCGGAAAAACUAAGUUCCUUGGAUGAACCAUUCCAAAAAAAAUAAACCUUCAGAGAGGUUACCCUAGCUCAUCAGUUUGCCAGUCAAACGGGCCUGAAAGAGACAUGUAUUAGCAUUGAAAAGAACACGACAUGAAUUUUCCUCACAUGCUCUAGACACGGAAAUGAGGUUAAAUUGAAAACCUGGGACAUAAGGAACAUUUGUGAGGAUAAUCUCAGGGCUAAGAUUGAUUGUUCCUAUUAUGGUGACAUGGGUGGUGUUUCCAUUUGGCAAUUGGACAAAAAUGGGAUUAUCAAUUUUUUUCAUGAAUAAUAGAAAACAUAAUUUUAUCACAUGUAAUAUGAUCACUGGUCCCGAAUCGACAAUCCAAGCAUUUCUCGAUAUUGUAUUUAUUAGGCUAUGAGAAAUACCUAUGAAACUGCUUCCUUUGUUGGGAGUCUCCAACCUUUGUAGGGCUUGCAACAAUUGUUGAUAUUGCCCAUAAUUGAUGGGUUGAUUUACAUCUGCUGACCUAGUAAUUUGAUAAGCAACUGCUGCUGAUGUUUCUUUUCCUCUUUUUUUCUUUUUCUCCAGGUCAACCAUGUAAUUUCUAGCAAUUUUCGAUUGUGUGGUGGGGUCGCUUGCAAAAUUCACAGUAUAAUUUCCCUUUAUUUCUCGAAUUCGAUCCAUAAUUCUUCGAACCACUAUCAGAUCCCUUUGAUGCGGAGCCAUCUCUGCCGUUUAAGGUCUGAAGAUCGCAGGCGCUUUUAGAGCCGUCAGAUGAUGGCAAACGAUCUUGGCCGUCAAACCCAGAGCCCUUAAAGGCUUGCUGAUUCGCUGGAAACCCUAGCGCCGGACAUCGUUCUUCUCUGUCUAGGGUUUUCGGCCCUCUUUCUCCUCUUGCCGCCAUUGCUAUACUCUCGGCUCCUUUUUUUUUUUAUGAUGAGGUAAGGCGUUGGCUUUCUUCUUGCACCACCAACUGAAAGAUUCGGCCAAGAGGAGGUGCAGGCUCCAUUGCUAAGAUCUGUGACCUGAAAUUGAGGUAAAAAUUGUUCAAAAUUAAGUGAAACCGAGUGACAUUUUCUUAGUCUUUCAUGGCUUUAUACCGUUGAAGCGUCGCCUCUAGCUCUUCUAACUUCUCCUCAGCCACUUCUAGCUCAUUCCACAGAGCUGAAAGCUUGUUGAAGCAAGUCGUUAUGGUCAUGUUUCCUUGCUUCAGUUCUGUGAGGGCUUGGUGCAAUGAGAAGAUCUUUGCUUGGUCUAACUUCUCAUACAUUUCUUUAAUGCUUUCCCAAAUGGUCUUCGAGUCUUCUAUGGGGGGUAGACGGGUAACAAUCUCGAGGCUUAUAUAGUUUCCUGCCCAAGUUCUCACUAAUUGGUUACAUUUUUUCCACUGCCGUGCCAAUUUUUCGUCGGUUGGAAUGGGGAUGCUUCCGUCGAUGAAGCCGUCCUUGUCCUUUGUGACAAGGGCUUGUCGAAAAUCCCGCACCUAGUUCGAGUAAUUUUCUAGUCUCAUGAGAAGGUGGCUGAUGAGCUGCAACUUCGGUCCAUUGGCGGUGGAGAUGUACAGCGCGUCGCCAGGUUCUGGGCGACCCAUGGCGGUUGUGAAGGGGAACAGCAGGAAACCGGGUGGAACUCUCGGGUAGGGAUUCGAAUUUGGCCCGAAUGUGACCCAAGUGACACUCCUGUAUUUGAUUUGCCUGGCCCAUUGGGGUCUGUGCCCGCAUAAGACGACCCAUAUCCUUUUGUUGCACCUGCCCCACUUAUGGUUGGUGGGUCGUCAUCUCUUCGCGUCUGGGUUCCUGGAAAAGAAAAACUCGAGUUGGGCCCAAAUUACAUGGGCAUCGGCACCCACUGGUAUGGAAAGCCCGAAGCGGGCUGCCCCAGAUUGGGUUGCCACUAGAUUAAUGGCCUUGUAAUGGGAUGAUUUUGGACUCGAUCGGCUGUAUUCCGCAUGAGGUCCUGCACCUCCGAGGUAGGUGUUUCUGCAGGAAUCUGCUCAUCGGCCAUGGUGGUGGUAAGAUCCUUUCCUUCCUUCACUUGUUUAAAGAAAAUUUCAAGUGGCUGAUUCCUACGUCGGAGUGCUAACGCUGUUUUGCAGGUUAGCUUGUUUUUCUAGAUAAGCAAUUAGAGAGAAAGAGAGCGGAAACGAAAUACAGAAGCACAACUCUACUCUGAUACCAUGAAAGAAGAUGAAGGCAAGGAAAAAGGAGAGGAGAACGUUGGGGGAAUUUUCUAUAUUUAUGUAUAUUCAUCUCAAUGUACAAGGGUGAUAUUAUAGUACAAGUCAUGUACAAGAAAAGACAACUAAAUAAUCUAUGAAUCAGUGUAGCAACCCGAACCCUUCGUAGGUUGCCACAAGCACCAAUGUUACUCCUUAUUACUUUUCUCUUUAGAAGAGGCGUUGUAGUUCACAUGCAUUUUUUUUUAAAGCGGUCCCAGCGCGACUCAUUAGCGGAAGCAAAAUAAAACAUCUCCAUCUCUCCCCCUACCAACCAUGAUACAAAUACACACCACUAAUCAUCAUGAUUUUAUAGACAAGCCACGACACUUUAUUUACAUAUAUUUUCAAGAUGGGACUUCUUUUGGGUCGAUACAUCAAAAAGGAAAAGCUAGGACUCAUCCAUGUCCAGCCUAAAACCCCAAAAAGAACCCUCGACCCUCUACAUCUCAUGUGCACAACCCCCAUCAUAAGUGUCAGCUAACUAUCCCAAAAAAAAAAAAAAACAGCUCCUACUCGACACGCACGGGCCUCACACCCAAUCCGGUGCAUCAGGCGGUGGCGGUGGCAACAUCCCUCUCAUCACCCCGUCGCGACGAACGUGGACGGAGACGAACUCCUGGACAUUCGGGCCCCCAGCUAGGCCUAUGUCGUACAUGACAAAACAGCGCACUCGUAUAUACGUCAAUCCAAGCAUAGAAGGACAGCCGAACUCCUCGCACUCAACCUCGACGUCGGAUGGUAAACCGUAAAAUGCACCCCGUGUGAUGGCAGGAAGCGGCAUGCUGCUAAUUUGAAAUGUUGGUCCCCAAAGGGGUGAGUACAACCACUCAGCAGGUAAAUGAAUCCAAUAACCACUCAAUGCAUCAUACAAGUCAUACAUGCAUUGUAGGCGUUACUUACCUUGAAGCCAUGCGCAUACUAUCAUGCAUCAUCACCACAAUCAUAACACAUACAUGUGUAUCAUCAAGUCAUACUCAUAUCAUCGUCAUCAUGACAUUACUAUAUUACACACAUGUCAUCCUCAUCAUAUACAUUACAUCAUCACACCCUACACACAUCAUCAUCAUGGCAAUCUUCAUAUCACACAUGUCAUCAUCAUCAUGGCAUCAUCAUCAUGGCAUCAUCAUAUCAUACAUGUCAUCAUGCCAUAUCAUAUAUCAUCAUCAUCAUAUCAUCAUGCUAUAUCAUAUAUCAUCACUAUCAUCAACAUCAUGCAUCAUGCCAUAUCAUAUAUCAUGGUUUGAUUUCCACUUUUAACUUUCAAUUUGAUCACCACAUCAUCCUUUCUCGGAUCAUCAAUUUCAUCUCAUAUUAUACCCUCGCAUCUCAUGCGAGAAAAAAAAAACCUUCGGCAUUCAGCCAUUCCAGGCCACCGGGCAUCCGGCCCCCCACAUUCCGGGCAUCUCGCAUCCCGACUGGCAUCACGAGGCAUUCCCCUCGGGCAAAGACCUUUGACAGGGCUUCCGGCAUUUACACUCCCUGGCCGGGCAUCCCGCACCCCAAUCCUAGCAUCGCGAGGCAUUCCCUUCGGGCAAAGACCUCCGACAGGGCUUCUGGCCCCCCACAUUCUGGGCAUCCUGAAUCUCCCAGGGCCAUCCGGCAAUGUAUCUCUAUACAUUCCGGGCAUCAUCCUCCACCACAAUCAUCUCCUCAUUUAACAUUAUCCAUGUUUACCAAUUUCGGUCUUAAUUUAGCAUGGCAUAUGACGUGACAUCAAACAAGUCAUAUUCGGCAUGGAAUUCACACAUGCAUCUCAAUUCAAUGUCAUGCAUACAUCAAGACCUCAUCAUACAUACCACAUGGUAUAAUUAUUUAUGAAAUAAAAUUUAAUGGAAUUUAUAGUCAAUAAAAUAAUCCAUUUUUUUCAUGCCCUUUUUCAUUUAUUUAAAUUCCAGCUUUUAUCAUUUUCAAAAAUAUUAAAUUUAAUAUCUAUAAAUUCCCAAAAAUUAUAAAAAUUAAGGCAAGUGAUAAACAAGACAAUAGAAUAAUAAUUUCAUGCAAAACACAUGGCCAAAUAGAAUUUCACACAAUUUCACAAUUCUCACAAAAUGGCAUGUCAUUUCGGGUAAAAUCAGAAUGCACAGUUUCUGAAGAAAUUCGAUUAAAAUAUUCAUACGACCUCCAAAAAUUACGAAAUUUUACCGAGUUAUAGCAAAGAAAAUUUCGUACAUCUUUCAUGAAGACUUACAAGCCAGAUUCUUUUUACAUUAUUUUCUACAGUCUCACGAAGCUUCUGGAUCCAACACCGAAACGUCCAGUACAUGCUUCUCCGAAAUACUGAGUUUUCACCUAUCUAUUCUCUUUAGUUUCCUCUGAAAUUUGGAUAUAUUAUACAAAAAGAUGUCCUCUACAGGUUUCAUGAAGAGAUCUAAGUCAGAUAAUCAGAGUAUAGUCGUCAUUUAGGUCCAUGAUGUCUCGGGUGUCUUGAAAUACACCUCCAGAAUUUCCGUCUUCAAGAUCUAGUCGAUUUACUAGGUUAUACUUGUUCAUUUCACUUCAAAUUUGAGUAUGUUGUAUUUCAAGAUGUGCCCUAAAACUUUCAUGAAGAUAUUGAAGAGAGAUUCUCAGCACAACUCAACAUGCAACCACAAAUCCAUCAAAAGGUCAGUGAAAUAUUUCCAGAUCUGAGGUCUCCGUAGGAUGAGAUUUUAACCCCUCAAAUCUCCAUCAUUUUCUACAAAAUUUAAGUAUGUUGUAGUUUAAGAUGUUAGAUACAACUUUCAUGAAGAUAUCGAAUCAAAAAUAGGACUCUAAACAUGCAUGCAAGCUCUCACAAGUUUCUGAUUCAAACUGUUUAUGCGAAAACAUUCCAGAUCUAGAAUUUCCGUAGGAUGAGAGUUUAACCCCUCAAAGCUCCAUAAUUUUCCACCAAAUUUGAUUAUGUUGUAUUUUAAGAUGUUAGAUACAACUUUCAUGAAGAUAUCGAAGCCAAAAUCGGACUAUAAACAUGCAUGCAAUCUCUCACAAGUUUCUGACUCAAACUGUUUAUGCGAAACGGUCCAGAUCUAGAAUUUCCGUAGGAUGAGAGUUUAACCCCUCAAAUAUCCAUCAUUUUCCACAAAAUUUGGGUAUGUUGUAGCUUAAGAUGUUAGCUACAACUUUCAUGAAGAUAGCAAAGCAAAAAUCGGACUCUAAACAUGCAUUCAAGCUCUCACAAGUUUCUGACUCAAACUGUUUAUGCGAAAACAUUCACACCACUCAAGAACAAGCCAUCCAUACUUCGGUUUUCCUCACCUAAUCACCCAAUUUCGACACUACAUCAAACAUACAUGUAACAAACACACAUGCAAGAGCAUCUAGAGGACUCCAACUUGCCUCUAGACCGGACGGACGACGGCACACGACGGCACACGGCGAGCGACGACGACUCCCUCCUCGGCUUCUCCUCUCUCUCGGCCGCUCUCCCUCUCUCUCGCAUGGUGUCUCUCUCUCCCUUGGGCGAAUGGCUAACCGGCCACUCUCUCUCCUCUCUCCUUCCCUUUUAUUCCCCCUAAACCUCAUCAUUAGUAAUGAUUAGGUUGCCUCACCAAUGGCCAAUGCAUGCCACCCUUCUUGCCACUUGUCAAAGUUCAUGCAUAAUGGGCUUGGGCUUUUUGGGCUUGGGCCGGCCACUCUUGGGCCUCCUCUUGGGCUGGUAGACAGCCCCCUUUCAUGGGCCUAAUUGGGCCUACUAGCUUGGCCCAUCAAGGCUUCGGCCAAUGGGCCUAAGGCCCAACCUAAAAAUUAACUUUUCCUCCUCUUUUUUAUUUUUUAUUUUUUAUAAUCUCUUCCAUAAAUUUUUAAAUUUUAAUUUCCACAUGGCCAAAGUCUUGUGACAUUUUAUUUAAUUCAUAAGGUGCAUGACCAAGCAUAGAUUAUCAUUAUUGAUUUAUCUAAUUUAAAAUCUCAUAAUCACAAACACAAAUCACUUAAACUUAAAAAGAGACUAAUGGCUAAAGCAUAAACCAUAGGUAAUUUCAUUGCCUAAUUAGAGGCUUUAACACACCUUAUAGCUUGACUUUGAAUCUUGGGAUGCCACAAUCAGAUUUGAUAUUAAUUGAUCCUAAUAGUAUCCAAAAGAUAUUGCGUAUCUUCCAACAAUAAACCCUACUCUUGUGGGUAAAAUCAUACCUGAUUCUCUUCGGGAGUUUGGGGCAACGGCUGAGAAAUGGUUGGCCGACCUGGGGUUGAUUGGAUUUCUAUGGGAGAUGUGCUUUGGAGACUAGAAUAUGCCUUUCGACUUCAAUAUGCGGUUGUGCAAUAAGACCCUGAAGAAACAGUGGUAACAUGAUUGGUGGGUGAUUCCUCAAGACAUAAACCCUACUAUUGUGGGUAAAAUCAGACCCAAUUCUCUUCGAGAGUUUGGGACAACGGCUGAGAAAUGCUUGGCUAACCGUGGGGUUGAUAAGAUUUUCAUGGGAGAUGUGCUUUAGAGACUGGAAUAUGCCUUUCGACUUCAAUAUGCAGUUGUGCAAUGGGACCUUGAAGAAAUAGUGGUGUUGCGACCAAAAUUUCGGAUGAACUACCUAGGGUUUGGCUAAUGGAUUAUUAAGCCUAGACUUAACUCGGGCUCUCUCAAACCCAUACCAAUUCGCGACUUAAGUUUAAGUUCUUAAAAUGCAAAUGAUUUUUUUCAAUUAGGAGUCGCCACUAAUCUAUUUUUGGUGGGUUGAUUAGAAAUUCAAGUAAAGUAACGGGAGAUUUACUUUACUCCUGCAAACCAGAGAUUAUGAGUUCGGGGACUUGAUUACGUUAGAUUUCUCUAACGCCCUUUUGGUACCUUCCUCUUUUAUUUUGAAAUUUUUUUGGCAAGCAACUUGAAUUGAUUUUAAUUUACCUCCCUAACAUGUGAAGCGAUCAUGCGGGUACGCAAACCAUCAAUUUAACACCCAAGAAAGCAAUAAAUAAAUUGCAGAACUUACCUUAUAGUAACGAAAGCAUAUGUGAUAUUAAAUCAGAAUUCACACCAACAGUCUUAGAUGUUAUUUUUAAUUAACACGCAAUCACCCAAUUUUUGUUUUCACUUAUUUAAUGAGAAUAUAAUCCAUAUGCAAUGCCAUGCUUUUAACCUAACAUGAAAUGAUAUGAUAUGGCAAUAUGACCUAAACAAUAUGACAUAAAUGAGCAUGCAGUCUAUCAUGAAAUGGAUUUAUUCUAAAAACAUUUUGUAUUUUCCAUGAAAUUCGAAAUUAAAGAAAUGCAACAAUUAAAUGUGCAAUCUAAAUUAACCAAAUGACCUAAUUCUAAUGACGAAAAAUUUCUAACUAAAUGAACCUAGCAACAAUUACUAGAUGAUGGUAUUUCAUGAACCUAAUCCUACAUGAUAUACGCAUGAUUUUUCAUAUUUUUUUAAUGAAAAUUCGUAAUUAAAAAUCACUAAAAAUCUAACUUAAGUGAAAUGCUAUCUAUUCUAAAUGCCUUCUAAACAUGCAUUUUAAAAAAAUAACUAACCUAUCAUAAAAUCAAUUCUAAUCUACAUGGAAUGCAAAUGCAAUUUUUUUUUUUUUUUGUAUUUUCAAGAUAAAUAAAACAAUUAAGAGAUAAACAUCAAACCAUCCAUGAUCAUCAAAAAUGCUAUCCAUCAUUCGAAUUGAAAUUCAAACUCGACUAUUUUGCUAAUAAAGUCGAUAAAUUGAUCUUAAGCCUUAAAGAUCAAGAUAUUAAUUUUACUCCCGAGUGAAUAAUUAUUCCAUCUAAAGCCUUAUAGAUGGGAUAAAAAUUCGUGCGAUUGCGAAUUGGAUGCGGUAGAUCUGGAAUUUCAACCAUGCAUCGAGAAAUAUUUCAAACAUAUCAUAAAAUAUCAAAACUAAAGUAAGAUAAAAUAAAUCUACUAAAUAAACCUACCUAAUAAAAUAAAUCAACCUAGUAAAAUAAACCUACCUAAUAAAAUAAAAUAAAUCUCUACCUAAAUUUGAAUUUUUUCCAAAUAUCCAGUAGAUUGGACCAUGAAGGAGACUCGGCGCGGCUAAGGACGGCACAAGGGCAGCGGCUGUGGUGGUGACUCAGCGUGGCUCAACAAGGCCGCAACAAGUUCGAUGGGCUGUGGUAUGGGACACUAGGAAACCUGCAAAGCUAUCAAAAACUUAGGUAAUUCGUCGGGAGGCUUGCCGGUGUUGCUGAGUAAUUGUCAGUGCUGAGAACCGGUCACGGUAUUGAGACCAGAAUGGUGAGGCUGAGCAAUAUCGUUGAUGAAGCAAGACCGGCGAGCAUCACCAAUGUUGGGUUGGGACUAAUCUGGACCGAAGAACCUGUAGUCGUGCCCGCACACUGCCCAGAUCGUCUUGAAGCACUCAGGGACUGCCAGCGGAAGCAGAUUUGCAUCGGGGGUGACGGCGAAGCACGUGAAGAUCACUAACGUCGAUGGAGUCCCAUUGCUCUACCGAAGGUAAGAGGGCAGAGCUUUUCCUCACGAUCCACCUUUUCGUCUCGAUUUCUCACGCGCGUUUAUCAAUUUUGUCGUGUACGUGUUUCCCCUCUGCCAAGUGAUCCCCAAGAGAAGACUCUCCCCUUCGUUGACUUUUAAACACCAAAAAGAAUCCACGAAAAUUCAACAGAAAAAAAUCCCUCACGAUUUCUUCUCUCUCGCACGAUUUCUUCUCUUAAUGUGCCCUUUCUCAAUUGUGGAUCAUGGCCGGUCCCCUCAUGAUUUCUUCUCUCUCUAUGCUCUCAAUUGUGACUGUAUGUUCAAUGUGUGCCUCCCAAAACCCUACACGUUUUAAACCUAUUUAUAGGCCACAGAUUAGGGUUUUUGAUUUUCCAAAUCCAAAUCUACAAAGAUUUCUUUUCAAAACGCAAUAUUUUCUUUUCCAAAUGCAAUAUUUGCUUUUGAAUUGAAAUCUCAAAAAGAUAAAUCUGUAAAAUAUUUCCGAGGAUAUGGGCUUGGGCCGAUUUGCUCUUUUCGUGGACUUAGCUCGACUUAUCAAAUUAAAGUUUCUAAACCAUCAAUUCAAACCCAUCCGUCACCGACCCAAUGUAAAUGCAAAUUAAAAAUAAAUGCACCUAAAACUAUAUACUAUGCAAUUAAUAUUUUUUCAGGGAUAAAAUUAACCCAUAAUUUUCUAUGCAACAAAUAAAUGACUGGAUCACCAAAAUUUAUGUGUCAACAAGUGGUGACAUGAUUGGUAGGCGAUUCCUCAAGACACGCUUCAAUCUUAGUUCCAUGGAAAGGGUUUGUCGUGCUAGUGCUGCUCUUGCUUCAUAGGAAUGGACCAAUUGGGCGUGCACAAUGGAACGUCGAUUGAUUCAAGGGACUAGUGGAAGAGGAGGGGCCCACCUAGUUUCAUGCAUCAUCAACGACGUAUCCUGUGAUAGAGAUUGCUCAUGGACGGACUGACUUUGAAAAGAAAGAAAAUUUGUGCAUGUUUUAGGGAACUGUUAAGCUCUGUUUGUUUCACGGGAAAUGUAGAGUUUCUGGAAAAUAUUUUCUAGAAAAAUAUUAUUAUAUUUGUGUGUUCGUUUGAAACUUGAAAAUAAAGUGAAAAAUACUUUUCGUUGUUCGGUAAGGAAAAUAUUUUCCUCUAUGUAUUUUUUGAAUAAUUUUAUUAUUAUUUUAUUAUUUUAAUUUGAUUUUUAAUUUUUUUUAUCUUCUUCUUCUUCUUUGGCCAUUCGCCGGCCAUGCGACGGUUGGUGACCGGUCAAAGGCCAGCUUCCACUGGCUUGCUAAUCUUGCCAGCGAUGAGCGGAUCGGUGAGCGACGGGCCUGAGCUUGCUGGCCUCUAGCCUCUCCAGGGUCUAAGCGCAAGGGCGAGCCUCAAGCUCGCCGGCCUCUAGCCUCGCUAAAGGCUCACGCUCGUUGUUGGUUUGUCGAUUUGGCAAGCGGCAAGCUCAAGCUCGCUAGAGGUCGGCAAGCCUUGAUGUAACAUCCUCAAAUUUUGGGCCAUGAGAAUAAGGUUUGAGCAUCGAUAAUGGAAAUCAAUGACAUAAACCUUGGAUAGAUGAAGCCAUGGCAUAUUUUGCCAUAGGCACGAUCCACCCGACUGAGACUUAGUUAGGGUAAAUAACUAAGACCAAUCAUGGAGUUUAUUUUAAGACAUCCAAUGGACCAAUUCUGAUUGGAAAUGGUCAUGGACAAGUUUAAGAAAGCUAUCAACUUAGUUGCACUCAUUUGAUUAAAGUUAGCAAAUUUUGGUAUGAACCUCGGUUUUCAUAGAACCGUCGAUCGUGUACAAAUAUGGACAACUUCUCCAGUUAGAUAUCCUAUGUUAGUCUCAUGAUUGCCUUGGAUGAGAUUUUGACACAAAUCAAUUAAUGUGAUGAUGAAUCAUUGGACAAGUGGGGUUCUAGAAUUUUCAAUGACCUUUGACCAUAGUCUAUCCUUAUCCAUUAUAUGCCCUAUAUCAAUUGGGGGAAGAGAAAACUUACUUCUCAAGUAGCUUGGCAAAAAUAUCUAGGCACUCAUUUAAGGGCUUUGGACAUUAGUUCAUUAAUGACUUUGAUGCAUCAUCAACUUAGAUGUCCUCUAGAAUCUCAGGUGAAUCUUAGGGCAUGAUGACCUAGAUUAUAUCCUUAAUGAAAAAGGCAAGAACCAACCAAUUAGAAGAAGACAUUAGGCUUUAAAGGGGCUUAUGUGUCUUUUAGGUGCCAUAGGCAAUAAUGAGCCUAAAGUAAGCCUUGGAGAAUAAGCAAAUAUGUGGACUGAUCAAAAUUAGACACAAAUAAGCAUAGGCGCCAACUAAGGAGACUAGAUAGGCCAACUCGUAUCUUAGGCUUAAUAAUGAAUUUGCAUAAAAUCUUAAGAGGAAGAGGCCUAUAAAUAUGAGAAGGCAUCAUCAGAUUAUAAAGGUUAGCCAUUCUCUCAUUUCCUCUCCCAUUUUCUCCUCUCUUUCAUGCCUUCCUCACCAAGCCGCCUUAGGAGCCGUCCGAUUGCUAAAGGAGCAUUUUGGAGCUAAGUUCAAAAGUUGUAAGUAAACUUUCCAAAAUCUUCGAUAGGGCGAUGUACUACAUGUAUUGAUUUAGGAUCUUGUCAUCGUUUACUUGUGUUUGCUUGUAUGUUGUGCUUGUUGCAUAAUUUCAAUUACUUUUCUUUGCAUCAAGUAAAUUAUGGUCUCGCGUGGGUGUCGAGUACACCCGGAUGGCGAGGAAUGGUCUCGGCAAUUUGGAUGUGUGCUGAGGUGGGUGCAUGACCCAUACUUGAUCCUGGGACAACCGUGAAGCGUCUUGUUACUUGGGACAAGUCACUGGUCGAUGCGGAAGUCGGAGCAAAUAGUUCCAAAUCAAGACCACAAGCCCAAGCCGCAUUCGGCAUGAGUUUAAUUUAGUAAGUCAUAAGAGUCGUUCAUUAGUUCACCUUGCAUGCAUGCCUUCAGGCCUUUCAUUCGGUUAAAAGUUUAAGCAUAAAAUGAAUUGGUUGAUGCUUGAAACGCAUGAAUACACGAUGGACUUUUACUGCCGACGCUAGGGUAUGUCGGGUCGUUGUCUGGGGCAAAGCCCUAGAUGUAGUCCUGAUAUUGAGAUCGUGGAUGAUGCCAGCUCGAGUGAGGCCGAUGCUUGGGGGUCACCUUGGAUGCCGUCCUGAUAAUGAGAUGGGACGAUGCCGGUUGCCAAGAGGGAGACCAAUGCUUGGUUGAUACCGGAAAAGUUGAUGGAUUUUGAUUAACUAAACUAACUGAAAUAAACUGAAAGUCCACGUGUGGUCCAUGAUUGAUGCAUGUGUGAUGCUUAAAUUAAUGCUUGCACUAAUAUUGGAAUUGAGGCUUGCAAUAAGCUAAGUUUGUUUUAUAUCUAUUGUUGAGCCCUUGAUCAAUUUGAACAUAUAUUUGCAUUGGGUGACUUAGUGCUUGAAUGGGUCUUAUGUGAUGCGCGCAUUUCUCUUAGUGAUUGAAAUGAUUGUAAGCCAUGGAUUUUUAGGAAGGCUUGUUUUUAUGCACUAACUCCUGAUCUUUGAUGCUUGAAAGCACAUAAUUGAUUGAGAGCCCUUCAUAUAUAUAAGCAAGGCAAGGCAAGAACCUUGCUAUUGAUUUAUCAUCGACAAGUGGGUGGUGAUCUUGUAUCCGAUGAUCAAUGGUAAGACGUCCUCCUAUAGGAGAAUUAGGGAUUUCUAUUUACUAAGUCAUUGACUCACUUUUGUUGUUUUCACAAUUUCAGGUGUGGGAUGGGUGAACCAACCCUAUCGUCCGUCCGUCCCCAUUUCCCGAUUGAUAUGAUUACAACCGUGAUGGAUAUAGUAGACUUAAAAGAGGACGUCACUUACCGGAAGUAUAUUACCACUGUAUGGGUCCAAGAAGGGGUAGACAUCUUGGUUCCUCAUGUGUUGGAGGCUUGGUGCAUCAUUUUUUAUGGGGACAUUUGAGGUCCCAUCCGAGGCCUCAUCCUUCUGGUGGAUCCUAUGGGAGCAUUAUAGAAGAAGGGCCUAGGAUGGGAGUCAUUUUUGAAGGAGCUCGAUAGAGGAGUCAGGCUACCCCAGCCUUUUAAUCGUCGAUGUGUGGUAAUGAAGAUAUGUAGCCCAGUACUAAGAUGGACAUAUAAUCAUAAUAACUUUUGAUAUGUGUAUAUAUGUAUGAAUAAAUGUUACUUUUGCUUGCUUGGCUUGUAUACAUGUUGCCCGACUUCCACAUUUGUUUGUGUACGUGGAUUGUUUUUAAUUUGAUUUCACAUAUGUUUAAUCAAAGAUAAAAUAUUUUUGGGACAAUUGCGUGCUUGAGACAUCGAUGCUAACCCGCCGAGUCAUGCUCUCAUACCAGAGGUAGGGCAGGAGUGUGACACUUGAGCUCGCCGCUCACUAGAGAUAGGUGAGCUAGGUGAGGCCCAAGGCCAGCGGCGCUAUUGGUGAGCCUCGAGCUCACCUAUGGCCAGUCAUAGGCCGUAGCCAUGCCAGCGACCAGCCAAAGAAGAAGGUGGAAAAAAAAGAAAAAAGAACAAGAAAAAUAAUUUAAAAUUCCAAUUAUCAAAAAAGAAACAAGAAAGAAGAGGGCUAAUAGGUUAUGAGAGGAGAUAGUGAGUAAGGAAAAUAUUUUCCCCAAUUUGAAAAGUGGAAAAUAUUUUUUCCUCUUUUAGAAGACUUUUUCUCCUUUGUCACGACCUACCUUCGGGGGGAGGGAACAAGUUUAGGAGUAUUUCCUAGAUAGACCUAUACCUCAUGAUUAGGCACAAACUCUCCCAAGCCCAUACCCCACGUGACAUAGGGGUAUUUUUAGGAAUUUUGCAAAAAUGAGUCGCCAUUAGCUUAUUGGGGUCGGCUAGAAACCAAGUGAGGUAUGUGAAUAUACCUCACUUUCUACGCAACCAAAGAAUCUAGGGUCGGAGACGUGAUUAUACUAAUUAACCAAUUAGUGAUCUUUCGAUGCCUAAUCUUGUUCAUUUUAAAAGAAAUGAUUUUUGUCAGGCAGUUUGGAUUGAUUUUUUUUACCUAUCCACGAAUAUGUGAGGUGAUCAUGGAGGUGUGUAAUCAUUAAAAUAAUAAUCAUAGCUACCAAGAUCCCAAUUACACUAAAAUUAAGCAAGUGCAAUUAAACAUAAUUAAAUAUGCAAAUUAAACACGCGAUAUAAUCAAUGUGCAAGCAAAUAAAGGCCUAAUUAGCAAGACAUGGCAAUUUCCAACCAAACCCUACAUUUUAUUUUUCAAUUUUAGAAAUUUUAAAUUUUUUAAUUUAAUUUUUAAAAAUAUUUUUAUUAUUUUUAUAUAGUUUUUGAAAUAUUAUUAUAAUAUAUUUAAAAAUGACUUGGGUCGGAUCCCUGAGUGGCGUCCGAUCCGAUUCCGUGAAAAGGGCUCGGGAUCGGGCCAGACGGCUUGAACUUAGACCGAAAUGGACUAGGCGGCCCGAGCUGAGCUGUGCGACCCAAACUAGCUGGGCUAGGCCUGAUGUGCAGGCCCAGUCUGGUCUAAUUUUUAAAAUAAAUUUCACAUGCGAAAACAUCACAAACUCGGCCCGAAAUGAAGACCAAACCCUACUCGUUUUGGAGGCCUCGCUCGACCUGGCCAUGACUCGAUUCAUGCCCUCUUCUCCAGGGCUUCUUCAUGGCGCCAAAGGAAGACAUUCAGGACAUCGGUGACUCAACGCAGCGGCGCGGUGGGUGGUGAACAAUGGUAGCAGUAGCAGGAACGACGAAGUUGUAGUAGAGAUCGGUCAUGGCGGUGCGGUAGGGUGGGGCGUGUUGGUGACGCUCGCGGGUUUUGCGGGUAGAGGCAGGUAGCGAUUAGGCAUGGUGGUGAGCUACUGUGGCGUCGACGACAGGCCGAGGUGCGCGUGGUUGCAGGUUGCAGGCACUGGGUGGAGGGAGGCGUUGAGGUCGUCACGGCUGCAGCAAGCGUAGGAGCGGUGGCUUCUAGCGUCGGGCGCGGCACGGCGCUACUCACGAAUGUUCGGUGCUUCGGAAGCAACGGUGCAAAGGUGCGGGCGUCGAGUAGGAGGGUGGCAGCUCGAUGAGUAGCGAUGAGGUGUGGCCUAGUGGUGUCAUCGAUGACUGAACGAUGGUGGCAGCCGACCUAGUGAUGUGGCAGAGCUCGAUCUACUCUUAGAUUUGAUCAAGCAUGAUCAGAUCUAGACCUUUGGUCGAAACCCUACCUCAGAUCUUUGGAUGUGAGGGGCUCUAAGUUCGUCCUCCUACUCCCUCUAGUCUCAGCUGGCUUGGCGUCGAGAGCAGCAGUGGUGGGUGCUGCGGCUGCUAGCGACGGCAGCAACAGUGUCAAGUGCAGGGGGUCGGACGGGUGUUGCUCGAACGACAUCGAGCUUGGAGGGCAGUGGUGGCAUCGCAGCUUUGGGCUGCUGGCGUGGUGCUCUUAGCUAUAGGUGCUCUACCGGCAUCGGGUUGAGGCGGGGCGAAGCUUCGGCUGCUGGCAUCAGCAGCAAUGGCAUUGAGUGCCAGGGGUCAGUGUUCGGAGCUCCCCCCAGAAGGAAGAGGGUGGCAAGCUAGUCCUCUCCCCUCCAGAAGAAGCCCAUACUCCUGUUAUUCCCUUUUUGCUUUUUCUCUUCCGCCUGUUCUCACUCUCCCCCCAAAUUUUUCUCUCUCUCGUGCUCUCUUUCUAGCUUCUCCCCCUCCUCCCCAAGCUCUCUCUACUCUCUCAUUUCUCUAGGGUUUCACAUACGAAGAUGGGCCCAGGAGAAAGAGCUGGGGCACGGGCUGGGCUAUGGCCAAAUCAAGCCCGACCUAACCCCCCUUAAGCAUUUUUUUUUUGCUUUUUUGUUGUUUUUUUUAAAUUUAAUUAAUUUUUUAAAAUUUUUUUAUAUGCACUUGAAAAGUAGGUGUCAAGAGUUGACCCUCUUUGAAUAUAAUCUCGAAAAUGUUGCAUUCAAAGACAAAAGACACCUAAAUUAUUUUGGCGAGAGAGAGAGAUUUCGGGUGCAUAGGCACAUGCCAAGUCGACGGAAAGAACUCAGAGUUAUGAAAGCGCGUCUUGUCAUAAGAAGAAAGAGAGACUCCAGGCUACAAAAGCACUCCGUGUCAUAGGAAGAAGGAAGACCCCAAGCUAUAGAAGCACACCGUGUCAUAAGAGGAAAGAGAGACUCCGGGCUACAAAAGCACUUCGUGUCAUAGGAAGAAGGAAGAUCUCGGCCUACAGAAGCACGCCUUAUCAUAAGAAGAAAGAGAGACUUCGAGCUACAAAAGCACUCCGUGUUAUAAGGAGAAAGAGAGACUCUAGGCUACAAAAGCACUCCGUGUCAUAGGAAGAAGGAAGACCCUGGGUUACAGAAGCACACCAUGUCAUAAGAAGAAAGAGACUUCAGGCUACAAAAGCAUUCUGUGUCAUAAGAAGAAAGAGAGACUUCAAGCUACAAAAGCACUCCGUAUCAUAGGGAGAAGGAAGACCCCAGGCUACAGAAGCAUGCCGUGUCAUAAGAAAAAAGAGAGAUUCUGGGUUACAAAAGCACUCCGUGUCAUGGGAAGUAGGAAGACCCCGGACUACAGAAGCACACCGUGUCAUAAGAGACGUUAUCAUCAAACUCAACUUGAGCAAAUGUCAUUAGAGAUGUCAUCAAAAGACGUAUUGGUAAUAUUGCAACAUUAAUUGAAUAAGCUAAUCAAGCUAAGUUCGACUACUUUAAAAAAAAAAAAAAAUUCGAUGUCAAUCAACAUCAUAUGGCGCAGAACCGUCAUCUUGCUCGAGGAUGUAUUAUUAAUCAUCAAAUUCUCUUGGAGUCAAGCUCUUAUCAAAAGGCUACGACUCGUGAAAAAAGCUCAUUAAGCAUGCCAAAAUAGAGCUUCGUAGUCAGAAAAGAUUUCUCACACACUCUCGAUAAAAUGGUCGCUUGAUCCCAUCCAUUUGCAUGUGAAGUAAUUGAUUGUUGAGGGUAUUUCACACAACCAUGUCAAAGGCUUUCAGAAACAUCCGCGAUGAGCACAAUCUGAUUGAUCAAAAAUGUCUUUUGAAAGGACCGCAAUAUAAGCUCGGUUAUGGCUUACACAAAGGAAUUAUUGUUUUGAGGCCAAUAAAGGAACAUUUGUCGUUAUCUUUAUCAGGUUUACAAGUCGAGAACUUGGAAGAUGAGACAAGAUAAAAUUACUUCCACUCCUUCAAGCAGUAGCUUUUUUGUGGCAUUCUCAUUUUCACUCAAACUAUCCCAAUCAGAAGAAACUUUGAAAGAUGGUUGUAACGUUAGCUCGGUAGAGGCUCGAAAGGCUUAAAAUUUUCAAGAGGGAUUUUUUUUUAUAGAGUUGGUGAUCAUCAUGGUAUUGUGACUAGGUCACUCGAUCUUUUGAAAUCAUUUCACUUUUGAAAUGCAACACAUCUCAAAAGCCCCUUGACUAAUCAAUUUUGGAUGGGAGCUUUGCUCCUUUAUCUAAUUUCCUUUGCUCUCGCGAUGUUUUUUUACGUAGGCACUUGGACUUUAAUAAAUUUUCUUUCCCAUAAGAUGCGGCCUUUUGACUCUUUUUCUUGACGGGCAUUGACAUUGCUUUUACCAAGCACACUGCUUUUUCAUGUCCCCUAAUUUUGUCGAACUUUUUGCUCUUUGAACUUUUGGAGCUCUUAUGACUUUUGAGAUGUUUUUCAAGUUUUAUCGUAAUUGUCAAUUGUAUGUGGUCAAUCUUUAUGCCUUGCCCCAGUGAAGGGAGAUGAUCACCUCUUGGGACUCAGAAAUGAAUAACCAUGCCCAAAUUGGUUAAAACAAUGCGUAUUAGUGUUUGGAUAGAGAAUGAAAUGCUCUUCUUCACCAUGGGAUGAGUCAAGCUCUAAUGAGGAUUCCUUUGAAGCUACCACCAGGAGAUCGAUGCAAGUGAAAAUAAUAGAAUCUUUCUCAAUAUUUUGCUCUACAAUACGAUCGUAACCUACUAUGCCGCCCCAAUGUAGGGUUGUUCUUGACAUGGGUACUUUGAAAGAUCAUCUUUAUUCGACACAAAGGGGUAGCAAGAGAUUAGUACGAUGCUUGUGAUUAAUGAAUGAAACUCCUUUAUUAUUUUGAUCUUUGCCCUCAAUGUGAAUGAAUCAUUCGUCCUAAGAUAAGGUCACUUUUCACUCAACUCUCAAAAGUGUUUGAAGUUUGAAAAAUGCUUGCAUUUCUUCAUCCUAAACACUUCUUAUUUGGCAUUGUUAAUGUCUCCAUUUCACUCUAUUGAGAUCAUCUAAGUAUAUCAAUCUCCAUAGGGAAAUUUGAUUCAAAAUGAAUAAUCCCCAAAACGAGAAAUUCUCCGUUUGUAAUGGAAAUUAUCCGUUUUUUAAAAUAAAUUUCAGAAGAAGGGUACUUACUUGCGGCAUGGUGACUCGGUAACCCUAUAAAGAAUGUGGAAGAAUAUGUUAGUGCAAAAAUCUUUAGGGAUUGAAAUGUUGGAAACGAUACAUUAUUAUCCUUCAUUCGCUUUCAUCCUUUGGGCGCAAACAUCUCUUGAAUUCACCUUCGUGGAUAUUUGGUAACUCGACAAUACCCUUCCCUUGCAUUCGCCUUUAAGUGUUUGAUGUUUUCUUAAUUCCUCGGUAGAAGGCACCACUUCUAUGGUCAAGGUGCACUUUUUCUUUCAUAUGUCACCCUGUAAGAAGGAGAGAUGAAACGGUUUAUCUCCAUUCUUAGUUAGGUUCAACUGAGGAACGAUACAUCUUUCUUGAUGAAUUUGACAAUGUUGUUCCAGCACACUUCAUUAGUGGGUGAAUGAGAGAUUUUUCUCUAAAUCAAACGUUGCUCUCCCACUCUUUAUUUGACAAACCUUUGUUUUGUCCGAGUCUGUCCUGUGCCAAAGAAAAUGAUAUGUCAUUCGUUUAUGCUAAAGAGAAUAAAGUUUAGGAACGAAAUACGUCCUUUUCUAAAGUCGGGGGAUCAACAUCCCAAAGUAUCUCUUAUGGAGGAAUGGAUGAUAGUGCCCCUCUGUUUCAUUUUAAUCUUUCUUUGUUUAAGAUGAACAUGACUUAAAAAUGCUCCAUUGCAUUUGUUGGAAUGUUACAAAACUUGGUACUCUUGAUGUCCCCUUGACAAUGAAAAGAAAGUCAUGUCAGAAAUGAUAUCAAAAAUGAAUAAUUGGAAUCGAUACAGUUUACUCUUCCUUUGAAUUCACCUUUUGGAUACUUGGCAACUCCCUUCAUUUGUCUCAUCAUGCAAAGUGAACAAGAUUGAUGGGCUAUUUUGGCUCCUAAGGCAUUUGUGAAUAAAGAAACUUCCUUGAAUGGAAUUCAACUUCGUUCCACCUUUAUGGAAGAUUGGGGCUAACGAAGCUUCGACGCAUACUUAAGCCUACACUUUUAUCUUUUAAAAGGGGCCGAUGCCGAUCUCAAAUAAACUCCUCGUCCUACCCGAGAAAACGACCGCAUGAAGAGAGGAACUUAAGCAACGCUUCCUUGAAAUUCAUUUUGGAAGGUAGACGUAAAGGUUUGCUUGAAAAACUUUUGAAUUUGUUUUUGUUUUCUGUUUUUUUUUCAAAAUGAUGAUUUUCCUAAAACUGAAUUCCAUUAUUAAAAUAAUGUGAGUCGCAUGAUUUACAAAAGCAACAAUUAGAUUCACAAUCAAAACCCAAAAUGGAAAACAUGAUUCUUAACAAGAGUGAGAACAAUAAUAAAAUACAAGAGAUUCUUGUAUAAAUAAGAGUAAACAUCAACUCUUGUCCUAACUCUAGAAUUCACUUUUUUAUGUGGUCAAAUACGAGAAUGUCCAGGAGUAUCACGCCUAACCUACAAAAUGACAAUGAUGUCAGUACGUGAAUGAGAGAAAAUGAUCUCUCAAUGAGGUCGCUUCUUACAGCAAAAUCAAGGUGACGGUACAUGCCCCAUAGUCCUUAUUAUAGGAAUGGCCAUCAAUCGAACGUCCACUCUACUCCAAAAGUUUCAUACAAAAGGGGCAUUGAUUUUUGAAAGAUUGAUUUGUGAUUUCACUCUUGCAAAAAUGAAGUGACUUUUGUUUUGAGAAAUCUAUAUACAAAAUGGAGAGAAUUUGAUUAAAAAUGCAAUUUCAAUUUUUUUGCCCUAAUGUAUAAUCACAACUUGAAACUUUUUUUUCUCAAAUUGCGAUUUUGAGCCCAUAACUAGAAAUUUAAAUAAAACCAUGUGUUUAACAAGGCCAAAUCAAAGUGUUUAGAAUUUGCAUUCAAUGUUCACUUAUCAAGAGUGAUUGCCAAUUUUUUUAAUCAUAAGCCUACAACAUCGAGGGCAUUCGAUUAAUUUCCGCGAAUUUGAUGAAACCAUAGGGGGGACCACUUUUUCUCUUCUUUUUAUUUUAAUAAAAAAAUUACAUAGACAUGCAUAUGAUAUGUGGUUUGAUGUCUACUUUAUAUGGCUUAAAAUGGAACUAUAGGAUCACCAAACCGAGCCAGCAAGAUCGUGGCUAGGUCAUGUUACCCAUGACUCCGGCUCCGUCAAAGAAUCGACCCGUGUCGCAUGAUCACAGACCAGGGUGGAGACCUUUGACAUUAAGAAAGAAAUUUUAGGUUGAGAUGGGCGACUCGUACUACUUGAUUGUAGUUUGAGUGGUAUACACCUCAACACUAUCUUAAGUGAUCCUAUGCAGCCUAGGUCCGGUGGUAGGUAGUGUGUGCUAGGGUGUAGUGCAAUGCAAAGGAUAUAUGCACAACAAUAUAUAGGCAAACAACACCUCGUAUAUAAUAAAUAAACCAUACAUUUCUACACCUCCCUACAAGAAAAAAGGUGAGCAAACACUUCCCCUUAUACCUCACAUUUUACAAAAACAUUUAACACCUUUAAUGUUAAGGGCGUAUUUGGAAUCCUCGCUACCAAACAAAAAUAUUUUUGAACAAUAUUAAAUUUGGCCUAAGUCUUCUAAGGUUUAAAACCAAAUCCCCGGCGGAGUCGCUAAGCUGUCGUGACUUACCCUCGGGAGGAGGGAACGGGUUUAUGGGUAUUUCUUAAAGGACAAAUCUAUGGCCCAUAAUUAGGCACAGACUCUCCCCAACCCAUACUCCGCAUGACAUUGGGAUAUUUUUAGGAAUUUUGCAAAAAUGAGUCGCCACUAGCCUAUUGGGGUCGGCUAGAAACCAAGUGAGGUAUGUGAGUAUAUCUCACUUCUUACACAACCAGAGAAUUUAGGGUUGAGGACUUGAUUACACUAAUUAACCAAUUAGUGCCAUUUCGGUACCUAAUCUUGUUCAUUUUAAAAGAAAUAAUUUUUGUUAGGCAAUUUGGAUUGAUUUUUUUACCUAUCCACUAACAUGUGAGGUGAUUAUGGGGGUAUGCAAUCAUUAAAAUAAUAAUUACAGCUACCAAGAUCCCAAUUAUAAUAAAAUUAAGCAAGUGCAACUAAACAUAAUUAAAUAUGCAAAUUAAACACGCCAUAUAAUCAAUGUGCAAGCAGAUAAAGGCCUAAUUAGCAAGACAUGGUACAUUUUUUUAUUUUUUUAUUUUUUAUGUUUUAAUUUAAUUUUUUUAAAUAUUUUAAAUAUUUUUAUAUAUUUUUUGAAAUAUUAUUUUAAUAUUAUAAUAUUAUAAUAUAUUUAAAAAUGACUCGGGUCGGAUCCCUAGGUGGGGUCCGACCCGGUUCGGUGAAAAGGGCUCGGGAUUAGGCUAUACAACCUGAACUCGAAUUGAAACGGACUAGGUAGCCCGAGCCUGAACCAAGCUGGGUCGUGCAACCCAAACCAGCCAGGCUGGGCCUAAUGUGCAAGCCCAGUCUGGUCUAAUUUUUAAAAUAAAGCCCACAUGCAAAAACAGCACAAACCCGACCCCAAAUGAAGACCAAACCCUACCCGUUUUGAAGGCUUCGCUUGACCCGAUCGUGACCCGAUUUGUGCCCUUUUCUCUAGGGCUUCUUCGCGGCAUUGAAGGAAGACGUUCGAGACGCCGACGACUCGACGCGGCGGCGCGGUGGGCGGUGAACGAUGGCAGCAGUAGCAGGAACGGCGACGUUGUGGCAGAGGUCAGUCACGGCGGUGCGGUAGGGCGGGGCGUGCUAGUGAUGCUCACGGGUUUAGCGAGUGGAGGUGUCAGGUCGUUGCAGGCGGAGGUGUUAGGUCGUCGUGGGUGGAGGUGAGUAGCGCUCAGGCGUGGUGGCGAGUUGUUGCGACGUCAAUGACAGGCUGAGGUGUGCGUGGUUGCAGGUUGCAGGUUGUAGGCAUCAGGCGGAGGGAGGCAUCGGGGUUGUCGCAGCUACAGCAGGCGCAGGAGCAGCAACUUCUAGCGUCGAGGCGGGGUGCUACAGUGCUCACGGAUGUUCGGCCCUUUGACAGCAACGGCACGAAGGUGCGGGCAUCGGACAGGAGGGUUGCAGCUCGGUGAGCAGUGGUGGUUCUAGAGAGGUGUGGCCUAUCGGUGUCGUCGAUGACUGAUUGGCAGUGGCAGCCAACCUGGUGAUGCAACGGAGCUCGAUCUACUCCUAGAUAUGAUUAAGCACAAUUAGAUUUGGGCCUUUGGCCGAAAGCCUACCUCAGAUCUUCGAAUUUGAGGGGCUUUGAGUUCAUCCUCCCGCUCCCUCUUGUCUCAGCUGGCUCGGCGUCAGGAGCAGCGGUGGUGGGUGUUGUGGCUGCUGGCAUCGGUAGCAGUAGUGUUAAGUGCAGGGGGUCGGAUGGCGGCGGCUUGAAUGGCGUCGGGCUCGGAGGGCAACGGUGGCAUCGCAGCUUCGGGUUGCUGGCAUGGCGGUGCUCGCGGUUGCAAGUGCUCUACCAGCAUCAAGUUGAGGCACGACUGAGCUUUGGCUGCUGGCUUCGGCAGCAGUGGCAUUGAGUGCUGGGGGUUGGCGUUUGGAGCUUCCCCAAGAAGGAAGAGGGCGGCGAGGUGGUCCUCUCCCCUCUAGAAUAAGCCCUUGCUCCUGUUCUUCCCUUUUUGCUUUUUCUCUUUUGCCUGCUCUCACUCUCCCCCCAAAUUUUCUCUCUCUCUCUCUUGAGAUGUCAUUUUGGCUUCUCCCCCUCCUCCCCAAGCUCUCUCUGCUCUCUCCUUUCUCUAGGGUUUCACACGUGAAGAUGGGCCCAGGAGGAAGAGUUGGGGUGCGGACUAAGCCAAGGCUAGAUCAAGCCCAACUCGACCCCCCUUAAGCAUUUUUUGUUGUUGCUUUUUUGUUGUUUUUUCUUCUUCUUUUUAUUUAAUUAAUUUUUUUUUAAUUUUUAUUAUAUUUACUUGAAAAUUAGGUGUCAACAUCCUUGGUGGAAAAUGAUUUUUACAACUAGCUCAUUUUACAUGAAACGAACACUAGAAAAUCUGAAAAAAUGUUUUCCCAGAAAUUAUUUUCCGUGAAACGAACGGAUGAGUCUAAUCACUGAUAAAGAUGUUGAAUCUGAAUCAUUUUCUCGUUAUGUGUACGAGUUCCUCUCUAGUUCAAGCAACUUCUUUUGCGAAUUUUCAGAAAUAGAUUUGAAAUAGAAUUAAGAUGUAAAAAGAGUUACUUCUUUAUUUCCGAGAACAACUCCUAAAUCAAGCCCAUUCUCUCUCUCUCUCUCUCUCUCUCUCUCUCUCUCUCUCUCUCUCUCUCUCUCUCUCUCUCUCUCUCUCUCUUUUCCUUUCCUUUUUUCUUAUGUUCUUCUCUCUCUUCCUUGGGCCAGUCGCCAGUCUUGGUGAUGGUCGAUGACCUCAACCUCUCCAUGGCUAGGUGAUACUGCCCCCAUGGUGGCUUGGUGAGGGUGAGCCUCACUAGUGGCUGGGUGAGGCUCAGGCACUUAAUCUCACCUAGCCACCAUCGAGUUCGACUGAUGAGGCUCAACUUUGCCGAGGGCCAACGAUGCUCCGAACCAACCCUCGUUUGGUAGGUCACCGGCCAUCAUUGAGGUCGGCGACUGGCCAAAGGAAGAAGGAGAAGAAGAAAAGGGAAAAAAAGAAGAAGAGAAAAAUGUAAUAAGAUUAUUAAAAAAUCUAAAGAAAUUUUAAAUCACAAAAGAAUUUAAGAUAACUACCAAACGCAUAUCUAUUUUGGAAAUAAAAAUUUUAGACUGUUACCAAACACAUUCAAAUAUUUAGAAACUCUUCUAGGGAAGAGAAAAAAAAAAUUACUUUUGAGUAUAAAUCAUUUCCAUAAACAGAAUGGUUACCAAACGUACCUAAAUAUAUAAUUUAAAAACAUACCUUGCCCUGAUGUCACCGCUGUUGUUGGACGAAAGAAAUCUCAUUUUACAUCUUCAUAUUGCCAUAUGAGAUAACUCUAGUUUAGGUGGAGAUGUGGUUCUUGCUAUUCUCACUAGAUUAUGCUUUUAAGGAGCCUUUCAACUAUGACUUUUUUUACUGAUUAAAUAUUCAUAGAUAUUUAUGAUCUGUUUGUUUCAUAUAAAAUGAAUGAUUUGAUAAAUAUUUUCUAAAAAAUAAUUACUUGUAUCAUUUAAAAUCAUUAGUUAAUAAAGAAUUUUUUUAUUAGUGAUAAUAAUUUAUGUCAAAAUAUAUUUGUAGAUAAAGAAAAGAAAUUUCAUUUAUCAUUUUUAUAAGUGAUCAAUUUUUUAUAAAUGUUUUUCAAAACAUUUGUGAAAGAAACGCAUCCUUAUUGGAGUUUAUUUUUGUGCAAAAUUGACUGAUUACAGACAUUUAUUUGUGGUUCAUUAUUUUUGUGGGCCAUUUAUGGAUUCGAAAGUUAAUUUAUGAGCUGCAAGAUAAUUUUUUUGCCAUUAUAAAUGCUUACAAACGCAAAUGUAAUUCGAGGAAGUUGAAGCUAAUUUUACGUACACAAAAUACAAAUUAAAAACAUCAGUUUGUAUCUGUGAUACAAUAAGUUAUAUUACUACCAUGAGACUUUAUCAGCUAUUUAUUAAGUAUAAAUUUUUUUCUGGUCAAAAGAAUAAGUAUAACUAAAAAGAAUGUCAAGGAUCAAGGUUCGCUCAAUUUCCCAAUUACAAGGAAAAUUAUUACUACUAUUGCUUCGAAUUAUUUCCUGCAAAGUAAGUUACUGUAGCCGUUGAUACAAUUACUACUGCAUACAAAUCAAAUCAAAUCAAAUAAAUUUAAACAAAUCUGCCACAUUGAUUACUAGCGGAAAUAAGCGGUCACCAAUUUAUCGUUUUGACCUCGCACGCUUAACCCACUUUCCUAUUCUGCGAGGGGCAAAUUCGGAACGCUAUAUAUAUAUAUAUCCGUUAUGGCCCCUUCUCACACAACAGUAGCGUCAUCUCUUGACUCUCUCCCACCUCCUCCUCUUUCUUCUUCGUCAUCUUCAUCUUCGCAUGUUGUCUGUCCGCUUUGCUUCCUUUUCCUCCCUCGACAGAACCACAUUCCAGCUCAAUCGGAGAGGACGGAGCCGCAUCUGCCUCUGCUGUGCAGCCGAUCAUCGAUGAUGGGCCAGAAAGAGAAGAAUGGGACUAUGAAACAACCAACCGCCGACCGUUUUCAUUACUAUAACCAUAGAAAAGCUCCACUAAUUUUUUAGUCCUAAUUAUUGACACGAGUCUCACUUUAGUCCAAUCAAUUAACUCUAACCUUCGACGUUUUUGCUCUCAAAUUGUCAUCCAUAUAUAAAUAAACUAAGAUCUAGGUUUUUUCAAUGGACGUGCGUUGAAGAUAUCAAAAUCACAAUAAUAAUAAAAAAAAAGAUCUAUAAAUUCCAUAAAAAGUUCAAUGAUGAGGUAGAUCAUGUUAAGACAAGUAUAAAUAUAUAUACGUAUAUUAGUACAAACAACUAAACAUUCACAUCCUUACAUUUUUCCAAAGGAUUUUCUUUCAAAAUUUAUGUGCAAUCAACUCAUUUUAUUUGAGAAUUGAAUUUGGCCUCUUUCUUUGAAGCUUUCACGUUGAUUAAAAUGAUGACUUUUGCGUACAUAGGAAGUAAUGAAAAAUUUGUUGCAAGUUUGUUUUUUAAUUGAUGAGCUCUUAGAAGAUUCAGCAUUGUGGGAAAUAUUGCAGCAUCAAAGUAAUGAUACAUUGAAUUAGUAAAUUCUAUGACGAAAAUGAUUAAUGUGAAGGUGACCGAAUCAUAUUCACGGGAGGCUGGGAUUAGAAUUCGACCCUCAGAACUGAUUAAAACAGUCAUUAUCAUUGAAAAUUUAAGUACCCAACACCUUUUCAAACCCCAGCUAGGAUGACAGCAUAGCAAGAAAACGUGAAAAUACUCAGUGCGCUUCACGUCCGGUCGUUUCAUUCCCCUUUGCUAGAGUCAAAGUGUAAACAUCAGUCCGAUGGCCAGGGAGAACAAAAGUGCAGCGUAUUCUGCAACAAAGAUAGUCAUAAUAAAAAAGAAAAAUGUAUUGUGAAAUAAAUUAUGUUUGUCUAAAUUAUAGGGUAUUAUGCAACAGAAAAAAUCGAAAUUGGAAAUGGUUGGCUACGCUCAUCAAACUCAUAAUUUUAUUUUGUUCGUUUCUAUAUGGAAUGUUCAGCAAACUUUUAAUCUUCGAAUCUCUCUAUAGAUGCCACAUCCUUGGUGCCGCACUUUAAAUUUGUCGGAUUGUGGUGUAAAGUCAAUAUGACACCAUGAAGUUUCGGUUUUUUCUUAUUCUAGGUGAAAAUAUCAGUUGGUUGUCUUCCAUUUUUCUAGAUUUUAGGUUGGAGCUGUUCAUAACGGUACCUCCUGUCGUUUUAGGAGUGCAUGAUAACCAAAAUUUUUGUUCCAGAAAUAAUUUUUCUAUUUCAGACCUGUUUCUGAAAUAGAAACCCGUUUGAUAAAUUUACUCAGUUUUUCUAUUUCUGGAAUAGAUUUCUAUUCCAGAAAUUGAUUUGGAAGAGAAAUUAGAAGUAAAAAUUUUCUACUUCUUAUUUCUGGAAGAGAAAUCAGAAAUAAUUUUUCCCACUAAAUCCUAAUUUCGGUGAGUCCUCCCUCAUCUCCUCUACGUCUCUGCCUCCUCCUCCUCCUCUCCUCAUUUUAUUAAAAAUAAAAAUAAAUAAAAAUAAAAAUAUUCAUUUUAUUCAUUUAAAAAUUAAAAUAAAUUUAUUAAAAAUAAAUAAAUUAUUUUUAUUUAUCAUUUUAUUUUUUUUAUUAAAAAUAAUUUAUUUAUGAUAAAUAAAAAUAAAUUUAUUAAAUUUAUUAAAAAUAAUUUAUUUAUGAUAAAUAAAAAUAAAUUAUUUUUAUUAAAAAUAAAUUUCAUAAAUUUAUUUUUAUUUGCCUUGAGUGUUUUGCCAAAUAAAUUUAUUUUUAUUUUUAUUUAUUUUGAAAUAGAAUAAAUAAAAUAAAUUUAUUUUUAAGGAUAUUUUUAUUUUAAAAUAAAAUGAUAUUUUCAUUUUAUUUUUUAUGCUUUAUUUUAUUUUAUUUUAUUCUUUAUUUUUUUGUUACUAAAUCAUUUUUAUUUUUAUUUUCUAUAUUAAAGGUCGUUGGUCGUCGUCGCCGCCGUCCGAAAAUAAGAAAUUUUGUGUCGUUAUCAAACGAAUUUAUAUUUUUAGAGUAGAAAUUUUUGUGUCAUUAUCAAAUGGUUAUUUUUGCUUAGAAACUCUUCUAGAAUUAGAAAUAGAAAAAUCUAUUUCUUUUACAGAAAUUUUUGUGUCGUUAUCAAACUAUUAGUGCAUGUUGUUGGAGAAAUCCUCUUGAAGUGUUUUGAAGUUGACAAAACGUUUCCAUCAGUCUAGUCUGAAGGCUUGCAGACUCUGCUAUUUAAAGUCUGAAGACCUCCGGACAGCCUGACUCAAGACUCAAAGUCUAUCCUCAUUAACAGUUUCUAAUCCGUUGAAGAAAGGCUAUCAAGAACUGGAUGUUUUAUUAAGGAUGUGACCUUAUCGACUGGAAAAGAUCUCUUGGCUGGAUAUGACAUGACGGAAUCCUUUAUUUGAUCAUAAUUGAUUCGAAGAUUAAGGAUUCGAUGAUUGGCAAAAUAUACUUGGAAGGUUCUACUUAUGGAAACCGAGAUCUUGAUUGUAUGGACGAACAUGAUUGAUGGGCUAUCGACAUAUUCCUUUAAUAGCUCGAAUGAUCUUCCUAUUUGAUUCCGUCCAACGGGUAGAUUGGAGGAAUUCAUUUUGUAAGUGCCAACGGGUAUGAUGGCAUGAAGGAGUAUAUAAGGAAGACGUUCCAGUUGUUCGAGAGAGUGCACGAUAGAAGAAUUCCAAAGUCUGAAGCUCCUUGUUCUUAGUCAAUUUAUUUGUUGAGCGAAAUCUUGUAAACAAAAGAGAGUCUAUAUUUGUGAGAAACCUUGAGGAAGUGUGGUAGAACAUCUACACUGUGGAAUCAAGGAAAAGCUGUGCUGUAACUUCUCUUUUGUUCAUAGUGAAAUCCAGCCGGUGGGCUGUCAGUGCGGAAAAGUGGACGUAGGCUUGGAAUAAGCCGAACCACUAUAAACCUUGUGUUCAAUUUUCUCUUCCUUACUCUUUACUUUACUUUGAUCGUAUUUUAUUAAUCAAAAGAGAACUUCCUUUUUAUCGUUUGCCUAGAAUCGCUUCCAUAUCUUGAGAAAUUAUUUGUGCACCUAUUCACCCCCCCUCUAGGUGCUUAUACUAGCUAUCUCACAUGUGACUUUGACUAGUGGGGGAGACCACUUAUUGGAAGACAACAAUUGAAUAGUCAAUGACUAGCUAUACAAGCAUUCACUGCUCACACUAAAAACAAGCAUUCACCGCUCACACUAAAAACGGCAAAAGAACGCUUCAAGUGCCAUAACUUGACACAAAGGGAUACUUAAGUGCCACGUUUAAGAAAAAUGGGACACCUGAGUGCCAUCUCCGGCGAAAUUGGCAGGAAAUCAUACGUGACAUUAAAAUACUAAUAUUUCUUGCCGAUGUGUUUUGUCGGAAGGCUGAGUCAGCUUGAAUUCACCCCAAACGACGUCGUUUUGGGUGUUGGCCAAAAUAGAACUCUUAAAUCGGCCAAAACGGCGUCGUUUUGGCAUAAUUUGAAUUUUAAUAUAAUAUAAAAAUUAUUUAGAUUAAAUUUAAAAAUAAAUUUAUUUAAAACAUUUAAAAAAUAAAUUUAAAAAAUUUAAAAACUUUAAAAAUUUAAAAAAAUUACAAAAUUACAAAACAUUUUAAAAAUUUACAAAAUUUACAAAAAAUUUAAAAAAUUUACAAAAAAUUUCAGCCCUCAGCCGCCUCCUUUUUCUAUAUUUUUUUAAAUUUUUUGUAAAUUUUUUAAAUUUUUAAAUAAAUUUAAAUUAAAUUAAAUUAAAUUAAAUUUUUAUAUUAAAUUUUUUCCCACGUCUGCACCAAAACGACGUCAUUUUGGGUGUUGGCUAGAACAGAGCCCUUAAAUCGGUCAAAACAACGUUGUUUUGGUAUAAUUUGAAUUUUAAUAUAAUAUAAAAAUUAAUUAAAUUUAAUUUAAAACAAAAUAAUAAUAUAAUUUAUAUUUAUUUAAAAAAACGGAGGAGGAGGAGGAGGAGGAGGAGGAGGAGGAAGGCAGCUAGCGGUUGAGGGUAGAGUCCUUGUCGCCGCCACCUCCCCGCCGUCGCCGGAAGGUGGGGUAGGGUCGGCCAGGGCCGCCUCCCUUUUUUUUUUGUAAUUUUUUUAUAAUUUAUAAUUUUUUAAAAUUUUUUAAUGUUUUUUAAUUUUUUUUGAAUUUUUAAUUUUUUUAAAUAAAUUUAGUUUUAAAUUAAAUUAAAUUUAUUUUUAUAUUAAAUUUUUUAUCACGUCAGCACCAAAACAAUGCCGUUUUGUACUCCCUUCGUCGGAAAAUUGACACGUCAGCAUUUUGGCCGGAUUGGCACUCAAGUGAUCAAUUUUGCUCCGAUUUUGGCACUUAAGUAUACCUUUUGUAAGUUAUGACACUUAAGUGUUCAUUUCUGCCAAGUUAUGGCACUCCAGGGGUCCGUGUUUCCACUAAAAACGACUCUAAUUUUAUUUUGUUGAUUUACAAGGUCCUUGUUAGGCCAAAACAGUUGACGAUUAGUCUGUUCUGUAUGUUGGAAUAUAUAUACGCGGAAACGACAUGAUCUUGCAAUUUACGUUAACACAAAAUCACCAGAGAAAUAAACAAGAAAUAAUAAGGAUACCAGAAAUUUACAUGGUUUGGUCUGAGCAUCAAUACUUACAUCCACGGGGAGAGUUAGCAGCAAAUAAUGCAUUAUAAUAGGAGAAUUAGAGUUUACAAUCGCUCACAUGCUCGAGUGUUUCCCACACUUAGAUUUAACCUCAAACCCAAAGUGUUUAUAAAUAAACAACUUACUUGGACAUAAACUCACUGCACAAAAAACACAGCGCAUUCAAGCUCAAAACAAAAUGCCGAAAACAAGAACUCCUUUUUUUGAUCGUGGGGGUGGCUCCUCUUUGGCUUGAUGCUGUGUGGCUUCUAUUUUUCUCAUAGGGCUUCAGCGGCUCCAGCAGAUAGAAAGAAUACGUGCGUGUUCUGUUUUAUGUGCGUGUUCUAUUUUAUAUGUGUGCCCAAAGGUCAAAAGUUUGACUUGAGCCCACCACCUUUUGGCUCUACGUGCAAAGACUCCUUUCUUUUAUUUCCAUUGGCUAAAAAAGAGACCCCAGGCGUGGAAUAUUGUGUCCCCAAAGUCAAAAUUUUGACUUUGGGCCCCACUAUGGAUAACUUGCACGGAUUCAACUCCUCUAGAUAAAAGAGGAAACCUUUGCUCCCUUUUAUUUUAUUUUUAUUUCCUCCUUUAUGCAAUUAUAAGAAGUCCAACAAAAGAAAAGCUUCUUAAUCUAAUUUGAAAUCUACUAGGGGAAUAUUUCUCAAUAAAUUUGAUUUAACAAAUUGUUAUCCGAAUUCAAACUCAAGAUAUUAAUUUAACAAUUUUCCACAUUAGCUCGAUGUUUAAAAUUAAGUUAUAGUGCUCAUGAUUCAUACUGCUCUCCCAACGCCUCGACAGGCGCUCACUCUCCACAGACGCCAAUAGAGGUCAAGCAGAGCUUCAGCUUUGCCAAAGGAACAGACUUAGUCAUUAUGUCUGCUAGGUUAUCUGUUGUAGCAAUCUUUUUGACAAUAGCAUUACUCUUAAUUAAGACAUCUCGGAUGAAGUGGUAUCUAAUGUUGAUAUGCUUCGUUUGCUCGUGAUAAACUGUAUUAUAUGCCAAAUAUAUCGCAUCUUGGUUAUCAUAGUGUAUAUCCACACUUUUUUGUUUUAACCCAAAGUCCGAGAGCAAACUUUGUAACCAUAUCGCCUCCUUUGCUACAAAGGCUAGUGCCACGUACUUUGCCUCAAUCAAAGACAAGGCAAUGUGAUCAUGUAAGGACAUUUUCCAAGUAAUUGCGCUACCUACUAGUGUAAACACGUAACCUGCUAAAGACCUGCGAUCAUCCAAGUCACCGGCAUGAUCUGAAUCCACAAAACCAGUGGUCUCACUGCCAUUAUUGUUCCUCCGAUAUACUAUACCCACGUUUGCUAUCCCCUCCAAAUAUCUGAGGAUCAAUUUCACAUCUUUCCAAUGAGCUUUACCUGGACGCUUCAUAUGACGACUAAUCAUGCUCACAGUUUAUGAAAUAUCAUGCCUAGUGCACACCAUAGUAUACAUAAUACUACCCACGACACUGGAAUAAGGAACACAUGACAUAUGCUCCUCCUCCUCCUCAGUUUGCGGUGAUAAUUUAUCUGAAAGUUUAAAACGUGCCACAAUCUUCUCAAAAUAUUUCUUCUAAGAUAGAUGUAAAACUCUUGCAGCCUUGUCACGCAAAAUCUCCACACCCAAUAUUUUCUUUGUAGCACCUAAAUCUUUCAUUUCAAAUUCAGCAUUUAACCACAUUUUCAGCACAUUAAUAUCAGACAUAUUCUUAGCUGUUAUCAGUAUAUCAUCAACAUAUAAAAAAGUAGAUAAAUUAAAGAACCAUUCUCCAAUCUCCUAUAAUAGACACAGUUAUCCAUAUGACUUUUUAAAUAGUCUUGACUAGCCAUGAAGGUAUUAAAAUAUUUAUACCACUACCUAGAAGACUAUUUUAGCCCAUACAAAGAUUUCUUUAACAAGCAAACAUGAUCUUCCUUACUUGGAAUAGCAAAUCCCUCUAACUGCCUCAUGUAAAUCCGCUCCUCCAAUUCACCGUGAAGAAAUGCAGUUUUCACAUCUAGCUACUUUAAUUUGAGAUCCUACGAAGCAACUAAGGCAAGUAAAACAUGAAUAGAAGUAUAUCUUACCAUAGGAGAGAACACCUUAAUGUAGUCAAUGCUCUCACGCUGUGUAUAUCCCUUCACCACAAGUCUUGCUCUAUACCUCGCUGCCUCGACACCGGGGAAUGUCCUCUUUCCGUUUAAAGACUCAUUUACUUCCGAUAAUCUUUUGGCUCUUGGGUACUUUGACUAGCUCCCAUGUUUGAUUUCAAUGGAGUGAUUUCAUCUCUUCACUCAUAGCCCUUAGCUACUGUGACGACUUUGAAUUAGCCAUCGCCUCAGAGUAAAACGAAAGCUCAUCCGUCUCCACCUCAUCACCUAUAGUCAAUGCAUAAGCAAUAUCUGUAUAACCAUAACGUACUGGUGAUUUAAUUUGCCUUCUUUGUUUAUCUGUGGCUAUAGUGUGCUAUGGCUUUGCUGGUUGUUCACUAUCACCAACUUCAGAAAUUGUGGCUUCAUCUGCAGUCUCAAUUUUUGUUACCUUUGAGGUCUCUGGAGUCUCUACUUGAAGUUCCACCUCACUAAUGACACCAUGAUUUGUCUUCUCUGCUGGUUGUGUCUCAAAAUUCCUCUGUUGAAGUAUUGCAGCCUCAUCAAAGAUCACGUCCCUGCUAAUUAGAAAACUGGGUGAUCUGGGAUCGGUGCACUACAGCCGGUAGCCUUUCACUCCAUGUGCAUAACCUGGAAAUAUGCACUUAUUCACCCUCUGCUCAAGCUUAUCAUCACUUGCAUGAGCAUAUGCAAGACAUCUGAAUAUACAUAAUCCGGAGUAAUCAACAGGUUUUGCCGACCAUACUUCCUCAAGAGUCUUUCACUCGAUGGUAGAUGAUGGAGAUUGAUUAACCAGGUAAUAUGCCAUGUUUACAGUUUCGGCCCAAAAUUCCUUACCAAGUCCUACAUGUGAAAGUAUACAUCGAGUUUGCUCAAGCAAAGUUUUGUUCUGCCGUUCUGCUAUACCAUUUUGCUGUGGUGUCUCAAGUAAUGUGCGGUGUCUCAUAAUACCUUAAUUCUCGCAGAACUCGGUAAAAUCUUUACCACAGAACUUCAUGCUAUUAUUGGUUCUCAAGCAUUUGAUUUGUUUAUCUGACUGCUUUUCAAUCAGUGCCUUAAAUUUCUUGAACCGAUUAAACACUUCAUAUUUGUGCUUCAGAAAGUAUACCCAUACCUUCAUCGAAUAAUCAUUGAUAAAUGUCAGCAUAUAUUGGGCACCUCCUUUCGAAGGAACCGAAGACGGGCUCCAGACGUCUGAAUGAAUGUAUUCAACUGGUCACUUGGUCAAAUGAACAGUUGUAGUAAACUUAACUUGGCGCUGCUUCCCAAAGAUGCAGUGCUCACAUAAGUCCAAUUUCCCUGUCUUUUGAUCCUUCAACAACCCCCUUUCAAUUAGCAUCAUCAUACUUGCCUCAGUUAUGUGCCCCAAAUGUAUAUGCCAUAAUUGAGUCAAGUUAGAGUCUGACUCACCUAAUAAAAUUGCAGCAGUUCCCGUCACGGUCUUUCCCAGUAGAUGAUAGAGAGUAUUCACUUUCUUCCCCUUCAUUACUGUCAUGGCAUCUCAAGAAAUCUUCAGGACUCCACCUUUAGUGGUGUACCUACACCCAAUGUCAUCGAGUGUCCCUAGAGAAAUAAGAUUCUUCUUAAGUUUCGGUACACACCUCACAUCUAUCAAUGUGCGCACCACCCCAUCGUGCAUCCGAAUCCGAAUUAUCCCUAUCCCCACAACUUUACAGACUGCGUUAUUCCCUAAAAGAGCCUUACCAUCAUCUACAGUCUGGUAAGUAGUAAACCGGUUCUUAUGAGAAGUCAUAUGAUAAGAACAUCUCGAAUCUAGUACCCAUUCGUCUCCUAACGAAGUAGUAGUCACACUUAAAACAGCUUUUGCAUCACUAUUGCUCCACUCGGCAACAUUUGCCACAUUGCUUGUGGCAUUCUGCCUAUUAGCUUUAUUUCUCUGUUUUGGAGAAUCUCUCCUGAUGUGCCUCUCCUCGUGACACUCAAAACACUUCACGCGUCUCUUGGACUUUCUAUGGCAUGAUUUCGAUCUACUUUUACCUCUGCUAUUACUAGGUCUUUGAUGUUGUUCUUUACCCCGAAUCGUCAGUGCUUGCGCUACUCCUUGCGCCAAACCAUCAUCUCGCAACUUUCUUUGCCACUACUUAGAGAAUAAGGCGGACUUUAUCUCUUCUGAGGUAAUUGUAGUACGUCCGUGCAAUGGUGAAUCAGUAAAGUGCUCCCAUGACUUUGGUAAAGAGGCUAACAAUAUCAUGCCCUGUUUUUCAUCAAUAAGUAUCUUAUCGAUGUUCUUCAGAUCCAUCAUGAGUUUAUUAAAUUUAUUUAGGUGGGUUAUGAUAGACGUACCUUCAGUAUAUCUAAAUUGAAAUAUCCGCUUCAACAUGUAUAGACGAUUGAUCAAAUCUUUCUUCACAUAGAGUGCUUGAAGUUUUGCCCAUAAUGCUACGACAUCCUUCUCCUCAGCAACCUCUAUUAAAACCUCAUUCGACAAAUUUAACAGGAUUGUGUUCUUUGCUAUUUCCAUUAAUUCUACCAUCUUAGAGGCUUUCAUUAUAAUUGGCAAUUUAUCUUCACCAUCCAGUGCCUUGACCAAACCUUGGGUUGUCAAUAACACCCGCAUCUUGAUGCUUCAUAACCUAAAGUUAUUCCUCUCAUUAAACUUCUCAAUUUCAGAUUUUCUCUCAAACAUGAUUGCAAUAAUAGAAUUUCCAGAUAAUAAUCAGACAAGCAAAAGUUCCAAAUCACAAUCAAGAAAUCUAAUCCCAAGCUCUAAUACUAAUUAUUGUAAUAUAUAUACGUGAAAACGACAGGAUCUUACAAUUUACGUCAACGCAAAAUCACUAGAGAAAUAAACGAGAAAUAAUGACACUAGAAAUUUACGUGGUUCGGUCUGAGUAUCGGUACCUACAUCCACAGGGAGAGCCAGCAGCAAAUAAUUCACUAUAAUAAGAGAAUUAGAGUUUACAAUUGCUCACACACUCGAGUGUUUUCCACACCUAGAUUUAACUCCAAACCCAAAGUGUUUAUAAAUAAACAAUUUACUUGGAUAUAAACUCACUGCACGAAAAACACCGCGCGUUCAAGCUCAAAACAAAAUGCCGAAAACAAGAACUCAUUUUCUUUGAUCGUGUGGGUGGCUCCUCUUCGGCUUGACGUUGUGCGGCCUCCUAUUUUUCUCUUAGGGCUUUAGCAAAGAAAGACGUGCGUGUUCUGUUUCAUAUGUGUGCCCAAUGGUCAAAAGUUUGACCUGGGCCCACCACCUUUUAGCUUUUUAGCUCUAUGUGGAGAGACUCAUUUCUUUUAUUUCCAUCGGCUAAAAAAGAAACCCCAGGCGUGGAAUAUUGUGUGCCCAAAGUCAAAUUUUUGACUUUGGGCCCCACCAUGGAUAACUUGCACGGAUUCAACUCCUCUAGAUAAAAAAGGAAACCUUUGCUCCCUUUUUAUUUUAUUUUUAUUUCCUCCUUUAUGCGGCUAUAAGGAGUUCAACAAAAGAAAAGCUUCAAAGCCAAGGCGCGAAGAAAAAGGAGCGCGAAGGGAGGCUCCCGUUUUCUGCACCGUUCCUGCGAAUCUGGAUUUGCUAAUUCCGCCCGGUAGGACCGACGGUUGGGGCCGAUUUUUGGGCGGCAAGAGGCGCCCUUCACUGCUCUUUAAAACCCUCUGAAGCAUCGCCUGGUACGUCUCCUUUUCGCGGAGUGUUUUCAGAUCGAUGGAUUAGGGUUUUACGGUUUCUGGUGUGCGAGUUUUGCUGCAAUGGAGAGCGAUUCGGUGCAGAACCGUGCAAAUGACAAGGGGUUGAGCUUUCGGUCUCCCCCCCCUUAGGAAUGAGCGACCCCACUCGGUUGCCCCUUCGUUGAUUGCGGGAAACCAUAAUGCUCCUCCCGCCUCUGGUGUUCCUGCGAAUUCGCGACUUCCCCCUAUGUCUGCCAGAGGCCGUUCGAAUAACAGGGGAAGAUCUAAGUCCAAGCGACCCCUUUCAAGAGGUGGCUCGCAAAAUCCUAGUACCCGCUCUUGGGCUGCGGUAGCUAGUGCUGCAAAUAAGGGUUAUGAUCUGGAUUAUUCACCUCCGCAGAUCGUGAGCAAUAAACCUGUCAUACAUAUGGAUGAAUUUGAUCUGUAGGCAGCUGAUCCUAAGCUUUAUGACUGCCUUGUUGGUUAUUUUAUCGGUAGGAAACUAUUGUUCAAGGUUGUGGAGGAGGCCCUUAGGAGAGCCUGGGGGCCGCCUUUGUUGGAAGUUCUAUCCAAUGGUAGAGGAGUGUUUCUUCUGCGUAUUGUUGAUAAGGAAUUCAGGAGGAAAAUUCUGGAGGGCGGUCCCAUUACUGUGGCAAGAAUCCCCUUUAUCUUGCAGCAAUGGCAACCGGGAGUUGAGCUGAAGAAAGACAUGCACAUGUCUGUCCCGGUAUGGGUAAGGCUGAGAAAUCUCCCGUUCACUUACUGGUCUGCUCAGUCAAUUAGCAAAGUGGCGAGUGCUGUUGGUAGGCCACUGUAUGUGGACCAGAGAACAGAACAUAUGUCCAUGCUAUCAUUUGCUCGUGUAUGUGUGGAAUUAACAGUACAACAACCAAUUUAUGAGACUAUUGAUCUGAUCACGGAUGGGAAAACUGAUGUUGUCGAAGUGGAGUUCGAAUGGAAACCGCUAGCUUGUCUCAAAUGUGGUAUAUUCGGUCAUACCUGCAAGGAUGAUGUUCCUGCUUCUACUUCUGGUGCAUCUGCUGGAGUAAUGAAUGCAGGAACCUCUAAGGCAAAUCCUGAAGCUACUUCUACGUUGUCCAAAGAAAAAGAAGUGGCCUUACCGCCCUCAUCCGCACAUGAUGGCGAUAUCCCACACAACCCCUAACCUGGGUUAGCUUCUACAGAUCCUCCUGCUGGUGCGAAUGCUAACAAAUCCUUGCUUAUUGGGGAGUCGAGCUCUCCCCAGGCGGCUCUGCCAGGACCAUCCGAGGGUGAAUUGGUGGCUAUGUCCUCAACUCCUGCUGCCGAUCCAGAAUGGAAGCAGGUGAAGGGGAAAGGCAGGAAAAAGAAAAAGCAUGCUGAGAAGGAAGCUGCCUCUUUUGGUCUAUACCCGGCAGGUGAAGGAGAUGCUCCCUCCUCUUCACUUCAUGUUGGAAGCUCGGAUGAAAUUUGCAACUCUAGUACUCAAAUGGAAUUGAAUGAUAAAGAUGUUUUGUCUGUGGGUUCCCCUUCGCCAAAAGGCCCGGCUUCGGCUGGUGCUCGAAGUAUGCAAGAACAACUCCUCUUGCUUCUUCCUGACCCACCACCCUCGGCGGUUUCAAAAGCGCCUGCCACAGGCCGCAGGGCUAAGAAGAGGUAAUUAUGCCCUCUAUCCUUUUUGAUAUGUUUUUUGGCUUUUGGAACAUCAGAGGCAUGGUCAACCCUCUUAGGCAGGCGGAGGUCAAGAGAUUUGCUGCUGUUAAUAAACUCUGCCUGAUUGGCCUUUUUGAGACUAAAGUUCCUGAUGAACAUUUUGAUUCUAUCUCGGCUUCCUUAAUUAGUGGUUGGAAUUGGAUUGCAAACUAUGAGUAUUCUUCUCGUGGUAGAAUCUGGGUUGGUUGGAACCCGAAUUUUGUUUCUUUUGUGCCUAUCUCUAUCAAUGACCAGGCUACUGCAUCUCUGCUAUUUAUGGAGAACAUACUUUUGUGCGUCGUAGACCUUCGUGGGAGAACCUCCUCCACUUGAAUGACUUGAUGCAAGAUUUGGCUUGGCUUGUUGCUGGUGAUUUCAACGCCAUUAAAGACCCAUCCGAUCGAGUUGGAGGUUCCAAUGACUGGAUCCCUUAUUUUGAUGAGUUUGCCCAAUGCUUAGCACAAACAGAACUGAUGGAUCUUAGAUAUGUUGGCCUCCGUUAUACUUGGUCUACCUCGGCAGGGGACACCAGGAAGAUGAGGAAGAUCGACCGUGUUCUGGUUAACAACAAUUGGAACCUUCAUUUCUCGUUCUCUGAGGCUUCGUUUUUGAACCCGGGUAUCUCGGACAAUACUCCUAUGAUCGUCAGAGUUCUUCAGCCGGUCCAGAGAAGGAAGCCAUUUAAGUACUUUGAAUUUUGGGUUGACCACUCGGACUUUAACUCAAUUGUCCGCCAGGCUUGGGACUCCUCCAUCACAGGCAUUCUAAUGUACAUUCUUGUUUCCAAGUUGAAAAUUGUGAAAGCUCAACUCAAGUUACUUAACCAAGACGCCUUCUCGGAUAUCUCUGUGAGGACGGCCGAAGCAAGAGAGGCCCUUCGAAGCACUCAGGUUAGCCUUCAAUCGGACCCUUACAACCUUUCUCUUACUGAGUUGGAAAAAUCUCAGCGUUGUGUUUUUAUUGAUCUGAGGAAUCAAGAAGAAUCCUUCUUCAGACAAAAGUCGAGAGUGAGAUGGCUAAAAGAAGGUGACGGGAAUACUAAGUUUUUCCACCAUUCGGUGAAGAGGAGGCAGCUUACUAAUAGGAUCCUUUCCGUCAAGGAUCAGUCGGGGGCUGUUAUCAUUGAUCCUGUUCUUGUGCCGCAAGUUUUUGUCCGUUUUUUCUCGAAUUUGCUCUCUCAUCAUGAGCCUUUAUCUAAACCUUCGCUUCAGGAUUUGAAGACGUUUGUUCGUCACCUACUUACUGAUGCUCAGGUACGGUCCCUAUGUGAGCUGAUUUCUCCCUCUGAGAUUAAGAAUACUCUAUUCUCCCUUGCCAAAGGCAAAGCCCCAAGUCCUGAUGGAUUCUCGGUAAAGUUCUACAAGACUAAUUGGAACUUAGUGGGGCCGUUGGUGGUGGAAGCAAUCCAGGAUUUCUUCUCUUCGGGACUGCUCCUGAAGGAGUUAAAUACCACUAUCCUCGCUCUAGUUCCUAAAGUCCCCAACGCAAGUGCAGUCACUGAUUUUAGGCCUAUCGCAUGUUGCAAUACCAUUUAUAAAGUCAUUACGAAAAUCCUUGCUAAUCGCAUUGCUGCUGUCUCAAAUGAUUUGAUAAGCCCUUCACAAAAUGCUUUUGUAAAGGGUAGGAGGAUUAGAGAUAAUAUUCUCAUCGCUCAAGAGUUGUUUGCUGGAUUUCACUUAGAGCCUUAUCUGCCCAAAUGUGCUGUUAAAGUUGAUUUCCAUAAGGCCUAUGACACGGUUGAUUGGGAUUUCUUGGAGCUUGCUCUCCGUGCAUUCUGUUUUCUCGAUUGGAUUAUUACGCAAAUUAUGGUUUGCGUAUGUACGCCGAAAUAUUCCAUCUCUAUCAAUGGUGAUUUGCAUGGUUUUUUCCCUGCUGGAAGAGGACUUAGGCAAGGCGAUCCUAUGUCACUUUACCUAUUUACCUUAGUUAUGGAAAUUUUCUCUGGAAUCUUGCUCUCCUGUACUGCUAGCAAUGACUUUAAAUAUUUUUGGAGAUGCAAAUUUGUGCAGCUGACUCACCUAUUUUUCGCCGAUGACGUAUUCCUUUUCUGUCAAGCUGAUUGGGAGUCGGUGACGUUGUUAAAAAGGGGUUUGGACAUUUUCUCCUCUUGGAGUGGCCUCUACCCAAAUAAAAACAAAAGUGAGAUCUUCAUCUCAGGAGGGGAUUCAUCUCUUCGUAAUAUGAUGCAAUGGGCCUUCGGUUUUCAGGAAGGGAAACUGCCGGUUCACUAUUUAGGUGUUCCGAUUAUUACUACUAGAUUGGGCAAAGCAGAUUGUGUUGCAUUGACGGAUCGUAUUACUGCCAGGGUUCAAUCUUGGGCACAACGCUUUCUGUCCUUUGCAGGGAGGUUGCAACUUAUAAGGUCAGUACUCUUUUCAAUUCAAGCAUAUUGGACUAGUGUCUUUAACCUUCCGUCCUCGGUUAUAGAUAAUAUUGAGCGCAUUUUGAGACAAUUUUUAUGGAAGGGCAUGACCCUUGGCUGGGGUGGGGCCAAAGUCUCCUGGGACGAUGUCUGUCUCCCAAAGGUUGAGGGCGGUCUAGGCAUUCGGAAACUUAAAGAUUGCAACAGAGCCUCCAUGCUUAAAUUUAUUUGGAUUCUUUUCACUGAUAAAGAAUCGUUGUGGUGUCGGUGGGUACACUCUAACUUCUUAAAGAAAAGAAACUUUUGGAUUUCUUCCCAGCCUUGUUGUUGUUUUUGGGCAUGGAAAAAAAUCCUUCAACUGAGGAAUUACUUUCGCUUAUCCUUUGUGUGGAAGAUUGGAAAUGGCCUAUCAGUGUCUCUUUGGCAUGAUCACUGGCUUUCUUGUGGCAUGCUUGAUGCCUUUAUCCCCUGUUCAUUCCGUGAAGGCUUAUGUCUUCCUGACAAUGCUGUUGUUGCGGAUCUGUUUACCUCUAUGGGUUGUUUAUUUAAAUCCUUUUUGGAAAGAUGGGGGAUCUCUCUCCCGGUCCUCUCUUCGGCUCGUGAUAGGUUUACCUGGUGUUGUGAUGCUUCUGGAUCCUUCUCUGUAACUUCAGCUUGGAAUUCCAUUAGAGUCAAGAAGGAUCGUGUUGAUUGGGCGUCUUUUGUUUGGGACAAUGCUGUGGCAUUUAGGUGGCGCCACGAAAUAUUUUUGACAUUUAAAACCCUAAAGUAUAUAAUUUAGUGAAAUUUCAAGAAUAUUACAGCCAAGAUCUGAGAGCUCCCCACCACCCCCAGAUUCUGUCGAACAUUUAUUCUUCGGGUGUCGCACCUCCGCUUCUCUGGCCUACUUUUGGGCCACCAGGUGUAACCUCCCAUGGCGGAAUAGAUGUUGGAAAGAUAUCCUCAGUUGGGCCUUAAAGUUCUUAUCCGGUAAGGACUUCUUCCAUUGCAUUGCGCGGUUCUCGUUUGGAGCUAUGUGUCACCUUAUUUGGAAAAAGAGGAAUGCGAUUAUAUUUCGGGGUGAAUCCUUAGUGGUCUCGGCUCUAAAAAACCACCUUAUUAAGGUAAUGAUGGAUAAAGCUAUAACAUUUAAAGAUGUUCCUCCUACCCCGAGGAAUACGAGGCUUCAGCGUGGCUGGGGGUUUGACCCUGCGGUGUUUCUCUCGGCUGUCUAGUGCUCCUUUAUUGUUGCUUUGCGCAAGUUGCUCCUAUCUUUCUUGGCUCUCCGUUCUUAGCCGCUUCCUUGGGGGGCUGAGGGUUGGAAUGCCUUGUUGUUAUCUCUUUCCCGCUUGUUUGUUUUGUUGCUGUGCCUUGUGGCUUUCUUGUUUGCCUAUGUGGCUUCUUACAUUGGCUCCCCUACACUUUGUCUCCUUUGGAGGAUUGAGUGUAGGUUUUUGGUGCUGAUCUUUUGUAUUUUGCCUUAGCUUUAUUUAUAUAUUUAUUACCUUUACCAAAAAAAAAAAAAAACAAAAGAAAAGCUUCUUCAUCUAAUUUGAAAUCUAUUAGGAAAAUCUUUCUCAACAAAUUCGAUUUAACAAAUUGUUAUUUGAAUUCAAACUCGAGACAAUAAUUUAACACUGCAGCAUCAAGUAAAAUGUUUCAUUUUAACAAGAAUUAGGAUGUUUUGCAUAUAGCUACCUUUUGAACUUCAAGGUAUGGUGUCCUGCGAUUGUAAAAUGAUGACCCAAAUCAAUAGAACAACUAUUGCAUGUUGUAUGUGAACAAAAAGUGAAAAUCCACUUGCUUAAGCAGCUGAAUUGAUAUAGUAGUCAUGUCCAAGAUCUCUGUGCUUCUUUCUUGCCUUCAACUUCCUGGAAAAAAAUAAAAUAAAAGAAAUUCGGAAACAUUGACCCCUUAUCUGUUAUUUUCUAGAUAAGAAAAACUAAGCUGUCAUUGACAUUUUUCCUGUCCUGAAUCUUGAGUUGUAGUUCUACAUGCAAAACUUCGCAACGAAGGUUGUCAACUUGAUGAAAUCAGAGGGUCUAUAUGCUUCCCAAGGAGGCCCCAUUAUACUGUCCCAGGUAGAAAAAAACCCGAAAGGCGGUUUUGCUUAUAUUAUUGAAAAACUUGCAAGAAUCCAAUACAUUAGACUCAAAGCACCUUGUUUUGCAGUUAGAAAAUGAGUAUCAGAACAUCGAAGCGGCUUUUGGGGACCAAGGACCCUGUAUGUCCGUCCAAUGGACAGCAAAUAUGGCCGUUGCACUUGAGACAGGAGUGCCCUGGGUGAUGUGUAAGCAGAAUGAUGCCCCGGAUCCAGUGGUAAGUGAACCUUAUUAGGUUUAAACCGAGAAUUGUGCACUUUCAGUGAACGACCAUCAAUCAUCAACCAUCGCUUGACCGGCAGAUAAAUGCUUUCAAUGGCGUAAGAUGCGGAGAAACUUUUCCAGGGCCAAACUCACCAAACAAGCCAGCAAUCUGGACAGAGGACUGGACGUCCUUGUACGUCUUCCCCUCGGCAAUCUACAUUAUUUUCAGAAGAUUAUUGAGGAGAUUUAGCAAAGAGAAACAACAGAAUGACAAAAAGUCCCAGAAAUAUUAAUGAAGAGAAAAGUUGAUUUUAUAGUCUCGACCAGCUUUUAUAUAUAUUUGUGAAGCUAUCAAGUCUACGGUGACAAACCAUACUUAAGGUCAGCUGAAGACAUUGCAUUCCAUGCCACCCUCUUCAUUGCAAAACUGAAUGGAAGUUAUAUCAAUUACUAUAUGGUACACCUAUUAUACUAAUGUACUCUUAUCAUCUGAUUUGUUUUGACACUGCAUGUCUCUGUGUGUGUCUGUGUGCAUGUGUGUGCAGUCAAGUUCCUAAAGCAUGUAUGUAUGGCGCUGUGCUAAACUAAAGAUGACAUGUGUACUGCUUUUCUGAUGCAGUACCAUGGUGGAACGAAUUUUGGCAGAACAGCCGCUGCAUAUUUCAUAACAGGUUAUUAUGAUCAAACUCCGCUCGACAUAUACGGUGAGCAGCAGAUGAUCUGAUUUGAUGUAGUUCAUGGAUAGGCAAACCAUUUUAAAGAAUUUACUGAUCCAGGUCUCCUCAGGCAGCCAAAAUGGGGUCAUCUUAAAGAGUUGCAUGGGGAAAUCAAGAAAUCCUCUAGUACUUUGCUGGAGGGAGUCAAAUCUAAUUUUUCUUUAUGCCAGUACCAAGAGGUGAUCACCAUUCUUCAUCAACAUUCAAUUUAUUAAGAGCAACUAGAUGCACAAUUAUGGUUAUGGACUUAUGGUCUGUUUUUCUCUUGAUGUAGGCUUAUGUUUUCCAGGAAGAAACGGGAGGAUGUGUUGCUUUCCUUGUAAACAAUGAUGCAAAAAGUAGUGCUACUGUACAGUUUGGCAACAAAUCAUUUGAAUUGCUGCCGAAGUCCAUCAGUAUUCUUCAAGAUUGUGAAAACGUGAUUUUCAACACAGCAAAGGUAAGUCAGACAAAAAUUUAGAUCGUCGUAAUGUAUACUCAAAAGUCACAACCACUCACAUUGGUAUUUAGGGUAAGACAUGCAAAGUCAAAUUAAGCUUCGAACAUUUGUUAUCACUAAGGAUGCAGUAUUUAUAUGCCAUCUUUACAGAAAUCAAGCUACUACGGAAUCUACGGAGUGUGCUAAUAUAUCACAUCAACCUUUCAUUCUUUAUUUCUUUGUGAUUGAACUCUCUGAUAUUCCUUUGUUUCCUUUGUCUAGAAUUCUUAAGAUGGAAGGGCAAUUGCUAUUGUAAAUUAUUGUUCCAUUGAUUGUCAUAGGUAUACUGUUAAAGCAUGAGAAGAACAAGAAGGUUAAUCCUUGAAAAUACACCAGUUUUGACCAACAGAAAAGUCACUGUAGAACAAACAUGAUCCCCAGUAUAUUGAUUUGCUUAACAAACAUGAUCCACAGUAAAUCGUUCCAUGUUUGAUGUAUAAGUAGCAGCAGUGAGCAUGUAAUGCCAUCCUUCAGGAAGACAGUCAUUUUUCUCUCACCUUUUAUUCACAGGUAACAAGUGAGAGCAGUACAAGAGUCACAACAUCCAGCUAGACAUUUGAAGGUGCAAAUAAGUGGGAAGAAUUUCUUGAUGUGAUUCCCAGCGGUAAAAGAAUGCUUCAAGUGCCAUAACUUAGCACAAAGGGACACUUAAGUGCCAUAACUUAUGAAAGUGACACUUAAGUGUCAUAUUUGAAGAGAAAUUGAUCACUUAAGUACCACUCUGGCCAAAAUGUUGACGUACGCAAUUUCCGGUGAAGUAAAUGCAAAAUGACGCCAUUUUGCACGCUGACAUUGCCAAAUAAUGCAAAAACGACGUCGUUUUAGUGUUGACGUGAUAAUAAAUUAAUAUAAAAAUUAAUUUAAUUUAAAUUAAAUCUAAAUUUAUUUAAAAUAUUUAAAAAUACAAAUACAAAUAUUAAAAAAAUUAAAAAAAAUUAAAAAAAUUAAAAAAAGGGGGAGGCUACUGCCACCGCCUCCCCACCACCACCAGGAAGAGUCGGCGACGGAGGCGGGGAGGGUCGGCCAGGGUCGCCGGGCCCUAGCCAAGGGUUGGCGACCUCGGCCGAUCGGCGGUGAGGGCCUGCGAGCCCUCGCCGGAUCUGGGCCGUGACCGGCAACCUUGGCUGACCCUCCCCCCUUCGUCGCCGGUCAUUCUCGGUGGCGGCGGUGGGGAGGUGGCGAUAGCGGCUAAAGGCUGACCCCUCAGCUGCCUCGCCCCCUUCCUUUUUUCUUUUUUUUUUUAAAUUUUUUAAUAUAAUUUUUUUAUUUUUAAAUGUUUUAAAUAAAUUUAAUUUAAUUAAUUUUUAUAUUAUUUUUUAUCACGUUAGCACCAAAACGAUGUCGUUUUGCACUUGCUUUACCGGAAAAUCGUCACGUAAGCAUUUUGGUCGGAUUUUGAUCGGAAUGGUACUUAAGUGAUCCAUUUUGCUUCGAUUUUGGCACUUAAAUAUCACUUUCGUAAGUUAUGACACUUAAGUGUCCCUUUGUGCCAAGUUAUGACACUCCGGGGGUCCGCGUGUCGAUUCCCAGCUACUUAGAUACAUCAUUAGGAGCAGAUACAUAGCUAGAACACAUGGAUACAACAAAAGAUGAAUCCGACUACCUUUGGUAUGCAUUCAGGUAGAAUCAUCUCGCUCAAAAAGUGAUUGCAACAUAUAUCUUGUAGAUAAUAUGCUUUAGCUCAUCCAUUUUUGAUACUUCUUAAAAUGUCAGUUUUCAACUAGGCUCAACUUGUAUUGAACCAGUGCUUUGCCUCGAGUCUCUUGGACAUGUUACACAUGCUUUUGUCAACAAUGAGUACAUGAGUAAGUUCCAAGAACCUCUUAAUGAGUUGCUAGUGUGACAGCUUGAAUUUUCAGAUUUCGUUUUCGAUUAAAUAAAUCGAGCCUUUUAUCGACGUGCCUAUAGCGUUAUUCUCUGAGCUGAUCACUCAUGACAUAAUUAGACUAUUUGGGGAAGCCAUUAAGGAAUUUUAACUCAAUGGACUUGAGAAUUCGACCAGGAAUUGACUGCUCGACCGUGCUAGUCUGCAAGGGUCAUUACGGCAUAGUCGAAAAUCUGUCAGAAACCGAAGAUAGGUCGAUUCGAUUGAGAUAGGUGAUUAGAGUGUGGGUGAUUCUACCAGAUUGUAAAAUUCUCGUCGAUCGGCAGUAAACUGAUUUUUCUGUCGUUUUGGUACCCUGUGCCCGUAAUUGAAAUCUUGAGAUUUUCACGACAACCGAGAGCCGCCAAUGGGUCGAAGAUGUACGUUGUGACUCGAGAUAAAUCGAUCACGGAUCAAUUGUACAAAAAAUUCCUGAAAUCUACUUGGUAGGUUAGGUCACGUUAAAAUAGAGUCAGAUUGAAAUUAACCGCGAAUUUGAACCCGAUUUCAGAAAUUGAAAAUUCUGUCAUGUCACAAUUUAUUUUAGAAACGUCGACUCAUCAUUCGAAGAAUUUUUGGAGAAUUCGAGAUUUUUAUAGAAAAUCGAUAUGGACGAUUCGGAAAACGAAAGGAAAUUCGGAUUGGCCGAAUUGAGGGGAGUUUUGACUUUCAAGCCGACCUAUUUGAUGUUAGGGACUUGCAGAAAUGGUAUGGGCAUUUUCUUUGAUGAAAUUGGGCAUCCAAUUUAGGAAUUUGAUAAAGAAAUUAAAGCCUAAGAUUUGUGAAAUUCGUAUGCUAUUAUGGGGGCUGCAUUUUUGGCUUUAAUUUGGAUUAUUGGUGGAUUUAUUGUGCAAGAAAUAAUUGGGGGACAUUAGAGAUAUGUGUGUGGGCUUUAAGGGAACCAAACAUUCAAUUAGUUGGCGAAGGUUAUUGACUUUCUCUCUCUCCCCCAAAGCUUCCAUUGCACGCUCCCUCCUCCGUCUCCUUCAACGCUUGAGACCAAUCUCUCCCUUUCGGUUCUGUUUUCUUUCAUUCAUUUCUUCGAAGAAAUCUAGCUGCUGCUCCAACGCGCUCCAUUUCUUCCUUGGUCGGCCACGAACGCACGCCUCAUCUCUCUCUCCACGAUUUCCCCUCUGCCGUGAGUCUUCCCCACGACCGAAGCCCAAGCUGCCGCGCGUCCUUCACCUCGCCAGCACACUCCUUUGGUCAACACCCCCCACCGAAGUCCCUCCUUGUUGACCCAUCUUCAGGCCUGCGAAUUCAACUGAAGGAUCCAGCAAGCCCACGUUGUUUCUCUCUCUCCGCCGCUGCCAGCGAUCGCGUCUCAAUCUCCGCGAACUCAGCCCAACGUUCGGUCCAGCUCGUGUCUUCAGCUCACCCAAAAACCAGCAAGCUUCGUGGCCGUUUUUGGCCCAGCCUGGCCUCUGUUUGGUGUCACCGUUUCGAAGUUUAUCGGCUGCCAUCGCGCCGCCGUCACUGUGGACUCACCGGCUUGCAAUCCGGUGAGUUUACCAACUAAACUCUGUUUAGGGAGUUAAUUAUGCUUAGAGGGUGUUUAUAUUAUGUCAAGUAUGUUUAGGUGGUUAGAUUAGUUUAAUUAAAUGUUGAUUAGAUUAUGUGCAUGAUUAGAUUAGUGGAUGGAUUAAUUAGUCUAAUGAUGUAAUUAGAUUAGUGUAAUCCUAAUUAUGUAAUUAGACUAGUGUAAUCCUAAUUAGACUUUUAAUUAAUUAAUUAUUUAAAUUAAAUAUUAUUUAAUUAUAUUAUUUUAUAUUUAAAUUAAAUUAAUUUUCGGACUUUAUUUAAUUAUUAAUUAAUUAAUAUUUUAUGGAAAUUAUAUUGGGAGAGCCGCUCGGUAGAAUUUCGAGCUGAUCGCAGUGAUGUGUUUAGUUUCUGUAAUUGAAUGAUGUAUUGUUGAAUUGAGUGAUGAUUGUGAUAUAUAGGUAUUUUAAUUAGAAAUACCGGAUGUCGGGUGUUGACAUCGAAAGUGAUCUUUAAGUACCAAAUUAGCUUAGGUGAGCAUUGAUCAGCUUAGGUGAGCAAUAUAGAUCUAUAACAGCUUCAUGGGGAUACUAGGUAAGCUCUUAUAUAAGCAAGUAUACAACAGCAGAGGAAAGGGGACAGUAAUGUAUCUUUCUUACAAUGUAAAAGGUAACAACUGAUAGCUAAUAAUGUUAUUAUCGCUUAUGUAAGGUGGGACUACUUGGUCAGGAGUUAGAAAUAUACAAUGAACAAAACCUGGGCAAUGUUGAGUGGAGCAAUGUAACAACAGUGAACCAGCCACUUACUUGGUACAAGGUACAUUACGUGAUCCCUUCUUACAUGAAGGUCAAAGUAAUGCCAAUAAAUGGGAUGAUAUCUUGCAGGUCUAUUGAUGCCUGUGUCAAGCAAGAGGUAGUAAUAUAUUUGAAUCAUCAAUAAGAGAGGUCAAGUAAUGUUAUCACAAAAUAAUGGGGCAGGGAUUAACUUGCUCUGUCAUUUUCUCCUGCAACUUGAUUAAUUUUCCUUCACUAAAAAAGAAAAUGACGUACCAUCAUUGAUGGUGGAGAAAACUAACUCAAACUUUGGUUAUUAAUCCUGUAAGUUUUUGUAAUAAAAAUCUGCGGUUGGCAUGAAAACUGAGGUCUAAUCAAUAAACAAGUGACGAAACAAUGCUUAGAACAUACGAUGUUGUUUGUUCAUCAUUAUAAGCUAAAAUCAUUCUGCUUUGGAGACUUAUUUUGAUGCACCAGAGGGCAGUGAACCGCUUACAUUUAAUCUUACAACCAUGUCUUAAGGAGAAGCUUGGGUGAAUGGACCAAGUUGGUCGAUACUGGAGGUACGGACCCCUGGAGUGCCAAAAUUUGGUAUGGAGGCACACUUAAGUAUCAAAACUUUGAAAAUGUACACUUAAGUGCUAAAAUCGGAGUAAAAUGGAUCACUUAAGUACCACUCCGGCCAAAUUGCUGACGUGGCAAAUUUUUGGCGAGGUGAGUGCAAAACGGCGUCGUUUUGCACGCUGACGUGCUGAGAAAAUGUAAAAAUGAUGUUGUUUUGUCUCUAAUGUGUAAAUAAUUAAUAUAAAAAUUAAUUAAAUUAAAAUUAAAAUUAAAAUUAUUUAAAAUAUUCUAAAAAAUAAAAAACUUUAAAAAAGGGGGGGGUCGAAGGGAGGCAGUUGAGGGCUGAGCCCUCACCGCCGAGAAGGGCUGGCGACGGAGGGGGGAGGGUCAGCUAGGGUCGCCGGCCCUUGGCCGAGCGGUGGUGAGGGCUGCGAGCCCUCACCCCAGAUUUGAGCGAGGGCUCGUGGGCUCUCAUCGCCUCUCUACCGUUGCUAGGAAGGGUCGGCAAUGAUGGGGGGAGUAUUGGCUGGGGUCGCUGGGCCUUGGCUAGGGGCCGGCGACACCGGUCAAUCGGCGACGAGGGCCCGCGAGUCCUCGCCCAGAUAUAGGUCAAGGGUUGCGGCCCUUGCCAAGAAGGGGUGAGGGUUGCGGCCCUUGUGCAGAUCUAGCAAGGGCUCGCGAGCCCUUGCCGUCGGUCCGCCAUAGGUCGACAAGGGCUCACGGGCCCUCGUUGCCAGUUGGCCGGCGUUGCCGGCCCUUGGCCGAGGCCCGGUGACCCCGACUGAUGCUCCCCCCACUGUCGCCGGCUCUUCCCGGCGACGGCGGGGAGGCGGCGAGGGCCCGCGAACCCUUGCCCAGAUCCGGUGAGGGCUCACGACCCUCGCUGUCGAUUGGCUAAGGGCCGGCGACCUUGGCUGACCGUCCCCCCUCUGUCGCCGGCCCUUUCUAGUGGUAGUGGGGAGGCGGCAGCGGCGAGGGCUCAGCCCUUAGCCGCCUCCCUUCGGCUCCCCCCCUCGGUUUUUUUUUUAAUUUAAAUUUUUUUAUUGUUUUGAAUGUUUUAAAUAAAUUUAGUUUUAAAUUUAAUUUAAUUAGUUUUUAUAUUAAUUAUUUACACAUCAGUAACAAAAUAACGUCGUUUUUGCAUUUUCUCGCCACGUUAGCGUGCAAAACGAUGCCGUUUUGCACUCACCUCGUCGGAAAAUUACCACGUCAGCAAUUUGGCCGGAUUUAGGCCGGAGUGGCACUUAAGUGAUCAAUUUUACUCCCAUUUUGGCACUUAAGUGUACAUUUCCAAAGUUUUGGCACUUAAGUGUCCCUCCGUGUCAAGUUUUGGCACUUGGGUGUACUUCUGUCGUCGAUACUGGGUUUCAUUUCUUACAACUAAUGGAAAUCCAUUGCAAACUUUGUACAUUAGAGUAAUCCACUUAAUCAUGAAGUUACAUUACUUUCAAUUUCUGCAUUAUUCUCUUAUUGCCAGGAGAGGAUAGAAGGAGAUUAACUGAAAGGAUUUACCCACUGAAAGCAUAGAAGAAUAGUGAAACAGUAGGUUCAACAUUAGACACCUUGGAAACAAGAGACAUACCUUCAAAUUUGUCCAUGCUUGAGGCCCCUUGUUUACUAAUACACCACUCUCAGUCUAUUGCAUAGUCUGGACAUGUUUCUCGCCUUUAUCUUUAUACGUGCAUUGGGAGCACAAAGACAUAUUCAUGUUACACCAAUCCUGCCAUUUACUUUAUCUAUAAGAUCAAAAUCAAAUGUGAAGCGGGAAAAAAAGUUAGAGAGGGCAUUUGGUAUAGCUUCUCGCCAACAGCUAAAUCAGCGAAAAGAGAUGUUGCAGCUUUUCUGAACUUCACAAUUGCAGCAUCCUCACAACUGCAAAUGCUUACAAUUGCUUUUAGGAAGCCAAUUCAAAGUUUUUAGUAGCAAAAACACAAGUUAGAGCACUUCAUAUCACAACUAAAGCACAACGCAACACAACUAUCGUUCAGCCAAUAUUAGAUGGAAUGAACCCUAAAAGUCAAAGCUAGUCUAUUAACUACAUGGAUGAGUACAGAAGCAACAGGAAUUCCUGAAACAUUUAAUUGCCAAAACAAUACGAUAGUAUACAUGCAUAGAGAGGAUUAACAUCCCUUAUCCAAAGCCUGAUAAAAUCUAUACGCAACUUUCACAUCAUCUUUUUCAAGCGGAACACAAACACAAGAUAAUUUAGAGUCCAUCAGAGAUAAGUCAACGCAAAAGUUUUUGAUGAGCAAGUAGCUAGGCAUCACAAAGUUGCAUACUUCUCUCUUGUUUAUAUAGAUUUGAAUUAUAUGUCACUCUCAAGCAUUGAUUUCGUUUUAUUUUUUUUCCUCUUCUUUUAAGUAUCAUGUGCCUCGAUCCUUUCUACAAGUCUCUAGUAACCUACUAGUUCUGCUAGAAGAAGUUGGUGGCGACCCCCUUCAUGUAUCCUUAUGCACCUUAUCUGUCUCUACCUUAAACGACACCUCUUCACACUUCCGUCUUCCUUCAUGAGAUGAGAUCGAAUACAGAUGUGGGUAAAUAAUUCUUAGUAUAUUGAAAAGCUUUUCAUUAUUAUGAAAGGGUUCUUUCUGGAAAGAAAUGCAUCAGCAGCAAACUCAAUAUGAAGAGAUACAUCACAUAGGUUAUGAGGAGGAACAUUCAACUGUUGAAUUUGUUAGACAAUCAAAGAUAGUAACAGAAAGUAUGAGAGGUAAUUUGAGCACUACAGCAUUUAUAGAGACCUCAUUGUAUCGACCUUGAUUGUGCUUAUUCUUCCCAUUGAUGAUAAUUUCAUCGACUGAUUAGAAGUUGAUUUGCAUGAGCACCUGCGAGGUGCUUUCUGGACCAAUUUUGUGCAGCAUAAUGAUUUUUACAAUUUCAGUCAUUUUUGUGCAUCAUGAGCAACCUUUCGUGUGGAGAAUGGCCAAGUUUGGACAAAUAGGUGAUUAACUCGUUUUAAAGUUGGAACUCUGUAUGGCAUAAUUCAGCUUCCCUGCAUAAUUAUACCAUUCAACAAACAUUUAAAAACAUCUCAAGAUACUGGAAACAAAUUAGACAUAGUUCAGCAUAAAAGAUAACCUUCACUGAGUUUACUUACCUGAAUGCAUCUUCUCCAUGGGUAUCCACCAGUCCAUGAUGGUUUAUUCCUGGCCUAAAAAAAGGUUUUGAAAUGUGAACUUGAACUCACCAUGCCAUUGCCAGCAGACCCCAAACGUCAGUCUAGAUAGCACAACCAAACUAGGACUUGUGACAUGGACUUGAAAAGGCUGUCCAAUGAAUGCCAAUUCAAUUUUUCAGGAUGACCGUCCAGUCCAAAAGGAUAUAACUUUUCUCUAAUUCUUGGGAGUGUUUUGAAAACCCUUGUGUUAAAUUAUGUCUCGAGUUUGAGCGUUUGCAAAACGUGAUUCGCUUGGAUAAAUUUUUUAUUAUUUGAUCGUGAAGAUAAUAUUCAAGAUUAGGCACAAGAAAAGAAGGUCUUGGAUGUUUUCGGUUAACACAAGGAAGUUUAUGGGAUUGCAUCAAGGAUUACAAAAGAGGAAAUAAAGAUAGAAUAAAAAAAAGCUUGUAAAAGCCGAAAGUUGUUAUGCUCGUGGGGCCCAACACACACAAAAUAAAAAAGGCUAGGAAAGAAAGAAAGUGGUUUUUUUCUCUGCAGCGUCUCACUUCCACGUUGAAGUAAAUUAAAGGUGAUGGGCCCAGGUCAAAAGUUGACUUGUUGGGCACACAUAUUAAACCCUAACGUGGGUUCUUUAUUGGGUGCGCCGCGGGAAGCCCGUACACAGAGAAAAGAAGAACAACGGAGUACAAAGAAGAACAAGGAGACGUUCUAUUUGGAGUACAUAGAAUGUUUUGCUUGAACUUGAACGUAAGGUGAUUUUUUUUUUGUGCCGUGAGUUUAUGUCCAAGUGAGUUGUUUAUUUAUAAACACUUUGGAUUUGGGGUUAAAUCUAAAUGUAAGAAGCACUCGAGUAUGUGAGCGAUUAUAAAAUUUAAUUCUCCGAUUAUAGUGGAUUAUUUGCUACUAGCUCUCCCUGUGAAUGUAGGUACCGAUACUUAGACCGAACCACAAAUUUUUUUAUUAUUUCUCAUUUAUUUUUUUUGGCGAUUUCAUGUUGAUGUAAAUUGCAAGAUCUUGUUGUUUCUGCGUAUUAUAUUCUAAUAAUUAGUAUCAGAGCUUGGGAUCGGAUUUCUUGAUUGUGAUUUAGAGCUUUUGCUUGUCUGAUUAUUAUCUGAAAAUUCUGUUAUUGCAAUUAUGUCUAAGAGAAAAUCUGAAAUUGAGAAGUUUAACGGGAGCAACAACUUUGUGUUAUGGAGCAUUAAGAUGUGGGCAUUAUUGACAACCCAAGGUUUGGCCAGGGUAUUGGAUGGUGAAGAUGAGUUGCCAAUUAUAAUGAAAGCAUUUGAGAGGGUAGAGCUAAUGAAAAGAGCAAAGAUCACAAUCCUGUUAAAAUUUUCGGAUGAGAGUUUAAUAGAGGUUGCUAAGGAGAAGGAUGCCACAGUAUUAUGGGCAAAACUUCAAGCAUUCUAUGUGAAGAAAGGUUUGAACGAUCGCUUGUACAUGUUGAAGAAGAUGUUUCAAUUUAGAUAUACUGAAGGUAUGUCUAUCAAAACCCACUUAGAUGAAUUUAAUAAAUCAUGAUUGAUCUGAAGAACGUUGGUAAGAUACUUGAUGAUGAAGAACAGGGCAUGAUGUUGUUAGCCUCUUUACCAGAGUCAUAGGAGCACUUUACUGAUUCACUGUUAUAGGGGCAUAUUACAAUUACCUCAGAAGAGGUAAAGUCCGUCUUAUUCUCUAAAGAGUGGUAGAGAAAGUUGCGAAAUGACAGUCUGGCGCAAGGAGUAGCGCAAGCACUGACAAUUCGGGGGUAGAGAACAACAUCGAGGGCCUAGUAGCAGCAGAAGUAAAAGUAGAUUUAAAUCAUGCCAUAGAAAGUCCAAGGGACGCGUGAAGUACUUUGAGUGUCACGAGGAAGGGCACAUCGGGAGAGAUUAUCCAAAGCGGAGGAAUAAAGUUGAUAGGCAGAAUGCUACAAGCAGUGUAGCAAACGUUGCUGAAGGGAGCAACGGUGAUGUAGAAACUUUUUUAUGUGUGAUUACUAUUUCAUCAUAAGACGAAUGGAUGCUAGAUUUGGGGUGUUCUUAUCAUAUGACGUCUCAUAAAAACUGGUUUACUACUACCAUACUGGAGAUGGUGGUAGGAUUCUUUUGGAGAAUAACGCAGUUUGUAAGGCUGUGGGGAUAGGGACAAUUUGGAUUUGGAUGCACAAUGGGGUGGUGUGCACAUUGAUAGAUGUGAGGCAUGUACCAGAGCUCAAGAAGAACCUUAUUUCUCUGGAGACACUCGAUGACAUCGGGUGUAGGUACACUAUUGAAGGUAGAGUACUGAAGAUCUCUCGAGGUGCCAUGAUAGUGAUGAAGGAGAAGAAAGUGAAUACUCUUAAUCAUCUACUGGCAGAGACCGUGACUAGGACUGUUGCAGUUUUAUUAGGUUAGUCAGAUUUUGACAUGACUUAAUUAUGGCAUAUGCGUUUGGGGCACAUGAACAAGGUAGGUAUGACGAUGCUGAGUGAAAGGGGGUUGUUGAAGGGUCAAAAGACAGGGAAGCUGGACUUAUGUGAGUACUGCAUCUUUAGGAAGCAACACCGAGUUAAGUUUACUAUAGUUGUUCAUUCCACAAAACGACCAAUUGAAUAUAUUCAUUCAAACGUUUGGGGCUCGUCUUCAGUUCCUUCAAAAGGAGGUGUCACGCCUCGAUCCUUCGAGCGCGUGCCCAUCCCUCAAUGGUUGAUUAAAUUGUGACGUUCCAAGACGUGUCGCCGACCCAUUCAUUUUAAUGCGCAUGCGGAAGCGGAUAAUUAAAUCCCUAAACAACACGAAAAUGGGAUAGAAAAGUAGGGCCACAAUUUUCGAAAACCACAUCACACCUUUAUAUAUAUUAGACUAAGUCAUAUACAAUACUAGCCGAUAUAUACAAGUCUAAAAAAAAGGGUAGAGGGGCUACAUAUCCUUUAAGCAUUCGAUCCCUCAAUAGAAGAUUCCGGGGUCUUUGGAUUCGAGAGACUCGGGUCUACCACUGCACCACCGGGAGGGUCUGCUGUACCUUUUCCAAAAGCAACCUCCAGCAUCGACAUAGGGACCUCAGAUUCCUGUAGGGGACCUUCUCAGGGUCCAUUUUGCUCGCGACGAUACCAUGAUCUGUAUUGAUGGGGUAUCAUCCGAGAUAGACCUACAUCAACUCAGACAAUGGAUCUCACGAGUUCAUAGACCCAUCCUCUUGGGUCCCCAUGAAGCGGAAUGUAAGAUACCUGCUCAGUGACCUUCUUCAGCUAACCAAAAUGCUAAGGAGAAACCUCAAUCUAAGGACCUGAAAAUGUUGGCCCACGACAGGGUGAGACAAUGUCUCAGCAAGUCCACCCCCUAAACUCCGACUAGGAAAGAAAUACGCCUAAAAGCCACCUAGCCACACAUAAGACAGAGAACUUACCUUUGCCUCAAUUCAUUCCUACAGGUUAGUACAAUUCAUAUACUCAACCAAUCACUUCAAUUCAGAUCAAAACAUUGAUAAAUCGAUUCAUUCGAUUCCAUACCAUCAAUACCAUCCAUAAAAUUUGAUCGAUUCAAGCAUUGCUCACCCUAAGCUGAUAAUAGAUGGUAUAGCUCACCAAAGCUGAUAAUAGAUAUAUAAUAAUGCUCACCAAAGCUACUAUAUAUCUAUAUUGCUCAUCGAAGCUGUGUGAUACUUAUAAUUGCUCAUCGAAGCUGCUAAAGUAUACUACUCACCGAAGUUGAUAUAUCAAGGCCCGCAUGUUGAUACAGUAUACUAUUCUCAUCUACUGACAAUUUACCUUUUUUAUCAUACCUGAUAAUAAUAAUUGUGUGUGGGUACACGGUCGAUCUUAACCGAAAUACAAUAUUUUCCCUUUUAGAAAAUCUCACUAAUUAUAAUAGUCCAUAAACACAUUUAUGGUGUUGUAAACCGACACCCAGUAUUUUCUAAUUAAAUACUGAAAUAACUCAAUUUUGGGAUAAAUACCCAACAUUAUAAAUCUCACUCAAUUUGCACAAAAUAACAUUCAAUCACAUAAACCAAUCAUACCAUUGCAAUCAACACAAAAUUUUGGUCACCGAUUAUCUCGGUAUAAUUUCCGGAAAAUAAUAAAUAACUAAAUAAAUACUAAAAUUAAUUAAAUAAAUACAAUUAAAUACCAUAAAUGUAAACUUAGGUUGGAAAAGCCUAAUUAAACACCAAAAUGGGCUCGGAAAAUUUCUGAAUCUAUCUAGAUAAAUAAUACAAUAUAUCUAGUUGCUAAUUAAGCCGAUCUAACUACCUAACAUGCAAUAACGAGUAAUUAAAUCGCUAAUCUGUUCUAACUAACCACCUAAACCAUAAUUAGUUUAAAUUAAUCAACCCUUAAGCAUCAUGAACUCCCCACGCAAAGUUUAGUGAGUAAAUUCACCGGUUUUGAAAUCCAAAGAGUCCACGGCGAAGGCGACGUGGAGAUGGGCAAUAAACUCCGAAGCGGUGGCACCUAAUGAGGCCCGCAAGCGGUCCAAAGUGGGCCAAAUAGUACAUGGCUGGGUUGAGGGGGUUCGGUUUUGUUCCUUGGCCAAGAGGGCCAAACGAAGGUCGGUUAGGGCAAAAACGGUGAGAGGUGAGCAGACGGGUUGCAGCGGGUGACGAUGGCGCUCGACAGUGACUCCGCUGACCACGGCGGUGAAGUACGGUGGCCUGGUGAGUUCCUGGAUGGCUAGACGGUGCUAGACGAUAGUGCUGGGAGGCAAGAUGGGCGGAGUGACACGCGAGGACGGGCAGAUGCGAGCAGUGGCAUACGGUGGCUUCAACGAUCUCGACGGGCUGCUCGACGGCAAGGGGGAGGAGGUUGUGGCUUUCUUUGGUUCUUUGGAGCUUCAAAUGGCUUGUAAAUGGAGAAAGCAAGGCUGUUGGAGAAGAAGAAGACAGCUGCACUUAGGGAGGGUCCCUCUUGGCUUCUUCCUAUCCCUUUGUUCCCUUGACCAAGCCCUACCUCAAUUGGCGGACCUCUUCAGCCAAUUUUGUGCACAUAAUUCCCCCUAAAACAAGUUUCAAGUGGUCUAAAAGGUGGUGUACCACUUAAUUUCCCCCAAUGAACCAAUUUCUCUCCAAUUGGACUUAAACCGGUCCCUAUAAAUUCCACCAAGGUGUCCACAAUCAAAUUAACAUUUUUCCUCGCCAAUAAAACCAACUUGCAUCCCAAAAAUGCGAUAAAGAACGGUCCCCUGAAUUUUCCGGUCGAAAACGGCCCUAUUUUGAAUUUUCGCCAAAAAUCUUGAUUUGCAAAAAAAUCUUCGAAGGAUGAGUUGAUGCUCCUAAAAUAAAUUGUGACAUGAAAUUUUUUUUAAUUUAUGAAGUCGGGUUCAAUUUUGCGGUUAAUUUUAAUCUGGCGUGAUUUUAGCGCGUCCUAAUCUACUGGAUAGCUUUUAGAAACUUUUAAUGCUUUUGACCCGUGGUCGAUUAUUUUUGAGCCACAUUGUACAUCUUCAACACAUUGGCGACUCUAGAUUGUUGUGAAAAUCUCGAGAUUUCAAAUACGAACACACGGUACCAAAACGACAGAAAAAUUGCUCUAGUGCGAUCAACAAGAAUUUUGCAAUUAGAUGGAAUCACCCACACUUAAUCACAUGGCUCUAUCGAAUCGACCGAUCUAUGGUCUCUAAUCGAUUUUUAACCAUGGCAUAAUGACCCUUGCAGAUUAGCAUGGUCGAGCAAUCGAUUCCUAGUUGAAUUCUCAAGUCUGUUGCGUUUAGAUUCCUUAACGGCUUUACCUAAUAGACUAGUUAUAUCGUGAGUGAUCAGUUCGGAGAAAAAAACUAUAGGCGCGUCGAUGAAAAACCCGACUCAUUCAAUCGAAAGCAAAACCUGAAAUUCAGGAUGUCAUAGGAGGUGCCUGAUAUGUGCUAACAUUUAUCAACGAUUAUUCGAGGAAGGUAUAGGUAUACUUUCUGAAGCACAAUAUGAUGUGUUUGAUCGGUUCAAGAAAUUUAAGGCAUUGAUUGAGAAGUAGUCAGAUAAACAAAUUAAGUGCCUGAGAACCGAUAAUGGCAUGGAGUUCUACGGUAAAGAUUUUAUUGAGUUCUAUGAGAAAGAAUAUAUUGUGAGACACCCCACAGUACCUGGGACAUCACAGCAGAAUGGCGUGGCUGAACAGAAGAAUAGAACUUUGCUUGAGCGAGCUCGAUGCAUGCUUUCACAUGUAGGACUUGGCAAGAAAUUAUGGGCCGAAGCAGUGAACAGGACAUGUUACCUGGUUAAUCGAUUUCCAUUAUUUGCUAUCGAGUGGAAGACUCUUGAGGAAGUAUGUUCGCGAAAACCUGUUGAUUAUUCCGAAUUACGUAUAUUCAGAUGUCCUGCUAUUGACACCUAAUUUUUGUUUUCAAGUACAUAAAAAAUUAGAGAAAAAGAGAAAAAGAAAAAAAAAGAAAAAUAACAAAACAACAAAAAAAGAAAAGAAAAAGAAAAGAAAAAGAAAAAAUGCCUCUUUUUCCCUUGCGCGGCCUAGGCUUGUUUCCCUUUGGGCUUGGCCCACGCUAGCCUUCUCCCUCCUCCAUCUUCGCGCAGGAAACCCUAGGGAGAAGGGACAGAAGAGAAAUGACAAGAAAAGGGCAUCAGACAAAAGGAGAACGAGGGAGAGAGAGGGAGGGAGAGAGGGAGGGGAGCUCGAGAGAGAGGAGGCCUCGCCACCUCAACCUAACACUGCCACCAUCGCCAUCGCUGCAUCUCCUAGCUGCCGACCCUCGCUAUUGCCUCCAACACCUCUGGAAACCAGUCGCGAAGUAGGGGCCGCAACCGCCGGCCUCGACUGACGUCCUUGCCACAUCCGCUGGCAACCCCUCAACCUCAGAGGUCGGGGGUUGCCCUUGCUUGCCUAGUUGAGGUAGCGCCUUCGCGGUCCUAGCCGGAGGAGUCGCUUGUGCCGUCACCGCCACAUUUCUCCAGCCACCGCCAUCGCCAUCGCCACCGUUGCCGACGAGCCACCCAAUUGACACCGUUUGCCGCCAUCUUCCCUGGAACCCAAAUCUGAAGUAAGGGGGAAAACAGAGAGCGGGGAGGAGCAAAGGAGGAGAAGAGGGGCCUUCGGCACCGCCAUCGACCGCCACCGUGCUGCUUCCCCUUCCCCUCCCCCCCCCCCCCCGGGGCGUCGCUUGCUGCGACCAUUCCGCCACCAGACACUAUCCCUCGGUUGAACCCCUUCCUGCUCGACACCAUUCAAGCCUCCUCAUGCCACUGCCGCUCCACCCAGAACCCAAGCCGCCAUCCGCUACGUUGCUGUCGUUGACGUCUUAGCCAACCCCUCCAGCACCGCGGGUCACCGAGCUCGAGGUUUCCAAAAUCCGGGUCGCGUGAGUCGGGUCGGGUAAAAUUCUCAGGUAGGGUUUUCGUUCGUUUGAGCUUGUCGCGAUGGGCCAUCUGACUUUUGGGCUUGUGGGCUUGGGCUGGUGUAGUGUGGGCUUGUGGGGCUAGUUUGUUUUAAAAAAAAAGAGAAGAGAGGGACCUCUUGGGCUGGGCCCAAGCUUUGAGCCCACCCGGGCCUGUUGGGCCGAACCCGGGUCUGAUCGACCCGCGCCAACUGGGCCGAACCCAAGUCCGGUCAGACCGGACCCGACCUGAUUCGGCCUAAAAAAAUUGAAUUUAGAAAAUAUAUAUAUUUAAAAAAAAUAAAAAAAUAAAAAGUAAAAAAUAAAAAAAAUCCGAAAAUUUGAAAAUGAUGGGGUUUGGUUGGGAAUUCUCAUGUUUUUCCUUUUGAGUGUAAUUAGGCAUUUAUUUGCUUGUAUAUUAAUUAUAUUACAUGUUUAAUUUGCAUAUUUAAUUAUGUUUAAUUGCACAUGUUUAAUUUUGCCGCAAUUAGGAUUUUGGUAGUUAUGAUUGUUACUUUAAUUAUUGCACACCCGUCUGAUUACCUCACAUGUUAGUGGAUAUGUAUAAAAUUAAUCCAAAUUGCCUGCCAAAAAAUCAUUUUGUUAAAAUGAACAAGAUUAGGUAUUGAAAGGGCAAUAAUUGAUCAAUUAGUGUAAUCAAGUCCCUGACCCUAGAUUCUCUGGUUGUGUAGGAAGUGAGGUACACUCCCAUGCCUCACUUGGUUUCUGGCCGACCCCAAUAGGCUAGUAGCGACUCCUUUUGUGCAAAAUUCCUAAAAGAAAUAUCCCAACGUCACACGGGGUAUGGGCUUGGGAGAGCUUGCGCCUAAUCAUGGGCCUAUGGCUCGUCUUUAGGGCAAUACCCUAAACUUGUUCCCUCCCUCCGAGGGUAGGUCGCGACAGCUUGGUGACUCCACUGAGGACUUGGUUUUAAACCUUAGAGGACUUAGGCCAAAAUUAAUCUUGUUCAAAAAUAUUUUUGUUUGGCAGCUAGGAUUCCAGGUACGCCCCUAACAUUAAAGUUGUUAAAUGCUUUUGCAGUAGGGAGUUAAUAAGGGGAGGAGUGAUUGUUAACCUCUUGUCUUGUAGGUGUGGAGUUGUGAAUGAAUGUUUAUGAUUUGCUUUUAUGAAGUGUUGUUUGCUUAUAAGUUGUCAUGCAUGCGUUUCCUAUAUUGCACUACACCAUAGCACACACAACCUGCCGCCGGACCUAGGCCGCAUAGGAUCAAUUAGGAUAGUGUUAAGGUGGAUACCACUCCGACUACAAUCGUGUAGUAUGAGUCGCCCACCUCUACCCCGAAAUUUCUUUCUUCAUGUCGAAGGUAACCACCCCGAUCUGCAAUCGCGCGGCACGGGUCGGUUCUUUGACAAAGUCGGAGUCAUGGGUAACACGACCUAGCCGCGAUCUUGCUGGUUUGGUUCGGUGAUCCUAUAGCUCUAUUUUGAGCCAUAUAGAGUAGAAAUCGAACCACAUCUCAUGUGCAUGUCUAUGAAAUUGAAAAAAAAAAAAAACAAAGACAAAGGUCGGCGCCCAUUGUAAGUAUCAUUUUCCUUUUUAUUUGCUCAUUUUGAAUUGCAUUUUCAUCUUUUAAUUCACGGAAAUCGGUCGAAUGCCCUCGGUGAAGUAUGCUUAUGAUUGAAAAAUUGACAAUCACUCUUGAGAAAAGUGAACAUUGAAUGCAAGUUCUAAACACUUUGAUUUGAACCUGCUAAACAUGACAUUGUUUAACUUUUUAAUUGUGGACUCAAAACCGCUUUUUGUUUAGAAAAUUCUUUCAAGUCAAGAUUAUAUUUUGGGGCACAAAAAUUGAAAUUGCAUUUUUAAUCAAAUUCUCUCCUUCUCACAUUUUGGGACUGAAAUGCAAAUCACAUUUGGUGUACAAAUUCCUCAAAAUAGAAGUCACUUCUUUCAAAAAUCAAUGUCACUCUUGCAUAUGAAACUUUUGGAAUAGAGUGGACAUUCAAUUAAUAGACGUCGAUCGAUCUUCUAAUGAUGCCCCUUCUCUUACGAAAAAUCUUGGCGAAAUACCAAAAUCCCAUAAUGAGGACUAUGGGGCAUGUACCGUCACCUCAAUUUUGUCGUAAGAAGCGACAUCAUUGAAAGAUCAAUUUUUCAUUCACAUACUGACAUCGUCGUCUUUUUUGCAGGUUAUGCAUGAUGCUCCUUGACAUUUUCGUGUUUGACCAUAUGGAGAAGUGAAUUCUAGAGUUAAGACAAGAGUUGAUUUUUACUUUCAUAUGUGCAAGAGUUUCUUGUAUUUUACCAUUGUCUUUAUUCUUGUCAAGAACCAUGUUUUCCGUUUUGGGUUUUGAUUGCGAAUCCAAUUGAUGCUUUUGUAAAUCACGCGACUCAUUUUUUUUAAUGAUGGAAUUCAAUUUUGUGAAAAUUAUCCUAAAAAAAAAAAUUCAAAACAAAACACAUUCAGAAGUGUUUCAAGCGAACCUUUACAUCUACCUUCCAAAAUGAAUUUCAAGAAAGCUUUGCUUGGGCCCCUCUCUUCAUGUGGUCGCUUUCUCAAGCUCAUGGAACUCGAGGAGCAAGCAUGCUUUGAGGCUUUGUCAGCGCCAAUCUUCCAAUAGAGGCGGAACGAAAUUGAAUUCCGUUCUGGAAAGUUUCUUUAUUUGGAGAUGCCUUAGGUGCCAAAAUAGCUCAUUGAUCUCGUUCACUUUGCAUAAUGAGACAAAUGAAGGGAUUUGCCAAGCAUCCAAAAAGACAAAUUCGAAGGAAGAGUAAACUGUAUCGAUUCCAGUUAUUCAUUUUUUAUACCGUUUCUAACAUGAUUUUCUUUUCAUUAUCAAGGAGACAUCAAGAGUGCCAAUUUUUGUAACGUUCCCAACAAAAGUGAUGGAGCACUUUUAAGUCCUGUUCAUCUUAAACAAAGAAAGAUUCAAAUGAAACAGAUGGGCAAUAUUGUCUAUUCCUCCAUGAGCGAUACCUGGGGAUAUUGAUCGCCCAAUUUUGAAAAUGAUGUAUCUCGUUCCUAAACUUCAUUCUCUUCAGUAGGAAAAAUGACAUAUCCUUUUCUUUGGUACAUGACGGAUUUGAAUAGAACAAAUGUUUGUCAAAUAAAGAGUGGGAGAACAAUGUUUGAUUUAGAAAAAAAAAUCUCUCAUCUCCCCACCAAAGAAGUGUGCUGGAGCAACAUUGUCAAAUUCAUCAAAAAGAGGAUGUAUCGUUCCUAAAUUGAACCUAAUUAAGUAUGGAGAUAACUCGUUUCAUCUCCUCUUCUUACAAGGUGAUAAAUGGGGGAAAAUCUGCACCUUGACUGUAGAAGUAUCGCCUUCUAACAAGAAAGCAUGCUGAGACUUGACCAUCCAUUUGGCAUAAAAGGAUGUAUAUAGUUCCUAAAUGAUUUCCAAUUGAGCGAGGGAAUAACAUGUCCAAUCUUUUCUUUGCAGGCAAUAAAUGGGCAAAGCAUUUAAAGAACAAUAUCCCCAGAUGUGGAAACAAUGAGCAAUCCUCAUCCUUUCAAAAGAAGGAUCUUGAAAAACACAUCUAAUGAUCCAUAUUUAAAAUUUUCAAGCUCUUUGUCAAUUGAACGUCUCUUCGAAAAGAGCAUUUGAAAAAAAUAGGAAUUAGACUUUGUAAAUUGUUGUAUACAAUAAAGAAGUGAUUUUUAUGGAUAAAAUCAGGGCCUCAUAGCCAUUUUUAAUCAAUCCUAGCCACUUCGGUGAAGUUCAUACCUAAAGAACAAAAACACGUGAAGGGUAAAUUGUGUCGAUUCCAAUUGCUCAUUUUAAUAGUGUUUCUGACAUGAUUCUUUUUUUCCUUUGAUAGGAAGACAUCAAAUGCUUAAAGGUAAAUGCAAGUGAAGGGUAAUGCCAAGUUACAAAAUAUCCAUGAGGAUGAAUCCAAGAGAUGUUAGCCCUCAAAGGAUACAAGCGAGUGAAGGGUAAUAAUGUAUCGUUUCCAACAUUUCAAUCCCUAAAGAUUUUUGUAAUAACAUAUGUUUUUUGCAUUCUUUACAGAGUUGCCGGGUCGCCAUGUUGCAGGUAAGUACCUUUCUUCUCGAAUUUUUAUUAUUAUAAAAAAACAAAGAAUUUCCAUUACAAAAAAAAAAAAAGAAUAUUUUACGCUUUCCUAGAGACAAGCAUAAAAAUUAACAAUUGAAAAAAAAUUUCUACAAACUUUUUGAACAUCUUUUUUAUCUCAAAAUUGUUUUCUCGUUUGGUGGGUUAUUCAUUUUGAAUCAAACUUCCCUAUGGAGAUUGAUCUACUUAGAUGACCUCGGCAGAGUGAAAGGUGAAACGUUAACCAUGCCAAACAAGAAGUUCUUAGGAUGAAGAAAUGUAAGCUAUUUCUAAACACAUCCUUCAAACACUUUGGAGAAUUUAGUGAAAAGCGACCUUCUCUUAGGACGAAGGAUUCAUUCGCAUUGAGCACAACGAUCGGAAUGAUAAAGGCGUUUCUUUCAUCAAUCCCAAGUAUUGCACUAAUCUCUUACUACCCCUUUCGGCGGAAUAAAGAUGAUUCUUUAAAGUACCCUUGUCGAGAACUGUCACGCCCUGAUCCUCGAGCAUGCACACAUCCUUCUCAAUUGGUCGAUUUUAAAAUGCGAUAUCCCAGGACUAUGUAUUGCCGACCCUUUUAUCUAUUAAGCAUAUGUGGAAGCAGUUAUAAAUCCCCAGACAGUAAAUCGAUGGGAUAGAAAAGCAAUGUCAUAUUUUUCAUAUUGAAACUUAUAACCAAACUUUUAUACAAAACACAAACCAGAGUACUUCACAACUAUUCACAACUUUUUACUCUAACUCUAUUCACAUCAAAAUGGAGUUCACAAAAGAAGAUGGAAUCCCAGUCCAUCCGGGUCGCACUCAAGAUCCCUCUCGGUAUUAUCUUCUUCUUCCAAAAAUCAUUCUCCUCAAGUUUCACCUCAGAGUUCUUCUUAGAUUCCUCCUCCUCAGCUCCUCAUCGGGGUCCUGAAAUAUUGUCCUACAGCCGGGAUGAGAUUACAUCUCAGCGAGUUCUAUCCCACUAAGACUCAAUUAGGGAACCAAUACACUACUUGGUUCCCUAAGCAUAGCACGAGUCAGAGGACUUACCUUGAUCUCAGUCUUAACCUGCAAUUCAAGGUUAUAUACGAACGCUUCAUAAAUCAUAACGAACAAUCAAUCAAAUCACGACAAUCUGAUCAAAUCAUUGAUCAAUCGAACUAGUCGAUUACAUGUCAAACAAACCAUUCUAGGUCAUUGAUUCCACACCAUAUAACCUCCCAUAGGGCAUUUGGUCACAGAGCCACAUCAAUGCUCUCGGGCGUCAAGUUCGCCAAGGUGACGUAUCCACUAGACAAUUGCGUGCGUUCUUUAAGGCGCCAUUUUCGCCAGUGACAUGCUUAGUCAUCGAACCACGCAUGCCUAUAACCAUGUACUCAAUAGACAAUUGUGUGCGUUCUUUAAGGCGCCGUUUUCGCCAGUGAUGUCCUUAAUCACCGAACCACACAUGCCUAUGACAAUGUUUUUAAUAGACAAGUGCAUGCGUUCUUUAAGGCGCUGUUUUCGCCAGUGAUGUCCUUAAUCACCAAACCAUACAUGCCUAUAAGAAUGUGAGUACUAGACCAAUACGUGCAUUCUUUAAGGCGCCGUUUUCGCUAGUGAUAUCCCAACCACCGAACCACAUAGGUCCAUACACCGUGUCUGAUCGGUUCAAGCCCAGAAUAUUUCCGAUUCACUCUCACGAUUCUACUCACUUUAUAACUCAACCAAGCAUUAUAAAUGCUAAAUAAACACACUCGGCCAACUAUUAGUAAAUCAAUCAAUCCCACUCAAUUUCAAACAAUUUAGGGUAAAUCCCUAAAAUAUCACAAUUUAUUUAAUUCCAUGCAACGUAGAGCUCAAUUAAAUAAACGGACUGCGCCACGACAAUCAACACAAGAUUUCGGUCGUCGGCCAUCUCAACCUUAAUUUCCGAAAAAUAAAUAAAUAAUUAAUUAAUUUCGAAAAUUAAAUAAUUAAUAUUAAAAAUUCAAUUUAGCUCAAAAUAAAGCCUGAUUAAAUAAACGGACUUCACCAUGGUAAUCAGCAUAAUAUUCCAGUCACUGGCCAUCCCAGUUGAAUUUUCGGAAAAUAAAUAAUUAAUUAACUUAAUUCCGAAAAAUAAUAUUUAAAUACCAAAAAUUCCACGUAGGCCCGAAUUGUCAAAUUGAAGCCCGAUAAAGGGUCAAAAAAAUCCCGAGCUACCCUUAAUAAAUAGUAAACCAUGUCUACUUGCUAAAUACACAUUCAAUUUGUCUAAUUUGCAUCCCAAUUGACUAAUAAACACUAAUCUAACCACCUAAACCUAAUUAAAUAAAACUAAACAACCAAUAAGUGUCAUCAGCUCACUAAGCAAGGAUUAUUGAGAUUACUCACCGGAAUUAAGCGCAAAACGUAUCAAUCCGACGUGGAUGACAUUAGGAACGAUAAACCCCAAAGCGGGUCUCGGGUUCGGGGCCCAGAAACGGCCCAAAACGGCCUACGAGUGUGCUGGAAACCCACUCGGUGGGGGUGGUUGUGCAGGCUGAAAAAGAACACAAAACAGCCACAAAUCACUUCAACAAGGGCGGCAAGGUGCGGGGGAGGGUCGGUGGAGGUUUGGCAGCUUCGAACAGUGGCUGGAGAUGGUUGAACGGGGGCUAGGCAAAGGCUAGAAUUGCACAGGGGAGGGACGGCAGCAAGCGGUGGACGCGGGGACGUGUGCGGACGGUGGGACAGCGGUGAGCGGCGGGUGCGCGGGCAGUCCGGCUCCGGUGCGGCGGUGACGGGCGGCUAGUCCAAUCUUCAGUGAGCUGCUGUCCUUCUUCCUCCGAUCUGGUUUUCACGAGCAAGAAACAAGAAGAAGGGGGGGCUUUCGGUCACGUGGGGGAGUGGGGGAGAAGAGAGAGGAGAGAGAAGAAGAAAGAAAGAAGAGAUAAGAAAGUUUGAAAAGUCAAAGGGAGAGGGGAAAAGCAAGUGGGUGACAACCCACAGUUCGGUAGGAGGGGGGGCUGAUUCGCACGAAGGGGAGAGGGAAGAGAGAAAAGAGAGAGAGAGAAAAGAAGAGAGAGGGAGAGAAAGAAAUAAAAUAAAAUAAUAAUAUUAUUCUUUUUUUUUCUUUUCUCUUUCCCUUUCUAUUUUCUUUCGGUCUUCAAUUUUUCCUUCGAUAAUUUCUUUCCCGAAAUUUUGGACUUGUCAAUAAAUUGACGGAUGAUGAGACAGGAUCCUAAAAAUGAAUUGUGACACGCUAAAAAAUUCGAUUCCUGAAACCAAAUUAAAUUCCAUGGUUAGAAUCGAUUAGACGUGAUUUUAGCCCAAUCCAACUAAUUAAGUAGCUUUAAGGGAUUUUUACCGCGGAUACAUCCCUUAACGGCUUCACUCAAUAGGUUAGUUAACUCGUGAGUGAUUAGCUCAGAGAAAAAGGACUAUAAGCACAUCGACGAAAUGCCCAUUUCACUUUAUCAAAACGGAGUCGAAUUUCAGGAUGUCACAAGAACGACCCUACAUUAGGGCAGCAUAGGAGGUUAUGAGCGUGUUGUAGAGUGAAAGGUUGAAAAAGAUUAUAUUACUUUCACUUGCAUCAAUCUUCUGGUGAUAACUUCAGAGGAAUUCUCAUUAGAGCUUGACUCAUUCCAAGGUGAAGAAGAGCAUUUCAUUCUCUACCCAAACACUGAUAUCCAUUGCUUUAACCAAUUUAGGCCCGAUUAUUCAUUUCUAAGUCCUGAGUAGUGAGCAUCCCCUUCUCUGGGGUAAGACACAAAGAUUGACCACAUGCAAUUGACAUUUACGAGAAAACGUGAAAAGCAUCUCGAAAGUCAUAAGUGCUCCAAAAGUUCAAUGAACAAAAAGUCUGACUAAAUUAAGGGGCAUGAAAAAGAAGUGUGUUUGGUAAAAGCAAGGCCAAUACCCGUUAAGAAAAAGAGCCAAAAGGCUGUAAGUUGCAGGUGGACCAAUGGACUGGCGACCGACGACUUCAAGCCAACGUACGGGUCAGCCGGCGGCUCCGUUUGGCGAGUGGUCGGGUCCUCCUUAACGGUUUGGGCCUUCUGAACACACUGGUGGGUGGCACGAAGGCUGAUUCAUCCGGGAAGGUAAAAAACAACUCAAGUUUUCACAAGAAGGUUAGUUGGAGUAGAAACUGGAAGAAGGAGAAACAAGGGGAGAGAGAGUCCGAUGGUUUUUGGUGCUGAAGAGGGGAGAGAGAGAGUGAUGUGAGGGCUGCUACACUCUCCAAGAAGGCCAUUGAAGGCUUGCUUCAAGUCCCCAUGCAAGAUGACCUCAACUUCUCUCUCUUCCUUUGCUUUAUCCACAUGCUUUUAGGGGCAAAAUGGUCAUUUCCACAUUGCACAAAUUCCCAAUCAGCUCUUGGGCUAAAAAUGAUGGGCGGGCCUAAGAAAUGGGCUUGGAAAUGAAUAGUAACGGGCUCGGGAAUUGGUUGGGCUCAAAUGGGCUUAAGGUUAAGUAAUAGGCUUGGAAGAUGAAUAAUUGGUUUGGGCCCAAUAGGCUCACUUGCCUGCUUUGGGCCCAUCAUGGGCUAUCCCACCUUGGGCCUAAGGCCCACACUAGCUUGACCCGGCUCACUUCCUCAUGGGCUCGCUUCCUUGGUCCGAAAAUCCCUUUUCCAAGUACUCGGCUUAACCGUCGCUAUUGACUGACGAAGUAGCUUCAUCCAAAGUCCGUCCCAAAUGUUCCUGAUAAUUUAAAGUCCAAUCUUGGAUUCUUAUGCCAUGUCAAUUUUGCGCUAAUUCCAUUUUGGGUACAACUCAAAUUGACAGGUGGUUUUGAAGAUUCACGCAUAAUCGACUUGUGCCAAACCACGUUCAAGACAUCUCGACACAUGAACAUCCUUGACUACAUGAAUUUGCGGAUAAUAGAUUCUUAUUUCAAAGUACAUGGUUAUUGAGGAUCGACAUAGGGUUGUUCGUGGGCUCUAUAACAGUAAACGGAAUCACCCAUCAUUCCAUUAUGUUCUUUUCGCGAAUCGACUUCUAGUCAUUCCCUGAAAUCGGCCUGCCUAUUUAUAGGAUCGUCCUCAUGCAAGUCUCACGGUCAAGUCGUUUUCCCAGGUCAACUUCUGUAGUUGUACAAGUUCUUUCCUCAUUAACCUUUUCCCUCAAGGUUAGUAUCUCAAGAGUGAUCAAUUCUGAGUGAGAUCAACGAACAAUGCAUUGCUGAAAUUCACAUCCAUUCAUCCCUUAGAGGACUCGAAGUUCAGGAUGUCACAUGAGCCGAGGGCGAAUAAGUGCAUAUUUCUGGUUUAUGCACAUGUGAUGAAAGCUUACUAGCUGUGGUGCAUCGAUCCUAGAUCACCCGGUUUUCUAAUCAGCAAAGAUGUGAUCUUCGACGAGACUGCAAUGCUUCAACAGAGAGGUUCUAAGACACAACCAACAGAGAAGACAUAUCAUAGUGUCAUUAGUGAAGUGGAGCUUUAGGGGGAGACUCCAGAGUCCUCAAAGGUAACUGAAGUUAAGAUUGCAGAUGAGGCCGCAGUUCCUAAAGUUGGUGAUAGUGAACAACCAGCAAAACCGCAGCACACUAUAGCCGUAGAUAGACAGAGAAGGCAAAUUAAAUCAUUAGUACGUUAUGGUUAUACAGAUAUUGCUUAUGCAUUAUCUGUAGGCGAUGGCUAGUUUGGAGUCAUCGGAGUGGCUAGGGGCUAUGAGUGAAGAGAUGGAAUCACUCCAUUGUAAUCAGACAUUGGAGCUGGUCAAAGUACCCAAGAGCCAAAAGAUUGUCGGAAGUAAAUGGGUCUUUAAACGGAAAGAGGGCAUUCCUAGUGUCGAGGCAGUGAGGUAUGAGGCGAGACUUGUGGCGAAAUGAUAUAACACAACGUAAGGGCAUUAACUACAAUGAGGUGUUCUCUUUUGUGGUAAGACAUACUUCUAUUUGUGUUUUACUUGUCUUAGUUGCUUUGUAGGAUCUCGAGCUAAAGCAGCUAGAUGUGAAAACUGCGUUUUUUCACAGUGAGUUGGAGGAGCAUAUUUACAUGAGGCAGCCAGAGGAAUUUGCUAUUCUGGGUAAGGAAGAUUAUGUUUGCUUGUUGAAGAAAUCUUUGUAUGGGCAAACACAGUCUCCUAGACAGUGGUAUAAACGUUUUGAUGCUUUUAUGGCUAGUCAAAACUAUUCAAAAAGUCAUAUGGAGAUUGGAGAAUGGUUCUUUGAUUUAUCUACUCUUAUAUGUUGAUGAUAUGCUGAUAACAGCUAAAAAUAUGUUUGAUAUUAAUGUGCUGAAGAGGCGGUUAAAUGUUGAAUUUGAGAUAAAAGAUUUAGGUACUGCAAAGAAAAUAUUGGGUAUGGAGAUUUUGCGUGACAGGACUGCAAGAGUUUUACGUCUAUCUCAGAAGAAAUAUAUUGAGAAGAUCACAGCAUGUUUUAAUAUGCAGUUAGCAAAAUUCUUUAAGUACACCUUUAGCGAACCACUUAAAAAUUUUCAGAUAAAUUAUCACUGCAGACUGAGGAGGAGGAGGAGCAUAUAUCUCAUGUUUCUUAUUCUAGUGCCGUGGGUAAUAUUAUAUAUGCUAUUUUGUGUACUAGGCCUGAUAUUUCACAAGCUGUAAGCGUGGUUAGUCGUUAUAUGAAGUGUCCUGGUAAAACUCAUUGGGAAGCUAUGAAGUGGAUCCUUAAAUAUUUGAAGGGGACAACAGACGUGAGUAUAGUGUAUCGAAGGGACAUCAUUAGCAAUGAGACCACUAAUUUUGUGGAUUUGGAUGACACCGAUGAUUUGGAUGAUCACAGGUUUUUAGCAGGGUACGUGUUUACGCUAGCGGGUGGUACAGUUAGUUGGAAAUCGUCCUUACAUGAUCAUAUUGCCUUAUCUUCGACUGAAGCAGAGUACAUGGCACUAACCUUUGUAGCGAAAGAGGCGAUAUGGUUACAAAGUUUGCUCUCGGACUUUGGGUUAGAAUAGCAAAUGUGUGAAUAUACACUGUGAUAAUCUAUGUGCAAUAUAUUUGGUGUAUAAUCCAGUUUAUCACGAGCGAACGAAGUAUAUCAACAUUAGGUACCACUUCAUCCGAGAUGUCUUAGCUAAGGGUAAUGUUAUUGUUAAAAAGAUUGCUACAGCAGAUAACUCGGCAGACAUGAUGAAUAAGUUUGUUCCUUUGGCGAAGCUCAAACUCUGCUUGAGCUCUAUUGGCGUUUGUGGAGAGUGAGUGCCCGUCGAGGUGUUGGGAGAGUAGCAUGGAUGAUGGGCAUUAUAACUUGGCUUUAAACAUUGAGCUAAGGUGGAGAAUUGUUAAAUUAUAUUUCUAGUUUAAGCGUUUGCAAAACGCGAUUUGCUUGGAUAAAAUUUUUAUUAUUUGAUUGUGAAGAUAAUAUUCAAGAUUAUGCACAAGAAAGAAAUUCAAAUUUUUUUUUUUUUGGUCUUGAAUGUUUUCGGUUAACACAAGAAAGUUCGUGGGACUGUACGAAGGAUUACAAAAGAGAAAAUAAAGAUAGAAUAAAAAAAAGGCCUGCAGAAGCUGAAAGUUGUUAUGCUCGUGGGGCCCAAAAGUCAAGACUUUGACUUUUGGGCACACACAAUAUAAAAAAGGCUACGAAAGAAAGAAAGUGAUUUUUCUCUCUGCAGCGUCCCACUUCCAUGUUGAAGUAAAUAAAAGGUGGUGGGCCCAUGUUAAAAGUUGACUAGUUGGGCACACAUAUUGAACCCUAACGUGGGUUCUUUAUUAGGUGUGCCGCGAGAAGCCGUGGAGCACUGCACACAGAGAAAAGAAGAACAACGGAGUACGAAGAAGAACAAUCAGACGUUCUAUUUGGAGUACAUAGAACGUUUUGCUUGAGCUUGAACGUAAGGUGUUUUUUUUUUUUUUUUGUGCCGUGAGUUUAUGUCUAAGUGAGUUGUUUAUUUAUAAACACUUUGGGUUUAUGGUUAAAUCUAGAUGUGGGAAACACUCGAGCAUGUGAACGAUUAUAAAAUUUGAUUAUUCAAUUAUAGUGGAUUAUUUACUGCUAGCUCUCCCUGUGGAUGUAUGUACCGAUACUCGAACCGAACAAUAUAAAUUUCUGGUGUUCUUAUUAUUUUUCGUUUAUUUUUCUUGCGAUUUCACGUUGACGUAAAUUGCAAGAUCCUGUCGUUUCCGCGUAUUAUAUUCCAACACCUUGGUACAAAUAUUUUCAUUCCUUCUGCAAUUUCUGAUGUGGUAAUGAAGUAUUGUAGUUUUCCACAUACAAUUCUAAAUCUGCAUCCAACAUCAAGAGACCUUAGGUGUCUUGAGGCACAGAGUUCUCAUUGCCUUACUAACCAGAGGAUUCUAUUUUAGCACCUAUAUGCAAUGGAUGAUGUUGCGUCUUGACUUAGAGACGUGGUUUUUAGCACCGACUUUUUAACUAAUAUGACGGUAUCAUAAGUCGCACAUUAUAUCUUCCUCAACAAACGGUCAAAGUUUCAAAAAAUGAAAAAGAAAAAUAAAAGGAAAAAUAAUGAUAAUAAGAAAUAAAGGUAGGGGUCCGCAAAUACUUUAAUAGUUUGCACCUGCUUUGAAAAUGCUAUCAAAAGCAACAACAAACGCGGACUCUUGUUAACAUCGGGGAAGUUUCUUGCACGCGGCAAUUAGUGUGAAAACGAGAAGAUUUCUACACUAGUGGUUAACUCUUUUCUCCUCUAUAUAUCAGCUUGAAUGUUCCUAGCAUGGAGAGUUGCUGCUAUUGCUUUUCUGAACCCGUCUUUGUUUUCUUCCUUUUAUGAUAGAUCCCACUCUGUGAAUCAUUCUUUUUCUUCCUCUUUGAUUGCCUUUGAUUGAGGGAAAGGUUGCAAGUUGUUAAGGUAAGUGUCAUAUCUAACUAGUGCUCCCUCUUGUUAAUUUGUUCUUAUCAAUGAUCAUGAUGAUAAAUAUGGGGUUUUGUGGCCUCUAUUGUUUCUUUCCAAUGCUCAAGAAUUUUGAGCAAGGUUCUGUUUUGCUGUGUAUGUAUAUGCAGUAUAACGACUCUAUAUGAUGACCUCAAAUGCACUUGCCAUUUUCUUCGUACUCCCAUCAAGUGAUUAAAAUCAUGUCGCUUUGCCUUUUACAUGUUUCGGACCCCGCUUAUGGCCACAUGUGAACGUUUAUAUGGUCAACUAAGCUGUAAUUAUCUUGCUAAGUGAAGCAAGAAAGGAGGGAGCUUUAUAACUCUGUAUCUAUGUCUCAUGUGGUGUCCUUUGGUCUUCAAUAUAUGCUCCAACACUACAGGAUUAGGAAGGAUUAUGAAGGGAGGGAAAUGGUUCUAAGAGAGACUAGAAGGAAGUGGUCUAGUAAAUUCUAUGUUCAUUUUAAGUAUUGGAGGUAUUUGUAUAUAAAUUGAUAAAUUUAUUAUUCACUCUCACUUUCUCUUUUAUUUUACAUCCAUCUAGAAAUCCUAUUUAUAUCAUAAUACGUUAUAUUCCUUUCUUUUUUUCUCCUAGCGUGCAAACAAAAUUAUAACCCAAUCAUUUCAAAUCCUUUCUUUCAUUUUUACUCAUAAUUAAUUAAAUCUCUUCUUUACCCCACUAAUUACUCCAUUCAAACUGAGUGUCAAUAUGGAGGUCGGGUUUCUCUCUUCUUCGAGAAUGGUUUCAUCUCUCUCUUGGUGUAGUAUUCCCUAUCCAUGGUAAUAGUUCUCCCUUGUGAAAGGGCUAGUAUGAACACCUAGAGGGGGGUGAAUAGGUGUGAAUAAAAUUUUUAGCAAGAUUUAGUAAAAAUAAUUUGCCUUUUAGAAGAUAACAGACUUAAGAAUAUAAUCAGCUUUAAAUAAUUAAAUAAGGCUACGAAUAAAGGUAAGGAGUUCAUGAAAGAGAAUAGGAACACAAUGUUUAUAGUGGUUCGGCUUAGAUCAAGCCUACAUCCACUCUCUUGCGCUGACAGCCUAUUAGCUGGAUUCCACUAAGAAUCAAAAGAGAUUUUACAAUCUUCCUGUCUCGACUUCUCAGUGAAGAACCUCUACUGGUCUCUCACAAAGUCUCACUAUGUGUUUUUCUCUUUUGUAUGCAACUUUGAGCUUAGUGAAUGAAAUAGCAAGGAACUAUAAAGCUUCAGACUUUAAAAUUUUUCUUUCACACUCUUUCAAACAACUAGAGAGUCCACCUUAUAUACUCCUUCAUGCCUUCACGACCGUUGGCACUUUUCAAAGGAAUUAUUCCAAUUUACCUGUUGGACAGAAUCAAUCAAGGAGAUCUCUAGUUGUUCAUCACCCGUCAAUCUUGUUCGCCCAUACAAUCAGGAUCUUGGUUUCCAUAAGUAGAAUCUUCCAAGUUUGCUUCGUCUUUCAAAAGAUUUGAUGAUCGGAAUUGAUUUUAAUAAGGAUAAUCAAUCAAGUAGAUGUUAUAUCCAGCCAUAAGAUCAUCCAUAAGCCAUAUGAAAUGAUUCCUUGAAAAGUAAAGAUAUUCUUGCAUUUGGAUAAGUCUUCAUUCUUCAGUUUGGAAACUGUUAGUGAGGGCACACUUCGAAUCUAAAGUCUGGCGGUCUUCAGACUUUGGCACUAGAGUCUGGAGUUCUUUAGACUAUGACACUUGAGUCUGGAAGUCUUCAGACUAGACUUUUUGGAAAGGUUUUGUCGACUUCAAAACAGUAAAGAAGUUUUCUCUAAUACCCUACUCAUGGAGCCUCUUCCAAAAUCAAUCCCCCUUACCAUUCUGUUUCAUCUUGGAACGCCACAUCCGUAUAUCAUUCAUGGUCCAACAUCCUCCAUUUUCCUCCAAUCCUGUACCAUGAAGAAAUUCAUUUAUCCUCACUCGCACCAUACUUCAUGCCCAAUACCCGACGCAGUUUAUCCCUAGCCCCAAUCCAAACUAAACCUAAAGUUGUGGACCCUACCUCUUCUAGUUGCUGAAGCCGUUCAUAGAGCUCCCUUCAUGCACGAGCCAUAACCCUUACUUGUCCUUUACAAGCUGAAAAUAAAGUACCUGUCAUCCUUUUUUUCCCCUUGUUCUGCAAUUCUGCAAGCUCCGUGGUGUCUUGACUUGGUGGUUAGCUUCUCUCACGCUGUUCUUCAUGUCUAUUUCUUGCUCAGCCUUCCAAUUUUGAUUCAUUGCUCGGGCAUGUCCUAUAAUGGUAAGACAGAGUCGACCACGGACAGAGAGUUGGAAAAGGAACUUAGGCUUGCUGCACUUCGUAGAAGAAUGGGAAGAAUGUGGUCUGAAGAUGUUAUAGUCAGAGUGCAUGAGAAAAUUCUUGUGGAGAAAUUGCGAGAAUGCAACCCUACCUUGUUGGGGAAACUACACUCAAGACCUAAUGUUAACUUCCAAGCAUUCCUACUAACCAUGAAAAGGGCAUGGAAAAUAGAGAACGUGGUUUGUGACCAAAUGGAACCAGGCUUAUUCUCAUGCACAUUUAGCUCGGAUUUGGAGAAGAGAAAAGUACUGGAAGCUAGCCCAUGGUCUUUCUCAAAUAACUUGCUUAUCCUCCAACAACUAAACCCUAAGCUGCCAAUCCGCUGUCAUGAAUUCACUCAUUGUGCCUUUCGGAUGCAAGUACUUGGCUUGCCUCUAAUUCGAAUUACUGAGAAUGCACUGCUUGAAGUGGCAUCAAUAAUGGGUAAAAUUCUGGAGGUGAAGAUAGAACCGAAAGGGGGCAACUUGUGCAAAGUUGGAAGGGUACGGGUGCUUAUGGAAUUAUCAUAACCUCUAUAAUCAGGGGUUGUGGUGAACUUUGAAGAUGAUCAAUUUUGGGUCGAUUUUAAGUAUGAACGACUCCCUUAUUAUUGCCACUCUUGUGGGAGAAUUAGCCACUACACAACUAGGUGUGAGGAAGUGCCCUACACAACUAGGUGUGUCUUUUAAACGCUGGGGGAGGCUCAGCCUCGCCGGGCCACCGCCAGGUGAGCAGUGAGGCUCAGGUCGAUGAGCCUCACCGUGGCUCGGUGACUCCGGGGGGAAGAAGAAGAAGAAGAAAAGAGAAGAAGAGAGAAGAGAGAAAAAUAGAUUCUAGAAAUUGUUUCCCGGAAUAAGAAGUUUUUUUUUUUUUUUAUUUCUUAUUUUUGUUCUAAAUCUAUUCCUGGGAAAAAAAAACAUUUUUGGUUCCCGAGAACAAAAGUUUUACCAAAUAGGUUUCUAUUCCUUUUUCAUUCCCCGGAACAAAAGAACAAAAAAUAGUUAUUCCGAGGAACAUAAACACAUUUUAACGAACAUGCCCUUAGUUUCCACACACACGACUUACAAACAAAUACUAUUUCCUCCUCCUUUUUUGUUUUCUUCAGGAGACAUUAAAGAUGGUUGAUAAAGCUGCCACCGAGAACAACCAAAACUAUCAGCACCAAGUUGGUGACAUCUCUAGUGAAAUGCUUCCACAGGGUGACUCCGGAUCUCAGAGUAAACCCGCACUUUCCACUAAUUUUUAUUCGGUGAGUGUCAAUUAAACUUUCAAGUAAAACUAGACAAAUCCCAACAUGGUCUCUUAUGGAUGAACAAGUUUGAAGGUCCUUUCAUUUGGCUGAACACAAUUUAGUUUCCACACGCGCCACUUACUAACAAUUGCUAUUUCCUUCUCUUUUUUCUUAAAUUGUUUUCUUUAGGGGACAUUAAAGAUGGUUGACAACGCUGCCACCGAGAGCAACCAAAACCACCACCACCUAGUUGGUGACAUCUCCAGUGACAUGCUUCCUCAAAGUGACUCCGGAUCUCAGAGUAAACACACACUUUCCACUGAUUUUGAUUCGGUGAGUGUUAAUCAAACUUUCAAUUAUAACUAGUCAAAACCCAGUUGAAAGGACAUGGUCUCUGAUGGAUGAAUAAAUUUGAAGGUCCUUUCAUUUGGCAAGACAGGCUUUAGUUUCCCCACACAAGACUUCCUAACAAUUGCUAUUUCCUUCUUUUUUCGUUUUCUUUAGGGGACAUUAAGGAUGGUUGACAAUGCUGCCAUCGAGAACAACAAAAACCACCACCACCAAGCUGGUGACAUCUCCAGUGAAAUACUUCCUCAGAGUGACUCUGGAUCUCACAGUAAACACAUACUUUCCAUUGAUUCUGAUUUGGUGAGUGAUAAUCAAACUUUUAUGUAGCUUUAGACAAAAACCAGUUGAAAGGACAUGGUCUCUGGUGGAUGAAUAAGUUUGAAGGUCCUUUCAUUUGGCAAGACAGGAUUUAGUUUCCACACAUGAGACUUAAUAACAAUUGCUAUUUCCUUCUUUUUUGGUUUUCUUUAGGGGACAUUAAAGAUGGUUGACAAUGCUGCCAUCGAGAACAACCAAGAGGACCACCACCAAGCUGGUGACAUCUCCAGUGAAAUGCUUCCUCAGAGUGACUUUGGAUCUCAGAGUAAACACACACUUUCCAUUGAUUCGGAUUCGGUGAGUAUUAAUCAAACUUUCAAGUAGAUUUAGACAAAAUCCAAUUGACAAGACAUGGUCUCUAAUGGAUGAACAAGUCUGAAGGACUUUUCAUUUGGCAAGACAGAACUUAGUUUCCACGUACACGACUUACUAAAAAUUGCUAUUUCCUUCUUUUCUUUGGGGGGACAUUAAAGAUAGAAUUUAGUUUCCCCAUGUCGGUAAUUUCUAGCCUAAAUUGGCUAGAUGAGUUCAAUUGUUACCAAUGUGACAAGAUAUAUAACUAAAUUGGUCAAAUUGAAAGGUUUAGAACCGAUAUGAUAUCAAUGCAAUUAAUUUAGGACUUUUUUUGGUACUUUUUUUGGUCUUUAACUAAUAUGACAGUUCCUCAAGUCACAGGUUUCAUCUUUCUCAAGUUGUGAUUAAAGUUUAAAAAAUAAUAGGUAAAUGAAAAACAAAUAGUAAUAACAAUAGGAAAGAGGAAACGAAGCAAUGGUCGGCAAGUAGUUUAUAGUUUGCACUGGCUUUGAAGUUCGAACAUCCAAUCCAGUGCAAUAACAUAUACGGACGAGAAACGAGCAUUGGUACCUCUUACGGGAGAGUGAAUGUGAAAACGGAGAAGAUCCUUACGCUAGCUACUUACUCUUUUCUCCUAUAUGUAAUUAGUGCCCGCUCUUGUUAAUUCGUUCUUAUUCUUGAUAGUCAUGAUAAAUUUGGUGUCUCAUGGCCUUGCAACCAGUUUCCUUCCAUUACUCAGGAUUCUUGAGCAACGUUCUGUUUUGCCAUGUAUAUGUUUUGCAGUAUAACCACUCUAUAUGAUAACCUCAAAUGCACUUGGCAUUUCCUCUGCACUCCCAUCCAGUGAUCAAAACCAAUUCAUCUUUUAAGAGCCUGUUUAUCAGACUUGAUCCGCUCAUCCAAUUGGCAUAUUCAUGAAGAAAUUCUACUUCAAUCAAUAUGACUUUCCCUUUUAUUGAUCGUUUAGGACCACACUUAUGGCUACAGUAGUACAGCUGACGUUUAUAUACUCGAAUAAGCUCUAAAUAUCUUAGUAAGUGAAGCAAGAAAGGAUGGAACAGGUGAAACUAUUUUAUGACUUCAUAUUUGUGUCCCAAGUGUGGUCCUUUGGUCUUUAGAAUAUGCUCCAACAUUAUGUUUGUUAGGAGGGAUUAGGAGGGAAGAAACAUAGUUCCAAAAAAUACAAUCAUGUUUAGAUGGAGAGAAACAGACGGAUGGAAAACCUACAAAGGUUUAGUCCAUCGUUAAUGUUCUUACACGAGAUUCUCAUUAGGUAGUAAUUAGGCCAUAUACGGUACUUGGUUGAGCCAUUUUGUCAAGAGCACAACUAUAGUUACUAAAAAUGUCGCUAAAGAGUUCUCCCUAAAUGGUGUUUGCAAUUUCCAUGACCUUAGACAAAGGCAACGAUUAAAGACUCGAUGAAGAGGAAGAUGAUAUAUAGUUCUUGCUAAAUUUAACAGUAAAAUUUGGUGGAAACUAACAAAGGGUAAAUGUAUUAUAUGUAUACUAGUUUGAGAUUUUUUGUGACCCAUAAAUUAUUUUUGAGUAAAUUUAUCAAAGGUGUAUCAGUUUGUGGGACAUUUGUAACAAGUGCACCAAUUUAUGAUUUUUUGUGGUGUUAGCCCAUUAAUUGAUCCACGUCAAGUACAUGUGGCAUCCAAGUCAGCAAUUCAAUGACAAUAUUUAAUGAAAGCUAAUGGAGAGUAAAUAUAUCACGUGUACACUGAUUUAGAGCUUUUAGUAGUAAAAAAAUUAGUCUUGGAUUCUUUACCAAAAAAAAAAAAAAAAUAGUCUUGAAUAAGUUUGUAGCUAGUGUAUCAGUUUGGAUUUUUGUUUGUAUUAACUCUAUAUAAUUAGUGCUCACUCUCGUUAAUUUGUUCUUAUUAAUGAUAGUGAUGAUCAAUUUGUUGUUUCAUGGCCUUACGAUCGUUUCUUUCCAUUGUUCAAGAUUCUUGAGCUAUGUUCUGUUUUGCUGUGUAUAUGUAUGCCGUAUAACCACCCUAUACAAUAACCUCAAAUGCCCUUGGCAUUUCCGUUCUACUCCCAUCAAGUGAUCAAAACCAUUUCGCAUUUUCUGUGUUGUUUUGGAUCACACUCAAGACUGCAUGUGAACGUUUAUAUGCUCAAAUAAGCGUCAAAUAUUUAAGGGAAGCGAAGGAGGAAACCGGUGAAACUGUUAUGCGACCUUGCACCUAUGUCCCAUGCGUGGUCCUUAGGUCUUUAAUAUAUGCUCUAACACUCUUAAGAUCAGGAGGGAUUAUGAGGGAAGGGAAAUAGUUCUCAAAUUACAGUCGUGUUUGGAUGGAGGGAAACAAACGGAUGAAAAGAAUUAAGAGGGAUUAGGAGAGCAAAAAGAAAUGAUCUGGUUAAUUUCAUAAACAAAUUACAUUUAUAACGGAUUUGUGUAUUAAUAAAAUAAUUUUUUUCCUGCUCACUUGUUCUUUCAUUUUACAUAUAAUGGGAAAUCCAUGAAGGAUAUUUACGUCAUUAUGCAUUGUUUUUCCUUUCCUUUUCCUCGCUAAUAUCUAAAUAUUAUCAUAAUCCAGUCACUUACGGUCCUUUCUUUUCUUUUUACUCAUAAUCAUUCAAACUUUUCGUUCCCAAUUACUCCAUCCAAGCUGAUAAUAUGCAAUCAGCUCUUCCUUUAUCCGUGGAUUUCUUUCUUUUACUUUAGAAGCCAUAAUAAUAUAAUGAAAAUGACUUAGUGAAUGAGCUCUAGUAAACUUAGAACACAUGCCAAAUUUCACAUGGUGAGUGUUUUUUGAGAGAGAGAGAGAGAGAGAGAGAGAGAGAGAGAGAGAGAGAGAGAGAGAGAGAGAGAGAUGACUGAAAGAGGAAGAGUGGGAUUGAAGAGGUUGACAUAUGAUUGAAGAGUAUGCCCCAAUGACAUACUCGUCGGGUCCUCCUGUCACGUGAGUUCUUUGCUUAUUCCUUUUCUUUCCUUAUAAUUUACUUUCAAAGCUUUUUUUAAUGAUGUAAUGCAACCAAUGGUUCUCCUCUUAAAGGAAUGAGAAGAAUAAUAAUUUCUACUAAAUUUUAUUUGCAAAUAUCAUUCAACGAGCGGGCCACCUUGUGGAUGGAUAUCCUUUUCUCCUAUAGUGUAAAAUUUCAUACAAUCACUUAAAAUAGCCAUUUAGCAUUUUUUUUUUCCAUUGUCAGCGAAAGAAGAACAAUAAGAAAGCAUACUCUUUGACAGACGAAUUUAACCAUCAAUGCAAAAGAAAUCAUUUUAUGCAUUCGAUUAAUAUGAGUUCGAUACACAGUAUUUUUAUAUCACUUGCAUUUCAUAAAUUUCCUGUUUACGUUAAAAUCACAUAAUUGAAGUGAUGCUGAACAUUACUUUAAUAUCUUCCACGAAUCCUAAGUCCGCACAUUGAAGUACCCACACUUCAAUCCUUCUUCUCCCUCCAUUCUAAGUACUACUGUUUCUCUCCCAACUACACUUCCAUACAUUCACAUGUUUGGCGCAACCAUCUCUUGGUUUUCAGGUGGGUGCACAAAACACAAAGCAAUCUCAGAGUCAAAGAAACACCGACUUUCCACUGAUUUUGAUUCUAUUAGUUUUAAUUAAACUUGCCGGUAUAACUGGACAAACCCAGAUUGAAACAACAUGGCUUCUGAUGGAUGAAUAAUUUUGAAGUUCUUUUCACUCGGCAAGACAUAAUUUAAUAUCCAAACACACAACUUACUGACAAUUGCUGUUAAACUUCUUUUUUCGGGGGACAUUAAAGAUGGGUGAGAAUGCUGCCACCAAUAACGACCAUAACCACCAGCACCGCCGCCACCAAAUUGGUGACAUGUCCAUUGAAAUGCUGCCUCCGUGUGUCUCCAGACGCUCUGACGACGAAGGCAGCCGCAAAAGAACCGGUAAUCAACCUUAUCUUCUUAUACUAUAUUGUCUAGUUCUUUGAUACUUGUUUACUUCAAGUUUGUUACAUCAGCCUUACAAAAUAUACAUUUUUUGUACUAUGAGUAAGAGUUUGAUAUGUUUUAAUUCAAGUGUAAUUCCUUCAUUAAUUAUUGGAUAACUAACUUAAGAGACAAUCGAAGUUUUCCAAUUGUAAAGAGUUAAUCAGACUUUAUCGGUUGACCGAUCAGGGAACGUAUGGACGGCCAGUGCAAACAUAAUAGUAGUGAUGGUAGGAACAGGAGUGCUUUCGCUGGCAUGGGACAUUGCUCAGCUGGGUUGGAUUGCGGGCCCUGCUGUGAUCCUAUUCUUCUCCCUUGUGGGCUACUACACCUCUUGCUUCCUCUCUGAUUGUUACCGCACCGGCGACCCUGACAAUGGUCAUCGUAACUCCACCUAUGUGGACUCCGUUCACUCGAUUCUUGGUAAGGUACUCUAUCAUCACGUUGUUGCUUCUAACUAUUUGACGGCCGUACUUUGAUUAAAUUUCCCAUUACCAUGUGCUUCCAAAUGUACAGCAAAAUGAGUCACGAAACUUUUAAUUAGAUGAUAAUUGUGAGUCUACAUUCUUAGGCUCCGUUUGUUUCAUGGCAAAAAUAAAUGAUUUGGACUACAUUUUCCUAAAAAUGAUUAUUUGUAUUGCUUAUAAAAGUAAAUAAACGAAAAAUAUUUUCAUUGUCCACGAAAAUAUUUAGACACAAAUUGUUGUUGAUAAUGAAAACAUUUUCUAUUAACUAACUAAAUCAAUUGAUACAUGCGAUUAUUUUUUAGGAAAAUGUUUUCUAAGAUUAUUCAUUUUCCGUAAAACAAACAAAGCCUUAUAAUAUUAACAUCUUCAAGGUUUAUUCUCAGGUGGAGCCAAAGUAAAAGCAUGUGGUUUUCUUCAAUAUAUAACCCUAUUCGGAAACGCCAUUAGCUGUAUCGUCGAAGCAUCUCUCUGCAUGAUGUGAGUGCAAUUCUACUUGCCCAAACUCUUAACAAAUUUUAUUUAGCAGAUCACAAUGAACUUCUUGUUCUACGGUUUCUGAUAUAACCUGGUUAAUUCAAUCUUAUACAUGUUCCCUCUUUCCAAAAAAAGGGCAAUAAAAUAUAUGAAUUGCUCCCACGAGAGUAACUGGGAGAACCGGUGCUACAUUUUAAGCAAUCCAUAUAUGAUCAUCAUCGCCGUCACAGAGAUUCUGCUGUCCCAGAUUCCAGAUUUCGAUCAAAUACGGUGGAUUUCUGUUGUGGCUGCUGUCAUGUUCGUCACUUACUCUUUAAUUGGUCUUGGCCUAGGAAUUGCCCAAGUUGUAGGUACAGAUUUAUUCUUUUCUCAAGACAGAUGGCCAUCAAAUUCAAGAGAUUAUAUUGCCAAUACCAUAAAUAAGAAGUUGUUUCCAGCAAUUUUUUUUUCUUGAUGAGCAGAUACUGGAAGUUUCAAGGGUAGUUUUAGAGUAAUAAGCGUUGGAGAUGGGACUGAAACCCAAAAGGUAUGGAGGAUCCUCCGAGCUGUUAGAGGUAUCGCAAAUGCGUACUCAUUUUCUCAGAUCCUCAUUGAAACUCAGGUACUAAAAUAUGAUUCCAUCAGUUCAAAAACUAAGGAAAUGGUUAAGAGUGGAUAGAACAGACAGGAACUACCUUGUUUUUCCUUUUAUCUUUGUCAGGACACCAUCGGAUCUCCGCCAUCAGAAGCAAAGACCAUGAAGAAGGCCAUUUCUCGGAGCACCGCAGUGAUGACGACUAUCUACAUGCUAUGUGGCUGCAUUGGGUAUGCUGCUUUCGGAGAGGCCACUCCAAUAAAUUUUCUGAUGGAAUUGGCUUUUUACAAGCCAUUCUGGCUUCUCGAUAUUUCCAACGCUGCUAUGGUGAUCAAUCUCGUUGGAGCUUAUCAAGUAAACAGCCAGCCGAUAUUUGCCUUCGUCGAAAAAUGGGCCGAUCAGAGAUGGCGUGGUAGUGAGCUCAUCGCUAAAGAGAUAAAGAUCCCGGUACCGGGCUUGGGCCAAUACAACAUGAAUCUCUUUAGGCUUGUUUGGAGGACGGUUUUCGUGAUCCUGACCACUGUGAUAUCGAUGCUAGUGCCGUUCGUCUUCAACGAAGUUGUGGAUAUCAUCAGCUUGGGAUUUUGGCCUUUAAUGGUCUAUUUUCCCGUCGAGAUGUAUAUUAGACAGAAAUCAAUUGACAGAUGGAGCCGUAAAUGGGUAUACCUGCAAAUGCUGAGCAUGACCUGUCUUGUGAUAUCGAUCAUGGCAACUGUGGGUUCGAUCCCCCAACUUAAGGACGACCUUAAGGCUAAUCGGCCAUUCGGGAUGAGCUACUAAAAGUGCAUGGACCUUUGGUUGAUCGGCCAUUUCAGAAGAAAAAAUUACUAUCAUGGAAGUUUCAAGUUUCAUUGUUUCGUAUGGAAUUACGAACUCUGUAUCUUAUAUCCAUUGCAUAGGAAUAUUUGCUUUUUAUGCAAGUGAUGGUCGCACAUUGUCCUUUUGUUUUAAAAGAAAAAAAAUCUGAAAAUUUGGGUUUAAGUCACCACGUUCAUGUACAUUGGGUUAGGCUCCAUUCAUGUGGUAAUAGGUGUGCCGGCCUCCCAAGAUUAACAUGAGUGAGGGAAUUGUGAUAUGAAUAACGAAGGUCUCAUAUUAUUAUCACGUAAUCAAAGGUAAUUAAUCGAAAUCUCAUAAUUUGAAAGAGUUGUAUAUUUUUUUUUUUUUUGGGAAGAUGACAAAGAGGAGAUGUAUGGAUAACAAUAUUCAAAGAAAAAAAGUGAUUUUUUUUCCUGUUGGACAGUACUUCUUAAAAAUAGAAAGAUGAAAACUCCAAACGAAGUAUCGAUGAUAAAGGGCAUAAACCCACGCAAACAUCGCAAAUGAGUUACAUUGAUUGGCUCGUUAAUAUUGCGAUAGUAGUUAUUUCGUCAGUUUUGGAUUUUAUAACGAAAUGUCUUUCAUCAAGUGUUAUAUUUUGACUUUUAUUAAAAGAGAUUCAGGUUUUGUGUUAGUUUUGGACAAAGAUGGUCAAAUGCGAAUGAGACUAUACAUCUUAUAAUCUCAAAUUCAAAGAAGUCGCUAUCUUAACACGAGCUUAAUGUCAACGAUGGUCAAUGUUGAAAGCUAACCGGUAAUAUCAUCUAAACUUACUUUAACGUAAUAAUAAAAACCAAUUAAAAUUAAAGUAGUUUAUACAAUAUUAAAGGUACUUCGACAAUGCUGGAUACUAACAAAAUGCCUAGAAAGCACUACUCUCUACUAAGUUCAAGGAAAUCUAAUCAACGGUGUUGGAUAAUAAGGAUAACACCUACUAGACGCUUCUCCUAGAUGGAUAUGAGGACAUAACGUUGGAAUCUAAUCGAUGAUACUAGACAAUGAAAACAACACUUAAUACACACUGCUCCUAGAUGUGUAUGAGGACGUAAUGUCAAAAUCUGAUCAACGAUGCUGGAUAGUGAAAACAACACUUAGUACACACUACUCAUAGACGAGUACGAGGACACAAUGUCGGAAUCUAAUCGACAAUGCUAUAUAGUGGGUUAGCACUGAAAUUUAAUUAAUAGUACUGCUCGGGAUAUAGAUACUCGCUGGAAUUGAAUUUACGAUGGAAAUCUUAAGCUAUAACUAAGCUAAACUAAGUAAGGAUAAGUGCAAGAUAAAGUAAUUUUGUGUGUUGUUUAGGGGGUUCUUUGUUGGAUUGCUUGUGGUAUUUAUAGGCUGAUCUGGUAACCGUCAAUGGUCAAUUACUUUCUCCUCAAGAGUCGCUCAACUUUCUAUGUUGAACCGCCUUAUCCAUAUUUAGUUUCUGACCUCUUUGACAACAUUCUCACGGCUUGUUUAGUAGGCAUUAACUGCUCCUUUUGAGUUUGGUGCCAUUUUAACUAUUCCCGCCUUUUUCCACUGUCAAUGUUGUAUCUUCAUUAGUGACCCUUGGCUUCGACACAUGGUAACCAACUGCUUCAUCAUGGAAUUAUUUGUCUUUGCUUUUUUGUUUGUCGAAAUUUAGCCCAAGGUUUCUAAAAGUCUUUGGCUAUCCUUUAUUUUCAUAACCAUUUAUAGGUUGGGCCAAUGUAGAUUAUGGCCCAUAUAUCGCCAUCAAGGGCAAGUUUAUAGUUUUUUGUCCCUCAUGACCAGCACGUGCUUGUAGUAGUAUUUUUGAGUAUCAACAUAUGGAUUUAUUUAUUUUAAAGAAAAUAUCUCUUUUUGUGCAUGGUCUGUUAUGGAUGAUCAUUAUACCUUUCUAUUUUCUAACAUAUUAGCAGUUGAUACGAAUCAAUGGCUCUCAUUGCAUCUUGACACGUCGCUUCGGUUUUUGACAAAUAUUUUUAAUUUUUGAAUUGUUGUCUCCUACUCCCAAUAGAAGAAUACGCCUCAUCUUCUCUUUUGUACUUUUGUCUUAUUCCUUAAAUCCUAAAUCCUUCAUACUACUUGUAAGCUUUUCAUGGUGAUCGAAGCUCCCAAAUUCGAACCUAAAUCCUAUAUUUCGAACUUUGACUGCUUUCUUUACAUCAAGGAAGCCAGUUAUUGUCGAUUUCAACUUUUGAGCGUUGUAGAAGAGCAGCAUACAAAUUUGUUGCUUCUUGGGCUUGCCCUUUUGGACAAUAACCAUGCUCCACUGCCUCUCAAACCUUGUUUCCCAACCAUGUGGAAUGAGAAACUUUCAAUUUAGUACUCUUCUAUCAAGGAUAUCUAGACAUUUGCUCCUAGCAAGUUUCGAAGCUUUCCUUUAUUUGAAGAGAAUUUCCACGCCUGGUAUUUCAAUUAUAGGAUGAUUUGCCAACCUAGUUGACAUGGAUGAAUGCGGGCAUCGAGAUGGUAGUAGAGGUUAGCAUGUUGUCCCAUGAUCUAAAUAGAGAGUGGCUUUUUAUGUCUGCUUCUCAUCCCCAUCUAUCAAUUGUUUCUUUUUUCCUUGGGGACCCGUGUCUGUGACCCUUUUAGGCAUAUUCACUAUAUUUGGGUUUGUUCUAGAUGAUAUUUUUGUAGAUGAAAUCGAAGCUCUUGAGGACUUUUCCAUUUUUAAUGGUGUCCUCACUUAUGGAACUUUUUUUGAUGAGUACCAUAAAACCUCAGGUCCUAGUCUCUUCAAAGAACAAACUACUUUCUUACUUUAUUCGCUGUUGAAAUAUGUUUUCUUUAAUCCAUCCCAAAAAGUCUCAAAGGAUUUCUUUAGACUUCUUGCCAAUCUUGUGGGAGGAAAGAAAGUAGCUCUUGGCCCUCUUGUCUUAGCCAUCUUGUAUAGGAGUCUUACCUAUGUUGUCAUUUCGAUGAUGCCGAAAGAGACCAAAGUUCUAGCUGGUUUAUUCUGGAUUUUAAAAGUAUGAAUGGCUCUUUAUUUUCCUUUCUUAUUCAGUAGAAUUCCUCGUGCUCUUCCGUUCAGCCCAUCGUCGAAAUCCAUGUAGCCAAAACCUCAAAGUCUAUGUUACUGACUACUCACCUUAUCUCCUAGAAACGUUCUUGAUGACACUUCUCCUUUUCUUUACUACCUCCAGGAGAUUCUAAAUUUUGACCAUGCUCAUGUUGAACUCUUCCCUUAUGAAGCUUUCGAGUUCUACUACCUUUUUUCUGCAAAGAUUCAGCACCUAGAUGACUUCGAUACAUUUUGGUUGUCUCCAUUUGACCUUCCGAUACGGCUCUAUAAAAAGGAAAGAUUCUACCAUGGGUUGGAAGCCUAUUCUUCGCAGUACUGUGCCAAGUAGUUUGGUCUUCAUCGGGUUAUACUAAUGCCAAUUGCUUAUUUCAUGAAGUAUCCUUUGAUGAACAAAAAAAAAAAAAAAUUACAACUAUAAAAAACGCAAGCCCUUUGUCUAUUGCUAUUAGAUAAUUGUGACAAUAUGGGGCCGAUUUUCUCCAAAUUUGGAAGUUUUUUCAAUUUCUCCGGGAGUUAUAGCGGGAUAUACUAGCUAGUAGGUCUCUUUCACAUUUGCAAUCCCAUAUGAAGAAGCCAUCAAGAUUGUUUUCAAUCGAAUAAAGCAAUGCCGUCCCAAUCGAUUGAAACGACUAAGAAAGGCAAAUUAGUGUUGGAAUAUCCUCUUGAACUUGGUCCUCCAAUCAUAUCGACAACACUUAGAAUUGGGGCUUCAGAAGGGACUGACGUUCAUAUACCAGCUUCGUCGUGGCAAGAGGAUCUAGAGCAAGAAAAUCCAGGAGAGGAUCCAGGGCUAGAGCAAGAAGAUCUAGAAGAGGAAGAAGAAGAACCAUAGGAGGAGGAUUCUGGAGAAAGGCUAGUUAGGCGUCUGCUUGGACUAUCAAAGGUAUAAUCGAUUAAUCUCCUCUAAUUCUCCUAUAUUUUUGCUAACUCUUCUUCCUUUGCUAUCUAGAUACGCAUGUUGGUGUUAUAAUAUCUCAACUCAAUAAAAAAAAAAAAAAAAGGAUACUUCUCCCCUUUCGAUGAGGAAAUAACCUCGACUAAUGGCUGAAGAUGCGGCCUUAAUUCCAAUAGAAGAUAGCCACAUGUCUCCAAAUGAACCUAAUAACUUCAAUGGUCCACUUAAGGCCUCAAUAGAAGAUUUCCAGGGUACAGAAGCUCACCUUUUAACUCUUGGGAAUGCUGGGGUUGUGCUUACCUCUGUUCCUCUAGCAAUUCGUGGCAAGUGUUUUUCUCUUUUUUGUCAUAUCUUUGUUUGCUUAUUAUGCUUUUAGGUGUUGACAUUAUUUGACAUGACAGCUAUUAAUGCAUCAACUAGUGGCAAGGAAUCAACCUAGCAUACUUCUACUUAGCCUUUGAUCGAAGAUAUUGUUAUGGAGCUUGGUAUGUAUAAGGUCUCCUUACUCUGUUUUAGUAAAUGAACUAACUUUUAUCUUUACUUCUUUCAAUAUGACAGUAUCUAUCCCUCAAUCUCCACCAACCAUUGCAUCUUCGACAGCUAAUGUCACUCUGCCACAAGUUCCUCUUUCCAUUCUUGCUGUCAUUCAUCCACAAAGAGAACAAGACUUCUCUAGUUAUUCUGGCCAAUACUAUCAGUGCUUUGGAUGAAGUCGUUCGUGUCCUAGUUGUUGAUACUAGUGAUUUGACCUCAGGAGUUUCCUCAUAAGUGGUCAAACUUGAUAGUCUAAAGGACAAGCUAGCACAAUUUAUGUUCCUCUCAAGUGUUGGUAUAUCAUGAUGAUGAGCAGUCGGCCCACCCAUUCUUAGCUUAAGUCAUUGAUGGGUGAAUUGAACAAAGAUGAUAUUGGUGAUCUUCUGCCUCCAAGCCUUAAGUCAGGGCUCAAGGAUUUCUAUAAUAGGUUCUCAUCUAUUUUUGAUACUUAUCAUCAGAACCGGACUCAGUUCACAAUGUUAAUUGUUCUUAAAGAACCUCCUUUUGAGCUAAGUAAUCAAGUGAAAGAGGCAGAAUAAUAGGUAAAACAAGAUCAUUGAUCUCUGCAAGUUAACAUGAAUGAAAUUGCUGACCUUGAAAGGAAGGAGUAUACUCUUGAGAAACAAAAGGUGGCAAUUGAAAGGAGAUUGGAGGAAGUUCACUAGAAGUUGGAAACCAAGUUUAAUGGCAAAGCCCCAAGUGAAAAUCAAUUGCGCAAGUCUGUAGCUAUCCUCAAGGGAACGAAGAUAGAAGACUAUGCUCGUUGAAAGUAGUAAAUUUCAGAACGUCAUCGUGUCAUAAAUGAAUAUCUAAACCAAAACCUUGGUUUUGACUAGCUCAUGUGUAAUCUUCAGCAAGAUGUAAAAUCUUUCUUAUACCCUAAGUCUUCGGAAUGAAAUUGUCACGUCUCGAUCCUCAAGCACGCACUCAUCUCUUAUCUGGUCGAUAUAAUAGCGACAUCCCAAGACGGAUAGCUAACCCAUUCCUUUUUAAUACGCAUGCGAAAGCAUAUAGAAAAUUUCCAGAUAAUAAAACAAUGAGAUAGAAAAGUAGGGCCAUAUUUUUCAACAUGAAAAACCACAACCACACUUUUAUACUAAGCAACUCUCAUAGUAUAUAUUACAAUAUUAUUCACAAAAGUCUGGUCUAUCACGCAUCAGUAUACAUCUCGGGGUUUGCAAAAUAGGAUGGGGCCUUAGUCCUCAUCCGGGUCAUACUUUGGAUCGUCCUCGGGAUCCUCCUCUGAAUCAUCCUCUGAGUCCUCUUCAGGCUCCCCCUCUGGAUCAUUCUCCUCAUCAGGUUCCUCCUCUGGAUCAUCCUCUGAAUUAAUGACCACUCGUUCUUCGAUGCUCCAGCUGGAAUCCACGUUGGAGUAUAAUGGAGACUCUGGAUCGCCGAGCUUGGGAUCCUUUACAUUUACUACCAAUCCAUCCUUAGGAUUUGUCGUCCCUUCUCUGUACAUCUCUUCCAACACAUAUAAAGGCACAUCACUUUUUGGCAUGGGACCCUCUCUUCGCCCAUCAUGGUAGUGAUGGUACCACGACCGAUACUCGUGGGGCACCUUAUCAAGUUUACUCACAUCAACCCAGACAGUGGACUUGAUCAAUAUGUACUUCGGUCCUUCGGGAUGGUUAUGCAUAUGGAAGUUGUAUCCUAUCUUCGUAAUAUCUUAGGGUAUACCAAAAUGCAUGGGAGGAUGAGGAGAUGGAGGUGCUGCCAUCUAGGGGCCUGAAAUGUUAUUCCACAAUGGGGUGAGACGACGUCUCAGUGAGUUCUACCCCUUAAGACUCGAUUAGAAGGCCAAUACGUCAUAAAGGCUGCCUAUGCAUAACACGGGUCAGAGGACUUACCUUGACCUCAAAUUCCACCUACAAUACAACACAGUUCGAAUAGGCACCUAAUCAAUCACCACACAUCGAAACAUCGAUCAAUCGAGCUAGUCAAUUACAUGUCACUCAUAUCACUCCCCGGUCAUUUCAUUCAAUACUGUCCAUUCUCCAAGAUAACAUAUCAAGUUACCGAGCCAGUAUGUUAUAAUAUUCGUUCUCCGAAAUGACAAACUAAGUCACCGAGCCACUAUAAUAUACUAUUCAUUCUCCAAGAUAACCUAUCGAGUUAUCGAGCUAGUAUAUUAUAAUAUUCAUUGUCCGAGAUGACAUAUAGAGUCACUGAGUAUAUAAAACAUAACGUACAUUCUCCAAGAUGACAUAUAGAGUCACCGAGCCGUUAUGGUAUGUCGUCCAUUCUCCAAGAUGAUCUAUAGAGUCACCGAGUCGACAUUGCAUACCAUUCACUCUCUAAGACAACCUAUAAAGUCGUCGAGUCAGUAUAAUAUAACAUUCAGACUGUACAUCAAUUUACCACUUUUAUCAAUAUAUCGUUCUUUCUCCAAGAUGACAUAUAGAGUCAUCAAGCCAGUAUAAUAUGUCAUUUUGAUCGUACAAUCAAUUUGUCAUUUUUAUUAUUCUCGAUAAAAAUACACGUAUGUGGGUAUACGGCUGGCCUUAGCCAAAAUACAAGGUUUUCACUUUUGAACCUCCCACUAUUUUUGGCAGUCCCAAAAUAGAUUUUUGGCGCUAUAAACCGACGCCUGGUAAUUAUCCAAUUAAUUACCAAAAUUUAUUAAUUUAGGAAAUAAAUCCUAAAAUCACAAUUAAAUCAAUUCAGCACAAAUUAAAGCUCGAAUAAAUAAAUAAGCCGCACCACAGUAAUCAACAUAAAAUUCUGGUCACCGACUAUCCCGGUCUAAUUUCUGGAAAAUAAAUAAAUAAAUAAUAAAAUAAUUAUUGAAAAUAUUAAAUAAAUGCCAAUAAGUCCAAUUUAGGCUUGUAAUGCCUAAUUAGAUGCUUAAAUGGACCUGAAAAAAUUCCAAGGUUCAUUUAAUAAAUACUAGAACCUAUUUACUUGCUAAAUUCACUAACUAUUUGCUUAACAUGCAUCGAUAAGGCACUAAAUUAAUUCACCUAAUCUAAUCUAUCUACUUAAUUGCACUUAAUUAAAUCUAAUCAACCCAUAAGCAUCAUUAACCUACUAAGUGAGGUAUAGUGAGUAAAACUUACUUGAUUCGAGAUUCGAUUAGAUCAAAUCGUCGGGGAACGCGACGAGGCUCAACUUUUCCAAAGGCGAGCCUAACUUUCGAGGUUCGAGAGCACCUCAAAACGGGCCUAGAGCUUGCUGGAAAACCCACUCUUUUGCUCUCUGCUUUGAGCUGCAAACCAAAGAAAACAAAGGCUGAUGUAGGUCAAAGAUGGCUAAGGAGGCAAUUUGGUUUGGUGGCGGUCCAGGUGGUGACAACAGGGGCUCGAGUGGACAUCGGCAAUGGCUUGGGCUCCUUAGACAGCUUGUUGGAGACGGGGCCGGUAGGGACAAUGCAGGUGGAUGACGAUGAGGUGCGAAGGGCUGGCAGACGUGCGCGGGCGCUCGCUCGAUGGUGGGAUGGCGUUCCGGCAUGUGACGGCUGCUCUGGCUUUUGCUGGCUUUUGCUGGCUUCUUGUGUGCAAAAAUGAAGAGGAGGUAGAGAGAAGAAGCUAACCGAUUGCUUUGUGAGGGAAAGAGAGAAGGGAUGGGGAGACAAGGGGCCUACCAUGCUCAAUCUCAUCCAAAUUGGUCCCCUUGACCUUUGCUUAGCCACAGCUGGUCUCCAUGGCCACCAAGCAGCCACCAAGGCUCCAAACACAACCCUUGAAAUGGUCCAAAAUGGCUAGGUAAGGGGGGCAUACGAAUUUCCUUAAUUUUUCUCUCAAUUGGCCACUUGUUCCUACUUGUUUCAUCAUAAAUCGGCCUCGAUAAAUUCAAUCAACAUCCCAACAAUCAAAUUGACAUUUUUCCUCACCAAUUAAUCCAUCUUGCAUCCCAAUUACGCAAUAAAAAAACGAUCACUGGCUUUUUCUAGACAAAAACGGCCUUAGGACAACUUUUUCCCAAAAAGUCUCGGGUUGCAGAAAAAUCUUUUGAGACUGAGUUGAUACUCCUAGAAUUUAUUGUGACAUGACAAAAUUUUUAAUUUCUAAAAUCGGACUUGAAUUCACAGUUAAUUUCCAUUUGGCGCAUUUUUAGCGUAACUUAGGCUACCGGGUAACUUUCAUAAAGUUUUUUUUAGUGCAAAUGACCCGUGGUCAAUUUUCUUCGAGUCAUGAUGAACCCACUCGACUCAUUGGCAACUCUCAGUUGUCGUGAAAAUCUCAAUGAUUCAAAUACGGACACAGGGUACCAAAACGAUAGAAAAAUCAGUUUAGUGCUGGCCUAUAAGAAUUUUCCAAUUUAAUGGUGUCACCCAUGAUUAGUCACAUAUCUCUGUCAAACCAGCCUAUCUCUGAUAGGAGCACGGUCGAGAAGCCGAUUCCUAGUCGAAUUCUCAAGUCUAUUGCCUUAAAAUUCCUUAAUGGCUUCCCCAAAUAGUCUAGUUAUCUCAAGAGUGAUCAGCUCUUAGAACAGCCUUAUAGGCGCGUCAAUGAAAUGCCCGAUUUAUUCAGUAAAAAACAUGAUUGAAAAUCUGGGAUGUCACAUAAAUCAUUUAAUUGACAUACUCUAUCCUUUAUUUCCUUUAAAAUUUUACUUUGUAGCACCUUCAUUCUUAACUUCCUCCAUUGCAUGCCAAAGAUAAUUAUGGUGGGAUCUUCAAAUAUCAUAAACUCAUCCACAUUCCUCAAACGUAGGAUAGUGGGCUAACUUAGUUAUUCUUGGAGCCUAUUAAUAUCCAAUGGUCUUGUUCUUUCAUUAACACCUUUAUUUACAUACAAUGGCAGGUUGUUCUCAAAGUUCCAUGGGUAUUGAGGCGACCUCACACUUAUUGUGCUUAGAUCCGCUCUGUGUCCAUGAAGAGAGGAGAAAGCUCUUAUGUUUAUGGACCAAAGUAUUGAUACUGGUUAUAUUAACUUUGGUCCUCAUCUUAAGCUCUUGCCUCCUCCAUCUCUCCUUGCAAAGUGCUUCCCUCGUUACCAUGGAGAAAUUAUGCCCACACACCAGUCUUCGAUAUGUUCCUUUGCUUGGUCAAUUCCUAAUUGUCGCUUCAAUUUCUAUACUCCCUUCAACAGUCGAUUUCUCAAUAUGUAUAAAAGACUAAAGAAGGAAAUCUCAAGCAUAUGAAAUGAUGCCAAGAUUGAUGAACGUUUGAAGUUCUGCCAUAUGUCUAUUGAUCCUCUAGAGUACAAAUUGAUUGGUAACCUUUGCUAUUUUUUGGUCACCUUUGACUAAUUGUUGUUUUCCUUCCAAUUGGUCUAGUGACCAUUACUUUGCUAGAUAUAUGGUCUUUGACUGGCUUAUCUCCUUUUGUGGAACCCAACGGUAAAUACAUAAGUGCUUGUCCAUUCUUUAACAAGAUUCCUCACCUAGAUUUUUCUAAUGUUGUGUUCAUGGAUAGAUUCGCUAGGAUUAGUGGACCUAUCUUCGCUGAGGAAGAUGUCGCCUUCUUAUUAUGUUGGCUUUGUCGAUAUAUCUUCUGUCAAGUUUUGUUGACCGUAUCCCAUGAAUUCAUUAAAAUGGCGUAUGCAUUGUUGAAAGGUAUAUAUAUAAGAUUAGGUCGUAUGGCUCUGGCGGUAUUGUAUUGAGGCCUUAUGGAUGCACAAACUUCAUUAUCUAGAGGUCAUCCCAAAACCUUUCUUCAGUCCUUUAUGGAUUUUGCAUGGCUGGCCGCAUGUCUACUUUCCCCAGCUAUUUCACAAGAAGGGGCAAAUCCCAAUUCAUUGGCCUGAAAUGCAUGAAUCGUUUGUCAAAAGCGAAUUUGGGUUUUGGAAAUUCUGUCGAGUGCUUCCUUCACUGCCCAGUGGCUUUUCCCCAUUUGAAUGCUUGUUCAAUACAUUGCUGUCUCUGACUGACUUUGAUUUCUACAAGCAUAAAGCUUGCAGCCCUUUGACUACGUAGUCUGAUGUAUGCUUAUUCUAAUCACGUGUUUUGGCUCAUUCUAACCUUAUGCUAAACGCUAAACCUCUCUUAUGGAGGUCGAUUUUCCUUGGGCUUUGAGACAUGCAACCCACAUUAUUGUGCCCAACAAUUUGGACUGACCCAAGGUGUGCCCAUGCCAAUAUUGUAUUCGAUGAACUUUCCUUUCUUCAAGUCGCGCCUUGAUUAGGUGCAGGAUAGAGUUGCUAUCAUUUGUCAUAACAAAAUCACCCACAAUGUCUUUGAGCAUUUCUGCUUCGUCUGGAUUAUUCCCAUAGUUCUACAUCCUUCGAUGAGUGGUAAAACGACUGCCGGUUCCAACUGUUCCCUUGCUGUGCUAGUAGAGUCCUUUUGAAAGUCACCCAAUUUCCUUUGGGUUUAUUGCAUCAAUUCAAAAGACCUUCGGAGUUAUUUGAGUAUCGAGCCCUAAACAACUCUGGACAUUCAACUAGUGAAGGUAGUUCCUUUGUUUUUACUCAUUUUCAUUUGCUCAUCUUCUAAAUUACUUAUUCAAUGCAAAUGAUUCUUCAUCGUCCAAUGGGCAAACUAUACGGACCUUCGACGAGCUUAUGUAUGAUUCACCUCUUUAUCCAGCUAAUAUGAACUACAUUAAUAUGGUUCAAAUUUCAAGAGGUGCCAAUGAUCUUGGCUCACUAUUUCUCUUCUUACCUAAUGAGCCAAUUCCAUCUGAGGAUUGUAACUCCAUUCCAAUCAAAUGGUUACAACUUCAUGACCUAUUGAAGAAGGGUUAUGACAUCAUAUUUAAUGACAUAGUCAUUGAGUGUGAAAUCAAGACCCUCCUUACUCUCCUGACCAACCUGCCCUAUUCUCUACAGUGUCGAGCCCUUGAGUUUGCUAUCAAUGAAUUCUAUCUUUCUUUUGGCUCCACUCUAGAGUCAUAUAGGGCACGACUGAAGCAUAUAGAGGAUAUCGACAUGUCACGCCCUGAACCCCGGGCACAUAACAGCCCCUUCCUUGGUCGAUAGAAAGCGACGUCCCAGGAUUCAUCGACGACCAUUCAUUUUAAUCUUUCAUUUUGUGCAAGCGGAAACGAACCCUCUCCCAAUCAAGUAGACAAUCUAGCAAUCACAUAGGGAUAGAGAGAUGAACAGCAGAAACCACAACAAUAAUUACAACAACAACAACAACAACAACAUCUACUCAUAUAUACAUUUUUAUAUUGGAUUAACCUACGGAGAUACGCUUCCGAUCUACAAGCCCAACAGAGGGCCGAUCCAUCCUCUAAGCCAGACCAAAAAGACACUAGGCUAGGCUAACCCAACUAUACACAAAAAGAACCCUCGGGCUCGGCAAUAUAAUCACUCAUAUCCAACGAACUCAGACCCUGUCGAUUCACAAUUAGAGGCAAACGGGUCGAUCAUUGUUGAAGUGGGACCAAGAUCCUCUACUGCACCGUCAAGAUGGUCUAGCUCCAUGGGAUCCCAGUCAGUGUCCUCGGGGCCCCUACUGGGCGGCCCGUCAAAACCUCUCAGGGGACCGAUCAAUAAGUUGCCAUCCCGGAUGAACCAUGCCAAGAACCUAUGGGGUAUCCAUUGCCCCAAUCCCUCAUCCACCCAGAUAGUGGAGAGAUAUUUCUUGUACAGAUGCGUCCGACCCGAAAAGCGGUGGUGCAUCACGAUAGUAUCCCAGUCCUUAGGGAUACCGAACCUCAUUGGUGGAAGCGCCAUCCUAAGGACCUGAAAGUGGUUAUAUAAUAACCAGUGAGAUAAAAUCUUAGCGAGUCCUCCCCUAAGCCCUCGAUUAGAACACUAACUCAACUCGGAGUAUCUCUCCAGAACCACCUCACAAAUAAACCACGACUAACAACCAACAAUCAACAAAUCGAUUCACAUGCAACCUUACCCGAUAUGUCAAACCCUGCACAUUGAAUCUCAGCACAAUACACGCAAUGUACAUGGCCAUUAGAUGAUACAGUUCAUCAAUCACAUACGAGUCGCGUCACAAGCGAUCUCACCUGGCCAUUGCCACACCCUGCAUAUUAUUGAUUUAUGCAUGUGUGUCAUAAACAAAGUGAUCCACUCAUGUACAACCGGAACCAAUGAUGCCAUGAUUCUCAUAGGCUCUUGCACUUUAGUGCGCCACAUAACACAUAUCGAUCAAUCACACGGGUCCUGAUUAUAAGGUAAAAUCGUUAUAACGCGUCACAUACCGUGCCACACAAUUUGCCCCAUAAUAAGGCUCAACGAACUCAACACUCACGCAUGUUUCACUUAUUUAUGACCUCCCGGCCAUGGCCAACUUUCUAGUUAGCGAUCAUCCGACUCCUGCUGGGCUACUGAUAAAAAUUGGGCUUCGUCUGCCCCAUCGGGCACGGCAACGUCUAGAACUUCCGCCUAGACGGUAUCCCAAAAAGGAACAUCAGUCUAAAAUCUACUACAAUCGGCUUUCGACUCCCGCCGAGUAUCACCCCAAACUUCCGUUGGGUGACGGUUCAACUUUUGAUCACGUAAGCACACCACUAAGACUCCCUUUUUAUCUUUGCACAUUUAGCCAAAGCACAAUGCUUGCAAAUACAAUUUCAAAUCAUUUUCUCCUAAAGGCGGUCCAUUUCGGUGUCCCUCGGACAAACCGUUGUCCCAUUUUGUGAAAAUCACUCGAUUCAUGCGGAUGCCCAUGCAUUUACACAUCUAUUCACCUCAUAGGAUUAAAACACAUGAAAUUAGACAACUUUUCACUCUUAGAUGAACAGUGCGUGUGAACAGUACCGCGUGAACAGUAACUUGUGAAAAGUGAAAUUCCGAAAUUUCCUAACUAAUAAAUUAAAUUCAGAAAUCAUUAAAAACAUUAAUUAAAAUAAACGACCAAUCAGUUAAAGCUAAACAUACUUAAUCAAACAUAUAAGCCACAUUAAGCAAAUAAAGCAAGAUUAAGCUAAAGUAAUUUUAAUCAUCUAUCUAACCACCUAUCUUAGGGCUAAUAUAACUUAAUUAAAUCUCCUAAACUAGAAUUAACUCUAAUUAAACCAACCCUAAACAAGUUUAGGCACGAAUCGACGGAUUAGAAGCUAAACUCACCCGUUAAGCGGGUCGGAGACACUGACGCGGUGGUGACGAAAGAGGCUACGCACGGGGACCUCAACCACAUAAAUCCAAGGUGGUCAAGCUCAAAAUAGCAGCAACAAACUCUACCUCUCACUGCAACUCUAGAAACUGGACUACAGAGGCAAGAAAAGAGCUGAAGUACUUAGCCGGAGCUUCGACAAGGGAUUGGCCAGCGACCGGCGGCACCUGGGGUCAAGGGGGAUCUGCUGAUGGCUGGGUUGGGCAGAGGUUGGGUUGAAAAGGAAGGAAAAUGGUUGAAAUAGGCGAAACAGUGCAGGCGGGCAGCUGCCAAGCGGUCCGGCGAGCAGUGACUUCUAGCCAGCCAGCAGGUCAGCCAGUGGCUCCGACCGGCGAGCAGCCAAGUUGGUCUGUAAAGUCUGGGUGUCCUAGACACGGUGGUGGGUGGCACAAGGGCUGAUUUGCACGGGAAGCCAACACUUAACUUAGCUUUUCGCAAGAAGAUCAGCUGGAGGAGAAAUGGGAAGGAAGGGAAAACAGAGGAGGGAGGGGGCUACGAAUUUUCUAGGUGAAAAGGGAGGAGAGAGAGAGAGAGAAGAAAGAGCUGGUUGUCUUCCUCAUUAAGGCCAUUAAGGCUUGCCCCAAGUCCCCAUGCAAAGUGACCUCAUCUUCUUCCUCAUCCUUUGACUUAUCCAUACAAAAGCUAGGGGCAAAAUGGUCAUUUCCACCUUGCACAAUUUCCCAAUCUGCCCUUAGACCUUGCACAAUUUCCCAAUCUGCCCUUAGGCUGAAAAUGAAAAGUGGGCCUAAGAAAUGAGCUAGGAAAUGAAUAGGAAUGGGCUUAGGAGAUCAAAUGGUGGGUUGGGCCUAAUGGGUUCACUUGCUUGCCUUGGGCCUACCAUGGUGGUUGUCCCAUCUUGGGCUUAAGGCCCACACCUACUUUGCUCGGCCCACAUCCUCACACGCUUGCUCCCUCAGUCUGUAAGUUCUUUUUCCCGACACUUGGCUUGACUGGCACUACCGAUUGCCGAAGUAGCAACAUCUGAGGUCCAUCUUGGACGUUCCCAAUAAUUCGAAAUCCAAUCUUGGGUUCUCAUGCCAUGUCAAUUUUUCCCUAAUGCCAUUUUGGGUACAACUCAGAUUAAUAGGUGGCUUUGAGGAUUCACGCGUAACCAACUCGUGCCAAACCACGUUCAAAACAUCUCGACACAUGGAUGUCCUUGACUACAUAAAAUUGCAGAUGAUAGAUUCUUUUUUCAAAGUACACGAUUAUCGAGGAUCGAUCUAGGGUCGUUCGCGGGCUUAAUAACAGUUACGAAAUCACUCGUCGUUCCAUUAUGUUCUGUCCGCGACUUGACUUCUAGUCGUCCUUGAAAUCGGCCUGCCUAUCUACAGGAUCGUCCUCACACAAGUUUCACGAUCAAGUCGUUUUCCCCAGUCAAGUUCUUUAGUCGUAUGAGUUUUGUCCUCAUUAGCCUUUCCCCUCAAGGUCAAUAUCUCAGGAGUGAUCAAUUCCAAGUGAGAUCAACCAAUAAUGCAUUGACGAAAUUCACAUUUAUUCAUCCCUCAAAGGGCUCGAUUUUCAAGAUGUCACACAACAAGCUAGAGGAGAAUGUCUUUUUCAAAAGGGAGGAACUGUCCCGACAACGCACCACUUUCAGCAUUCUAAAGGUGAAUGAUCACUCCCUUGCAAGCAUUAUUGAUUCAAUCAAGGUUGAUCACUGACUUGGAGGCAGUCUGUGUUUCCUUGGAGCUUAAACUAUUGGAGCUUGAUAGCAAAAGGAAUGAGUAUUUAUCAUGAACCAAGAUUCAUCUGAAUCACUUGCAGUCGACCGUCUUCAUCACAUUUAAUGACCAAAGGCUUCUCGCUUGUCUCAAUCCUUCAAUAAUCGUGACUCUUCAACAGUUGAGCAUGAUUUGCAUUGGUUAACAUCACAUCAUUUCAAUUUCCAUUAUAAUCUUAAUUGUAUGCGUUGUAUCAAUCCAUUAUCCCACGACGAACGAAUUCCUAUUUUGCCAGUUGUACUACAAUGAUGCACGUUCAUCCGUUCUCUUAUCACAUUGGUUCAUCAAGGGUCAUGACUAUUCGGCUUCCAAAUUUCGCCUAUAAAUGGUGUGGUUCAUGGCAGUCGGAUUCCCAUACACCAAUUCGACCUUUGAAGCUUUCCUGCAUUUCUACCAAAUCAAAAUAGCGCUAAAAAUCGUCUUCUUCCUCCUUCUCUUCUCCAUACUACGACAGCCAUUUCAUCACCCUAUGAACAUAACUACUCUCUUACCUUAACCUCACAUAUAGCUUGCUGACCACCAAGCCUAGUGCCCUAGAAAGACUCAAAACCUUUGUGACUCAAUGUUGUACCCAAGAAGCUUCCUAAGGGUGACCCUUUCAUCGCCGACUAUGAUGAGUUCCCGGUGACCUUCAACCAUGGUGUUGAAAGCUUCCAAUCCAACUUGGGAGACAUCGUUACUUUCGACAUCGAAAAGCACGAGUAAUGGAGCAAGAAGGAGGAGAUCGAAAAUGCCAAUGCGGUCUACCGUGAAAUCAAGGAGGUAGAAGGAACCCUUCAUGCCGUCCAUACUCAGUUGCCUAGGUUCUAGGGGGUCAUCUCCAACCGGGCUAAAGCGGUGAAGAAGUGGCUGAAGAAUGGGCUAGCCCCUGGUGAGCAACGAGAGCUCGAGAUUGACAAGGUUAUGCUAGCCAGAUCCCUAUCGUCUAUGGACUCCAACAUCAAGGCUAUCGAAGCUUUGCUUGAGAAGGCCGACGAACUAAUUGGAGACCAGUUGGUUCUUCUCUAGUGCUUGGAGAAGGAAAGAGACGCCCUCGAGACGGCGAUGGAUAAGUUGCAGAAGCCUAAGGAGCGCAUAGAAAAAGCCAACGACCACCUAAAGACAUCGCUGCACCACUUCGUGGUUGCGUGCGGGAGUAGGAAGGAAGGAAGAAGGAAGGAAGGAAGAGAGAGAGAGAGAGAGAGAGAGAGAGAGAGAGAUAAAAACAAAAUGAAAAUAAGAAUGAAAAAUUUUAGAAAUUCUCUGACCUUUUAUUUUCUUCAAUCUCUUGCCUUUCCCACAUAGUCAGAUAGUACUUCUUUAGGAACUUGCCAUUAAUCGAUCGUUGAAAUUCUUUUCCGUCCAUCUCCAUUAAUCAAUAUGUAUUCCUAGUAAGAACUUCACUGACUAAGUAUAGGUCUUCCUAAAUUGAUGAUCAUUUACCAAAUCUUUCAUUAUCCGUACUUGUGGGUAAUAUAGUCUUCCAAACCAAAUCACUAAUAUCAAUAUUCUUAUGCUUGACAUACUUAUUGUAUGCUCUGGCAACACUUCAUUUCUGGGCAACCAACUUACUCUCACCUAGGUCAUCAACAUUGGCAUACAUCAACUUAUCAUACUCUUUCUUUGAAAAGUUGUCCUGUAAUUUCACCCUACAUGACUAUACUGUAAUUUCAAACGGGAGGACGGCUUCUUGUCCAUAUGUUAGCAUAUGUGGGCUAACCCCAAUACUUGAUAUCUUUGAUAUUCAAUAAGUCCAUAACACUAUUGAUAAUAGGAUGUUCCAUUCUUGUGGGUUUUCCUCCAAGUACUUCUUGAUAAGAUUAAUGAUGAUCUUGUUGGAAGCAUUGACUUGACUAUUAGCCUGAGUAUAAUAAGGCGUCCAAUGAACCAUUUUAAUGCUUCUAGAUUUCAAAAAUCCCAACGCCUCUUGCCAUGUAAACACUGUCCCUUGGUUAGCAGUUAUAGACUCAAUAAUCCGAAAUCGAUGGAUAAUCCGUUCUUCGAUAAACUCCCUCACAACCUUUUGUAUUAUAUCCUUAUAGGAAGCGGCUUCUUCCCACUUUGUGAAGUAAUUAGUUGCCACUGGAUGAAACUAUGCUUCUUCGAUGGUGGGGGUAAAUUUUACCUAUUAAAUCCAUUACCCAACCUCGAAAAGGUCACGGUUUAAUAAUAGGUUUCAUUAUUGCAGUUGGCACAUGUUGGAGCGGACUAUGUUUCUGGCAGGGCUUACAACCUUUAGUAUAAUUGAUGCGAUCCUUUGUAAUAAUUGAUUAAACGUAACCAUUUCAUUUUCAUUUUUAUCCCGGCUUGGUGUUUGCCACAAAUUCUUUUUAUGUAUUUCGGCCAUUACAACCAUCAAUUCUUGCUUUCCUAGACACCUUAGUGACAGCCCAUGCACUGUCCUUUGAUACAACUCAUCACCAAUUAACAAGUACUUCAUCACCUAUCUCUUAAAUUCUUGUUAUCGGCAACUGGGUUUUUCUUAAGUAAUUUAUCAGUGGAAUUCUCUAAUCUUGCUUGUCUUGAUCAUCGUGGCUCUCGACCACACAGCUUGGUACCAUUAUCACUCCAUUAUCUAUCGUUACCAGUGUAAUAAUAUGUUCUGCGAGCUCUUUAGAUAUUUUAUAAUCGGAUGCCAUUUGAGCUAAUUCAUUGGUUUUCGAAUUCUCAUUUCUCCUAACAUGAAUUAAUUCACAUUUGGCGAAAUUUUUCAAUAAAUCUUUUGUUAGGAUGGGAUGUGAUAUUAUGUUUUCAUUUAAGCACUGAUAUUCUCUGGUCAGCUACUUUAUAACUAAUUGUGAAGCUCCUUUGAUCCUCACAAAUUAGACCUUCAUGUCGAUCAAUAUUUUGAGAACAACAAUCAAAGCUUCAUACUCUGCUUGAUUGUUCAAACAUAGAAUAAAUUUAGUUUUAUGACCUUGUGGAGACACGAUCAUAAUCCCAGCGCCUGAUGAUCCGAAUGCGCUUGAUCCAUUGAAAUAUAAACUUACAGUAGUACUCAAAUAAAGUUUCAUCAUCUUCAAUCUUUAAAGGGGUGAGUAUUUUGCAAUGAAUUGAAUUUGCAUAAAGCUUCCAACUUCAAAUGCAAAAGGAGCCAUCAAUUCAACAAUAAAAAGAAUGAGAUUGAUCAGGCACCCAAGAUGGUUAAGACCUUCCGACGCAAGAAGCGUGGUGAGAAAAAGGAUAAGGCCAUGAUGAACUCCUACAAUUAUGGCAAAUUAGGUCACUUUGCUCUUGAAUGAACUGAGUCGAAAGAAGUACCACAUUUCUGUGAAAGCUAGUAUGAACACCUAGAGGGGGAUGAAUAGGUGUUUAAAAUAAACCUUGGCAAAUAUAUGCGGAAUAAAGUAAUUUCAAGUAAAACAAAGGAAUUAGGGAAGAGAAUAAGAACAUAAGAUUUAUAGUGGUUCGGCUUAAUCCAAGCCUACGUUAACUCUCCCACGCUAACAGCCUUCUUGGCUGGAUUCCACUAUGCAAUCAACAAGAGAUUACAACUUUGAGUGCAAACACUUAGUAGAUCACACUAUCUCACUAAGUCACUCUUUUGGUAUUUCUCUCACGGUCACAAACGUUUAAGCUCUCCAAAGACAAGUGUAUGAUCGAAGGUCGCUCAGACUUUGGAAUUAUAAAUUCUACGCUCUAUCUCUUACUUGCUCAUCGGUCCUUCAUCUCCUUAAAUACUUCUCCACUUCCAAACUAGCCGUUGGACAGUAUCCCAGAGAAUCGUCUUCCAAUAUACCCAUUGGACAGCUCUGUAUCUAGAAGAUUUGGUAGCCGUUGAGUGACAAAGGUAGAAUCCCAAAUUGAUUCCGAUCGCCCAUACAAACGGAAUCUUGGUUUCCAUAAGUAAAGCUUCUUCGUAUAAAAAGAUCUUGUCUUCAAGAUCCAAUUGUCAAUCAAUUAGAUUGAGUCAAUCAAAUCAAUCUUGAUGUGGAAUCCAAACCAGAUCAUUAGCCGUUAUAUGAUUGGGCUUGAGUUACGUUCUGUCGAAUCUGGAUGUAAAGUCUAAGAGCAAUAGACUUUACAAUCUGAGUCUGAGUGCGAUAGACUUUGCAAUCUGAGUCUGAACAUAUUAUGCUUUUGAACAAAUUUAGCUUUAAGGUAUGUACCCAGUUUAGCUUCAGCAUAGAGUCUGUCUUCUGGUUCAUCAUUCACGUUCAGUCUGGAAUUUGUCAGAAUGAGCAGACUUCUGAUGUAGAACAGACUUUGACACUAAAGUCUGGCAAUGUUUAGACUUUGACACAGAAGUCUGGAAAUCUUCAGAAUAUACUUUGGACAUGAGUUACGUUCAGUCUUCUGGCCGUCUUCAGACUUUGACAAUAUCCUUUACAUGUUCUAUUAUCUGUAUUGUCUAUUACUUAAUUAUCAAAUAUGUUAGUAGCCUUUGAUUUAUUUUGUCAUCUUCAAAACAUCAUAAGGGAUUUCCCUAACAAUUUCUCCAUUACUUUAAGUAAUAUUUUUAUUUCUAACACUAUAAUACUUGCUGAAUCUUAUCCAAUGUGGAAUGUAGACUCAAGAACAAUAAACCACGUAGCUAAAGACCGAUGAGCAUUUGUGGAGUAUCGUUGGAUACAAUUUGGAAGAAUAUGGAUAUAUGUGGCACCCCUCGAUGGCCCCUGAUCCAUUAGGGUCGCCACAGCUUGCUUACCUUUCACUUUCCCUAAUAACAUGUUACCAUGAUACCAUUUCAAUUGCAGCGGGUCCAUACAACCUGGGGGUUUACAUUUUUUUUUUUUAUCGGUCUCUUGCGCAAUUCAUAUAGCGGAAGCACAUCCAUCAAUUCCCUUCCUUAUAUUCAGAAAACAAUGCACACCAACUAAACAUUUAUAGGUAAAAGCCGAACACUUUUAUUUACUUAAACCAGAUGGACAUCAUUCAUUGGUACAUCAAAAAGCCAUAGUUUUCUAUAUUUGGCUAUACUUCAAAAGAUAACCGACAUCUCCUCCAACAGUCGUAUACUUAAAGUCCAUUGAUUAGUGUCGGCAUCCAAAAGUUCAUUCCUUUGCUAUCCUCCUCCCCGCGGUCAUAUCCAACCACUUGAUCCAUCUACUGGUGGUAGUGGCAGUAGAUAAAUCUUAUCUAGUCUGAAAUGUUAAUCCCCAAAAGGGGUGAGUACAACCACUCGGCAGUAAAGAUCCACCAAACUACUCAUUGCGUCACACAUAACAAUCAAGGCAUCAUAACAGAGCACAUAUCAUUCAUGCAUUCAAGCAUAACUUACCUUGCAACCAUGCAUAUGUCAUCAUACCAUAUGUGCAUAUACCAUCAUGCACUCAUCAUCAAGCAUUCAUGCAUAUAUCACCAUGCCAUAUGUGCAUAUACCACCAUGCACUCAUCAUCAAGCAUUCAUGCAGAUAUCGCCAUGCCCUAUGUGCAUAUACCACCAUGCACUCAUCAUCAAGCAUUCAUACAUAUCCAUGCCAUAGGUGCAUAUACCACCAUGCAAUCAUGCAUAUCUCACCAUGCCAUCGUGCAUAUACCACCAUGAUUCAUAUCAUCUAUGCUAUCAAGCAUACAUCACCAUGAGAUCCAUUCAUGCCUUUAUGAUCACAUUUUCAAUAUCAAAUAGCAUUAAUUUACUUUCAUAAGCAGAUCAUGCAUCAUGCCAUAUACACACACCCAUGCACAUGAUUCAUUUUCAAUUCUUAUCUUUCACAAGGAUCUCAUCAGUUUUUCUUUCUAGGGACCAAUGUUUGCAUCCCACAAUUUAUUGCUCACACCCAACCUGGCAUCGCGAGAAACCUCCGGCACACACCUCCAAGCAUUCGACACCCCCACAUUCCGGGCAUCUCGUAUCCCAACUAGCAUCAUAAGGAAUCCCCCCGGCACAUAUCUCCAAGGCUUCCGGGAUUACGUACCGACAUACCACUAGGCAUUCCCCCUGGAAUUACGUACUGUAUACCACCGGGUAUCUCGAAACUCCCAAGGACAUCCGGGCAUAUAUCGCAAUACAACCGGGCAUUUGGCACCCCCACAUUCCGGGCAUCCCGACACUCCCGGGGCAUCGUCGGCUCACACCUCCGACGGUAUCUUCAUUUAUCACAAUUCAUGUUCACAAUUGUGUCUCAAUAUUAACAUGGCACAUGAUGUGAUGACAACAAAGUCAAUUUCAGCUUUUGAUUUUAUACGUAAUGCCAUAUAUCAUCACAUAUGCAGCAAGAUCAAUUACUAUUCUUUUAGAAAACAGAAAGCAUUCUUUUUUAAUUUACAUUUCCUAUAAUUUAGUAAUUGUCUCUAAUAAUUUCUAAGAAUUUAGUACAUCAUAGACAAACUCUAAGGGCAUUCAUCUCAUGAAGAACACAGCACCACCAAAAUUUCAUACAAAACAUGAUAGUCCAUGCAUCACAGCUUUUGAAUUUGCACAAUCCAGCUAGCACGGUUUUAGAAAAAAUUUUCAUUAAAUACCCAAAUGACAUUCCAAAAUUAUGAAAUUCGAACAUGUGAUAGUCAAGAUAUAAAGGCAGAUACUUCAUGUAGAACACUACACCAAAAGAUCCCUAUAUAGUUCAAUACAGACCACACAUCACAGCACUACUAAUUAUGCCCGUUCCACUUGCACAGUUUUUUGAAACAUUUUUGGUUAAAUAGUGAACUUCAAAAAUUAUGGAAUUUGAAUAUGUUGUAGGCAAGACAUAAAUAAAGGUAUUUCAUGCAGAACACUUUUUCAGAAGAAUCUCAUACAAAACGGUGUAGACCACGCAUUGCAACAUUACCAAGUCCGGACACAUCAGAUUGCACAGUUUUAAAAACAUUUUCAAUUAAAAACCCAAAUGACCUUUAAAAAUUAUGAAAUUCGACUAUGUGAUAGCCAAGACCAUAAGGUAAAUACUUCAUGAAGAUAUUGAAGUCAGAUUCGUCCUAGGUAAUUAAAUAUAGGCGGUUAAAACUUCUGUUCCUAGUGCCGAAAUUUCCAGAUCUAACCAUCUCCGAAAGACCACGAUUUCACCUACUUAGUCUUGUUUUUUUUCUCUAAUUUUUUGAUAUGUUCUACCUCAAGCAGUAAACUACAAAUUUCAUUAAGAAAUCAAGGUGAUAAUUUCACAAGAAGGUUACUUUACAGGCCACGAAACCACUGAAGGUCAGCACAACGAAUUCCAGAUCUAGUCUCUCCAAAGAAAAUCAUUUCACUAACCAUUUCUUGUUCGUUUUGCCUAAAAUUUUAUUAUGUUGUUCUUCAAGGUGUUCUCUACAACUUUCAUGAAGCAAUCAAAACAAUAUUCUGACUAAAAAGUCACAUGCAACACACAAUCUCAUGGACGGUCAGACUGGUCUUUCCUGAAACAGCAUGCAUGGCCAACGAAUUUCUCCCCAAAGCUUCGACUUUUCAUCACAUCUACCGCAACCAACAUUCACCAUCUUCUACACACACAUCACAUCAAUGCAAAUGGUAGGUUUUAGGACUUCACUUGCCUUAAAUCAAAGGAAAAUACAGCAAGAACGACGGCGGGACUAGGCGGGCUCGACAGCGUCUCCUCUUCCUCUCUUCCUCUCUUUCUCUCUUCUUUCUUUGGACAGUACUCUCUCUCUCUCUCUCUCUUCUCUCUCUUCUGGUCGAAAUCCCCCUCCCCCUUUUCCUUUUAGUUGAAUUAAAACCCUUGCAUGCUUUACUUCUUGCAUGGAUGGACACUUGGUUACAAAGGGGCAACACUUGGCAAGCUUUUCUUGCCACUUGGCACUUUUGCCAUGCACAUGAUGGGCCUUCAUUUGGCUGGGCUUGGGCCAGCCUUGGUCAACCACUUCAUGGGCUCCUUGGGACGGGCCUCUUGGCCCACUUUAGGCCAACACUCUUGGGCCUAAAGUCCAAGCUUAAAUGGCCCAUAUUUAUUUUUGAUAAUCCAUCUUAAUCCCACUUAUACAAGGUACCAAAUUACAAAUUUAAAUGGCCAUAAUACUUUAUAACAUAGUUUAAUAAAAUCCAACUUAUAAAAUUCAUGGCCAAAAACAUAAUUUCCUCAUCAAAUAAAAUCAUUGGUCUCACAUGGACAUGGGACGCGUUUCCAAUAAAAUAAUUAUCCAUUUAUAUAAAUACCAUAUCAUUCUUAUUCACUUGGCCAUAAAUCUUGAAAUCAUAAAUCAAUAAACUCCUACUUAUAAAACACAUGGCCAUGAGUUAUUUUUGGGAUGCCACAAUAUAUGUUGGGAAUAACUCAAGAGUUGAAGUAAAGGGUAUUAGCACUUGUAAAUUAAUUUUACAUGAUGGUUGAAGCGUAUUUCUACAUGAUAUCCUUUACGCUCCAAAUAUUCGACGGAACUUGGUUUCUAUAGUUUUUCUUCUUAGCCUACAUUAUGUAUUGAACUUUCAUAGUGAUUGUGUUGAUAUUUUAUUUGGAACAAUUUAUUAUAGUUUUGGUCAUAUAUUAAAUGGUUUUAUGGUGUUAGACAUUGAUGGUUGUUUUUCUUUAAUUACAUCUUCUAGUAAUGUUGAGAUUGAUGCAAGUACUUGGUAUGCUAGGCUAUGUCACAUUGGGUUACAAAGAAUACAAAGGUUAGAUAGAGAAAGCCUUUUAGGGUCACUUGCUAAUAUUGAUCUACCUAUUUAUGAACAUUGUCUAGCAGAAAAAGCAACUAGAAAACUAUUUGAUCAAUGAACUAUAGUCGAACUUCCAUUGCAAUUCAUACAUUCUGAUAUUUGUGGUCCAUUGAACGUGAGGGCGAUGCAUAGAGUCUCAUAUUUCAUUACUUUUAUAGAUGACUUUACGCAUUUCGGUCAUGUCUUUCCAAUCUCCCAUAAGUCAAAAGCAUUAGGCUGCUUGAGACAAUAUAUAACAUUAGUAAAGAAUUAGUUGAACAAAAUAAUAAAGGCAUUGACAACCGAUCAUAGACGUAAGUAUCUAUUUGAGCAAUUCAAGGCUCAUUGUGAUGAAAAGGGAAUUGUAAGACAAUUGAUUAUUCCUGAUACUUCGCAACAAAAUGGGGUUGCUGAAAGAAUGAAUAGAACCUUAUUGGAAAUGGUUAGGUCUACUAUGACGCAAGCAAAUUUACCUAUCUCAUAUUACGGAGAUGCAUUAUUGACUACUAUCUACAUACUUAAUCGUGUAUCCUCAAAGUCAAUCACUUCCACUCAUUAUGAAUUGUGAACUGGUAGGAAACCAGACUUAAGUAAUAUAUGUCAUUGGAGGUGUGUAGUUUAUAUUUGUGAUUCUUCCCAUAAAUAUAGUAAAUUAGGCUCUGGAGGGAAGAAAUGUAUAUUUAUAAGAUAUUUGGAAUACUCCAAAGGGUAUUUGUUCUUAGGUGAACAAGCUGAUGGAAGUGUGACCAAAAUGGAGUCACAAGAUAUUACGUUCUUAGAGAACGAUUUUCCUAGUAGAUGUGAGGUUGAUAAGGACUUCUAAUCAUAUGAGAUAGAAGACCCUUAUAACAUACCCACUAAUGUUGUCGAGGGAAAUAAAGAUUUGUCCCGACAUACAAGACUUAGUGGGAGUGUCGCAUUGCUUGACGAACUGAAUUCAAAAGAAGUUCAGUUACGUAAAAGUAAUCGUAAAAAUAUUCCUUGUUGUCAUUUUGAGAUUGAAUGGGAAGAAUUAAUGAUUACUUCGCAAGACAAUGCUGAGGCUAAAAUUAUCAUAGAGGCUCUCUCAUCCUUUGAUAAAAAAAGGAUGGAGAAAAACUUUAGAAGAUUAAAUGGAAUGAGGGCAAACCACGUUUGGGACUUGGCUGAUCUACCAUCCAAUUGUAACUAUUAUAACUAAAUAGGUUUUCAAGAUUAAGCGAAGGGUGGAUGAAUUCAUUAAAAAGUAUAAGGCUCAUCUCGUGGCAAAAUGUUAUACUUAACAAGAGGGUUUAGACUAUAAGGAAACAAUUUCACCAGUUAUAAGAUUUGCCUUAAUACGCGUUAUCUUAGCCAUUAGUGCACAUUUGGACUUAGAAUUACAUCAAAUAGAUGUAAAGACAACAUUUUUCAAUGGAGAACUAGAUGAUGAAAUCUAUAUAAAGCAGUCAAUAGAUUUCAUAAUUGAAGGUCAUGAGUGUAAAAUUUACAAAUUUCAUCGCUCAAUAUAUGGCCUUAAGCAAUCAUCUAAACAGUGGUAUUUUCGUUUUCAUCGAACCAUAAUGUCUUUCAGAUUCACGAUGAUAGAAGAAGAUCAGUGUGUAUAUGUCGAAUGGUCUGACGAUAAAUUUGUGAUUUUAUCACUUUAUGUAGACGAUAUUUAUUGACUGAAAUGACAAGGAUUUUGUUAUCACUACAAAAUAAUGGUCGUCCUAUAAUUUUGAAAUGAAUGACAUAAGAGAAGCUGCUUAUAUAUUAUGAGUUAAGAUCAAAAGAGAUCGAUCAAGAAAACUCCUUACUUUAUCACAAGAGUCUUAUAUAAUGAAAAUUCUUAAGCAUUUCAAUAUGCAGCAUUAUAAUCUCAUUGAUACCCCUGUCAUUCAAGGCAAAGGCCUAAAUACUAAGAUGUGUCUUAAGACUUUAGAAGAAAAUAAAGAAAUGGAAAUUGUUCAUUAUGCUAGUGCGGUGGGAAGUUUGAUAUAUGCUAUGAUGUAUACCCAACCCAACAUAUGUCAUGUCAUGGGGUUGGUGAGUUAAUAUAAAUCAAAUCUUAGUCAAGCACAAUGAAAAGCAGUGAAAAAAAUCCUGAAAUACUUAAAAGGCACUAUGGACUAUCGAAUUUGUUAUCAAUGGAAUGAUUUAUGCUUAUUAGACUAUUUAGAAGCUGAUUGGGGAGAAGACCUAUAUGAGCGUAAAUCAACAAUUUAACUUUUGGAUAUGCAUUCUUACUCAAUGAAUGUGCAAUUUCUUGAAAUAGCAAGAAACAUACAUGCAUGGCCUUGUCUACAAUAGAAGCAAAAAUUAUUGCAUGCUCUGCUGUAGUGCAAGAAGCCGUAUGGUUAAAAAAAAAAAUUAGAAAAUUUAGUCAUUGUCAUUAAGGUUCCAAGACCAGUGAUAGUUUAUUGUGAUAGUCAAGUAGCCGUUGCAUAUGUAAAAGAUCCCAAGUAUCAUGGAAGGACAAAAUACAUUGACAUAAAUAACAACUUCAUUAGAGAUAUAAAAGCGCGGAAAGAAGUGAUCAUUCAAUACAUUUCAAAUCAAUAGAAUGAUUGUUGAUCCAUUUACGAAUGUUAUUCCUAUAGACGUGUUCUUAGCCUACAGGAUGCCUCUAGGUUUACGUAGAAUGUGAUAUGUAAUAUUGUAGAGGAUCAUUGAGUUAUGUAUAUGUGAACAUAUGUACCAUACUUGUUUGUUAUUAGUGAUUUGACGUUUUAUCAAUAAGUACAAAUCCAUUAUAAGACUAGCACAAACAAACAUAUAUUGUUGAAAAGUAUGUCAGCAGACAAUGAUUGACUCACUCACACAAGCAAUCACCUCAAGUGCUAUAAUUAGCACGUUGAGAUGAGGCGCUAUGUACAUAUAAAUGUUGAAAAGCAAGUAUAGUACAUAAAAUAAUAUGUCACCUUGAUUGGAGUCAAAAUGAGGUUUGUAGUUUGUAUAUGAUAAAACCGAACAUGACAGUCCCACAAUCAUAUAUGCGUGAAAGAUGCCGGAUGUAAAUACUUAAUUAGGCGCUAUAGAAAGCGAGCUGAUAUAGCAUUCAUGCUAAGCAUGAGUACAUGAGAAGCAUAUGAUUAUGUUUAGGCUAAGAUCCAUAUAGUGGAUAUAUUUAAUAAAUGACAUACACUCUUAUUGAAAAAGAAAUCCAAUAUAACAUGUAAUCCAUACUACAUGUGCAUUAUAUGACCAAUAAGGGAAUGUGAGUAAAAUUAUCCAUAUUUACUCAUCGCGUGAGCUCUUGAGGUAAUAAUUUACCUCAUUUUGUAUCAUAUGUUACUUCUGACUAUGUUAUCGAAGUGAAAUAUUAAUGUUGCUACUUUAGCAUAUUACUGACGGUCAUAAAUAGAUAUAGCUUUAUGGGACAUGUCUAGGAAAAUAGUUGUUUUGAAAUGGAGAAAGACAUGAAUGCGAAGGAAUACUAUUAUUGGUUUACAUCCAUCAUAUGUAUUUAUCAGUCAACCAAUUAUAUCGCCUUCUGUAGUUUUAGAUAUAAUUGUAAAUAUAUUGUGUUAUUAGAAGAGUCAAGUAUGACUUUUAAGGAAUAUGUAUACUUGGAUUGAUGUAACAAAAUAUGUCCGAGGUAUUGUGAAACAUCGGUUGUUUAUUUAUUUUUAGGGUUGUAGCCAUUCUGUUAUCCAUAAUAGGUGCAUAAUUUGAGCUCUCAAGUGCCAGUGAGUAUAAAGCAUCGACACUCUCCAAAAGCCUUUGUAUCGUGUUGAAUACUUUAACACGUGUCCAACACUCUCCAACACCUGGUCAACUUUCUUAACACUCUCCAACACUUGAGUCAGAAUUCUGACAUACGAGUUUUCGACAUGUUAUUAUGAUAUCGAUGUCAAUUUUAAAAAUUUAAUAAAUAAGAGGUCAAUAUAUAUAUGUGUGUGUGUGUGUGUGUGUGUGUGUGUGUGUGUGUGUGUGUGUGUGUGUGUGUGAAAAUAAAACACAAUUAUAAAAUUAAUAAAGGGAGAAAGAAGAAAAAUCUAGUUUUUUCUUCUCUUUUGACUCCCACUUCCCAUAAUAUACAAUUCUCGCCUUAAGUUUUUUUUUACCUUUUCCAACAUAUCUAACAUACUAGUCCAAAAUAUAAAUCGUUUGUUUUUUCUCCAAGUUUUAUGAAUUAUUGAAAUAGAAUUGAAUUUGUUAAAUUGAAACAAUGAAUGAUAUUAAUAAAUGGUGAAUUAAUUGUUUUAGUGUAUAUUCAUUCUAGGAUUUUUUAAUUAUUUAUUUAUUUAUGAAUUUGAUUCAAAUUAAUUUAAUUGAAGUAAUAAUAAAAAUGAUAAUUUAUUAUUUCUACGUAAAAAUAUAUAUUUAAUAUGCAACAUGUCCUAACGUGUCGAAAUUAUCUGUUUUUUAAGAAACGACGUAUUGGCAUGUCGUGUCGGGUGUUGCAUGUCAGUGUCGAUGCUACUUGGCUCACUGGUCGUAUGGCUUUCUUACAAAAUAUGAAUUGUUUCUAAAGUAGACGAAUGUUGAAUGCCUUAUAUUCUUGAUAGAGUGCUAUUAAGCCCAUCAUGUCCAAGUAGGAGAUGUUAUACUUUAUUAGUACGUCCAUGAUAGAGUGCGAUUAAAAUGCACCAGUUCGUCUCGAUAUGUUAUGAUGGAGAGACACUCUUUGAAAGGGUAUGAAGGAAAGGAGUUAUUAACUUCUAAAGAUAACUGUCAUUCAGCAUUUUCCUCUUAAAGCAAGCUCUCUCUCUCCCUUUAUUCCACACAACAACCCCCGCCCCCCCCCCCCCCCUCUUUCUUCCAAAAUUAUGACCAUUUCUUUAAAGCCACUUUGAAUCUGGUACCUGUUAAGGACCUCGUGAGAUACUUUACGUACUAUACACUCAAACAGCAUUACGUGAUGGAAGAACCACAGGCCAUCGAACUAAUUUCUUGUGCAUGGAGUUCUCUUACGGUCAGCAAACUCUUGAUUCGUAAAUGCAGAACAUUUAAAGAUAUUGAAAACAAGUUAGACAUAGUUUAGCAUAAAGAUUACGUUCCCUGUGUUUGCGUACCUGAACGCACUUUCUCCAUGGGUAUCCAUCCACCAUUGACUGAUGGUUUAAUCCUGGCCUUCCAAGAGGUUUUAGAACAUGAACUUGAACUCACCAUGCCAUUGUUAACAGACCCCGAAUAAGUCUAGAUAGCACAACCAAAACUAGGACUUGUGACAAGAAGUUGAAAAAAUUGUCCAAUGAAUGCUAACAAUUAGAAAAAGGGUACUCGAUUCGGUGUAGGCGUUUUGUCAAACAGAUAACAGUUUGAAAGCCCCAACCAUUCAUGGAGUCUCCUUCAUGUAUUUGAACUAAAUCUCAAUAUAAGGUCGCAUGCAUGCAAAUUAACAUUAUAAAUUAAUGAAUCUUUUUCCCCAUCUCUAGGCUCUAUGUAUAUUCUGAAGCCCACAAAACAUUUUCUUGCAAUGUAAGAUAAAGGGUUUCGGGCAAGUUUAGUCCUAGGAAGCGCAGUGUAGCUCAAGCAUUCAAUGCUAGAUUCUUACACAGUAGAUGGAGUCAAGGAAUACGAUCGUCGUUCCCCUUGGCCCGCUCAUUUGUGGGUUGAUAACUACUUAUUCAUUUGUUACAUUCCUUUUCCUUCCAUAGAUCAGAGCUGUAAAUCACAAUACUAAUCUCAUAAUCAGAAGGAAUAAUAUUAUUUUUAGGGUAUAUUUAUUUCGCAGAAAAUGAUAUAGAACUACAACACAUGCAUUACUUACAUUUACUUAUAUUUAUAAUAGAACUUGGAAGAAUCUUUGUUUAUCGAAAUAAUGGUCCUUUUUAGGAUUGGUAUGAGUUGUGAUGUAAUAUUUUUAGAGAAAUUUAAAGUUGAAUGUUUACUUAGAAUUUGCUUCAUGCCUUAAGAUCAAAGAAUAAUAUAAGCUCUCAUCUGUGGGGGCAAACGUACAAUACAAACUUCUUAGCGAAGGAAGCGACACAGGAUCCUAUCACCAAUCACGGAUCGAUCAAGAUUUGCAUGAUAGCCAAGUGGUGCCUCUAUUCAACUGACUUUUGCAGACCCCGGAACUUCCUUAGGAGUGGCUAGCUAGCCAUUCUGCUGAAUUUGAAGAACAAGCACAAAUCUAAUUCAAGAUCUAUCGAUUUUGCGAGAAGCCACAUUACACACCAAAUCAGGGGGUGCGCUUGAUGAAUUUUUUAUUAUUAUUACUAUUUGGUAUAAUUUGAGUCCAUUCAUCUACUCUAUCAACUCGUCCGUUUAAAGUAGAUAUACCCUGGCAAUUUAAAUAAGGGGUUUGUUGUUGUUGUAUUUGUUCUAGAGUCGAAUCAGUUUGUUUUGAUUCUCCAUUCUCAUCUGCUUCGGAUGCAAGCUUUUUUCUAAUUUACUAGGCCGCUUUGAGGGUCCCGUGUGAAAAAAAGGGAUCCAUCUAAUUCGCAAAAUUGAUUGGUUAUAGGUAUUUAUCUGUAGUUUAUUUUUGUUGAGGGUCAUUUACAGAUUCUAAAGUUAUAAUUUUUUGCAUUUAUAAUUACUUACCAAUGUAAAGGUGAAUUUGACGAGGCUGAAGCUAAUUUUAAAUACACAAAGCAUAAUUUUAAUGCAUUAAUUCAUUUUCGUGAUAUCGUAAUUUGUAUUAUUAUGAUGAGAUUUUAUUAGCUAUUUGCUAAGAAUAAGUACAAUUAAGAAUAUCAAGGAUUAGGGCUCGCUUAAUUUCCCAAUUAUAAGGAAAUUUUUGAAUUAUUCUGUAUAGGGUAAGUUACCUAAGGAAUGCUUUCAAAUCGAAUCAAAUAAAUUUAAACAAAUCUGCCUCAUUGAUUAUUUGCGGAGGUUAGCCGUUGCCAAUUUAUCGUGUUGACCUCACACACGUAAAUUGAGUUAUGAUCUACAUAUCAUAUUUUCAUAUAACGUGGCCACAAUAUGUAUAAAUAAUCUUCCUAAUCAACGACAAGGAUCAAAUAGCUACGAACGAAUUAUAUGUGAAUUUCUCUCUGCGAGAUCCUCUCUACCCCCAUGGUAGCGUCCCCUUUUACAAACCCUAAAUCCAAACUGGUCUUUUGCAACCCAAAUCCCCUUCUCUUUCGCUUUAUAUAAUGAAAGCUAAUAUCAAAAAACCCAAAAAAAUGUCUUCUCUUGCUUUGAUUCUGCAGAGCUUUGAGUCGUCUUUUUGCCUAAUAGAACAGUAACUUUCCAGCAAGUUACGAACUCAAUCGGCAAUGAAGAUCUUGCAGAUGAUGCCUCGCAAAGGUCGGAUUUCAGUUUCCUUCUCCUCGAUGUUAGUCUGGGCUUAUGGAUUUCAGCUUAUGUGAGUGGAACUUAUGCUGUCUCUUUUGGAUUCUUCACUGGGUUUCUGGAUUUUCUGUCACUAUGGAUUGAGACGUUAGUUUCUGGCUUUGAUUAUAAUCUUUGUUGCGUCUCCCCGAUCUUCCAAAAAGCUUCAUCGUUGUCUCAGUUGCUGUGAAAAUCUGUUGAUACUAGAGAUGGGUACUAACCCUUACUUCGGCAGUAAUUACACAAGCAGAAGAAGAAAGGAUCGAACGCAUGAUAUUUGCCCUACAUCUCCUAUUCACUUACCCAUGUCCCCUUACCCCCUCAGGAUCCCUUAUGCCUUUGCUUACUGCCAUGCCUCAUAAAGAGCUGCCUUCAAGCCAUCUCUCUUCUUAGCCCUGCCCCCAAAAUCUCUCCAUAUCACCUUCGAUAAUCGCAUUCCCUGCAAUAAGAGCAAAUGGAGAGUAAGGAAGAGAAUGAAAUGAGAGUGGCAACUUUAUGUAAAAGUCUCGGCCAUUCUAUGGUCCAAGAAUGAUGUUGCUGAAGUAUUCACCAAGGUACCUCCACAAAAAAGGGAUGAAUGCAAACGCACUCUUUUUGGUAAAUUAUACUCUAAACCAAAUGUUAACUACCUAGCUUUUUUAUCUACAAUGAAGAAAGCGUGGAAAACUGAAGCUAUAACUUGCUCCCAAAAAGAACCAAGUCUCUUCACCUUUGUUUUUCAAUCGGAGGAGGAAAAAGAGAGAAUUAUGAAGACAGCACCUUGGUCUUUUGCUAGCAACUUGCUGGUCCUCAAACAAUGUGAGCCCGAAAUUCCAGAGCAUUGCUAUGAUUUUACUAGAUCAGCAUUUUAGGUGCGUAUUGGAGGUAUUCCCCCUGGCUGGAGGGUAGAAACAGUGUUCAAUGAUCUGGGAAGAAAACUUGGUCAUGUCCUGAACAUCCAACUAGACUCAACAGGUAAGAUCCAACAAAAAGAAGGAAGAGUAAGAGUGGAAAUUGACCUAACUACUCCACUGAAAUCAAGGGCUCUCUUGGACAUUGAUAACAAAUGGCUUUGGGUGGAAUUUAAAUAUGAGCGCCUACCGCAUUACUGCUACUCAUGUGAAAGAAUUGGCCACUAUGCCACAGACUGUGCAGAAAUUCCUUAUGCGCAAUCACCAUGGGCAGUAAACAAAAUCAGACCAUAUGGAUCCUGGUUGAAGGCAGAAGCGUGUGAUCAUAGCCCCUGUUGGGAAGCAUUUUAUGGUAAAAUAGAAGAAGAGCUUAUAGUGGAAGAGACUAUACCAGCUUCGCCCACCCAAACCAGUGGAAUGGACAUCACAAUCAGAGAGGAAGCCUAUGACUUGCGAAUUGCAGCUUGCAGCAAAAAGAGAGCAGAAAGUUCUCAUGAACCUGAGAUAAUUGAAGACCAUGCAGUAAGUUUAAAGGAAAAUAAAGAUUCUGGCAAACAGAUAAUCUGUCCUGAAUUUCCCAAACAGAUUCUAUCGAAAGUAGGACAAUGUAGUAAGAAGAAUAUGAAGGUGUAGAAGGCAAAGAAACAAAAGUGUGUACUUGAGCCAACUCCUCUUCUCAUAGAUGAUACAGACCUUUUGGAGACCCCUGUUAAGUCAAUCAAAGAUCGAAGAAAAGAGUGGGCUUUGGUGGCUAGCCUUAAUAAGCCACCAACGACGACAUGAAAAUCAUUAGCUGGAAUUGUCAAGGGCUGGGCAACCCCCUAACAAUCCAAGAACUAAGAGCUUUAAUUGCUCUUGAAAGGCCCAACUUGGUUUUUCUAAUGGAAACUAAAAACAAAGUAAUGAUGGUGGAAAGAGUAUACAGAAAAUUACAAUUCCAACAUCUAUUCCUAGAAAUCUGACAGGCAUAGCGGGGGGAUGAGCUAUUAUGUGGAAUGAGGAAGUGGCAUUGAAGGUGAAAGAUAGUUCCAAGCAGUUUAUUGAUGUGGAAUGCACUGACCCAGACAGCAGACAUGUCAUGCAGAUAACUUUUGUUCAUGCAUCUACAAAUUUUGGUGAGAGGCUGACAUGAUGGCAAAAGUUAAGGGCCCUCAAGCCUCCUAAUUCUAUUUCGUGGAUUUGCAUGAGAGAUUUUAAUGAGAUCUUAUAUGUAUGGGAGAAGCUGGGGAAAAGAGAAGUUGAUAAUAAUAAAAUUGCAGCCUUCAAAGAUAUGCUUAAUGAGUCUUCCCUAAUGGACAUUGAUAGUCAUGGGUGUGCAUACACAUGGGCAAACAACAGGGAAUGGGAGGAUCUUAUUAAAAAAACACCUAGACCGAGGAGUAUCAUGAGUUCAUACAACAAAUAUGGAACACAACAUCUCUUAACCAGCCCAGUUUCUCGGUGAAACUACAUGAGACUUCAAAAGUGCUGGCAAAGUGGAGCAAAGAGAAGUUUGCCAAUGUACCUCUGCGGAUAAAAGAGCUCAAUCAGGCUUUAAUAGAGAUUACUAAUCAACCAGCCCAGCACACAAGCAGGAAGGAAGCUCAUAACAUCAUAAACCAGAUAGAAAAAUUGAGGGAACAGGAAGAACAAUUCUAGGGCAUGAGAUCGCGUAUUCAGUGGCUGCAAUGGGGUGAUAAAAACACCAGGUUCUUUCAUGCAACAACUGUACAACGAAGGCAGAGAAAUAAAAUUACCAUGCUGCAAAUGGAAGACCACAGCUAGUGUCGAGAUCCUGUAGUACUCAGAAAUCAUAUUCAAUCAUUUUACAUGAAUUUACAUAAAUCAGAGGGUCCAAGAAACUACCAACUACCAACAUGUCCUUAAUCAGUACCCUUCUCCAGUAGCCGAGAACAUCAAUGAAGAACUGGUGGCUAAUCCCACGAUGGAGGAAGUUCACGCAGCAGUUUUUCAAUCGGGAGCUCUAAUAGCCCCUGGCCCUGAUGGCUUCAACGGGCUUUCCUAUCAACAAUCAUGGGAUAUUCUCAAGUUUGACCUGUUUCAGUUAGUGCAAAACUUUUUCCACGCAGGUACUCUUGACCCCCAUCUUAAUCAAGCCCAUAUUUCAUUGAUUCCCAAAGUAAAAAAAUCCUGAGAUAAUUGGCCAAUUCAGACCCAUUAGCUUAUGCAAUUUCAGUUACAAAAUUAUUUCCAAUAUCCUAGCAAACAGAUUAAAGAAGUGGCUGCCAAUCAUUAUUGAACUAGAGCAGAGCGCCUUUGUUCAAGGCAAACAAAUACAGGACAACAUAUUUAUAGUGCAGGAAGUCUUGCAUCAAUUGCGCAUCACAAAGAGAAAUAAAAAAUAUCAGGCAAUAUUAAAACUAGAUAUGUAGAAAGCAUAUGACAGAAUUGAAUGGGAUUUUUUACAGGAUUGUAUGCAUAAAAUGGGCUUUUGUGCAAAGUGGGUGUCCCUAAUCAUGCAGUGUAUUUCAACGAUGUCAUUUAGUGUGAAGAUUAAUAGAGAACCCACCCCCAUUCUUCUCCCCCUCGAGAGGACUAAGACAAGGCGACCCCCUAUCGCCAUAUUUAUUCAUCUUAAUAUCAAAUGUCUUAACUUGGCUAAUGGAAAAAGCAAAUGCAGAAGGCAGCAUCAAAGGGAUACAGCUCAACAGGUUCUGUCCUACGCUAUCUCAUUUACUUUUCGCCGACGAUGUUAUAUUUUUUCUGGAUGGCACUAUUGUGGAAUGUCAAAAUUUAGCACAUAUACUUAACCAGUACUGCUAUGCAUCGGGGCAAGCUGUCAAUUUAAACAAAUCAGGGGUUUUUUUUCCACAACAACAGUCCCUUACCUCUAAGAAGAAAUAUGGCCUAUGAGCUAAGAGUCCCUAUAUUUGAGAAAACAAGUAAAUAUCUAGGUAUUCCAAUGGAAUGGGGUCACCCAAAGAAAGAAAUGUUUGCAUGGAUAUUAGCGAGAGUAAAUUCAAAGUUAGAGGGCUAGAAAGAAAAGCUUCUCACCAAAGCAGGGAAGGAGAUUUUGAUUAAAAGUGUUGUGCAGGUCUAUCUGUUGAGCAGUGUCCAUCUUCAAGCUGCCAAUGUCUAUCUGUCGAGCAAUAGAAAGAAGAAUUGCAUCAUUUUGGUGGCAGAAAGGAGAUUCUCAACGAGGGACACAUUGAAAAAACUAGGAAGUUUUAAAAACUCGAAAGGAUGAAGGAGGGUUGGGGUUUAAAGAUUUGCUAACCUUCAACCGUGCAAUGCUUGGUAAGCAAGUCCGGAGAUUAUCCAAUUCUCCAACAACCCUGUGGAGCAGAGUUCUGAAAGGAGUCUACUUCCCAAAUGGCGAUCUCUGGACAGCUCGCAAGGGCCAAUGGGGCUGGUAGAGCCUGUUACUUGGAAGAGACACAAUAGAAGCAAAUAUUAAAUGGUCAGUGGGGGAUCGAAAAUCUAUUAAAAUUCGAGAAGACAAGUGGUUAGAGCAGGGGUUAUUGGAGGACUAGCAAACCAACAAGAACCUAUCUCGGUGUCAUAAUUGAUCAAUCCAGACCAAAACAGAGCAGGGGGUUAUUGGAGGACAGUUUAGUAUGAACAGGAAACAGGGCAGGGAAGUAUUCUAUAAAGAGCGGCUACAACAGAGCUUACUCAACAACUCUAAGCACAAACCAAAACAGGGCAUCCUGUUCCUUCAAGCCCCCACGAACUUUAUGGACUCAAAUCUGGAGCCUUACUGUACCCCCGAAAAUCCGAACUUUCCUCUAGAGCCUCUGUCAAAAUGCCAUUCCCGCAAGAGAAAAUCUCUACAAAAGAAAAAUAACACCCGACCCGUUAUGCCCGUUAUGCUACUCGAGAAUAGAAACCACAGAAUAUCUUUUUCUAUUGUGCAAAUGGACCAAAGAGAUCUGGGAGGACCAACGAUUCAAGGGUGUCAACACCACAAGCCACAUAAAGUGCUUUGAUCAGUGGUUGAUGGGAGUAUUCGACGCUAACAGUGACUUACCUGCACGAGAGCUCAUAGGAAUGGUCCUCUGGAAUAUUUGGAAGGCUCGAAACAACUGGAUCUUCAGAGCAAAAUGCCCACAACCAGCUGAUCUACUGGAUCUAGCACAUGAACAGCACAUCACCUUCAGCAGAUGGCAGAUGAAACAUAACUCAAAACCCCCAGAUCGCAGUAUACCUGCUUGCUGGAACAAAGGGAGAUGAAGAUGAAUGUUGAUGCAUCAUGGGUUCUGGGCGAUUUUAUCUGCUCCGUUGCCGGAAUUGUGCGCGAUUCAUCUGGGCAAGUCGUCGAGGGCUUCGUCUCCGAUUCUAGGGUUUCCUCUUCACAACACGCUGAAGCUAAGUCUCUGUUGCACAGGAUCCUAUACUUGAAAGGGCUUCAAACGCGGCACGUGGGAGGAACUCGAAUACAAAUACUUAAGUGGACUUGUGAAAGUGAUUGUUUACCUGUCAUGGACCUAGUAAUGGGCCGAGCCAAGCCUCCUUGGAACUUAAGCGAAAUUGUGUAAAAAUGCAUAGAAGAACUAACAACGUGCAGAAAUGUUACGGUGGUUUAUUGUCCCCGAGAAGCAAAUAGAGCAGCGAACUGGCUGGCAAUGACUCACCGUGCCAACAAACUUCCUCUAAAUUGGUUGACCACCCCUCCUUUACCUCUUUUGGAAAUUUUAUGUUCGGAAUUUUCUCCAUCGUUGUCUUGUAAGACUUGUUAUGUUCGAUGAUCGAAUGAACUAUCUUCUUUCGACCAAAAAAAAAAACGACAAGGAUCAAAUGAAUUGACUGCAUGAUUGACCAUGAUAUCCAAAGGAGUCAUAAGUCAGGCCAUAUGAAAUGAAUUGACUCUAUCCUUCGAUUUGUCAAGCUUAUAGAGUACCAAAUAUUGAUUUAUCCUCUUUUCCCUUUACCAUUGCAAUUUCCUUUUGUAAUUCUGCCAUCUGCAAGUAGUGAGGAUAGCAUAUAAGAAAAGAGAAAGGAGAAACUAACGGGCCCAGGCCACUUUCAGAUCAUCUAGUUCCCCACCCAAUGAAUUUCAAUUAACCUCUAUAUUGUGUGAAAUACGUGCCCUCAGCAGCCAAAAUCCUCAUACUUCAAAAGUGAAGACACUGAGCAGGUAAAUGCUGCAAGUCAUUGUGAUUUCCUUGAUAUCAACAUCCACAUUGCGGUGAAAAAGCAAGGAGCUGUGCACUUCCGGUAAUAGGCUUACCGCAAUUAUCCUGAAAAUCCACAGAGAUAUAUCAGAGACUAAACAUAAUACUUGAACUCCAUAAAGCCAAUCAAUGCGUGACCAUUUAAAUCAUAGAAGCUGUGCCUGACCUAAAAAAUCAUAGAAGGUGCUUGAAUGAACUUAAUAAAGCCAAUAAACGUGGAUCACAAAGAGGUCUUCUGAAUCAAAUGGACCUACACGUUCUGAAGCCAAUCAGCGGGAGACAAGGCACAUAAAGCGAGAGUCCCAAGGAACUCUUCAUCGGACUAGUUCGAAUCUCAUCGAAUUGACCGUUAAAAACUUUGCAUGCUCAUGAAUUACCUCUGUUCCCCAUUGGGCAUUCACGAUUUGGAUGGGCGAAUGUGAGAUAGCGAAUUUGCGAGGAUGAAGGUGUCAGCGGAAUGGGAGAGUCAAUUACGGUUGAUUUGACGAAAGAGAGACUCGGCUUGAGAGAAAUGGCAAGAAGGGAUCGAAUUUGGGCCAAACAUUGAGAGCAAUUUCUGCAAGAUCUCACUUGAGGUUCAUCAGGUGAUUUGGGCGUGAUCGAAGGUAUUUGAGGCAAGAAGGAAGCAAUGCAACGUUGUUGGGGGUUUCAAGUGGGGAUUAUUGGUUUUCGAGCGGUUCCAUCCGGGAAUUAAGAAUCGAAUCAUAAGGACUGCUUUCCAAUUUCUGGAAUUGGGAAUCAAACCGAAGUCUCCUGAAACUGGACCGGACUGGUCCCUUCAUGGGUGGCCAAUGGAACCAGUCCCAUGUUUUUUUGUUUUUAAUUCUUGUAUUGCAAUCAAUUUAGGUAUUUUCACUUUCGCUUCAUGGGCAAUCGAAAUGCUUGUUCACGGGAACUCUCUGAAUCUAGGGGCUUUUUGCUGGUUUUCUUCGUCGGGCAAAAAAUUCGAAAUGGUGUACAAAGAAAAGCCAAAAAAAAAAGAGAGCAUUUCUUCGAUGUGAUGCGAGACAGAGAGUGAGAGUCGAGCGGCCAAAAGCAGAGCAAGAGAGGAAGGUGAGAGUUGAGCAAGAGAGCGAGACCGCGAGAGGGAGGCGGCCAAAGCGACUCAGGCAAGAGUCGAGCGACAGAGUGAGACCGUGAGAGGGAGCCGAGUCGGUGCACUCGAGCUAGAGGGUGGUGAGCGAGAGAGAGAGAGAGAGAGAGAGAGAGAUUAGGGUUGUUCGUUUAGAUUUGUGAACGGGAGCGACUCGGGCGAGUAGCGCAUGCGAGAGAGUACUUGAGGCUUGAGGGGAUUUUUAUUUUUAUUUUUUAAAGUUUUUACAGAUUUUCAAGAAUAUAACAAAAAAAUAGUUGAUCCGGUCCGAGUGGUCUUAGUGCGCAAUUCCAGACAUGGAACCUGAAAUGACACCAAAAAUCAUUGUUUUAAUUUUUUUGAAAUCAGAAACCAGACCAAUAUCCUUUAGAAUGGCCCAGAACUAACCGAUUUGGUUCAGUCCGUAUAAUUCAUUUUGCUCACCGCUAGUUUCACAUUGAAAUGACACUGUUUUCAAUAGCUGACAUGGGAUUUCAACUAUCAAUUAUCAACGCAAGAUCUUAGUUAUUGCACAGCGUAAGAUGGCCAACUAUAUAUUUACAUCCAAAUUUUUCGACUUAAAUUUAUUAGCACUAUAUUAGAAAGUUAUCAAAAUGUGUACAACUAAACUAAUCAGAAAUUUGAGACUGAAUUAAUAGUUGUAUAAUUCAUUUAAGAAAUUUUAGAUAAUUUUCCCGACCCUGUAGAUGCUCCGAUAAACUAUCAAUCUUGGGUCAUCUUUAAGUGUGAUCACUCGAGCCAAGUCAAGGCCCAUCUUUUACAGCGUGCCGAGUGGUAGGCAAUAUAUAGUGAUCCCUAAAUAUGAAACGUACGUGGGACACAAGGAUUUCGAAAAUACAGAGAAGGAGGUCUUUUGCAACCAUUAAAAGCUACAGAUAGGGCCAAAAAAAAAAAAAAAUUGAAAAGCCACGUUCAAUGGACACAAAACAGGAAGAGCACCAAACAUCAAAUUCAUUUUUAGCUUAGUCAGAAAAAACUGUGCCAAUACAAUUUUUUGGGAUGUUCAUUGAGUCCAAGGAUAUAAGUUUUCUCUAAUAUUGUUGGGGAGAACUGGACAACAAUUCACUAAGGACUAAUCCAAUCCAAAAUUAAUUUCCCCCCAAAACUAAACCGACUAAAAUCGACUUAACCUCAAUAAUAACCGACAAUAUAUUCUAGCAAUACGACCUCAUAAUAUGUAAAUAUAAUGUCGAAAUCUUAAGGAGAUAAAUCAAUAAUAACAUCAAGAUUUUAUGUGAAAAACUCAAUAUGAAAAAAAUUAUUGACCACAAAAAACUUCUAUUGAUCACUAAAAAUACUAGGAUACACACACAAUAAGUUUUUCUCUAAUCACACAUUAAAGGCUUAACAUCAAUAAUAUAAUAGUAUUUCACCACCACGAUGGUGAAUUAAGACAUAUAGAGUAUGAAAACCUUAGCCAUCAUCAGAAAGUUCGGAGAAAGCUCUUAAUGAACAAAACAAUUAACUUUUACUGCACGAUAUCACGAAAACAUAUUGAAAUUUGAGUCAAUUCGGAUAGCAUUUGGUCUUCAAAUCAAGAUAAGAAAGCCGCAAUCUUUUUCUACUUUUUCUUCGUGAGCUCUUGGUGCUCCCCCUCUCUCCCUCUCCACUUCACGAACGAGCAGCCCUUUUUUCCUCUUCUUAUUGCUUUUUGACUUUGACUGCUUUUUUUUAUUUUUUCACGUUGGCUAGGCCCCACAAAGGCGGACCCAGUCAACAAAUAUUUUGAGGUGUUCAGAAAUCUCUUUCUAUUAAUGUUAUCAUUUUUUUGAAAUUCUUUUUGCGGUAAUGAAGUAUUACGGAUUCUCGCAUACAAAUCUAAAUCUGCAUCCAACAUCAAAUAUGGGCACAUAAUUCGCACCGCGAUAAUUUACUUUCUAAGUGUCUCAUAACUUAUUAUAGAGUUAAUAAUGUUAAUUUCGAGAUAAUUGGGACCUUAGAUUUUUUUAAAGUCUGGAGUUCAACUGUUUUUUCUUGGUCAUUGCCAAAAAUCAAAAUAAUCUCUAGCGAUAUAUGCAAUGGAUGAUGUUGUGUCUUGACUUGAAACUCUAUUACUGGCUCUUUCCACAUGCCUUCUGGUAAAAAAAAAACAAUGAUAAUAGCAAUAAGGAAAUGAAGCUACGGCCGGCAAGUCUUUAUAGUUUGACUCGAACCCAUGUUGCCGCGUUUAUCUCAUCUAUAGAAAGGGUUUCGUAAUUUCUCGCAAUACUUGCGGACCUGUUCCCAAUAUCUUUCGUGAAACCUAACUCUGCACAUUAUAAAAACACACUUCAAUCCCUCCUUUCCCUCUAUUCUAAUUUCUAAGUUCAAACCUCUCUCUCUCUCUCUCUCUCUCUCUCUCUCUCUCUCAAACUACACUUGCAUAUAUUCUCGUUUUUGCCACGUCCAUCUCUCUCUCCAAACUAACCUCAGACAGAAAGAAAAACACACUUCCCACGAAUUUUGACUCGGUUAGUGGUAAUUAAACUUUCAAGUAGAACAUGACCCCGGAUGUAUGAAUCUAUUUGAUAGUCUAUUCAUUUGGCAAGACAGAAUUUAGUUUCCACGCACACAACUAGCUAAUUGCUAUUUCCUUCUUCUUCUUCUUCUUCUUCUUUUUUUUUCUUUUUGUUGUAGUUUGAGUUUUCGCGAUAUUUUAGAUGGGUGACAUCUCCAUUGAAACGCUUCCUCAGAUUGUCUCCAAAUGCUUUGACUCCCUCGAUGAUGGCCACCUCAAACGAACCGGUAAUCAACCUUAUCUUCUGGUAUUAUAUUGUCUAACUCUUUUCUAUUUGUUUAUAACAAGUUUGGCACAUAUUAUUGUGCGAAAUAUACAUUUUUUGUACUCGGAGUAACAGUUUAAUAUGCUUUAUCCAAGUGUAAUUCCUUCAUAAAUUACUGAAAAGCUAACUCAAGAGAUAAUGAAAGUUUUCCAAAUGUAAAGGGUUGAUCAGAUUUUAUCGGCUGACCGAUCAGGGACCUUAUGGACGAUGAGCGCGAAUAUAAUAAUAGGGAUGGUAGGAGCAGAAGUGCGUUGCCGGUCAUGGGACAUUGCUCAGCUGGGUUGGAUUGCAGGCCCUGCUGCAAUACUCUUGUUCUCUUUUGUGGGCUACUACACCUCUUGCCUCCUCUCCCAUUGUUACCGCACUGGCGACCCCUACACCGGCGAGUGUAACUCCACUUAUAUGGACUCUGUUCACUCGAUUCUCGGUAUGGAAUCCUAUCACCUUGUUGUUGCUUCUCAUUAUUUGACUCCCGCACUUUGAUUAAAUUUCCCAUUACCAUAUGUCUCCAAAUGUAUAGCAAAAUGAGUCGUGUAACUUUUGAUUAAGUGAUAAUAGUAACUUUACAUUCAGGUGGAGCAAAUUUUAAAGCAUGUGGUUUUCUUCAAUAUGUAACCCUAUUUGGAAACGCCAUUAGCUGUGUCGUUCAAGCAUCUCUCAGCAUGAAGUGAGUACAAUUCUACUUUCCCAAACUCUUGACAAAUUUAUUCAUCAGAUCACGACGAACUUCCACUUCUACUGUUUCUUAUAUAACCUGGCUGAUUCAAUGUUGUACACGUUCCCUCUUUCCAAUAAAAGGGCAAUAAAAUAUAUGAAUUGCUUCCACGAGAAUGGGGAGAACUCGUGCCACGUUUUGGCUAAUCCGUACAUGAUCAUGUUCGGCAUCACAGAGAUUCUGCUGUCCCAGAUUCAAGAUCUCGAUCAAAUACGGUGGCUCUCUAUUGUGGCCGCUGUUAUGUUCGUCGCUUACUCUUUGAUUGGUCUUGGCCUAGGAAUUGCCCAAGUUGCAGGUACAGGUUUCUUCUUUUCCCAAAGACAGAUGGCCAAGAAAUUUCAAGAGAUUAUAUUAUCAAUAUCAUAAAAUAAGAAGUUGUUUCCCACAAUUUUUUUUCUUGAUGAACAGCUAGUGGAAGUUUCAAGGGUAGUCUUACAGUAAUAAGCGUUGGGGAUGCGACUAAAACCCAAAAAGAUAUGGAGAUGUUUCCAAGCUCUUGGAAAUAUCGCCUCAGCAUACUCAUUUUAUGAGAUCCUUAUUGAAACUCAGGUACUAAAACAUGAUUUCAUCAGUUCGAAACCUAAGGAAAUGGUAAAGAGUGGAUAGAACAGACUGGAAAUACCUUGUUUUCCUUUUAUCUUUGACAGGACACCAUCGGAUCUCCACCAUCAGAAGUAAAGACCAUGAAGAAAGCCAUUUCUCUGAGCACCGUGGUGAUGACGACUAUCUACAUGCUAUGUGGCUGCGUGGGCUAUGCUGCUUUCGGUGAUGACACUCCGGCAAAUUUUCUGAUCCACUUGGGUUUCAACAAGCCAUUCUGGCUUCUUGAUAGUGCCAAUUCUGCUAAUGUGAUCCAUCUUGUUGGAGCAUACCAAGUAAACAGCCAGCCGAUAUUUGCCCUGGUCGAGAAACAGGCCGACCAGAGAUGGCCUCGUAGUGAGCUCAUCGCUAAAGAGAUGGCCUCGUAGUGAGCUCAUCGCUAAAGAGAUGAAGAUCCUGGUACCAGGCUUGGGCCAAUACAACAUGAAGCUCUUUAGACUUGCUUGGAGGACGGUUUUCGUGAUCCUGACCACUGUGAUAUCGAUGCUAUUCCCAUUCGUCUUCAACAAAGACGUGGAUAUCGUCAGCUUGGGCUUUUGGCCUCUAAUGGUCUAUUUUCCCGUCGAGAUGUAUAUUAGACAGAAACGAAUUCCCAAAUGAGCACUAAAUGGGUAUACCUGCAAACGCUGAGCAUGGCCUGUCUUGUGAUAUCGAUCAUGGCAGCUGCGGGUUCGGUCCCAGGACUUAAGGACGACCUUAAGACAAAUUGGCCAUACGGGAUGAGCUACGAUCAAAAUGCAUGGACCUUUAGUUGAUCGGCCAUUUCAAAAGAAAAGAAUAACAUCAAGGAAGUUUCUACUUUCAUUGUUUAGUCUGGAUUUACAAACUCUGUAGGUUCUAGCCAUUGCUAAAGAAAACUUGCAUUUUAUGCAAGUGAUGGUUACACAUUGUCCUGUUGUAAAAAAAUCUGAAAUUUUGGUUAUUCAAACCGCCACGUCCACAUCAAUUGGGUUAGGCUCCAAUCAUGCGAUGACAAACGUGCCGACCUUUCAAGGUUUACAUAAGGGGGAGAGUUAUAAUAUGAACAAAGAAGGUCCCAUGUUAUUAUAAUAUAUAAAUUGAUAAUUAAACGAAAUCUCAUUAUUCGAAAGCGUUAGUAUGUCCUUUUUAGGAAGAGGAAAAAGAAAAGGGAUGCGUGGAUAUCAAUAUCUAAAGAAAAAGCGACUUUUUUACCUCUUGGAAGAUACUUUAAUAAUAGUUAGAUAAGGAAUAUGAUUGGAAGAUAAGGACUCAAGCCCACGUGUGAAUUGAGAACUCCUUCAAAUGAUUAACAUGUGAAUGGGGAAACAUCACAUCGAUGGGUUGGCUUAGAUUGAACAUAAUAUAACCCAAUUAGAUUGAUUGGCUUGUCCAAUACCUCUUCGACAUCCUCAACUAACUCUCUUUUUAUCAAAUGUUUCUCCGUGGCCUCAGUCAAGCCAGCUCUUUCAUGUAUAUGUUUUCCCCUAAAAACCAAAAUUGAUUGGUGCCCCACUUCAUUUAACAAAUUCAUUUGCUUCAAUUCUAUCUAGGUACUCAAAAAUAGCUUCAUGACCCUACUUACAUUCCAUUACUGAUAUAUGCAUAUUAGGGAAGACCAUAUGACAAAACUUUUCUCAGACUUCAGGCAUAUUGCCGAGUUAUAGAUUGCAUGCAUUAACAAGUGAUUUACGAGUGUGAUUUAUUGGGAUUUUGGUCCCAAGAGAUUGUUGUCUAGCAUUAUUAGCUCCACUUGUACAUUUAACAAAUAUUGUUGGAGCACUAGUUAAUUUAACUCAAUAUAGAAAUAAAAUUCCUCAAGAGGCUUCAAAAAUAAAUUACUUACUCCAAAUGAGAAAUUUAUAUUUUUCAAGUAUUUUUUAAUAAAGGCUUAAUAAGUGCCCACCCUAGGGACAAUUUUUAGCAUUUUGCAUACGAUUUUAUUGAAAGUUCUCAUAACCAUCGAUGCAUAGAUAAGGUUUGCAACACGAGAAUUCUCACAUAAUAUUAAGAAUUUUGUUUCAUACAUAUUCAAUGAGUGACAUAAAUAGGUUACAUUUUCCUAUAUUGAACCUCCACCAUAUCUUUCGUUUUGGACACUCAACUUUUGUAGCUUAAAAAACCAAAUUAGACCCAAAAAUCAACUUUCAAUUGAGAUUUGAGACAUAUAUCAGGAUGUUAGUAUUGAAUCGAUAUUGAAUCGAUUGUAGUUAUCGAUAUGAUAGCUUUUGGUUAAUAAUGUGCAAAUAUAAACGUGUCUAGGACGUUUGGCAGAGGAUGAUCAAAGGAUUUUAAGGGGUUUAGGCAAUGUGAUAAGGAAAGACGAUUCCACCAUUUUAUGGAAAUAGUUUCAUAAUUGUCGGAGAAGUAAUGGUGAAGGAACUAAGGGAUAUGGAGAUUCCCACUCAAUGGGUGGAGGGCUAAGGGCGCGUUUGGGAAGACUUUUGGGGAAAGUCCUUGAGAAAAUGUAAAGAUCUUUGAGCUAAAAGGGUUUUUGGAAAUGCAAAUAGUGUUUGGUAAAUCGUAUUUGUGAAAGUCCAUUGCAAAGUAUAUUUGAGCAAAAUAGUGUUUGGACAAAUUAACUUUGCAAAAGGCUUUUAUUAUUAAAAAAAAAGGAAAAAAAUGAGAAUUGGUUGAUUACCGCCGGCGAGGGGCAGGCGGUCCGGUGAGGGACAGGCAGGCGGUUCGGCGAGGGGCAGGCGGCCGGCGAGGGUUGCCGCGCCGGCGACCCCGAUCGCAACCAGAUCGCGCGAUCUGGGUUGCCGGAGGUCGCGCAGCCCAGAUCGGUCGCGGCGACCUCCGGUGACCCAGAUCUGCGUGUGAUUUGUGUCGCCGGAGGUCGCGCGGCCCAGAUCUGGGUCGCGGCGACCUCCGGUGACCCAGAUCUGCCGGGGGUCGCAGUGUCGCCGGGGUUGCAGCGGUCUGCGACCCAGAUCUGGGUGGUUGCCGGGAGUUGCAGCGGUCGCGGCGACGCGACAACCAGGGGGUCGCCGAGGUCACGCGACUGGCCGCCGACGAUCGCCGUGACGCACAGGUUUUUGCCGACCUCUGUCCAGCUCGUCGCCGGCCAUGGGCAGCUCCGCGCAACUUCGUCGGCCAUCCUCAAUGAAGAAGAAGAUGAAUAGUAACGAGGACAAAACCGGAAAAACGAAAUGUUAGUGAGGACAUUUGUGGAAGAAAUUUUUUUUACUUACUCUCCCUCAGCCUUCCGAGAAGGCCGAAUGCCCAAGGCAGCCCCCAACCUGCCUUGGGCUUUCAGCCUUGGGAAGGCUUGCCUUUGGCAAAGGCAAGUCAAAAAAAUUUUGCCAAACACUGAUUAUUUGGCCCAAAGGCCUUUAGGGGGCUAAAGAUCCUUGGCAAAGUGGUUGCCAAACGCAGCCUAAACCCCACACACACGGAGCUUAUGGAGGUCUCAACAUGACACCUAACUGUUGCAUUAAAACCCAUUUUUCUAUGACUCCGUCGGCCGACUACAAAAGUCUCUGCCUUGUCAGAAAUCUUUUCUUUUGCUUUAGCGAUAUUCAUCGCCGUACUCAAUUACAGUGGACACAUCUUGACUUUUGUACAAAUAUCUGCUCCAUAAAUAUUUAGUCCAUGCUACAUUAUUCGAGAAAUUGCAUCACGCAUAACCUGUCUAUAACCUAGGCCUAGCAUCAUUCCAACAUCUUCCGUGAGCUCUAACUCCGCACAAUACAAAUACUACCAUAUAGUCACUUUUUUGCCACACCCAUCUCUCUCCCUCUCUCGGAGUAAGUUUGAGCCUUUGGCUUUCAGGUGGGUGCACAAAACACAAAGCAACCUCAGAGUCACAGAGACCCACUUUCCACUGGUUUUGAACCGGUUAGUACUAAUAAAACUUGCAAGUAGGACUAGCUACCAUCCAGAUUGAAACUACACGGAUUCUGAUGGAUGAAUAAAUUUUGGAGGUCCUUUCAUUUGGCAAAACAGAAUUUAGUAUCCACACACACAAACUUGCUAACAAUUGCUAUUUCCUUCCCUCUCUCUCUCUCUUUUUUUCUUCUUUAGGACAUUAAAAAUGGAUGAGAACGCUGCCACCAAGAACAACCAAAACCGCCGCCGCCGCCAAAUCGGUGACAUCUCCAUUUUGAAUGCCUCCCCAAAGCAUCUUCAGAUGCUUCAGUUCAUACUCCUCCGACAGCCACCUCAAACAAACUAGUAAGGGCGCGUUUGGUAACGUUUUUGUUCAAAAACUGUUCCAGGGAACAGAAAUAGAAAAAAGUGUUUCUAUUCCGGGGAACAAUUUUUGAACAAAAAGAUGCGUUUGGUAAACUUGUUCCAGAAAUAAAAAAUGAAUAGAAACACGUUUGGUAAAUUUUUGUUCUUUUUUUGUUUCUUUUAAUUUUUUUAAUAUUUUUAUUUUUUCUUCUUUCGGCCGGUCGCCGGCCUUCGGCGACCGACCGACGGGGCCGGCAGCCUCGCCCAGCCACGGCGAGGCUCGCCAACCCCUGGCGAGGUCGAGCCUCGCCGUCGUUGGGCGAGGCUCGGCCUCGCCGGAUCUGGGCGAGCCCGAGCUCACCCAGCCAAGGCAAGGCUCGGCGUCGGCGUUUGGGGGAGGUCGGGGUCCAGCAUAGAAAGGAAUGACGGGCCCGGGGAACCAUUGGGAGCCGAGCUCGAACACGGGUUCUUGGUGGCACCUGUAACCUAUUUUGUAUUGGUUGUCAUUUCGGUUCCUCGCGAGUUGCUGUUUCCUAAGAUCAAAGCCGUAACCGAAAUGCUUGCAAACGUGGAUCUGUUCUUACUUUGGACGCCGAUACAUAAAAAGCGAAAAUGAUCUUAUCAAUAGAUUUAANNNNNNNNNNNNNNNNNNNNNNNNNNNNNNNNNNNNNNNNNNNNNNNNNNNNNNNNNNNNNNNNNNNNNNNNNNNNNNNNNNNNNNNNNNNNNNNNNNNNNNNNNNNNUCAGGAGACCUAGAGUUGUCAGUGACUUUAUCACUUGGCUAGCCUCGAGAGUUGCUGAUCAUUUCCAUAUAUGAUUCUUGAGAAUGUGUAUCAUGCGUACCGAGCCUCCGCCAGGGGCCGGCGACGCUCCGGCGAGGUUGCCGACCUCGAGGGCGUCGCCGGCCAAAGAGAAAAGAAGAAGAAAAGAGGAAGAAAAGGGAAGAGAGAGAAGAAGAAGCAAGAAACAAGAAAUUGUUUCUUCAAAAUUAUUUCUGGAACGAGAAACAAUUUUUUUUUUGUUUCUCGUUUCUGUUCUUUUUGAGUUCCGGAAACAAAAAAACAAAAAAAGAACAGAAAUGCAACCAAACGCGUUUCUGUUCUUUUUUUGUUCCCGGAAACAAAAAAACAGAAAAUCUGUUUAUAAAUAGAUUUCAGAAGUGAAAACAUGCAGGGCCUAAUCAACCUUAUCUUCUUAUAUUCCUAAUUCAUUUCUGCUUGUGAGAAAGAUAAAAUUUUUGCACUCAAACUAACAAUUUAAACAUAAUUCCUUUAUAUACUAUUACUAAAAAACUUAGGAGACAAUGAAAAUAUUUCAAAUGUAAAGAGUCAAUUAGAUUUUAUCAGUUGAUCAAUCUGGGACAUUGUGGAUGGUGAGUGCACACAUGAUAAUAGCCGUGAUAGGAUCAGGAGUGCUUUUGCUUGCAUCGGACAUUGCUCUGCUGGGCUGGAUUGCAAGUCCUGUUGUGAUGUUCUUUUUCCCCUCCGUGUGCUACUGCACCAAUCGCCUGCUCUUUAAUUGUUACCGCAUUGGCAACCUUAACUCUAGCAGAUAUAACCACACUUACAUGGACUCUAUUCGUUCAAUCCUUGGUAUGGAAUUCCAUCACAUAUUAUCGCUUCUCAUUACUUGAAAUCCGCACUUUGAUUAAAUUUCCCACAUGAACAAAAGAUCCAAUGGAUGAAAAUAGAAGAGUGAGAUUUUUUGGGGGAUAUAAAUCUCCAGACAUCCACCAUGGAGACCGGAUCAUGAUCAUAUUAAUCUAACUUUUAGUUUGUCCUAGUGGUUUGCUUCGACUAGUAUUCCCUGCUCAAACCUGGGCAUUUGGAUUUGCUGCAUGAUCUCGACAACUCCGAGACAUGAGAAGAAUCGGAUGUAAGAUUGGCCUAACAGUGGUAUUGGUCACAUUAAAAUCUUGUUUUGAUUAUCCAAAAAUGGCUAGCAACAGUCAAAGUGCAGAAUGUCAAGGUGAACGACAAGGGUAGCGAACAGAAAAAUUACCUAUCAUUAUAACAACACUUUCACAUAACCAUGGCAUUUUGAAGAAAUAUCAUAUGGUAAACCCUUUUUGUAGCUGCACCAACAGAAGAGCAAAGCAUCCAAGAUAUCUUAGAAACCUCGAAUGUAUCCCUUUUCCCUGAUGUCACUCCUGUUGUUGGGUAAAAGGAAUCUUAUUUUACAUCUUCAUAUUGCCAUAUGAGAGAGCUCUAGUUUAGUUGGAAAUGUGGUUCUUGCUAUACUCACAAGAUUAUGCUUUUAAAGCGAAGUUCCACUUUGACUUUUUACCGAGCAAAAAUUUAUAGACAUUCAUUAUACAUUUGUUUUGCAGAAAACAAGUGAUAUGAAAAAUAUUUUCCAAAAGAUGAUGAUUUUUAUUGUUCAAAAUAACUAGUCAAUAAAUAAUAUUUUUUUAUUAUAAUUUAUGUUUAAACAUAUUUGUAAACAAUUUAUAAAAUAUACAAGUGAUCAAAUUUUGAGAAAAUAUUUUCCCAAAUGUUGAUCUUUUGUGUAACAAGCAUACACUUAUUCAGAGUUUAUUUUUGUGCAAAAUUGACUGAUUGAAGAUAUUUAUUUAUAGUUUAUUUUUGACGUGGGCAAUUUACGUUAAUUGGUGAGUGGUAAGGUAAUUUUUUGCAUUCAUAAAAUACUUACCAACGCACAGGUAAUUUAACGAUGCCGAAGCUAAAUUUACAUACACAAAAUACAAUUUUAAAAAUAUAAGUUUGCUUUCGUGAUAUAAGAGCUUGUAUUGCUACGAUAAGACUUUAUUAGCUAUGAAUAAGUAUAAUUAAGAAGAAUGUCAAGGAUUAGGGCACGCUCGAUUUCCUAAUUAGAAGGAAAAUUACUUACUACCACUGCGACUUCGAAUUGGGUAAGUUACUGUAGCCGUUGUUACGAUUACAUCAUAUCAAAUAAAUUUGAACAAAUCUACCACGCUGAUUACCUGAAGAGGUUAGCCGUCGCCAAUUUACCGUUUCGACCUCGCGCGCCCAACCCACUUUCCUAUUCUACAAGGGGCAAAUUCGGAACGACAGGCGAAUUAAAUAAGUUACUGUUAGCCGUAGGCAAUUUACCGUUUCGACCUCAAUCCACUUUCCUAUUCUGCAAGGGGCAAAUUCGGAACGACGGGCGAAAUGACGCUACAUAUUCGCUACGGCUUCAUCGGUUCAGUCGCAUCAUCUCUCUCCCACCUUCUUCUUCUUCUUCUUCUUCUUCGCAUGUUGCUCCCUCCGCUUGCUUCCUUUUCCUCUCUCGACGGAGCCACAUUCCGGCUCAAUGGGAGAUGCCGGAGCUGCAUCUGCUUCGGCCGUGCGGCCGAUCGUCGAAGACGGGACGCCCCCGUGUGGGGGCCACAGAGAGAGAGGAAUGGGGCUAUGAUCGGGGCACGGCGCUCUCUGUGGCUGCAAAGGCGGGGCUGAGCAACGACGUUCAGGCGGGCGACGGAUUCGAGGGCGUGCUGGAGUUGAGGCGGACGUGUGAGUAUCUCGAAUUUUUUCUCUCUGGCUUGGUUGAAUGGGUGUUGUUGCGUGAUGAUUAUGCUGCUGUCGUUUGGGGCGUAAAUCUUGUCGGAGGAGAUGGGUUUUUUGAUUCCUUACUCUGAUUUGUGCCAAAACCUUUUAUUUCUCAGAUCAUCUUUGGGAGUAGGAAUUUUCUUCUAAAGAACAUGACUUAUGAUAGGAUAUCUUUUUUAGCAGUAAUUUUUCGACAAAUCUGUGCUCUUUCUUAUAAAAAAGUUCAGAUUUUUGUUUUUUGUACAUAGAAUAUGAAUCUGGUGCUUAGAAAGUUCUUUGUUACGGAGUAGGAAUUUUCUUUUAAAGAACAUGACUUAUGAUAGAAUAUCUCUUUGAGCAGUAAUUUUUUGACAAAUCUGUUCUCUUUCUUAUAAAAAAAAGUUUUGAUUUUUGUUUUUUGUACAUAGAAUAUGAAUCUGGUGCUUAGAAAGUUCUUUGUUACGGAGUAAUUCGUUUGCCAGGGUUUUUUUUGGUUUUUCAACCUGUUUGGUGAUCCUGUUGUAACGUGAACAUAUCAAGACAGUGACAUGCCUCGACAAAUCAUACUGUUUGUUGUACUUUGAUUUUGGCAAAGCACCUUGAUUCACUAUUGCUUAUCCUCAGAUCAAGCCUUGUAAUCAUUUUGCUAUAGAUCUUGCACCCGUGCUUUUUCUUUACCAUUUUGCUUUGCUAACUGCUGUACCUGAUGGAAUUUUUUCCUCACUGUGAUUUAUCCAUGACUUUAUGAGCACAAGAAUCGCACACAAGAAUCUCUUUCUAAAUAGCUUUAUGAGCAGCAAGUUUUCAAAAAUAUCUCCUUUUUGCCAAAUAAGUUUAAACUUUUGUUUUCUCCUUCUGAAUAUAUUUCUCUUUUUGGAAAACCUUUUUAAAAGACAUUUCGUGGAAAUCUAUCUUUGUUUGAAAGAUGUGUGAUACUUUUGUUUUGUGAUUUCUAAAUAUGAACUUCUUGAUUUUAAGUUUUCGUUAAAGAGUGACCGGGUUUAAAAGUUUUUUCUCAAAGUCGUUUCCAAAUGUUGUAAAUUUUCACAAUUUCCUUCCUUACUCUGUUUUGUACAAGACACCAUUUCAAACAACUUUGGCACUUUAAAUUUGCUUUUAAAGAAGGUCGUGCAAAUUAUUCUGGAGUCUUUCACGAGAUUUUCUAAUGUACUUCCUCCUAACUUUCCAAGCAGCAAGUUUUCAAAUAUCUCUUUUUUUCCAAAUAAGUUCAAUUUUGUUUUCUCAUUUGAAUAUAUCUGUAUUUUCUUACAGUUCUUUAUUAUGACAUUUUGUAAAAAUCUUCUCUGUUUAAAAGAGCUGUGAUACUUUUGCUUUGUCCUUUCUGAAUAUCAAUUUCUUGAGCUUAAGUUUUCUGUUAAUGAUUAUAACUGGAUUUAAAGUUUCUUCUCAAAUUUGUUUCGAAAUGUUGCAAAUUAUGACAAUUUUCAUCCUUACUCUGUUUUGUACAAGACCUACCUUUUUCAAACCACUUUGGAAGUUUAAAUUUGCUUUGAAAGAACGUAAUGCAAAUUAUUUUUGAUACUUUCACAAGUUUUUCCAUAGCCUUAUGAGCCUUAUGAGCAGCAAGUUUUCAAAUAUCUCGAAAAAGUUCGAACUUUUGUUUUCUCAUUUGAAUAUAUUUCUCUUUUUUGAAAACCUUUUUAAAGACAUUUCAUAAAAAUCAUUCUCUGUUUGAAAAAGGUGUGAUAUUUUGUUUUGUCAUUUCUCAAUAUUAACUUCUUGAUUUUGAGUUUUCUGUUAAAGAGUAAGUGGAUUUAAAAGUUCUUCCUCAAAGUCAUAUCCAAAUGUUGCAAAUUAUGACAAUUUUCUUCCUUACUCUCUUUUGUACAAGACUACUUUUUUCCAAUCAACUUUUGGAGUUUAAAUUUUGCUUUUAAAGAACGUCGUGCAGAGUAUUUAAGAUUCUUUCACAAGUUUUUCUAAUGUAUUUCCUCAUAACUUUAUGAGCGGCAAGUUUUCAAAUAUCUCUUUUUUGCCAAAUGAGUUUAAACUUUUGUUUUUUCCUUGUGGAUAUAUUUCUCUUUCUUGAAAACGUUUUGAAAGACAAAAUCUAUCUUUGUUUGAAACGUGUGAUACUUUUGUUUUGUCAUCUUUCAAUUUUAACUUCUUGAUUUUAAUUUUCUGUUAAAGAGUAACUGGAUUUAGAAGUUCUCCUCAAAUUCGUUUCCAAAUGUUGCAAAUUAUGACAAUCUUCUCUGUUUUGUACAAGACCUACUUUUUUUCAAACCACUUUGGUAGUUUAAAUUUGCUUUUAAAGAAGGUAAUGCAAAUCAUGUCAGAUUCUUUCACAAGUUUUUUUAAUGCAUUUCUCCGUAGCUUUAUGACCAACAAGUUUCAAAUAUCUCUUUUUGGCCUAAUAAGUUUUAAACUUCUGUUUUCUCCUUUUGAAUAUAUUUCUCUUUUCUGAAAACCUUUUAGAAGACAUUUCGUAAACGUCUAUCUCUCUUGCAAGAGCUGUGAUACUUUUGUUUUGUCCUUUCUGAAUAUUAAUUUCUUGAGUUUAAGUUUUCUUUUAAAAGAGUAUAACUGGAUCUAAAAAUUCUCCUUAAAGUUGUUUCCAAAUGUUGCAAAUUACGACAAUUUUCUUCCUUACUGUGUUUUGUCAAAGACCCACUUUUUUCAAACCACUUUGGGAGUUUAAAUUUGCUUUUUAAGAGUGUAAUGCAAAUUAUUUCAGAUUCUUUCGCAAGUUUUUCCAAUGCAUUUCCUCAUAAAGUUUUCAAAUGUCUCUUUUUUGCCUAAUAAGUUUCAUUUUGUUUUCUCCUUUGAAUAUAUGUCUUUUUUGACAAUUCUUUAUUAUGACAUAUUGGAAAAAUGUUCUCUGUUUAAAAGAGUUGUGAUACUUUUGUUUUGUCCUUUCUGAAUAUUAACUUGUUGAGUUUAAGUUUUCUGUUAAAAGAGUAUAACUGGCUUUAAAGAUUCUCCUCAAAGUUGUUUCCAAAUGUUUACGAAUUAUGAUAAUUUUCUUCCUUACUCUAUUUUGUACAAGACCUACUUUUUUCAAACCACUUUGGGAGUUUAAAUUUGCUAUUAAAGAACGUCAUGCAAAGCAUUUUAGAUUCUUUCACAAGUUUUUCCAAUGCAUUUCCUCAAACUUUUAUGAGCAGCAAGUUUUCAAAUAUCUCUUUUUUGCCAAAUAAGUUUAGACUUUUGUUUUCUCCUUUUGAAGAUAUCUGUCUUUUUUUACAGUUGUUUAUUAUGACAUUUCAUAAAAAUGUUCUCUGUUUAAAAGAGCUGUGAUACUCUUGUUUUGUCCUUUCUGAAUAUUAACUUCUUGAGUUUAAGUUUUCUGUUAAAAGAGUAUAAUUGUAUUUAAAGUUUCUCCUCAAAGUUGUUUCCAAAUGUUGCAAAUUAUGACAAUUUUCUUCCUUACUCUGUUUUGUACAAGACCUACUUUUUUCAAACCACUUUGGGAGUUUAAAAUUGCUUUUAAAGGAUGUAAUGCAAAUUAUUUUAGAUUCUUUCACAAGUUUUUCCAAUGUAUUUCCUCAAAUUUAUGAGUGGCAAGUUUUCAAAUAUCUCUUUUUUGCCAAAUAAGUUUAGACUUUUGUUUUCUCCUUGUGGAUAUAUUUCUCUUUCUUGAAAACUUUUUGAAAGACAUUUCAUGAAAAUCUAUCUUUAUUCUGAAUAGAGGUGUGAUACUUUUGUUUUGUCAUUUCUAAAUAUUAANNNNNNNNNNNNNNNNNNNNNNNNNNNNNNNNNNNNNNNNNNNNNNNNNNNNNNNNNNNNNNNNNNNNNNNNNNNNNNNNNNNNNNNNNNNNNNNNNNNNNNNNNNNNNNNNNNNNNNNNNNNNNNNNNNNNNNNNNNNNNNNNNNNNNNNNNNNNNNNNNNNNNNNNNNNNNNNNNNNNNNNNNNNNNNNNNNNNNNNNNNNNNNNNNNNNNNNNNNNNNNNNNNNNNNNNNNNNNNNNNNNNNNNNNNNNNNNNNNNNNNNNNNNNNNNNNNNNNNNNNNNNNNNNNNNNNNNNNNNNNNNNNNNNNNNNNNNNNNNNNNNNNNUAUAUGUCUUAACUUCUGAGCAACAAGUUUUAAUAUCUCUUUUUGCCAAAUAAGUUUAAUUUUGUUGUCUCCUUGAAUAUUGUCUUUUUGACAGUUCUUUAUUAUGACAUUUGUUAAAAGAGCUGUGAUACUUUUGUUUUGUCCUUUGUGAAUAUUAACUUCUUGAGUUUAAGUUUUCUGUUAAAAGAGUAUAACUGGAUUCAAAGUUUCUCCUCAAAGUCAUUUCCACGUGUUGCAAAUUAUGACAAUUUUCUUCCUUACUCUGUUUUGUACAAGACUUACUUUUUUCAAACCACUUUGGGAGUUUAAAUUUGCUUUUAAAGAAGGUAAUGCAAAUUAUUUCAGAUUCUUUCACAAGUUUUUCCAAUGCAUUUCCUCAUAGCUUUAUGAGCAACUAGUUUUCAAAUAUCUCCUUUUUGCCAAAUAAGUUUAAACUUUUGUUUUCUCCUGAAUAUAUUUCUCUUUUUUGAAAACCUUUUUAAAAGACAUUUCAGGAAAAUCUGUGUUUGAAAGAGGUGCGAUACUUUAGUUUUAUGAUUUUUAAAUAUUAACUUCUUGAUUUUAAGUUUUCUGUUAAAGAGCGACUGGGUUUAAAAGUUUCUUCUCAAAGUUGUUUCCAAAUGUUGUGAAUUUUCACAAUUUUCUUCCUUACUCUGUUUUGUACUAGACUCUUUUUCAAACAAUUUUGGCACUUCACAUUUGUUUUUAAAGAAGGUCGUGCAAAUUAUUCUGGACUCUUUCACAAGUUGUUCUAAUCUAUGUUCUUAUAACUUUCUGAGCAGCAAGUUUUCAAAUAUCUCUCUUUUGCCAAAUAAGUUUAAUUUUGUUUUUUCCUUUGAAUAUAUCUGUCUUUUUUCAGAGUUCUUUAUUAUGACAUUUUGUAAAAAUAUUAUCUGUUUAAAAGAGCUGUGACACUUUUGUUUUGUCAUUUCUGAAUAUUAACUUCUUGAGUUUAAGUUUUCUGUUAAAAGAGUGUAACUUGAUUUAAAGUUUCUCCUCGAAGUCAUUUCCAAAUGUUAAAAAUUAUGACAAUUUUCUUCCUUACUUUGUUUUGUACAAGGCCUACUUUUUUCAAACCAAUUUGGGAGUUUAAAUUUGCUUUUAAAGAAGGUAAUGCAAAUUAUUUCAGAUUCUUUCACAUGUUUUUCUACCGUAUUUCCUCAUAGCUAUAUGAGCAGCAAGUUUUCAAAUUUCUCUUUUUUGCCAAGUAAGUUUUAAACUUUUGUUUCCUCCUUUCGAAUAUAUCUCUCUUUUUUGAAAACCUUUUUAGAGACAUUUCGUAAACAUCUGUCUUUUUGCAAGAGGUGUGAUACUUUUGUUUUGUCAUUUCUCAAUAUUAACUUCUAAUAUUCCUCCUCAAAGUCGUUUCCAAAUGUUGCAAAUUAUGACAAUUUUCUUCCUUACUCUCUUUUGUACUAGGCUACUUUUUCCCACUCAACUUUGGAGUUUAGAUUAUCUUUUGAAGACCGCCACGCAGAGUAUCUCAAGAUUGCUAUCUCAAGUUUGUACAAUGUAUUUCCUCAUAACUGUAUACGAGCGGCAAGUGCUCAAAUAUCUCUUUUUGCCAAAUGAAAUUUAAACCUUUUGUUUUCUCCUUGUGGAUAUAUUUUUCUUCCCUGAAAACUUUUUGAAAGACAUUUGUGAAAAUCUAUCUUUUUUUUGAAAGAGGUGUGAUACUUUUGUUUGUGAAAUUCUAAAUAUUAACUUCUUGAUUUUAAUUUUCUGUUAAAGAGUGAGUGGAUUGAAAAGUUUCUCAGAGUCUUUUCCAAAUGUUGCGAAUUUUGACAAUUUUCUUCCUUACUCUGUUUUGUACAAGACACUUUUUCAAACAUCUUUGGCACUUCAAAUUUGCUUUUAAAGAAAGUCGUGCAAAUUGUUCUGGAGUCUCACAAGUUUUUCUAAUAUAUUUCCUCAUAACUUUUCUAAACAGCAAGCAAGUUUUCAAAUAUCUCUCUUUUGCCAAAUGAGUUUAAUUUUGUUUUCUCCUUUAAAUAUAUGUCUUUUUUUUUUAUAGUUCUUUAUUAUGACAUUUUGUAAAAAUGUUCUCUGUUUAAAAGAGCUGUGAUACUUUUUGUUUUGUCCUUUCUGAAUAUUAACUUUUUGAGUUUAAGUUUUCUGUGAAAAGAGUAUUAACUGGAUUUAAAGAUUCUCCUCAAAGUUGUUUUCAAAUGUUGCAAAUUAUGACAAUUUUCUUCCUUACUCUAUUUUGUACAUGACCUACUUUUUUUCAAACAACUUUGAGAGUUUAAAUUUGCUUUUAAAGAAGGUAAUGCAAAUUAUUUCAGAUUCUUUCACAAGUUUUUCCAAUGCAUUUCCUCAUAGCGUUAUGAGCAGCAAGUUUUCAAAUAUUUCUUUUUUACCAAAUAAGUUUUAAACUUUUGUUUUCUCCUUUUGACUAUAUUUCUCUUUUUUGAAAACCUUUAAAAAGACAUUUUGUAAAAUUCUAUCUAUGUUUGAAAGAGGUGUGAUACUUUUGUUUUGCCAUUUCUCGAUAUUAACUUCUUGAUUUUAAGUUUUCUGUUAAAGAGUAACUGGAUUUAUAAGUUUCUCUUCAAAGUUGUUUUCAAAUGUUGCACAUUAUGACAAUUUUCUUGCUUACUCUGUUUUGUAUGAGACCUACUUUUUUCAAACAACUUUUUGAGUUUAAAUUUGCUUUUAAAGAAGGCCGUGCAAAUUAUUUUGGAUUCUUUCACAACUUUUUCCAAUGUAUUUCCCCAAAACUUUUUGAGUGGCAAGUUUUCAAAUAUCUCUUUUUUGCCAAAUAAGUUUAAACUUUUGUUUUCUCCUUUUGGAUAUAUUUCUCUUUUCUGAAAAAUUUUUGAAAGACAUUUCAUGAAAAUCUAUCUUUGUUUGACAGAGGUAUGAUACUUUUUUUUUUUUUGGUGAAGAUGUGAUACUUUUGUUUUCUCCUUUUGGAUAUAUUUCUCUUUUUUGAAAACUUUUUGGAAGACUUCUUGUGAAAAUCUGUGUUUGACAGAGGCGUGUUACUUUUGUUUCGUCAUAUUUCCAAAUAUUAAUUUCUUGAUUUUAAGUUUUCUGUCAAAGAGUAAUUGGAUUUAAAAGUUUCUCCCCAAAGUUGUUACCAAAUGUUGCGAAUUAUUUUCUCCCUUACUCUGUUUUCUACACACUUUUUCAAACAUCUUUGGCAGUUUAAAUUUGCUUUUAAUGAAGGUCAUGCAAAUUAUUUUGGAUUCUUUCACAAGUUUCUCCAAUCUAUUUCCUCAUAACUAGUUUUCAAGUAUCUCUGUUUUGCCAAAUAAGUUUAAUUUUGUUUUCUGCUUUGAAUAUGUCUUUUUUUUUUUAUAGUUCUUUAUUAUGACAUUUCGUAAAAAUAUUAUCUGUUUGAAACUGCUAUGCUACUUAUGGUUUGUCCUUUCCGAAUAUUAACUGCUUGAGUUUAAGUUUUCUGUUAAUGAAUAUAACUGGAUUUAAAAUUUCUCCUCGAAGUUGCUUCCAAAUGUUGCCAAUUAUGACGAUUUCUUCCUUACUCUUGUUUUGUACAAAACCUACAUUUUUCAAACAACUUUGGGAGUUUCAAUUUGCUUUUAAAGAACAUCUUGCAAAGUAUUUUAGAUUCUUUCACAAGUUUUUCCAAUGUAUUUCCUCAAAGCUUUAUGAGCGGGAAGUUUUCAAAUACCUCUUUUUUGGCCAAUAAGUUUAAACUUUUGUUUUCUCAUUUUGAAUAUAUUUCUCUUUUUUGAAACUUUUUUAAAGACAUUUCAUAAGAUCAAUCUCUGUUUGAAAGAUGUGUGAUGCUGUUGUUUUGUCAUUUCUAAAUAUUUAGUUCUUGAUUUUAAUUUUCUGUAAAAGAGUAGCCGGAUUUAAAAGUUUCUUCACAAAGUCGUUUCCAAAUGUUGCAAAUUAUGGCAAUUUUCUUCCUUCCUCUAUUUGUUCAAGACACUUUUUUCAAACAACUUAGGUGUUUAAAUUUGAUUUUAAAGAAGGUCAUGGAAUUUUUUUUGGAUUCUUUCACAAGUUUUUCCAAUCUAUUUCGUCAACUUUAUGAGCAACAAGCUUAUACCUCUUUUUUUAAACUAAGUUUAAAAGUUUUGUUUUCUCCUUUUGAAUACAUGUCUUUUUUGACAAUUUUUUUUUUUUUUGGUAAUCUCUUUUUUGACAAUUAUUGAUUGUGACAUUUCAUAAAAAUGUUCUCCAUUUAAAAGAGCUGUGAUACUUUUGUUUUGUCCUUUCUGAAUAUUAACUUCUUGAGUUUAAGCUCUUUGUUAAAAGAGUAUAACUGGAUUUAGAUUUUCUCAUCAAAGUUGUUUGCAAAUGUUGCAAAAUAUGAUAAUUUUCUUCCUUUGUUUUGUACAAGACCUACAUUUUUCAAACCAUUUUGGGAGUUUGCAAAUUAUUUAAGAUUCUUUCACAAGUUUUUUCAGUGUAUUUCCUCAUAGGUUAAUGAGCGGCAAGUUUUCGAAUAUCUCUUUUUUGCGAAGUAAGUUUAAACUUUUGUUUUCUCCUUUUUUCUUUUUUACAGUUCUUUAUUAUAGAUAUUUCAUAAAAAUGUUCUAUGUUUGAAAGAGCCGUGAUACUUUUAUUUUGUCCUUUUUGAAUAUUAACUGCUUGAGUUUAAGUUUUACAGUUCUUUUUACAAUUCUAUAUUUGUCUUUUUUGACAGUUCUUUUUUAUGAGAUUUUUUAAAGAUGUUCUCUGUUUGAAAGAGCUGUGAUACUUUUGUUUUGUCCUUUCUAAAUAUUUACUUCUCGAAUGUAAGUUUUCUGUUAAUGAGUAUAACUGGAUUUAAAGUUUCUCCUCAAAGUUGUUUCUAAAUGUUGCCAAUUAUGACAAUUUUUUCCUUUCUCUGUUUUGUACAAGACCUACAUUUUGCAAACAACAAUGGGAGUUUCAAUUUGCUUUUGAAGAAAUGUCUUGCAAAGUAGUUUAGAUUCUUUCACAAGUUUUUCCAAUGCAGUGGCAAGUUUUCAAAUACAUCUGUUUUUGCCAAAUAAGUUUAAACUUUUGUUCUCCUUUUGAAUGUAUUUUUCUUUUUAGAAACUUUUUUUAAAGAUAUUUCGUAAAAUCUAUCUCUGUUUGUCAUUUCUAAAUAUUAACUUUUUAAUUUUAAGUUUCUGUAAAAGAGUAACUGGAUUUAAAAGUUUCUCCUCAAAGUCGUUUCUAAAUGUUGCAAAAUAUGACAAUUUUCUUCCUUUCUUUGUUUGUACAAGACAAACUUUUUUCAAACAACUUAGGGAGUUUAAAUUUGCUUUUAAAGAUGGUCGUGCAAAUUAUUUUGGAUUCUUUCACAAGUUUUUCCAAUCUAUUUCCCCGUAACUUUAUGAGCGGCAAGUUUAUAUCUCUUUUUUUCCAAAUAAGUUUAAACUUUGGUUUUCUCCUGUUAAAUACAUGUCUUUUUUUACAGUUCUUUAUUAUGACAUUUAGUAAAAAUGUUCUCUUUCAAAAGAGCUGUGAUCCUUUUGUUUUGUCCUUUCUGAAUAUUAACUUCUUGAGUUUAAGUUUUCUGUUGAGAGUAUGACUGGAUUUAGAGUUUCUCCUCAAAGUUGUUUACAAAUGUUGCAAAAUAUGAUAAUAUUCUUCCUUACUCUAUUUUGUACAAGACCUACUUUUUUCAAACUAUUUUGGGAGUUUAAAUUUGCUUUUAAAGAAUGUCGUGCAAAUUAUUUUAGAUUCUUUUUCCACUGUAUCUCCUCAUAGCUUUAUGAGCAGCAAGUUUUCAAAUAUCCCUUUUUAGCCAAAUAAGUUUAAACUUUUGUUUUCUCCUUUUUAAUAUAUCUCUUCUUUUUUUUACAGUUCUUUUUUACAGACAUUUAGUAAAAAUGUCCUGUGUUUGAAAGAGCUAUGAUACUUUUGUUUUGUCCUUUAUGAAUAUUAACUUCUUGAGUUUAUGUUUUACAGUUCUUUCUAUAAUUCUUUAUGUCUUUUUUGACAGUUUUUUAUUAUAACAUUUCAUAAAAAUGUUCUCCGUUUGAAAGAGCUGUGAGACUUUUGUUGUCCUUUCUUAAUAUUAACAUGUUGAGUUUAAGUUUUCUGUUAAAGAGUAGGACUGGAUUUAAAGUUUCUCUGCAAAGUUGUUUUCAAAUGUUGCAAAUUUUGACAAUUUUCUUCCUUACACCUUUUUGUACAAGACCUACUUUUUGCGAACCAUUUUGGGAGUUUAAAUUUUCUUGUGAAGAAUGUCAUGCAAAUUAUUUUACAUUCUUUCACAAUGUAUUUCCUCAUAGCUUUAUGAGCAUCAAGUUUUCGAAUCUCUUUUUUGCCAAAUAAGUUUAAACUUUUGUUUUCUCCUUUUGAAUAUAUCUCUUUUUUUACAGCUUUUUAUUAUAGACAUUUGGUAAAAAUGUUCUCUGUUUGAAAGAGCUAUGAUAGUUUUUUUUUGUCAUUUCUGAAUAUUAACUUGAUUUUAAGUUUUACAAUUCUUUUUACAAUUCUUUAUGUGUCUUUUUGACAGUUCUUUAUUAUGACAUUUUGUAAAAAUGUUCUUUGUUUGAAAGAGCAGUGAUACUUUUGUUUUCUCCUUUCUAAAUAUUAACUUCUUGAGUUUAAGUUUUUUGUUAAAGAGUAUAACUGGAUUUUAACGUUUCUCCCCAAAUGUUGCAAGUUAUGACAAUUUUCUUACUUACUCUGUUUAGUACAAGACCUACUUUUUUUCAAACUAUUUGGGAGUAUAAUUUUGCUUUUAAAGAACAUCAUGCAAAUUAUUUUAGAUUCCUUCACAAGUUUUUCCAAUGUAUUUCCUCAUAGCUUUAUGAGCAGCAAGUUUUCGAAUCUCUCUUUUCUGCCAAAUAAGUUUAGACUUUUGUUUUCUCCGUUUGAAUAUAUCUCUCUUCUUUUCUAGUUCUUUAUUAUAGACAUUUCGUGAAAAUGUUCUCUGUUUAAAUGAGCUGUGAUACCUUUGUUUUGUCCUUUCUAAAUAUUAACUGGAUUUAAAGUUUCUCGUCAAGGUUGUUUCCAAAUGUUGCAAAUUAUGACAAUUUUCUUCCUUACUUUGUUUUGUACAAGACCUACUUUUUUUCAAACAACUUGGGGAGUUUAAAUUUUCUUUGAAAGAAUAUCAUGCAAACUGUUUUAGAUUCUUUCACGUGUUUUUUCAAUGUGCUUCCUCAUAGCUUUAUGUCCAGCAAGUUUUCAAAUUUCUCUUUUCUGCCAAAUAAGUUUAAAGUUUGGUUUUCUCCUUUUGAAUAGAUCUCUCUUUUUUGACAAUGCUUUAUUAAAUUCAUUUUGUAAAAAAUUUCUUUAUUUAAAGGAGGUGUGAUACUUUUGUUUUGUCCUUUCUAAAUAUUAACUUCUUGAGUUUAAGUUUUUUGUUAAAGAGAGUAUAACUGGAUUUAAUGUUUCUCCUCAAAGUUGUUUCCAAAUGUUGCAAAUAAUGACAAUUUUUUUCCUUGCUCUAUUUUGUAAAGCAAGUUUUCAAGUAUCUCUUUUUUUCCAAAUAAGUUUAACUUUUAUUUUCUCCUUUUGAAAUAUCGUUUUUCUUGUCGGAAGUUCUGACAUUUCGUUAAAAUCUCACUCUAUUUUAAAUUGUAACUAGAUUCGUCUUUUUAUACAAUUUUUCUUUUAAAGAACGUCACACAGGAAUCUCUUUAUUAAUAGCUAUAUAUGAACAGCGAGUUUUCAAAUAUCUCUUUUUUGCCAAAUUAGUUCAAUUUUGUUUUCUCCUUUUGAAUAUAUCUUUGUUUUUUUGGGAAGUUCUGACAUUUCGUAAAAAUAUCUCUCUCUCACAGAGAGAGAGAAUGCAACCGGGUUUAAAGUUUUCUUUCAACAUGUUUGUAAAUGGUGGAAAUGAUUGUAUUUUUCUUCCUUACUCUGUUUUGUUUGAGGUUUACUAUUUUCAAUCAACAUUGGAUUGGGAGUUUACAUUUGCUUUUAAAGAAUGUCACACAAAUUGUUUUAGAUUCUAUAACAAGUUCUACCAAGUUAUUUCUUUAUAGAUUCAUGAUCAGAAGGUUUGCAAGCAUCUCUUUUCUCCCAAAACUUAUAACUUUUGUUUUCUCUUUUUGUGUACCUCACUAUUUUGAAAGUUCUUAUCUCUCCGUUUUAAAUAAUUUUGAGACUUUUGUAUUGUCCUUUCUAAAUAUUAACUCCUUGAUUUAAAGUUGUCUAUCAUAGAGCAACUGGAUUUAAAGUUUUCUUCCAUAAUUGUUUGUAUGGUGGAAAUGAUGGCAUUUUUAUUCCUUACUCUGUUUUGUACGAGACUUACUAUUUUCAAGAAUGUCAUGUGAAUUAAUUUAGAUUUUGUCGCAAGUUUCUCCAAUCGAUUUCUCAAUAGCCUCAUGAGAAUUAAUUUGCUUUUAAAGAAUGUCGUGUGAAUUAUUUGCAAAUCUCUCUUUUUUGCCAAAAGAACGUACACUACUAUUUUGUCCUUUUUUGUAUAUUUAAAAGUUCUGUGUUAAGCAGAUUUCAUAAUAUAUCUCUCUGUUUUAAAGAAUUGUGAGUCUUUUACUUUGUUUUUUCAAAAUAUUAACUUCUUUAUUUUAGGUAUCCUGUCUUUAAGUAACCGGAUUCAAAAUAUUCUUCUAAAGUCGUUUAAAAAUGUUUUGUUAAAUAGAUCAUUCUAUUUUAAAAAUUGCAAGAGUUUUGUUUUGUCCUCUCUAAAUAUUAAGUUCUUGAAUUUAAGUUUCGUGCCUUUGAGUGACUAGAUUCAAUGAUUUUAUUAAAAGUAGUUUCCAAAUCUUACAAAUUAUGGCAAUUUUCCUCCAAACAAGACUUCAAACAACAUUGGGAGUUUAAAUUUGCUCUUAAAGAACGUCAUGCAAAUUAUUUUAGCUAUCACAAGCUUUUCCAAUCUGAUUUUGAAUUACUUUAUGAAGCUUGCUAGUAUCUCUUUUACGAGCAAAAAAACCUGAACUUUUGUUUUAUUCUUUAUCUUUAUCUCUCUGUUUUAAAAGUUCUUUCUUAAAGAGAUUUGUUAAUAUCUCUAUGUAAUAAAGAAUUGUUACCAUAUGAUUUCGUCCUUUCUAAAUAUUGACUUCUUGAAUUUUCUGUUUUUGAGUAACUGGAUCUAAAGUUUUCUUUGAAAUUCAUUUCCAAAUGUCACAAAUUUGGGCAAAUUUGUGCAAGACCUACUAUGUUUCCAAAUUACAUUGGAAGUUUAAAUUGGCUUCUAGAGAACAUCAAGCAAAUUAUAUUAGAUUCUAUCACAAGAUAUUCCAAUCUCUUUCUCAAUAGCUUAAUGAGCAGAAGGUUUGCACGUAUCUCCUUUUUCCCAAAAAACUUAAACUUUUGUUUUCUCUUUUGUAUACCUAUCACUCUAUUUUAAAAGAUCUUUGUUAAAGAGAUUUCCUAAUAUUUCUCUCGGUUAUAAAGAAUUCUGAUACUUUUGUUUUCUCCUUUCUUAAUAUUAAAGUUUUCUGUCAAAGAGCAAUCAGAUUUAAAGUUGUCUAAUAAAGUCAUUACCAUAUAUUGCAAAUCAUGGCAAUCUUCUUUUGUAGUCUGAUUUGUACAAGACAUACUAUUUUUAAAACAACAUUAGGAAUUUAAAUUUGCUUAUAAAGAACAUCUAGCAAAUUAUUUUAUUAUCUAUGACAAGUUGUUCGAAUUGAUUUCUCCAUAGCUUUAUGAGCAAAAAAGGUUUGCUAGUAUCUCGUUUUCUUCAAAAAACUUUGACUUUUGUUCUGUCCUUUUGUAUACUUGUCUCUUUAAUUUAAAAGGCUCUUUGUUAAAGAGAUACCCUAAUAUGUCUUUCUGUCUUAAAGAAUGUGAGAAUUUUAUUUUGUCUUUUCUACAUAUUAAGUCCUUGAUUUUAUGCUUUCUGUUUUCAAGUAACAGGAUACAAAGUUCUUUUUUUUUCCAAAGUCGUUUUCAAAUGUUGAAAAUCUUGGCAUUUUUCUUCCUUACUUGGAUUUGUAUAAGACCUACUAUUUUUCAUACAACAUUGGGAAUUUAAAUUUUCUUUUAAAGAGAUUUCCUAAUAUCUCUCUCAGUUUUAAAAAAUUGUGGGACUUUGUUUUUGUUUCUUUUUAAGUAUUAAGUUCUUGAUUUUAAGUAUUCUGUCAUUGAGUGACCUGAUUUAAAGCUUUCUUUCAAAGUAGUGUACAAAUGUUGCCAAUUUUGGCAAUUUUUUCCUUACUCUGUUUUUGUACAAGACCAACUAUUUUCAAACGUGAUUGAGAGUUUAAAUUUGCUUUGAAAUUUCCAACCUAUUUUUCAAUAGGUUUUUGAGCAGAAAGUUUGGUAGAAUUUCUUCGGUAGAGAGAUUUCCUAAUAUCUCUCUGUGUUUUAAAGAGCUGAGACUUUUAUUUUGUUUGCCUUUAAAGAACUUCAUGCAAAUUAUUUUAGUUACUAUCACAAUUGUUUUUAAUCUAUUUUGCAAUAGGUUUGCUAGAAUCUAAUAUUUUGCCAAAAAUCUUGGACUUUUGUUUUCUCCUUUUUGUGUACUUGUAUCUCUCUGUUUUAAAAGUUAUUUGUUAAACAGUCUCCCCCAUUAUCUCUCUCUGUUUUAAAGAAUUUUGAGACUUUUGUGUUGUCAUUUCUGAAUAUUAGCUUCUUGAUUUUAAUUUUUCUAUCAAAAAGUAAUUGGGUUUAAAGUUUUCUUUCAAAUUUUUUUGUAAAUUGUGGAAAUGAUGGUUAUUUCCUUCUUUACUCUGUUUUGUCUGAGAUCUACUAUUUUCAAUCGACAUUGGGAUUUCAACUUGCUUAUAAAGACGCCAUGCAAAUCAUUUCAGAUUCUACACACAAGUUUUUCCAAUCUAUUUUGUAAUAGCCUUGUGAGCAAAAGGUUUGCAAGUAUCUCUUUUUUUCCCAUAUCUUAAAACUUUUGUUUUCUCCGUCUGUCUACUUAUUUCUCUGUUUGAAAAGUUCUUUGUUAAACAGAUUUUCUAAUAUCUCUCUUUGUUUUAGAGAAUUCUGAGACUUGUUGUGCUUUCUAAAUAUUAACUAUUGAUUUUAAAGUUUUCUAUCACGUAGCAACCAGAUUGAAAGUUUUCUUUCAUAACAGUUUGUAAAUGGUGGAGAAUUGAUGCCAUUUUUCUUCCUUACUCUGUUUUGUACAAGAUACUAUUUUAAAAAAGCAUUGGGAGUUUAAAUUUGCUAUUAAAGAACGUCAUGUAAGUUAAUUUAGACUCUAUCUCAAGUUUUUCCAACCGAUUUCUCAAUUGCUCAUGAGUAGUAGGCAUGUAAAUCUCUCUUUUUUGCCAAAAGAACAUACACUAUUUUUUUGUUGUUUUGUAUUUUUAAAAGUUCUUUGUUAAAUAGAUUUUCUAAUAUAUAUCUAUGUUGUGAGACUUUUAUUUUGUUUUUUCAAAAUGUUUACUUCUUGAUUUUAAGUAUCCUGCCUUCGAGUAACUGGAUUCAAUUUUUUUUCCAAAGUCGUUCCAAAUGUUUUGUUAAACAGAUUAUCUAAUCCCUCUUUUUUAAAAAUUGCAAGACUUUUGUUUUUUCCUUUCUAAAUAUUAACUUCUUGACUUUAAGUUUCCUGCCUUUGAUUGACUGAAUUCAACGUUUUCAUUAGACUAGCUCCCAUAUCUUGCAAAUUAUGGCAAGCUUCCUCCAAACUUUGUUAUGUACAAGGCCUACUAUAUUCAAACAACAUUGGGAGUUUAAACUUGCUUCUAAAGGACGUCAUCCAAAUUAUUUUAGAUUCCAUCACAAGUUUAUCAAACUAUCGCUCAAUAGCUUUAUGAGCAGUGUGUUUGCAAAUAUCUCUUUUGUGCCACUUUUGUUUUCUCAUUUUGUUUACUUAUCUCUGUUUUAAAAGUUCUCUGUUAAAGAGAUUACCUUUUUUUUUUCUCUAUUCUAAAGAAUUUUGAGAUUUAUGUUUUUUCCAUUAUAAAUAUCUACUUCUUGAUUGCAAGUUUUCUGUCCUAGAGGAAUUCGAAGUUGUUUACAUAUGUUGCAAAUUUGCUUUCGAAGAAUGUCAUGCAUAUUAUUUUAGAUUCUAUUACAAGUUUUUCAAUUUAUUUCUCAUUAGGUUUAUGAGCAGGAAGUUUUCAAAUAUAUUUUUCUGCAAAAUAAGUUAAAACUCUGGUUUUCUCCUUCUCUAUAUAUGUUUUUUUUUUAAAAGUUCUUUCUCAGAGAGGUUUUGGAACAUGUCUGUCUGUUCUUAAGAAUACUGAGACUUCUUAAUUUUCAGUUUUGGUAACUGGAUUGCAAUUUUCUAUAUAUUACCGACACCUGUUAUUUUGAAACAAAAUUUGGAGUAUAAAAAUUUGCUUUUAAAGAACAUAAUGCGCAUUAUGUAGAUUUUAUCAAGUGUUAGUCGAAUCUAUUUCUCAGUUGCUUUAUUAACUGCAAGUUUUUAGAUAUCUCGAUAGCAAUGGUAGUUAACAUAAGUAAGAUGAUCUACUUGAUUGUUGAGAGAGCAUUGUCAACAAGACAAUUUCACAUUUCUCUCACUCAUUAUUUUUUAGAUGAUCAAGUGGUUUUUUGGGCUAACUAAAGGAGGAGAAUGUCUAGGCUGCUAAAUUUCGACUUAUCUUGGCUUUCUUGGGUUAGCAAAAUUUAAGGACAAAGUAAUAAUAGUGUCUAGUGAUAAGUGGAAGGAUUCAUAUGUCCAUUGAUGGUGUUUAGAUUGGAGAGCCGCAAAUGAGGUGUCCAUGUGGUGUUCUGGAAAAUGGUUUUUGGUGGCUGACUGGUAAGAUUGAUAAUAGAGAGAUCACUGACAUUAUAGAGUAUGACACAACUGGUGGGGGGUGAAGGAUGGUUGACAAGGAUGGGUUUUGAUUGAUAUCUGGUGGAAAUUUGUCGACUAACUAUUAUACCAUUAGAAAGCCCUAGUAUGCUCUCGAGGUCUCAGUGUGGUGAGCUGGAAAAUGGUUUUCUAUGGUUGACUGAUAAGAUUGAUUAUAGAGAGAUCACUGAAAAUAGAGUAUGACACUACUGGUGGUGAGCGAAGGAUGGUGGACAAGGAUAAGUGUUGAUUGAAAUAUAUUUUCUACUUCUGCUAUUUGUACGUUGUGAAAUGGCAUGUUCUACUCAUUUGUUUAUCCCCUCAUUAUGGGUUUUCCUGCUUGACCUUGCUCUGUCUUAACGAAGAAAACAGUGGAUCUAUAUAAAUUCAAAUCAAGAUAGGUAUUUCAAGAAAGAAAUUCUUUGAAAUUUUUCUUUGUUACUAGAUUUUCUUGUGAUUACUACUCCAGUCAUUUUCCUUUUCAUGUUUGCUGGGUCUUUGUAUGGAAUAGGAGAUUCGGCAGCUAUAUUGAUCUUGUUAGUUUAUUACAGGAUGAUUUGUAUAAUUUUCUAGUUUUGGGCGAUUAUUGGUUGGAGAUUGAUGUGGAAACAAUUUGUGUAAUUUUGAGGAAGUAUCAUUUGCAGUGAGUAGAUGUUAUAAUAUUAAAAUAUUUAGCUAUGGAAUGGUCUCUAUAAUUUUGCAUGCCUAUUGAUCGAAACUCCACUUUAGGGUCAAGAAAAGCUACGUGAUAAGGGUAAUGAUGGUCUUCACUGGGAUUGAGUAUGAAGUUUGGAAGAAGAAAAGUGACAGGAUGUAGGACUAAAGCGGUUUUAAGAGCUUUGCGUAAUGUUAAAUUAGUGGAUAUUUCAUAAUACUUUGGUUAUGUUCAAAUUUUUUACUUAUUGUGGUGAGAAACCUAGAAGGAUAAAUGAAAUGAUUCAUAUGAUUUUGCUUGAUUAUUGAGGAUGAUGGGCGGCAACUUUGAGAAUGAAUAUUCGUUUAAGAGGCUAAGUUAAAUAAAAACAAAUAUAGAACCAGACAGCUUCCAGAGCAAGUGAUUUUGAUCAUUAUUUUGAGGUAUAUUGAUUAUAAAAAUGAUUAUUAUCAUUUUGGGUGAGUGUUUCAAAUUGACGUUUGACGUGUUUUGGCAGUAAAAUUUGCUUUUGACUUGCGAGAGAUAGUUUACUGGACAGAAGUUUGUCAAUUUAUGAAAUGAGCCACCCAAAUGCCAAAUGAAAAUUGCAUAUCUUUUAAUUGUCAUUAGGAGAGCUUUUUUCUGUCACGACUAAUGUGUUCUUUGUAAAUGGUAUGAAUACUUGUGGCAAGGACAAAACUUUUUCUGACUUCUUUUUAACAAAAAAAUGUCAAGACGAACACAUUAAGUUAUUUUUGGAUGACACCUUAUGUUAAAUUAUGCGGUCCUUGAAUUUUUAACUCAAUAGUCCUCUGUCAUUUUCACUUUGAUUGGUUGGCUACUUUUCUGUCUUAAGCAUAUGUACGUUUUCCAAAGAAACCAAUAUAAGAUCAAACUAAAUUCCACCUGGUUAGUUUGUGAGACCAUUUGGCAGGAGCUGAGGGAAUUAUGUUUGGGGAUUCGAUGAGCUAUCAGAUUUAGUGAUGGACUAGAGACGAGGGAACUAUGUUGAUAUUGUGAGUUCAUUGUGGAAUGGUUUUAAUAAUUUUGGGUGACUUUUUGAGCUUGACCUUUGACUGUUUUUCAUAAGUGGGGUUGAUUAUUUGAGAUUAAUGGUUGGCAAAUUUCAAGGAUGAAAUUCUGUUGAGGUAAUUCUCAUGUCCUUAUUUUAGAAUAAAAUGUAGAGCAUAAUAAUUUUGGGGUUGUUUUCUUAUGUUUGAUAUCUCAAGUGAUGGGUUCUUUUAAGAAAUUAUGAGGUUGAUGUUCGGCAAAUUGGUGGACAACAUUUAAUGGGGCAGAAGCUAUAUGUUGCUGUUGGAAAGAAAUAUAGAGUAGAUGAUUGUUGGAGUAUGAUUUCUAGAACUUUUGAUGGGUGAAGGUGAGUUGAUUGCAAAAUGGUUUCUGUAGUUUUGGGUGAUUAUGUGAUGUUGACGUUGGAAUGAUUGAACUUUGCGCGAUUGUUUGCUAUGGAUGUUCAGCAAAUUUCAAAUAUGGAAUUCAUUUGAGGUGAAUAUUUGCUAGUGUCCUGAUUUUAGGAAGAAAUAUAGAGUAGAAUAAUUUUGAUGUUGAUGCUUGCGCUCCAUUUUCUUUAGUUUCAAUAUUGAGUCAUUGGUUCCCCUUAGGUGAUUGUUGGAGUAUUGAUUUCUCUAACUUUUGCACUUGAGUUGAUUGAGGAAUCAUUUAAAUAGAGCCUUGGGUGAUUAUUUAAGCUCGACGUUAGGAUGAUUGUUAUUAUUUUGGGUGAGUAUUUGACAUUGAUCUUUGGCGACUUUCAAGGGUGAAAUUCAUUUGAGGUGAUGAGAUGCUAGUGUCCUGACUUUAGGGAGAAACAUAGAGCAGAAUAAUUUUGGGUAGAUGUUGUGCAGUGGCAGACUUUGCACAUUUUAUCGGUGGGUGCAAAUAAACUGGGCAGGACAAAGUGAAUACCUAAAACGUUGAAUUAUUGAAAUCAGUUAUUUUCUGGGAUUUUUAAAGAAGAAUGAUCGUCGGAGUACUGAUUUUAUAGAACAUAAGCUACUUUGCUAGUGUCCUGUUUUCUGAAGUUGAUAUAGAGUCAUAGGUUCCCUUGAGAAAUUUUGUGGUUGAUGUUUUGCAAAUUAGUUAGCAACUCCAUAAGGGGGCGGACGUGCUAUAUUAUUUGAAUCUCCAUUUAGUUUACCCUUUGGUGUUCCUUCUUGAUCUUGCUUUAUCUUAAUAUAACAAAAGGGGAUCUAUAUAAAUUGGAAUCAUAAGCAAUUCUGUCAGGAAAGAAAAUUAUAGAUCGGACAUUUGUCCUUUUGUUGGCUAUAUUAUUUUGUGAUUGCUGUUGCAAUCAUGUUCCUUUUCACGUUUCCCUGAUCUUUAAAUAGACACAAAUAUUGGGUGGCUAUGUCAAUCUUCUGUAUACUAUUGAAGUGAUCUUAUUUUUCAUGUUUUCCACUGUUUUGAUGGCUCUGUUUGUAAACCUUUGUGACUCUAGCGAGUUUCUCUGCGCAAGGUUAUUAUUUUACUUUUGAAACAAGCAGUAUUGUCCCACUUAAGAGGAGUAAUCACGUCCAGUCGAGCUGAUAAUAAUGCCAAGCUUGAUCUUGAAGCUCAUUUGUGUUAGAAUUUCUGCCUGAACUUGCCUUAAUAGAGAAUCGAAAUAAUCGAGCUUAAGCUAGAUUACAAAUCAAUACUCUUUAAGCUAUCAAGCUUAAACUAGAUUAAAAUCAAUACUCUCAAGCUUGACCUUAUAUACUCUCAAUCGAGUAUAUGAUUUGUUUUUGUGACUAUGUGACUAGCAAAAUAUUAAUGAAAAAACAAAAGCUCUAUUAAGCUUACUGUCAAGCUGAGCUCGACUCGAUAAGAUACUUAAGUAGCUCAGACUUUGAGCUUGACUUGAAACCAUAUGAGGUGAUUUCUCAAGUCAAGCCCAAACUACUCUCGAGACAUGAUUUCACCCUUGUCCCAUUGUAUACGAGAUGGAUAUCUCAUUAUUUUUCCUAAAUCUCAUAAUAUCUUGUUCUUUAACAGUAAUUGUGUUUUGUUCAGGUGAUUAUGGAUAAAGCAUCCUGUGGUAAGAAAUUGGUCUUCAGGUGGGCAGGUUUUAUGUUUGUGUGUGUGUGAGAGAGAGAGAGAGAGAGAGAGGGUACAAGUUCACACUCCCUUUGAGCAACUGAUUUUAAUUAUAGUCAGCUUAUAAUUUUGGCAAUGUAUUUCAUAUCAAUAUGCAACUGAUAUAGUUAACUAAUCUACCUUAAGUGGAUAUUUGUGCAAUAAGUUCAACACUAUAUUUUGACAAAUUUUUGUUUGACCAAUUUAAUUGUAGAUUAUCCAUUCAUUUAUCCGGUACUUAUUUUUAUUCAUUGCAUACAUGGUUAUAGUUAUGUAGUGAUAAUGCACGACUUACAUCUUAAAUGAAUUUAGAUCAUUUUCGGGAAAGGUAGUUAAAUACUCGUGGUUUAAAUUAAGUUGAUUAUUACUGAAGUGAGCAAAUGAUGAGGAAAUUUGACAUGGUUGAUUUGCACUCGUAAUGAUUUUUAUGGCAGUGAAGUACCUGGAUUUUUUGACGUGUUUGUGAAUUUUUGUUAUGAUACAUGCUGAUAAAAGAUGAAAUCGUUGACAUGUUAGAUUGGCAUUGGGCUAUAAGUACUUGAACUAUGUAGAAUAUGUCCCUCAAGGGAUUGACUUUUUCUAUUAUAUGCAUGCAAAUAAUGAGAAAUAAGGUAAAAAUAUAUUAUGGUGAUACCUCAAAAUGUUAUGUAAUUACUCAUUGAAUGUCACUAUGCUAUUUUGCUCUUGGUAAGAUUAUCUCAUACCUUAAACAUAGAGAUUUCAUUUAUUGUGCUUAGGAUCCGUUCAAAAUACGUUAUAGAUUAGUAGAGUUUUUGGAGUUUAGAUUUGUGCUUCUGAAUCUCUUUUAAGGUUUGGAUCACAGUACACAACAAGAGUAGAGGUGUAUAUUUUAUGUAGGGAGUAUUGAUUAUGUAUAUUUUGUACAUCAUUUGAGGCGAAAUUAUUUUUCAUUUGAAGUUCAAAUUUUAUGGGAAUAUCAAGUUGUGACAAUUUUUGGUAUUAGAGCGAGGUUAAUGGAGCGAUGAAAUAGAAUUAGAUAGAGUGUGGAUAUAGACUUUGAGUUCCAUGAUUAAUUUGGUGGAGGAAUUGUUGAAAUAAUAAGUUCCGUAAGAAAGAUUAAUAGGUUAAUUUGAUAAGUUAUGAUCUUUGGGAAUUUAGUAUAUCUGAUGGAGCCAUGAAUCCUAGUAUUGGUUGAUUUACAUCAUGGUCAGAGUGGAUUUUAGAAGUGUUUAAGUUUUAAUUUAAACCUCAGGCAAUGAGUGAUUGUCUUUUUGGUGUUUGGAUAUUUUCGCCAAGUCGCAAGUUAUUGUUUCUGUCAUAAGUAUUCAAUAUGAAAUGGUUGAGAUUUAGUUAUUGGUGAAAUUAGGCAAAUUUAGAUCGCAAAACAAAAACUAAGGUAUUAAUUUAUAAUAAUAGUGGACGAUCCUUUAGCGAUAUGUCACGAUCAAUUUUAUGACAAUUUAUGAUCUUUAGAUGUAAGUCGUGAUUUUGAGGAUUACAUCGUAGUCGGAGGAGAUUAAAAGGAGAAUUUAUAUUGGAAGUCUCAAUAGGUUACAUGGUGAUAUUUAGUAUAAUAAGAAUUGAUCUUAGAGGAAGUAAGCUUGAAAAUUAAAUUUCCUUCGGUGUAACAUGUGUGAUCUUUGUAACUGUAGGUUGUGAUAUUUUGAGUAGUAUAUUAUGAUCUUACAUUAAAGAGUUUUGCGGAACUAGUAGGCAAGAUCUUCAUAACUGUAGGUUGUGAUCUUCAUAGUUGUAGGUUAUGAUCUUUUGAGUAGUAUAUUAUGAUCUUACUUUAAAGAGUUUUGUGGAACUAAGUAGCUAAGAUCAAUUUCAAUUGAGGUUUCAUUUGUAAGUCAAGUUGAUUGAAUUUUAUUGAAAAGUAGAUGAGUUCAAAUUUUGGUGAUUUAGGAAGUUAUAGGCAUUCAAUCUUAAGUGAUGACUUUUUGAGUGGUGACAUUUUUAUGAGGAUUUGUGGUAUAAAUAUAAGUUUUUGUUUUGGUGAUCCUUGUCCUGGAGAGGAAUACAGUACAUUGCCUUGGGAGAAAGUUGAGAUAAAAUUCGAGGAAGUAGAUCUUAUCUUAGUGUUAUGAUUCAGAAUACCACAGUCGUAUUCAAAUAUAGUGAUGUUAGGAGUGUUUAGGGUGUAUUAAAAGUUAAUAAUUCCGUUUUUCUUGGAAGGAGUAAUUUUGAACUAAUGCUAUCAAUGAGCUCUACUUGAGGAGUUAUUAAGAACAUUGAAAGUAUUUGGAGGUUUUUAUACAAUACACGAGUUGAUUUAGACAAAAUCUUAAUGUGGAUGUUGUGAUAUACUAAGGCCGUCUUAAUUUCAAAAAGUCCACAUUGGACGAUAUUUGCCUUGUUUGUAAGCAUAGUUAGCUAUCGAUGGUAGUAUAAAUGCUUGGUUUGUAUUUUGUAGUACGGACCACCAAUCAAUCAAUGAACACUAAUUGUUAAAUUUUAUCUUCCUAGUAUCUUUAUGCUCUAGCGUCUUUUUACAUGGCUGAUCAUGAUUGCCUCUAGUAUUCGUACUUUUAAUUUUCUCAUCAAUUCGUGUUCCUAUCUAAGAAUUAGCAAAGGACCAUCAUAUCUUUUGUCGAUUGGUUUAGCAAUCUAUCUUUUGAAAGAUGCAUUGUCGGCCCUUUCUGACAAUACAUUUACAAAUCCAAUGAAUGACACAAAAUGGUUCCAUUUCCAUAUAUUGAACCUCGAACCAAAGUGCACCCAAAAAAAUGAAACUUUCAAUAAAGACUUGAUAUAUCUAUUAGGAUGUUUAUCGAGAUGUCAAUAUUGCAUUGAGAAAAUUGACCUUGUUCAAGCUUUGAUUUGAUUUCAUUUGGUGUCAAAUAGAUUUGUUUAACCGUCCUAGUGGUGAUCUACAGAUCUAGGCCUGGCCCGCCUAAAGUUUUGCUCGAGUGCCCUUUAAGUCUCAUGUUCUAUGUCUAUGCACUGUCUACAUGAAAUUUACAUUGGCAUUUCAGUUUGUUCAAAUGUAGACUUGUCAUUGUUUGAUUAACUUUUGUUCUUUAUUCGUCUUUUUAAAUUUUCAUUGAUGAACAAUCUACUAACUGCAUUGGGAAAAGAAUUUUUAUCUACUUUCAGUUUUGUGCAUGAUUAUGCCGUUCAGUGAAGUGUCUCCUGUAAUAAUUUUAUUGCUUGACCAAUUAGAUCGGUGUCAUGUAUUUCAUCAAAUGUUUUUAUUCAUUAGGACUUUCUGAAGAUUGGCGAUGUAAACUUUAUCCGUCACUUGAUGGCAUAAACAUUAAAUGAAGAGAAGGUAUUGUCUUCAUUUGGUGUAGGUGGGUUCAACCUACAUGCACUGUUAGAUCAUGUAAGUCAUACAUAAGAUCCCCUCACGGGUGAACUAGGCAAAGCACCGGGUUCGGUACUUCUCUCUGAUGACUUGGACUAAUCAUAUAUAGGAGUGUUAUGGCUUAAAAUCAUCCGCAUGGCUUAAAAUCAUCCGCUAACAACGUAUAGGAAAGCGCAAAUCAGGUUUUGUAACAUGUUUUGUUAGUAAAGGACCUCGUGAGAUACUCUACUUACUAUACGCUCUACGUAAUGGAAGAACAAGUCGAGCUAAUAUCUUGUGCAUGGAGUUCUCUUACUGGCAGCAAACUCUUAAUUCAUAAAUGCAGAACACUUAAAGAUAUUGGAAACAAGUUAUACAUAGUUUAGCACAAGAGACUUACCUUUCCUGAAUUUACUUGCCCGAAUGCACUGUCUCCAUGGGUAUCCACCAGUGACUGAUGGCUUAAUCGUGGCCUUAAAAGAGAUUUUGGAAUGUGAACUUGAACUCACUAUGCCAUUGCCAGCAGAACUCUAAUGUCGGUUUAGAUAGCGCAGCCAAAACAAGGACUUGAAACAAGAACGGGAAAAAGUUGUCCAAUAAAUGCUAGCAGUUACAAAUUGAUUUGGUGUAGGCGUUUUGUCAAACACGUCAAAGGUGGUAGCCCCAGACAUUUAUGUUUCUCCUUGAUGUAUUCGAACUAAAUCUCAAUAUGUGGUUGCAUGGAUGCAAACUAAUAUGAUAAAUUAUAAGUCUUUUCCCCCCAUCUUUAGGCUCUUUGUAGAUUCUGAAGCCCACCACCAAUUCUCUAGCAACGUAAGGCCUAGGAUUUUGGGCAAGUUUGCUCUUAGGACGCACAAUUCUAGCUCAACCAUUUACUUCCAGAUUCUUAUGCACGACUUCGAUUCAGGAGUGAAGGAAAAUGAUUGUCGGCCCACUUGUCCAGCCCAUUCAUGGGUGGAGGCUAUAGAUAAAACUCGAAAACUCAAAAUCAGUAGGAAAAAGUUUGUACCAUAAUAGGGCAGAGGCACGGCAAGCUAAUAUAAAACUAAGCGAACCUAAGAGAGUACAAGAAUGUUUGAAUGAAUGAUUCGAACUGUAUCAUCGUCAAAUAUAGGAUUUUGGAACUACUAUUGCUUUGGUUUAAGGUUUUUAAUUUUAGGACGUGGGCUCACAGACCGGCCGCCCGUGUGGGCACAUCUGAUUUGUUCCAACUAGCCAUGUAGUAUCAGUAUCGUGCCAUGCCGGCCAAACCAUUAUGAUGCUAAUCCAGAAUAUGGGCCUAUAUUGUUGGAGUGCUGAAUGAAAUCUUAAAUUAUGAUAAGCAUAUGUGUCGGAAAAAAAAUGUAAAAAAUUCCAUAGCAAGGCCUAUUUUUCAAUACACUAUUUGCCCAAGUCAAAUGAGUCAGAAGAUUAAAUUGAAAGAGUCCUCAACUUUAGGUGUAGUCCCAAUUUCAUCCCAAUUUUUUUUCUCAUAAAUUUUUUUAGAUUAGUCCCAAAUCUUCCUUCACGUCCAAAGAUCACCAUUGAUUUUUGCAAUAUUAUCAACAUCAGGAUAUUAUUAUUAUUUUUUUUUUACAAUGUGAGGAUGUUGAUGAAAGCGCAUGUUAGGUUUUGAUAAUGAACUUCUAACUGAUUUUGAUGUCAAUAAUUUUGAGCAAACUAGUGGUGAUUUUUGGACGUGUGGAUAGAUUUUCGAUUAAAGUGACAGUUGAGGAUUUUUUAUGAGAUAAAAAAAAAUGGCGCAAAAGUAAGAUUGAACUAAAAGUUAAUGAUUUUUUCGGGAAUUAGAAGUGCUUGAGUCAUUGAUCUAAGAAAUGAUAAGUUUAAGUGAUGAUUAAUAAAGUUAUGAACUUGAGGGGAUUGAAUUUUAUUGAAAAGUAGGUAAGUUCUAAUUUUGGUGAGCUAGGAAGUUAUAGGCAUCCAAUCUUAAGUGAUGACUUUUUGAGUGGUGACAUUUUUAUGAGGAUUUGUGGUUUAAGUUCAUGUUAUGGUGAUCCUUGAUCCUACAAAGGAAUAUUAUAUAUUGCCUUGGGAGAAAAUUGAGAUAAAAAUUGAGGAAGUAGACCUCAUCUUAGUGUUACAAUUAAGAGUACCAGAGUCUAUUCAAAUAUAGUGAUGUUAGGAAUGUUUAGGGUGUAUUAUAAGUUAUUAAUUCCGUGGUGCUUAAAAGGACUAAUUUUGAAAUAAUGCUAUCAAUGAGCUCUGUUUGAGGAGUUAUUAAGAGCAGUAAAAGUAUUUGGAGGUUUUUAUACAAAGCAUUAGAAUUGAUUUAGACAAAAUCUUCACAUGGAUGAUGCGACAUUCUAAGGCUGUCUUAAUUUUAAAGUCACAUAGGACGAUAUUUGCCUUCUUUGUACUGUUAACUGUCGGUGGUAGUAUAAAUGCUUGAUUUGUAGUUUGUAAUAUGAACUGCCAAAUCAAUCAGUGAACACUAUAAUUGUUCAAUUUUAUCUUCCUAUUAUCUUUACAUUCCAGCAUCUUUUUACACGGCUACACGGCUGGCCACAAUUACCUUUAGUAUUUGUACUUCGAAUUUUUUCAUCAAUUCACGUUUUCUAUCUAAGAAUCGGCAAAGGAUCCCUCAUAAUUGUUGUCAAUUGGUUUAGUGGUCUAUCUUUUGAAAGAUGCAUUGUCUGAUACUUUUCGACGAAACAUAUACAUAUCAAAUGAAUGUUACAAAAUGGUUCCAUUUCUAUCUAUCGAACCUCCAUCAUUUUCUCUCAUUUUAGACACUCGUGUUUUAUAACUUAAGAAACCAUAUUGCACCACAAAAUAAUCUUUCAAUCAAGACUGGAGACAUCUAUCAGGAUGUUUAUCGAUAUGUCGAUAUUGCAUUGAGAAAACUGAACUUGUUCAAGCUUUGGUUUGAUUUCAUUUGGGGUUAAAUAGAUUUGUUCAGCCGUCCUAGUGGGGAUCUAGGCCUGGCCCGUCUAAAGUCCUGCUCGAGUGCCCCUUAUGUCCCAUGUUAAAUGUCGAUCCACUGUCUAUAUGAAAUUUUCUGUAGGCGUUUCAAUUUCUUCAAACGUAGACUUGUCAUUGUUGGAUCGACUUUUGUUCUUUAUUCGUCUUUUUAAAUUUUCACUGCUGAACAAUCUGCUUACUGUCUGUCAUCGGUAAAAGAACUUUUAUCUGCUUUCACUUUUGUGCGUGACCAUGCCAUCAGGCGAAGUGUGUCAUGCAAUAAUUAUAUCGCCUGAACAAUUAGACCAAUAUUGUGUAAUCCAUCAAAUGUUUGUAUUCAUUACGAUCUUCAAAGAGCUGCGAUUUAAGCUUCAUCUAUCACAUGAUGGCAUAAACAUUACAUGAAAAGCAGGUAUUGUCUACAUUCGAUAUAAGUGGGUCCAACUCACUGCAUCGUUAGAUCAUACGACCUCACAUGUGAACUGGGCAAGCAUUGGAUUCAGUACUUCUCUCUAUUGACUUGGACCAACCGUAUAGAGGACUGUUAUAGCUUAAAAUCCUCGCCUAACAAUGUAUGUGAAAGCACACAGCCAUCUUUACAUGUUUUUUUUUUUUCUUUUCUGGUGAAGGGCUUUGUGAGAUGCUUUACUUACUAUUCCCUCAACACCGUUAUGGAAACGACAUCUUGUGAAUGGAGUUCUCUUAUAGGCAGCAAAUUCUUAAGUCGUAAAUGCAGGAACAUUUAAAGAUAUUGGAAACAAGUUAGACAUAGUUGAGCUGAAUGCAUAUUCUCCAUGGGUAUCCACCAGUGACUGAUGGUUUAAUCCUGGCCUUAAAAGAGGUUUUGGAAUGUGAAUUUGAACUCAUUAUGCCAUUGCCAGCAAAUCCCAAACGCCAGUUUAGAUACGCAACCAAAACUAGGACUUGGGAGAAGAACUUGAAAAAGCUGUCCAAUGAAUGCUGGCAGUAACACAAGGAAUAUGAUUUGGUGUAGGCGUUCUGUCAAACAGGUAACAGGGUUGGCAGCCCCAUACAUUUAUGUUUUCUCCUUCAUGUUUUCGAACUAAAUCUCAAUACAUGGUUGCAUGCAUGCAAGCUAACAUAAUAAAUUAUAGAUCUUUCCCCCAUCUUUAGGCUCUUUGUAGAUUCUGAAGCCCACCGCCAAUUCUCUAGCAAUGUAAGGCCUAGGAUUUUGGGCAAGUUUACUCUUAGGACGCACAAUUCUAGCUCAAGCAUUCAAGGCCAGAUUCUUAAACACGACUUUUCAGGAGUCAAGGAAUAUAAGGCCCUGUUUGGUAACCAUCCAAACAUGGCCAGAUUCUGAUUCUUUGUUCCCGGAAUCAGUUUCGGUCUAGAAUCGCGUUUGGUAAAAUUUUUGUUUCCGGGAACAGAUUGGGAAUAGAAUCAAGAACCAAAAAAUAGUUGAUUCUUAUUCCGGGAACGAAUUUGAGAAUCAAAAUCAAGAAAUUUUCUUCUUCCCUUUGGCCAAUCUCGCGACCGCCGUCCACCAUCGCCCGCCACCGUCCGCCGUUUGCCGCCGCUGCCGCCGGCCGCCGAUCUGGCGAGCUCGCCGGAGGCAAGCCCAGCCACUGGCGAGCUCGCCGGAGGCUUGCCCAGCCACCAGCAAGGCUCGGCCUCCCCAGAUAUGGCGAGGCCGAGCCUCCCCGGUGGCCAGGCGGGCUUCGCCAGGGCUGGGUAGGGGCUGGGCAAGCCUCGCGACGCCCAGCCCCAGCGGUGGCCAGGCGAGGCUCACCCAGCCCCGCUGGUGGCCUGGCAGGCCUUGCCCAACCCCGACGAGGCCGGCCUAGCCAUCGGCGGAGCUCGGCCUCGCCAGAUCUAGCGAGGCUGAGCCUCGCCCAGCUGCCGACGAGGCUCGGCCGACGAGGGCCGGCCUCGCCGAGGGCUGGCAACGCUCCGGUGAGGUCGCCGGCCAGAAGAAGAAGAAGAUGAUGAGAAAAAGAAAAGAAAAAAGGAAAAAAAAAAGAAAAGGAAAAUGAAAGAAAAGGAAAAUGAAAAGAAAAAAAGGAAAAAAGUAAAAAAAAUUAUUUAAAAAUUAAAAAAAAAUUGAUUUGGAACAGAAUUAAUGAACACGGUACCAAACGCAAUUCUAUUCUAGAAUCGGAAAUUUUGGACAGUUACCAAACGACUUAAAAUGCUUAGAAUCAGUUCUCGGGAACAGAAUAAAAAAUAAUCAGUUCUAAUCAGAAUCUACUCCCGGAAACAGAAUCGUUACCAAACGAGCCUUAACUGUCGGCCCACUUGCCCAGCCCAUUCAUGGGUGGAGGCUAUGGAUAAAACUCUUUUAAACUCACACUCAGAAGGAAAAAGUCUGUACCAUGACAGAGUAGAGGCAGAACAACACACUAAUAUGAAACUAAGCGAACCUAAUAGAGCACGAGAAUGUUUGAACGAAUGAUUCAAUUUGUGUCAUCGCCAAACAUAGGCUUCCUGAACUCCUAAUGGCUUUGGUUUAAGGUUUUCACUUUUAGGAGGUGGGCUCGCGGGCCAGCCACCCGUAUGGGCACAUAUGAGCUGCUCCACCUAGCCGGGUAGAAUCGUGCCAUGCCGGCCAAGCCAUUACAAUGCUAAUCCGUAAUGUGGGCCCAUAUUCUCGUACUCCUGAAUGAAAUUUUAUUAAAUUAUGAUAAGCAUGUGUGUUGGAAAGAAAAAAGGUGAAAAAUUCCAUAGCAAGGCCUGUCUUUCAAUACACUAUUUUGGUAAUGUAAGCAACGUUUUUUAUUGAGAGAUUUACGAGGGUGGUGAUCAGAAAAAUCACAUUGCACAAUGAGUUAGAAAAUUAAAUUCAAAGAGGAUCCUUAAUUUAGGGGCUAAUUCCCUAAAAAAAACCUUGACUUUAGGUUCAAUCUCAAUUUCAUCCAAACUUUUUUUUUUGUCUCAUGAAAAUUCAUCAACUUUUACUCUAAUAUCAAAUCUAUUUACGCAUUCAAAAAUCGCCAUUGAUUUCUUCAAUAUUAUCAAUAUCAUAAGGUUGUUAUUGUUCCUUACAAGGUAAAGAUGUUGAUGAAAGUGCAAGUUUUAAUAAUGAAUUUCUAACUAGUUCUAAUGUCGAAAAUUUUGAAUAAACUAAUGGCAAUUUUUGGACGUGGAAGCAGAUUUUGGGAUUAGAGUAAAACUUUGGGAUUUUUAUGAGACAAAACGAAAAUUGGGGUAUAAUUGAGAUUGGACCUAGAGUUAAGUAUUUUUAAGAAAUUAGGCCUUAAAUUUAAAAGAUUUAACCAUGUACAAAGUAGGAGCUCUCUCCCUUGGCGGCACCGUCGUGGAAGUGGAGAGGCAAGUGGACUCCUUAUUGGGUCGACUACUUGAUGGCCACGAAAAUUAUAUUAAUGUCGUUAUUAAUUCUAGUAAUAAAGUAGAACAUCUAGAUUCUCCAGGUCAUUCCCCGGUUUUCGGAAUCAAAGUGUCUUUAGAACUUUGUGCCAUGUGGUCGACAAUUUAUUAGGGUCCCUAGAUAUGAAAUGUACCUAACAUGAUAUUGUUAUUUAGGUGGUCUAUGUGAAGUCAUUCGCCCACUCAUCACUUUGCUCGACAAGGAUUGAAGGACGCAAAGGAUUCGAAACUCCAAGGAAAGUGAUGUUUCGGCACUAUUGAAACCCACAAAUAGGGCCAAAAAAAGAUAAAACGCCACAUGCUAUGGAGACAAAACAUGAAUAGUAUUUAACGUGUCUUUCAUGUAUAGUUUAGCCAGAAAAUUAUGCCAAUAUGAUUUUUCGGGGUGACCAUUGAGUAGGAAAGGAUACAAUUUUUUCUCUAAUGUUUUGAGGGUGUUUUGAAAACUCUAAAUUCACAAUAUUAUUCUUUUAAAACUCUUACUAUUGUGUAACGAAGUAUUACAGAUUUUCGUGUACAAUUCAAAACUGUCACUAUUAUCAAGGUGUUAUAUCUUACUAUAAAGUAAGUAAUGCUAAUUUAGGGAUAAAUUAGAGACCUUACACUUCUUGAGGCAAAGAGUUCUUGUUACCCUAGUUUCUAAUAGCAUCUCUAGUAAAUUUGGAUGGGAAAAUGACAUAAAUAGUGUUUGAAUUUUGGCCCAAUGUGCAAUUUGAUCAUUGUGACAUUGAAUUUUUAAUUUAUUCAAUAUAGUUAACUUUUUUUUACAUGUUCACUACAAUUCCUGAACUGUAUAAAAUUGUUCAAUAUAAUUCCUGCUGAUCUUAUAUCAAUAGAAUGACCGCAUUAAAUAUUUUCAUACAGUUUAUGAACUAUAUAGAACAUGUACCAAAAUUUUAUGGACUACAAUAAACAAAUUAAAAUUUCAAAGACUACAUUACACGUUGGGUUAAAGUUUAGAUACUAUGUUAGACAAAUUAAAAGUCUAGAGAUUAAAUUGUAUAUAAUAUCAAAAUUUAUGGAUUGUUUAUGUCAUCAUCCCAAUUUGGAAUGGAGGAUGAGUCUUAAGUAAUAUGACAAUGUCUUUAAGUUACUCAUUACAUCUUGCUAUGUCCCUCUCUCUCUCAUGCGCACAACAAAUGUUUGGAAGGCUAAAAAGCCCUCUUUACACCGAUCAAAAAAGAAAAAAGAAAAAGAAAAAAAGAAACCCCUAUUUACGCUCUUUCCACCCGCCUUCGUAGAGGGGACCAUAGUGUUCCACCAAAGGAGUGGUCAAAGUUUCAAAACUAAAUAAUUAAGGGGAUAAAAAUAAAUAUAGGAAGAAGAAACGAAGCCAAGGUCGGCAAGUAUAUUAUAAUCUGCAAUUGCUUUCAACAUCCAAUCAAAAGCAAUAAUACACGCUCUUUAAAGGUACGGACGAGAGACGAGCAUCGAUUCCUUUCAACAACAAUGGAGGAGAUUCUUACACGCGAGAGUGCAAUACAAAAGUGAACUUUAUCAGUAAUUAAAUUAUGAUUUUAGUCACGCUACUUGCUGUCUCUCUUCUUCCUGUAUAUAAGCUCGAAGGCUCCUGCCAUGGAGAGUGCAGCGAUUGGUUUUCUCAACCCAUCUUUGGUUUUUCUUCCGUUAGGAAUAAAUCCCUCUUUGUAUAUAAUUUCCUUUUCUUCCACUUUGAUUGCCUUUGAUUGAGGGAAAAGGCUGCAAAAUAAUUUAGGUAAGUCGUUUAUAUAACUAGUGCUAACUCCUGUUAAUUUGUCCUACGACUAAGAAUUGGGGAUUGGUAAGAGUUCAAGAAAAUAAUGUCCAGCCUACUGUUUUCCAAGGUGGCUAAUGUCCAUUUGGAUCCCUCGAGGAAGAGAGAGAGAGAGAGGCCUGAUUCAAGCUACUCCAAAGCCCAGAAGAAAGGAAUCAAACAAAUAAGCCCAUUUUCAAGCUGUACUCACGAGCUCCCCAAAAAGCCCAUGAGGAGGAUACUCAUGAAAGCAGCAUGGCCACUUUAAUCAUUGUAGGACGACAAGCUAUUGUUGCUUCAGGGAGCUCUACCACUAGUCUAUAAAAAUACUUGCUCAAUACCAUAUUUCCAUCAUUGAUUUGUGAUAACGGCACAAAUGCUCCAUCAAAUUUGGCUAAUAUGCGAUAUGAUCUUUGAACUUUUAAUUUGUUAGAAAAAAAUUGCCUAUGAUACAAGUUAAGGAAAACGAAAAUAGAAUUUGUGAUAAGUAUGCUAUUCCACACACACAGUCCUACCUUAACCUCAGAAUAGGAACUGCUUAUUAGCCACUAAAUUCGUUUUUCAUUUUGGACUUAUAUCAUAUCAAAUUUUAGGAUAGCAAAAUUCUAAUGCAUGGGUUCCAUAUUGUGACAAGUGUAGAUGUACUACCAGUAUUGAUAAAUGCAUUCCCAAUCUUAAUGGAUGGGCAACUAUUUUGCAGCUAAGGGCGCCUGGAAAUUAUCGCCUGUGCCCAUGCUCAAGGGUAUCAAAUCCGUCAUGAACUCUUGAUUGUUUGACUUUUGGUGCGAUUUCCCCACCCUUCUCCAUUGAAAAGAAAAUCAAUGACUAUAAUUGCCUGCUGUUAGUUCAGGCAAUAGUCUUCCCCCCCUUCGAUAUCCUGACAAAAGCCCCAACCUCCUAUAAGCGUUUCUAUUUUAUAUUAUACAAUAAUGAAGAAAAUGAUGGUAUUUUGUAAUUGAGGAUACUUGGCUGACAAAUUAAUUACAAGACAUCGUGGCGAAGCACAAGCUAAUUUACCAAGUUCCACCUAUAAGCUGAUUUAUAGCGACAUCCCAAGGCACAGGAUGUCGCUAUAACUGUCUAUCUGGAGGUAGCCUCCUCUAAAGUGAGAUAGGGAGGUGAGAAAAUAGAGGCAGUCAAGCCCAACACUAGUGACAUUCAAUUCUGCCUGUCUACUAAGUCGCCCAGGAGAUUGUUCUCUAUGCCUGUGUUCAUUUGUAUCAAAUUUGUCUCGACCUCUUGAUCAUUUGAUUGUUGGCACGGAUUCCAUGCACUUUUCCAUCAAAGAGGAGAUUAGUGAUCGUAAUCGCACGCUGUCAAUUCUUGUAAUAGCCUUCCCUAUGAUGUCAGGACAAAACCCCCACCCUCAAAUAAGCGUGUCUAUCAACAGUGUCUUGUAAUUAGGGAUAUUGGAUCGAUAAAUUAGUUAUAAGACAUUGCACAAAGCAUUGGUCAACCCAAUAGGAACCCUUGCAAGUUCCACCUCAAUACUGUAGGCAUAAUAGACUGCUAUAGCCUCUUUUGAAGAAGAGAUGGGGAGUCUACCUUCCCUUGAAGGCUCCUCUUGUUCCUAGGUGUUUAUUUAUCUCCCCCACCUAGGAGGGAAUACCCCCGGUAUUUUUAUUUCCCAGAGUUUAGAUGGAACCUUUUAAGAACAUGCUCAAAUCCAAUCUAUUUUAUAUUAUACGGUAAUGAAGAAAAUGACAUAAAUGAUCUUUGAAUAUUGAUUCAAAUCUAUCUCUAAACUACUAAUUAAUUUGAUUUAGUCCAUGGAUUUGGUCAAAUGUUGAGAAUAUGAUACAGACAAUCUCUAAAUUUUGACCUAAUGUACAACGUAAUUCUUGAAAUUUUAAUUUAUUCAAUAUGAUUCAUGAACUAAGCCUAACGUGCAAUGUGGUCCUUGAUACCAAUGAAGGGAUUUAUGCUUAGAACAAGGGAAAACUAAGUCAAUUGCAGUGGGCAUGCUAUCUCACAAUAGGCGAAUCACAUGUUCAAGCCCUUUGGAGAUUAUUUUUUAGCUACAGACUACCUAGAGAUUUAAUAAAGAACAUAGAGACAUUCAAUAAUGCCAGGAUAAUAACAUUUCUAACUAAUCAAGUUGCAUUUCUUAAAGGAUCCUAACAAGUUGGAGAAGAAUAAGUAUUUAGAGAAACAUAGAGAGAUUUGGAAGAUAGGGAAAUUUACUACAUAGCCUCCUACUUCUUCAUUACCAUUACAAGGCCUUUUAUAGGUGAUGAGAACAACAAAUUUAAAGUAGCAGUAGAAAAAAAAGACAAGACAAGACAUCACAAUAGACUGGGGUCCUUGACAUGGUUACAAUGGCAAAGGUCCUGACCAAUUAUUGCAAACUUAGGAUUCUAGGCAAGUACUAGCUAUUGUUGCAGUAGUGAACGGUGACUAGUACUACAUUAACUUUAUUACAAAAUUAUCUCCAUAUGGAGUUAUAGUCAUAAUUUGAACUAUUUGAGCUGUGAUAUGCAAGUUGUUCUUCCAUAUGAUGUAGUUUAAGGUCAAUGUUAGGAGCAGGAGGACUUUCGGAGCCUUAAGCGUUCUCCCUUUGUGAUAACAAGGCAUUCCACAUGCCUAGACCACUUGAAGAGGGUCUUUGCUAAAGUUCAUGUGUCCUAGAAGAUCUUGGAAUGUCAUUGUUUAGAUUCAUCUGUGGUCCCUUAACUUUUGAUGCAUAUUCAACUUAGCCUUUGAACUAUAUGAACAUAUUUGAAAUUGUCCUUUGAUUAAUUCAAGUUUAUGAAUAAAAUUAAAUAUUUUUAUAUAAUUCAAAAAACUAAGUUAAACAUAUAUCAAAAGUUUAUGGAUCACAUUAUACAUUAGAUAAAAAUUCAAAAACAUAUUGAAUAAAUUAAAAUUUUAUAGAUCACAUUACAUAUUAGAUCAAAAUUUGAGGACCAUUUGUGUUCAUUAUUAUUUUAAUAUUUAAUAUGGAUCGUGAACUUUUAAGUAUUUUUAUAUAGUAUAGAGAUUAGAUUGAACGUUUACCAAUAAUUUAGAACCACAAUAAACAACUUUAAAGUUUAAUGAUAACAUUACAUUUUGAUUCAAAAUUUAGAGAUCACAUAAAAAAGAUUAAAAAUUCAUGCAUGAUAUUGUACGUUGAGAUCAAAAUUUAAGUACUAUUUAUGCUAUUAUCUCUCUAAAAAUGAAAGAUGAGUUCACAACUGACAGGUCUUAAAAGUAUUUUUCCCAUCCCCAAGCGUUUCGAAUAACUUACUCAAUCAAAGGAAUAAGCGGAUUGAGCAUUACAGCGAGCCUUCGUUCCCCCUAUGAUCGAGGACAAUAAAGAAAUGUCUCGGGGAAAGAAUAACGCGACAAUGUACGGGGCGAUGUUUGUUUAUCACUUUUUUUUAUGACACUUUUUGUCCUUUCCCGUUGAUAUUAAAUUACAAUCGGCACGUUCUAAGGAAGUAUGACAAAAUUUGUCGGUGAACGUCCGUGUCAAUAAUUGACUUUUGUGAAAGCUUCGAUACUCUCGAAUUUGGAACCGAGCGAGUACUGUAGGGGCAACAAAAUUUUAAUUAAGCGAAAAGGUAGAAAAGUCAAAACACUUUUAGGGUUGACGUGGUGGUGAUUUACAGCCGAAGUCUUAGACUUAAGAUGGAAAACGCCAAACGCGCCGUGUCUCGUGGGAGCACAUUUGUCGGGGCCUUGUGAUUGCGGUGACCCAUUUUUCUUCCUUUUUUUUACAUUUUACUUUUUGGCUUUUCCAGCGGGUGAUUUAGAUAACCGGGGCGGGUGAAGUACAGUAGAGGUUGGUCAUUAAUUCAGUUCAGGCCGAGGGAGACCUACCAGUCCGAGGAGAUGAGAGGUAAAAUCGCCGCACGUGACUUGGUGAAACAGUCGUACUCCGCGCACGUGCCAAAAAGCCGAGAAUGGUGGACGAGGAAGGACGAGAGAGAGAGAUAGAGACAAGGAGAUGGGGGUUGUACUCUAAUCGCGGUCUAUCUUGUCUAGACAAAAAAUGAAGGAGUGAAAAAUUAGGACAAACUCUCGAUAGUGCUUGAUCUCGACUUCAUACGGUAACUUCUUUGGCUUCUUUCGAUUGCUGCAUUGUCCUGUGAGUAGACUAGACGUGCUAGGAUGGGGACCGCGGUGGUUCAGAUUGAAAUUGAAUUAAAUCAAACAUGAGGUUCCCUUUUUGUUAUCUCGAAUGGGUCUAUUUCAUAAUAAUAGCAAUUGCAUUCACACAAUGAUUUGGAUUGAAAUUGAAUUAAAUCAAACAUGAGAUUCCAUCUUUGUUAUCAUGAACGAGUCUAAUUCCAUGAGAAUAGCAACCAUUUGAGCCGGAUUAGAAGUCACAUCAUGUGUACACAAGCUGAAGACAAAUACCACUUUCAAAAGAAAAGAGUACAAAGCAAACACCAUUUUCAAAUAGUACAUGAGCUUGAUUAGUCAAGGGCAUAUAUGAUAAAUGCUUAGAUUAAUGGAUGGACAUCGUGAUCCAUUGAUUAACUUGUUAUAUCACAUCAAUCAUGUCACGGGUGCGUAAAACGGUUUCUCCAUCUUGGUGAUUCAGGGAUGAGAUCAAAAGAUUGGACAAGAAAAUAAAAAUGAGGCUUAUUUAUCGAAAAGGAGAAAAGAUUGACAUUUGUUUCAAUGAAUAAGCUAACUGGAACAUAUAAUUUUAAAAUUCGCCUUUCGCAUCACUCUGAAAAAAAUCAGACAAUGGAAGAUUUUUUUAUAUUCAAUACCAAUUUAUGUCAUCUUCUUAGUUUAUUUCUAUAACAUGAUGCAAGCAAUCAUUUUAACUAGGGGUGAUCGGGUCUAGGGUGAGUAGAGUCUAGACUUGUACCUUGUACCUAACCCUAUUAUAACCGGUUUCUAUUUUAUGGACCAUAUACUAGACCCUGUUUGUAUUUGACCUCAUACCUGCCCCACCCUGUUUUUCCGAUCCAGUUCCAGGGUCAACCUUGUUUCCACUGGAAUCUAUUUUGCAAUCUUCCAAUAUCCUAUACGACCUUGAAUUUUAUAUUAAUACGCGAAAAAAUAACGUAAUCCUCAUAAUUUGUAUUAAAACAUUAAGCACUUGUAAUAAAUAAAUACAUGAACUUUUUAACUAAACUAAAAAUUAAGGAUCCACAAGUCUAAUUAUAAUAAAUAAAAUCAUAAGGCAAAGAAUUAGCAACAAACAUGGGUAUAAUAUUAGUCAUAUUCCCACAACUAUUACAUGAAAUUACUCAUUUAUGCAAGCAUAACUCCUCCUACAAAAGAGAGAUUAGGUGAGCCAGGAGAGUAUAGAAGGAGAUUAACCGAAAGGAUUUACCCAGUGAAAGCAUAAAAGAAUAGUAAAACAGUAGGCUGGACAUUAGCCACCUUGGAAACAAGAGACACUUCAAAUUUGUCCAUGCUUGAGGCCCCUUGUUUACUAAUACACCACUCUCAGUCUAUUGCACAGUCUAGACACAUUUCUCACCUUUAUCUUUAUACUUGUUUUGGGAGCACAAAGAAACAUAUUCAUGUUACGCCAAUGCUGCCAUUUACAUUAUCCAUAAGAUCAAAAUCAAAUGUAAAGCGGGAAAAAAAAGUUUGAGAGGGCAUUUGGUAUAGCUUCUUGACAACAACUAAAACUGUGAGAAGAGAUGUUGCAGCUUUUCUACACUUCAUAGUUGCAGCAUCCUCACAACUGCAAAAACUUACAAUUUCUUUCAGGAUCCCUAUUUAAAAUUUUUAGUAGCAAAUACACAAGUUAGAGCACUUCAUAUCGCAACUAAAGCACAGACAACACCUUUAUCGUUCAGCCACUAUUAUAUGGAAUGGACCAAAGCUAGUCUUUUUUUUUUUUUUUUUUUGAUCGAAGGACCAAAGCUAGUCUAUUAACUAGAUAUAUGAGUAUAGAAGCAACAGGAAUUCCAGAAACCUUUGAUUGCCAAAAUAAUACGAUAGUACACGUGCAUAGAGAGGAUUAACAUCCCUUAUCCAAAGCCUGAUAAAAUCUAUAUGAAACUUUUGCAUCAUCUUCUUCAAGCGGAACACAAACACAAGAUAAUUCAGAGUCCAUCAGGGAUAAGUCAACGCAAAGUUUUUGAUUAGCAUGUAGCUAGGCAUCACAAAGAUGCAUACUCCUCUCCUGUUUAUGUAGAUUUGAAUUAUAUGUCACUCUCAAGCAUUGAUUUCGUUUUAUUUAUUUUUCUCUUCUUUUAGGUAUCAUGUGCCUCGAUCCUUUCUAAAAGCCUCUGGUAACCUACUAGUUCUGCUAGAAGAAGUUGGUGGUGACCCCCUUCAUGUAUCCUUAUGCACCUUAUCAGUCUCUCCCUUAAACGACACCUCUUCACACUUCCAUCUUCCUUCAUGAGAUGAGGAGAUUGAACACAGAUGUGGGUAAAGCUUUUCAUAAUUAUGACAGGGUUCUUUCUGGAAAGAAAUGCAUCGGCAGCCAACUCAAUAUGAAGAGAUACAUCACAUAGGUUAUGAGGAGGAACAUUCAACUGUUGAAUUUGUCAGACAUUCAAAGAUAGUGACAGAAAGUACUGAGAAGUAAUUUGAGCGCUACAUCAUUUAUAGAGACCUCAUUGUAUUGACCUUGAUUGUGCUUAUUCUUCCCAUUGUUGAUAAUUUCAUCCACUGAUUAAAAAUUGAUUUGCAUGAGCACCUGCAAGGUGCUCUCUGGACCAAUUUUGUGCAGCAUAAUGAUUUUUCCAAUUUCAGUCAUUUUUGUGCAUCAUGAGCAACCUUUCGUCUGGAGAAUGGCCAAGUUUGUACAAAUAAGUGAUCAACUCGUUUCUAAAGUUUCAGAGGAACUCUGUGGCAUAAUUCAGUAUCCCUGCAUAAUUGUACCAUUCAACAAACAUUUAAAAACAUUUCAAGAUGGUCUAGAAUUGAAAAAGAUACGAAAUUACAAAAAGACAUAUGAACUGGAAAGGACUUGCAAGAAAUGCACGCUUGAUAUUUUUAAAAGCUUAUUUUACCCCAAAAUUAUGACCAUUUCAUGUGAGCCACGUUGGGUCUUUUCCAUGUUUUCCUGCUAACGGCCCUAGCGGAUGCUUAUUUUACCCUCAACAGCAUUACGUGAUGUAAGAAAAAUAGACCAUCGAACUAAUAUCUUGUGCAUGGAGUUCUCUUACAGGCAGCAAGCUCUUAAUUUGUACAUGCGGAACACUUAAAGAUACUGGAAACAAGUUAGACAUAGUUUAGCAUAAAAGAAAACCUUCCCUGAGUUUUCUUACCUGAAUGCAUCUUCUCCAUGGGUAUCCACCAGUCACUGAUGGUUUGUUCCUGGCCUAAAAAGAGGUUUCGAAAUGUGAACUUGAACUCAUCAUGCCAUUGCCAGCAGACCCCAAACGUAAGUCUAGAUAGUACAACCAAACUAGGACUUGUGACAUGAACUUAAAAAAGGAACUUGAUUUGGUGUAGGUGUUUUGUCAGACAGUUAACAGUCCCCACCAUUCAUGGAGUCUCCUCGAUAUAUUUGAACUGAAUCUCAAUAUAUGGUUGCAUGCAUGCUAUCUGACAUUAUAAAUGAUUAAUUUGUUUCCCCAUUUUAGGCUCUUUGUAGAUUCUGAAGCCCACAAAAUGUUUUCUAGCAAUGUAUGACCAAGGGCUUUGGGCAAGUUUAGUCUUGGGACGCACAGUUCUAGCUUAUGCAUUCAGGGCCGCAUUCUUAUACAGGACUCGGAUUCAAGAGGCAAGGAAUAUGAGUGUCGGCCCACUUGUCCAGCGUGGUCGGCAACAUUUUUUGGAACAAUUUAAUACCCCACAAUCUAUGGAUACAAAACACGAAGAGUAUUGUACACGCGUUUCAUGUUUAGCUGAGUCAGAAAAUUAGGCCAAUACAAUUUUUCAGGAUGCCCAUCGAGUCCGAAAGGAUGUAAUUUUUCUCUAAUGUCUUAGGUGUUUUGAAAAGUGUUAAUACUCUAAAAAACCCCAAACUAAUAUACCUGUGAUAAAUUUACCCCAAACUAAACCCCAAACUUGUAUACUUUUGACAAAUUUACCCCCAAACUAGUAUACUUGUGACAAAAUUACCCUAUGUUAGUUUUUGUUAAAUUUUACUGUCAAAUUAUCAAGUUAAAUGACACGUGACAGUUGACCGCUAUACCAAUUUAGGAUUUUACGCUCCGUUUAUCAUAGUUUUAUAAUUUUUGUGAUUUUUUUGUGGUAUUAAUUCAAUUUAGCGGAUUGUAUAUUUAUCACAAAUUUAUUAGUUUUGGGUUUUUUACGGUUAAAUAAAUUAGUUUAUGGUAAAUUUAUCAUAAAUGUACAAGUUUAGGGUUUUUUUAUAGUCAGUUGGGGUAAAUUUGUUACAGGUGUACCGGUUUGGGGUUUUUCAUGGUAAAAAAAAAUAGUUUGGAGUAAAUUUGUCAUAAUUGCACCAAUUUGGGAUCUUUCAGAGUAUUAACCCUUUUGAAAACCCCUGGUACAAAUAUUAUCAUUCCUUUUGAAAUUUUUGACUCUAGUAAUAAAGUAUUGUGGUUUUCCGCAUACAAUUCUAAAUCUGUAUCCAACAUUAAUUAUAAGUAGAUAAUUUGCUCUACGAAGAAUUUCUUUCUCUGGAUCUUAUAAAUUUAAGACCUUGGGUUUCUUGAGGCACAGAGUUCUCAUUGCCUUGCUAACCGUAGGAUUUUAUUUUAGCAUCUCCAUGCAAUGGAUGAUGUUGUGUCUUGACUUAGAGAUGUGGUUUUUAGCAUCGAGUCUUUAACUAAUAUGACAAUUUCAUAGGUCGCAAAUUACAUCUUUCUCAACAAACGGUCAAAAUUUCAAGUCUUUAACUAAUAUGAUAAUUUCAUAGGUCGCAAAUUACAUCUUUCUCAACAAACGGUCAAAGUUUCAAAGAAAAAAAAAAGAAAAAAGAAAUGAAAAAUAAUGAUAAUUGGAAAUUGUCGCGACCAAAUUUUUGGGGUGAUCCACCUAAGAUUUGGCUAAUGGAUUGUUAUGCCUAGACUUAGCUCAAUCUCUCCUAAACUCAUACCAAUUCGCGAUUUAAGUUUAAACUCUUAACAUGCAAAUGAUUUUUAAAUCUGGAGUCGCCACUAAUCUAUUUUCCGGUGGGUCGAUUAGAAACCCAAGUAAAGUAAAGGGAAAUUUACUUUACUCCUAUGAACCAAAGGUUUGUGAGUUUGGGGACUUGAUUACGUUAGAUUUCUCUAACGCCCUUUUGGUAUAUUUCUCUUUUAUUUUGAAAAAAAUAUUUGGUAGACAGCUUGAAUUGAUUUUAAUUUACCUCCUUAACAUGUGAGAUAUUCAUGCGAGUGUGCAAAUCACCAAUUUAACACCCAAGUAAAAUAAUAAAUAAAUUGCAGGACUUACCUCAUAGUAAUGAAAGUAUUUACGUUGUUAGAUAAGAAUUUAUAUCAACAGUCUUAGAUAUAAUUUCUAAUUAACACGCAAUUUUUUUUUUCACUUAUUUAAUGAGAAUUAUGCUUUACGCAAUGCAUACAACUAAUCUAACAUGAAAUGAUAUAACAUACCUAAACUACAUGACAUGAGCAAAAUAAUUUUUUUGUAUUUUCUUAAUGAGCAUGCAGUCUAUCCUGAAGAAUGAAAUUGAUUUAUUCUAAAGACAAAAUUUUUUGGUAUUUUCCAUGAAAUUCGUAAUUAAGGAAAAUGCAAAAAUGAUUUAGCUAAAUUAAGAUUCUAUCUAACUUAUAUUAAGAAUUGGGUUAGGCCAAAUCCUAAUUUAAACUAGGAUAUUAAUCUAUCUAGAAAAAUCUAUCUAAACUUAAAAUUAAACAUGCAAUUUUAUCCUAAUAUGUAAUGACGUACAAAUAAUUCCCUAGUUCUACAUGACAUAUGCAUGACGAUUUUGUGUCUUUUUUUUUAUUAAUUUCGAAAUUAAAAAUUGUCAAAUAAUUAAACAUGCAACCUAAGUUAAAAAAACUAGCAUCCUAAAUUGAUUGACUUUUUAAAAAAAAUUUUAUUUUAAAAAUUUGAAAUAAAAUUCCUAUUCUAAAUAUACAAGAUAACCCUAAGAGGCGGAAUAUUCUAAAACAAACCUAAUCUAUCUCAGAUUUUUGAUUUUUUUUAACGAAAAUAAAAUUGAUCAAAUGACACAACGGAAAAUCAUAGCAAGAUAAGAUUGAUAUCCAAAAAAUUGAUGAAUCAUGUCUCGGACAUGGGAUCGGAUUGACCAAUUUUAAAUAAAUUGCAAAUCGAAUCUUGAGCGUAAGAUCGGAUUGAUGAUUUUCCAAGCGAGUGCGAGUCAGAUUUUGUGGCACCCUUCGACGGCCCCCAAUCCAUUAGGGUCGCCACACUUCUUUUCCUCAUCCCGGAUGUCCUUUUUAGAUCGAUGGACUUCAAGGAAGUCCUAUGGGGGUUCUUUCAUGUACCUGAUUGGUCCCUACGCAAUAAAUAUGACGGAAGCGUAUCCAACAACUCCCCUUUCCCUAUACAUGGAAAUGAUACACACACUAAACACAUAUAUAGAUAAUAGCCGGACACUUUUAUUUACACAUAUCUACUAGAUGGACAUUGUUUGUUGGUACAUCCAAAAGGCCGUAGUUUCCUAUACUCGGCAGUAUCCAACAACUCCCCUUUCCCUAUACAUAGAAAUGAUGCACAUACUAAACAUGUAUAUAGAUAAUAGCCGGACACUUUUAUUUACACAUAUCUACUAGAUGGACAUUGUUUGUCGGUACAUCCAAAAGGAAGUAGUUUCCUAGACUCGGCGAUACUUCAAAAAUUAACCGACAACUUGAGCAGCCAUUUACAUAGAGUUCAUCCUUCAGUGCCGGCAUCCAAAAAUUCUCACUAUGCUGUCCUCACUCUCGCAGUCACUCCCAGCCACUUGAUCCCCCAUUGUCGUCUUCUGGUGGCGGUGGCAAUGGCCCCCGAACUCGCCUGUUCCUACGGACGAAUAAGACAACAUAAUGCUGGAGUACAGGAUCGAAGGGAAGAUCGGUGUCGAACAUCAUGAUUACUCUCACCCGUAUGAACGUUAGUCCCUGCAUGUCAGGAUUCUAGAAUUUCAACUGCUCCCACUACAAGUCGGUCGGGAUCCUAUAGAAUAUACCGGGAGAUGCGGGCAGCGGAAAUAUAGUUCUUAACCUAAAAUAUAUUAGUCUCCAAAUGGGUGAGUACAACCAUUCAGUAGUUAAAGAUUUACUAAACUAUAUUAUGCAGAAUCAUCAUCAUCUGAUUCCAUGCAAAAUUCACAAAUCACAAAACCAAAGGAAUGGGUAAGCAUCAAAUUCAAUAGAACUUUUCAAAGUAAUGGCAAGUGCAGUUUUAAAACCAUAACACAUUAUUUCAAUUUCAUGGGUCCCGAUUAUAAGGCCAAAUUAGUAUGAUGUGUCCCAUACCAUUCCACACAAUUUUGUUCCAUAAUUAGGCGCAACUUAGCAGAACAAUCAAUUUUAAAACUCAAAAGAUUUUUCUCUCGGAGAACUAGUGUUUGCGUCUCUCUAGGCAUUCGCACCCAACCUGGCGUCGCGAAAGCCUCCGGUUCCAUAUUUCAAUCAUUGGGCAUCCGGAGCGUGUCAUGUCUCACUUCUAGGCAUCUCACUCUCCGGGGCUCGCCACGUGAAUGGUUACCCUUACCCUCCGGAAUCUGUAUCGUCAUAUAUCUUGGCAUUCCGACACUCCCGAGGAACUUCUGGGGCUCACCAGUCCCUAGGUAUCUAGAACGUGUCAUGUCUCACGUCCAGGCAUCCCGACUCCCGGGGAUUAUUGACCCAAGAGUCCAACGACAGCAAUAACACAUCAACCAUGGUGUAAUAAUUAAAUCAUUUCAAUGCCAACACAUUUUCGAAUCGUCAAUAUGGAAAAUCUGUUGGAUUUUUCCCCGAAAGUCCCACUUUCGCAAAUUUCCAAUCGUUUUCGAAUCCAUAUAAAGAAACUUGAAUGGAAAUUACCCUUCCUAGCUUGGAACAAAACAAUUUAUUGAAAUCUACAAAUACAUUUGAAAUUGGCACAUCGAUAAAUUCAAAUCUCAAUCCCAACUCCAAUGGUUUAGAAUGUUUUCUAUAAAAAAGUUCAUAAGUCUUUUAAAUAUGAAACAUUUCUUAAAACAUUUGGGUAUGUUGUCACAAUACACAUAAAUUUUGAUGCAAAUCAAGAGAUUUUCUAAAACAUUUUGCGAACAAAAGUCCCAAGGUAUUACCAUUUCAACAUUUGGUGUAAAAAUCGAAGGCUUAAACCGAAGCACUCACGAAAACUUCUCAAUUUUCUAGCCUCAAAUUGAUUCAAUCAUUCUAAAAGUCACAAUCCAACAUCAGCAAUCAAACCAUUUCAGUCUAACAGCACUUCCUCAAACAACAACAACACUACACUAUAUAGGUUAGUAGACUCUAACUUGCCUUAGGUCCAAAGGCGUCGAUGGCAAGAAAUCGGGGAGCUCAUGGGUCACAAACAUGGCUGAGGCUGUGGGAUGGCUGGAUCGGCGCAACGGGGAUGGCGGCUGCUCAUGCAUGGCGAAAGGAACAGUCCCUUUCUCCCUCUCUUACUCUUGCACGUUUCCUCUCUCUCGGUUUCUCUCUCUCGCGCUUGCUGCUCGCUGUUCUCUCUCUCUUUCGCUCGCUUCACUGGUUUUGUUGACAAAUGCCAGUCAACAAAUGAAAGCUUCGGCGGUAGAAGGAGGCGAGGACGGGUGGUGAUGAAACGAUGGCCUAAUGCUAUACCGAUGAUGACAAUGAUGAAAUAGUGUCUGCAAAUGGUGCCAAUGACACAAUCUGUCGGUACUCCCAUUGACCCGUGACGAGCCAUUACUUAUUCAAGUUCUGAUGAAAAUCCAGAUGCCAUAGAGUUCGGAUGUGAAAAUCAGACUAUCAAUCCUUAAUUUAAUAGGCUAUUUCAUGUCAGAAAAUCUUAACCAUACAUUAAGGAAUAAUUCAAGUAAAGAAAUAAAAAAUAAAAUAAAAAGGAAAAAAAUAAAAAAAAACUACCUAAUUGGGAUUUUUCCUAAAUCCGGGUUUAGCAACCAGGCUCGUGAAUCGCGAUGUACUCGACGUGGCUCAACGAAGGGUGGCUGUGAUGGUGGGUCGCCGUCGAUUGGAGCUCCGGCGAGGGGCAGCGAACGCGGCCGGUGAGAGGGAGCGACUGGAGUCACGAGUGCUGCAACGGCGUCGCUCGAAGGGAGCUUGGAGCGGCGUGCAGGGGGCGCAGCGACCGACUCGAGCGGCUGGCGUCGGCGACGGUAGCAGGGGCGCCGGGCGGAGGGACAACAGUGACUGCGUCGCGGCUGGGGGGCGCGGCAGAGCAGGGACAGAGGCGGAGCAGCAGGCGGGUCACGGGAUCUCGAGCUGCUGGCGUCGGGCACUUGGGCUGAGCAGAGGCGGGCCACCGGCGAAGGCAAGGGCGGCUGGCGGGGCAACGUCGCAGCUUCUGGGCUGAAACGAAAACGCGAGCCCGCGGGCGAGGGUUCCGGCGAGAUGGGACAGCGACGGCUUCGCGGGUCCGGCUCUGGCGGAGGCACGUCGACUGGCUGGGGAUCUGCUGGCGUCGGGGGGGUCCGCGACAGCGGGCAGAGACGGUGGUGAGCUGCUCUGGCGGUUGGCAGAACGGCAGUGGCGGUCAGGCGGAGGGAAGCGCGUGCUACCUGUCUUGUCACGUCUACUCCCUGUCCUCUCUCACCUUUCUUUUCUGACCUGCUCUGUCCCCCACUGGCCGCACGUACCCCCCUCUCCUACCUUUCGCUUUUUCUCAAGCUUUUUCCUUUUUAACUUUUGGAGCCCCACCCCCAACGAAGAACAAAAGAAUCAAAGGAAAAUAAAAACUUUUUCUCUUUCGUGCUUCAACCUUGGACCUAGAAAACCAAGGAAAAACCCCUUCGACGUGAAAAAAAAUAAAAAAUACCUCCUCAACGUGGCCGUGUAUAUCUAUUGUGUGGCCUGGCCCCCCUCCUCGAAGGAAAAAGUAAGAUCCCUUUUAUAUAGGCAGGUGACGGGAUCAAGUAAACAAUACUCCUUCGAUAUUUUUUGUAUAUUCUGUUCCUUGGAUAAGAUUUUUCAUAUAUUCACUCGACCCUAUCCUCUAUUCAACGAGCUGUCUUCCUCAUAUUUCACCCUAAAUCUUUUGAUCCCCUGCAAAAUAUAUCUCGCAUGAAAAUACAGAAAAUUUAUCAAAUAUAUCAAAUCAUGAUUCUUUUUUAGUGAAUUUUCGGUAAUAAGAGAAUACCAAACUUGGGUCAACUUUCUCUCUUCGCGGGCUUAAUUCAACUCGUUCAAUUAAAAUUUAGAACCAUUAAGUCAAACACAUUUGUCAUCGUCCAAUGCAAAAUGCAAUAAUAAAAUGCUCAUAAAAUUAUAUGCCACGCAAUUUAAUUUAAUUUUUUUAGGGGUUAAAAAUUAAUCCAUAAUUUUUAUGCAAUAAAUAAAUGAUUGGAUCGCGAUGGUUUCGUGCUUUCUCCCCCACCGAGGGGAGAGGGGUUCGAAAUCCCGCAUCCCCAUUGUGCGACUUACUCGCGGCUGAGUUUGUAGUGGUAGCCUAGUUUGCCCCGAAUUUACUCCGUCGGCUGCCGGCUGUUCAAAGUUCCCGGAUCACUAAAAAAAUAAAAAAAUAAAUGACUAAACUGUCAAAAUCUUUUUAUCAACGGAAAUAAUGGUAGGGUUCGCUAGUAAAUUGAUAGUUUGCACCUACUUUGAACAUGCUUUUAAACACAACAACAAUCAUUGACAAAGACCAUCAACGGUAAAGAUUCUUACACGCAGAACGAGACAGAAAAUGAUCAACAGUAAAGAUUCUUACACGCGGAACGAGACAGAAAAUGAUGAGAUUUCUACACCUAUUGUUUACUCUUUUCUCCUAUGUAUAAGCUUGAAGGUUCCUGCCAUGGAGAGUUGCUACAAUUGCUUUUCUGAACCCAUCUUUGUUGAUUGAGGGAAAGGUUGCAAGUUGUUAAGGUGAGUGUUAUCUCUAACUAGUGUUGGCUCUUGUUAGUUUGCCCUUAUCAAUGAUCGUGAUGAUAAAUAUUGGGUUUCAUGGCCUUGCUAUUGUUUCUUUCCAUUGCUCAAGAAUUUUGAGCAAAGUUCUAUUUUGCUGUGAAUGCGUACUCAGUCUAACCACUCUAUAUGAUACCUCAAACGCAUUUGGUAUUUCCUUUGCUUUCCCAUAAAGUGAUCAAAACCAAUUCACAUUUUAAAAGGCUGUUCAUUAGACUUGAUCCGCUCAUCCUAUUGGCAUAUUCAUGAAGAAAGUCUACUUCAAUCAAUGUAAUUUUCCCUUUUAUUUGUCAUUUUGGACUGCACUUAUGGCUACAGCGGACUUUUAUACGCUCGAAUAAACUCUAAGUAUCUUAGUAAGUGAAGCAAGAAAGGAAGGAACAUGGAGGCUAGGUCGUGGAACCGGGCUAGUUCUCCUCUAGCUGGUGCUUGACUGGUCAGACCCUUGUAAUGCGGUCAGUGUGGGAAUUUGGGUUACCGAGAGAGAGAGAGAGAGAGAGUGGAAGGAAUAAGCUAAACUGUUUUAUGACUUUAUACCUGUGUCCCAAGUGUGGUCCUUUGAUUUUUAAAAUAUGCUCCAACAUUAUGUUUGUUAGGGGGGGGGGGGGGAUUAGGAGGGAAGAGACAUAGUUCCAAAAAAUACAAAUUGUGUUUGGAUGGAGAGAAUAGACGGAUGGAAAGAUUUGGAGAGAUUAGGAAAGAUUAGAAAGAAUUGAUCCAGUCAAUUUUAUAUGCAUUUUUAAUUCUUGGAGGGAUUCGUAAGGAUUUUCAUAUAAAUAAACAAAUUUAUUCUUUUUUCUCACUUGUUCUGCUUCCAUUUCAUAAUGCAUUCUUUCCCUCACAAGCAUUUAAACAACAUGAUAACUCAAUCACUUCAUAUCAUUUUUCUUCCUUUUUUUUUUUUCAGCAUAAUUAUUUAAAUAUAUUCUUUUUCCUCGUAUGGUUACUUCAUGAUACCUAAUCUGCCCUUCCGUUACGCGUGGAUUUGUUUCUUUUUCUUUAGAAGCCAUAAUAAUAUAUUGAAAAUGACUUAACAGAUAAGCUUAAGUAGAUUUACAGCACAUGCAAAGCGUUUGGUAACUUUUUGCAAAAUGUACAAACCAUUAUGCCUUGAAAUUUGGCUUAACACUAUUUCAAUAUCUUCCAUGCAUCCAAACUCCGCAUAUUAUAAAUGCACACUUCAGUCCCUCCUCCUCCUCCAUUUUAAGUUAUAAUCUCUCUCUCUCGGAUCGAGAGUGUAUUUUGAAACCUUUUUUUUUUUUGGUAAAGAUGUAUUUUGAAACCUUUGGUUUUCAAGUGGGUGCACAAAACACAAAAGCAUCCUUAGAGUCAAAGGAACACACUCUUCACUAAUUUUGAUUCGGUUAGCAUUAAUUAAACCCAGAUUGAAACAACAUGGCCUCUGGGCUUUGAUGGAUGAAUAAUUUUGAAGUUCCUUUCAUUCGGCAAGACAUAAUUUUAGGAUGAAUAAUUUUGAAGUUCCUUUCAUUCGGCAAGACAUAAUUUUACUCCACUUGCACAACUUACUAACUAUGAGAUUUUGUGAGAUCACGACUAACUGUUCUAAAAGUUUAAACUAUUAAAUGAAAACGUGUUUUAUUAGUAUUCAAAUAUUCUUACACUCCUUCUCAAGCUUAGUUUGGCCUUUUUUGCCUAGUACUAAGCAUGGAAAUUUAAUUGGGGAGGCAAAUGAGAUUAGCAAAGAUUCAAACCCAAGACUUCCAAUUCUUAUGUCAUAUAAGAUAUUGUGGGAUCAUAAUUAACUAUUCUAAAAGCUUAAGCUAUUAGAUAAAUGCGUGUUUUAUUAUUUAAAUAUUCAAAUAUACUAACACUAGCAAUUGCUCUUUAGUCAUCUCUUUUUGGACAUUAAAGUUUGGUGAGAACACUGCCCCAAGAACAACCAAAACCACCACCACCACCACCACCACCAAGUCGCUGACAUCUCCAUGGAGGAGGACCGCCCCAGAACUGGUAAUCUACAUUAUAUUCUUGUAUCAUAUGUUCAUUUCUAAUUGUUUACUAUAAGUUUGACACAUCAACUUGCAAAAUAUACAUUUUUUGUACUACGAGUAACAGUUUAAUAUACAUUAUCCAUGUGUGAUUCCUUCAUAAAUUACUGAAAAACUAACCCAAGAGUAAAUGAAAGUUUUCCAAAUGGAAAGAGUCGAGCGGAUUUCAUUGCUUGAUCAAUCAGGGACCUUCUGGACAGCGAGCGCGCACAUAUCAUCAGCGAUGGUAGGAACGAUACUGCUUUACGUGGCAUGGGACAUUGCUCAUCUGGGUUGGAUUGCAGGCCCUGCUGCAAUGUGCUUAAUUUCCUUUUUGUGCUACUGCACCUCUUGCCUCCUCUGUGAUUGUUAUGACUCUGCCUCUCCCGACCGUAACUACACUUACGCAGACUCUGUUCGCUCAAUUCUCGGUAUGGAAUUCCAUUACUGUGUUGUUGCUUCUCAUUAUUUUGGCUCCCGCACAUUGAUUAAACUUCCCAUUAACUUUUGUAUCCAGAUGUAUAGCAAAAAGUGUCGCGUAACUUUUAAUUAUGUGAUAAUAGGAACUCUAGAUUCUCAGAAUAUUAGCAUUUUCAGAGUUAUAUUCUCAGGUGGAGUAAAGGCAAAAGCAUGUGCUUUUAUUCAAUAUUUGACCAUAUUCGGAAUGGCCGUCGAAAUUAUGGUUGCAGCAUCUUGGAGCAUGAUGUGAGUACAAUUCUAUUUUUCCAAACUCUUAACAAAUUUAUUUAGCAGAUCACAUUGAACGUCUAAUUCUACUGUUUCUAAUAUGACCUGGCCGAUUCAAUUUUAUGUAUGUUCCCUCUUUCCAAUAAAAGGGCGAUAAAAUACACGAAUUGCUAUCACGAGAGAAAUGGGGAGAAGAAGUGCGACAUUUUGAGCAAUCCGUACGCGAUCAUAUUCGGCAUCACAGAGAUUCUGCUGUCCCAGAUUCCGGAUUUUGAUGGAAUAUGGUGGGUUUCUAUUGUGUCUGUUGUCAUGCUCUUCACUAACGCUUUUAUUGGGCUCGGCCUAGCAAUUGCCCGAGUUGCAGGUACAGAUUUCUUCUUUUCUCAAGCCCGAUGGCUAAGAAAUUUCAAGUGAUUAUAUUACCCAUAUCUUAGCUAAGAAGUUUAUUCCAGCAACUUCUGUCUUGAUGAGCAGCUGGAAGAAAAAACAAGAGCAAUGAAGCUGUGACUGGAACCAAAAAGAUAUGGAGGAGUUUCCAAGCUCUUGGAGAUAUCACCUUUGCGUACUCAUUUUCUGAGAUCCUUAUUGAAAUUCAGGUACUUAAACGUAAUUCGAUCUGUUCAAAAACCGAGGAAAUGGAGAAGAGUGGAUAGAAAAGAACGGAAAUACCCUUUUUGCUCUUGUAAUCUUUGGCAGGACACUAUAUCCAAAUCCGAAUCCGAAUCAAAAUCAAAAUCAAAAUCGACCAUGAAGAAGGCCACUUUAUGGAGCACCGUGGUGAUGACGACUUUGUUCAUGCUAUGGGGCUGCGUGGGCUAUGCUGCUUUCGGUGACGUCACUCCAAGAGAUCUUACCGACGUCGCUUUCGACGGACCAUUCUGGCUUAUUUAUAUCGCCAAUGCUGCUUCUUUGAUCAAUCUUGUUGGACGAUACCAAAUAUACAGCCAGACGAUUUUCGCCGUUGUCGAGGAACAGGCUGCUAAGAGAUGGCGUUGCACCAGAGAGAGAGAGAUCCCCCUACCGGGCUUGGGCCAAAUGAACCUCUUUAGGCUUGUUUGGAGGACGGUUUUCGUGAUCCUGACCACCGUGAUAUCAAUGGCAUUCCCGCCCUUCAAUGAUGUCGUGGAGAUCAUCACCUUGGGAUUUUGGCCUCUAGCGGUCUAUUUUCCCGUCGAGAUGUAUAUUAAACUGAAAAAAAUUGACCGAUGGAGCCCUAAAUGGGUAUGCCUCCAAAUGCUGAGCAUGGCCUGUCUUGCAAUAUCGAUCAUGGCAACUGUGGGUUCGAUCGCAGGACUUAAGGACUACCUUAAGGAUUAUCGACCAUUCAUGAGCUACUAUUGGACCUUUGGUUGAUCAGCCAUUUCCGGAGGAGACAAUAAUAUCAUUGAAGUUUCUAGUUGCUAUGUUUUGUAUGGAAUUACAAACUCUGCGUUGAAAUAUAUUUAUGGGUAUUAUAGAAUUCCCCGUAAAAAUAUGCUGUUAGAGAUUAUUUUAAAUAAUGAGAUUAUUUACUAGAACAGCUACUUGUUGAGGAUUCCAGUUUCGUUGUUUUUUUUGUAGAAUUGCAGACUUUUUAUAUACCAUUGACUGCUUAUGAAAACUUUCUCUUAUAUAAGGAUGACCAAAAAUUGUCAUUUCUUUUUAAAGGAAAAAACAUUAUGAAUAUUUUGGUUAUGCAAAUCGCCACGUCAACGUACAUUGAGUUAUGCUCCACUUAUAGAAUGACAGGCAUGCCGACCUUACAAGAUUGACAUUACUGGGAGAAAUUGUCAUAUAAGAUUCGGAAGUCUCGUAUCACUGUCAUGUAUACAUCGGCAACCAAGAAUGAAUAAAUCUAUGGAGAAAAAAGGAACAGAGAUGAAUGGAUAACAAUGUUUUGAGAGAGUAUUUUUUUCAACCCUUGGAUGACACUUAAAAAAUAUAAAGAUGGAAACUCCAUACGAAUUAGGGAUGCAAAAUAAGUACGUAAAUUCACGUGUGAUUAUAAAUUCCUUCAAAUAAUCAACAUGUGAAUGUGGAGACAUCAUAACCCACUCAGAUUUAUUGGCCAGUCCCAUGACUCUUCGGCAUCCUUGACCAAUUCCCUUUUAUCCAAUUUUGUCCCUUGGCCUGAGUCAAACAGCUAUAUCCGGUAUAUGUUAUUCCAUAAAAACCAAAUUUGAUUGAUAUGCCGUUUGUUUAACCAAUUAUUUCGCUUUAUAUUUCUCUAGGUGCUCCAAAAUGUCUUAUGACCUUACGUGCAUUCCAUCAUAGAUUUAUGGAUUUUAGGGAAUACCAUAUGACAUAAUUUUUCUCGAACUUCGUGCAUUUUAAUCGAGUUAUAAAUUAAAUUUUCCCUCAAAUAGAUUUGUUUAAUCGUCCUAGUGCUGAGCUCGGCCUGCCCCGUCUAAAGUCUUGCUCGAGUGCCCCCUCAAGUCUCAUGUUAAAUGGCUAUACACUGUCCCAGAUGAAUUCUAUAUAGGCAUCUCCAUUUGUCGAACGUAGACUCGUUGUUGUUUGACCAACUUUUGUUCUUUAUUCGUCUUUUUUAAGUUUUCACUGAUGAUCAAUUUACUUACUGUCCUCGGUAAAAGAAUUUUUCAUCCACUGUUUUACUUUGUUGCAUGAUUAUGCCGCUCGGUAAAGUGUUUCGUGUGAUAAUUGUAUCGAAUGAACAAUUAGCAUUAAUGUCAAAUAUUCCAUCAAAUUUUUUCAUCUAUUACAAUUUUCCAAAUUUCCAUAAUAUAAAUUGCAUCUAUCGCAUGAUGACAUAAACGGGAAAAUUACCAAAAAAGUCUUAAACCUAUUGCAAUUGUGCCAAUUCAGUUUUAAACUUAUUAUUUUUUUUUUGUCAAUUGAGUCUUAAACCUUUUGCAAUUAUAUCAAUUCAGUCCUUUCGGCUAAAAUUGGCCGGCCGGCGCUAACAUGGCCACUAACCGAUGCCGGCAAUAAUUUUUAAUAAUUUUUUUUUUCGAAUUAUCUUAUUAAUUUUGUUUAUUUUUUUUCCCUUUUUUUUCUCUUUUUUUUUUUUUUCCUCCUCCCUUGUUCUUCUUUUGGCUUUGACGACUAGCCAGAGGGGAGGGCUAGCCAAUCCCUGGAUUGAGGCGGCUGAGCAAGCUCACCUUGCCGUCGCUCGGCAAGGGCGAGCAUGCCUAGCCACUAGUGAGGCGAGCCUCGUUGGAUUUGGCGAGGGCUCACCUUGCUGUCGCUAGGUUUGGUGAGGUGAGCCCCCGUCAGAUCUAGCAACAGCUCACCUGGCGAGGGCUUGCCUCACCAUCGCUAGGCAAGGACUCGCCUUGCCGUCGCUUGUCGAGGACGAGCUUGCCCAACCACUAGUGAGGUGAGCCCUCGCCAAAUUCAGCGAGGGGGGCCUCGUCAUCCUUGGCCGCCUCAAUCCGGCGACCAGCCAACCCUCUCCUCUGGCUGGUCAUCGGAGCCAAAGGAAGAAAAAAGGAGGAGGGAGGAGGAAGGAGAAAGGGGGAGAAAAAAAAGAAGAAAAGAAAAAAUAAAUUAAUAAAAUACUUUAAAAAAUAAAUUUAUUAUUAGAAAAUUAUCAUCGGUGCCAACUGGUGGUCACGUUAGUGCUGGCUGGCUAAUUUCACCAAAAUGACUGAAUUGACAUAAUUAUAAAAUGUUUAUGACUCAAUUGGCAAAAAAAAAACAAGUUUAUGACUGAAUUGAUACAAUUGCAAUAAAUUUAUGACUUUUAUGGUAAUUUUCCCUGAUAUAAACAUUACCUGAAGAGUAGGUAUUGCCUCCACUCUUUAUAGGUGGAUCCAACUCACAUACAACAUUGGAUCAUAUGAAUUCUACAUUAAGAUCCACCUCACAUGUGAGCUAGGCAGGAAACAUGACUUCUCUCUAGUGACUUGGACCGAUCGUAUAUAGGAGUGUUGUGGCUUGAAAUCUUCGGCUAACAAUGUAUUGAAAAGCACGCAUCAGCCAUCUUUGCAUACACUGGAAAGCACACAGACAUCAUCUAUCGUGCUUGCUUGGGCUGACAAUGGCACUCAUUUAGCAUUUUCCUCGCCAAGCAAUCUCUCUCUCUCUCUCUCUCUCUCUCUAAAUUAUGACCAUUUCUUUAAAGCCACUCUGAAUAUGUUUCAUGUUUUUUUGGUAAGGGACCUUGUGACAAUGGAACUAAUUUCUUGUGCAUGGAGUUCUCUUCCAGUCAGCAAACUCUGGAUUCGUAAGUGCAUAACAUUCAAAGUUAUUGAAAACAAGGAGUUUGGGACACCUAGAGUGCCAUAACUUGGUACAUGGGGAUACUUAAAUACCAUAACUUCGAAAAAGAUACACUUAAGUGCUAGUUUCGAAGUUAAAUGGAACACUUAAGUGCCACUCCGGCGAAAAUCCGGCCAAAUGGUUGACGUGGCAAUUUUCCGGUGAGUUUGGUCCAAAACGGCAUCGUUUUGCAUGCUGACGUGGCGAGAAAAUGCAUAAACGAUGUCGUUUCGUGUUUGAUGUGUAAAUAAUAAUAAAAAAUUAAUUAAAUUAAAUUUAAACUUAAUUUUAUUUAAAAUAUUCUAAAAAUUAAAAAAUUAAAAAAUAGAAAAAAAAAAGGAGGCCGCCGCCGCCGCCUCCCCACCGUCGCCGGGAAGGGCUGGCGACGGCGGGGAGACGGCAGCGGCGAGGGCUCAGCCCUUAGCCGCCCCUUUUGGCCUCCCUUUUUUUUAAAAAAAAAAUUAAUUUUAAUUUUUAGUUUUUAAAUUUUUAGAAUAUAUUAAAUAAAAUUAAGUUUAAAUUUAAUUUAAGUAAUUUUUAUAUUAUUAUUUACACAUCAGACAUGAAAUGACGUCGUUUUUGCAUUUUCUUGCCACGUCAUCAUGCAAAAUGAUGCCGUUUUGGACCAAAUUCGCUGGAAAAUUGUCACGUUAGCCAUUUGGCUGGAUUUUCGCCAAAGUGGCACUUAAGUGUUCCAUUUAACUUUGAAACUAGCACUUAAGUGUACCUUUUUGAAGUUAGGACACUUAAGUGUCUUCCCAUGCCAAAUUAUAACACUUAGGUUGUUCUUUUGCCUGAAAACAAGUCAGACAUGGUUUAGCAUAAAGAUUACGUUCCCUGUGUUUGUGUACCUGAACACACUUUCUCCAUGGGUAUCCAUUCGCCAUUGACUGAUGGUUUGAUGCUGGCCUUCAAAGAGGUUUUGGAAUGUGAACUUGAACUCAACAUACCAUUGUUACCAGAGCCCAAAUCAGUCUAGAUAGCACAACCAAAACUAGGACUUGUGACAAGAACUUGAAAAAGUUGUCCCAUGAAUGCUAGCAAUUAGAAAAGGGGUACUUGAUUUGGUGUAGGCGUUUUGUCAUACAGGUAGCAGUUUGAAAGCCCGAACCAUUCAUGGAGUCUCCUUUGUGUAUUUGAACUAAAUCUCAAUAUAUGGUCGCAUGCAUGCAAAUUAACAUCAUCGAUAAAUGAAUCUUUUUCUCCAUCUCUAGGCUCUAUGUAUAUUCUGAAGCCCACAACACGUUUUCUAGCAAUGUAAAAUCAAGGGUUUCGGGCAAGUUUACUCCCAGGAAGCGCAGUGUGGCUCAAGCAUUCGAGGCUAGAUUCUUACACAGUAGAUGGAGUCAAGGAAUACGAUUGUCGGCCCCCUUGGCCCACUCACUUGUGGGUUGAUAACUACUUAUUCAUUUGUUACAUUCAUUUUCCUUCCAUAGAUCAGAGAUGUAAAUCACAGUAUUAAUCUCAUAAUCAGAAGGAAAAAUAUUAUUUUUUAGAGUAUACUUAUUUCGCGGAAAAUGAUAUAGAACUACAACACAAGUAUUACUUACAUUUACUUAUAUUACUUAUAUUUAUAAUAGGACUUGGAAGAAUCUUUGUUUAUUGAAAUAAUGGUCCAUACAUUCUCUCUCGCCUCUGUGAGUUUUCUCUCUACCUCAUGGUAGCAUCUACUCCCCUUCUUUCAAGCCUUAAACCCUAAUUUUCUAGCGUUCUUCCGUAAUACUGUUUCUUUCUCCUGUGUUUUCUCCCCCCAUCAUCCAAAAAAGAAAAAAAAGAAAAAAAAGAAAUGUCUCUUCUAAGUAAUAAGAUUGGAUCUCUCCUAAGUGAUUCUCCGUGUGCCUUUGGAUUCCAUCAGUUGGGAUGAUCCUGACCGAAAGCAUCCUUCAGGUGGAGUGUUGAUUGUUGCUCUGAGUAUUGAUUUGAGUAGGUUUUCAUCUAUUUCUGUCUUUCUGUUUAGUUCCUCUUAAGUUGUUUGCUUGGCUGACGAGAUCGGAGUGGUAGAGGUCAGGAUCUGGAUAAAGCUGAAGCUGGGUAGUCUCUGGGAUGUCGAUAGUCUAGAUCUGUUCCUCCUAAGACAAACGAUUGAUAGUUAGUGAAAAUGGAAAGUAAAGAAGAAAAUGAGAUGAGAGUGGCUGCUUUAUGCAAAAGCCUUGGGCAUCUAUGGUCUAAGGAAGACGUAAUCGAAGUGUCUAAUGAAAUACCUCAACAGAAAAGGGAGGAAUGUAAACGUACUCUCUUCGGCAAAUUGUACUCCAGACCAAAUGUGAACUAUCCUGCUUUCAUAACUACAAUGAAAAAAGCAUGGAAAACAUAAGGGGUUAUUUGUUCUCCGAAGGAACUAGGGCAUUUCACUUUCAUAUUUCAAUCGGAGGAGGAAAAACAGUGAAUAAUGAGGAACUCACCUUGGUCAUACUCAACUAAUUUGCUCGUUCUGAAGCAGUGUCUCCCUGAAGUCCCUAAGCAUUGCUAUGAUUUCACUAAGGCAGCUUUCUAGGUGCGCAUUGUAGGAAUUCCCCUUGGUUGGAGAAUAGACAAAGUGUUCAAUGAUAUGGGGGAAAAGGAUGGGAAAUGUAAUAGAAGUUCAACUCGACUCAACAACUAAUAUUCAGAACAGAGGAGGUAGAGUUAGAGUUGAGAUUGAUUUGACUUUACCUUUGAAAUCGAGAGCUAUUCUGGAUAUUGGUAAUAAUUGGCUAUGGGUGGAGUUCAAAUACGAGCGUCUCCCACAUUACUGUUUCUCUUGUGGCAGAAUUGGGCACUAUGCAAUUGACUACCUUGAAAUUCCAUAUGCAACUUCACCCUGGGCGAUGAACAAAAAAGGGUUAUAUGGACCCUGGUUGAAGGCAGAAACUAGUUAUCACAGCCCUUAUUGGGAUGCUUUCUACAGGAAAAUGGAGGAGGAGUUUGUAGUGGAAGAAACAGUACCCGUUCCACCUACCCAACCUAAUGGAAUGAACUUCAUUGCUCGAGAGCCAUAAUCUAAUAUGCAAAUUGUAGCAUGCAGCAAAAAGCGAUCAGAAAGUAGCCCAGAACAGGAGAUAAGUCCAGUAAAAGUACCUAUUGAAGUAGAAAACCAAGAUCGUGGAAAACAGGUAUUAUGCCCUGAAUCCCAAAACCCACUGUUAUUAAAAGUUGGGAAAAGCAGUAAGAAGACUAUGAAAGUACAAAAGGAAAAAAAAAAUAAUAAAUGCAUACCGGUAAUAUCCCCUCUCCUCACAAAUGAUGCAGACCUUCUGGAGACCCCGGUGAAAUUGAUUUAAGAUGGACACGAAUGGGCUUUGGUGGCUAGCCCUAAUAAGCCACCAUUGAAGCCAUGAAAAUCAUUAGUUGGAAUUGUCAAGGGCUGGGCAACCCUCUGACAAUCCAGGAAUUAAGAGCUUUAAUAGCUCUCGAAAGGCCUAGCUUACUUUUUCUCAUGGAGACGAAAAAUAAAACAACUAUGGUGGAAAAGAUUUGUAAAAAGCUUCAGUUCCAGAACCUCUACUUGGUUAAUCCAACAGGAAUAGCGAGGGGAUUGACAAUCAUGUGGCAAGAGGAAAUCGCUUUAAAGGUGCAAGUAAGUUCAAAACAGUUCAUAGAUGUGUAGUGUACUGACCCUGAAAGUAAACAAGUUAUGCAGAUUACCUUUGUCCAUGCAUCUACGGAUUUUGGAGAGCAUAUGGCAUUAUGGCAACUGCUGGGAACUCUUAAGCCUUCGGUUUCUCUUCCAUGGAUCUGCAUGGGAGAUUUUAAUGGGAUACUGUAUGUAUGGGAGAAAGUUGGGAAAAAAGAAGCAGACAAUAGAAGAAUUGCAGCAUUCAGAAAUAUGAUAAAUGAUCUAUCCCUAAUGGAUGUAGACAGCCAUGGAUGCGCAUUUACAUGGGCUAAUAACAGGGAGGGGGCAGAGUUGGUUAAAAAGCGACUCGAUAGAGUGCUCUGUACUUUAGAGUGGCGAGUUACCUUUCAUGAAGCAGAGGUCUAGGCCCUUCCAGCAAUCGGAUCAGACCACAGUCCCCUAGUCCUUCGACUAUAUUCUAGAGUAAAGAGAAGGAAGAAACAGUUCAAAUUGGAAGCUUUCUGGACAGAACAUGCAGAUUAUCAGGAAGUCAUCCAGCAAGUAUGGGCAGAAACAUCAACUCAAAGUUUCCCUUUUGCAGAGAAAUUAGGGAGGACAUCACAAGUAUUAACUAAAUGGAGCAAAGAGAAGUUUGCUAAUGCUUAUACACAGAUCAAAGAGCUUAAUCAAGCCUUAACAGAAAUUACGAAUCAAACAUCUCAGCACAUGAGUAAGCAGAAAGUGCAGCAUAUCAUCAGUCAAAUAGACACACUGAGAAAACAGGAAGAACGGUUCUGGGGAAUGAGGUCAUGCAUCAAAUGGUUACAUUGGGGAGACCAAAACACUAGAUUUUUUCAUGCUACGACAGUCAAAAGGAGGCAGCAAAAUCGCAUUACAAUGCUGCAAUUAGAGGAUAAUCGCUGGUGCAGAGAACCCAUGAUGCUAAAGAAACAUAUUCAAUCUUUCUAUGAGAAUCUAUAUAGGACUGAGGGUCCACGACACUACCAAUCUAUCCUAAACCAAUGCCCAUCCCCAAUAACAGAGAAUAUAAACGAAGAACUGGUGGCAAUACCUUUAUUGGAGGAAAUCCAUGCAGCUAUUUUUCAAUUGGGAGCUUUCAAGGCCCCUGGCCCUGAUGGUUUUAAUGGGACUUUCUAUCAACAAUCAUGGGAAAUUAUAAAAACUGACCUGAUGCAGCUAGUUCAGGAUUUCUUUCAGAAGAGUGUUCUUGCUCCCCGGCUCAAUUAGACCCAUAUUAUGUUGAUUCCAAAGGUUAAAAGCCCUGAAAACAUCAGUCAAUACAAACUCAUUAGUUUGUGCAACUUCAGUUAUAAAGUUAUCUAAAAAAUCUUAGCAAACAGACUAAAGAAGUGGUUGCCACUUAUCAUUGAACUGGAGCAAGGUGCAUUCGUUCUGGGGAGGCAAAUUCAAGACAAUAUCUUCAUAGUACAGGAAGUUCUACAUCAACUACGCAUCACAAAAAAGAAGAAAAAACAUCAGGCCAUUUUGAAGCUUGAUAUGCAGAAAGCAUAUGACAGGAUCGAAUGGGAUUUUGUGAGGGAUAUCAUGUUGCAUAUGGGGUUUAAUGCUAAAUGGGUCUCCUUAAUUAUGCAAUGUAUAUCAACAGUUACCUUUAGCGUGAAAAUCAAUGGAGAACCUACCUCUUUCUUCCAUCCUUCGUGAGGCCUCAGACAAGGUGAUCCACUCUCACCCUAUAUCUUCAUUCUGAUGUCCAAUGUGUUAACCUGGCUGAUGAAAAAAGCAUUAGCAGAUGGUACAAUCAAAGGCAUACAGAUAAAUAGAUAUUGCCCUAAGCUAUCACAUUUGAUGUUUGCCGAUGAUGUGAUAUUCUUUUUGGAUGGAACUAUUACAGAGUGCCAGAAUCUUGCUCAAAUUCUUCACCAAUACUGCUAUGCUACGGGCCAAGCAAUCAAUUUAAAUAAAUCAGGGGUUUAUUUCAGUGGUAAAUGUCCAGCAUUAUUAAAACAUAAUUUGGGCAUAGAAUUGAGAGUUCUUGUUCUACAUAAAACAGGAAAAUACUUGGGCAUACCUACCGAGUGGGGUCAAUCCAAGAAAGAGCUAUUUGCAUGGAUCCUGGCCAGAGUAAAUUCAAAGUUAGCAGGAUGGAAAGAAAAAUUACUUACAAAGGCAAGAAAGGAAGUGUUUAUAAAAAGUGUUGUGCAAUCCCUACCUACCUAUGCAAUGUCCAUAUUUAAGCUACCCGUGUCUAUCUACAGAGCCAUAGAACAACGUAUUGUGUCAUUUUGGUGGCAAAACAGUGAUGCAAAAAGAGGGUUGCAUUGGAAAAGUUGGGAAGUCUUGAAAACUCAAAAGGAUACGAGAGGACUUGGGUUUAAGGAUCUGCUUACCUUUAAUAGAGCCAUGUUAGGCAAGCAAAUCUGGAGAUUAGCUACCUCCCCUUCAUCACUAUGGAGCAGAGUGUUGAAAGGGAUCUAUUUUCCCAAUGGUGAUGUCCGGACAGCUUCUAAGGGACACCGGCCAUCAUGGGGCUGGCACAGUUUAAUGCUUGGCAGAGACACAAUAAAGAACAACAUCAAAUGGUCAGUAGGGGAUGGAAAUUCUAUUCGUAUUAGAGAAGACAGAUGGCUUUCACAAGGUGUAAUAGGCGGGCAAGCAAACCAAACAGAGCCUAUUUUAGUGUCCGAAUUGAUAAAUGCAGAAUCUAGAGAAUGGAAACAACAGCUUACCCAUCAACUCUACGAAGAAACUAUUGCAAACAAGAUUUUAGCAAUCCCCCUAAGUCAGCAAUCAAAGCCAGAUACGCUUAUAUGGACAGGUAACAGAACAUGUCAAUACUCUGUUAAGAGUGGAUACAACAGAGCAAUGGCAACCACAAGCAAAUCAGAUCAGAAUCGACCCUCCUGCUCAUUUCAACCACCACGUACCUUAUGGACUCAAAUAUGGAGUCUUGAUGUGCCACCAAAGGUCCGUUCUUUCCUCUGGAGCCUCUGUCAUAACACUCUUCCUACGAGGGAGAACCUGUAUAAAAGGAAAAUAAUUAGAGAUCCCAUAUGCUCGUUCUGCUGUUCUAGCAUCGAAACCACAGAGCACUUUUUGUUCUUAUGCAAAUGGACAAAGAAAGUUUGGGAUGAUCAAACCAAACAGUUGUAUUAAAUGCACAGAUCAAUGGAUCUUCAACGCUUUCAGAAGAGAUCAGUUCUCACUUGCUUGCGAGCUCACUGGUAUGGUUUUGUGGAACAUCUGGAAGGCGAGAAAUAACUGGAUUUUUCGAGCGAAAGAAGCCAGACUAGCAGAUCUGUUGAUUACAGCACAGGAACAACAGAUCUCGUUCAGUAGAGGAAAAUCAAACAGAAACGAACGACCACUCAAACGUGACAAACCUGAUCAGUGGCGGCCUCCGGAAGGGCAGGAUCUGAAGCUAAACGUCGAUGCGGCAUGGUGUUCAGGCGAAUUUCUUGGCUCUGUGGUUGGAGUCGUGCGCGAUUCGGCUGGAAGAGCUCUCGAAGGAUUUGCAGCCACGACUAGGGUUUCUUCGUCGAGCGAAGCAGAAGCCGAGGCGAUUUUACACAGUAUAUUAUAUACCCAGGAACUCCAGUUGACUCACGUGAGGGACUUUGGAAGUCGAACUGGGAAGUGGUUGAUAGAAAACGACUAUUCCGCGGUGGUAGAAAUGGUAAUGGGCCGGGCCGAAACUUCAUGGAAUCUAAAAGAAAUCGUGCAGCGCUAUAGAAAUGGGCUAAAUCAAAACAACAAUGUUAUGGUGACCCAUUGUCCACGCCAAGCAAAUGCCGCAGCAGAUUGGAUCGUACGGAAUCAUCGGCUUAAUACUCUUCCACGGAAUUGGUUGAUUUCUCCCCCUUUUUCCUCUAUGGAAUAUUUUAUGCGCAGAUCUUUCUCCAUCUGUGUUAUGUAAGACUCCUCCUUAAUCAAGUAAUAGUCAGUUAUAUUUUGACCAAAAUAAUAAUAAUAAUAAUAAUAAUAAUAAUAAUGGUCCUUUUUAGGAUUGUAUGAGUUGUGAUGUAAUAUUUUUAGAGAAAUUUAAAGUUGAAUGUUAACUUAGAAUUUGCUUCAUGCCUUAAGAUCAAAGAAUAAUAUAAGCUAUCAUCUGUGGGGGCAAACGUACAACACGAGCUUCUUAGCGAAGGAAGCGACACAGGAUCCUAUCACUAAUCACGGAUCGAUCAUGAAUUGCAUUGUAGCCAUGUGGUGCCUCUAUUCAACUGACUUUUGCAGACCCCGAACUUCCUUAGGAGUGGCUAGCUAGCCAUUCUGCUGAAUUUGAAGAACAAGCACAAAUCUAAUUCAAGAUCUAUCGAUUUUGCGAGAAGCCACAUUACACACCAAAUCAGGGUGUGCGCUUGAUGAUUUUUUUUUUUUUUUUUUAUAAUUUGAGUGCAUUCAUCUACUCUAUCAUCUCGUCCGUUUAAAGUAGAUAUACCCUGGCAAUUUAAAUAAGGGGUUUGUUGUUGUUGUUGUAUUUGUUCUAGAGUCGAAUCAGUUUGUUUUGAUUCUACAUUCUCGUCUACUUCGGACGCAAGCUUUUUUCUAAUUUACUAGGCUGCUUUUAGGGUCCCGUGUAAAAAACAGGGAUCCAUCUAAUUCGCAAAAUUGAUUGGUUAUAGGUAUUUAUCUGUAGUUUAUUUUUGUUGAGGGUCAUUUACGGAUUCUAAAGUUAUAAUUUUUUGCAUUUAUAAUUACUUACCAAUGUAAAGGUGAAUUUGACGAGGCUGAAGCUAAUUUUAAAUACACAAAGCAUAAUUUUAAUGCAUUAAUUUGUUUUCGUGAUAUUGUAAUUUGUAUUACUAUGAUGAGACUUUAUUAGCUAUUUGCUAAGAAUAAGUACAAUUAAGACUAUCAAGGAUUAGGGCUUACUUAAUUUCCCAAUUAUAAGGAAAAUUUCGAAUUAUUCUGUAUAGGUUAAGUUACCUUAGGAAUGCUUUCAAAUCGGAUCAAAUAAAUUUAAACAAAUCUGCCUCAUUGAUUAUUUGCGGAGGUUAGCCGUUGCCAAUUUAUCGCGUUGACUACACACACGUAUAUUGAGUUAUGAUCUACAUAUCAUAUCUUCAUAUAACGUGGCCAUAACAUAAUAUGUAUAAAUAAUCUCCCUAAUCAACGACAAGGAUCAAAUGAAUUGAUUGUAUGAUUGACCAUGAUAUCCAAAGGAGUCAUAAGUCGGGCCAUAUGAAAUGAAUUGGCUGUAUCCUUCGAUUUGUCAAGCUUAUAGAGUACCUAAUAUUGAUUUAUCGUCUUUCCCCUUUACCAUUGCAAUUUCCUUUUGUAAUUCUGCCAUCUGCAAGUAGUGAGGAUAGCAUAAAAGAAAAGAGACAGGAGAAUCUAACGGGCCCAGGCCGCAUUCAGAUCAUCUAGUUCCCCACCCAAGGAAUUUCAAUUAACCUCUAUAUUGUGUGAAAUAUGUGCCCUCAGCAGCAAAAAUACUCAUACUUCGAAAGUGAAGACACUGAGCAGGUAAAUGCUGCAAGUCAUUGUGAUUUCCUUGAUAUCAACAUCCACAUUGCGGUGAAACAGCAAGGAGCUGCGCACUUCCGGUAAUAGGCUUACCGCAAUGAUCCUGAAAAUCCACAGAGAUAUACCAGAGACUAAACAUAAUACUUGAACUCAAUCAAGCCAAUCAAUGAGUGACCAUUUGAAUCAUAGAAGCUGUGCCUGACCUACAAAAUCAUAGAAGGUGCUUGAAUGAACUCAAUAAAGCCAAUAAACAUGGAUCACAAAGAGGUCUUCUGAAUCAAAUGGACCUACACGUUCUGAAGCCAAUCAGCGGGAGACAAGGCACAUAAAGCGAGAGUCCCAAGGAGACAACUCUUCAUCGGACUAGUUCGAAUCUCAUCGAAUUGACCACUAAAAACUUUGCACGCUCAUGAAUUACCUCUGUUCCCCAUUGGGCAUUCGCGAUUUGGAUGGGCGAAUGUGAGAUUGCGAGAAUGAAGGUGUCAGGCGAAAUGGGAGAGUCAAUUACGGUUGAUUUGACGAAAGAGAGACUCGGCUUGAGAGAAAUGGCAAGAAGGGAUCGAAUUUGGGCCAAAGAUUGAGAGCAAUUUCUGCAAGAUCUCACUUAAGGUCCAUCUGGUGAUUUGGGCGCGAUGGUAUUUGAGACAAGAAGGAAGCAAUGCAAUGUUGUUUGGGGGUUUCAAGUGGGGAUUAUUGGCUUUCGAGCAAUUCCACCAAAGAAUUGGGAAUCGAAUCAUAGGAACCGCUUUCCAAUUUCUGGAAUUGGGAAUCAAACUGAAGCCCCUUGAAACUGGACUGGACUGGUCCCUUCAUGGGUGGCCAAUGGAACCAGUCCCAUGUUUUUAUUUUUAUUUUUUUAUUCUUAUAUUGCAAUCAAUUUAGGUAUUUUCACUUUCGCUUCAUGGGCAAUCGAAAUGGGCGCUAGUUUGUUCAAUUCGGNNNNNNNNNNNNNNNNNNNNNNNNNNNNNNNNNNNNNNNNNNNNNNNNNNNNNNNNNNNNNNNNNNNNNNNNNNNNNNNNNNNNNNNNNNNNNNNNNNNNCAUAUUGAAAUUUGAGUCAAUUCGGAUAAGGUUUGGUCUUCAAAUCAAGAUAAGAAAGCUGUAAUCUUUUUCUAUUUUCUUCGUGAGCUCUUGGUGCUCCCCCUCUCUCCCUCUCCACUUCACGAACGAGCAGACCUUUUUUCCUCUUCUUAUUGCUUUUUGACUUUGACUGCUUUAUUUUAUUUUUUCACGUUGGCUAGGCCCCACAAAGGCGGACCCAGUCAACAAAUAUUUUGAGGUGUUCAGAAAUCUCUUUCUUUUAAUGUUAUCAUUCUUUUGAAAUUCUUUUUGCGGUAAUGAAGUAUUAUGGAUUCUCGCAUACAAAUCUAAAUCUGUAUCCAACAUCAAAUAUGGGCACAUAAUUCGCACCGCAAUGAUUUACUAUCUAAGUGCCUCAUACCUUAUUAUAGAGUUAGUAAUGCUAAUUUUGGGAUAAUUGGGACCUUAGGUUUUUUUAAAGUUUGUAGUUCGAUUGUUUUUUCUUGGUCAUCCACAAAAAUUAAAAUUAGAAUCUCUAGCGAUAUGUACAAUGGAUGAUGUUGCGUCUUGUCUUGAAACUCAAUAUAACUGAUAGGACAAGCCCUCUUAGGUUCUUUCCACAUGCCUUCUGGAAAAAAGAAAAAGAAAAAUGAUAAUAGCAAUAAGGAAAUGAAGCUACGGCCGGCAAGUCUAUAUAGUUUGACUUGAACCCAUGUUGCCGCGCUUAUCUCAUCUAUAGAAAGGGUUUCGUAAUUUCUCGCAAUCCUUGCGGACCUGUUCCCAUUAUCUUUCGUGAAUCCUAACUCCGCACAUUAUAAAAACACACUUCAAUCCCUCCUUUCCCUCUUUUCUAAUUUCUAAGUUCAAACCUCUCUCUCUCUCUCAAACUACACUUGCAUAUAUUCUCGUUUUUGUCACGUCCAUCUCUCUCUCCAAACUAACCUCAGACAGAAAGAAACACACACCUCCCACGAAUUUGACUCGGUUAGUGGUNNNNNNNNNNNNNNNNNNNNNNNNNNNNNNNNNNNNNNNNNNNNNNNNNNNNNNNNNNNNNNNNNNNNNNNNNNNNNNNNNNNNNNNNNNNNNNNNNNNNNNNNNNNNNNNNNNNNNNNNNNNNNNNNNNNNNNNNNNNNNNNNNNNNNNNNNNNNNNNNNNNNNNNNNNNNNNNNNNNNNNNNNNNNNNNNNNNNNNNNNNNNNNNNNNNNNNNNNNNNNNNNNNNNNNNNNNNNNNNNNNNNNNNNNNNNNNNNNNNNNNNNNNNNNNNNNNNNNNNNNNNNNNNNNNNNNNNNNNNNNNNNNNNNNNNNNNNNNNNNNNNNNNNNNNNNNNNNNNNNNNNNNNNNNNNNNNNNNNNNNNNNNNNNNCUUAUAUGGACUCUGUUCACUCGAUUCUCGGUCUGGAAUCCUAUCACCUUGUUGUUGCUUCUCAUUAUUUGACUCCCGCACUUUGAUUAAAUUUCCCAUUACCUUAUGUCUCCAAAUGUAUAGCAAAAUGAGUCGUGUAACUUUUGAUUAAGUGAUAAUAGUAACUUCACAUUCAGGUGGAGCAAAUUUUAAAGCAUGUUGUUUUUUUCAAUAUAUAACCCUAUUUGGAAACGCCAUUAGCUGUAUCGUUCAAGCAUCUCUCAGCAUGAUGUGAAUACAAUUCUACUUUCCCAAACUCUUGACAAAUUUAUUCAGCAGAUCACGACAAACUUCCAGUUCUACUGUUUCUUAUAUAACCUGGCUGAUUCAAUGUUGUACACGUUCCCUCUUUCCAAUAAAAGGGCAAUAAAAUAUAUGCAUGGCCUCCACGAGAAUGGGGAGAACUCGUGCCACGUUUUGGCUAAUCCGUACAUGAUCAUGUUCGGCAUCACAGAGAUUCUGCUGUCCCAGAUUCAAGAUCUCGAUCAAAUAUGGUGGCUCUCUAUUGUGGCCGCUGUUAUGUUCGUCGCUUACUCUUUGAUUGGUCUUGGCCUAGGAAUUGCCCAAGUUGCAGGUACAGGUUUCUUCUUUUCUCAAAGACAGAUGGCCAAGAAAUUUCAAGAGAUUAUAUUAUCAAUAUCAUAAAAUAAGUUGUUUCCAGCAAUUUUUUCCUGAUGAGCAGCUAGUGGAAGUUUCAAGGGUAGUCUUACAGUAAUAAGCGCUGGGGAUGCAACUGAAACCCAAAAGAUACGGAGAUGUUUCCAAGCUCUUGGAAAUAUCGCCUCAGCGUACUCAUUUUAUGAGAUCCUUAUUGAAACUUAGGUACUAAAACAUGAUUUCAUCAGUUCAAAACCUAAGGAAAUGGUAAAGAGUGGAUAGAACAGACUGGAAAUACCUUGUUUUUCCUUUUAUCUUUGACAGGACACCAUCGGAUCUCCACCAUCAGAAGUAAAGACCAUGAAGAAAGCCAUUUCUCUGAGCCCCGUGGUGAUGACGACUAUCUACAUGCUAUGUGGCUACGUGGGCUAUGCUGCUUUAGGUGAUGACACUCCGGAAAAUUUUCUGAUCGACUUGGGUUUCAACAGGCCAUUCUGGCUUCUUGAUAUUGCCAAUUCUGCUAUUGUGAUCCAUCUUGUUGGAGCAUACCAAGUAAACAGCCAGCCGAUAUUUGCCCUGGUCGAGAAACAGGCCGAUCAGAGAUGGCCUCGUAGUGAGCUCAUCGCCAAAGAGAUGAAGAUCCUAGUACCAGGCUUGGGCCAAUACAACAUGAAGCUCUUUAGACUUGCUUGGAGGACGGUUUUCAUGAUCCUGACCACUGUGAUAUCGAUGCUAUUCCCAUUCGUCUUCAACAGAGUCGUGGAUAUCAUCGGCUUGGGCUUUUGGCCUCUAAUGGUCUAUUUUCCCGUCGAGAAGUAUAUUAGACAGAAACGAAUUCCCAAAUGGAGCACUAAACGGGUAUACCUGCAAAUGCUGAGCAUGGCCUGUCUUGUGAUAUCGAUCAUGGCAGUUGCGGGUUCGGUCCCAGGACUUAAGGACGACCUUAAGACAAAUCGGCCAUGCGGGAAGAGCUACGAUCAAAAUGCAUGGAUCUUUAGUUGAUCGGCCAUUUCAGAAGAAAAGAAUAACAUCAUAGAAGUUUCUACUUUCAUUGUUUAGUCUGGAAUUACAAACUCUGUAUGUUCUAGCCAUUGCUAAGGAAAACUUGCAUUUUAUGCAAGUGAUGGUUACACAUUGUCCUGUUGUCGUAAAAAAAUUCCGAAAUUUUGGUUAUUCAAACCGCCACGUCCACAUCAAUUGGGUUAGGCUCCAAUCAUGCGAUGACAAACGUGCCGACCUUUCAAGGUUUACAUAAGGGGGAGAGUUAUAAUAUGAACAAAGAAGGUCCCAUGUUAUUAUAAUAUAUAAAUUGAUAAUUAAACGAAAUCUCAUUAUUCGAAAGCGUUAGUAUGUCCUUUCCAGGAAGAGGAAAAAGAAAAGGGAUGCGUGGAUAUCAAUAUCUAAAGAAAAAGCGACUUUUUUACCUCUUGGAAGAUACUUUAAUAAUAGUUAGAUAAGGAAUAUGAUUGGAAGAUAAGGACUCAAGCCCACGUGUGAAUUGAGAACUCCUUCAAAUGAUUAACAUGUGAAUGGGGAAAUAUUACAUCGAUGGGUUGGCUUAGAUUGAACAUACCAUAACCCCAUUAGAUUGAUUGACUUGUCCAAUACAUCUUCGACAUCCUCGACUAACUCUCUUUUUAUCAAAUGUUUCUCCGUGGCCUCGGUCAAACCAGCUCUUUCAUGUAUAUGUUUUCCCCUAAAAACCAAAAUUGAUUGGUGCCCCACUUCAUUUAACAAAUUCAUUUGCUUAGAUUCUAUCUAGGUACUCAAAAAUAGCUUCAUUACCUUACUUACAUUCCAUUACUGAUAUAUGCAUAUUAGGGAAGACCUUAUGACAAACUUUUCUCAGACUUCAGGCGUAUCGCCGAGUUAUAGAUUGCAUGCAUUAACAAGUGAUUUACGAGCGUGAUUUAUUGGGAUUUUGUUCCCAAGAGAUUGUUGUCUAGCAUUAUUAACUCCACUUGUACAUUUAACAAAUGUUGUUGGAGCACUAGUUAAUUUAACUCAAUAUAGAAAUAAAAUUCUUCAAGAGGCUUCAAAAAUAAAUUACUUACUCCAAAUGAGAAAUUUAUAUUUUUCAAGUAUUUUUUAAUAAAGGCUUAAUAAGUGCCUGCCCUAGGGACACUUUUUAGCAUUUUGCAUAUGAUUUUAUUGAAAGUUCUCAUAACCAUCGAUGCAUAGAUAAGGUUUGUAACUUAAAGAGCUUAUUACACGAGAAUUCUCACAUAAUAUUGAGAAUUUUGUUUCAUACAUAUUUAAUGGGUGACAUAAAUAGGUUGCAUUUUCCUAUAUUGAAUCUCCACCAUAUCUUUCGUUUUGGACACUCAAGUUUUGUAGCUUAAAAAAUCAAAUUGGACCCAAAAAUCAACUUUCAAUUGAGAUUUGAGAGAUACAUUAGGAUGUUAGUGUGUUGAAUCGAUUGUAGUUAUCUGAUAUGAUAGCUUUUGGUUAAUAAUGUGCAAAUAUACAUGUGUCUAGGAUGUUUGGUAGAGGAUGAUCAAAGGAUUUUAAGGGGUUUAGGCAAUGUGAUAAGGAAAGACGAUUCCAGCAUUUUUAUGGAAAUAGUUUUAUAAUUGUUGGAGAACUAAUGGUGAAGGAACUAAGGGAUAUGAAGCUUAUGGCGAUGCUUCCCACUCAAUGGGUGGAGGGCUAAACCCCACACACACGGAGCUUAUGGAGGUCUCAACAUGACACAAAACUAUCGCAUUAAAACCCAUUUUUCUAGGACUCCAUCGGCCGACUACAAAAGUCUCUGCCUUGUCAGAAAUCUUUUCUUUUGCUUUAGCGAUAUUCAUCGCCGUACUCAAUUACAGUGGACACAUCUUGACUUUUGUACAAAUAUCCGCUCCAUAAAUAUCUAGUCCAUGCUACAUUAUUCGAGAAAUUGCAUCACUCAUAACCUGUCUAUAACUUGGGCCUAGCAUCAUUCCAACAUCUUCCAUGAGCUCUAACUCCGCACGAUACAAAUACUACCAUAUAGUCACUUUUUUGCCACACCCAUCUCUCUCCCUCUCUAGGAGUAAGUUUGAGCCUUUGGCUUUCAGGUGGGUGUACAAAACACAAAGCAACCUCAGAGUCAAAGAGACCCACUUUCCACUGGUUUUGAACCGAUUAGUGCUAAUAAAACUUGCAAGUAGGACUAGCUACCAUCCAGAUUGAAACUGCACGGAUUCUGAUGGAUGAAUAAAUUUUGGAGGUCCCUUUCAUUUGGCAAAACAGAAUUUAGUUUCCACACACACAAACUUGCUAACAUUUGCUAUUUCCUUCUCUCUAUCUCUCUCUAGGACAUUAAAAAUGGAUGAGAACGCUGCCACCAAGAACAACCAAAACCGCCGCCGCUGCCAAAUCGGUGACAUCUCCAUUUUGAAUGCCUCCCCAAAGCUUCUUCAAAAGAUAAUGAUUUUUAUUGUUCAAAAUAACUAGUCAAUAAAUAAUAUUUUAUUUUUUUAUUAUAAUUUAUGUUUAAACAUAUUUGUAAACAAUUUAUAAAAUAUACAAGUGAUUGAAUUUUGAAAAAUAUUUUCCAAAAUGUUGAUCUUUUGUGUAACAAGCAUACGCUUAUUCAAAGUUUAUUUUUGUGCAAAAUUGACUAAUUGAAGAUAUAUAUAUUUAUAGUUUAUUUUUUACGUGGGCAAUUUAUGUUAAUUUGUGAGUGGUAAGGUAAUUAUUUGCAUUCAUAAAAUACUUACCAACGCAAAGGUAAUUUAAUGAUGCUGAAGCUAAAUUUACAUACACAAAAUACAAUUUUAAAAAUAUAAGUUUGCUUUCGUGAUAUUAUAGCUUGUAUUGCUACGAUAAGACUUUAUUAGUUACGAAUAAGUGUAAUUAAGAAGAAUGUCAAGGAUUAUUAGGGCAUUCCUAAUUAGAAGGAAGAUUACUUACUAUCACUGCGACUUCGAAUUAGGUAAGUUACUGUAGCCGUUGUCACGAUUACAUCAUAUCAAAUAAAUUUAAACAAAUCCACCACGCUGAUUACCUGAAGAGGUUAGCCGUCUCCAAUUUACCGUUUCGACCUCGCGCGCCCAACCCACUUUCCUAUCCUACAAGCGGCAAAUUCGGAACGGCAGGCGAAUUAAAUAAGUUACUGUUAGCCGUAGGCAAUUUACCGUUUCGACCUCAAUCCACUUUCCUAUUCUGACAGGGGCAAAUUCGGAACGACGGGCGAAAUGACGCUACAUAUUCGCUACGGCUUCAUCGGUCCAGUCGCAUCAUCUCUCUCCCACCUUCUUCUGCGCAUGUUGUUGCCUCUCCGCUUGCUUCCUUUUCCUCUCUCGACGGAGCCACAUUCUGGCUCAAUGGGAGAUGCCGGAGCUGCGUCUGCUUCGGCCGUGCGGCCGAUCGUCGAAGACGGGACGCCCCCGUGUGGGGGCCACAGAGAGAGAGGAAUGGGGCUAUGAUCGGGGCUCGGCGCGCUCUCUGUCUGCAAAGGCGGGGUUGAGCAACGACGUUCGGGCGGGCGACGGAUUCGAGGGCGUGCUGGAGUUGAGGCGGACGUGUGAGUAUCUCGAAUUUUUUCUCUCUGGCUUGGUUGAAUGGGUGUCGUUGCGUGAUGAUUAUGCUGCUGUCGUUUGGGGCGUAAAUCUUGUCGGAGGAGAUGGGUUUUUUGAUUCCUUACUCUGAUUUGUGCCAAAACCUUUUAUUUCUCAGAUCAUCUUUGGGAGUAGGAAUUUUCUUCUAAAGAACAUGACUUAUGAUAGAAUAUCUUUUUGAGCAGUAAUUUUUCGACAAAUCUGUGCUCUUUCUUAUAAAAAAGUUCAGAUUUUUGUUUUUUGUACAUGUAAUAUGAAUCUGGUGCUUAGAAAGUAACUUGAUUCGUUUGCUAGAGUUUUUCGGUUCUUCAACCUGUUUGGUGAUCUUUUGUAACGUGAACAUAUCAACGAAAUAUAUGAAGAGAGUGACAUGCCUCGACAAUUCAUACUGUUUGGUGUACUUUGAUUUUGGCAAAGCACCUUUUCAUAUGAUGAUUCACUAUUGCUUAUCCUCAGAUCAAGCCUUGUAAUAAUUUUGCUACAGAUCUUGCACCCGUGCUUUUCUUUACCAUUUUCCCUUGCUAAAUGCUGUAACUGAUGGAAUUUUUUCCUAACUGUGAUUUAUGCAUGACUUGGUAUAUUUGUCUUGUUAAUUCUAAAGAACCGCAUACAGGAAUCUCUUUCUAAAUAGCUUUAUGUGCAGCAAGUUUUCAAAACUAUCUCCUUUUUGCCAAUUAAGUUUAAACUUUUGUUUUCUCCUUCUGAAUAUAUUUCUCUUUUUUGAAAACCUUACAUUUCGUGAAAAUCUAUCUUUGUUUGAAAGAGGUGUGAUAGUUUUGUUUUUCAUUUAUAAAUAUUAACUCCUUGAGUUUAAGUUUUCUGUUAAAGAGUGACUGGGUUUAAAAGUUUCUUGUCAAAGUCGUUUCUAAAUGUUGUGAAUUUUCACAAUUUUCUUCCUUACUCUAUUUUGUACAAGGCACACUUUUUCAAAUAACUUUGGCACUUUAAAUUUGCUUUUAAAGAAGGUCGUGCAGAUUAUUCUGGAGUCUUUCACAAGUUUUUCUAAUCUAUUUCCUCAUUACUUUUUGAGCAGCAAGUUUUUAAAUAUCUCUUUUGCCAAAUAAGUCUAAUUUUGUUGUCACCUUUGAAUGUCUUUUUUUUUUACAGUUCUUUAUUAUGACAUUUUAUAAAAAUGUUAUCUCUUUAAAAGAGCUGUGAUACUUUUGUUUUGUCCUUUCUGAAUACUAACUUCUUGAGUUUAAGUUUUCUGUUAAAAGAGUUAAAAAGAAAUUCAAAGUUUCUCCUCAAAGUCGUUUCCACAUGUUGCAAAUUAUGACAAUUUUCUUCCUUACUCUGUUUUGUACAAGAUCUACUUUUUUCAAACCACUUUGCGAGUUUAAAUUUGCUUUUAAAGGAGGUAAUGCAAAUUAUUUUAGAUUAUUUCACAAGUUUUUCCAAUGCAUUUCCUCAUAGCAUUAUGAGCAGCAAGUUUUCAAAUCUCUUUUUUGCCAAAUUUGUUUUAAAAUUUUGUUCCUUUUGAAUAUAUUUCUCUUUUUUGAAAACCUUUUUAAAGACAUUUCGUAGACAUCUAUGUCUGUUUGCAAGAGGUGUGAUACUUUUGUUUUGUCAUUUCUCAAUAUUAACAUCUUGGUUUUAAGUUUUCUGUUAAAGGGUAACUGGGUUUAAAAGUUUACCCUUAAAGUCGUUUGCAAAUGUUGCAAAUUAUGACAAUUUCCUUAGUUACUUUGUUUUGUACAAGACCUACUUUUUUUCAAACAACUUUGGGAGUUUAAAUUUGCUAUCAAAGAACGUCAUGCAAAGCAUUUUAGAUUCUUUCACAAGUUUUUCCAAUGUAUUUUCUCAUAGCUUUUUGAGCAGCAAGUUUUCAAAUCUCUUUUUUGCCAAAUAAGUUUAAACUUUUGUUUUCUCCUUUUGAAUAUAUUUCUCUUUUUUGAAAACCUUUUUAAAGACAUUUUGUAAAAAUCUAUCUCUAUUUGAAAAGUGGCGUGAUACUUUUGUUUUUUCAUUUCUUGAUAUUAACUUCUUGAUUUUAUGUUUUCUGUUAAAGAGUAACUAGAUUUAAAAGUUUCUCCUCAAAGUCGUUUCCAAAUUUUUUAAAUUAUGACAAUUUUCUUACUUACUCUGUUUUGUACGAGACCUUUUUUUUUUCAAACAACUUUUGGAGUUUAAAAUUGCAUUUAAAGAAGGUCAUGCAAAUUAUUUUGGAUUCUUUCACAAGUUUUUCCAAUGUAUUUCCCACAACCUUAUGAGCGGCAAGUUUUCAAUUUUGCCAAAUAAGUUUAAACUUUUGUUUUCUCCUUUUGGAUAUAUUUCUCUUUUUUGAAAACUUUUUGAAAGACAUUUUGUGAAAAUCUAUCUCUAUUUGACAGAGGUGUGAUACUUUUGUUUUGUCAUUUCUAUAUACUACUUGAUUUUAAUUUUUCUAUCAAAGAGUAAUUGGAUUUAAAAGUUUCUCCUGAAAGUUGUUACCAAAUGUUGAGAAUUAUGACAAUUUUCUUCCUUACUCUGUUUUCUAUGACACACUUUUUCAAACAUCUUUGGCAGUUUAAAUUUGCUUUGAAUGAAGGAUGUGCAAAUUAUUUUGGAUUCUUUCACAAGUUUCUUCAAUCUAUUUCCUCAUAACUUUCUAAGCAGCAAGUUUUCAAGUAUCUAUUUUUUGCCAAGUAAGUUUAAACUUUUGUUUUCUGCUUUGAAUAUAUCUGUCUUGUUUGACAGUUCUUUAUUAUGACAUUUCAUAAAAUUGUUCUCUGUUUGAAACAGUUGUGCUACUUUUUAGUUUGUCCUUUCUGAAUAUUAACUCUUUGAGUUUAAGUUUUCUGUUAAAGAAUAUGACUGGAUUUAAAGUUUCUCCUCAAAGUUGUUUCCAAAUGUUGCCAAUUAUGACAAUUUUCUUCCUUACUCUGUUUUGUACGAGACCUACUUUUUUCAAACAAACUUUGGGAGUUUGAAUUUGCUUUUAAAGAACAUCUUGCAAAGUAUUUUAGAUUCUUUCACAGGUUUUUCCAAUGUAUUUCCUCAUACCUUUAUAUGUGAGAAGUUUUCAAAUCCCUCUUUUUUGCUCAAUAAGUUUAAACUUUUGUUUUCUCUUUUGAAUAUUUCUCUCUUUUUUUUUAAUAGUUCUUCAUUAUAGACAUUUCGUGAAAAUGUUCUCUGUUUAAAUGAGCUGUGAUACUUUUGUUUUGUCCUUACUGAAUAUAACUUCUUGGGUUUAUUUUCACCAAAAAAAAAAAAAAAAAAAAUUCUUGGGUUUAAGUUUUCUGUUAAAGAGUAUAACUGGGUUUAAAGUUUCUCCUCAAAGUUGUUCCCAAAUGUUGCAAAUUAUGACAAUUUUCGUCCUUACUCUGUUUUGUACAAGACCUACUUUUUUCAAACCAUUUUGGGAGUAUAAUUUUGCUUAUAAAGAACGUCAUACAAAUUAUUUUAGAUUCUUUCGCAAGUUUUUCCAAUGUAUAUUCUCAUCGCUUUAUGAGCAGCAAGUUUUCGAAUAUAUCUAUUUUGCCAAAUAAGUUUAAACUUUUGUUUUCUCCUUUUGAAUAUCUUUCUUUUUUUACAGUUAUUUAUUAUAGACAUUUCAUGAAAAUGUUCUCUGUUUAAAUGAGCUGUGAUACUUUUGUUUUGUCCUUUUUGAAUAUUAACUUCAUGGGUUCAAGUUUUCUGUUAAAGAGUAUAACCGGAUUUAAAGUUUCUCCUCAAGGUUGUUUCCAAAUGUUGCAAAUUAUGACAAUUUUCUUCCUUCCUUUGUUUUGUACAAGACCUACUUUUUUCAAACAACUUGGGGAGUUUUAAUUUGCUUUGAAAGAAUGUUGUGCAAACUGUUUUAGAUUCUUUCACAUGUUUUUUUCAAGGUGCUUCCUCAUAGUUUUAUGUGCAGCAAGUCUUCAAAUAUCUCUUUUUUGCAAAAUAAGUUUAAAGUUUUGUUUUCUCAUUUUGAAUAUAUAUCUCACUUUUUUGACAAUGCUUUUUUAAAUUCAUUUCGUGAAAAUUUUCUCUGUUUAAAGGAGGUGUGAUACUUUUGUUUUGUCCUUUCUAAAUAUUAACUUCUUGAGUUUAAGUUUUUUGUUAAAGAGAGUAUUACUGGAUUUAAUGUUUCUCCUAAAAGUUGUUUCCAAAUGUUGCAGAUUAUGACAAUUUUCUUCCGUUUUGUAAAGCAAGUUUUCAAAUAUUACUUUUUUGCCAAAUAAGUUGAACUUUAUUUUUCUCCUUUUGAAAUAUCCUUUUACUUGUCUGAAGUCUGACGUUUCAUCAAAAUCUCACUCUAUUUUAAAGAAUUGUGAGACUCUUGUUUUGUGUCAAAGCAGUUAACCUUCUUAAUUUUUAGUUUUCUUUUAAAUUGUAACUAGAUUCGUCUUUUUAUACCAUUUUUCUUUCAAAGAAUGUCACACAGGAAUCUCUUUAUUAAUAGCUAUAUGAACAGCGAGUUUUCAAAUAUCUCUUUUUUUGCCAAAUUAGUUCAAUUUUGUUUUCUCCUUUUGAAUAUAUCUUUGUUUCUUUUGGGAAGUUUUGACAUUCUGUAAAAAUCUCUCUCUCUCCUUGUGGGAGAGAAUGCAACGGGGUUUAAAUUUUUCUUUCAAAAUGUUCGUACAUGGUGGAAAUGAUUGUAAUUUUCUUCCUUACUCCGUUUUGUUUGAGACCUACCAUUUUCAAUCAACAUUGGAUUGGGAGUUUACAUUUGCUUUUAAAGAAAGUCACGCAAAUUAUUUUAGAUUCUACGUACAAGUUUUACCAAGUUAUUUCUUUAUAGAUUUAUGAUCAGAAGGUUUGCAAGUAUCUCUUUUUUCCCAAAACUUAUAACUUUUGUUUUCUCUUUUUGUGUACCCCUCUAUUUCGAAAGUUCUUAUCUCUCUCUUUUUUAAAUAAUUUUGAGACUUUUCUGUUGUUCUUUCUAAAUAUUAACUUCUUGAUUCGAAGUUUUCUAUCAUAGAGCAAUCGGAUUUGAAGUUUUCUUCCAUAAUUGUUUGUAAAUGGUGGAAAUGAUGGCAUUUUUAUUCCUUACUCUGUUUUGUACGACACUUACUAUUUUCAAGACAUGUGAAUUAAUUUAGAUGUUGUCACAAGUUUCUCCAAUUGAUUUCUCAAUAGCUUGAUGAGAAUUAAUUUUCUUUUAAAGAAUGUCAUGUGAAUUAUUUGCAAAUCUCUCUUUUUUGCCAAAAGAACGUACACUACUGUUUUGUCCUUUUUUGUAUUUUUAAAAGUUGUGCUAAAACAGAUUUCAUAAUAUAUCUCUCUGUUUUAAAGAAUUGUGAGUCUUUUAUUUUGUUUUUUCAAAAUAUUAACUUCUUGAUUUUAGGUAUCCUGUCUUUAAGUAACUGGAUUCAAAAUAUUUUUCUAAAGUUGUUUCAAAUAUUUUGUUAAAUAGAUUAUUCUAUUUUAAAAAUUACAAUAGCUUUGUCUUGUCCUUUCUAAAUAUUAACUUCUUGAAUUAAGUUUCUUGCCUUUGAGUGACUGGAUUCAACGAUUUCAUUAAAAGUAGUUUCCAAAUCUUGCAAAUUAUGGCAAUUUUCCUCCAAACAAGACCUAUUGUUUUCAAACAACAUUGGGAGUUUAAAUUUGCUCCUAAAGAACAUCAUGCAAAUUAUUUUAGAUUCCAUCACAAGCUUUCUUACUUAUUCUGAAUUACUUUAUGAAGCUUGCUAGUAUCUCUUUUAUGCUCCAAAAAACUUGAACUUUUUGUUUUAUCCUUUAUCCUUUAUCUCUCUGUUUUAAAUAGAUUUCUUAAUAUCUCUAUGUAAUCAAGAAUUGUGACCAUAUGAUUUCGUCCUUUCUAAAUAUUGACUUAUUGAAUUUUCUGUUUUUGAGAAACUAGAUCUAAAGUUUUCUUUGAAAUUCAUUUCCAAAUGUUGCAAAUUUGGGCAAAUUUAUGCAAAUUUGUGCAAGGCCUACUAUGUUUCCAAAUUAUAUUAGAUUCUGUCACAAGAUAUUCCAACCUCUUUCUCAAUAGCUUAAUGAGCAGAAGGUUUGCAUGUAUCUCCUUUUUUUCAAAAAAUAUCUUUGUUAAAGAGAUUUCCUAAUAUUUCUCUCAGUUUUAAGUAAUUCUGAUACUUUUGUUUUCUCCUUUCUUAAUAUUAAAGUUUUCUGUCAAAGAGCAAUCAGAUUUAAGGUUAUCUAAUAAAGUCGUUACCAUAUAUUGCGAAUCAUGGCGAUGUUCUUCCUUACUCUGAUUUGUACAAGACAUACUAUUUUUAAAGCAACAUUAAGUGUUUAAAUUUGCUUAUAAAGAACAUCUAGCAAAUUAUUUUAUUAUCUAUUACAAGUUUUUCGAAUUCAUUUCUCCAUAGCUUUAUGAGCAAAAGGUUUGCUAGUAUUUCAUUUUCUUCAAAAAACUUAAGACUUUUGUUCUCUCCUUUUGUAUUCUUAUCUCUUUAAUUUAAAAGGUUCUUUGUUAAAGAGAUACCCUAAUAUGUCUUCUGUCUUAAAGAAUGUGAGAACUUUAUUUUUUCUUUUUCUACAUAUUAAGUCCUUGAUUUUAUGCUUUCUGUUUUCAAGUAACAGGAUUCGAAGUUCUUUUUUUUCCAAAGUUGUUUUCAAAUAUUGAAAAUCUUGGCAUUUUUCUUCCUUACUUUGAUUUGUAUAAGAUCUACUAUUUUUCAUACAACAUUGCUAAUUUAAACUUUUAUUUUAAAGAGAUUUCCUAAUAUCUCUCUCAGCUUUAAAAAAUUGUGGGACUUUGUUUUUGUCUCUUUUUAAGUAUUAAGUUCUUGAUAUUAAGUAUUCUGUCAUUGAGUGACCAGAUUUAAAGCUUUCUUUCAAAGUAGUGUACAAAUGUUGCCAAUUUUGGCAAUUUUUUCCUUACUCUGUUUUUGUACAAGACCAACUAUUUCCAAACGUGAUUGAGAGUUUAAAUUUCCUUUAAAAUUUCCAAUCUAUUUUUCAAUAGGUUUUUGAGCAGAAAGUUUGGUAGAAUUUAUUUGUUAAAGAGAUUUCCUAAUAUCUCUCUCUGUUUUAAAGAGCUGAGAAUUUCUUUGUUAAAGAGGUUUUUGAGCAGAAAGUUUUCUGUCUCCAAGUAAUGGAUUUCAAUUUUUUUUCCAAAUGUUGAAAAUCUUGGCAUUUUUCUUCUUACUCCGUUUUGUACGAGACCUACUAUUUUUCCAAAAAAAAAAAAAUUGGGAUUUUAAAUUUGCCUUUAAAGAACUUCAUUCAAAUUAUUAUGGAUACUAUCACACGUGUUUUCAAUCUAUUUUGCAAUGGGUUUAUGAGAAGAAGGAUUGCUAGAAUCUAAUGUUUUGCCAAAAAUCAGACUUUUGUUUUCUCCUUUUUGUGUACUUAUAUCUCUCUGUUUUAAAAGUUCUUUGUUAAACAGAUUCCCCCAUUAUCUCUUCCUGUUUUAAAGAAUUCUGAGACUUUUGUGUUGUCAUUUCUAAAUAUUAGCUUCUUAAUUUUAAGUUUUCUAUUAAAAAGUAAUUGGGCUUAAAGUUUUCUUCCAAAUUUUUUUGUAAAUUGUGGAAAUGAAGGUUAUUUUCUUCUUUACUCUGUUUUGUCCAAGAUCUGCUAUUUUCAAUCGACAUUGGGAUUUCAAUUUGCUUAUAAAGAAGCCAUGCAAAUCAUCUUAGAUUCCACAAAUUUUUCCAGUCUAUUUUGUAAUAGCCUUGUGAGCAGAAGGUUUGCAAGUAUCUUUUUUUCCCGCAUAUCUUAAAACUUCUGUUUUCUCCUUCUAUCCACUUAUUUCUCUGUUUGAAAAGUUCUUUGUUAAACAGAAUUCUUUUUUAAAGAAUUCUGAGACUUGUUGUGCUUUCUAAAUACUAACUAUUGAUUUUAAGUUUUCUAUCACGUAGCAACCAGAUUGAAAGUUUUCUGUCAUAACCAUUUGUAAAUGGUGGAGAAAUGAUGGCAUUUUUCUUCCUUACUCUGUUUUGUAUGAGAUUUACUUUUUUAAAAAAUCAUUGGGAGUUUAAAUUUGCUUUUAAAGAAUGUCAUGGAUAUGACCCACAAAUAAAAAGAAAAUAAAAAGAAUGUCAUGUAAGUUAAUUUAGACUCUAUCACAAGAUUUUCCAACCAAUUUCUCAAUAGCUCAUGAGUAGUAGGUAUGCAAAUCUCUGUUUUUUGCCAAAAGAACGUACACUAUUUUUUUGUUGUUUUGUAUUUUUAAAAUUUCUUUGUUAAAUAGAUUUUCUAAUAGAUAUCUCUGUUGUGAGACUUUUAUUUUGUUUUUUCAAAAUAUAUAUUUCUUGAUUGUAAGCAUCCUGUCUUCUAGUAACUGUAUUCUAUUUUUUUUUCAAAAGUCGUUCCGAAGGUUUUUUCAAAAUAUAUCCCUCUUUUUUAUAAAUUGCAAGACUUUUGUUUUUACCUUUCUAAAUAUUAACUUCGACUUUAAGCUUCCUGCCUUUGAAUGACUGGAUUCAACGUUUUCAUUAGAGUAGCUUCCAUAUAUUGCAAAUUAUGGCAAGCUUCCUCCAAACUCUGUUAUGUACAAGGCCUACUAUAUUCAAACAACAUUGGGAGUUUAAACUUGCUUCUAAAGGACGUCAUCCAAAUUAUUUUAGAUUCCAUCACAAGUUUAUCCAACUAUCUCUCAAUAGCUUUGUGAGCAGUGUGUUUGCAAAUAUCUCCUUUGUGCCACUUUUGUUUUCUCAUUUUGUUUACUUAUCUCUAUUUUAAAAGUUCUCUGUUAAAGAGAUUUCCUUUUCUUUUCUCCAUUCUAAAGAAUUUUGAGAUUUAUGUUUUUUCCCUUAUAAAUAUCUACUUCUUGAUUGCGAGUUUUCUGGAAUUCAAAGUUGUUACAUAUGUUGCAUAUAAUGACAAUUUUCUUCCUUACUCUAUUUUGUACAAGACCUACUAUUUUCAGACAUUGUGAGUUUAAAUUUGCUUUCAAAGAAUGUCAUGCAUAUUAUUUUAGAUUCUAUUACAAGUGUUUCAAUUUAUUUAUCAUUAGAUUUAUGACAGGAAGUUUUCAAAUAUCUUUUUUCUGCAAAAUAAGUUGAACUUUGGUUCUCUCCAUAUCUAUAUUUGUUUGUUUUUUAACAGUUCUUUGUUAGAGAGAUUUUGGAACAUGUCUGUCUGUUUUUAAGAAUUGUGAGACUUCUUAAUUUUCAGUUUUGGUAACUGGAUUGCAAUUUUCUAUAUAUUACCAAGACCUGUUAUUUUGAAACAAAAUUUGGAGUAUAAAUUUGCCUUUAAAGAACAUAAUGCGCAUUAUGGUAGAUUUUAUCAAGUGUUAGUCAAAUCUAUUUCUCAGUUGCUUUAUUAACUGCAAGUUUUUAGAUAUCUCAAUAGCAAUGGUAGUUAACAUAAGUAAGAUGAUCUACUUGAGUGUUGAGAGAGCAUUGUCAACAGGCAUUUGACAAUUUCACAUUUCUCUCACUCAUUAUUUUAUAGAUGAUCAAGUGGUUUUUUGGGCUAACUAAAGGAGGGGAAUGUCUAGGCUGCUAAAUUUCGACUUAUCUUGGCUUUCUUGGGUUAGCAAGAUUUAUGGACAAAGUAAUAAUAGGGUCUAGUGAUGCGUGGAAGGAUUCAUAUGUCCAUUGAUGGUGUUUAGAUUGGAGAGCUACAAAUGAGGUGUCCAUAUGGUGAUCUGGAAAAUGGUUUUUGAUGGCUGACUGGUAAGAUUGAUCAUAGAGAGAUCACUGAAAUUAGAGUAUGACACAACUGGCGGGGGGUGAAGGAUGAUUGACAAGGAUGGGUUAUGAUUGAUAUCAGGUGGAAAUUUGUUGACUAACUAUUAUACCAUUAGAAAGCCCUAGUAUGCUCUGGAGGUCUCAGUGUGGUGACCUGGAAAAUGGUUUUCUAUGGCUGACUAAUAAGUUGAUUAUAGAGAGAUCACUGAAAAUAGAGUAUGAUGUGGUGGGCGAAGGAUUGUGGACAAGGAUGGGUUUUGAUCGAAAUAUGCUUCUGACCAUCUAUUAUAGCAUUAGAAAGCCCUUGUAUGGUUUCUACUUCUGCUAUUUGUACAUUGUGAAUUGGCAUAUUCUACUCAUUUGUUUAUCCCCUUAUUAUUGGUUUUCCUGCUUGACCUUGCUCUGUCUUAAGGAAGAAAACAGUGGAUCUAUAUAAUUUCAGAUCAAAUUAGGUAUUUCAAGAAAGAAAUUCUUUGAAAUUUUUCUUCGUUACUAGGUUUUCUUGUGAUCACUACUCCAGUCAUAUUCCUUUUCUUGUUUGCUAGGUCUUUGUAUGGAAUACUAGAUUCAGCAGCUAUAUUGAUCUUGUUAGUUGAUUGCAGGAUGAUUUGUAUAAUUUUCUAGUUUUGGGCGAUUAUUGGUUGGAGGUUGAUGUGGAAACAAUUUGUGUAAUUUUGAGGAAGUAUCAUUUGAGGUGAGUAGUUUUUAUAAUAUUAGAAUAUUUAGCUAUGGAAUGGUCUCUAUAAUUUUGGCAUGCCUAUUGAUAGAAACUCCACUUUAGGGUCGAGAAAAGCUGCGUGAUAAGGUAAUGAUGGUCUUCACUGGGAUUGAGUAUGAAGUUUGGAAUAAGAAAAGUGACAGGAUGUAGGACUAAAGCGGUUUUAAGAGCUUUCUGUAAUGUUAAAUUAGUGGAUAUUUGAUAAUACUUUGGUUCUGUUCAAAUUUUUAUACUUAUGGUGGCGAGAAACCUAGAAGGAUAAAUGAAAUGAUUCAGAUGGUUUUGCUUGAUUAUUGAGGAUGAUGAGCGGCAACUUUGAGAAUGAAUAUUCAUUUAAGAGGCUAAGUUAAAUAAAAACAAAUAUAGAACUAGACAGCUUCCAGAGCAAGUGAUUUUGAUCAUUUUUUUUGGAGGUAUGUUGAUUGUAGAAAUGAUUAUUAUCAUUUUGGGUGAGUGUUUCAAAUUGAUGUUUGACGUAUUUCAGCAGUGAAAUUUGCUUUUGACUCGCAAGAGAUAGUUUACUGAACCGAAGUUUGUCAAUUUAUGAAAUGAGCCACCCAAAUGCCAAAUGAAAAUUGCAUAUCUUUUAAUUGACAUCAGGAGAGCUUUUUCCUGUCACGACUAAUGUGUUCUUUGUUAAUGUUGCAGCAAGGACAAAACUUUUUCUGACUUUUUUUUUUAACAAGAAAAUGUCAGACAAAUACAUUUAAGUUAUUUUUGGACGACACCAUAUGUUAAAUUAUGUGGUUUUUGGAUUUUUAACUCAAUAGUCCUCUGUCAUUUCCACUUUGAUUGGUUAGCUACUUUUCUCUCAACAUGAUUUCACCCUUGUCCCACUGUAUACAAGAUGGAUAUCUCAUUAUUUUUCCCAAAUCUCAUAAUAUCUUGUUCUUUAACAGUAAUUGUGUUUUGUUCAGGUGAUUAUGGAUAAAGCAUCCUGUCGUAGAAAUUGGUCUUCAGCUGGGCAGGUUUUAUGUGUGUGAGAGAGAGAGAGAAAGAGGGCAUAAGUUCUCGCUCCCUUUGAGCAAACUAAUUUUAAUUAUAGUCAGCUUAUAGUUUUGACAAUAUAUUUCAUAUCAAUAUGCAACUGAUAUAGUUAACUAAUCUACCUUAAGUGGAUAUUUGUGCAUUAAGUUAGACACUAGAUUUUGACAAAUUUUUGUUUGACCAAUUUAAUUGUAGAUUAUCCAUUUAUUCAUCCGGUACUUAUUUUUAUUCAUUGCAUACAUGGUUAUAGUUAUUUAGUGAUAAUGCACGACUUACAUCUUAAAUGAAUAUAGAUCAUGUUUGGGAAAGGUAGUUAAAUACUCAUGGUUUAAAUUAAGUUGAUUAUUACUGAAGUGAGCAAAUGAUGAGGAAAUUUUACAUGGUGAUUUGCACUUGUAAUGACUUUUAUGGCAGUGAAGUACCUGGAUUUUUUGACAUGUUUGUGAAUUUUUGUUAUGAUAUGUGCUGAUAAAAGAUGAAAUGGUUGACAUGUUAGAUUAGGAUUGGGCUAUAAGUACUUGAACUACGUAGAAUAUGUCCCCCAAGGAAUUGACUUUUUCUAUUAUAUAUGCAUGCAAAUAAUUGUGAAAUAAGGUAAAAAUAUAUUAUGGCAAUACCUCAAAAUGUUAUGUAAUUACUCGUUGAAUGUUACUAUGCUAUUUUGCUCUUGGUAAGAUUAUCUCAUACCUUAAACAUAGAGAUUGCAUUUAUUGCGCUUAGGAUCCACUCAAAAUACAUUAUAGAUUAGUCAAGUUUUUGGACUUUAGAUUUGUGCUUUUGAAUCUCUUUUAAGGAUUGGAUCACAGUACGCAACAAGAGUAGAGGUUUAUAUUUUAUGCGGGGAGUAUUGAUUAUUUAUAUUUUGUACAUCAUUUGAGGCUAAAUUAUUUUUCAUUUGAGGUUCAAAUUUUAUGGGAAUUUCAAGUGGUGACAAUUUUUGGUAUUAGAGCGAGGUUAAUGGGGUGAUAAAAUAGGAUUAGAUAGAUUGUGGAUAUAGACUUUGAGUUUCAUGAUUAAUUUGGUGGAUAGGAAUUGUUGAAAUAAUAAGUUCUGAAGGAACGAUUAAUAGGUUACUUGAUAAGUUAUGAUCUUUGGAAAUUUAGUAUAUAUCUGAUGGAGCCAUGAAUCCUAGUAUUGGUUUCCGAAAAAAAUUAGGAUAUGUAGAUACAAUUGGAAUAAAAUAAAGAAAUUCAAUUGCACGUUUACAUCAUAGUUAGAGUGGAUUUUAGAAGUGUUAAGUUUUAAUUUGAACCUCAGGCAUUGAGUGAUUAUCUUUUCGGUGUUUGGAUAUUUUCGCGAAGUCGCAAGUUAUUGUUUUUGUCAUAAGUAUUCAAUAUGAAAUGGUUGAGAUUUAGUUAUUGGUGAAAUUAGGCAAAUUUAGAUCACAAAGUUUAAGGUAUUAAUUUAUAAUAAUAGUGGAUGAUCCUUUAGUGAUAAGUCACGAUCAAUUUUAUGGCAAUUUAUGAUCUUUAGAUGUAAGUCGUGAUUUUGAGGAUUACAUCGUAGUCAGAAGAGAUUAAAAGGAGAAUUUAUAUUGGAAGUCGUGAUAGGUUACAUGGUGAUAUUUGGUGUAAUAAGAAUUGAUCAUAGAAGAAGUAAGCUUAAAUUGUUGCAUAAGAAAAUAAAUUUCCUUCGGUGUAACAUGUGAUCUUGGUAACUAUAGGUCGUGAUAUUUUGAGUAGUAUAUUAUGAUCUUACAUUGAAGAGUUUUGCGGAACUUGUAGGCAAGAUCUUCAUAACUGUAGGCUGCAAUCUUCAUAGUUGUAGGUUGUGAUCUUUUGAGUAGUAUAUUAUGAUCUUACGUUAAAGAGUUUUGUGGAACUAAGUAGGUAAGAUCAAUUUGAACUGAGGUUUCAUAUGUAAGUCAAGUUGAUUGAAUUUUAUUGAAAAGUAGAUGAGUUAUAAUUUUAGUGAUUUAGGAAGUUACAGGCAUUCAAUCUUAAGUGAUGACUUUUUGAGUGGUGACAUUUUAUGAGGAUUUGUGGUUUAAUUUAAUGUUCUGGUUAUCUUUGAUCCUACAAAGGAAUAUAGUAUAUUGCCUUGGGAGAAAAUUGAGAUAAAAAUUGAGGAAGUAGAUCUUAUCUUAGUGUUAUGAUUAAGAAUACCGUAGUCGUAUUCAAAUAUAGUGAUGUUAGGAAUGUUUAGGGUGUGGUGUAUUAAAAGUUAAUAAUCCCGUUUUGCUUGGAAGGAGUAAUUUUGAAAUAUUGCUAUCAAUGAGCUCUACUUGAAGAGUUAUUAAGAACAUUAAAAGUAUUUGGAGGUUUUUAUACAAUACACGAGUUGAUUUAGACAAAAUCUUAACGUGGAUGUUGUGAUAUACUAAGGCUGUCUUAAUUUCAAAGAGUCGUUAACUGUCGAUGGUAGUAUAAAUGCUUGGUUCGUAUUUUGUAGUACGGACCGCCAAUCAAUCAAUGAACACUAAUUGUUCAAUUUUCGUAGUAUCUUUACACUCUAGCGUCUUUUUACAUGGCUGGUCAUGAUUGCCUCUGGUAUUCGUACUUUUAAUUUUCUCAUUCGUGUUCUUAUCUAAUAGUUAGCAAAGGACUAUAAUAUCUUUUGUCGAUUGGUUUAGCGAUCUAUCUUUUGAAAGAUGCAUUGUCGGCCCUUUCCGACAAUACAUUUACAAAUCCAAUGAAUGAUACAAAAUGGUUCCAUUUCCAUAUAUUGAACCUCAAACCAAAGUGCACCCAAAAAAAUUAACUUUCAAUAAAGACUUGAUUUAUCUAUCAGGAUGUUUAUCGAGAUGUCAAUAUUGCAUUGAGAAAUUGACCUUGUUCAAGCUUUGAUUUGAUUUCAUUGGGUGUCAAAUAGAUUUGUUUAACCGUCCUAGUGGUGAUCUACAGAUCUAGGCCUGGCCCACCUAAAGUUUUGCUCGAGUGCCCCUUAAGUCUCAUGUUCUAUGUCUAUGCACUGUCUACAUGUAAUUUACGUUGGCAUUUCAAUUUGUUCAAAUGUUGACUCGUCAUUAUUUGAUUAACUUUUGUUCUUUAUUCUUCUUUUUAAAUUUUCAUUGAUGAACAAUCCUACUAACUGCAUUGGGAAAAUAACUUUUAUCCACUUUCAGUUUUGUGCAUGAUUAUGCCGUUCAGUGUAGUGUCUCCUGUAAUAAUUUUAUCGCUUGACCAAUUAGAUCAGUGUCAUGUAUUCCAUCAAAUGUUUUUAUUCGUCAUGACUUUCCGAAGAUUGGCGAUAUAAACUUUAUCCAUCACUUGACGGCAUAAACAUUAAAUGAAGAGAAGGUAUUGUCUUCUAAGGUGGGUUCAACUUACAUACACCGUUAGAUCAUGAUCCCCUCACGGGUGAACUAGGCAAAAGAACCGGGUUCGGUACAUCUCUCUGAUGACUUGGCUUAAUGAUAUAUAGGAGUGUCAUGGCUUAAAAUCAUCCGCUAAUAAUGUAUGGGAAAGCGCAAAUCAGGUUAUUUAACAUGUUUUGCUGUUAAAGGACCUCGUGAGAUACUUUACUUACUAUAGACUCAACGUAAUGGAACAAGUUGAACUAAUAUCUUGUGCAUGGAGUUCUCUUACUGGCAGCUUAAUUAAUAAAUGCAGAACACUUAAAGAUAUUGGAAACAAGUUACACAUAGUUUGGCACAAGAGACUACCUUUCCUGAAUUUACUUGCUCGAAUGCAUUGUCUCCAUGGGUAUCCACCAGUGACUGAUGGCUUAAUCGUGGCCUUAAAAGAGAUUUUGGAAUGUGAACUUGAACUCACUAUGCCAUUGCCAGCAGAACCCUAAUGUCGGUUUAGAUAGCGCAGCCAAAACAAGAACGUGGGAAUGUUGUCCAAUAAAUGCUAGCUGUUACAAAGGGAAUUUGAUUUGGUGUAGGCGUUUUGUCAAACACGUCAAAGGUGGUAGCCCCAGACAUUAAUGUUUCUCCUUAAUGUAUUCGAACUAAAUCUCAAUAAGUGGUUGCAUGGAUGCAAAACUAAUAUGAUAAAUUAUAAAUCUUUUACCCCAUCUUUAGUCUCUUUGUAGAUUCUGAAGCCCACCACCAAUUCUCUAGCAACGUAAGGCCUAGGUUUGCUCUUAGGACGCACAAUUCUAGCUCAAGCAUUCAAGGCCAGAUUCUUAUGCACGACUUCGAUUCAGGAGUGAAGGAAAAUGAUUGUCGGCCCACUUUUCCAGCCCAUUCAUGGGUGGAGGCUAUAGACAAAACUCAAAAACUCAAAAUCAGAAGGAAAAAGUUUGUACCAUAAUAGAGCACAGGCAUGGCACGCUAAUAUAAAACUAAGCCAACCUAAUAGAGCACAAGAAUGUUUGAAUGAAUGAUUCGACCUGUAUCGUCGUCAAAUAUAGGAUUUUGGAACUACUAUUGCUUUGGUUUAAGGUUUUUAAUUUUAGGACGUGGCCUAACAGACUGGCCGCCCGUGUGGGCACAUCUGAUUUGUUCCAACUAGCCAUGUAGUAUCGUGCCAUGCCGGCCAAGCCAUUAUGAUCCUAAUCCAGAGUAUGGGCCCAUAUUGUUGUAGUGCUGAAUGAAAUCUUAUUAAAUUAUGAUAAGCAUGUGUGUUGGAAAAAAAAUGUAAAAAAUUCCAUAGCAAGGCCUAUCUUUUAAUACACUAUUUGCCCAAAUCAAAUGAGUAAGAAGAUUAAAAUGAAUGAGUCCUCAACUUUAGGUGUAGUCCCAAUUUCAUCUCAAUUUUUUUUUCUCAUAAAAACUUUUAGAUUAGUCCCAUGGAUUAUUAAAUUAUGAUAAGCUUUGGUUUGAUCUCCUUUGAUGUCAAAUGGAUUUGUCCGAUCGCCUAGUGGUGAGCUCGGUCUGCCCCGUCCAUAGUCUUGCCCGAGUGCCCCUCAAGUCUCACGUUAAAUGGCUAUACACUGUCCCUAAUGAAAUCAAUAUAGGCAUCUCCAUUUGUUGAAUGUAGACUAUUUGUUGUUUGGCCAACUUUUAUUCUUUAUUCGUCUUUUUAAAGUUCUCACUUAUGAUCAAUCUACUUACUGUCGUCGACAAUAGAAUCUUUUAUUUGCUAUUUUACUUUGGUGCGUGAUUUUGCCGCUCGGUAAACUGUUUUGUAUGAUAAUUGUAUUGCUUGAACAAUUAGCAUCAUGUCAUGUAUUGAACCAAAUUUUUAUUUAUUUAUUGUGAUUUUACAAACAUUCGUUAUACAAAUUGUAUCUAUCACAUGAUGAUAUAAAGAUUACAUGAAGAGUAGGUACCGCCUAUGCUCUUUAUUGGUGAACCCAACUCACAUGCAAUGUUAGAUCAUAUGGAUUGUAUGUUAAGGUCCACCUCACAUGGGAGCUAGGCAUACACCGGUUUAGUACUUCUCUCUAGUGAGUCAGACCAAUCAUAUAUAGGAGUGUUAUGGCCUGAAAUCCUUAGCUAUCCUUGCAUACGCUACAAAGCACAUAGACUUCAUCUCUCGCGCUUGCUUGAAUUCACAAUGGUAUUCAUUGUGCUAUUUUACUUGUUUGCAUUAUUAUGCCGCUCAGUAAAGUGUUUUAUGUAAUAAUCAUACCGCACGAUUAACUAGUAUCAAUGCCAUGUAUUCCAUCAAAUAUUUUUAUCUAAUAUGACUUUCCAAAUAUUCGUGAUAUAAAUUGUAGCUAUCACGUGACGACAUAAACUGAAUUGCAUGAAGAGUAAGUAUUGCCUAGUCUCUCUAUAGGUGGAUCCAUUUAACAUGUACCAUUAUAUCAUAUGGAUCAUACGUAAGGUCCACCUCACAUGUGAGCUAGGCAUGCACUUCUUCUCUAGUGACUUGGACCAAUCGUACAUAGAAGUGUUAUGGCUUGAAAUCCUCGGCUAACAAAGUAUUGGAAAGCACGCGUCAGCCAUCUUUGCAUAUGCUGCAAAGCACACAAACGUCCUUGCUUGGGUUGACAAUGGUACUCAUUUAGCGUUUUCGUCGCUAAGCAAGCCACUUUGCAUCUGUUACAUGUUUGUCCGUUAAAGGACCUCAUGAGAUAAUUUAUGUACUAUACACUCAACAGCAUUACGUGACGGAAGAACAACAGGCCAUCGAACUAAUUUAUUGUGCAUAGAGUUCUCUUACAGUCAGCAAACUAUUGAUUCGUAAGUGCAGAACAGUGUUUGCGUACCUGAACACCCCUUAACACCCCUUCUCGAUGGGUGUCCAUCCACUAUUGACUGAUGGUUUAAUUCUGGCUAUCAAAGAGGUUUUGGAAUGGGAACGUGAAUUCACCAUGCCAUUGCCAGCAAUCCCCAAAUUAGUCUAGAUAGCGUAACCAAAACUAGGACUCGUGACAAGAACUUGAAAAGGUUGUCCAAUGAAUGCUAGCAAUUAGGAAGAGUAUUUGAUUUGGUGCAGGCGUUUUGUCAAACGAAAAACGGUUUGACAGCCCCAACCAUUCAUGGAGUCUCCUUCAUGUAUCUGAACAAAAUCUCAAUAUAUGGUUGCAUGCAUGCAAACUAACAUUAUAAAUGAAUAAAUCUUUUUCCCCAUCUCUAGGCUCCAUGUAUAUUCUGAAGCCCACGACACAUUUUCUAGCAAUGUAAGACCAAGGGUUUCGGGCAAGAUUAGUCCUAGGACGCGCAGUUUAGCUCAAGCAUUCAAGGCCAGAUUCUUACACAGUAGAUGGAGUCAGGGAAUAUGAUUGUCGGCCCUCUUGGCCCGCUCAUUCGUGGGUUGAUAACUACUUAUUCAUUAGCUGCAUUCCUUUUCCUUCCGUGGAUCAUAGACGUAAUUAACAGUAUUAAACUCAUAAUCAGAAGGAAAAAUAUUAUUUUUAGGGUAUAUUUAUUUCCGGAAAGUUAUAUAGAACUAGAAAACGAGUGUUACUUAUAUUACUUAUAUUAAUAAAUGGGACUUGGAAGAAACUUUGUUUAUCGAAAUAAUGGUCCUUUUUAGGAAUGGUAUGAGUUGUGAUGUAAUAUUUUUAGAGAAAUUUAAAGUUGAAUAUGAGAUAGCUAGUACGAGUACCUAGAGGGGGGUGAAUAGGUAUACACAAAAAAUUUCUCGAUGUUUGCACGAUACUUAAACAAUUAGAGACUUUGCAACAGUUGAAAAUUCAAUCGCAAGACUGAGUAAGGGAAAGAGAGAAUUGAACACUCAGUUUAUAGUGGUUCGGCUUGAUUCAAGCCUACGUCCACUCUUCUGCACUGACAGCCGAUUGGCUGGAUUCCACUAUGAUCAAAGAGUUGUUACAGUGUUGAUCUUCCUUGAUUUCUAGGUGUAGAUGAUCUACCACACUUGCUCAAGGCGUCACCAAGUAUAAACACUCUCAGUAUACAAUUUCGCUCAGUCUCAACUAACAAUCAAAGGAUCUUCAGACUCUGGAAUUUUUCUAUCGAUCACACACUUAAAACAACUAGAACGUCUUCCUUUUAUACUCCUUCAUGCCAUCAUAGCCGUUGGCACUUACCAAAGGAAUUCCUCCAAUCUACCCGUUGGACGGAAUCAAUCAAGAAGAUCAUCCGAGCUAUAUAAGGAAUCUGAUGAUAGCCCAUCAAUCCUGUUCGCCCAUACAAUCAGGAUCUCGGUUUCCAAGAAUAGAAUAAUCCAAGAUUAUUUCGUCGACCAUCGGAUCUUCAAUCGUUCUUAGAUAAGAUAUAAAGAAUCCGAAAUGAUUAUCCAACCAAAGAAUCUAUCCCAGAGGAUAGGAUCAAAUCCUCAAUCCUCAAUCAUAAACCUCGACUUUGGAUUUCCUUCAACACUGGAUUAGAAAGACUGUCAGUGAGAAUAACUUUGAGUCUUGAGUCUUGAGUCUUGAGUAACAGAGUCUUGAGACUAUAAAGUCUUGAGACUUUAACUAUCGAUAUCCAGACUUAGACUGAUAGAAAUGUUUUGUCAGCUUCAAAAUAUUCUGGAAAGAUUUCUCCAACAAUCUCCCCCUUUUUGAUGGUGACAAAACUUUCUUGAAGAUUUGAACAACUUUGACCUGCAAAAACAUUUCUCAAGCAAUAUGGCUAACUCAUGGCUAACUCAUAAAGAUUAAUAAACAACCAGACUCUGCAUCCACAGCAAAUUGGUUAGUCUUUCAUGAGUAAUACUUGAUAUAAAUGCAACCAGUCAAGCAUCAAAAUCCACAACCAAUUCAGUCUAACACUCAAGUUCAAGUUCUCAAGUCAUACUCAAAAAUAAACAUAACCACAAAAAGUCAAAUAAAUAAUGUUUGUUCAAAUUGGUUCUCCCCCUUUUUGUCAUCAUUAAAAAGAGGGUGAGAAAGGAGUCAUGUCUGCUUGGGAAUGCGCACGAUCUGGAAAUCCCCAAUGGACUGGACUACUCCUUCGAGCUUCUUCAGAUCUUCUCGCAGAUGAGCUACCUCUUCUCUCUUGGCAUUGGCUUGAAGUUGUAGAGAGAGGUCUUUGUAUUUUUCUUCCAGAGAGACUGAAGAUGCUUGUCCAGCAUGCUUCAAGACUUGGAUUUCACAAUCCAGAAUAUAUAUCUGGUUACGCAUUUCCAGAAGAAUAUUCAUGAUACUACGAAGAUCUACAGAAUCAUCCGUCUGUGUACUGGCAUUGGCUUUCUCAGAUGGUGUGUGUGCAGACGAUGGCGCUUCUGAACGGUCUUGCAGAUUUGGAAUCGUCGUAUCAUCUUCUUCAGGCAAUUGAGAGACCUGAGCUUCUUCUGGGUCUUCUGGAGAUUUUCUUUGAUCUUCAGCAGCAUGAGGUGGAGACCUCUCUUGCUCGCUAACUCCCCCUGUCUCUAGGACAUCGAAAGGGGAAGAGUGAUGAUCAAUCUCUUGAUUUCCCUUCUCUCCAGAUUUAUCAGCAGACUGAUCUUUUACUUCUUCUUUUUCUUCCUCAACUUCUUUCUCCUUCUCUCUCUGUUCUUCUUCUUCUCUGCUCUGCUGAAGUUCUGUCGAAUAAGACACAGAACGUCUUGUUCUUGUCAGUGCUGGAAUAGUGGGAUCUUCAUCAUCUUCAUCUUCAUCCUCAUCCUCCAGGAUAAGAAUUCUUUUCCUCUUUUUCGAAGAAGCACUAAAUGCCUUCUUUCCUUUCCUUUGAAGCAGACNNNNNNNNNNNNNNNNNNNNNNNNNNNNNNNNNNNNNNNNNNNNNNNNNNNNNNNNNNNNNNNNNNNNNNNNNNNNNNNNNNNNNNNNNNNNNNNNNNNNNNNNNNNNNNNNNNNNNNNNNNNNNNNNNNNNNNNNNNNNNNNNNNNNNNNNNNNNNNNNNNNNNNNNNNNNNNNNNNNNNNNNNNNNNNNNNNNNNNNNNNNNNNNNNNNNNNNNNNNNNNNNNNNNNNNNNNNNNNNNNNNNNNNNNNNNNNNNNNNNNNNNNNNNNNNNNNNNNNNNNNNNNNNNNNNNNNNNNNNNNNNNNNNNNNNNNNNNNNNNNNNNNNNNNNNNNNNNNNNNNNNNNNNNNNNNNNNNNNNNNNNNNNNNNNNNNNNNNNNNNNNNNNNNNNNNNNNNNNNNNNNNNNNNNNNNNNNNNNNNNNNNNNNNNNNNNNNNNNNNNNNNNNNNNNNNNNNNNNNNNNNNNNNNNNNNNNNNNNNNNNNNNNNNNNNNNNNNNNNNNNNNNNNNNNNNNNNNNNNNNNNNNNNNNNNNNNNNNNNNNNNNNNNNNNNNNNNNNNNNNNNNNNNNNNNNNNNNNNNNNNNNNNNNNNNNNNNNNNNNNNNNNNNNNNNNNNNNNNNNNNNNNNNNNNNNNNNNNNNNNNNNNNNNNNNNNNNNNNNNNNNNNNNNNNNNNNNNNNNNNNNNNNNNNNNNNNNNNNNNNNNNNNNNNNNNNNNNNNNNNNNNNNNNNNNNNNNNNNNNNNNNNNNNNNNNNNNNNNNNNNNNNNNNNNNNNNNNNNNNNNNNNNNNNNNNNNNNNNNNNNNNNNNNNNNNNNNNNNNNNNNNNNNNNNNNNNNNNNNNNNNNNNNNNNNNNNNNNNNNNNNNNNNNNNNNNNNNNNNNNNNNNNNNNNNNNNNNNNNNNNNNNNNNNNNNNNNNNNNNNNNNNNNNNNNNNNNNNNNNNNNNNNNNNNNNNNNNNNNNNNNNNNNNNNNNNNNNNNNNNNNNNNNNNNNNNNNNNNNNNNNNNNNNNNNNNNNNNNNNNNNNNNNNNNNNNNNNNNNNNNNNNNNNNNNNNNNNNNNNNNNNNNNNNNNNNNNNNNNNNNNNNNNNNNNNNNNNNNNNNNNNNNNNNNNNNNNNNNNNNNNNNNNNNNNNNNNNNNNNNNNNNNNNNNNNNNNNNNNNNNNNNNNNNNNNNNNNNNNNNNNNNNNNNNNNNNNNNNNNNNNNNNNNNNNNNNNNNNNNNNNNNNNNNNNNNNNNNNNNNNNNNNNNNNNNNNNNNNNNNNNNNNNNNNNNNNNNNNNNNNNNNNNNNNNNNNNNNNNNNNNNNNNNNNNNNNNNNNNNNNNNNNNNNNNNNNNNNNNNNNNNNNNNNNNNNNNNNNNNNNNNNNNNNNNNNNNNNNNNNNNNNNNNNNNNNNNNNNNNNNNNNNNNNNNNNNNNNNNNNNNNNNNNNNNNNNNNNNNNNNNNNNNNNNNNNNNNNNNNNNNNNNNNNNNNNNNNNNNNNNNNNNNNNNNNNNNNNNNNNNNNNNNNNNNNNNNNNNNNNNNNNNNNNNNNNNNNNNNNNNNNNNNNNNNNNNNNNNNNNNNNNNNNNNNNNNNNNNNNNNNNNNNNNNNNNNNNNNNNNNNNNNNNNNNNNNNNNNNNNNNNNNNNNNNNNNNNNNNNNNNNNNNNNNNNNNNNNNNNNNNNNNNNNNNNNNNNNNNNNNNNNNNNNNNNNNNNNNNNNNNNNNNNNNNNNNNNNNNNNNNNNNNNNNNNNNNNNNNNNNNNNNNNNNNNNNNNNNNNNNNNNNNNNNNNNNNNNNNNNNNNNNNNNNNNNNNNNNNNNNNNNNNNNNNNNNNNNNNNNNNNNNNNNNNNNNNNNNNNNNNNNNNNNNNNNNNNNNNNNNNNNNNNNNNNNNNNNNNNNNNNNNNNNNNNNNNNNNNNNNNNNNNNNNNNNNNNNNNNNNNNNNNNNNNNNNNNNNNNNNNNNNNNNNNNNNNNNNNNNNNNNNNNNNNNNNNNNNNNNNNNNNNNNNNNNNNNNNNNNNNNNNNNNNNNNNNNNNNNNNNNNNNNNNNNNNNNNNNNNNNNNNNNNNNNNNNNNNNNNNNNNNNNNNNNNNNNNNNNNNNNNNNNNNNNNNNNNNNNNNNNNNNNNNNNNNNNNNNNNNNNNNNNNNNNNNNNNNNNNNNNNNNNNNNNNNNNNNNNNNNNNNNNNNNNNNNNNNNNNNNNNNNNNNNNNNNNNNNNNNNNNNNNNNNNNNNNNNNNNNNNNNNNNNNNNNNNNNNNNNNNNNNNNNNNNNNNNNNNNNNNNNNNNNNNNNNNNNNNNNNNNNNNNNNNNNNNNNNNNNNNNNNNNNNNNNNNNNNNNNNNNNNNNNNNNNNNNNNNNNNNNNNNNNNNNNNNNNNNNNNNNNNNNNNNNNNNNNNNNNNNNNNNNNNNNNNNNNNNNNNNNNNNNNNNNNNNNNNNNNNNNNNNNNNNNNNNNNNNNNNNNNNNNNNNNNNNNNNNNNNNNNNNNNNNNNNNNNNNNNNNNNNNNNNNNNNNNNNNNNNNNNNNNNNNNNNNNNNNNNNNNNNNNNNNNNNNNNNNNNNNNNNNNNNNNNNNNNNNNNNNNNNNNNNNNNNNNNNNNNNNNNNNNNNNNNNNNNNNNNNNNNNNNNNNNNNNNNNNNNNNNNNNNNNNNNNNNNNNNNNNNNNNNNNNNNNNNNNNNNNNNNNNNNNNNNNNNNNNNNNNNNNNNNNNNNNNNNNNNNNNNNNNNNNNNNNNNNNNNNNNNNNNNNNNNNNNNNNNNNNNNNNNNNNNNNNNNNNNNNNNNNNNNNNNNNNNNNNNNNNNNNNNNNNNNNNNNNNNNNNNNNNNNNNNNNNNNNNNNNNNNNNNNNNNNNNNNNNNNNNNNNNNNNNNNNNNNNNNNNNNNNNNNNNNNNNNNNNNNNNNNNNNNNNNNNNNNNNNNNNNNNNNNNNNNNNNNNNNNNNNNNNNNNNNNNNNNNNNNNNCUCGUUCAUUUUGUUCCUGAAUACCCAUUUGGUUCCAAUAACAGUUUUACCUUUUGGUUUAGAUGUCAAUUCCCAGACAUCAUUGAUGUUGAACUGUCUAAGCUCUUCUUGCAUAGCUUCGAUCCAGCUUUCAUCAGAUAAAGCUUCUUCUAUGCUUUUUGGUUCAAUUUCAGAGAUGAGAGCCACAGCACUAGAUUCUUCAUGCCUUUUUGAUCUGGUGCGGAUUCCUUCAUUAAGUUCGCCAAUAAUAAGAUCUUUGGGAUGACUGGAUUUGUGUUUCCAGUUACCAGGUUGAUGAUCUCUUUCUUUAUUUGAUUCUCCAUGAUCGUCUUGAUGAUGGACUUCCAGAAUCUGAGAUGCUUCUUGAGAUGUAGACAUUUGAAGAUCUAGAGCGGAUUCAGUCUCAUCGUACUGAGUCUGGCUGGAUUCAUCUUGCACUGAGUCUUGGAAUUUGACAUUCAUUGAUUCUUCCACAGACUGGCUUUUUUUGUUGUAGACUCUGUAGGCUUUGCUUGAUGUAGAAUAUCCAAGGAAGAUGCCUUCAUCUGAUCUUUCUUCAAACUUACCAACUCGAUCAUUUGCAUUUUUCAAAAUAAAGCAUUUGCAACCGAACACAUGAAAGUAUGAAACAAUAGGCUUCUUACCUUUGAACAAUUCAUAGGGGGUUUUAUCAAGAAUAGGUCUUAAAAAGACUCUAUUUAUAAUAUAGCAAGCAGUUGAAACAGCUUCAGCCCAAAAUCGUGAAGAAAUUUUACUUUCAAUUAAAAGUGUUCUAGCCAUUUCUUGAAGAGAUCUAUUCUUUCUUUCCACAACUCCAUUUUGCUCUGGAGUAUACGGAGAGGAGAACAUGUGAUUAACACCAGAUUUAUCACAGAAUCUCGUAAAAUCUUGAUUUUCAAAUUCACUUCCAUGAUCUGUUCUUAUACUAGAAAUAGCACAUCCUUUUUCAUUUUGAACCUUUUUAGCAAACUUUUCAAAGUACGAAAAGGUUUCUGAUUUGUUUGCUAGAAAAUAUACCCAGGUAAAACGAGAGUAAUCAUCUACAAUUACUAGACAAUAUUUCUUACCUCCAAUGCUCUGGGUUCUUGUUGGUCCGAAGAGAUCCAUAUGAAGCAACUGUAUUACAUGAUUAGUAGAUACAUGAUUUAUUUGUUUAAAUGAAUUUUUUACCUGCUUUCCCAGAAUGCAUGGAGUACAUAAGUCAGACUUUUGGUAUGGCAGUUUAGGUAGACCUCUAACAAGCUGCUUUGAAGAGAUUUUGGCUAAUUGCUUCUUGUUGAUAUGGCCAAGCUUUCUAUGCCAUAGAAUUGCUUCAUCUUGAAUUGAAAUUAAGCAUUGUUCUUCAUUUGGCUUUACAUCAAGGAGGUAGAUGUUUCCAUGCCUUCGACCCAUGAAAGACUGAGUCGAAUCUUUGCUAAUUCCAGAACAAAUGCCUUCUUGAAAGAAGAUCUUGUAACCAGUAUCACACAAUUGGCUAAUGCUGAGUAGAUUGUAGUUGAGUCCUUCCACUAGAGAGACAUUGCUUAUUGUGAGAUUUCCAAUUUUCGCAAUUCCGAAUCCCACAAUACUUCCUUUGCUAUUUCCUCCGAAUGAAACUUUUCCACCAUUCACUUUAAUAAGCUUUAUGAAACACUCUGAGUCUCCUGUCAUGUGUCUUGAGCAUCCGCUGUCAAGAUACCACUUUACCUUCUUUUUGACAGAGACCUGCAUUCAAAAAAGAGUCUCAAGCUUUCUUUGGUACCCAAAUUUUCUUGGGUCCUUUCAUGUUAGUAGGAUAAGCAUUAUUAGGCCAUACUCUCUUCACAGGCUUCCAAACCAUAGGACACUCUUUUUCAAAAUGAUCCUGACUGUUACACUUAGAACACCUUAAAGCAUUUCGACCUACAGGCUUUACAAAAACUCUUUUGAAAUGAUUUUUAUAAGCCUCUUUCGAUGGUCUUUUCUUAAUUCUUUCUUUUACUUUCGGAAAAUCAAUCAAAGGGAUUGUUUCUUCUGUCAUACCUAGACCCGACUUAUUAAAGUAAGGUCUUUGGAUUGAAAGAACUUUUUCAAGUUUUUCGGACCCUAUUGAAAAUUUCUUUGAAAUAUUUGAUAAAUCAGUUUUUAAGAAAGCAUUUUCUUUUGAAAGAUUGUCUUCACUCUCUUUAAGAGUAGAAACAUUCAAGUCUAAAUUUUUUACCUUUUCUUCUAAAAUGAUUUCCUUUUGUUUUAAAACUGAGUUUUCCUUUUUAAGUUCGGAAAUCCUUUUAAGAGAAGUCUUAAGACUAAAACAUAACUCAUUAAUAUAUUUAGAGACUUUGACAGGGAUUUUAUAAUUGCUUACCUCAAAUUCACUGUCUGAGUCUGAUCCAGAGUCUGAGUCUGAUUGCGCCAUUAGACACAGGUUGGCAUAUUCCUCAUCACUCUCUUCACACUCUGUAUCGCUCCAGGUUUCGGCUUUAAGAGCUUUUCGAAAUUUCUCAGCUUUUCCUCUUUUCUUUUUCAGAAGAGGACAGUUGGGUCUGAUGUGUCCCUUCUUUUUACAUUCGAAGCAAACUACUUCUUUGUUUGGUUCCUCAUCAUCAACAGACUUGGUCUGCUGUCUCUGAGAACUUUGUUUCUUUGGGAUAAACCUUCUGCCUUUUCUAUUCAGUUUUCUGAAUCUUCUUAUCAUGAGGGCGAGCUCCUCAUCAUUCAUAUCAUCUUCAGAAUCUGCAUCAUCAGAAUCAUCAUUUGAUUUCAGUGCAAUAGAUUUCUUACCUCUUGGAUCUUCGUCUUCAUUAAUUCGUUCCACUUCGUAAGACUGAAGAGUUCCAAUCAGUUCGUCUACAGAUAAUGGCAUGAUUCUUUGCGUCUCUCUUAUUGAAGUCUUUAUAUGAUUCCAAUCCUUGGAGAGUCCACGUAGAAGCUUGUUCACCUUCAUGGGAUCAGAAAUUUUUUGUCCUUGGUUCUCAAGACCAUUGACAAUAUCUGUAAAACGACUAAACAUGUCAGUUAUAGAUUCUCCUGGUUUCAUUUUGAAGGAUUCAUAUUGACCAAGAAGAAUGUUAAUUCUGGUCUCCUUCACUCGAUCUGUUCCUUCAUAAGUGAUAUGUAACCUGUCCCAGACUUCUUUUGCUGUGACACAAGAAGAUAUUCUGUUAUAUUCAGUUGGUGACAAAGCACAAUAUAAAGAAUAAAUUGCUUUAGCAUCAAGUGCUUGUCUCUUGUUUAUUUCUUCUUGAGACAUUCCGCUGGUUUCAACGGUUUCUUUUCCUCUUUCAGUGUUUGAUGCAGCAGCAAUAGUGAUUCCUUUUUCCACUACGUCCCAUUCCAGAGGAUCCUUUGAUCGUAGGAAAGCUUUCAUCUUGUUCUUCCAGAUGUUGUAAUCCUUUCCAUCGAAGUAGGGAGGUCUGGUAUUGCUUUGCCCCUCCAUCAGCCCAGGUGCUAGCAUACUAGCCAUGGAUCUUUUACUCUGAAGUAAAACACUUCAAACAAAGUAAGAACACAGGCUCUGAUACCAAUUGAGAUAGCUAGUACGAGUACCUAGAGGGGGGUGAAUAGGUAUACACAAAAAAUUUCUCGAUGUUUGCACGAUACUUAAACAAUUAGAGACUUUGCAACAGUUGAAAAUUCAAUCGCAAGACUGAGUAAGGGAAAGAGAGAAUUGAACACUCAGUUUAUAGUGGUUCGGCUUGAUUCAAGCCUACGUCCACUCUUCUGCACUGACAGCCGAUUGGCUGGAUUCCACUAUGAUCAAAGAGUUGUUACAGUGUUGAUCUUCCUUGAUUUCUAGGUGUAGAUGAUCUACCACACUUGCUCAAGGCGUCACCAAGUAUAAACACUCUCAGUAUACAAUUUCGCUCAGUCUCAACUAACAAUCAAAGGAUCUUCAGACUCUGGAAUUUUUCUAUCGAUCACACACUUAAAACAACUAGAACGUCUUCCUUUUAUACUCCUUCAUGCCAUCAUAGCCGUUGGCACUUACCAAAGGAAUUCCUCCAAUCUACCCGUUGGACGGAAUCAAUCAAGAAGAUCAUCCGAGCUAUAUAAGGAAUCUGAUGAUAGCCCAUCAAUCCUGUUCGCCCAUACAAUCAGGAUCUCGGUUUCCAAGAAUAGAAUAAUCCAAGAUUAUUUCGUCGACCAUCGGAUCUUCAAUCGUUCUUAGAUAAGAUAUAAAGAAUCCGAAAUGAUUAUCCAACCAAAGAAUCUAUCCCAGAGGAUAGGAUCAAAUCCUCAAUCAUAAACCUCGACUUUGGAUUUCCUUCAACACUGGAUUAGAAAGACUGUCAGUGAGAAUAACUUUGAGUCUUGAGUCUUGAGUCUUGAGUCUUGAGUCUUGAGAUAACAGAGUCUUGAGACUAUAAAAUCUUGAGACUUUAACUAUCGAUAUCCAGACUUAGACUGAUAGAAAUGUUUUGUCAGCUUCAAAAUAUUCUGGAAAGAUUUCUCCAACAGAAUAUUAACUUAGAAUUUGCUUCAUGCCUUAUAGAUCAAAGAAUAAUACAAUCUCUCAUCCGUGGGGGCAAACGUACAAUACAAGCUUCUUAGCGACGGAAGCCGGACAGGAUCCCAUCACUAAUCACGGAUCGAUCAUGGUUUGAAUUAUAUCCAAGCGGUGCUUCUAUUCAACAGACUUUUGCAGGCCUCUUAACUUCCUUAGUCUACUAGGAGCGUCUAGCUAGCCAUUCUGCUUUAUUUGAAGAACGAGCACAAAUCCAAUUCAAGAUCUAUCAAUUUUGCAAGGGGCCACAUUACACAACUGAAUCAGGGUGUGCGCUCGAUGAAUUUUUUUAAAAUAAUUUAUGAUCUUUGUAAGUCGUGCUUUUGAGGAUUACAUGAUAGUCAGAAGAGAUAGGUUAUCAUUCCCUGAAAGGAGAAUUUAUAUUGGAAGUAUUAGUUACGUUAUGAUAUUUGGUAUGAUAAGAAUUGAUCUUAAAACUUGUAAGCUUGAAUUGUCACGUGAGAAAUAAAAUUUUCUUACGGUCUAUAGGUUGGGGUAACAAGCGUGAUCUACAUAGCUAUAGGUUGUGAUCUUUUGAGUGAUAUAUUAUGAUAUUACCUUUAAAGAGUUUUGUGGAACUAGCAGCCAAAAUGAAUUUCAACUGAGGUUUCAUAUGUAAGUCAAGUGCUUGAGUCAUUGAUCUGAGAAACGAUAAGUUUAAGUGAUGAUUAAUAAAGUUAUGAACUUGAGAGGGAUUGAAUUUUAUUGAAAAGUAGAUAAGUUCUAAUUUUGGUGAUCUAGGAAGUUAUAGGCAUCCAAUGUUAAGUGAUGACUUUUUGAGUGGUGACAUUUUUAUGAGGAUUUGUGGUUUAAGUUCAUGUUAUGGUGAUCCUUGAUCCUACAAAGGAAUAUAGUAUAUUGCCUUGGGAGAAAAUUGAGAUAAAAAUUGAGGAAGUAGACCUUAUCUUAGUGUUAUAAUUAAGAGCACCACAGUCGUAUUCAAAUAUAGUGAUGUUGGGAAUGUUUAGGGUGUAUUAUAAGUUAUUAAUUCCGUGGUGCUUAAAAGGACUAAUUUUGAAAUAAUGCUAUCAAUGAGCCCUGUCUGAGGAGUUAUUAAGAGCAGUAACGGUAUCGGUAUUUGGAGGUUUUUAUACAAUGCAUUAGAAUUGAUUUAGACAAAAUCUUCACAUGGAUGAUGCGAUAUUCUAAGGCUGUCUUAAUUUUAAAGAGUCACAUAGGACGAUAUUUGCCUUCUUUGUAUUGUUAACUGUCGAUGGUAGUAUAAAUGCUUGAUUUGUAGUUUGUAAAAUGAACUGCCAAUCAAUUAGUGAACACUAUAAUUGUUCAAUUUUAUCUUCCUAUUAUCUUUACAUUCCAGCAUCUUUUUACACGGCUGGCCACAAUUGCCUUUAGUAUUUGUACUUUGAAUUUUUUCAUCAAUUCACGUUUUCUAUCUAAGAAUCGGCAAAGGAUCUCUCAUAAUUGUUGUCAAUUGGUUUAGCGGUCUAUCUUUUGAAAGAUGCAUUGUCUGAUACUUUUCGACAAAACAUAUACAUAUCAAAUGAAUGUUACAAAAUGGUUCCAUUUCUAUAUAUCGAACCUCCAUCAUUUUCUCGCAUUUUAGACACUCGUGUUUUAUAACUUAAGAAACCAAAUUGCACCAAAAAAUAAACUUUCAAUCAAGACUGGAGACAUCUGUCAGGAGUAGAAGUAAUUAAUUUGAAAGGCAUUUGAUUAAGUAUAUAGGCAACAGUUAACAAUGCAUCACUUCAAAAAGUGAUAGAUAAGUUAGCAUGCGCCAUUAUAGACCUAACUAUUUCCAAUAGGGUUAUGUUCAUUCUUUCUGCAACACCAUUUUGUUAAGGAGUCUAUAAAAUAAACAACUGUCUUUCUAUUCCUUUGUGAACUCAUCAGACAAAUAUUCUCGACCUCGAUCGGAUCUCAAUACUUUUAUUUUCUCGUCUAAUUGAUUUUCUAUCAAGUUCAUAAACAUUUUGAAACAACUCAAUGCUUCAGAUUUAUGAUAAAUCAAAUAGACAUAUCCGAAUCGAAUAUAAUCAUUUAUAAAUGUGAUGAAAUAAACAACCCCAUGCCUUCAUCUCACAUUCAUCGGAUCAUAGACGUUAGAAUGGAUUAAAUGCAAAAGAAAUUCAGCUUUUUUACCUUUUCCAAAUGGUUUCCUUGUCGUUUUUCCUACUUGGCAAUGCUCACAUAUAGGCAAAUUGACUUUUUCAAUAUUGUCCAAUAAGCCCUCUUUAGCUAGUUUAUUCAUACGUUGUUAGCCAAUAUAACCAAGUCUAGCAUGUCACACAUUCACAUCAUUAUCAUAUGAAUUAGAAGACAUGAAAAAUGAAUAACAAACAUUGGCAUUACUAUAGUCAAUAUUUAAUACAAUGAAAUCAUUUAGAAAAUAACUACGACCAUAGUAAUUUGUAUCCAAAUACAAAUUCACACCAAUAUUACGGAAGUUCAUAUUAAAACCAAGUUUAACUAAUAAUAAAACAGACAUUAAAUUCCAACGAAUCUCCAUAGCAUAAAAUACAUCAUAUAGGAACAAAGUGCGUCAACCACGCAUGUUCAGUUGGCAGGUGCCAACCCAUUUUACUUAUGCUUUGGAGUUGUUUUCUAUAUAGAUCCACUUAGUUCCAGUUGGUACUCGUAGGAAUUCUACGAAGGAUUCUCUAUCCUUCGCUACAUGAUCUAUUGCUCCCGAAUCUAUAGUCCACAAAGGAUUAGAUUCAGUUAAGAAUACAGAACUUGACACAUUAGUAAAGUUCUUAAGAGUACAAGGGGUGAGUACCUUCUUUGACUCGCUAUAGUUGUGAGCGUAAUGACCCUUCUGGUCAUAGUUGUAACACUUCACCAUUAAAAUACUCUUUACUCGAUGACAUUUUCCUCUUUUAUGUUGGUCAGCUCUUGGUUUCUUGCAAUAAGGACUUAAUCCCUUGCAUUUCCACAUAUUGAACGAAUUAAUAUGCUUGCGCUUAGAGCUCGAAGCCCCUUCUAAGCUGGAAACAACAUAGCAAAUGUCUGUGUUCCGGCUCAAAUGUCUUGAGGCGGUCAUCUGCUAGCUUAAGGUGGCGCACAGUAUCCUCAAGUUCUUCCAUAACAUGGUCAAGAGUUUUUAGUGCUUCUUGCUUUUCAAGCAUAUAUUGAAUUUUUUAAUUUAAUAUUUCACAAUUCUCGUCGUUCAAUUUGUCUUCUUUGUUCAAAUCAACAAUUAUGUUCUUAGUUACUUAAGCCAUUGAUUUGAACAUAUCAGACACAUAUGCACGGAUUAUUAAUGCCUAUUGUUUAUGCAUUCAUUUUGCACAGACCCAUCAUAUUAAUAAAUAAUUUCAAGUAAGGUUUCGGAAUCCAAAGGUCACUAUGUUCCAAUCAUCAUCCAAAAAAUCAUAACUUAAAACUAUCAUUAAUAUAAUCUUCUAUGCAAAAUAAGUUUAGCAAAGUCACUAAAACUUUCUUGAACUUCUUACAAUGAAUUAUAAAUUAACAUACUAAUUUACAACAGUAAAUAACACUGAACUUUCAAUAAUUACACAUGUCCAUUACACUAAGUAAUAUAUCCAGAGGAAAUAUUAACACAUAAAGAGAUAUUAACACCUAAAAACAUCUCAGACUAAUCUAAAACAUAAAUAGGGAAAGUGUUUUCAAAUCUAUUAGUAAAAUUUUCUAAGAAUUCUGAAGGCAUAUUGGCCAACCAUGGAAAAACUUUUGGAGAGCUCUCAUGCCACCUCCAAGGUGCAUUCACUAUGCGCUAUGUGGCACUCAUCCCAAGGGUUAAAGUUUUGGUUAACUCGAUUCUAUAUUAUUCUCUUACAAAAGCUAUUGUAAGCCUCAUAUAAUCUAGGACCACAUUAACCUCCCAUAGGCAAUCUAACACUACUUGCCAUUCAGGUGGAAGAGUGUUCAUUAAAGCCGGCACCUUCUCAAAAUCCUACAUAAGAUAACCAUUCCAUAUGAUUUCUUGUAUCAUUUGAUUAACCCUAACCAUGUGUAAUACUACAUUACCGUCAUUUCAUCGAUAAUUAGCUAACUCUGUCAUUAGCCCUUUAAGUAUUGUAUUUUCUUCCUCCGUUCUUGGAAAUACAAGUAUGCAUGCAUGACGCAUCAUAGUUUCUGCAAUAAAUGCAUAACAAAAAUGGAUUAUUUAUAAUCCACAGUAAACAAAAAGGAAAAUACAAAAUUUUCCAUGGUUCAUGCAACAAAUGCAGAACAAUAAUUAAAAAAAAAGGAAUUACUUAUAAUCCAUAACAAACAAAUUAGAAGAUACAAAAUUUUCUUUUUUUUAUUCUUUUUUUUUUGCCGUUCAACGCUGGUCAACGAUGAUCAACGCAGGUCAAUGAUGGUCAACGAUGGUCAACGGUCAAUGGUCAACGAUUCAAAUGGGUCAACAGUCAACGGGUCGAGUUAAUCGAGUCAACGGGCCGUCAUGUCGGGUCGCAUCAGGUCGAACUGGUCGGACCGGUCAGGUCGGUCGAACAAACCGACUGGCACGUGCUGCGCACAUGCGCUAGCUGACGUCGUGCGGACGUUUGCUAGCGCGUGCUGCACGCGCCAGGCUUCCGUGCGUGCGUUGUACGCGCCUGGGCCAAAAUGGCGCAUGCGGAAGACCGAAUUGGCGCAUGCGUUGGUACGUUCGACGACCUCUGGCGGCGAUCCGCCACUCGAUUUUCUCAUAUCGGCGAGAGCUUCGACCUUACAUUAUUGAAAACAAAUUUCGACUUAUAGAAAAUCACAAAAUAAGGUGAACAAUACGCGGGUGUCAGGGUUUUUUCGUCCCCAAUCGGCCAACGGUGGUGUUUCACGAAAAUUCAAUAAAAAACAAAUCAUAAACAUGAAAAAUGAUCGGGAAACAUGAACAAUGGCUCUGAUACCAAUGUUGGGAAUAACUGAUCCCCUAAAACGGAUUCGACACUAAAUCAAACCCCUAAAACGAAUGUGGAAGACGAGCCCAAGAAUAACAUGUAUCAAAGAUACACCACGAAAUUAAGCGUACCUUAUUGUCCACAGAUUAAACACCAAUGUUAAAGAUUGAGGAAGGAUUAUGAUCUGGUUUGUCAAGGAGCAUACUGUUGGUUCAAAAAGGGGAGAAAACUUACGUUCUUUUUGGGAGAGAGAGAGUGAAACGUAUUAGGGGGAGAGAGAAUCUUCACGUACGUAUGCCAAAAGGUACUUUCUUUUUUCUUUUUAUUUUCCCUCAAAGCAUCUCUUCCAAAGGACGCAUCCCCUCAAUGUAACACCUCCUCCAAAAGACACAGCCUUUCCUCUAUGGGCCCUAAACAUGUGGGCCGGGUUCUUAGGCCCAACAUGGGGGAAUGGAUCCACUUAAGCCCAUCAAGUCAUAGACUAAACCCAUCAAUAAAUGUGUCUAGGACGUUUGGUAGAGGAUGAUCAAAGGAUUUAAAGGGGUUUAGGCAAUGUAAUAAGGAAAGACGAUUCCACCAUUAUAUGGAAAUAGUUUCAUAAUUGUUGGAGAAGUAAUGGUGAAGGAACUAACGGAUAUGAAGCUUCCCACUCAAUGAGUGGAGGGCUAAACCCUACACACACGGAGCUUAUGGAGGUCUCAACAUGACACCCAACUAUCGCAUUAAAACCCAUUUUUCUAGGACUCCAUUGGCCGACUACAAAAGUCUCUGCCUUGUCAUAAAUCUUUUCUUUUGCUUUAGCGAUAUUCAUCAAUGUACUCAAUUACAGUGGACACAUCUUGACUUUUGUACAAAUAUCUGCUCCAUAAAUAUCUAGUCCAUGCUACAUUAUUCGAGAAAUUGCAUCACGCAUAACCUGUCUAUAACUUAGGCCUAGCAUCAUUCCAACAUCUUCCAUGAGCCCUAACUCCGCACAAUACAAAUACUACCAUAUAGUCACUUUUUUGCCACACCCAUCUCUCUCCCUCUCUCGGAGUAAGUUUGAGCCUUUGGCUUUCAGGUGGGUGCACAAAACCCAAAGCAACCUCAGAGUCAAAGAGACCCACUUUCCACUGGUUUUGAACCGGUUAGGGCUAAUAAAACUUGCAAGUAGGACUAGCUACCAUCCAGAUUGAAACUACACGGAUACUGAUGGAUGAAUAAAUUUGGGUCACCAAAAAAAUAAAAAUAAAUAAAUAAAUAAAUUUUGGAGGUCCUUUCAUUUGGCAAAACAGAAUUUAGUUUCCACACACAAAAACUUGCUAACAAUUGCUAUUUCCUUCUCUCUCUCUCUCUCUCUCUCUCUCUAAAACAUUAAAAAUGGAUGAGAACGCUGCCACCAAGAACAACCAAAACCGCCGCAGCCGCCAAAUCGGUGACAUCUCCAUUUUGAAUGCCUCCCCAAAGCGUCUUCAGAUGCUUCAGUUCAUACUCCUCCGACAGCCACCUCAAACGAACUAGUAGUCAACCUUAUCUUCUUAUACUCCUAAUUCAUUUUUGCUUAUGAGAAAUAUAAUUUUUAUGCACUCAAAGUAACAAUUUAAACAUAAUUCCUUCAUAUAUUAUUACUAGAAAACUUAGGAGACAAUGAAAAUAUUUCAAAUGUAAAGAGUCGAUUAGAUUUUAUCGGUUGAUCAAUCCGGGACAUUGUGGAUGGUGAGCGCACACAUGAUAAUAGCCGUGAUAGGAUUGGGAGUACUUUUGCUUGCAUCGGACAUUGCUCUGCUGGGCUGGAUUGCAAGUCCUGUUGUGAUGUUCUUUUUCUCCUCCGUGUGCUACUGCACUAGUCACCUGGCGACCUCAACUCCAGCAGAUAUAACCACACUUACAUGGACUCUAUUCAUUCAAUCCUUGGUAUGGAAUUCCAUCACAUAUUAUCGCUUCUCAUUACUUGAAAUCUACACUUUGAUUAAAAUUCCCACAUGAACAAAAGAUCCAAUGGAUGAAAAUAAAAAAGUGAGAUUUUUUGGGGGAUAUAAAUCUCUAGACAUCCGCCAUAGAAACCGGAUCAUGAUCAUACUAAUCUAACUUUUAGUUUAUCCUAGUGCUUUGCUUUGACUAGUGUUCCCUGCUCAAACCUCGGCAUUUGGAUUUGCUGCAUGAUCUCGACAAUUCCGAGACAUGAAAAGAAUCGGAUGUAAGAUUGGCCUAACAGUGGUAUUGGUCACAUUAAAAUCUUGUUAUGAUUAUCGAAAAAUGGCUAACAACAAUCAAAGUGCAAAAUGUCAGGGUGAAUGACAAGGGGAAAAAUUAACAAACAGAAAAAUUGCCUAUCAUUAUAACAGUAGUUUCUCAUAACCAUGGCAUUUUGAAGAAAUAUCAUUUGGUAAACCCUUUUUGUAGCCGCACCAACAGAAGAGCAAAGCGUCCAAGAUACCUUAGAAACCUCGAAUGUAUUCCUUUUCCCUGAUGUCACUCCUGUUGUUGGGUAAAAGGAAUCUUAUUUUACAUCUUCAUAUUGCCAUCUGAGAGAGCUCUAGUUUAGUUGGAAAUGUGGUUCUUGCUAUACUCACAAGAUUAUGCUUUUAAAGCGAAGUUCCACUUUGACUUUUUACCGAGUAAAAAUUUAUAGACAUUCAUUAUAUGUUAGUUUUGCAGAAAACAAGUGAUAUGAAAAAUAUUUUCCAAAAGAUAAUGAUUUUUAUUGCUCAAAAUAACUAGUCAAUAAAUAAUAUUUUAUUUUUUUAUUAUAAUUUAUGUUUAAACAUAUUUGUAAACAAUUUAUAAAAUAUACAAGUGAUUGAAUUUUGAAAAAUAUUUUCCAAAAUGUUGAUCUUUUGUGUAACAAGCAUACGCUUAUUCAAAGUUUAUUUUUGUGCAAAAUUGACUGAUUGAAGAUAUAUAUUUAUAGUUUAUUUUUUACGUGGGCAAUUUAUGUUAAUUUGUGAGUGGUAAGGUAAUUAUUUGCAUUCAUAAAAUACUUACCAACGCAAAGGUAAUUUAAUGAUGCUGAAGCUAAAUUUACAUACACAAAAUACAAUUUUAAAAAUAUAAGUUUGCUUUCGUGAUAUAAUAGCUUGUAUUGCUACGAUAAGACUUUAUUAGUUACGAAUAAGUGUAAUUAAGAAGAAUGUCAAGGAUUAUUAGGGCACGCUCGAUUUCCUAAUUAGAAGGAAAAUUACUUACUACCACUGCGACUUCGAAUUGGGUAAGUUACUGUAGCCGUUGUUACGAUUACAUCAUAUCAAAUAAAUUUGAACAAAUCCACCACGCUGAUUACCUGAAGAGGUUAGCCUUCGCCAAUUUACCGUUUCGACCUCGCGCGCCCAACCCACUUUCCUAUUCUACGAGGGGCAAAUUCGGAACGGCAGGCGAAUUAAAUAAGUUACUGUUAGCCGUAGCCAAUUUACCGUUUCGACCUCAAUCCACUUUCCUAUUCUGCAAGGGGCAAAUUCGGAACGACGGGCGAAAUGACGCUACAUAUUCGCUACGGCUUCAUCGGUCCAGUCGCAUCAUCUCUCUCCCACCUUCUUCUUCUUCUUCUUCUUCUUCUUCUUCUUCGCAUGUUGCUCCCUCCGCUUGCUUCCUUUCCUCUCUCGACGGAGCCACAUUCCGGCUCAAUGGGAGAUGCCGGAGCUGCGUCUGCUUCGGCCGUGCGGCCGAUCGUCGAAGACGGGACGCCCCCGUGUGGGGGGCCACAGAGAGAGGAAUGGGGCUAUGAUCGGGGCACGGCGCUCUCUGUGGCUGCAAAGGCGGGGCUGAGCAACGACGUUCGGGCGGGCGACGGAUUCGAGGGCGUGCUGGAGUUGAGGCGGACGUGUGAGUAUCUCGAAUUUUUUCUCUCUGGCUUGGUUGAAUGGGUGUCGUUGCGUGAUGAUUAUGCUGCUGUCGUUUGGGGCGUAAAUCUUGUCGGAGGAGAUGGGUUUUUUGAUUCCUUACUCUGAUUUGUGCCAAAACCUUUUAUUUCUCAGAUCAUCUUUGGGAGUAGGAAUUUUCUUCUAAAUAACAUGACUUAUGAUAGAAUAUCUUUUUGAGUAGUAAUUUUUCGACAAAUCUGUGCUCUUUCUUAUAAAAAAAGUUCAGAUUUUUGUUUUUUGUUCAUAGAAUAUGAAUCUGGUGCUUAGAAAGUUCUUUGUUACGGAGUAGGAAUUUUCUUCUAAAGAACAUGACUUAUGAUAGAAUAUCUCUUUGAGCAGUAAUUUUUCGACAAAUCUGUGCUCUUUCUUAUAAAAAAAGUUUUGAUUUUUGUUUUUUGUACAUAGAAUAUGAAUCUGGUGCUUAGAAAGUUCUUUGUUACGGAGUAAUUCGUUUGCCAGAGUUUUUUUUGGGUUUUUUCAACCUGUUUGGUGAUCCUGUUGUAACGUGAACAUAUCAAGACAGUGACAUGCCUCGACAAAUCAUACUGUUUGUUUUACUUUGAUUUUGGCAAAGCACCUUGAUUCACUAUUGCUUAUCCUCAGAUCAAGCCUUGUAAUCAUUUUUCUAUGGAUCUUGCACCCGUGCUUUUCUUUACCAUUUUGCUUUGCUAACUGCUGUACCUGAUGGAAUUUUUUCCUCACUGUGAUUUAUCCAUGACUUAGUAUAUUUGUCUUGUUAAUUCUGAAGAACCGCAUACAAGAAUCUCUUUCUAAAUAGCUUUAUAAGCAGCAAGUUUUCAAAAAUAUCUCCUUUUUGCCAAAUAAGUUUAAACUUUUGUUUUCUCCUUCUUAAUAUAUUUCUCUUUUUUGAAAAGAGACAUUUCGUGAAAAUCUAUCUUUGUUUGAAAGAUGUGUGAUACUUUUGUUUUGUGAUUUCUAAAUAUGAACUUCUUGAUUUUAAGUUUUUGUUAAAGAGUGACCGGGUUUAAAAGUUUUUUCUCAAAGUCGUUUCCAAAUGUUGUGAAUUUUCACAAUUUUCUUCCUUACUCUGUUUUGUACAAGACACUUUUUCAAACAACUUUGGUACUUUAAAUUUGCUUUUAAAGAAGGUCGUGCAAUUAUUCUGGAGUCUUUCACAAGAUUUUCUAAUCUACUUCCUCCUAACUUUCCGAGCAGCAAGUUUUCAAAUAUCUCUUUUUUUCCAAAUAAGUUCAAUUCUAUUUUCUCAAUUGAAUAUAUCUGUAUUUUCUGACAGUUCUUUAUUAUGACAUUUUGUAAAAAUGUUCUCUGUUUAAAAGAGCUGCGAUACUUUUGCUUUGUCCUUUCUGAAUAUCAAUUUCUUGAGCUUAAGUUUUCUGUUAAUGAGUAUAUAAGGAUUUAAAGUUUCUUCUCAAAUUUGUUUCCAAAUGUUGCAAAUUAUGACAAUUUUCAUCCUUACUUACUCUGUUUUGUACAAGACCUACCUUUUUCAAACCACUUUGGAAGUUUAAAUUUGCUUUGAAAGAACGUAAUGCAAAUUAUUUUGGAUACUUUCACAAGUUUUUCCAAUCUCUUUCCUCAUAGCCUUAUGAGCAGCAAGUUUUCAAAUAUCUCGAAAAAGUUCGAACUUUUGUUUUCUCAUUUGAAUAUAUUUCUCUUUUUUGAAAACCUUUUUAAAGACAUUUCAUAAAAAUCAUUCUCUGUUUGAAAAAGGUGUGAUAUUUUGUUUUGUCAUUUCUCAAUAUUAACUUCUUGAUUUUGAGUUUUCUGUUAAAGAGUAAGUGGAUUUAAAAGUUCUUCCUCAAAGUCAUAUCCAAAUGUUGCAAAUUAUGACAAUUUUCUUCCUUACUCUCUUUUGUACAAGACUACUUUUUUCCAAUCAACUUUGGGAGUUUAAAUUUGCUUUUAAAGAACGUCAUGGAAAGUAUUUAAGAUUCUUUCACUAGUUUUUCCAAUGUAUUUCCUCAUAACUUUAUGAGCGGCAAGCUUUCAAAUAUCUCUCUUUUGCCAAAUGAGUUUAGACUUUUGUUUUCUCCUUGUGGAUAUAUUUCUUUUUCUUGAAAACUUUUUGAAAGACAUUUCGUGAAAAUCUAUCUUUGUUUGAAACAUGUGUGAUACUUUUGUUUCGUCAUCUUUCAAUAUUAACUUCUUGAUUUUAAUUUUCUGUUAAAGAGUAACUGGAUUUAGAAGUUUCUCCUCAAAUUCAUUUCCAAAUGUUGCAAAUUAUGACAAUUUUCUUGCUUACUCUAUUUUGUACAAGACCUACUUUUUUCAAACCACUUUGGGAGUUUAAAUUUGCUUUUAAAGAAGGUAAUGCAAAUCAUGUUCUUUCACAAGUUUUUUUAAUGCAUUUCCCUAUAGCUUUAUGAGCAACAAGUUUCAAAUAGCUCUUUUUUGCCUAAUAAGUUUUAAACUUUUGUUUUCUCCUUUUGAAUAUAUUUCUCUUUUCUGAAAACCUUUUAAAAGACAUUUUGUAAAUGUCUAUCUCUCUUUGCAAGAGCUGUGAUACUUUUGUUUUGACCUUUCUGAAUAUUAACUUGAGUUUAAGUUUUCUUUUAAAAGAGUAUAACUGGAUCUAAAGAUUCUCCUUGAAGUUGUUUCCAAAUGUUGCAAAUUAUGACAAUUUUCUUUCUUACUGUGUUUUGUCAAAGACCCACAUUUUUCAAACCACUUUGGGAGUUUAAAUUUGCUUUUAAAGAAGGUAAUGCAAAUUAUUUCAGAUUCUUUCACAAGUUUUUCCAAUGCAUUUCCUCAUAGCUUUAUGAGCAACUAGUUUUCAAAUAUCUCCUUUUUGCCAAAUAAGUUUAAAUUUUUGUUUUCUCCUGAAUAUAUUUCUCUUUUUUGAAAACCUUUUUAAAAGACAUUUCAUGAAAAUCUUUGUUUGAAAGAGGUGUGAUUCUUUUGUUUUAUGAUUUUUAAAUAUUAACUUCUUGAUUUUAAGUUUUCUGUUAAGAGCGACUGGGUUUAAAAGUUUCUUCUCAAAGUUGUUUCUAAAUGUUGUGAAUUUUCACAAUUUCUUCCUUACUCUGUUUUGACAGACACUUUUUUCAAACAAUUUUGGCACUUAACAUUUGUUUUUAAAGAAGGUCGUGCAAAUUAUUCUGGACUCUUUCACAAGUUGUUCUAAUCUAGGCCCUUAUCCCUUUCUGAGCAGCAAGUUUUCAAAUAUCUCUUUUUUGCCAAAUAAGUUUAUUUUUGUUUUCUCCUUUGAAUAUAUCUGUCUUUUUUCACAGUUCUUUAUUAUGACAUUUCGUAAAAAUAUUAUCUGUUUAAAAGAGCUGUGAUACUUUUGUUUUGUCCUUUCUGAAUANNNNNNNNNNNNNNNNNNNNNNNNNNNNNNNNNNNNNNNNNNNNNNNNNNNNNNNNNNNNNNNNNNNNNNNNNNNNNNNNNNNNNNNNNNNNNNNNNNNNCUUGAUUUAAAGUUCUCCUCAAAGUCGUUUCCAAAUGUUGCAAAUUAUGACAAUUUUCUUCCUUACUUGUUUGUACAAGGCCUACUUUUUUCAACCAAUUUGGGAGUUUAAAUUGCUUUAAAGAAGGUAAUGCAAAUUAUUUCAGAUUCUUUCACAUGUUUUUCUACCGUAUUUCCUCAUAGCUAUAUGAGCAGCAAGUUUUCAAAUUUCUCUUUUUUGCCAAGUAAGUUUUAAACUUUUGUUUCCUCCUUUCGAAUAUCUCUCUUUUUUGAAAACCUCUUUAGAGACAUUUUGUAAACAUCUGUCUUUUUGCAAGAGGUGUGAUACUUUUAUUUUGUUAUUUCUCAAUAUUAACUUCUAAUGUUCCUCCUCAAAGUCAUUUCCAAAUGUUGCAAAUUAUGACAAUUUUCUUCCUUACUCUCUUUUGUACUAGACUACUUUUUCCCAAUCAACUUUGGGAGUUUAAAUUUGCUUUUGAAGAACGUCAUGCAGAGUAUUUAAGAUUCUUUCACAAAGUUUUUCCAAUGUAUUUCCUCAUAGCUUUAUGAACGGCAAGUUUUCAAAUAUCUCUUUUUUGCCAAAUGAAUUUAAACUUUUGUUUUCUCCUUGUGGAUAUAUUUUUCUUCCUUGAAAACUUUUUGAAAGACAUUUUGUGAAAAUCUAUCUUUUUUUCAAAGAGGUGUGAUACUUUUGUUUUGUGAUUUCUAAAUAUUAACUUCUUGAUUUUAAUUUUCUGUUAAAGAGUGAGUGGAUUGAAAAGUUUCUCCUUAGAGUCUUUUUCAAAUGUUGUGAAUUUUGACAAUUUUCUUCCUUACUCUGUUUUGUACAAGACACUUUUUCAAACAACUUUUGGCACUUCAAAUUUGCUUUUAAAGACAGUCGUGCAAAUUGUUCUGGAGUCUCACAAGUUUUUCUAUAUAUUCCCUCAUAACUUUUCUAAACAGCAAGCAAGUUUUCAAAUAUCUCUCUUUUGACAAAUGAGUUUAAUUUUGUUUUCUCCUUUAAAUAUAUCUGUCUUUUUUUAUAGUUCUUUAUUAUGACAUUUUGUAAAAAUGUUCUCUGUUUAAAAGAGCUGUGAUACUUUUGUUUUGUCCUUUCUGAAUAUUAACUUUUUGAGUUUAAGUUUUCUGUUAAAAGAGUAUAACUGGAUUUAAAGAUUCUCCUCAAAGUUGUUUUCAAAUGUUGCAAAUUAUGACAAUUUUCUUCCUUACUCUAUUUUGUACAAGACCUACUUUUUUCAAACAACUUUGAGAGUUUAAAUUUGCUUUUAAAGAAGGUAAUGCAAAUUAUUUCAGAUUCUUUCACAAGUUUUUCAAAUUAUGAGCAGCAAGUUUUUAAAUAUUUCUUUUUUGCCAAAUAAGUUUUAAACUUUUGUUUUCUCCUUUUGAAUAUAUUUCUCUUUUUUGAAAACGUUUUUAAAGAAAUUUUGUAAAAUUCUAUCUGUGUUUGAAAGAGGUGUGAUACUUUUGUUUUGCCAUUUCUCUGUAUUAACUUCUUGAUUUUAAGUUUUCUGUUAAAGAGUAACUGGAUUUAUAAGUUUCUCUUCAAAGUUGUUUUCAAAUGUUGCACAUUAUGACAAUUUUCUUGCUUACUCUGUUUUGUAUGAGACCUACUUUUUUCAAACAACUUUUGGAGUUUAAAUUUGCUUUUAAAGAAGGCCGUGCAAAUUAUUUUGGAUUCUUUCACAACUUUUUCCAAUGUAUUUCCCCAAAACUUUUUGAGUGGCAAGUUUUCAAAUAUCUCUUUUUUGCCAAAUAAGUUUGAACUUUUGUUUUCUCCUUUUGGAUAUUUUUCUCUUUUUUGAAAACUUUUUGAAAGACAUUUCAUGAAAAUGUAUCUUUGUUUGACAGAGGUGUGAUACUUUGUUUUUUUUUUUUUUUGGUGAAGAUGUGAUACUUUUGUUUUCUCCAUUUGGAUAUAUUUCUCUUUUUUGAAAACUUUUUGGAAGACUUCUCGUGAAAAUCUCUGUGUUUGACGGAGGCAUGUUACUUUUGUUUCGUCAUUUCUAAAUAUUAAUUUCUUGAUUUUAAGUUUUCUGUCAAAGAGUAAUUGGAUUUAAAAGUUUCUCCCCAGAGUUGUUACCAAAUGUUGCGAAUUAUGACAAUUUUCUUCCUUACUCUGUUUUCUACGACACUUUUUCAAACAUCUUUGGCAGUUUAAAUUUGCUUUUAAUGGAGGUCAUGCAAAUUAUUUUGGAUUCUUUCACAAGUUUCUCCAAUCUAUUUCCUCAUAACUAGUUUUCAAGAAUCUCUGUUUUGCCAAAUAAGUUUAAUUUUGUUUUCUGCUUUGAAUAUGUCUUUUUUGAUAGUUCUUUAUUAUGACAUUUCAUAAAAAUGUUAUCUGUUUGAAACUGCUAUGCUACUUAUGGUUUGUCCUUUCUGAAUAUUAACUGCUUGAGUUUAAGUUUUCUGUUAAAGAAUAUAACUGGAUUUAAAAUUUCUCCUCGAAGUUGCUUCCAAAUGUUGCCAAUUAUGACAAUUUCUUCCUUACUCUUGUUUUGUACAAGACCUACAUUUUUCAAACAACUUUGGGAGUUUCAAUUUGCUUUUAAAGAACGUCUUGCAAAGUAUUUUAGAUUCUUUCACAAGUUUUUCCAAUGUAUUUCCUCAUAGCUUUAUGAGCGGGAAGUUUUCAAAUACCUCUUUUUUGCCCAAUAAGUUUAACUUUUGUUUUCUCAUUUUGAAUAUAUUUCUCUUUUUUUGGAACUUUUUUAAAGACAUUUCAUAAGAUCUAUCUCUGUUUGAAAGAUGUGUGAUGCUGUUGUUUUGUCAUUUCUAAAUAUUUAGUUCUUGAUUUUAAGUUUCUGUAAAAGAGUAGCCGGAUUUAAAAGUUUAUUCACAAAGUCGUUUCCAAAUGUUGCAAAUUAUGGCAAUUUUCUUCCUUCCUCUAUUUGUUCAAGACACUUUUUUCAAACAACUUAGGUGUUUAAAUUUGCUUUCAAAGAAGGUCAUGGAAAUUUUUUUGGAUUCUUUCACAAGUUUUUCCAAUCUCUUUCGUCAACUUUAUGAGCAGCAAGCUUAUAUCUCUUAUUUUAAACUAAGUUUAAAAGUUUUGUUUUCUCCUUUUGAAUACAUGUCUUUUUUGACAAUUAUUGAUUGUGACAUUUCAUAAAAAUGUUCUCCAUUUAAAAGAGCUGUGAUACUUUUGUUUUGUCCUUUCUGAAUAUUAACUUCUUGAGUUUAAGCUCUCUGUUAAAAGAGUAUAACUGGAUUUAGAUUUUCUCAUCAAAGUUGUUUGCAAAUGUUGCAAAAUAUGAUAAUUUUCUUCCUUUGUUUUGUACAAGACCUGCAUUUUUCAAACCACUUUGGGAGUUUGCAAAUUAUUUAAGAUUCUUUCACAAGUUUUUCAGUGUAUUUCCUCAUAGGUUAAUGAGCGGCAAGUUUUCGAAUAUCUCUUUUUUGCGAAGUAAGUUUAAACUUUUGUUUUCUCCUUUUGAAUGUAUCUCUCUUUUUUUUUCUUUUUUCUUUUUACAGUUCUUUAUUAUAGAUAUUUCAUAAAAAUGUUCUAUGUUUGAAAGAGCCGUGAUACUUUUAUUUUGUCCUUUUUGAAUAUUAACUUCUUGAGUUUAAGUUUUACAGUUCUUUUUUAUGAGAUUUUGUAAAGAUGUUCUCUGUUUGAAAGAGCUGUGAUACUUUUGUUUUGUCCUUUCUAAAUAUUUACUUCUCGAAUGUAAGUUUUCUGUUAAUGAGUAUAACUGGAUUUAAAGUUUCUCCUCAAAGUUGUUUCUAAAUGUUGCCAAUUAUGACAUUUUUUUCCUUUCUCUGUUUUGUACAAGACCUACAUUUUGCAAACAACAAUGGGAGUUUCAAUUUGCUUUUGAAGAAAUGUCUUGCAAAGUAGUUUAGAUUCUUUCACAAGUUUUUCCAAUGCAGUGGCAAGUUUUCAAAUACAUUUUUUUUGCCAAAUAAGUUUAAACUUUUGUAAAAGAGAGUAUAAGUUUAAGUUUUUUGUUAAAGAGAGUAUAACUGGAUUUAAUGUUUCUCCUCAAAGUUCUUUCCAAAUGUUGCAAAUAGUGACAAUUGUCUUCCUUGCUCUAUUUUGUAAAGCAAGUUUUCAAGUAUCUCUUUUUUUCCAAAUAAGUUGAACUUUUAUUUUCUCCUUUUGAAAUAUCCUUUUACUUGUCGGAAGUUUUGACAUUUCGUUAAAAUCUCACUCUAUUUUAAAUUGUAACUAGAUUCGUCUUUUUAUACCAUUUUUCUUUUAAAGAACAUCACACGGGAAUCUCUUUAUUAAUAGCUAUAUAUGAACAGCGAGUUUUCAAAUAUCUCUUUUUUGCCAAAUUAGUUCAAUUUUGUUUUCUCCUUUUGAAUAUAUCUUUGUUUUUUUGGGAAUUUCUGACAUUUCGUAAAAGUAUCUCUCUCUCUGUGAGAGAGAGAAUGCAACCGGGUUUAAAGUUUUCUUUCAACAUGUUUGUAAAUGGUGGAAAUGAUUGUAUUUUUCUUCCUUACUCUGUUUUGUUUGAGAUUUACUAUUUUCAAUCAACAUUGGAUUGGGAGUUUACAUUUGCUUUUAAAGAAUGUCACACAAAUUAUUUUAGAUUCUAUAUACAAGUUUUACCAAGUUAUUUCUUUAUAGAUUUAUGAUCAGAAGGUUUGCAAGUAUCUCUUUUUCCCCAAAACUUAUAACUUUUGUUUUCUGUUUUUGUGUACCUCACUAUUUUGAAAUUUCUUAUCUCUGUUUUAAAUAAUUUUGGGACUUUUGUGUUGUCCUUUCUAAAUAUUAACUCCUUGAUUUAAAGUUUUCUUCCAUAAUUGUUUGUAUGGUGGAAAUGAUGGCAUUUUUAUUCCUUACUCUGUUUUGUACGAGACUUACUAUUUUCAAGAAUGUCAUGUGAAUUAAUUUAGAUUUUGUUGAGAGUUUCUCCAAUCGAUUUCUCAAUAGCUUCAUGAGAAUUAAUUUGCUUUUAAAGAAUGUCGUGUGAAUUAUUUGCAAAUCUCUCUUUUUUGCCAAAAGAACGUACACUACUAUUUUGUCCUUUUUUGUAUUUUUAAAAGUUCUGUGUUAAACAGAUUUCAUAAUAUAUCUCUCUGUUUUAAAGAAUUGUGAGUCUUUUACUUUGUUUUUUCAAAAUAUUAACUUCUUUAUUUUAGGUAUCCUGUCUUUAAGUAGCCGGAUUCAAAAUAUUCUUCUAAAGUCGUUUAAAAUGUUUUGUUAAAUAGAUCAUUCUAUUUUAAAAAUUGCAAGAGUUUUGUUUUGUCCUCUCUAAAUAUUAAGUUCUUGAAUUUAAGUUUCCUGCCUUUGAGUGACUAGAUUCAAUGAUUUUAUUAAAAGUAGUUUCCAAAUCUUACAAAUUAUGGCAAUUUUCCUCCAAACAAGACCUAUUGUUUUCAAACAACAUUGGGAGUUUAAAUUUGCUCUUAAAGAACGUCAUGCAAAUUAUUUUAGAUUCUAUCACAAGCUUUUCCAAUCUGAUUUUGAAUUACUUUACGAAGCCUGCUAGUAUCUCUUUUACGCGCCAAAAAACCUGAACUUUUGUUUUAUUCUUUAUCUUUAUCUCUCUGUUUUAAAAGUUCUUUCUUAAAGAGAUUUGUUAAUAUUUCUAUGUAAUAAAGAAUUGUGACCAUAUGAUUUCGUCCUUUCUAAAUAGACUUCUUGAAUUUUCUGUUUUUGAGUAACUGGAUCUAAAGUUUUCUUUGAAAUUAAAUUUCCAAAUGUUACAAAUUUGGGCAAAUUUGUGCAAGACCUACUAUGUUUCCAAAUUACAUUGGAAGUUUAAAUUGGCUUCUAGAGAACGUCAAGCAAAUUAUAUUAGAUUCUAUCACAAGAUAUUCCAAUCUCUUUCUCAAUAGCUUAAUGAGCAGAAGGUUUGCACGUAUCUCCUUUUUUCCAAAAAACUUAAACUUUUGUUUUCUCUUUUGUAUACUUAUCACUCUAUUUUAAAAGAUCUUUGUUAAAGAGAUUUCCUAAUAUUUCUCUUGGUUUUAAAGAAUUCCGAUACUUUUGUUUUCUCCUUUCUUAAUAUUAAAGUUUUCUGUCAAAGAGCAAUCAGAUUUAAAGUUGUCUAAUAAAGUCAUUACCAUAUAUUGCAAAUCAUGGCAAUCUUCUUUCGUAGUCUGAUUUGUACAAGGCAUACUAUUUUUAAAACAACAUUAGGAAUUUAAAUUUGCUUAUAAAGAACAUCUAGCAAAUUAUUUUAUUAUCUAUGACAAGUUGUUCGAAUUUAUUUCUCCAUAGCUUUAUGAGCAAAAGGUUUGCUAGUAUCUCGUUUUCUUCAAAAAACUUUGACUUUUGUUCUGUCCUUUUGUAUACUUGUCUCUUUAAUUUAAAAGGUUCUUUGUUAAAGAGAUACCCUAAUAUGUCUUUCUGUCUUAAAGAAUGUGAGAAUUUUAUUUUGUCUUUUCUACAUAUUAAGGAUUCCAAGUUCUUUUUUUUUCCAAAGUCGUUUUCAAAGGUUGAAAAUCUUGGCAUUUUUCUUCCUUACUUUGAUUUGUAUAAGACCUACUAUUUUUCAUACAACAUUGGGAAUUUAAAUUUUCUUUUAAAGAGAUUUCCUAAUAUCUCUCUCAGUUUUAAAAAAUUGUGAGACUUUGUUUUUGUUUCUUUUUAAGUAUUAAGUUCUUGAUUUUAAGUAUUCUGUCAUUGAGUGACCUGAUUUAAAGCUUUCUUUCAAAGUAGUGUACAAAUGUUGCCAAUUUUGGCAAUUUUUUCCUUACUCUGUUUUUGUACAAGACCAACUAUUUUCAAACGUAAUUGAGAGUUCAAAUUUUCUUUGAAAUUUCCAAUCUAUUUUUCAAUAGGUUUUUGAGCAGAAAGUUUGGUAGAAUUUCUUCGGUAGAGAGAUUUCCUAAUAUCUCUGUGUUUUAAAGAGCUGAGACUUCUAUUUUGUUUGCCUUUAAAGAACUUCAUGCAAAUUAUUUUAGAUACUAUCACAAUUGUUUUCAAUCUAUUUUGCAAUAGGUUUGCUAGAAUCUAAUAUUUUGCCAAAAAUCUUAGGCUUUUGUUUUCUCCUUUUUGUGUACUUAUACCUCUCUGUUUUAAAAGUUCUUUGUUAAACAGUCUCCCCCAUUAUCUCUCUCUGUUUUAAAGAAUUUUGAGACUUUUGUGUUGGCAUUUCUGAAUAUUAGCUUCUUGAUUCUAAGUUUUCUAUCAAAAAGUACUUGGGUUUAAAGUUUUCUUUCAAAUUUUUUGUAAAUUGCGGAAAUGAUGGUUAUUUCCUUCUUUACUCUGUUUUGUCCGAGAUCUACUAUUUCCAAUCGACAUUGGGAUUCCAAUUUACUUAUAAAGAAGCCAUGCAAAUCAUUUUUGAUUCUACACACAAGUUUUUCCAAUCUAUUUCGUAAUAGCCUUGUGAGCAAAAGGUUUGCAAGUAUCUCUUUUUUUCCCAUAUCUUAAAACUUUUGUUUUCUCCGUCUGUCUACUUAUUUCUCUGUUUGAAAAGUUCUUUGUUAAACAGAUUUUCUAAUAUCUCUCUUUGUUUUAAAGAAUUCUGAGACUUCUUGUGCUUUCUAAAUAUUAACUAUUGAUUUGAAAUUUUUCUAUCACAUAGCAACCAGAUUGAAAGUUUUCUUUCAUAACCGUUUGUAAAUGGUGGAGAGUUGAUGGCAUUUUUCUUCCUUACUCUGUUUUGUACAGGAUUUACUAUUUUAAAAAAGCAUUGGGAGUUUAAAUUUGCUUUUAAAGAACGUCAUGUAAGUUAAUUUAGAUUCAAUCUCAAGUUUUUUCAACUGAUUUCUCAAUAGCUCAUGAGUAGUAGGCAUGUAAAUCUCUCUUUUUUGCCAAAAGAACAUACACUAUUUUUUUGUUGUUUUGUAUUUUUAAAAGUUCUUUGUUAAAUAGAAUUUCUAAUAUAUAUCUCUGUUGUGAGACUUUCAUUUUGUUUUUUCAAAAUGUUUACUUCUUGAUUUUAAGUAUCCUGUCUUCGAGUAACUGGAUUCAAUUUUUUUUCCAAAGUCGUUCCAAAUGUUUUCUUAAACAGAUUAUCUAAUCCCUCUUUUUAAAAAAUUGCAAGACUUUUGUUUUUUCCUUUCUAAAUAUUAACUUCUGGACUUUAAGUUUCCUGCCUUUGAGUGACUGGAUUCAACAUUUUCAUUAGACUAGCUCCCAUAUCUUGCAAAUUAUGGCAAGCUUCCUCCAAACUUUGUUAUGUACAAGGCCUACUAUAUUCAAACAACAUUAGGAGUUUAAACUUGCUUCUAAAGGAUGUCAUCCAAAUUCUUUUAGAUUCCAUCACAAGUUUAUCAAACUAUCUCUCAAUAGCUCUAUGAGUAGUGUGUUUGCAAAUAUCUCUUUUGUGCCACUUUUGUUUUCUCAUUUUGUUUACUUAUCUCUGUUUUAAAAGUUCUCUGUUAAAGAGAUUACCUUUUUUUCUCUAUUCUACAGAAUUUUGAGAUAUAUGUUUUUUCCAUUAUAAAUAUCUACUUCUUGAUUGCAAGUUUUCUGUCCUAGAGGAAUUCAAAGUUGUUUACAUAUGUUGCAAAUAAAGACAAUUUUCUUCCUUACUCUAUUUUGUAUAAGACCUACUAUUUUCAAACAUUGUAAGUUUAAAUUUGCUUUCGAAGAAUGUCAUGCAUAUUAUUUUAGAUUCUAUUACAAGUUUUUCAAUUUAUUUCUCAUUAGGUUUAUGAGCAGGAAGUUUUAAAAUAUCUUUUUCUGCAAAAUAAGUUAAAACUCUGGUUUUCUCCUUCUCUAUAUAUGUUUGUUUUUUAAAAGUUCUUUCUCAGUGAGGUUUUGGAACAUGUCUGUCUGUUUUUAAGAAUAGUGAGACUUCUUAAUUUUCAGUUUUGGUAACUGGAUUGCAAUUUUCUAUAUAUCACUGAGACCUGUUAUUUUGAAACAAAAUUUGGAGUAUAAAUUUGCCUUUAAAGAACAUAAUGCGCAUUAUGGUAGAUUUUAUCAAGUGUUAGUCGAAUCUAUUUCUCAGUUGCUUUAUUAACUGCAAGUUUUUAGAUAUCUCAAUAGCAAUGGUAGUUGACAUAAGUAAGAUGAUCUACUUGAUUGUUGAGAGAGCAUUGUCAACAAGGUUCCAAAUUGGCAUUUGACAAUUUCACAUGUCUCUCACUUAUUAUUUUUUUGAUGAUCAAGUGGUUUUUUGGGCUAACUAAAGGAGGAGAAUGUCUAGGCUGCUAAAUUUCGACUUAUCUUGGCUUUCUUGGGUUAGCAAAAUUUAAGGACAAAGUAAUAAUAGUGUCUAGUGAUAAGUGGAAGGAUUCAUAUGUCCAUUGAUGGUGUUUAGAUUGGAGAGCCGCAAAUGAGGUGUCCAUGUGAUGUUCUGGAAAAUGGUUUUUGGUGGCUGACUAGUAAGAUUGAUCAUAGAGAGAUCACUGACGUUAGAGUAUGACAAAACUGGUGGGGGGCGAAGGAUGGUUGACAAGGAUGGGUUUUGAUUGAUAUCUGGUGGAAAUUUGUUGACUAACUAUUAUACCAUUAGAAAGCCCUAGUAUGCUCUCGAGGUCUCAGUGUGGUGAGCUGGAAAAUGGUUUUCUAUGGCUGACUGAUAAGAUUGAUUAUAGAGAGAUCACUGAAAAUAGAGUAUGACACUACUGGUGGGUGAGCGAAGGAUGGUGGACAAGGAUGAGUUUGAUUGAAAUAUGCUUUCUACUUCUGCUAUUUGUACGUUGUGAAUUGGCAUGUUCUACUCAUUUGUUUAUCCCCAUAUUAUGGGUUUUCCUGCUUGACCUUGCUCUGUCUUAACGAAGAAAACAGUGGGUCUAUAUAAAAUCAAAUCAAGAUAGGUAUUUCAAGAAAGAAAUUCUUUGAAGUUUUUCUUUGUUACUAGAUUUUCUUGUGAUUACUGCUCCAGUCAUUUUCCUUUUCAUGUUUCUGGGUCUUUGUAUGGCAUAGGAGAUUCGGCAGCUAUAUUGAUCUUGUUAGUUGAUUACAGGAUGAUUUGUAUAAUUUUCUAGUUUUGGGCGAUUAUUGGUUGGAGGUUGAUGUGGAACAAUUUGUGUAAUUUUGAGGAAGUAUCAUUUGCAGUGAGUAGAUGUUAUAAUAUUAAAAUAUUUAGCUAUGGAAUGGUCUCUAUAAUUUUGCAUGCCUAUUGAUCGAAACUCCAAUUUAGGGUCGAGAAAAGCUGCGUGAUAAGGGUAAUGAUGGUCUUCACUGGGAUUGAGUAUGAAGUUUGGAAGAAGAAAAGUGACAGGAUGUAGGACUAAAGCAGUUUUAAGAGCUUUACGUAAUGUUAAAUUAGUGGAUAUUUGAUAAUACUUUGGUUAUGUUCAAUUUUUUUACUUAUUGUGGUGAGAAACCUAGAAGGAUAAAUGAAAUGAUUCAUAUGAUUUUGCUUGAUUAUUGAGGAUGAUGAGCGGCACUUUGAGAAUAUUCGUUUAAGAGGCUAAGUUAAAUAAAAACAAAUAUAGAACCAGACAGCUUCCAGAGCAAGUGAUUUUGAUCAUUUUUUUGGAGGUAUAUUGAUUAUAAAAAUGAUUAUUAUCAUUUUGGGUGAGUGUUUCAAAUUGACAUUUGACGUGUUUCGGCAGUAAAAUUUGCUUUUGACUUGCAAGAGAUAGUUUACUGGACAGAAGUUUGUCAAUUUAUGAAAUGAGCCACCCAAAUGCCAAAUGAAAAUUGCAUAUCUUUUAAUUGUCAUUAGGAGAGCUUUUUUCUGUCACGACUAAUGUGUUCUUUGUAAAUGGUAUGAAUACUUGCGGCAAGGACAACUUUUUCUGACUUCUUUUUAACAAAAAAAUGUCAAGACAAACACAUUAAGUUAUUUUUGGAUGACACCAUAUGUUAAAUUAUGUGGUCCUUGGAUUUUUAACUCUAUAGUCCUCUGUCAUUUUCACUUUGAUUGGUUGGCUACUUUUCUGUCUUAAGCAUAUGUACGUUUUCCGAAGAAACCAAUAUAAGAUCAAACUAAAUUCCACCCGGUUAGUUUGUGAGACCAUUUGGCAGGAGCUGAGGGAAUUAUGUUUGGGGAUUUGAUGAGCUAUCAAAUUUAGUGAUGGACUAGAGACGAGGGAACUAUGUUGAUAUUGUGAGUUGAUUGUGGAAUGGUUUUAAUAAUUUUGGGUGACUUUUUGAGCUUGACCUUUGAUUGUUUUUCAUAAGUGGGGUUGAUUAUUUGAGAUUAAUGGUUGGCAAAUUUCAAGGAUGAAAUUCUGUUGAGGUAAUUCUCAUGUCCUUAUUUUAGAAUGAAAUGUAGAGCAUAAUAAUUUUGGGGUUGUUUUCUUAUGUUUGAUAUCUCAAGUGAUGGGUUCUUUUAAGAAAUUAUGAGGUUGAUGUUCUGCAAAUUGGUGGACAACGUUUAAUGGGGCAGAAGCUAUAUGUUGCUGUUGGAAAGAAAUGUAGAGUAGAUGAUUGUUGGAGUAUGAUUUCUAGAACUUUUGAUGGGUGAAGGUGAGUUGAUUGCAAAAUGGUUUCUGUAGUUUUGGGUGAUUAUGUGAUGUUGACGUUGGAAUGAUUGAACUUUGCGCGAUUGUUUGCUAUGGAUGUUCAGCAAAUUUCAAAUAUGGAAUUCAUUUGAGGUGAAUAUUUGCUAGUGUCCUGAUUUUAGGAAGAAAUAUAGAGUAGAAUAAUUUUGAUGUUGAUGCUUGCGCUCCAUUUUCUUUAGUUUCAAUACUGAGUCAUUGGUUCCCCUGAGGUGAUUGUUGGAGUAUUGAUUUCUCUAACUUUUGCACUUGAGUUGAUUGAGGAAUCAUUUAAAUAGAGCCUUGGGUGAUUAUUUAAGCUCGACGUUAGGAUGAUUGUUAUUAUUUUGGGUGAGUAUUUGACAUUGAUCUUUGGCGACUUUCAAGGGUGAAAUUCAUUUGAGGUGACGAGAUGCUAGUGUCCUGACUUUAGGGAGAAACAUAGAGCAGAAUAAUUUUGGGUAGAUGUUGUGCAGUGGCAGACUUUGCACAUUUUAUCAGUGGGUGCAAAUAAACUGGGCAGGACAAAGUGAAUACCUAAAACGUUGAAUUAUUGAAAUCAGUUAUUUUCUGGGAUUUUUAAAGAAGAAUGAUCGUUGGAGUACUGAUUUUAUAGAACAUAAGCUACUUUGCUAGUGUCCUGUUUUCUGAAGUUGAUAUAGAGUCAUAGGUUCCCUUGAGAAAUUUUGUGGUUGAUGUUUUGCAAGUUAGUUAGCAAAUCCAUAAGGGGGCAGACGUGCCAUAUUAUUUGAAUCUCCAUUUAGUUUACCCUUUGGUGUUCCUUCUUGAUCUUGCUUUGUCUUAAUAUAACACAAGGGGAUCUAUAUAAAUUGGAAUCAUGAGCAAUUCUGUCAGGAAAGAAAAUUAUAGAUCGAACAUUUGCCUUUUGUUGGCUAUAUUAUUUUGUGAUUACUGUUGCAAUCAUGUUCCUUUUCAAGUUUCCCUGAUCUUUAAAUAGACACAAAUAUGGGGUGGCUAUGUCAAUCUUCUGUAUACUAUUGAAGUGAUUUUAUUUUUCAUGUUUUCUACUGUUUUGAUGGCUCUGUUUGUAAACCUUUGUGACUCUAGCGAGUUUCUCUGUGCACGGUUAUUAUUUUACUUUUGAAACAAGCAGUAUUGUCCCACUUAAGGGGAGUAAUCAUGUCCAGUCGAGCUGAUAAUAAUGCCAAGCUUGAUCUUGAAGCUCAUUUGUGUUAGAAUUUCUGCCUGAACUUGCCUUAAUAGAGAAUCGAAAUAAUCGAGCUUAAGCUAGAUUACAAAUCAAUACUCUUUAAGCUAUCAAGCUUAAACUAGAUUAAAGUCAAUGCUCUCAAGCUUGACCUUAUAUACUCUCAAUCGAGUAUAUGAUUUGUUUUUGUGACUAUGUGACUAGCAAAAUAUUAAUGAAAAAACAAAAGCUCUAUUAAGCUUACAAGCGUGUCAAGCUGAGCUCGACUCGAUAAGAUACUUACGUAGCUCAGACUUUGAGCUUGACUUGAAACCAUAUGAGGUGAUUUCUCAAGUCAAGCCCAAACUACUCUCUCGACAUGAUUUCACCCUUGUCCCAUUGUAUACGAGAUGGAUAUCUCAUUAUUUUUCCUAAAUCUCAUAAUAUCUUGUUCUUUAACAGUAAUUGUGUUUUGUUCAGGUGAUUAUGGAUAAAGCAUCCUGUGGUAAGAAAUUGGUCUUCAGGUGGGCAGGUUUUAUGUGAGAGAGAGAGAGAGGGUACAAGUUCACACUCCCUUUGAGCAACUGAUUUUAAUUAUAGUCAGCUUAUAAUUUUGGCAAUGUAUUUCAUAUCAAUAUGCAACUGAUAUAGUUAACUAAUCUACCUUAAGUGGGAUAUUUGUGCAAUAAGUUCGACACUAUAUUUUGACAAAUUUUUGUUUGACCAAUUUAAUUGUAGAUUAUCCAUUCAUUCAUCUGGUACUUAUUUUUAUUCAUUGCAUACUUAAAUGAAUUUAGAUCAUUUUCGGGAAAGGUAGUUAAAUACUCGUGGUUUAGAUUAAGUUGAUUAUUACUGAAGUGAGUAAAUGAUGAGGAAAUUUGACAUGGUUGAUUUGCACUCGUAAUGAUUUUUAUGGCAGUGAAGUUUUGUUAUGAUACAUGCUGAUAAAAGAUGAAAUCAUUGACAUGUUAGAUUGGCAUUGGGCUAUAAGUACUUGAACUAUGUAGAAUAUGUCCCUCAAGGGAUUGACUUUUUCUAUUAUAUGCAUGCAAAUAAUUGAGAAAUAAGGUAAAAAUGUAUUAUGGCGAUACCUCAAAAUGUUAUGUACUCAUUGAAUGUUACUAUGCUAUUUUGCUCUUGGCAAGAUUAUCUCAUACCUUAAACAUAGAGAUUUCAUUUAUUGUGCUUAGGAACUUUUCAAAAUACGUUAUAGAUUAGUAGAGUUUUUGGAGUUUAGAUUUGUGCUUUUGAAUCUCUUUUAAGGUUUGGAUCACAGUACACAACAAGAGUAGAGGUGUAUAUUUUAUGUAGGGAGUAUUGAUUAUGUAUAUUUUGUACAUCAUUUGAGGCGAAAUUAUUUUUCAUUUGAAGUUCAAAUUUUAUGGGAAUUUCAAGUGGUGACAAUUUUUGGUAUUAAACAGGUUAAUGGAGUGAUAAAAUAGAAUUAGAUAGUGUGGAUAUAGACUUUGAGUUUCAUGAUUAAUUUGGUGGAGGAAUUGUUGAAAUAAUAAGUUUCGAAAGAAAGAUUAAUAGGUUAUUUGAUAAGUUAUGAUCUUUGGGAAUUUAGUAUAUCUGAUGGAGCCAUGAAUCCUAGUAUUGGUUGAUUUACAUCAUGGUUAGAGUGGAUGUUAGAAGUGUUUAAGUUUUAAUUUAAACCUCAGGCAAUGAGUGAUUGUCUUUUUGGUGUUUGGAUAUUUUCGCCAAGUCGCAAGUUAUUGUUUCUGUCAUAAGUAUUAAAAUAUGAAAUGGUUGAGAUUUAGUCACUGGUGAAAUUAGGCAAAUUUAGAUCGCAAAACACAAACUUUAAGGUAUUAAUUUAUAAUAAUAGUGGAUGAUCCUUUAGCGAUAUGUCACGAUCAAUUUUAUGACAAUUUAUGAUCUUUAGAUGUAAGUCGUGAUUUUGAGGAUUAUUACAUCGUAAUUGGAGGAGAUUAAAAGGAGAAUUUAUAUUGGAAGUCUCAAUAGGUUACAUGGUGAUAUUUAGUAUAAUAAGAAUUGAUCUUAGAGGAAGUAAGCUUGAAAAUUAAAUUUCCUUCGGUGUAACAUGUGUGAUCUUCGUAACUGUAGGUUGUGAUAUUUUUAGUAGUAUAUUAUGAUCUUACAUUAAAGAGUUUUGCAGAAGUAGUAGGCAAGAUCUUCAUAACUGUAGGUUGUGAUCUUCAUAGUUGUAGGUUAUGAUCUUUUGAGUAGUAUAUUAUGAUCUUACUUUAAAGAGUUUUGCGGAACUAGUAGGCAAGAUCUUCGUAACUGUAGGUUGCGAUCUUCAUAGUUGUAGGUUAUGAUCUUUUGAGUAGUAUAUAUGAUCUUACUUUAAAGAGUUUUGUGGAGCUAAGUAGCUAAGAUCAAUUUCAACUGAGGUUUCAUUUGUAAGUCAAGUUGAUUGAAUUUUAUUGAAAAGUAGAUGAGUUCAAAUUUUGGUGAUUUAGGAAGUUAUAGGCAUUCAAUCUUAAGUGAUGACUUUUUGAGUGGUGACAUUUUUAUGAGGAUUUGCGGUAUAAAUAUAAGUUCUUGUUUUGGUGAUCCUCGUCCUGGAGAGGAAUACAGUACAUUGCCUUGGGAGAAAGUUGAGAUAAAAUUAGAGGAAGUAGAUCUUAUCUUAGUGUUAUGAUUCAGAAUACCAUAGUCGUAUUCAAAUAUAGUGAUGUUAAGAGUGUUUAGGGUGCAUUAAAAGUUUUUUUUUUUUUUGGUGAAAGGUAAUAAAUAUAUUGAGGAGAGGCGAAAAGUUAAUAAAUCCAUUUUGCUUGAAGGAGUAAUUUUGAACUAAUGCUAUCAAUGAGCUCUACUUGAGGAGUUAUUAAGAACAUUAAAAGUAUUUGGAGGUUUUUAUACAAUACACGAGUUGAUUUAGACAAAAUCUUAAUGUGGAUGUUGUGAUAUACUAAGGCUGUCUUAAUUUCAAGGAGUCUCGUAGGAUGAUAUUUGCCUUGUUUGUAAGCGUAGUUAACUAUCGAUGGUAGUAUAAAUGCUUGGUUCGUAUUUUGUAGUAUGGACCACCAAUCAAUCAAUGAACACUAAUUGUUCAAUUUUAUCUUCCUAGUAUCUUUAUGCUCUAGCGUCUUUUUACAUGGCUGAUCAUGAUUGCCUCUAGUAUUCGUACUUUUAAUUUUCUCAUCAAUUCGCGUUCCUAUCUAAGAAUUAGCAAAGGACCAUCAUAUCUUUUGUCGAUUGGUUUAGCGAUCUAUCUUUUGAAAGAUGCAUUGUUGGCCCUUUACAAAUCCAAUGAAUGAUACAAAAUGGUUCCAUUUCCAUAUAUUGAACCUCAAACCAAAGUAUACCCAAAAAAAUGAACUUUCAAUAAAGAGUUGAUAUAUCUAUCAGGAUGUUUAUCGUGAUGUCAAUAUUGCAUUGAGAAAUUGACCUUGUUCAAGCUUUGAUUUGAUUUCAUUUGGUGUCAAAUAGAUUUGUUUAACCGUCCUAGUGGUGAUCUACAGAUCUAGGCCUGGCCCGUCUAAAGUUUUGCUCGAGUGCCCCUAAAGUCUCAUGUUCUAUGUCUAUGCACUGUCUACAUGAAAUUUACGUUGGCAUUUUAGUUUGUUCAAAUUUUGACUUGUCAUUGUUUGAUUAACUUCUGUUCUUUAUUCGUCUAUUUAAAUUUUCAUUGAUGAACAAUCUACUAACUGCAUUGGGAAAAGAAUUUUUAUCUACUUUCAGUUUUGGGCAUGAUUAUGCCGUUCAGUGAAGUGUCUCCUGUAAUAAUUUUAUUGCAAUUAGAUCAGUGUCAUGUAUUCCAUCAAAUGUUUUUAUUCAUUAGGACUUUCCAAAGAUUGGCGAUGUAAACUUUGUCCGUCACUUGAUGGCAUAAACAUUAAAUGAAGAGAAGAUAUUGUCUUCAUUCGGUGUAGGUGGGUUCAACCUACAUACACUGUUAGAUCAUGUAAGUCAUACAUAAGAUCCCCUCACGGCUGAACUAGGCAAAGCACCGGGUUCGGUACUUCUCUCUGAUGACUUGGACUAAUCAUAUAUAGGAGUUAUGGCUUAAAAUCAUCCGCUAACAAUGUAUGGGAAAAGCGCAAAUCAGGUUUUUUAACAUGUUUUGCUGGUAAAGGACCUCGUGAGAUACUUUACAUACUAUACACUCUACGUAAUGGAAGAACAAGUCGAACUAAUAUCUUGCGCAUGGAGUUCUCUUACUGGCAGCAAACUCUUAAUUCAUAAAUGCAGAACACUUAAAGAUAUUGGAAACAAGUUAUACAUAGUUUAGCACAAGAGACUACCUUUCCUGAUUUUACUUGCUCGAUUGCAUUGUCUCCAUGGGUAUCCACCAGUGACUGAUGGCUUAAUCGUGGCCUUAAAAGAGAUUUUUGAAUGUGAACUUGAACUCGCUAUGCCAUUGCCAGCAGAACUCUAAUGUCGGUUUAGAUAGCGCAGCCAAAACGAGGACUUGAAACAAGAACGGGAAAAAGUUGUCCAAUAAAUGCUAGUAGUUACAAAUUGAUUUGGUGUAGGCGUUUUGUCAAACACGUCAAAGGUGGUAGCCCCAGACAUUCAUGUUCCUCCUUAAUGUAUUCGAGCUAAAUCUCAAUAUGUGGUUGCAUGGAUGCAAACUAAUAUGAUAAAUUAUAAGUCUUUUCCCCCAUCUUUAGGCUCUUUGUAGAUUCUGAAGCCCACCACCAAUUCUCUAGCAACGUAAGGCCUAGGAUUUUGGGCAAGUUUGCUCUUAGGACGCACAAUUCUAGCUCAAGCAUUCAAGGCCAGAUUCUUAUGCACGACUUCGACUCAGGAGUGAAGGCAAAUAAUUGUCGGCCCACUUUUCAAGCCCAUUCAGGAUUGGAGGCUAUAGACAAAACUCAAAAACUCAAAAUCAGAAGGAAAAAGUUUGUACCAUAAUAGAGCACAGGCACAGCACGCUAAUAUAAAACUAGGCGAACCUAAGGGAGCACAAGAAUGUUUAAAAGAAUGAUUCGACCUGUAUCAUCAUCAAAUAUAGGAUUUUGGAACUACUAUGGCUUUGGUUUAAGGUUUUUAAUUUUAGGACGUGGGCUCACAGACCGGCCGCCCGUGUGGGCAUAUCUGAUUUGUUCCAAUUAGCCAUGCUGGCCAAGCCAUUAUGAUGCUAAUCCAGAAUAUGGGCCUAUAUUGUUGCAGUGCUGAAUGAAAUCUUAUUAAAUUAUGAUAAGCAUGUGUCGGAAAAAAAUGUAAAAAAUUCCAUAGCAAGCCCUAUUUUUCAAUACACUAUUUGCCCAAAUCAAAUGAGCCAGAAGAUUAAAUUGAAAGAGUCCUCAACUUUAGUUGUAGUCCCAAUUUCAUCCCAAAUUUUUUUUUCUCAUAAAAACUUUUAGAUUAGUCCCAAAUCUGCCUUCACGUCCUAAGAUCACCAUUGAUUUUUGCAAUAUUAUCAACAUCAGGAUAUUAUUAUUAUUAUUAUUUUACAACGUGAGGAUGUUGAUGAAAGUGCAUGUUAGGUUUUGAUAAUGAACUUUUAACUGAUUUCGAUGUCGAUAAUUUUGAGCAAACUAGUGGUGAUUUUUGGACGUGUGGAUAGAUUUUGGAUUAAAGUGAAAGUUGAGGAUUUUUUAUGGGAUAAAAAAAAAUGGGGCAAAAGUAAGAUUGAACUAAAAGUUAAUAUUUUUUCGGGAAUUAGAAGUGCUUGAGUCAUUGAUCUAAGAAAUGAUAGGUUUAAGUGAUGAUUAAUAAAGUUAUAAUGAUUAAUAAAGUUAUAAACUUGAGAGGGAUUGAAUUUUAUUGAAAAGUAGAUAAGUUCUAAUUUUGGUGAUCUAGGAAGUUAUAGGCAUCCAAUCUUAAGUGAUGACUUUUUGAGUGGUGACAUUUUUAUGAGGAUUUGUGGUUUAAGUUUAUGUUCUGGUGAUUCCUACAAAGGAAUAUAGUAUAUUGCCUUGGGAGAAAAUUGAGAUAAAAUUCGAGGAAGUAGACCUUAUCUUAGUGUUACAAUUAAGAGUACCACAGUCUAUUCAAAUAUAGUGAUGUUAGGAAUGUUUAGGGUGUAUUAUAAGUUAUUAAUUCCGUGGUGCUUAAAAGGACUAAUUUUGAAAUAAUGUUAUCGAUGAGCUCUGUUUGAGGAGUUAUUAAGAGCAGUAAAAGUAUUUGGAGGUUUUUAUACAAUGCAUUAGAAUUGAUUUAGACAAAAUCUUCACAUGGAUGAUGCGACAUUCUAAGGCUGUCUUAAUUUUAAAGAGUCACAUAGGACAAUAUUUGCCUUCUUUGUACUGUUAACUGUAGGUGGUAAUAUAAAUGCUUGAUUUGUAGUUCGUAAUAUGAACCACCAAUCAAUCAAUGAACACUAUAAUUGUUCAAUUUUAUCUUCCUAUUAUCUUUACAUUCCAGCAUCUUUUUACAUGGCUGGCCACAAUUGCCUUUAGUAUUUGUACUUUGAAUUUUUCAUCAAUUCUCGUUUUCUAUCUAAGAAUCGGCAAAGGAUCCCUCAUAUUUGUUGUCGAUUGGUUUAGCAGUCUAUCUUUUGAAAGAUGCAUUGCCUGAUACUUUUCGAUGAAACAUAUACAUAUCAAAUGAAUGUUACAAAAUGGUUCCAUUUCUAUAUAUCGAACCUCCAUCAUUUUCUCUCAUUUUAGACACUCGUGUUUUAUAUAACUUAAGAAACCAAAUUGCACCAAAAAAUAAACUUUCAAUCAAGACUGGAGACAUCUAUCAGGAUGUUUAUCGAGAUGUCGAUAUUGCAUUGAGAAAACUGAACUUGUUCAAGCUUUGGUUUGAUUUCAUUUGGGGUUAAAUAGAUUUGUUCAGCCGUCCUAGUAGGGAUCUAGGCCUGGCCCGUCUAAAGUCCUGCUCGAGUGCCCUUCAUGUCUCAUGUUAAAUGUCGAUCCACGGUCUACAUGAAAUUUUCCGUAGGCGUUUCAAUUUCUUCAAACGUAGACUUGUAAUUGUUGGAUCAACUUUUAAAAAACAAAAAAAUUCACUGCUGAACAAUCUGCUUACUGUCUGUCAUCGGUAAAAGAACUUUUACCUGCUUUCACUUUUGUGGGUGACUGCCAUUCAGCGAAGUGUGUUUUGCAAUAAUUAUAUCGCCUGAACAAUUAGACCAAUAUUGUGUAAUCCAUCAAACAUUUGUAUUCAUUACACGAUCUUCAAAGAGCUGCGAUGUAAACUUCAUCUAUCACAUGAUGGCAUAAACAUUACAUGAAGAGCGGGUAUUGUCUACAUUCGAUAUAAGUGGGUCCAACUCACUGCAUCGUUAGAUCAUAUAACCUCACAUGUGAACUGGGCAAGCACUGGAUUCAGUACUUCUCUCUAUUGACUUGGACCAACCGUAUAGAGGAUUGUUAUAGCUUGAAAUCCUCGCAUAACAAUGUAUGUGAAAGCACACAGCCAUCUUUACAUGUUUUGUCGGUGAAGGGCUUUGUGAGAUGCUUUACUUACUAUUCCCUCAACACCGUUAUGGAAACAAUAUCUUGUGAAUGGAGUUCUCUUAUAGGCAGCAAAUUCUUAAGUCGUAAAUGCAGACCAUUCAAAGAUAUUGGAAACAAGUUAGACAUAGUUGAGCUGAAUGCAUAUUCUCCAUGGGUAUCCACCAGUGACUGAUGGUUUAAUCCUGGCCUUAAAAGAGGUUUUGGAAUGUGAAUUUGAACUCAUUAUGCCAUUGCCAGCAAACCCCAAACGUCAGUUUAGAUACGCAACCAAAACUAGGACUUGGGAGAAGAACUUGAAAAAGCUGUCCAAUGAAUGCUGGCAGUAACACAAGGAAUAUGAUUUGGUGUAGGCAUUCUGUCAAACAGGUAACAGGGUUGGCAGCCCCAUACAUUUAUGUUUUCUCCUUCAUGUUUUCGAACUAAAUCUCAAUAAAUGGUUGCAUGCAUGCAAGCUAACAUAAUAAAUUAUAGAUCUUUCCCCCAUCUUUAGGCUCUUUGUAGAUUCUGAAGCCCACCGCCAAUUCUCUAGCAAUGUAAGGCCUAGGAUUUUGGGCAAGUUUACUCUUAGGACGCACUAUUCUAGCUCAAGCAUUCAAGGCCAGAUUCUUAUACACGACUUUGAUUCAGGAGUCAAGGAAUAUAACUGUCGGCCCACUUGCCCGGCCCAUUCAUGGGUGGAGGCUGUGGAUAAAACUCUUUUAAACUCACACUAAGACGGAAAAAGUCUGUACCAUGUCAGGGUACAGGCAGAACAGCACGCUAAUAUGAAACUAAGCGAACCUAAUGUGACAUCCAGAUUUUCGGGUCCUAAUUUCGACUGGAUAAAUAGGGCCGCUUUGGUUCAGUUGAAGCUAAGGAUUGUGGAAUUGGGAUGCAAGUGGGCUAUAUUGGUAAGGAAAAAUACCAAUUGGAAUGACGAGGUGUUAAAUGAAAUUAUGGGAGUCAAUUUAAAUUGAAUCAAGAGGGAUUAAGGUCCAAUUGGGAAGAGAACUUGGCAAAAUUCGUAUGCCACCUCUACCCCAAACUUUGGCCUACCUAAAUGCUUCUAGAAGGGGUAGUUUUGGGCUAGAAAUGUGAGUGGAUGACAGCCAUGGUGGCCCACGUAUGGCUGACCUAAGAGAGAGAGUGAGGGAAAGAGAAAGAAAAUUUGGUUUUCUCUUCUUCUCUUCUCUCUUCCGUCGACACCCUCUCUCCCUCUUCUUGCUGCUCGUGCCAUGGCUGUGCGAAGACCAGAGCAGCCGAAGCAGUAGCAGCAGCUUCGCCCGUCGCCGCCUCUCGCCGCCGCCGUCGGACGCCCGCAAGCACCGGAACUGCUCGCGCACCCGAGCCCGCUGCCGUGCUGCUGUCUGCACAUCUCCGCCCCCUCUCCCUCCUCUAGUUCGAACGAAGCAGAAGCAGGGACAGUAGCCAUGUUGUUCGAAGCAGGAGCCGCCAUCACCGUCACGCCGGAGCUGCCUUCGCCGUCGUGCCGGAACGCUGCCGCCGUUCGUCUCUUGCUCGCCCGCUUGAACGCCGUCCACCCUCUGUCUUCCUCUCCGUUCGUUGCUCGGGGUUCCAGAUCUGGGAGGACACCGGAGUUGGGGCAGCAGCUGGCGUUGUUGGACCGGAGCUGCCGCACCGCCGCCCGCGCGACGCCGUGCGCUCCGCCGCUGCUCCGCUCAGCUCGGUCUCCCUCUCGCCCAACUCGCUGUUCCAGAGCUGCUGUCCAACCCCUGUUCCGCCUCUGUUCAGCUUCGUUUUGGCCAUCACAGGCCACGGUUCGGCCACCUCCGGCCACCGUGCGCCGCCACUUCGACCUGUCGGAGUCCCCUCGCCCUCCACCGGCCUUGGCUAGCUCGAAUCAGCCCCGGAUCCGCCCCUUCCAGCAGCGAUCAGAGAAGUCAGAAAAUGGGUUUGCAGCAACUGUUUGGCCCGUUUUGGCCGCCUUCCCGAGCCCGGAGGCUCGGCACGCUUUGAGGAAAGUUGAUCCUCGCGUCGAGCCCGUCGUUUUGAGUUAGUUUUACUCACUAAUGCCUCCUUAGUGUGCUAAUUACACUUAAAGGUUGAUUAGUUUUAAUUAAAUGUAAUUAGGUUGUUAGAUUAGAAUUGAUUAGUGAUUAUUAGUUAAUUGCUUUGCAUAUUAGUUGUGUGGUUAGUGUAAUUAGAUAGUGAAUUGCAUGUAGUAUUUAUUGGAUGCUUCUUGGGAUUUUUCCCGUCCCUUAUCGGGUGUUAAUUAAGCGAUUCGGGCCUAGGUGGUAUUUUUAGGAAUUAAAUAUUAAUUUUCGAAAUUAAUUAUUUAAUUAUUUAUUUCCCGGAAAUUCAACUGGGAUGGCCAGUGACCGGGAUUUUAUGCCGAUGAUGGUGGUGCAGACCGUUUAUUUAAUUCAGCUUCAUAUUGUGCUAAAUUGAAAUUAUUGUGUUUAUUUAUUUAUUUUUCGGAAUUAAAUUAAUUAAUUAUUUAUUUUCCGAAAAUUCAACUGGGAUGGCCAGUGAUCGGAAUUUUAUGCUGAUUGUCAUGGUGCAGUCCGUUUAUUUAAUUGAACCAUAUUUCAUGAUGAAUUGAAUUAUUUGUGAAAGAAUGAACUAUUCUUUAAUUGAAUAAUCUUUGGUUAUUAAUUGAAAAAGAACUGGGUUUUGGUUGAUAAUGCCAAAAGGAUCUAAGUGGGCUAUAGAAAAUGGUGGGAUUUAUAAAAAGGAAAUUAUUAUGUUUUGGCUAAGGCCAACCGAGUAUCCACUCAUGGCAUUUUAUCGGGAAUGAUAAAAUUGGUUAUUUGAUUAUUUGCUUGGAAUGAUAUGAUCUACCGGCUCGAUGACUCCACGGAGCAUCUGGAGACAGGACGGUAUGAUAAAUUGUGUGUAUACCGGCUCGAUGACUCUACGGAGCAUCUGGAGACAGGACGGUAUGAUAAAUUACGUGUAUACCGGCUCGAUGACUCUACGGAGCAUCUGGAGACAGGACGGUAUGAUAAAUUGUGUGUAUACCGGCUCGAUGACUCCACGGAGCAUCUUGAGACAGGACGGUAUGAUCUACCGGCUCGGUGACUCUACAGAUUAUCUUGAGACAGUACGGUAUGAUAUACCGGCUCGAUAAUCCUAUAGAUCAUCUUGAGACAGUACAGUAUGAUAAAUGGUUGAUCAAGUGAUAAUUUGGAUGACAUGAAAUCGACUAGGUCGAUUAAUCGAGGAUUCGAUCUGAGUGUGACUUGAUGUGAUUCAUUGCCUUGGUUUGAUGUUGUGAAGUGAAUGAUUGAAGGGAGAUGAUCGUGAGUGGUCUUCCUGAUGUGAAAUCGACUAAGUCGAUUAGAUCGAUGCUUCGAUCUGUGAUGUGCUUGAUUGUGUGCCUAUUUAAUCUGUACUAAUAUGCAGAUGGAAUCUGAGGCUAAGGUAAGUCUUCUAACUCAUGUUGUGCAUAGGCAGCCCUAAGGUGUAUUAGUUUACUAAUCGGGUCUUAGGGAGUAGAACUUGCUGAGACGUGGUCUCAGUGGUUAUUGAAUAACCAUUUCAAGAUCUGGAUGAGGAGCCUAAGGAGCAUGAAUCUGAUGAGGAGGUCCCUGAUGAGGAACCCGAAGAGGAGUACGUGGAGGAGGACAUUGAGUACGACCCGGAUGAGGAUCGAAGUCCUAUCCUGUUUUGUUAGACCUUGUUUGCAUGUAAAAAGAUGUAGUUGUGAAUUUUCAGUAAGAAAAAUAUAUGGCCUGCUUUUCUAUCCCAUUGCUUUAUUGUCUGGGGAUUUAUAACUGCUUCCGCAUGUGCAUAUAUAAAUGAAAGGGUCGGCGAUACAUAGUCCUGGGAUAUCGCAUUUUUUUUUAAUCGACCAAAAGUAAGGGAUGUGUGCGUGCCUGAGGGUCGGGGCGUGACACCUAAUAGAGCACGAGAAUGUUUGAACGAAUGAUUCAAUUUGUGUCAUCGCCAAAUAUAGGCUUCCUGAACUCCUAAUGGCUUUGGUUUAAGGUUUUCAAUUUUAGGAGGUGGGCUCGCGGGCCAGCCACCCGUAUGGGCACAUAUGAGCUGCUCCACCUAGCCGGGUAGAAUCGUGCCAUGUCGGCCAAGCCAUUACAAUGCUAAUCCGUAAUGUGGGCCCAUAUUCUCGUACUCCUGAAUGAAAUUUUAUUAAAUUAUGAUAAGCAUGUGUGUUGGGAAAAAAAUGUGAAAAAUUCCAUAGCAAGGCCUGUCUUUCGAUACACUAUUUUGGUAAUGUAAGCAACAUUUUUUAUUGAGAGAUUUACGAGGGUGAUGAUCAGAAAAAUUACAUUGCACAAAUCAAAUGAGUUAGAAAAUUAAAUUCAAAGAGGAUCCUUAAAUUUAGGGGCUAAUUCCCUAAAAAAAAAAACCCUUGACUUUAGGUUCAAUCCCAAUUUCAUCCAAACUUUUUUUUUGUCUCAUGAAAAUUCAUCAACUUUUACUCUAAUAGCAAAUCUAUUUACGCAUUCAAAAAUCGCCAUUGAUUUCUUCAAUAUUAUCAAUAUCAGAAGGUUGUUAUUGUUCCUUACAAGGUAAAGAUGUUGAUGAAAGCGCAAGUUUUAAUAAUGAACUUCUAACUAGUUAUAAUGUUGAAAAUUUUGAGCAAACUAAUGGCGAUUUUUGGACGUGGAAGCGGAUUUUAGGAUUAGAGUAAAACUUUGGGAUUUUUUUAUGAGACAAAACGAAAAUUGGGGUAUAAUUGAGAUUGGACCUAGAGUUAAAGUAUUUUUAAGAAAUUAGGCCUUAAAUUUAAAAGAUUUAACCAUGUACAAAGUAGGAGCUCUCUCCCUUGGCGGCACCGUCGUGGAAGUGGAGAGGCAAGUGGACUCCUUAUUGGGUCGACUACUUGAUGGCCACGAAAAUUAUAUUAAUGUCGUUAUUAAUUCUAGUAAUAAAGUAGAACAUCUAGAUUCUCCAGGUCAUUCCCCGGUUUUCGGAAUCAAAGUGUCUUUAGAACUUUGUGCCAUGUGGUCGACAAUUUAUUAGGGUCCCUAGAUAUGAAAUGUACCUAACAUGAUAUUGUUAUUUAGGUGGUCUAUGUGAAGUCAUUCGCCCACUCAUCACUUUGCUCGACAAGGAUUGAAGGACGCAAAGGAUUCGAAACUCCAAGGAAAGUGAUGUUUUGGCACUAUUGAAACCCACAAAUAAUCGACCAAAAAAAAAACCCACAAAUAGGGCCCCAAAAAAUAUAAAACGCCACAUGCUAUGGAGACAAAACAUGAAUAGUAUUUAACGUGUCUUUCAUGUAUAGUUUAGCCAGAAAAUUAUGCCAAUAUGAUUUUUCGGGGUGACCAUUGAGUAGGAAAGGAUACAAUUUUUUUCUCUAAUGUUUUGAGGGUGUUUUGAAAACUCUAAAUUCACAAUAUUAUUCUUUUAAAACUCUUACUAUUGUGUAACGAAGUAUUACAGAUUUUCGUGUACAAUUCAAAACUGUCACUAUUAUCAAGGUGUUAUAUCUUUCUAUAAAGUAAGUAAUGCUAAUUUAGGGAUAAAUUAGAGACCUUACACUUCUUGAGGCAAAGAGUUCUUGUUACCCUAGUUUCUAAUAGUGUCUCUAGUAAAUUUGGAUGGGAAAACGACAGAAACUGUGUGUGGAUUUUGGCCCAAUGUGCAAUUUGAUUAUUGUGGCUCUGAAUUUUUAAUUUAUUCAAUAUAGUUAACUUUUUUUACAUGUUCAUUACAGUUCCUGAACUAUAUGAAAUUGUUCAAUAUAAUUCCUGAUCUUAUAUUAAUAGAAUGACCACAUUAAAUAUUUUCAUACAGUUUAUGAACUAUAUAGAAUAUGUACCAAAAUUUUAUGGGUUACAAUGAAUAAAUUAAAAGCUACAUUACACGUUGGGUUAAAGUUUAGAUACUGUAUUAGACAAAUUAAAAGUCUAGAGAUUAAAUUGUAUAUAAGAUCAAAAUUUAUGAAUUGUUUGUGUCGUCAUCCCAAUUUGGAAUGGAGGAUGAGUCUUAAGUAAUAUGACAAUGUCUUUAAGUUACUCAUUACAUCUUGCUAUGCCCCUCUCUCUCACGAGCACAACAUAUGUUUGGAAGGCUAAAAAGCCCUCUUUACACCGAUCAAAAAAAAAGAAAGAAACCCUAUUUACGCUCUUUCCACCCGCCUUCGUAGAGGGGACCAUAGUGUUCCACCAAAGGAGUCAAAGUUUCAAAACUAAAUAAUUAAGGGGAUAAACAAUAAAAAUAGGAAGAAGAAACGAAGCUAAGGUCGGCAAGUAUAUUAUAGUCUGCAAUUGCUUUCAACAUCCAAUCAAAAGCAAUAACAAACGCUCUUUAAAGGUACGGACGACAGACGAGCAUCGAUUCCUUUCAACAACAAUGGAGGAGAUUCUUACACGCGAGAGUGCAAUACAAAAGUGAACUUUAUCCGUAAUUAAAUUAUGAUUUUAGUCACGCUACUUGCUGUCUCUCUUCUGUAUAUAAGCUCGAAGGCUCCUGCCAUGGAGAGUGCAGCGAUUGGUUUUCUCAACCCAUCUUUGGUUAUUCUUCCGUUAGGAAUAAAUCCCUCUUUGUAUAUAAUUUCCUUUUCUUCCACUUUGAUUGCCUUUGAUUGAGGGAAAAGGCUGCAAAAUAAUUUAGGUAAGUCGUUUAUAUAACUAGUGCUAACUCCUGUUAAUUUGUCCUACGACUAAGAAUUGGGGAUUGGUAAGAGUUCAAGAAAAUAAUGUCCAGCCUACUGUUUUCCAAGGUGGCUAAUGUCCAUUUGGAUCCCUCGAGGAAGAGAGAGAGAGAGAGGCCUGAUUCAAGCUACUCCAAAGCCCAGAAGAAAGGAAUCAAACAAAUAAGCCCAUUUUCAAGCUGUACUCACGAGCUCCCAAAAAAGCCCAUGAGGAGGAUACUCAUGAAAGCAGCAUGGCCACUUUAAUCAUUGUAGGACGACAAGCUAUUGUUGCUUCAGGGAGCUCUACCACUAGUCUAUAAAAAUACUUGCUCAAUACCAUAUUUCCAUCAUUGAUUUGUGAUAAGGGCACAAAUGGUCCAUCAAAUUUGGCCAAUAUGCGAUAUGAUCUUUGAACUUUUAAUUUGUUAAAAAAAAUUGCCUAUGAUACAAGUUAAGGAAAACAAAAAUAGAAUUUGUGAUAAGUAUGCUAUUCCACACACACAGUCCUUCCUUAACCUCAGAAUAGGAACUGCUUAUUAGCCACUAAAUUCAUUUUUCAUUUUUGACUUAUAUCAUAUCAGAUUUUAGGAUAGCAAAAUUCUAAUGCAUGGGUUCCAUAUUGUGACAAGUGUAGAUGUACUACCAGUAUUGAUAAACGCAUUCCCAAUCUUAAUGGAUGGGCAACUAUUUUGCAGCUAAGGGCGCCUGGAAAUUAUUGCUUGUGCCCAUGCUCAAGGGUAUCAAAUCCGUCAUGAACUCUUGAUUGUUUGACUUUUGGUACGAUUUCCCCACCCUUCUCCAUCGAAGAGAAAAUCGAUGACUAUAAUUGCCUGCUGUUAGUUUAGGCAAUAGUCUUCCCCCCUUCGAUAUCUUGACAAAAGCCCCAACCUCCUAUAAGCGUUUCUAUUUUAUAUUACACAAUAAUGAAGAAAAUGAUGGUAUCUUGUAAUUGAGGAUACUUGGCUGACAAAUUAAUUACAAGACAUCGUGGCGAAGCACAAGCUAAUUUACCAAGUUCCACCUAUAAGCUGAUUUAUAGCGACAUCCCAAGGCACAGGAUGUCGCUAUAACUGUCUAUCUGGAGGUAGCCUCCUCUAAAGUGAGAUAGGGAGGUGAGAAAAUAGAGGCAGUCAAGCCCAACACUAGUGACAUUCAAUUCUGCCUAUCUACUAAGUCGCCCAGGAGAUUGUUCUCUAUGCCUGUGUUCAUGUGUAUCGAAUUUGUCUCGACCUCUUGAUCAUUUGAUUGUUGGUGCAGAUUCCAUGCACUUUUCCAUCAAAGAGGAGAUUAGUGAUCGUAAUCGCACGCUGUCAAUUCUUGCAAUAGCCUUCCCUAUGAUGUCAAGACAAAACCCCCACCCUCAAAUAAGCGUGUCUAUCAAUAGUGUCUUGUAAUCAGGGAUACUGGAUCGAUAAAUUAGUUAUAAGACAUUGCACAAAGCAUUGGUCAACCCAAUAGGAACCCUUGCAAGUUUCACCUCAUUACUGUAGGCAUAAGAGACUGCUAUAGCUGCCUACGCGAAAGUAGCCUCUUUUGAAGAAGAGAUAGGGAGUCUACCUUCCCUCGAAGGCUACUCUUGUUCCUAGGUGUUUAUUUAUCUCCCCCACCUAGGAGGGAAUACCCCCGGUAUUUUUAUUUCCCAGAGUUUAGAUGGAACCUUUUAAGAACAUGCUCAAAUCCAAUCUAUUUUAUAUUAUACGGUAAUGAAGAAAAUGACAUAAAUGAUCUUUGAAUAUUGAUUCAAAUCUAUCUCUAUACUACUAAUUAAUUUGAUUUAGUCCAUGGAUUUGGUCAAAUGUUGAGAAUAUGAUACAAACAAUCUCUAAAUUUUGACCUAAUGUACAACGUAAUUCUUGAAAUUUUAAUUUAUUCAAUAUGAUUCAUGAACUAAGCCUAACGUGCAAUGUGGUCCUUGAUACCAAUGAAGGGAUUUAUGCUUAGAACAAGGGAAAACUAAGUCAGUUGCAGUGGGCAUGCUAUCUCACAAUAGGCGAAUCACAUGUUCAAGCCCUUUGGAGAUUAUUUUUUAGCUACAGACUACCUAGAGAUGUAAUAAAGAACAUAGAGACAUUCAAUAAUGCCGGGAUAAUAACAUUUCUAACUAAUCAAGUUGCAUUUCUUAAAGGAUCCUAACAAGUUGGAGAAGAAUAAGCAUUUAGAGAAACAUUGAGAGAUUUGGAAGAUAGGGAAAUUUACUACAUAGCCUCCUACUUCUUCAUUACCAUUACAAGGCCUUUUAUAGGUGAUGAGAACAACAAAUUUAAAGUAGCAGUAGAAAAUAAAGACAAGACAAGACAUCACAAUAGACUGGGGUCCUUGACAUGGUUACAAUGGACAAAGGUCCUGACCAACUAUUGCAAACUUAGGAUUCUAGGCAAGUACUAGCUACUUUUUGCUGCAGUAGUGAACGGUGACUACUACUACAUUAACUUUAUUACAAAAUUAUCUCCAUAUGGAGUUAUAGUCAUAAUUUGAACUAUUUGAGCUGUGAUAUGCAAGUUGUUCUUCCAUAUGAUGUAGUUUAAGGUCAAUGUUAGGAGCAGGAGGACUUUCGGAGCCUUAAGCGUUCUCCCUUUGUGAUAACAAGGCAUUCCACAUGCCUAGAGCACUUGAAGAGGGUCUUUGCUAAAGUUCAUGUGUCCUAGAAGGUCUUGGAAUGUAAUUAUUUAGAUUCAUCUGUGGUCCCUUAACUUUUGAUGCAUAUUCAACUUAGCCUUUGAACUAUAUGAACAUAUUUGAAAUUGUCCUUUGAUUAAUUCAAGUUCAUGAAUAAAAUUAAAUAUUUUUAUAUAAUUCAAAAAACUAAGUUAAACAUGUAUCAAAAGUUUAUGGAUCACAUUAUACAUUAGAUAAAAAUUCAAAAACAUAUUGAAUAAGUUAAAAAUUUAUAGAUCACAUUACAUAUUAGAUCAAAAUUUGAGGACCAUUUGUGUUCAUUAUUCUUAUAAUAUUUAAUAUGGCUCAUGAACUUUUAAGUAUUUUUAUAUAGUAUAGAGAUUAGAUUGAACGUUUACCAAUAAUUUAGAACCACAAUAAACAACUUUAAAGUUUAAUGAUAACAUUACAUUUUGAUUCAAAAUUUAGAGAUCACAUAAAAAAGAUUAAAAAUUCAUGCAUGAUAUUGUAUGUUGAGAUCAAAAUUUAAGUACUAUUUAUGCUAUUAUCUCUCUAAAAAUGAAAGAUGAGUUCACAACUGACAGGUCUUAAAAGUAUUUUUUCCCAUCCCCAAGCGUUUCGAAUAACUUACUAAAUCAAAGGAAUAAGCGGAUUGAGCAUUACAGCGAGCCUUCGUUCCCCCUGUGAUCGAGGACAAUAAAGAAAUGUCUCGGGGAAAGAAUAACGCGACAAUGUACGGGGCGAUGUUUGUUUAUCACUUUUUUUUUAUGACACUUUUUGUCCCUUCCCGUUGAUAUUAAAUUACAAUCGGCACGUUGUAAGGAAGUAUGACAAAAUUUGUCGGUGAACGUCCGUGCCAAUAAUUGACUUUUGUGAAAGCUUCGACACUCUCGAAUUUGGAACCGAGCGAGUACUGUAGGGGCAACAAAAUUUGAAUUGAGCGAAAAGUUAAAAAAGUCAAAACACUUUUAGGGUUGACGUGGUGGUGAUUUACAGCCGAAGUCUUAGACUUAAGAUGGAAAACGCCAAACGCGCCGUGUCUCGUGGGAGCACAUUUGUCGGGGCCUUGUGAUUGCGGUGACCCAUUUUUCUUCAUUUUUUUUUACAUUUUACUUUUUGGCUUUUCCAGCGGGUGAUUUAGAUAACCGGGGCGGGUGAAGUACAGUAGAGGUUGGUCAUUAAUUCAGUUCAGGCCGAGGGAGACCUACCAGUCCGAGGAGAUGAGAGGUAAAAUCGCCGCACGUGACUUGGUGAAACAGUCGUAUUCCGCGUACGUGCCAAAAAGCCGAGAAUGGUGGACGAGGAAGGACGAGAGAGAGGGAGAUAGAGACAAGGAGAUGGGGGUUGUACUCUAAUCGCGGUCUAUCUUGUCUAGACAAAAAAUGAAGGAGUGAGAAAUUAGGACAAACUCUCGAUAGUGCUUGAUCUCGACUUUCAUACGGUAACUUCUUUGGCUUCUUUCGAUUGCUGCAUUGUCCUGUGAGUAGACUAGACGUGCUAGGAUGGGGACCGCGGUGGUUCAGAUUGAAAUUGAAUUAAAUCAAAUAUGAGGUUCCUCUUUGUUAUCUCGAAUGGGUCUAUUUCAUAAGAAUAGCAAUUGCAUUCACACAAUGAUUUGGAUUGAAAUUGAAUUAGAUCAAACAUGAGAUUCCAUCUUUGUUAUCAUGAACGAGUCUAUUCCAUGAGAAUAGCAACCAUUUGAGCCGGAUUAGAAGUCACAUCAUGGGUAUACAAGCCGAAGACAAAUACCACUUUCAAAAGAAAAGAGUACAAAGCAAACGCCAUUUUCAAAUAGUACAUGAGCUUGAUUUGUCAAGGGCAUAUAUGAUAAAUGCUGAGAUUAAUGGAUGGACAUCGUGAUCCAUCGAUUAACUUGUUAUAUCACAUCAAUCAUGUCACGGGUGCGUAAAACGGUUUCUCCAUCUAUAAGCUUGAAGGUUCCUGCCAUGGAGAGUUGCUACAAUUGCUUUUCUGAACCCAUCUUUGUUGAUUGAGGGAAAGGUUGCAAGUUGUUAAGGUGAGUGUUAUCUCUAACUAGUGCUGGCUCUUGUUAGUUUGCCCUUAUCAAUGAUCGUGAUGAUAAAUAUUGGGUUUCAUGGCCUUGCUAUUGUUUCUUUCCAUUGCUGAAGAAUCUUGAGCAAAGUUCUGUUUUGCUGUGAAUGCAUACUCAGUCUAACCACUCUAUAUGAUACCUCAAACGCAUUUGGUAUUUCCUUUGCUUUCCCAUAAAGUGAUCAAAACCAAUUCACAUUUUAAAAGGCUGUUCAUUAGACUUGAUCCGCUUUUCCAAUUGGCAUAUUCAUGAAGAAAGUCUACUUCAAUCAAUGUAAUUUUCCCUUUUAUUUGUCAUUUUGGACUGCACUUAUGGCUACAGCGGACUUUUAUACGCUCGAAUAAACUCUAAGUAUCUUAGUAAGUGAAGCAAGAAAGGAAGGAACAUGGAGGCUAGGUCCGGGCUAGUUCUCCUCUAGCUGGUGCUUGACUGGUCAGACCCUUGUAAUGCGGUCAGUGUGGGAAUUUGGGUUACCGAGAGAGAGAGAGAGUGAGAGAGUGGAAGGAAUAGGUUAAACUGUUUUAUGACUUUAUACCUGUGUACCAAGUGUGGUCCUUUGAUUUUUAAAAUAUGCUCCAACGUUAUGUUAGGGGGGAUUAGGAGGGAAGAGACAUAGUUCCAAAAAAUACAGUUGUGUUUGGAUGGAGAGAAAUAAACGGAUGGAAAGGAUUUGGAGGGAUUAGGAAAGAUUAGAAAGAAUUGAUCCAGUCAAUUUUAUAUGCAUUUUUAAUUCUUGGAGGGAUUCGUAAGGAUUUUCAUAUAAAUAAACAAAUUUAUUCUUCUUUCUCACUUGUUCUGCUUCCAUUUCAUAAUGCAUUCUUUCCCUCACAAGCAUUUAAACAACAUGAUAACUCAAUCACUUCAUAUCAUUUCUCUUUUCUUUUCUUUUUUUAAAUAUAUUAUUUUUCCUCAUAUGGUUACUUCAUGAUACCUAAUCUGUCCUUUGGUUACGUGUGGAUUUGUUUCUUUUUUCUUUAGAAGCCAUAAUAAUAUAAUGAAAAUGACUUAACAGAUAAGCUCAAGUAGAUUUACAGCACAUGCAAAGCGUUUGGUAACUUUUUGCAAAAUGUACAAACCAUUAUGCCUUGAAAUUUGGCUUAACACUAUUUCAAUAUCUUCCAUGCAUCCAAACUCCGCAUAUUAUAAAUGCACACUUCAGUCCCUCCUCCCCCUCCAUUCUAAGUUCUAAUCUCUCUCUCUCUCUCUCUCUCGGAUCGAGAGUGUAUUUUGAAACCUUUGGUUUCCAGGUGGGUGCACAAAACACAAAAGCAUCCUUAGAGUCAAAGGAACACACUCUUCACUAAUUAUGAUUCGGUUAGCGUUAAUUAAACCCAGAUUGAAACAACAUGGCCUCUGGGCUUUGAUGGAUGAAUAAUUUUGAAGUUCCUUUCAUUCGACAAGACAUAAUUUUACUUCACUUGCACAAUUUACUAACUAUGAGAUUUUGUGGGAUCACGACUAAUUGUUCUAAAAGCUUAAACUAUUAAAUGAAAGCAUGUUUUAUUAGUAUUCAAAUAUUCUUACACUCCUCCUCACGUUUAGUCUGGUCUUUUUUGCCUAGUAUUAAGCAUGGGAAUUUAAUUGGGGACGACAAAUGAGAUUAUGAAAUAUUCAAACCCAAGACUUUCAAUUCUUAUGCCAUAUAAGAUAUUGUGGGAUCAUAAACAACUGUUCUAAAAGCUUAAGUUAUUAGAUGAAAGCGUGUUUUAUUAUUUAAAUAUUCAAAUAUUAUAACACUAGCAAUUGCUCUUUAGUCAUCUUUUUUCUUUUUAUCUUUUUUUGGACAUUAAAGUUUGGUGAGAACACUGCCCCCAAAAACAACCAAAACCACCACCACCACCACUACCACCACCACCACCACCACCACGUCGCUGACAUCUCCAUGGAGAUGCUUACCCAGAGUGUCUCUAGAGGCUCAGAUGAGGACGACCGCCUCAAAAGAACUGGUAAUCUACAUUAUCUUCUUGUAUCAUAUGUUCAUUUCUAAUUGUUUACUAUAGGUUUGACACAUCAACAUGCAAAAUAUACAUUUUUUGUACUACGAGUGACAGUUUAAUAUACAUUUUCCAUGUGUGCUUCCUUCAUAAAUUACUGAAAAACUAACCCAAGAGUAAAUGAAAGUUUUCCAAAUGGAAAGAGUUGAGCGGAUUUCAUUGGUUGAUCAAUCAGGGACCCUCUGGACAGCGAGUGCGCACAUAUCAUUAGUGAUGGUAGGACACGUGCUUUCGGUGGCAUGGGACAUUUCUCGUCUGGGUUGGAUUGCAGGCCCUGCUGCGAUGUGCUUAAUUUCCUGUACGUGCUACUACACCUCUCGCCUUCUCUGUGAUUGUUACCGCACUGGUGACUCUGUCACUGGCAAACGUAACCACACUUACACAGACUCUGUUCGCUCAAUUCUCGGUAUGGAAUUCCAUUACUGUGUUGUUGCUUCUCAUUUUUUUGACUCCCGCACAUUGAUUAAACUUCCCAUUAACUUUUGUAUCCAGAUGUAUAGCAAAAAGAGUCGCGUAACUUUUAAUUAUGUGAUAAUAGGAACUCUACAUUCUCAGAAUAUUAGCAUUUUCAGAGUUAUAUUCUCAGGUGGAGUAAAUGCAAAAGCAUGUGCUUUUAUUCAAUAUUUGAUCCUAUUCGGAACGGCCAUUGAAAUUACGGUUGGAGCAUCUUGGAGCAUGAUGUGAGUACAAUUCUAUUUCCCGAACGCUUAACAAGUCUAUGAAGCAGAUCACAUUGAACUUCCAAUUCUACUGUUUCCAAUAUAACCGGUUGAUUCAAUUUUUUAUAUGUUCCCUCUUACCCAUAAAAGGGCGAUCAUUUAUACAAAUUGCUUCCACAAGAAUGAAGAGGAGAACUCGUGCUUCAUUUUGGGCAAUCCAUACAUGAUCAUAUUUGGCGUCGCAGAGAUUCUGCUGUCCCAGAUUCCGGAUAUUGAUCAAAUGUGGUGGGUUUCUAUGGUGUCUGUUGUCAUGUUCUUCAUUUACUCUUUGAUUGGGCUCGGCCUAGCAAUUGCCCGAGUUGCAGGUACAAACUUCUUCUUUUCUCAAGACAGAUGGCCAAGAGAUUUCAAGAGAUUAUAUUACCCAUAUCUUAGCUAAGAAGUUUAUUCCAGCAACUUCUUUCUUGAUGAGCAGCUAGAGGAAGUUUCGAGAGCAAUGGAAGUGUGACUGAAACCCUAAAUAUAUGGAUGAGUUUCGAAGCUCUUGGAGAGAUCGCCCUUGCGUACUCAUCUUCUGAGAUCCUUAUUGAAAUUCAGGUACUUAAAAGUAAUUCCAUCUGUUCAAAAACCAAGGAAAUGGAGAAAAGUGGAUAGAAAAGAACUGAAAUACCCUUUUUGCCCUUGUAAUCUUUGGCAGGACACCAUCAGAUCCCCGCCAUCAGAAGCGGAGACCAUGAAGAAGGCCACUUUUCUGAGCACCGUGGUGUUGACGACUUUGUUCAUGCUGUGGGGCUGCGUGGGCUAUGCUGCUUUAGGUGACGACACUCCAUAUAAUAUUGUGACCGACUUCGCUUUCUACAGGCCACCCUGGCUUCUUGGUAUCGCCAAUGCUGCUGUUUUCAUCAAUAAUGUUGGAGCAUACCAAAUAUACAGCCAGCCGAUUUUCGCCUUUGUCGAGAAACAGGCUGCUCACAGAUGGCCUAAGUUCAUUGCCAGAGAGAGAGAGAUCCCCCUGCCGGGCUUGAGCCCCUACAAAAUGAACCUCUUUAGGCUUGUUUGGAGGACGCUUGUCGUGAUCCUGAUCACCGUGAUAUCAAUGGCAUUCCCGCUCUUCAAUGAGGUCGUGAAGAUCAUCACCUUGGGAUUUUGGCCUCUAGCGGUCUAUUUUCCCGUCGAGAUGUAUAUUAAACAGAAAAAAAUUGACCGAUGGGAAACUAAAUGGGUAUGCCUCCAAAUGCUGAGCAUGGCCUGUCUUGCGAUAUCGAUCAUGGCAACCAUGGGUUUGAUCGCAGGACUUAAGGACAGCCUUAAGCAUAAUCAACCAUUCAAGAUGAUCUACUAAAAAAAUGUACGGACCUUUGGUUGAUCAGCCAUUUCCGGAGGAGACAAUAAUAUCAUUGAAGUUUCUAGUUGCUAUGUUUUGUAUGGAAUUACAAACUCUGCGUUGAAGUAUAUUUAUGGGUAUUAUAGAAUUCCCCGUAAAAAUAUGCUGUUAGAGAUUAUUUUAAAUAAUGAGAUUAUUUAGUAGAACAGCUACUUGUUGAGGAUUCCAGUUUCGUUGUUUUUUUGUAGAAUUGCAGACUUUUUAUAUACUAUUGAUUGCUUAUGAAAACUUUCUCUUAUAUAAGGAUGAACAAAAAUUGUCGUUUCUUUUAAAAUGAAUAAAAAAAAUUUAUGAAUAUUUUGGUUAUGCAAAUUGCCACGUCAACGUACAUUGAGUUACUCUCCACUUAUAGGAUGACAGGCAUGCCGACCUUACAAGAUUGACAUUAGCGGGAGAAAUUGUCAUAUAAAAUUCGGAAGUCUCGUAUCAUUGUCAUAUGUACAUCAGUAACCAAGAAUGAAUAAAUUUUUGCAGAAAAAAGGAACAGAGAUGUAUGGAUAACAAUGUUUUGAGAGAGUAUUUUUUCUACCCUUGGACGACACUCAAAAAAUAUAAAGAUGGAAACUCCAUACGAAUUAGGGAUGCAAAAUGAGUACGUAAAUCCACGUGUGUUUAUAAAUUCCUUCAAAUAAUCAACAUGUGAAUGUGGAAACAUCAUAACCCACUUAGAUUGAUUGGCCAGUCCCAUGACUCUUCGGCAUCCUUGACCAAUUCCCUUUUAUCAAAUUUUGUCCCUUGGCCUGAGUCAAACAGCUAUAUCCGGUAUAUGUUAUUCCAUAAAAACCAAAUUUGAUUGAUAUGCCGUUUGUUUAACCAAUUAUUUCGCUUUAUAUUUCUCUAGGUGCUCCAAAAUGUCUUAUGACUUUACGUGCAUUCCAUCAUAGAUUUAUGGAUUUUAGGGAAUACUCUAUGACAUAAUUUUUCUCGAACUUCGUGCAUUUUAAUCGAGUUAUAAAUUAAAUUUUCCCUCAAAUAGAUUUGAUUAAUCGUCCUAGUGCUGAGCUCGGCCUGCCCCGUCUAAAGUCUUGCUCUAGUGCCCCCUCAAGUCUCAUGUUAAAUGGCUAUACACUGUCCCAGAUGAAUUCUAUAUAGGCAUCUCCAUUUGUCGAACGCAGAUUGGUUGUUGUUUGACCAAGUUUUGUUCUUUAUUCGUCUUUUUUAAGUUUUCACUGAUGAUCAAUCUACUUACUGUCCUCGGUAAAAGAAUUUUCAUCCACUGUUUUACUUUGUUGCAUGAUUAUGCCGCUCGGUAAAGUGUUUCGUGUGAUAAUUGUAUCGAAUGAACAAUUAGCAUUAAUGUCAAGUUGUCGCGACCUGAUUUUCGAGUGCACCACCUAAAACUAGGUUAAUGGACUAUCAAGUUUUUAAACUUAGCUCGGGCUUUCUUAAGUCCAUACCAAUUCGUGACUUAAUGUUCAAAUAUUUAACAUGCAAAAGAUUAUUAACUAGUAGUCACCACUAAUCGGUUUACGGUAGGUCGAUUAAACACCUAAGUAAAAUAAUGGGAGAAUUAUUUUACUCAUACGAACCAAAAAUUAAGGGUACGGAGAUUUCGUUACACUAGAUUUCUCUAAUACUCUUUCAGUACCAUUUCUUUUUUUAAUUUUCAAAAAUAUUUUUUGCAAGUAGCUUUGAUUCAUUUUAACCUAAAUCUCUAUCAUGUAAAUGUAGUAACCACACGGGUGCUCAUCCAUUAUUAAAACAUUCAAAUAAAAAUAAUAAAUAAAUAAAUUGCAUCACACAAAGCAAGCAAUCAUUUUUUUUUUUUUGGGUUUUCUUAAAAAUUAGAAUUCUUUUAUAAAAAUGCAUUUUUAACUAAAUGACUUAAUCUUAUUAAUAUGCAAAUUAUAAUUAAAUGAGUCUAUUAUGCAAACUAGUUAUUAUGCACGUCAUGACCUUACUUCACUAAUGAACAAAUUCUGAUUAAAUGAUCCUAUUAUGCGAACUAGUUAACAUGCACCUAGUAUUUUUGUAUAUUUUUUUUAAUGAAUUUUAGAAUUUAUGAAAACCUUAAUUAAUCUAUCUAAAAAAGGAUAUUUUUCUAAUUUAUUCUAGGGAUUAAUUUGACUUAAACCCUAUCCUAUCUUAGAAAACUAUUUUUUUUUUUUUGGAAAAAUUAGAUAAUUAGAAUAUGCGAACAUUAUCUAAAACCCUAAAAAAUAUUUAGGUUCAACCCUAAAUUAUUCCUAAAAAUGCAAUCCUAAGAAAAUUCCAAUUUACUAAACCUACAUACUCAUGCAGAAUUUUGAUUUUUUUUUUCUAAUUUUUUAUUUUUUUAAAAGAUAAGUAAUUAUUAAAUAAAUAUUAAAUCUAUACUAUCAACAAAAUAAAUGAUUAAAAUAAUAAAAAAAAUAACAUGUUGUCUCACAUGUCAAAUUAACGGUUAUCCUAACCCUAAUUAUCACAACAAAGAGUUCAAAAUAAUUAAAAAUCUGAUCCGAAAUCUUACGGAUCAAAUUAAUAAUUAUAAUGAUUUAAAAAUUAAAAUUCUACCAAAAAGCCCAAAAAUUAAUAUAAUUAAAAAAAAUAAUCCGAUGUCUCUUAGAUUAAAUUAAUAAUUACAAUAAUUCCGGACAAAAUCCUAGCGGAUAAUGCCUACAAAAUUUAUUGACAUCAAAUAUUACAACUUUAAUAGAUAAACUAAAAUGGGAUAAAAUAAAAUAAAUGAAAAGAAAAAGCUAAACUACCUAAAGAAAAAGGGGGUUUGCUACAGCGUUGAUGGGCGCUGGACGCAUGGUGGCCGGUGUCGGGACUCCGGCGGGAGCUGGCGGACAGCGACAGUGAGGGGUUCGAGCUCGGAGCAGCGGCGAAGGUGGAGCUGGACCACGGGUUGCUGGGCGGCGACGUUGGCAGCGGUGAGCGGAUCGGCACGGGCUGAGGUGCGACGGAGACUACGCGGGCUACUGGUGCAGGCGUCGGGCACUUAGAGGCGCAGCGGCAGCGAUGAGUGGACAUAAAUGCUAGUGUAGUGGCGUCGACCAAGUGGGGGCAGACCACUGAGUUGCUGGGCGUAGGUUGCAGGCGUUGUGGGGCUAGCGGCUGCUAGUGUCGCAGGGGAGGUCGAGCGGCGGUGAUACAGCAGGCAGCGUUGGGCGCUGGGCGGAGAGGCGGGCGUCGGCGUUGGGUCAUAUGGACGUCGGGCAGGUUGACGGUGCGGCGGUGGCGGAGGCACGGUGAGGCGCGAGACGGUGGGGGCACGGUCAGCAGCAGCGAUCACCGGCAGGACCCUCGCGGGGAAGAUGAACAGCUUCAUCUUCUUUCCUUUUUCUUUUUCUUUCUUUUUUUUUUCUUAUUGCAGCACGUCUCCUCACACUAGCUCUCUCUGCUACUAUUUGCUUUCUGCAUAUGUAGCUUUUCACCCAAAAAGAAAAGAAUUUUCCCUUCCUUUCUUUUGUAUUUUUUUCCAGCACUCUCUUACGCACGAAUUUUUUUCUGCUCUUUGAAUUCGCUCUCAAUUUUUUUUUUUCGAAAAUCCCCCUCGCAUCGGUACGGAUCGACUUAUUUUAUAGUGAUUUCUAGACGGCCGGUCUCCAUGGCAACUUUCGAGUUUCCAUCUUUUGUCGCAUUAAAUCACGGCUGCAAAUUGGAGCAUGAUUUCACAAUCAGCUCGAUCUUGCACCGAUUCCUUCCAUUUUAUCAAAAUCCUUGCCCUUUGUUCACCUGAUCUUUAAUUGCUUAUGCAUUUAUCAAAAUCUAAAUAUCCAUAACAAUUUCAAAUUUCCAUCCAUAAUCAAUCAAAUUAAUUUCCCCAAUUUUCAUUUUGUUUCUUUUUAUUUGUUCAAAAUGCAAUUUUAUUUUUCCAAAAUUAGGUGUCAACAGCUGUCCCUCUUUGAAGGUGAGCUCGUAGAUGUUGCAUUCAAAGACAAAUUGAGACCUAAUUUUAAUUAUUCACAUGUAUUAAAUGACUUUUUGUUGGAAAAUGAAUUCUUUUUUUGAAUGCAAUUUAUAUGAUGCAUGGAAAUGCUAAUGCAAAUGAUAAAGGAACUUACCUGGAAUUACUUACCUUCAUGGAGGGUACAAUGAUUCAAGAUAGUUGGCAUUACAUGUCCAGGACUCGUACAAUUCUACGGUUACCAGAAUAGUAACAUGGCUUCACAAAGAGACUGCUUUCCCAAGACCUGUACCAUUCUACGGUCGCCUAGUAUGACAGUGUUUGAUUGUGUUUAGGACCCGUACCAUUCUACAGUCACCUAAACGGGGAUUCAUUUUCCAAGACCUGUACCAUUAUGGUCGUCUGAAUAGGUGCUGUUUAGGACCCGUACCAUUCUACGGUUGCCUAAAGUAGGAUUCAUUUCCAGGACCCGUACCAUUCUACGGUCACCUAAGUAGGUGUCAUCUAGGACUCGUACCAUUCUGCGGUUGCUUGAAUAGGUGUCGUCUAGGACCCGUACCAUUCUACGGUCGCCUAAACUGAGAUUUAUUUCUAGGACUCGUACCAUUUUACGGUCGCCUGAAUAGGUGUCAUUUAGGACCCGUACCAUUCUACGGUCGCCUAAACUGGGAUUCAUUUCUAGGACCCGUACCAUUCUACAGUCGCCUGAAUAAGUGUUGUCUAGCACCCGUACCAUUCUACAGUCGCCUAAAUUAGGAUUCAUUUCUAGGACCCGUACCAUUCUACGGUCACCUAAGUAGGUGUCGUCUAGGACCCGUACCAUUCUACGGUCGCAUGAAUAGGUGUCGUCUAGGUAUAUACCAUUCUACGAUUGCCUAAACUGGGAUUCAUUUCCAGGAUCCGUACCAUUUUACGGUCGCCUGAAUAGGUGUCAUCUAGGACCUGUACUAUUCUACGGUCGCCUAAACUGGGAUUCAUUUCUAGGAACCGUACCAUUCUACGGUCACCUGAAUAAGUGUUGUCUAGGACCCGUACCAUUCUACGGUCGCCUGAUGAAUCUGAGAAAAAUCUUUGGGAGGCGACUCCAUCGCACACCAAUGCUUGAAAAGGAAUACCUGUACAAUGAUAAGUAUUUAAGGUAUGGAUAGAGAUAUACUUACUUGGUGACAUCUCUGAUCCUUAGAGAUAUGUCUCCAAAAUCAAUGAGGUGACUUUAGGCUACAGAAGCACACCAUGUCGAAGAAAGGGAACUUUAGGCUACGAAAGCACGCCGAUUUGAUAAAGGGACUUUGAACUAUAGAAGCACGCUAGGUUAUAGUAAGGGACAUUGGGCUAUGGAAGCACACCGAGUCAAUAAAUAGGGACAUCGGACUAUGGAAGCAUGUCGAGUCGAUGAAAAAGACUCUAGGCUACGAAAGCACGCCAAGUCAAUAUAAAGGACAUCGGGUUACGAAAGCACGCCGGGUUGAUGAAAGAGACUCUAGGCUACAAAAGCACGCCAUGUCAAUAUAAAGGGCACUGGGCUAUAAAAGCAUGCCGGGUCGAUGAAAGGGACUCUGGGCUACAAAAGCAAGCUAGGUCAAUAUAAAGGACACCGGGCUACGAAAGCAUGCCGGGUCGAUGAAAGGGACUCAAGGCUACGAAAGCACGCCGAGUCAAUUUAAAGGACACCGGGCUAGCACACCGGGUCGAUAAAAGGGACGCUGGGCUACGAAAGCAUGCCAGGUCAAUUUAAAGGACAUUGGGUUACGGAAGCACGCCAGGUCGAUAAAAGGGACUCUAGGCUACAGAAGCACACCAGGUCAAUAUAAAGGACACAGGGCUACGAAAGCAUGCCGGGUCAAUAUAGAAGACAGCUUGACCAAGUCAAGUGUUGAUGCACUUGGGAGAGAAUACCUGCACAAUGACAAGUAUUUAAAGUAUGAGUAGAGAUAUACUUACCUGGUGAUAUCUUUGAUUCUUGGGGAUAUGUCCUUUGGAACUUAGAUAUCCUGUGGAGGACUCUCACCUCAUGAAUGUCAGAAGCUCUUGGGUCUUUGAGAAAACAUUAUCUGUCAUACAUGAUUAGAGCAAAAAUGCAUUCAUCAAAGCAAUUAAUGCUAUUUUGGAAUGCGCACUUCAAAAUCCACUGAAGUUUUUAUCAAUUUAAUUGGGGUUCAUGCAUAAUGACCUUUGCAUUACCCAAAUUUCCACUAGAGAAUUACCGUUCAAGAUAAUUUUCACUCAUGACAUGGAUUUCUUAAGAAUACUAAAUGAGAGACUUUCGGUUAGAAAUGACUUUUACUCAAUCUCAUUUAAAAGAGAAUCACUUCAUCUUACCGUAUCGACAGGGGUUUGAGUAUUCUCGCAAGCGGUACAACCUUACCAAUCUGAGAGGUCUUCAACAUGGACCAUAUUGUGGGCUUGGUCAACGGCUUAACAAAGGGACUCUUUGAGUCAAGGCUAUUGAAAGAAUAUCUUCACAAUCAUCUCUAGGUUUACAAGUCAAGAACCUUGUAAAAUGAGAAAGAAAUAAUCUUGCUCGUACUUCUUCGAGUGAUGCUUAUAAACAUAUGAACCCCUACGUUAAUUCAAGUGCCAUAAUCUGAAGAGACUUCGUAAGGGAUGUAACAUUGGUUGGGUUCAUGGGUUGAGAAACGAAAUGAUCAUUAGGCUCAAAAUAUGUGUAAAGGGUCAAAGCUAAUGAUCAUUUAGGCAUUGUUGCUGGUCUUCUCUUUCGCCAGGGAUGCACCAUCGAUUUUGACUCUUUGAGUACUACUCCAUUGAGAUACAACCUUUUGCAACUGAUAGUCACUUAUCAUGACUCUUUCAUUUUCAUUGGCAUUACUUCUACUAGGCACAUCACUUUUUUCAUGCCCCUAGUUUGCAUGCAUUUUUUUUUCAUUUCUUUUUCAUGGGCAUUGGCCUUGCUUUUACCAGGCACACUGCUUUUUUCAUGCCCCUUAGUUCUAUUCUAAUUUCAAUCCUUGCACACAAUGCAUGCGUCAAGCAAUACUUUGAAUGACACUCAAACUUUCAAGAGUCCUCAUUUGUCUUUUGCCUUGCCCUAGUGUGGGGGAUAAUUACCAACUGGGUUUAAAGAAAUGAAAUUGUAGGCUCAAGUGGGCUAUGCAAAUGGUAUAAAUAUGUAGGAUAGAGAAAGAAAUGCUCUUUGUCAUCCUAAGGCACUUAAGUUCAACACAUGAAUUCAAUGCAAUAGCACGACUUGAAGAUUGACGCAAGUGAGAGCAAGAAAAUUUCAAUUCAUUUUCCUCACCUCAUGAUGCCAUUUUAUCUCUCCUUUGCCCCAAUGUGGGGUGAUUCUUGACAUGAGUAAUUUGAAAAGAAUAUCCAUAAGUGUAUGGGCUCAAAAGAGUUAAGCAAUGGAUCACCUGUAACGUUUGGGAUAAAGAAAUGAACCGCUUCUCAUCAUUUCAGUUGCCGUACCUUUUGCAAAAUAACUCUUUUACCUUGUGUAUAUGAACCUUCCUACACUCAUCUCACAAGUGCAUGAGUAGGGGACUGUGUAUAGGAUAAGGUUUGCCUUUCAUCAUCCCGACUCGUCUCAUUUAGUAUGCUCAAUCAAUUCCACAUCAUUCAUUAAAUUAGUCCAUAUUGAUGUUCUUUAGUGGAAUUGGUAACUAAAAGUCAUCAUGCAAAAUCCUUUAAAAAAAAAAAAAAAAAAAGAGCUCAACAGCUUUAGGCAUGAAAAAUUAUUAACUAAAAAACAAACAAUUUUCCACACUGCAAAAUGGUUUUUAGCAUUCAUUUAAGGAUUCAUCUACAAUGGGAUUGCCUCGGCAAUUGAUGUCUUUGGAUUGUCCCUAUCCGCUUUUGCCCCUGCACAAGAGAAUGUGCAUGAAUAGGAUACUAUGCAACAUCAAGGUGAAUUCAAAUUGCGCAUUCAUUUUAUCUCAGUCAUGUCACUACUAGAAUCUGUAGUGCUCCCAAUUCGACAACUGUUGAGUAACAAUUGAGCCAAUUGAUCUAUCAUUGCAACCUAAUGUGCCUUUUCAAAUGCCUUCUCAUUAGACCAAAAACGUAAUGCUCUGAAACAGGAAGUAAAUGAGUUAGAAAAUUAAACAGUGUUAACCUAAUGCAUGCUUUUGGAAAUGGCUUCAAAAGUGUUUUUUUUUUUAAAGGAUUUUUUGGAUGAGGAAGCAUGAAGAAGCCCAGUCCUCAGAAUUCUCCUUGGAUAAUAUUUUCUUUUCAUUGUUGGAUAUCGUCACCGGACUGGUUUGGUGUACCUCAUCAUGCCCUCAAAAUAAAACUUGUAAUGUCAUUGAAAUUCAUCAAUCAAUUACAUUUAUUGAAAAAAAAUGCAACACUCAAUCACUAAAAGAAAGAAGAAACUGAAAACAUUAUUUGGAAAAUAAUAAAAAUUCCCACGCAAGGGAAUGUGCAAAAGCAGUAAAAGAGUUACUCCUGUGGGCCAAGGCCCAUCUCUUGAGAGGAUUUUUCAUCAAUGGCUCCUGUGAUGAGGUCGUCGAACAAGUUUGUAACUCCUUCUAGCACAUCAUCAAGGUUCUCUGUAUUCGGUGGUGUUGGAUCAUCCAUGCCACCCCAUCCAUCUGGGACUAUCUCGCGAGGAUCAAUGUUACUGCUAGGAGGGGCUGAAUACUUUACCAGGUAAUCAAACUUGUCACUAGGUUGUCCCAGAGUGUCUAUCACUUCCACUUCAUCCUGCAUCAUUCUUGGAGGAUCGGAGAAUGUCUUAUGAAUGCUCGGGGGUAGUGGGUUUUAACUCCCUUGCCCUUGGUCAGGUGGUGAGUUCCGCCUUUCUUGUCUUCGUCCUUCAGAACUACCCCCACCUCGGGGGUAGUGGAUUUUAACUCCCUUGCCCUAAUUCAGCAGAACGAGACCUUUGAGGGGCUUUGAUAGGGUUCCGAAUGCCUUGACCUCUUCUUUCAAGGCCAUAUGACAUCAUCUUGAAACCCCAAAAGUGGAAAUGAAUGGUACGGCGAUUUUUCCUAAAGAAUAUAAAACAAGACGAAAGACGAAACAUUGUCAUGGACCGACGAAAAUUGCAAUAAAGUAAAUGAAUUGCAAAGUGAGAGUCCACACAACUUACUUUCACCGAAAAGGGAUGACAAUCACAUAGACAUACGCAUGAAGUGUGAGGCUCGAUUUCAAUCUAGACAGCUUAACAAAGUGGAGCUAAGAGGAUGAUCUGACCAUUGUAGUCUCGCAUUAAUGUGUUAGGUCCCCCUAACUCCGGCUUAGUUGAAUGGAAUGUCUAAUAGUCACGCAGUCUCGCGGAUAUGGACAAACACAUUCGACACCAUGAAAAGACUUUCGGAGAAGAGAAUGUCAACCUCUACAUAGCAGUCUCGCUUUGGAGGAAGUAUCCUUCUCAACACCAUCCUAGAAAUCCUAUCGCAGCCCAAGUUCGGCUACAGGUUAUGUGUGCAAUAGUAUAGUGCUAAAAACAAUAAAGCAUGCACAACAGUUUAAAUGCAAACAACACUUCUAAUCAUGGAAAAAUAAAUCAUUAAUCCCACACUCCAACCUGCAAGACAAAGGUUAGCAUAAACUACUCCCCUUAUACCUCCCAUCUGCAAAAACAUUUAAUACCUUAGAUAUGUUAGGUACGUACCUGGUGUCCUCGCUGCCAAACAAAAACAUUUUUAAAAGAAAAAUUGGUCUAAGUUCACUAAGUGUUUUAACAUAGUUCUCUAGCGGAGUCGCCAAGCUAUCGCGACCUGAUUUUCGGGUGCACCACCUAAAACUAAGUUAAUGGACUACUACGUUUUUAAACUUAGCUUGGGCUCUCCCAAGCCCAUACCAAUUCGCGACUUAAGGUUUAAGUAUUUAACAUGCAAAAGAUUAUUAACUAAGAGUCGCCCCUAAUCAGUUUACGGUAGGUCGAUUAGACAUCUAAGUAAAAUAAUGGGAGAAUUAUUUUAGUCCUACGAACCAGAGACUAAGGGUACAGGGACUUGAUUACAUUAUAUUUUUCUAAUGCUCUUUCGGUACCAUUUCUUUUUUUAAUUUUCAAAAAUAUUUUUUGCAAGCAGCUUUGAUUCAUUUUAACCUAAAUCUCUAUCAUGUAAAUGUAGUGACCACAUGAGUGCUCAUCCAUUAUUAAAACAUUCAAAUAAAAGUAAUAAAUAAAUAAAUUGCAUCACACAAAGCAAGCAAUCAUUUUUUUAUUUUUUUUUGGGUUUUCUUAAAAAUUAGAAUUCUUUUAUAAAAAUGCAUUUUUAACUAAAUGACUUAAUCUUAUUAAUAUGCAAAUUCUAAUUAAAUGAGUCUAUUAUGCAAACUAGUUAUUAUGCACGUCAUGACCUUACUUCACUAAUGAACAAAUUCUGAUUAAAUAAUCCUAUUAUGCGAACUAGUUAACAUGCACCUAGUAUUUUUGUAUAUUUUUUUUAUUGAAAUUUAGAAUUUAUGAAAACCUUAAUUAAUCUAUCUAAAAAAGGAUAAUUUUCUAAUUUAUUCUAGGGAUUAAUUUGAUUAAACCCUAUCCUAUCUUAGAAAACUUUUUUUUUUUGGAAAAAUGAGAUAAUUAGAAUAUGCGAACAUUAUCUAAAACCCUAAAAAAUAUUUAGGUUCAACCCUAACUUAUUCCUAAAAAUGCAAUCCUAAGAAAAUUCCAAUUUACUAAACCUACAUACUCAUGCAGAAUUUUGAUUUUUUUUAUUUCCUUUUUUUUUUUAGUUUUUUAAAAGAUAAGUAAUUAUUAAAUAAAUAUUAAAUCUAAACUAUCAACAAAAUAAAUGAUUAAAAUAAUUGAAAAAAUAACCUGUUGUCUCAUAGGUCAAAUUAACGAUUAUCCUAACCCUAAUUAUCACAACAAAGAGUUCAAAAUAAUUAAAAAUUUGAUCCGAAGUCUUACGGAUCAAAUUAAUAAUUAUAAUGAUUUAACAAUUAAAACUCUACCAACAAGCCCAAAAAUUAAUAUAAUUAAAAAAAAUAAUCCGAUGUCUCUCUGAUUAAAUUAAUAAUUACAAUAAUUCCAGACAAAAUCUUAGCGGAUAAUGCCUACAAAAUUUAUUGACAUCAAAUAUUACAACUUUAAUAGAUAAACUAAAAUGAGAUAAAAUAAAAUAAAUGAAAAGAAAAAGCUAAACAACCUAAAGAAAAAGGGGGUUUGCUGCAGCGUUGAUGGGCGCUAGACGCACGGUGGCUGGCAUCGAGACUCCGACGGGAGCUAGCGGACGGCGAUAUUGAGGGGUUCGAGCUCGGAGCAGCGGCGGAGGUGGAGCUGGACCGCGGGUCGCUGGGUGGUGAUGUUGGCAGCGGUGAGCGGAUUGGUACGGGCUGAGGUGCGGCGGAGACUAUGCAGGCUGCUGGUGCAGGCGUCGGGCACUCAGAGGCGUAGUAGUAGCUAUGAGCAGAUAGAAAAGCUAGUGCAGUGGUGUCGACCGAGUGGGGGUGGGCCACUGAGUUGCUGGGCACGGGUUGCAAGCAUUGCAGGGCUGGCGGCUGCUAGCAUUGCAGGGGAGGUCGAGCGGCGGUGAUGCAGUAGGUGGCGUCGGGCGCUGGGCGGAGAGGCGGGCAUUGGCGCUGGGUCAUGGAUGUCGGGCAGGCUGACGGUGCGAUGGUGGCGGAGGCGUGGUGAGGCGCGAGACGGUAGGGGCGCGGUCAGCAGCAGCGAUCACCGGUAGGACCCUCGCGGGGAAGAUGAACAGUGCUUCAUCUUUUUUUUUGAUAAAGGUAAAGGAUAAUAUAGCUUUGGACAAAAUACAAUAGACGGUGCGAAAGGCUUACACUCUAAGGAAGACCGAAGAGUGGAAGGGAGCCGUGACAAAAGCCAAAGGCAAGCAGACCAAAAGGAGAAGAACCACAGUUACAACACAAAAACAAGUACAACCACCAAGCCUUCGCCAAACAAUCGAAAAACGAAGAAACGGAGUGAUGAUGAAGCUUAUAGCAGAACAAGAGAAGAAGCAGGGAGACUAACGCCCGAGACGAUCCGUAAAGAUGGAGGGAUCAAGAUCCCAACUUCUUUGGAGAUGCCUAUUUCUCGGAGUGUCCGGAAUACUUGUGAAUGUAGUCGCUUUAUCUUUGACUAUCUUCAUAAGGUGGUUCUUCAAAGCAGGGACAAACAGUGCUUCCCCUCAGAAAAUAAUAUCAUUCCUUUUCUUCCAAAUCAAAUAACAAAGGCCACCGAAAGAGAACUGCGCAAUCUGAUGGUAGAAAUCCUUACCGGAGGGCAACCUAAUUGCCCAAGUAAGGUUGUCCAUCCAUGGCCUCGAUUUCCAGGGUAAAUUGCAUCUCGUUGCCCAAAAAUAAGCAAGCGUGGCCGAGAUACGAUAGUUGAAGAACAAGUGAUCAAUAGAGUCCAGAGUAGCAUUACAGUAUGCGCAAGUACCCGAGACAAUUAUGUUAGAAUGGAUUAGGACUUCCUGGGUGGGUAAUCUGUUCUUGGUAAUCAACCACAAGUUAAAUUGAUUUCUAAGGACAAUAUUAGAGUUUCAAAUAAAGGAGUCCCAAGAAACUCUUUCCUUCUUUGUUCUAAUGAAAUCCCAUGCAGAGGCAACAGAAAAGGAUCCGGAUGAGUGAUGAUUCCAGGUGAAACAAUCCGGUGCAUCAGUUUGAUCCGGGACAAAGAAACCACAGCUCUCAAGUGAACUCUUAAAUGCAUGACCAAGGGGGGAGAAUAAAUCUUCGACAACAGCAUGCUUAAGGAGACUCGACAAUUCAAUGAUGGAUGUCGGAAAUAAAAGAUCAAGGGGGCCAUCAGCGAGCCAUUGAUCAUGCCAUAAAGAAACCAAAAAUCUAUUACCAAUCUUCCAAGCGAAGCAAGACCUAAACUAUGUUCUUAAUUGCAAUAUUUUUUUUUCCAUCCCCAAGAACACGUAGAAGGUGUUGAGGCGAUCCAGAAAUUGUCCUUUUUUAAGAAAUUAGAAUGGAUCCAUUGAUACCACAACGAUUCUUUAUCGGUGAAAAGGAUCCAUAUGUACUUAAGCAUGGCCGCUCUAUUGCAGUCUUUCAAAUUCCUUAUGCCAAGCCCACCUUCAUUUUUUGGGAGGCAUAUGUCAUCCCACGCAACCUUAGCCCCACCUUUACCAAGUGCGGAUCCUUUCCAUAAGAAUUGUCUCAAGAUUGUUUCAAUACUAAUCAGAACCGACGCUGGUAAGGUAAACACACUCAACCAAUAUGAUUGAAUGGAAUAGAGGAUUGACCUGAUGAGCUGCAGUCUUCCAGCAUAUGAUAGAAAUCUUUGAGUCCAAGAUUGAGCCCUAGUAGUGAUCCGAUCAAUUAGAGCAAUACAGUGAACUUUUAGAAGUCUAGAAGAGAUGAUGGGAACCCCGAGGUAUCGCACAGGCAAGGUACCUUCUUGGAAUCCAAAUGCCAUUUGAAUAUAAUUGCGAAGAGAUAGAGAUCCUCCCGACAUAAAUAUUUCGCUCUUGUGUUUCUAUUCGGGAUUAAGCCACUCCAUGAAGAGAAUAUAUCAAGGCCCUUUUUCAUUAAGGUGAUAGACGCCCAGUUAGCCCGGCAGAAAAGGAAAACGUCAUCCGCGAAAAAAAAUGUGAGUCAGCCGAAUUGCCUUGCACCUCCAAUAGGGAUUGAAUUCCAUAAGAGAAGUCUAGGAGACUAGAAUUCCAGAGAAUACCUCCAUCACAAGCGUGAACAGAUAAGGGGACAUAGGAUCUCCUUGUCGUAGUCCUCUCCCUCCGGCAAAGAAUCCAUGAAGCUCUCCAUUGAUUGAAAUGGAGUAUUUGGGAGUCCGAACACAAGCCAUAAUUAACCGAACAAAAACAUUAGGGAAGCCAAAUGGCGUGAGUGUUGAUUGAAGAAAAUCCCAGUCGAUAGUAUCAUAAGCCUUUUGGAAAUCCACUUUUAUCGCACAUUUGGGGAGGUAAGGUUCCAAAUGAAACCCAGCAAAUAAUUCUUGAGCCAAAAGAAUGUUAUCUCUAAUCCUCCUCCUUUUGACAAAGGAGUUUUGAGAGUAGUCAACUAAGUUCCCAAGGACAAUAACUAGGCGAUUGGCUAAUAUCUUUAUAAUGAUUUUAUAAAUGGUGUUGCAACAUGCAAUAGGGCGAAAAUUUGAGACACCACAAGCAUUAGGGACCUUUGGAACUAAGGUAAGGAUGGAAUUAUUCACCUCUUUGAGCAGAUAGCCUGAUAUGAAGAAUUCCUGCACUGCCUCUGUUACGAGCGGGCCAACAGUAUCCUAGCAUCUCUUGAAGAAUUCGGCAGUGAAUCCAUCAGGACUCGGCGCUUUCCCUUUCGCUAGGGAGAAGAUCGUUUCUCGAAUUUCAAGGAUUAGCACUGGUCUGGUUAGGUCACCGGCUUGGUCCACCGACAGGGGAUUGUGAAUGAACUUUCUUAACUCCUGCAGGGAAGGCUUGGACAAUCCAGAGUGAGGAGAAAGCAUAUCAGCAAAAAAUAUAACAAAGACUUGGGGAACCGCAUCAGGGUCAUCGAUAAAAGCACCCGAGGAGUCCUUCACCGUAAUGAUUAUGUUUGUAAGUCGUCUUCUCUUAACAGAAUGAUGAAAAAACUUUGUAUUUUGGUCCCAUUCCUUGAGCCAACGGAUUCUCGAUUUUUGCCUAUAGAAGGAUUCUUCAUCUCUACGCAAGUUAACAAAGAGCUUGCGGCAAAUUUGCUCUGUAUUGGCGAGGUCAGAAUCAUUAGGGUUGAGAUGUAGAUCAAGCUAAGCAAAGCGAAGAGCUUCCCUUGCUUCCUCUGUUCUUAUUGAAAUGUUUGAAUAUGUAUCUCUAUUUAAGAGUUUAAGCUGGCUCUUCAGAGUUUUGAGUUUAGAAACAAGCCUAAACAUAGAAAAUCCUUGAACUAGAAUAUCCCAUACCUGUUGCACAAUGAGGAAGAAGUCAGGGUGCUGAGCCUAGAAAUCAAAAUACUUGAAAGGCCUCCUCCUACGAGUCGGGUCAAUGACUCUGACUACCAUUGGGGAGUGGUCGGAGAUGCCCGAGUUAAGGAAAGAGGCCUCGGAGAAAGAGAAUUCCAUAUUCCAAGUGGUAUUAACCAAAACACAAUCUAUUUUUCGCAUUUUCCUACUUGCACCCGCAGAGGUGGACCAGGUAAACCUAAGGCCAAUGUACCUGAGGUCGUCCAACUCAGUUUGUUCGCAAACUCAUCAAAGUAUGGAAUCCAAGUAUCAGAACUACCAAAACAGUUAGAUGGAUCCUUGAUAACGUUAAAAUCUCCAGCAACCAACCAGGCCGUGUCUUGCAUGAGGGCAUUUAUCAGAAUAAGAUCUUCCCAGAGUGGGCGACGGCGAAUAAACGAGUGUUCACCAUAUAUAAUAGAAACACGGCACGUCUUUGUAGACGAGAUAAUCCUCACGCAGCCAUGCACAGCUUGAGCACUAACCGAGAUGGGAUCAUAAUUUAUAUAGUCUGGGUUCCAACCAACCCAUAUUCUUCCACGAGGGGAGUGUUCAUAAUUCGUGAUCCAUUUCCAAUCAUUCAGCAAAAAGGAGGAUCGGGAAUCAAAAGUAUCCUCAGGAACUUUGGUCUCAAUGAGCUCAAUCAAGCACAGAUUAUGAGAAGUGACAAGCUUUCGCACUUCAGCCCGAGUAACGGAAUUCAUAAGGCUUCUAACAUUUCAGGCAGCUAUAUGCAUAUUUACAGAAGAAAGGGAAGAGGGUUACCUCUUUCUAGAACCCUUAUUCCUACCCACCGUCGGAGGAGGAUCCGCAAUAGGAGGAGGGUUCGGGCAUAGCAGCAGCAGCUUGUCCUGCAUUGUCACAGCUGGGGUAGUAGAGCGAGGGCCUUUCGGUGGGAAGGAGUCUACCGAAAGUAGGUCUUCAUCUUCUGUCUCUUCCUGGAAGCUGGGAUUGACAAUCUCAUCUGAAUAAUGAGGCACUGACAAUUGAGGAGUAGUUGUUUUCCCUUUAACCGAUAUAGAGGGGCCCUGACCAGCUUUAGAGGGUGCUGCACCCGCAUCGGUAGACUUACGAGAUGAUGGUGCAACUCUCACUGUCCUUAAAACAAAGUCUUUUAGCUUCAGCGAUUAGCCUCCUUCACCAAGUGCAGCUGAACUGGUGGAGGCAACCUUUUUUGUGAAAGGCUUUUUCUUUCUUUUAACUUGUUUCCACUCAGAAUCGACCGGGGGUGGGAUGCUAGAUGGAUCGUCUGUCAUCCUCAAAACCAAUCUUUCUUUAUCAACAACGCCUUCAAUAGGCUUGACUGUGAACAAAGGAUAAACUGCAUCUGUUUCUAUACUCUUGUGUAUUUCGGCCGAGUUCCCCCCUCCCUGAGGGCUUCUAGGAACAGUCCUUGUAGUAACCAGAGGGUUGAUAUGCGUCUCUGUAGUUCGAAGGUUCAUGUGCUGAGAGCUCGAUUGGCCCUGAGGCCGAGAACCAGUAGGAUCAGACGCAUUCUAAACACCAGCAGUUGCUUUAGCAACUGGAGAGGUAUCAAUAGCAACAAGUCUAGCCUUAGCUGCAUUGCAUUUAUGACCAAAUAUUCCACACCCUGCACAGGCUGUUGGUUUCCAUUCAUAUUCCACAUCGACCAUACAAGAUUGGCCUUCAUAAACCAGCUCAAUACAUCACAAUGAGGUUGGUUGGCUGUGAUCUCUACACAUACUCUAGCAUAGGUAAGCAUGUGCAUCUGUUAUGUUCUUGAGUCAACAUACAAUGGUUUCCCAACACCACUAACAACUUUGCUUAUUGAUUAUGCAGACCAGAAUGCAGCAGGGAGAUUUAUGAGUCUAACCUAUACAGGCACAUUGAGGUGAGCAUCUUUCCUCAAUUCUAAGUCCGGUCUCCAUUGUUGAAGAACUAAGGGAAUCUUGGAGACGGUAAUGGGCCCUCCUUCCAGCACCUUCAUUUGAAAUUCCCUGUCUGGGAUAUGAAAGAAAAACAAGCCCUUUCCAUUAGCCAUAACUCUCGCCAAGUUGGUACCCCAAGCCUUUUUAAAAGCUGCUUCAGUAACUACAAAUGGUAUCCUCCUACCUAUGUAGUAUCCCACUAAACACUCUUGCAAUUUUGGAUAUGCAGCUAGGAUGUCGUCCUCUGUCAUUUCAACAACCGGGCGGUUACCAACGCGAGUUGGAGGGAAAUAAUCAAGGUCAUAUCCCUUUGAGGCUACUUUAGCUACAGCCACAUUCGCCCAAGAGCGAAGAUUCGAGCUCCUUGAGAAGGCUCACUGGGGGCAUUUGGAGGACGAUCUUCCUCUACUCAUGCCUUUACGUCCAUCAAAGCGGAGAGAGCGAGCGCGACCAUAAUGUUUCUCCACCAAAACAGGGGCUUGGUUUCCACCACCAAUGUUCUCAUUCACAAUAUCAAUUGACAGAGAUAGAUUGUCACUUCCGGUUUGCAACCCAGCAGGAGGAAAAGCAAAACACAACCUGUCAGUUGCAGUCGGGGAGCUUGUGUUCGAGGGCGUGCGCCCCUUCUUGUUCAAAAGAAGCCCAUCAACCGAAGAACGGCCCUGAUGGUGGGGACGUGGAGCAGAAGCACUAGGGCCUUCAUCUAAACCAAGGGCCUUGGCUGAAGCCGAGGCCAUCGCAACAACAAAAUAGGCGAGCAGCAACAGAAUCAGGAAAAAACACUAACCGAUUUCCUCCAUAGCCGGCCUAAAAGAGAAACGAACCUGGGGAAAUCUUCGGAGGGCUUAGAGAGGGGACCAAGGCGCCUCUCGCUGCCAAAAAAAAACCUGUUCGAACACCUGGGAUCAGCCGAAGAAGGAGGCAUGAGCACAGAAGCUCGGUCGCCAGCAGAGGGGACCUAUGCGCCAGGGACGACACCUGAGAGCACGAUCAAACAUGGCGACGACGGCAGCGGUCAGAAACGGAGCCGGAGCGUACGUCGCGGUGGUGACACAGGGCUCACCGGCGCCGCUGGGGAGGGAGGCCGUCCGUCACUUUGCUCUGGUCGAGAGCUCUUUGAGGGCGCGUUCAAACCCGACGACGGCGAUGGUGGUUAGAUACGGAACCGGAGGCAGCGGAAGAGAUUACGCCGCCGGUGGUGUCAAGGCGGGACGACGAACCUGGUCGCAGGGCUCACCGGCGCCGCUGGGGUGGGGGUUUUGUUUGACGCUCUGCUUCUCAGGAUUUCAGAAAAAAAAAAACACCAAGUGAUUUUGCUUCAUCUUCUUUCCUUUUUCUUUUUCUUUCUUUUUUUUCCUACUGCAGCACGUCCCCUCACACGAGCUCUCUCUAUUGCUAUUCCCUUUCUACAUAUGUAGUUUUUCACCCAAAAAGAAAAGAAUUUUCCCUUCCUUUCUUUUGUAUUUUUUUUUUCAGAACUCUCUUACACACAAAUUUUUUUCUACUCUUUGAAUUCGCUCUCAAUUCCCCCUCGCAUCCGUACGGAUCGACUUAUUUUAUAGUGAUUUCUAGACAGUUGGUCUCCAUGGCAACUUUCGAGUUUCCAUCUUUUGUCGCAUUAAAUCACGGCUGCAAAUUGGAGCAUGAUUUCGCAAUCAGCUCGAUCUUACACCAAUUCCUUCCAUUUUAUCAAAAUCCUUGCCUUUUGUUCACCUGAUCUUUAAUUGCUUAUGCAUUUAUCAAAAUCUGAAUAUCCAUCAAAAUUUCAAAUUUCCAUGCAUAAUCAAUCAAAUCAAUUUCCCCCAUUUUCAUUUUUUUUCUUUUUAUUUGUUCAAAAUGCAAUUUUAUUUUUCCAAAAUUAGGUGUCAACACAAGUAUUCCAUCAAAUGUUUUCAUCUAUUACAAUUUUCCAAACAUCCGUAAUAUAAAUUGCAUCUAUCACGUGAUAACAUAAAUGGGAAAAUUACCAAAAAAGUUCUAAAUCUAUUACAAUUGUGCCAAUUUAGUCUUAAACUUAUUUUUUUUUUUGUCAAUUGAGUCAUAAACUUUUUUCAAUUGUGUCAGUUCAGUCUUUUUGGCUAAAAUUGGCCGGCUGAUGCUAACAUGGCCACCGACCGAUGACAGGGAUAAUUUUUUAAUAAUAUUUUAUUUUUUUCAAAUUAUCUUAUUAAUUUUUUUACCUUUUUUUAAUCUUUUUUUUCCUCCUCCCUCCUUCCUCCUUUGGCUUCGGCGACUGGACAGAGGGAGGGCUAGCCGAUCCCCAGACUGAGGUGGUCGAGCAAGCUCACUUCGCCGUGUUUGGUGAGGCGAGCCCCUACUGGAUCUAGCAAGGGCUAGCAAGGGCUCACUUGGCGAGGGCUCACCUCGCCAUCGCUAGGCAAGGACUCACCUUGCUGUUGCUUGUCGAGGACGAGCUUGCCCAACCACUAGUGAGGCGAGCCAUUGCCAGAUUGAGGGGGACCUCGCCGUCAUUGGUCUAGCGAGGGAAGCCCCCAUCAGAUUUGGUGAGGACUCGCCUUGCCGUCACUAGGUCUGGCAAGGUGAGCCUUCGCCAGAUCCAGCGGGGGCUCGCCUGACCACCUCAGUCCGGUGACUAGCCAACCCUCCCCUUUAGUUAGUCACCGGAGCCGAAGGAAGAAAAAGGGAGGAGGAGGGAGGAGAAAGGGGGAGAAAAAAAAAAGAAGAAAAGAAAAAUAAAAUUAAUAAAAUAAUUGAAAAAUAAAUUUAUUAUUAAAAAAUUAUCAUUGGCAUCAGCUGGUGGCCACGUUAGUGCUAGCUGGCCAAUUUUCACCAGAAGGACUGAAUUGGCAUAAUUACAAAAUGUUUAGAACUCAAUUGGCCAAAAAAAAAAAAUUAUGACUGAAUUGGCACAAUUGUAAUAGAUUUAUGAUUUUUUUUUAUAAUUUUCCCCGAUAUAAACAUUACCUGAAGAGUAGGUAUUACCUCCGCUCUUUAUAGGUGGAUCCAACUUGUUAAGGAUUAGAAGCAUAAAGAAACAGAGUUCGUGGAAACAAAGUUCGUGGAAACAGAGUUCGUGGAAGUGAAUAAGGAUGAGGAAACAAAGUCUAAAGAUUGUGCUGCUGCUACAAGUGUGAUGACAGCUACAACUACACGUGCAUAUGGAGCCAUUGAGAAGAACUGAGUAAAUGAACUAAGAAGCUCAACUCUGGCCUCCAUUAGAAGUGUGCCCCAUGUGUCCACGUGCUUUAUUACUGAAAAAUAGUUAUUUGGUUUUAGAAGAUUAACAGAACCUGUUAAUUCUGUUUUCAUCGUCUUCUUUCUUUUACUUUUGGUGUGGUGUAUAAAUCAAGUGAGGAAGGGAAACAUUGAUAAAGAUGAGCUCUCAGAUGAAUGUAUUACUCGACUGUUUAUGAAAUCUAGAAUACAACUCGAUUCAUCAACAUUCUUCUUCUUCUUCAUUUUCUGUUCAAUCAUUGCUUUUUCACAUGGUAUUAGAGCCAUCCUGAGAGCUCAAAUCAUCCUUGCUAUAUGACUCAAAGCAAUACAAAGCUCACAAAAUCCAGACGACGUCAAGGCAGUUCAGAGCAACUUUUGAAGUUCUCUUUGAUUGAAUACAGGUGAUCAACAUGUGAUCAUGAGUUGUGAGGGAUCAACAGGUGAAGUUUUCUGAUCUUGAGUUGUGCAAGAUCAACAGGUGAUCAUGAUUGUGAAAAUACAUCAUCAAAGUUUCUGAGAAAACAAAAUGACAGCAAGAACACAGAAAUAUCAUUUUCCGAUUUAUGUCAAUAUAUAUAUAACUUUGUUACGAUAAAGUUAGCUGAAGAUAACUUCCUGCUCUGGCAAGCGCAGUUUCAUAGAUUCCUACGAAGUCAAGAUCUUUUUGGAUUCAUCAAUAGAGAAACACCACCACUAGCUCAGAUGUUGCAGGUUGAGGUUGAAGGUCAUGAAUUUGAAAUAGUGAAUCCUGAUCAUACAGAUUGGGUAAAAACUAACCAACUAGUAUCAUCAUGGAUUAGUGGAGCAGUAUCUGAGAAUAUUUUGAGCUUGAUCAUCGGGCUGGAAACUUCAUAUGAGGUAUGGCAAACACUCCUUAAUCGUUUUACGCAAAAAUUAGUAGCCAAGGAGUUUGAGCUAAGAAGAAAGUUACAAGCUUGCCAAAAAAGAGAUGGAACAUUGUUUGUUUAUCUUAGGGAGUUUAAAUCCAUUUGUGAUCAGCUUAAUGCAAUUGGGAAACCUGUUGAUGAGAUAACCAAGAUGUUUGGUGUUCUUGAAGGUUUAGGAUCAAAAUAUGAAAGCUUCAAAACUACUAUGUACUGUCUAAAACCUCAACCAGACUAUGAUUAGGUAAUUUCUCAGCUUGAAAGAUUCGAAACUAGGUUACAAACCUAUUCUUCAAGUCAAUAUAAUCCUAAUCUAGCUUGAAAGUGCUAGUAUGAACACCUAGAGGGGGGUGAAAAUGUGUAAAAGCAGAUUCUGUAAAAUCCAGUGAAAACCUUUACUUUUAAUCCGAGUCUGAAUAACAACAGACUUUUGAAACUGAGUUUGAAGAGUAGCAGAUUUUGAGUGAGAUCAGACUUUAGCAGUUAAAUAGAACUACAAACAAAAUAAAGAGAUUCAGAGAAGAGAAUAAAAACACAAGGUUUAUAGUGGUUCAGCUUAGAUCAAGUCUACGUCCACUUUCCCACGCUAACAGCCUUCUUGGCUGGAUUCCACUAUGCAAUCAACAAGAGAUUACAACUUUGAGUGCAAACACUUAGUAGAUCACACUAUCUCACUAAGUCACUCUUUUGUUAUUUCUCUCAUGAUCACAAAUGUUUAAGCUUACAAGAUACAAGUGUAUGAUCGAAGGUCGCUUAGACUUUGGAAUUAUAAAUUUUACACUUCAUCUCUUACUUGCUCAUCGGUCCUUCAUCUUCUUAAAUACUCCUCCACUUCCAAACUAGUUGUUGGACAAUAUUUUGAGGAUCGUCUUCCAAUCUACAUGUUGGAUAAAUCUAUAUCUAGAAGAUUUGGUAGCCGUUGAGUGACAAAAGUAGAAUCCCAAAUUGAUUCCGAUCGCCCAUAUAAACAAAAUCUUGAUUUCCAUAAGUAGAGCUUCUUCGUAUAGAAAGUUCUUGUCUUCAAGAUACAAUUGUCAAUCAAUUAAAUUGAGUCAAUCAAAUCAAUCUUGAUGUGGAAUCCAAACCAGAUCAAUAGCCGUUAUAUGAUUGGGGCUUGUAUUACGUUAUGUCGAAUCUGGAUGUAAAGUCUGAGUGCAAUAGAUUUUACAAUCUGAGUCUGAAUAUAUUCUGCUUCUGAACAGAUUUAGCUUUAAGGUCUGAACACCGUUUGAAUAAGUUUAGCUUCAGCAUAUAGUUUGUCUUUUGGUUCUUCAUUCAUGUUUAGUCUGGAAUUUGUCAGAGUGAGCAGAUUUCUGAUGUAGAACAGACUUUGACAUUAAAGUCUGGCAGUCUUCAGACUUUGACACAGAAAUCUGGAAAUUUUCAUAAUAUACUUUGGACAUGUGUUACAUUCAAUCUUUUAGCUAUACAGACUUUGACAAUAUCCUUUAUAUGUUCUAUCAUUUGCAUAGUCUAUUACUUAACCAUCAAACACGUUAGUAGCUUUUGAUUUAUUUUGUCAUCUUCAAAACAUCAUGAGAGAUUUCCCUAAGAAUCUCCCCCUUUUUGAUGAUGACAAAACUAUAUUUGAAUAUGCAAAUUUGUAAACAUACUUCUAAAGAUAUUAAUAAAUCAUAGCAGUAUAAUUCAAAUCAAAAGAUAGCAAAUAGAUCGGGCAUAACAAUGUAUAGAAAAAUAAUCGCAGCUCAAUAUUAUGCAAUAAAUAAUAUCAACCAAUCAACACAUAUACAUAUUCAUAUCUUCUCCCCCUUUUUGUCAUAAUCAAAAAACGAUAACAAUAGAAAUAGUAUCACGUAGAGAAUAUAAAAUGAUAAUAUAUCUUGCAUAAAACAUGAUUUGUGAAAAAAUCAGCUUUUACAAAGUAAUCGAAUAUUAAAGAUAUGCAAUAUAGCUCACUUUGAUUAUAUAUAUCAGCAAAUAUCCAAUAAAAAUCAUUGAUGCAUUAUAAAAUUCACUUAUCCUUUUUGUCAUAAUAAAAUGAUAAUAUCAAUAAGAGAUUUAUUAAUGACAAAAGGUAAUAAGAGAUACACUAACCGGUUUUUUAGAACAAAUUCUAACACAUUUACCUUUCCUUCCUUCUAUAAUAAGAUCACGAUCAUGAUUUAUUCAAAAAUAUUUUUCUAUAAUUGAUCAAAGCUCCCUCUCAAUUUGUUGCCUUUCUGAGAUGAUCACGAUUCUUUCCUUUCUUUUAGAUUUACGUUCUCCCCCUGUGAUUAUGACAAUAUUUGCGAGUAGAAACAAUUAUUUGCGCAAGUUGAACAGAAUAUUUUUCAGUAUUUCCUUUGUAGUAACAACAUCCGCAACUAUCACUUGCAUUUUGAAAUUCGAGGCAAAAUUUUAUUUUCUUCAAUCAAGCUCAUCUCAAAUUCAACCUGCAUAAACUUAACAAACUUUUUCCACAAAUAAGCAAUAAUAAUAUCCACGUAAUAUAUAAUGCACUUUCUUCAAAUAAAUAAAUUGAAUAGCAUAUGUAAAAUUAAAAUUCCGAACUACUCAACCUUCCAUACGACACAUAAGGGAUUUCCUCAACAAUUUGCAAAAAAUAUGCAUAAGAAAUAGAAUCUUUGAACCUCCAGAAGAUAGUAUAGAAUAUUCACAAAUUUCUGAUCAAGCUUUCCAAAAUUCAUAUGGAAGAUUCUAUUGUUACUUGCAAAAUCUUGUAUAAUAGAUAAUCAUCUUUGCAAAAAUGUCACAUAAUAUCUUCAUUUGAUUUGCAGAUCAACCUUGCUAGAUAUAAUAUAUCUUCUAAGAAUAUAGCAAGAAUAUCCAUAAAUAUGUAAUAAUAUCUUUCGAGAUCAAAGAGAUUUCCUUGAGCAUAAAUUUUUCAGAUAUGCAUUUUGCAAAAGGAAAAUAAAUAUUUCUAUUAAGUGCCAAAAUUGCAAUACCUUAUAUUUAUGACAAAAGAUAUUCGCAAUAUAAUAAACAAUCAUCCAAAAUCAUGAUAAAUGCACGUAGAAAUUUGUAAGGCGGGAUGAUAAAAAAAAAUAUUCUCUUACCCAUGGUAUAUGUUUCAAAUAUACCAUUGAUAAAAAAAAAAAAAAACAUUAUCAAUCUUCGCAUGAGAUACAUUUUUGAUUGCGUCAUGAUUUGCGAUCAUCCUUCCCUUAAAGAAUUUCUUGCAAUCAACUCAUUUCUGGUAUCCAUCAAUUUGGAUCCUUCCAUGACGUUAGAGCAAAAUAUAAAAUCUCCACAAAUAAAUAUUCUUUCUUAAUUCAUCAUAACAAAGUAUUCAAAGAAAGAAUAUUAUGCACAAUGAUAUUUUGAAAAAUAAAUUCUCACUUAGUCAUAGUACGAUAAAAACAGAGAGAAUAAAAUUAAACAAAAUAAUUUGAAUUAUCUCAAAUAAUCACAAACAAAUCAUACGAUUCUUUCUUCAAUGAAACAAAAUAUGAUCAUUAUAAAAUCUCAAUCAACCAAGGAUAUAUCGAAUAUCAAGUAUAAUGAGAAUUUUUAAAUUGUGUACUCAAGCCAAAUUGAGAAUAAAAAGAAUAUACAUUCCUUACCAAACUCUCAUUCUUCUCUUCCUUUAUUUCCUGCAAAAAUAACUCAUCUUUUCUUUGGUACCCAUUUUUUCUUGGGUGCAUGAGAGUUAGUAGAGUAUGCUGUUUUUAUCCAAUUUUUCCUAAUAGGUUUCCAGGAAAUAAAGUGUUCCAAAUCUCCACAAUUUGAACACUUGACGUCAUUUCCAUCAACAGGUUUUACAAACACUUUUUGAAAAUAAAUUUUGUAAAAUGCCUUUGGAGGUCUUUGUCUAAGUCUUUCCUUAACUUAAGGAAAAUCAAUUAGAGAAUCACUUUCCUUAUUGAAACCAAGUCCUGACUUAUUAUAGUAAGGAACUUGUAUGGAAAGGAUAUGCUCUAAUGUUUUUGAUCCAUUUGAAAAUCUUGUCAAAAUAUUUGAAAAUUCUUUCUUUAAAGAAUCAUAUUCUUUGACAAGUAAAUCUCGACUUUCUUUUGUUUGUAUAAAAUCUUUUUGCAAAAUUUCAAAAUUUUUAUUUCGAGAAAGAUCUUGUUGCCUAAGCCGAGAAUUCUCCUUUUUAAGUUCAGAGAUCAUUUUAAGAGAAGAUUUGAGAUUUAAGCAAAGCUCAUUUUUAUAUUUUGAAACUUUGAUAGGAAUUGCUGAAUUACUUACCUCGAUUUCCUCAUCGGAUUCCGAGUCUGUGUCUGAGUCAGACUCUGAUUUUGAAAUCGUGUCUGAAUUAGACUCAGAUUCUAAAUGUGCCAUCAAGCAUAUAUUUCUUUGCUCAUCAUCUUCUUUCAUGUUUCUUUUCUGGCCAUUCUGCUUGUAUUGUCUUCUUCCAUCGAAUUUCCUUCCUUUUCUACUUAGCUUUUUGAAUUUCUUGAUCAUAAAAGCAAGUUCUUCGUCGUUCAUGCAUUUUCUGAGUUUGUACCAUCAAAAUCAGCAUUAGAUAUUAAAGCGAUGGAUUUCUUACCUUUGGGAUCUUCGUUGUUGAUUUGUUCCACUUCAUAGGAUUGAAGAGUGCUAAUCAAUUCAUCAACAGAUAGUGGCAUAAUCCUCUAAGUCUCUUGAAUUGAUGUCUUGACAUGGUUCCAAUCUUUUGAGAGACCUCGCAAGAGUUUGUUGACCUUCAUUGGGGAAGAAAUUAGAUGACCUUGACAUGCUAAACCAUUUACAAUUUUUGUAAAGAGGUUAAACAUAUCUCCAAUCGACUCUCCUUGCUUCAUCUUGAAGGAUUCAUAUUUGCCAAGCAGGAAGUUUGCUUUUGUCUCUUUUACAUGAUCAGUCCCUUCAUAAGUGACAUGAAGUCUAUCCCAAACAUCUUUUGCUGUUUCACAUGAAGAGAUUCUUUUAUAUUCAGUGGGAGACAAAGUGCAAUAUAAAGAAUAAAUGGAUUUUGUAUCAAGCGCUUCUCUUUUGGACAACUCCGUCCGAGACAUAGGAGCAGGGAGUUUAGUUUCUUUGUCUUUGCCAUUCUUAUUUGAUGUAGACGCAGCAGUGUGAUUGAUUCCUUUUUUCCACAACAUCCCAUUGCAAGGGAUCUCUGGAUCUUAGGAAUGCUUUCAUUUUGUUCUUCCACAUAUUAUAUUCAUUUCCAUCAAAAUAUGGUGGCCUAGUGUUGCUUUGUCCCUCCAUAAGUCUUGGUGCCAAGAUACUAGCCAUAAAAGAUCUUUAACUCAAAAGUAAAAACACUUUUAUAAAUCGAGCACUUGGCUCUGAUACCAAUUGAAAGUGCUAGUAUGAACACAUAGAAUGAGGUGAAUAGGUGUAAAAAUAGAUUUUGCAAAAUGCAGUGAAAACUUUUACUUUUAACCUAAGUUUGAAUAACAACAGACUUUUGAAACUGAGUCUGAAGAGCAGCAGAUUUUGAGCGAGAUCAGACUUUAGUAGUUAAAUAGAAAUAUGAACAAAAUAAAGAUAUUCAGAGAAGAGAAUAAAAACACAAGGUUUAUAGUGGUUCGGCUUAGACCAAGCCUACGUUCACUCUCCCACGCUAAUAGCUUUCUUGGCUGGAUUGUACUAUGCAAUCAACAAGAGAUUACAACUUUGCGUGCAAACACUUAGUAGAUCACACUAUCUCACUAAGUCAUUCUUUUGAUAUUUCUCUCACGAUAAAAAACGUUUAAGCUCACAAGAUACAAGUGUAUGAUCGAAGGUCGCUCAGACUUUGGAAUUAUAAAUUCUACGCUCCGUCUCUUACUUGCUCAUCGGUCCUUCAUCUCUUUAAAUACUCCUCCACUUCCAAACUAGCCAUUAGACAAUAUCUUGAGGAUCGUCUUCCAAUCUACUUGUUGGACAGAUCUGUAUCUAGAAGAUUUGGUAGCCGUUGAGUGACAAAAAUAGAAUCCCAAAUUAAUUCCGAUCGCUCAUACAAACAGAAUCUUAGUUUCCAUAAGUAGAGCUUUUUCGUAUAGAAAGUUCUUGUCUUCAAGAUCCAAUUGUCAAUCGAUUAAAUUGAAUCAAUCAAAUCAAUCUUAAUGUGAAAUCCAAACUAGAUCACUAGCCGUUAUAUGAUUGGGGCUUGUAUUACGUUCUGUCGAAUCUGGAUGUAAAGUCUUAGUGCAAUAGACUUUACAAUCUGAGUCUAAAUAUAUUCUGCUUCUGAACAGAUUUAGCUUUAAGGUCUAAACACCGUCUGAAUAAGUUCAGCUUCAGCAUAUAGUUUGUCUUCUGGUUCUUCAUUCAUGUUCAGUCUGAAAUUUGUCAAGGUGAGCAGACUUCUGAUGUAGAAUAGACUUUGACACUAAAGUCUAGUAGUCUUCAGACUUUGACACAAAAGUCUGGAAAUCUUCAGAAUAUACUUUGGAUAUGUGUUACGUUUAGUCUUUUGGCCAUCUUCAGACUUUGACAAUAUCCUUUAUAUGUUCUAUCAUCUGCAUAGUCUAUUAAUUAACCAUCAAACACGUUAGUAGCCUUUGAUUUAUUUUGACAUCUUCAAAACAUCAUAAGGGAUUUUCCUAACAUAGCUUACUAUGGACAAAGAAAAUCUGAAGUUCUGCAGAAUUCUAGCUUCAGAAAUCAAAGAGAUAAUAAUCGUGGGGGACACAAUUAUGGUAGAGGACGUGCAAUAAACAACAGGAGUCGUGGGUAUGGUUAUACUGGAACUAGAAGAAGUCAAAAUUACAGAACAAGUAAUCUAAACUUGAAUCAAGAGGAUCAAUAUAACAAGUAGUCAAACAAUUGGUCUAACUAUGGACAGGGCUUUCGACCAUAUGCAAAUCCUCCUCAAAUGUAUCAAGCUACCAAGUCAUAUCCACCCCAAAAUUCAAUAUCUAACAAGUGUGUGCAAGAUGAGAAAAUAUCAAAUAACAUUCCUUUGGAAUGUCAAAUCUGUAAAAGACCAGGACAUACUGCUCUUCGAUGUUGGUAUCGCUUUGAUAACUCAUAUCAAGCUGAAGAAAUUCCAACUGCCUUUGCAGCAAUGCACAUUGAAUAUUCUCAAGGCACUGAAUGGUAUCCAGAUAUUGGUGCCACAACUCAUAUUACUGCAGAUCCUGGUAUUCUUCGUCACUAUUCCUCAUAUAAUGGAACUGAUACUGUUAUGAUAGGAAAUGGUUCAUGCUUGUCAAUUUUGUGUGUUGGAGAUGCCUUAUUACAUACAGGAACCAGUUCUUUACCUCUAAAUGAUGUGUUGAUAGUUCCUGAAAUCAAGAAAAAUCUACUUUAUGUUUCAAAACUAACAGAUGAUUAUCCCUGUUCAUUUGUUUUUGACAAAUAUGGGGUGUAUAUGAAGGACAAUUGCACCAAUACAACAGUGAGGCUAGGAAAGAAAGUCAAGGGACUUUAUCGAGUUGAUCCAAAAAUAACAGAAGCCUUCUUCACCCAAAUACAGAAAGUUGUAGGAGAACACAUGUGGCAUUAGCGGUUAGCACAUAUCAAUUUCAAAACACUGAAGUAUCUGCAUAAUCAACAUCUAAUCCAAUGUAUACAAGAACUCAAAACAUAUGUAGAAAUUGUCAGAUUGCCAAGAGUUCUACUUUACCUUUUCCUUUUUCAGACUAUGCAUCUAUUGUUCCCUUAGAAAAGAUACAUUGUGAUGUUUGGGGAUCGUCACUAGUUGAUUCAUUUCAGAAAUUCAAAUACUAUGUCAUCUUUGUGGACAACUUCUCUCGAUAUAGUUGGAUGUAUCCAAUGAAACUAAAAUCAGAAUUUCAUGACAUCUUUGUCAUGUUUCAAAAACAAGUAGAGAAUUAGUUUGAUCGUAAGAUCAAAGUAUUUCAAUGUGAUGGAGGAGGAGAAUUUUCUAGCAACAAGUUUCAGAAUUAUCUACAACAGUGUGGCAUCAAACAAAAUGUCUCCUGUCCUUAUACACCAGAGUAGAAUGAGAUUUCUGAAAGGAAACAUCACCAUGUGGUUGAGUUAGGACUGGCUAUGCUUUAUCAUGCUAAAGUUCCAUUAAAGUAUUUGGUGGAUGCUUUCAUGACAGCCACCUACAUUGUCAAUCUACUUCCUACCCCCAAAGUUACAUAUGCUUUCACUCUACAAUAAACUUUAUCAACAGAAGCCAAGCUAUGCACACUUGAGAGUCUUUGGAUGUGCCUGCUAUUCUUACCUCAGAUCAUAUGCAAAACAUAAAUUUGAUCCACGAUCUCUUACAUGUAUAUUUUUGGGAUACAGUGAAAGACACAAAGGAUACCGUUGCCUUUUGCCUACUAAUGGGCAUAUCUAUGUCAGUCGUCAUGUGGUGUUUGAUGAAACAAUAUUUCCUUUCACCAAUCAACUAACAACUGAGUACAAUCAGGGUACUAAUAUGUACAAACAAUGGAUCAAUGAAGUUACUUUUCUAGACUCCCCUACUAUAGAACAAGUCAAGUCUCACACAAAUGAAUAUAUAGGACAUUUGUAGGCUAGGUAGCACGGACACGGCGACACAGACACGCAACACGUUAUUUUUCAAAAAGUAGAGAAUUCCGACACGUUCCGACACAUUAUAUAUUAAAUGAAUACUUUUAUUUUUAAUUAAUUUAAUUCAAAUUCAGUAUUUUUAUUUUUUGAAAUUAUAUUUUAAUCUCAUUUAUUUAUUUUUCCAUUAAAAAAAAAUCUCCACUAAGGUCCACCCCACCCUCUUCUAGUUCUUUCCCUCGUCCAUUUCCCCCCUCCCCCAAAAUUUAUUUUUCUUUCCCUCCCCUUCACUGACAGACAGGUUGUCCUUGUCUCUUCCCCUCCCCCAAUACGCGAUGGCCCAUCAAAAACCCUAGCUCUACAUGACCCUUCCUCUUCUCAUUCCUCGCCGCUCACCACUCGCCACCUCUUGCCGCUCGUCGCCUCUCGCCGCUCGCCACACGACCGCCUUCCUCUCCUCUUCCUCUCGCCUUUGGCCCUUUCUCCCUCGUAGUUGCAACCUCGUCGGAUCUGUCGCAACAUCACAGUGGCGACCGUCUCUCGCCGUCGUGGCCUCGUCUCUACUCCCUCGUCGUCGCUUCCACCCUCCAUCAUCUUCCGGACACGCGUGUCGAAACGUGUCGGGCAUGCGUUGACCGCGUGUCGGAUUUCCGACACUCGUUGACCAUGUUUCUGAGCGUGUCGACGUGUCCGACAUGCUCCGACACGUGUCGAACACGACACGGAAGCACAGACAACGCGUCCAUGCUACCUAGUCUGCAGGAUAAUGGAAUAUUGUAGAGAACCCACAUUGAUACAUCAGAUCCUGCCGCAAUGUCACCAGAUUUAUCUUUCUUACAGUCAUGGUUGAAUACAGUUUCUGAGGAACAGGCAUAUCCUAUUCCAACACCUGAACUACACACAAAAAUCACUACAUAUCAAGUACAAGUCAAUCCUUCAUCCAAUACACAAGGUACACUCUCUAUUCAUUCUAUGCAAACAAGACUGAAGUCUUGGAUUGUCAAACCAAAUCUCAAAUAUGCAUCUUUGGCUGAAUAUAAAGUUCCUAUUGAACCAAAGUCAGUUAAGUCAGCAUUGGCAGAUAAAGGUUGGUAUCAAGCAAUGCAAGAUGAAAUAGAUGCUCUAUAUAAGUAUCAAACUUGGGAAUUAGUUCCUCGAACUGAUCAAAUGAAUGUCAUAGGGUGUAAAUGGGUGUUUAAAACUAAGCUUUCAUUUGAUGGAAGUCUUGACAGGCUCAAAGCUCGGUUAGUAGCUAAGGGGUUUCAUCAAGAAGAAAAUGUUGACUUCACAGAAACAUUCAACCCUGUCAUUAAACAUGCUACCAUUCACAUUGUUCAAUUCAUUAGCUUGAUGUUAAAAAUGCCUUCCUACAUGAAACAUUAAAUGAGACUGUGUAUAUGGAGCAGCCACCAGGUUUUGCACAUCCUCAAAAGUCUCAACAUGUGUGUCUUAUCAAGAAAUCCUUAUAUGAUCUUUGCCAAGCGCCACGAGCCUGGUUUGAUAAAUUUAGAAAUUUUCUACUUGAAAAUGGCUUCACUUGCAGCACCACUAAUCACUCGUUAUUUGUGUUUCAUCAUGGAUUAGAAACAAUAAUUUUAUUGCUCUAUGUAGAUGAUAUUGUGCUUACUGGUAUCUCAGCUCAGUUGCUUUCCAACCUGAUCCAGUCCCUGAGUCUUCAAUUUCACAUGAAAGAUCUUGGCUAUCUUCAUUACUUUCUAGGCAUUGAAGUCAAACAGACAUCCCAAGAUUUGUUUCCUUCUCAAACAAAGUAUGAUCUUGAUCUACUUACUUGAGCUAACAUGAAAGAUUGCAAACCAAUUUCUACUCCUCUUUCUUUGAGAUCAACCAUUAUGACAACUGAUGACAUUCUCCUGACCAAUCCACUUGAGUAUCGUAGUCUAGUUGGUGGACUUCAAUACCUCACUAUGACUCGUCCUGGUCUUGCUUAUGCCACAAAUCUCUUAUGUUAGAAAGUGCAGCAACCAACACUAGGAGAUUUUCAUAAGCUCAAGAGGGUUCUUCGAUACAUUAAGGGAACUGUUAACCUUGGCAUUUUUAUCCACUCUAACAGCUCCAUGGACCUCUAUGAUUUUUCUGAUGCUGAUUGGGCUAGAUGUAUUACUACCAGGCGAUCAACUACUGGCUUCUGUACAUUUCUUGGUUCAAAUCUUAUUUCCUGGUUAGCUAAGCGACAGUCUACAGUAUCUCGUUCCUCAACAGAAGCUGAAUAUCAAGCUCUAGCUUCAGCUACUGCUGAUCUUACAUGGGUCAGUUUCGUUCUUCGUGACAUUGGCAUAUGUUUGUCUGCACCAACAACUCUGUUCUGUGACAACAAGUCUACUAUUUCUCUUACUCUUAAUCCUAUUCUCCACACUCGCACCAAGCAUAUUGAAGUGGACUUUCAUUUUGUUAGAGAAAAGGUUUCAUCAGGAUCUUUAGCUGUUCGCUAUGUUUCCAGUACUGCUCAGCUUGCUGAUAUAUUUACUAAAUCCUUAACUCAUUUAGCACAUUUUAAUCUUCACACCAAAUUGGGUUUUGGUUCUCUACCCCUUCCCAAUUUGCAGGGGGAUGUUAAGGAUCAGAAGCAUAAAGAAACAAAGUUCGUGGAAGUGAAUAAGGAUGAGGAAAUAAAGUCUAAAGAUUGUGCUGCUACUACAAGUGUGAUGACAACUACAACUACACAUGCAUAUGGAGCCAUUGAGAAGAACAGAGUAAAUAAACUAAGAAGCUCGACUCUGCCUCCAUCAGAAGCACAACUCAGAGCCCCACAUGUCCACGUGCUUUAUUACUGGAAAAUAGUUAUUCAGUUUUGGAAGAUUAACAGAAUCUGUUAAUUCUGUUUUCAUCAUCUUCUUCCUUUUACUUUUGGUGUGGUGUAUAAAUCAAGUGAGGAAGGGAAAAACCGAUAGAGAUGAGCUCUCAGAUGAAUGUAUUACUUGACUGUUCAUGAAAUCUAGAAUACAACUCGAUUCAUCAACAUUCUUCUUCUUCUUCUUUGUUUUCUGUUCAAUCCAUGUUUUUUCACAACUCACAUACAACAUUGGAUCAUAUGAAUUGUACGUUAAGAUCCACCUCACAUGUGAGCUAGGCAGGCAACAGGACUUCUCUCUAGUGACAUGGACCAAUCGUAUAUAGGAGUGUUAUGGCUUGAAAUCUUCGGCUAACAAUGUAUUGAAAAGCACGCAUCAGCCAUCUUUGCAUACGCUGGAAAGCACACGGACGUCAUCUAUCACGCUUGCUUGGGCUGACUAUGGCACUCAUUCAGCGGUUUCCUCGCCAAGCAAUCUCUCUCUCUCUCUCUCUCUCUCUCUCUCUCUCUCUCUCUCUCUCUCUCUCUCUCUCUCUCUCUCUCUCUCUCUCUCAAUUAUGACCAUUUCUGUAAAGCCACUUUGAAUAUGUUACAUGUUUUUUCUGGUAAAGGACCUUGUGACAAUGGCACUAAUUUCUUGUGCAUGGAGUUCUCUUCCAGUCAGCAAACUCUGGAUUCGUAAGUGCAGAACAUUUAAAGUUAUUGAAAACAAGUCAGACAUGGUUUAGCAUAAAGAUUACGUUCCCUGUGUUUGCGUACCUGAACACACUUUCUCCAUUGGUAUCCAUCCGCCAUUGACUGAUGGUUUAAUGCUGGCCUUCAAAGAGGUUUUGGAAUGUGAACUUGAACUCACCAUGCCAUUGUUACCAGAGCCCGAAUCAGUCUAGAUAGCACAACCAAAACUAGGACAUGUGACAAGAACUUGAAAAAGUUGUCCCAUGAAUGCUAGCAAUUAGAAAAAAGGGUACUUGAUUUGGUGUAGGCAUUUUGUCAAACAGGUAGCAGUUUGAACGCCCAAACCAUUCAUGGAGUCUCCUUAGUGUAUUUGAACUAAAUCUCAAUAUAUGGUCGCACGCAUGCAAAUUAACAUCAUAGAUGAAUGAAUCUGUUUCCCCAUCUCUAGGCUCUAUGUAUAAUCUGAAGCCCACAACACAUUUUCUAGCAAUGUAAGAUCAAGGGUCUCGGGCAAGUUUAGUCCCAGGAAGCGCAGUGUAGCUCAAGCAUUCAGGGCUAGAUUCUUACACAGUAGAUGGAGUCAAGGAAUACGAUCGUCGGCCCCCUUAGCCCACUCAUUUGUGGGUUGGUAACUACUUAUUCAUUUGUUACAUUCCUUUUCCUCCCAUAGAUCAGAGAUGUAAAUCACAGUAUUAAUCUCAUAAUCAGAAGGAAAAAUAUUAUUUUUUAGGGUACAUAUAUUUUGCGGAAAAUGAUAUAGAACUACAACACAAGUAUUUCUUACAUUUACUUAUAUUACUUAUAUUUAGAAUAGGACUUGGAAGAAUCUUUGUUUAUCGAAAUAAUGGUCCUUUUUAGAAUUGGUAUGAGUUGUGAUGUAAUAUUUUUAGAGAAAUUUAAAGUUGAAUGUUAACUUAGAAUUUGCUUCAUGCCUUAAGAUCAAAGAAUAAUAUAAGCUCUCAUCUGCGGGGGCAAACGUACAACACGAGCUUCUUAGCGAAGGAAGCGACACAGGAUCCUAUCACUAAUCACAGAUCGAUCAUGAAUUACAUUGUAACCAUGUGGUGCCUCUAUUCAACUGACUUUUGCAGACCCCGAACUUCCUUAGGAGUGGCUAGUUAGCCAUUCUGCUGAAUUUGAAGAACAAGUACAAAUCUAAUUCAAGAUCUAUCGAUUUUGCAAGAAGCCACAUUACACACCAAAUCAGGGUGUGCGCUUGAUGAUUUUUUUUUAUUUUUAUUUGGUAUAAUUUGAGUCCAUUCAUCUACUCUUAUCAUUUUUUCCGUUUAAAGUAGAUAUACUCUGGCAAUUUAAAUAAGGGAUUUGUUGUUGUUGUAUUUGUUCUAGAGUCGAAUCAGUUUGCUUUGAUUCUACAUUCUCGUCUGCUUCGGACGCAAGCUUUUUUCUAAUUUACUAGGCCGCUUUUAGGGUCCCGUGCAAAAAAAAAGGGAUCCAUCUAAUUUGCAAAAUUGAUUGGUUAUAGAUAUUUAUCUGUAGUUUAUUUUUGUUGAGGGUCAUUUAGGGAUUCUAAAGUUAUAAUUUUUUCCAUUUAUAAUUACUUACCGAUGUAAAGGUGAAUUUGAUGAGGCUGAAGCUCAUUUUAAAUACACAAAGCAUAAUUUUAAUGCAUUAGUGUGUUUUCGUGAUAUUGUAAUUUGUAUUACUACGAUGAGACUUUAUUGGCUAUUUGCUAAGAAUAAGUACAAUUAAGAAAAUCAAGGAUUAGGGCUCGCUCAAUUUCCCAAUUAUAAGGAAAAUUUCAAAUUAUUCUGUAUAGGGUAAGUUACCUUAGCAAUGCUUUCAAAUCAAAUCAAAUAAAUUUGAACAAAUCUGCCUCAUUGAUUAUUUGCGGAGGUUAGCCGUUGCCAAUUUAUCGUGUUGACCUUACACACGUAUAUUGAGUUAUGAUCUACAUAUCAUAUUUUCAUAUAACGUGGCCAUAAUAUGUAUAAAUAAUCUUCCUAAUCUAAGACAAGGAUCAAAUGAAUUGACUGUAUGAUUGACCAUGAUAUCCAAAGGAGUCAUAAGUCAGGCCAUAUGAAAUGAAUUGACUGUAUCCUUCGAUUUGUCAGGCUUAUAGAGUACCAAAUAUUGAUUUAUCCUCUUUUCCCUUUACCAUCGCAAUUUCCUUUUGUAAUUCUGCCAUCUGCAAGUAGUGAGGAUAGCAUAUAAGAAAAGAGAAAGGAGAAUCUAACGGGCCCAGGCCGCAUUCAGAUCAUCUGGUUCCCCACCCAAUGAAUUUCAAUUAACCUCUAUAUUGUGUGAAAUAUGUGCCCUCAGCAGCAAAAAUCCUCAUACUUCAAAAGUGAAGACACUGAGCAGGUAAAUGCUGCAAGUCAUUGUGAUUUCCUUGAUAUCAACAUCUACAUUGCGGUGAAACAGCAAUGAGCUGUGCACUUCCGGUAUUAGGCUUACCGCAAUUAUCCUGAAAAUCCACAGAGAUAUAUCAGAGACUAAACAUAAUACUUGAACUCAAUAAAGCCAAUCAAUGAGUGACCAUUUAAAUCAUAGAAGCUGUGCCUGAACUACAAAAUCAUAGAAGGUGCUUGAAUGAACUCAAUAAAGCCAAUAAACAUGGAUCACAAAGAGGUCUUCUGAAUCAAAUGGACCUACACGUUCUGAAGCCAAUCAGCGGGAGACAAGGCACAUAAAGCGAGAGUCCCAAGGAGACAACUCUUCAUCGGACUAGUUCGAAUCUCAUCGAAUUGACCAUUAAAAACUUUGCAUGCUCAUGAAUUACCUCUGUUCCCCAAUGGGCAUUCACGAUUUGGAUGGGCGAAUGUGAGAUUGCGAGGAUGAAGGUGUCAGGCGGAAUGGGAGAGUCAAUUACGGUUGAUUUGACGAAAGAGAGACUCGGCUUGAGAGAAAUGGCAAGAAGGGAUCGAAUUUGGGCCAAACAUUGAGAGCAAUUUCUGCAAGAUCUCACUUAAGGUUCAUCUGGUGACUUGGGCAAGAUCGAAGGUAUUUGAGGCAAGAAGGAAGCAAUGCAACGUUGUUGGGGGUUUCAAGCGGGGAUUAUUGGUUUUCGAGCGGUUCCAUCCAAGAACUGGGAAUCGAAUCAUAGGACCGCUUUCUAAUUUCUGAAAUUGGGAAUCAAAUUGAAGUCCCUGAAAUUGGACCGGACUGGUCCCUUCAUGGGUGGCCAAUGGAACCGGUCCCAUGUUUUUUUAAAUUCUUGUAUUGCAAUCAAUUUAGGUAAUUUCACUUUCGUUUCAUAGGCAAUUGAAAUGCUUGUUCACGGGAACUCUCUGAAUCUAGGGGCUUUUUGCUGGUUUUCUUCCUCGAGCAAAAUAUUCGAAAUGGUGUACAAAGAACAACUUAAAAAAAAAAAAAUAGAGCAUUUACUUCGAGGAUUAAUACUCUUAAAAACUCCAAACUGGUACACCUGUGACAAAUUUAUCAUAAACUUUUUUUUUUUACCAUAAAAAACCCCAAACUGAUAGACCUGUAACAAAUUUACCUCGACUGACAAUAAAAAACCAAAAAUUGGUACAUUUAUGACGUGUCAUUUAAUUUAAUAAUUUGACAGUAAAAUUUAAAGAAAACUAACAGAGGGUAAAUUUGUCACAAGUGUAUCGGUUUUUGGUAAAUUUGUUAAAGGUAUACUAGUUUGGAGUUUUUCAUGGUCAAAAAAAUAAUUUGGGGUAAAUUUAUCACAGGUGUAUCAGUGUGAGGUUUUUCAGGGUAUUAACCCUUACUUCAAUGUGAUGCGAGACAGAGAGUGAGAGUCGAAUGGCCAAAAGCAGAGCAAGAGAGGAAGGUGAGAGUUGACAAGAGUGGAGCGAGAGAGUGAGACCGUGGGAGGGAGGCGAGUCGGUACACUCAAGCUAGAGGGUGGUGAGAGAGAGAGAGAGAGAGAGAGAGAGAGAUUAUAACAAAAAAUAGUCAGUCCGAUCCGAUUGGUCCAAGUGGUCCAAGUGGUCCAAGUGGGCAAUUCCACACGUGGAACCCGAAAUGACACAAAAAAUCACUAGUUUCAAUUUUUUUGAAAUCGGAAACUAGACCAAUAUCCCUUAGAAUCGCCCAGAUUCAGCCGAUUUGAUCUGGUCCGUAUAAUUCCUUUUGCUCACCGCUAGUUUCACGUUAAAAUGACGUUGUUUUUGAUGGUUGAUAUGGAAUUUCAACUAUCAACUAUGCGAUGCAAGAUCUCAAUUAUCGGUUGCGCGGCAGCAUAAGAUGGCCGACUAUAUAUUUACAUUCAAAUUUUUUGACUUAAAUUUAUUAGGACUAUAUUAAAAAGUUAUCAAAAUGUGUAAAACUAAACUAAUCAGAAAUUUGAGACUGAAUUAAUAGUCGUAUAAUUCAUUUAAAAAAUUUUAGAUAAUUUUCCCGACCCUGUAGAUGCUCCAAUGCACUAUCAAUCUUGGGUCAUCUUUAAGUGUGAUCACUCAAACCAAGUCAAGGCCCAUCUUUUACUGCGUGCCGAGUGGUAGGCAAUAUAUAGUGAUCCCUAACUAUGAAAUGUACGUGGGACACAAGGAUUUCGAAAUUACAGAGGAGAUCUUUUGCAACCAUUAAAAGCUACAAAUAGAGCCAAAACAAAUAAAAAUGAAACGCCACGUUCAAUGGAGACAAAACAGGAAGAGCACCAAACAUGAAAUUCAUUUUUAGCUUAGUCGGAAAACUGUGCCAAUACAAUUUUUUGGGAUGCUCAUUGAUCCAAGGGUAUAAGUUUUCUCUAAAAUUGUUGGGGAGAACCGGACAAUAAUUCACCAAGAACUAAUUCAAAAAGAUUAAUUUUUCCCCAAAACUAAACCGACCAAAAUCGACUUAACCUCAACAAUGACAGGCAAUAUAUUCUAGCAAUACAACCUCAUAAUAUGUAAAUAUAAUGCCAAAAUGUUAAGGAGAUAAGCCAAUAAUAACAUCAAGAUUUUAUGUGGAAAACUCAAUGCGGGAAAAACUACCAACCACCAAAAAACUUCUACUAGUUACUAAGAAUAUUAGGAUACACACACAAUAAAUUUUUCUCUAAUCAUACAUUAGAAGCUCAACAUUAAUUAUCAACAGUACUCCACCACUACAAAGGUGAAUUAAUACAUAUUAAGUAUGAAAACCCUAAUCGACAUCAGAAAAUUCAGAGAAAGCUCUUAAUAAACAAAACAAUUAACUCGUAAUGCACGAUCUCACGAAAAACAUUUUGAAAUUUGAGUCAAUUUGGAUAACGUUUGUCCUUAAAAAAUCGAGAUAAAAAAGCCGCAAUCUUUUUCUACUUUUUCUUCGUGAGCUCUUGGUGCUCCCCCUCUCUCCCUCUCCACUUCACGAACGAGCAGCCCUUUUUUCCUCUUCUUUUUGCUUUUUGACUUUGACUGCUUUAUUUUAUUAUUUUCACGUUGGCUAGGCCCCACAAAGGCGGACCCAGUCAACAAAUAUUUUGAGGCGUUCAGAAAUCUCUUUCUAUUAAUGUUAUCAUUCUUUUGAAAUUCUUUUUGCGGUAAUGAAGUAUUAUGGAUUCUCGCAUACAAAUCUAAAUCUGUACGCAACAUCAAAUAUGGGCACAUAAUUCGCACCGCAAUGAUUGAUAGGACAAGCCCUCUUAGGCUCUUUCCAUAUGCCUUCUGGGAAAAAAAAACAAUGAUAAUAGCAAUAAGGAAAUGAAGCUACGGCCGGCAAGUCUUUAUAGUUUGACUUGAACCCAUGUUGCCGCGUUUAUCUCCUCUAUAGAAAGGGUUUCGUAAUUUCUCGCAAUCCUUGCGGACCUGUUCCCAUUAUCUUUCGUGAAUCCUAACUCCGCACAUUAUAAAAACACACUUCAAUCCCUCCUUUCCCUCUAUUCUAAUUUCUAAGUUCAAACCUCUCUCUCUCUCUCUCUCUCUCUCUCUCUCUCUCUCUCUCUCUCUCUCUCAAACUACACUUGCAUAUAUUCUCGUUUUUGCCACGUCCAUCUCUCUCUCCAAACUAACCUCAGACAGAAAGAAAAACACACUUCCCACGAAUUUUGACUCGGUUAGUGGUAAUUAAACGUUCAAGUAGAACAUGGCCCCGGAUGUAUGAAUCUAUUCGAUGGUUUAUUCAUUUGGCAAGACAGAAUUUAGUUUCCACGCACACAACUAGCUAACAAUUUAUAUUUCCUCCUUCUUUUUUUCCUUCUUUUUUUCUUUUUGUUGUAUUUGAGUUUUUGCAAUAUUUUAGAUGGGCGACAUCUCCAUUGAAAUGCUUCCUCAGAUUGUCUCCAAAUGCUUCGACUCCCUCGACGAUGGCCACCUCAAACGAACUGGUAAUCAACCUUAUCUUCUUGUAUUAUAUUGUCUAACUCUUUUCUAUUUGUCUAUAACAAGUUCGGCACAUAUUAUGUGCGGAAUAUACAUUUUUUGUACUCGGAGUAACAGUUUAAUAUGCUUUAUCCAAGUGUAAUUCCUUCAUAAAUUACUGAAAAACUAACUCAAGAGAUAAUGAAAGUUUUCCAAAUGUAAAGGGUUGAUCAGAUUUUAUCGACUGACCGAUCAGGGACCUUAUGGACAGCGAGCGCAAAUAUAAUAACGGGGAUGGUAGGAGCGGGAGUGCUUUGCCGGUCAUGGGACAUUGCUCAGCUGGGUUGGAUUGCAGGCCCUGCUGCAAUACUCUUGUUCUCUUUUGUGGGCUACUACACCUCUCGCCUCCUCUCCCAUUGUUACCGCACUGGCGACCCCUACACCGGCGAGCGUAACUCCACUUAUAGGGACUCUGUUCACUCGAUUCUCGGUGUCGAAUCCUAUCACCUUGUUGUUGCUUCUCAUUAUUUGACUCCCGCACUUUGAUUAAAUUUCCCAUUACCUUAUGUCUCCAAAUGUAUAGCAAAAUAAGUCGUGUAACUUUUGAUUAAGUGAUAAUAGUAACUUUACAUUCAGGUGGAGCAAAUUUUAAAGCAUGUGGUUUUUUUCAAUAUAUAACCCUAUUUGGAAACGCCAUUAGCUGUAUCGUUCAAGCAUCUCUCAGCAUGAUGUGAGUACAAUUCUACUUUCCCAAACUCUUGACAAAUUUAUUCAGCAGAUCACGACGAGCUUCCAGUUCUACUGUUUUUUAUAUAACCUGGCUGAUUCAAUGUUGUACACGUUCCCUCUUUCCAAUAAAAGGGCAAUAAAAUAUAUGCAUUGCUUCCACGAGAAUGGGGAGAACUCGUGCCACGUUUUGGCUAAUCCGUACAUGAUCAUGUUCGGCAUCACAGAGAUUCUGCUGUCCCAGAUUCAAGAUCUCGAUCAAAUAUGGUGGCUCUCUAUUGUGGCCGCUGUUAUGUUCAUCGCUUACUCUUUGAUUGGUCUUGGCCUAGUAAUUGCCCAAGUUGCAGAUACAGGUUUCUUCUUUUCUCAAAGACAGAUGGCCAAGAAAUUUCAAGAGAUUAUAUUAUCAAUAUCAUAAAAUAAGAAGUUGUUUCCAGAAUUUUUUUUUUCUUGAUGAGCAGCUAGUGGAAGUUUCAAGGGUAGUCUUACAGUAAUAAGCGUUGGGGAUGCGACUGAAACCCAAAAGAUAUGGAGAUGUUUCCAAGCUCUUGGAAAUAUCGCCCCAGCAUACUCAUUUUAUGAGAUCCUUAUUGAAACUCAGGUACUAAAACAUGAUUUCAUCAGUUCAAAACCUAAGGAAAUGGUAAAGAGUGGAUAGAACAGACUGGAAAUACCUUGUUUUUCCUUUUAUCUUUGACAGGACACCAUCGGAUCUCCACCAUCAGAAGUAAAGACCAUGAAGAAAGCCAUUUCUCUGAGCACCGUGGUGAUGACGACCAUCUACAUGCUAUGUGGCUGCGUGGGCUAUGCUGCUUUCGGUGAUGACACUCCGGCAAAUUUUCUGAUCGACUUGGGUUUCAACAAGCCAUUCUGCCUUCUUGAUAUUGCCAAUUCUGCUAUUGUGAUCCAUCUUGUUGGAGCAUACCAAGCAAACAGCCAGCCGAUAUUUGCCCUGAUCGAGAAACAGGCCGAUCAGAGAUGGCCUCGUAGUGAGCUCAUCGCUAAAGAGAUGAAGAUCCUGGUACCAGGCUUGGGCCAACACAACAUGAAGCUCUUUAGACUUGCUUGGAGGACAGUUUUCGUGAUCCUGACCACUGUGAUAUCGAUGCUAUUCCCAUUCGUCUUCAACAAAGUCGUGGAUAUGAUCAGCUUGGGCUUUUGGCCUCUAAUGGUCUAUUUUCCCGUCAAGAUGUAUAUUAGACAGAAACUAAUUCCCAAAUGGACCACUAAAUGGGUAUAUCUGCAAAUGUUGAGCAUGGCCUGUCUUGUGAUAUCGAUCGUGGCAGCUGCGGGUUCGGUCCCAGGACUUAAGGACGACCUUAAGACAAAUCGGCCAUACGGGAUGAGCUAUGAUCAAAAUGCAUGGACCUUUAGUUGAUCGGCCAUUUCAGAAGAAAAGAAUAACAUCAUGGAAGUUUCUACUUUCAUUGUUUAGUCUGGAAUUACAAACUCUGUAGGUUCUAGCCAUUGCUAAGGAAAACUUGCAUUUUAUGCAAGUGAUGGUUACACAUUGUCCUGUUGUUGUACAAAAAUCCAAAAUUUUGGUUAUUCAAACCGCCACGUCCACGUCAAUUGGGUUAGGCUCCAAUCAUGCGAUGACAAGCGUGCCGACCUUUCAAGGUUUACAUAAGGGGGAGAGUUAUAAUAUGAACAAAGAAGGUCCCAUGUUAUUAUAAUAUAUAAAUUGAUAAUUAAACGAAAUCUCAUUAUUCGAAAGCGUUAGUAUGUCCUUUUCAGGAAGAGGAAAAAGAAAAGGGAUGCGUGGAUAUCAAUAUCUAAAGAAAAAACGACUUUUUUACCUCUAGGAAGAUACUUUAAUAAUAGUUAGAUAAGGAAUAUGAAUGCAAGAUAAGGACUCAAGCCCACGUGUGAAUUGAGAAUUCCUUCAAAUGAUUAACAUGUGAAUGGGGAAACAUUACAUCGAUGGGUUGGCUUAGAUUGAACAUGCCAUAACCCCAUUAGAUUGAUUGGCUUGUCCAAUACCUCUUCGACAUCCUCGACUAACUCAUUUUUAAGCAAAUGUUUCUCCGUGGCCUCAGUCAAACCAGCUCUUUCAUGUAUAUGUUUUCCCCUCAUAACCAAAAUUGAUUGGUGCCCCACUUCAUUUAACAAAUUCAUUUGCUUCAAUUCUAUCUAGGUACUCAAGAAUAGCUUCAUGACCUUACUUGCAUUCCAUUACUGAUAUAUGCAUAUUAGGGAAGACCACAUGACAAAACUUUUCUCAGACUUCAGGCGUAUUGCUGAGUUAUAGAUUGCAUGUAUUAACAAGUGAUUUACAAGCGUGAUUUAUUGGGAUUUUGGUCCCAAGAGAUCGUUGUCUAGCAUUAUUAGCUCCACUUGUACAUUUAACAAAUGUUGUUGGAUCACUAGUUAAUUUAACUCAAUACAGAAAUAAAAUUCUUCAAGAGGCUUCAAAAAUAAAUUACUUACUCCAAAUGAGAAAUUUAUAUUUUUCAAGUAUUUUUUAGUAAAGGCUUAAUAAGUGCCCGCCCUAGGGACAAUUUUUAGCAAUUUGCAUAUGAUUUUAUUGAAAGUUCUCAUAACCAUCGAUGCAUAGAUAAGAUUUGCAACCUAAAGAGCUAGUUACACGAGAAUUCUCACAUAAUAUUGAGAAUUUUGUUUCAUACAUAUUCAAUGAAUGACAUAAAUAGGUUACAUUUUCCUAUAUUGAACCUGUUGGAGUACAACACCUAAUAUAAUAAUAAGAAGCCAAAGAGAAGUGUGCUGCAGCAUCACUUCAUUGACUGCCAAGAAGCAAAGUUCAACUUUGCUAGUACUUGGACGUGAAGGAAAAGAAGACAGCCCACAAUUGUUGACUCAUUAGCCAAGAAGAAAAGUUGCGGUAGAGUCCAGGCGGCGGAAGAUGUCUAUAAAUAUGACAGUACGUGAAGCAUUUGAGCUCAGGCCAAAGUGCCUCACAAGGAGGGCCUCAAGGUGAAGGAGCAGGAGCUGGCCGGAAGGCCUCACAUAGAGGCAUCGCAGCCUCAGGUCAACAGGCCAGGGAGAGGAUCUCACGCCACAUGCAGGCGGAGAACCUCAGGCCAUCAAGGAAGCCAAACGAGGUGAGCUUCAGGGAAAGCCUUCAGCAGUGAGAGCUUCGGAACAGGAAGUCACCAGGUGCAACGGUGAACUUCAGGGAGAGGCACUGCAGCCUCAGUAGCUCUGUUUGAGCAAGUUAUCCCUCCGUGAUCGAGAAGGGAGGAAGAAAAUAGAAUAGCUGAGUCUGUGCAUGUAUCAGCUAGUUGUUUUGAGUGUGUUAUUGUAUCAGCUAGUUUAAUUUGAGAAUUUUAAUGCUUCCGCAUAUUUUAUAAGUUGCGCACUCUACAAUUAAUGUCAAGCAAAAGGGUUUCAUAUCCUACAAACCUCCACCAUAUAUUUUGUUUUGAACAUUCAAGUUUUGUAGCUUAAAAAAUCAAAUUGGACCCAAAAAUCAACUUUCAAUUGAGAUUUGAGACAUACAUUAGGAUGUUAGUAUUGAAUCAAUUGUAGUUAUCUGAUAUGAUAGCUUUUGGUUAAUAAUGUGCAAAUAUAAAUGUGUCUAGGACGUUUGGUAGAGGAUGAUCAAAGGAUUGUAAGGGGUUUAGGCAAUGUGAUAAGGAAAGACGAUUUCACCAUUUUAUGGAAAUAGUUUUAUAAUUGUUGGAGAAGUAAUGGUGCAGAAACUAAGGGAUAUGAAGCUUAUGGUGAUGCUUCCCACUCAAUGGGUGGAGGGCUAAACCCCCCACACACGGAGCUUAUGGAGGUCUCAACAUGACACCCAACUAUCGCAUUAAAACCCACUUUUCUAGGACUCCAUCGGCCGACUACAAAAGUCUUUGCCUUGUCAGAAAUCUUUUCUUUUGCUUUAGCGAUAUUCAUCGCCGUACUCAAUUACAAUAGACAUAUCUUGACUUUUGUACAAAUAUCUGCUCCAUAAAUAUCUAGUCCAUGCUACAUUAUUCGAGAAAUUGCAUCACGCAUAACCUGUCUAUAACUUAGUCCUAGCAUCAUUCCAACAUCUUCCAUGAGCCCUAACUCUGCACAAUACAAAUACUACCAUAUAGUCACUUUUUUGCCAAACCCAUCUCUCUCCCUCUCUCGUAGUAAGUUUGAGCCUUUGGCUUCCAAGUGGGUGCACAAAACACAAAGCAACCUCAGAGUCAAAGGGACCCACUUUCCACUGGUUUUGAACCGGUUAGUGCUAAUAAAACUUGCAAUUAGGACUAGCUACCAUCCAGAUUGAAACUUCACGGAUCCUGAUGGAUGAAUAAAUUUUGGAGGUCCUUUCUUUGGCAAAACAGAAUUUAGUUUCCAUACACACAAACUUGCUAAUAAUUGCUAUUUCCUUCUAUCUCUUUUUUUUCCCCCUUCUUUAGGACAUUAAAAAUAGAUGAGAACGCUACCACCAAGAACAACCAAAACCGCCGCCGCCGCCAAAUCGGUGACAUCUCCAUUUUGAAUGCCUCCCUUGUCGCGACCUCUUUUUUUCGGCGCCCGCAUUCGGGUACGAGCGCCUAAGGAGGCUAAUGGCUCGGCUGAAUUUAUUAAGCCCGGACUCUCCCAAGUCCACAAAUUCACGACUUUAAUAGUCUAAAUUUUUAACCUGUAAAUUAAUUUUUAAAAUGGAGUCACCACUAAUCGAUUUGGGAUGGAUUGAUUAGAAACCCAAGUGAAGUAUCAGGAGAAAUACUCACUCCUGCGCAACCAGAGAAAUUAGGAUCAGGGACUUGAUCACACUAGUUAAUCACUAAUGCUCUUUCGGUACCUAAUCUUGUUUAAACCUUGAGUUUUUUUUGAUGUUCGAGGGAUUUUCCAUGUAUUUUUUGGAGGAAAAACAUUUUUUGAGUCAUUUUCUAAUUUUUUUGGACACAAAAGGGAUUUUUUGGGAUUUUUGGUUUUUUUUUUUGGAAAAAUACAAGUCUUUUUGGCUUUUUCUGAAUUUUUUGGCAUUUUCAUGAAUUUUUGGCUUUUUUUUGGAUUUUUGGUAUUUUUUGGAAAAUAUGGAAUUUUUUUGAUUUUUUUGAUUUUUCGGAAAAUAAAAUAUUUUUUAAUAAUUUUCAAUAUUUUUGGAAAAUAAAAUAUUUUUUGAUUUUUUUGGGAAAUAAAAUAUUUUUACUGUUUUUUAAAAUAUUUUUCGAAAAUAAACAUUUUUUUAAAAUAAAUUAUUUAUUUAUUGUUUAUUUAUUUAAAAUAUUAUUUUAUAUUAAAAUAAUAUAAAAACUGACCCGGGUCGGAUCCGCGGGUUGGGUCCGACCUGAGCCGGCGAUCCGAACAAGGACGGGCUUGCAACGCCGGCUCAACUCAGAUUUUUUCCUUUUUUUUAUUUUAUUUUAUUUACUGAAACGGCGUCGUGGCUGGGCGUUCGGGGACACCCGGCCCGGCCCAACGACCCGGACCCGACAACCCGGUUUUUCGGCGAAAACCCUACCUGGAUCCAACCCGGAUCGUGACCCGGCCUUCCGCUGCUCCAAAUUGCGCAAAACCCUACCCGGCUCUCGGCCCGGGUCCAACCCGACGACCCAGGGGCACGACCCGAAAAAAUUAGGAAACCUAGGGUUCUCGUUUCGCGGCGCUGGUGAAGGGACCGGGGCGGCAGCUCGCAUCGUCAACGACGGCUACGCAGAGGACGGCGGUGGUCGGUCAUUCGUCGGAAUGAAGAGCACGACUCAACAACGGCGGCUGACCUAUUUGGCCGGUCAGGACCGAGAGAUUAGGGUUUCAUAGUCAAGGGGGGGCGAUGGCAAUGACGCGGUAGACAGAGGCGGCGACCAGAUCUCGAACGGGAAAGCAGCGGCGAGUGGUGGCGAGCGGCGGUAGAUACCUGGCUGCAGCAACGGAGUGACGAGGUGGUGGUGGCGGUGACAGAAGGUAGCGACGGCAGCCCCCUCAAUUCCCAGAUCUGGCUUGGCGUGGGUAGAUCGGUCACGGCUCAGCAGAGGAGGACGACAACAAGCCUUCGAGGCGACUACGUCGGGACUCGAUCGAGGCAACGGUGUGGGGACGGCGGUACAGCUCGACGCAGCGUCCGGUGUCAGCGGCAACAGCAGCAAGAACCAAGAUCUGGACAUUGACCGAUCCUCUCCCUCUAGCCGAUCUCCCUUAGAUCUUGCUUCUCUCUCACUCCGGUCAAAUCCGAGCCUCCACCGGCCAGAUCUGACCUCCUCGGACUCGCUCGCCCGCGGCCUCCUCGAAGUCUCUCAGUGAGAGGUCGGCCGAGCUCGCGACGACCCGAUUUCUCUCUCGCUCGCUCUUCGAUUCCUCCCCCGAAGUCUCUCAGUGGGAAGAUCUCAGAGCUCGCUCGUGCCGUUCUUCGACGAAGGUGGUGCCCUUUUAUAGGCGAGGGAAUCCGGUCAACGGAGCUUUGACCGCCGAUCCCCUUCGUGCGCCGAGCGGUUCUCCUCGGCUGAACCGGCGUCCCAUCCGAGCUCAUCCAGCGAAGCGUGCUCGGCAUUGAUGGCGCUCGAGAUCUUAUCUUCUCCGGCCGACGUCGACCUACUCCCCUCGGCCGUAGGCCGUCCUUCGCGCGCGCCGUCGUCUUAUGUGCGCGUGAGUUGCAGAGGCGUAGGGGGAAGAAGGAAGAAGAAGAAAAGAAGGGGGCCAGGCUUUGGGGGAAAUGGGAAUGGCUGGCCUUGGGCCUGCGUGGAAAAGAAAAAGAAGGGGUUGGGCUGGCUUUUGUUUUUCUUUUGGUUUUUUUUUUCUGUUUUUAUUUGUUUUUUGUUGUUUUAUCUUUUUAUUAUCUAUUUAUCCGAAAAGACAAAAUUAAAAACUUAAUUAAUAAAAUAAAAUAAACCUAAUUAAAAUUGAGGUGUCGACAUCCCCAAAGCGUCUUCAGAUGCUUCAGCUCAUACUCCUCCGACAGCCACCUCAAACGAAUUAGUAAUCAACCUUAUCUUCUUAUAUUCCUAAUUCAUUUCUGCUUGUGAGAAAUAUACUUUUUUUGCAGUCAAAGUAACAAUUUAAACAUAAUUCCUUCAUAUAUUAUUACUAAAAAACUUAGGAGACAAUAAAAAUAUUUCAAAUGUAAAGAGUCGAUUAGAUUUUAUCGGUUGAUCAAUCUAGGACAUUGUGGAUGGUGAGAUGAUGAUAUAAUAACAAUAACAAUAACAAUAACAAUAACAAUAAUAACAAUAAUAAUAACAAUAAUAAUAGGAUCGGGAGUGCUUUUGCUUUCAUCGGACAUUUCUCUGCUGGGCUGGAUUGCAAGCCCUAUUGUGAUGUUCUUUUUCUCCUCCGUGUGUUACUACACCACUCGUCUGCUCUUUAAUUGUUACCGAGCCGACAACCUCAACUCCAGCAAAUGUAACACCACUUACAUGGACUCUAUUCGUUCAAUCCUUGGUAUGGAAUUCCAUCACAUAUUAUCACUUCUCGUUACUUGAAAUCUGCACUUUGAUUAAAUUUCCCACAUGAACAAAAGAUCCAAUGGAUGAAAAAUAAAAGAGUGAGAUUUUUUGGGGGAUAGAAAUUUCCAGACAUCCACCAUAGAGACCGGAUCAUGAUCAUAUUAAUCUAACUUUCAGUUUGUCCUAGUGCUUUGCUUCGACUAGCGUUCCCUGCUCAAACCUGGGAAUUUGGAUUUGCUGCAUGAUCUCGACAACUCUGAGACAUGAAAAGAAUCGGAUGUAAGAUUGGCCUAGCGGUGAUAUUGGUCACAUUAAAAUCUUGUUCCGAUUAUCGAAAAAUGGUUAGCAACAGUCAGUCAAAGUGUAGAAUGUCGGUGUGAACGAGAAGGGGAAAAAUUAGCAAAUAGAAAAAUUGCCUAUCAUUAUAACAGCAGUUUCUCAUAACCAUGGCAUUUUGAAGAAAUAUCAUCUGGUAAACCCUUUUUAUAGCCGCACCACUAGCAGAGCAAAGCGUCCAAGAUAUCUUAGAAACCUCGAAUUUUUUCCUUUUCCCUGAUGUCACUCCUGCUGUUGGGUAAAAGGAAUCUCGUUUUACAUCUUCAUAUUGCCAUCUGAGAGAGCUCUAGUUUAGUUGGAGAUGUGGAUCUGGCUAUACUCACAAGAUUAUGCUUUUAAAGCGAGGUUUCACUUUGACUUUUACUGAGUAAAAAUUUAUAGACAUUCAUUCAUUAUACAUUUGUUUCGCAGAAAAUAAGUGAAUAUGAAAAACAUUUUCCAAAAAUUAAUGAUUUUUAUUUUUUAAAUAAUUAUUUAAUAAAGAAUAAUUUUUCAUUAAUUAUAAUAUAUGUUCAAACAUAUCUAUAAAUGAUUUAUAAAAGAAACAAAAGAUCAAUUUUUGAAAAAUAUUUUUGAAACUGUUGAUCUUUUACAAAACAAACAUACCCUUAUUCGGAUUUUAUUUUUUUACAAAAUUGAUUGAUUGAAGAUAUUUAUUCGUAGUUUAUUUUUGUUGGGGGCAAUUUACGUCAAUUUGUUAGAGGCAAGAUAAUUUUUUGCAUUUAUAAAAUAUUUACCAACGUAAAGGUAAUUUAAUGAUGCCGAAGCUAAAUUUACAUACACAAAAUAAAAUUUAAAAACAUCAGUUUGUUUUUGUGAUAUAUAAUAGCUUAUAUUGCUACGACGAGACUUCAUUAGCUAUGAAUAAGUAUAAUUAAGAAGAAUGUCAAGGAUUAGGGCACGCUCGAUUCCUUAAUUGUAAGGUAAAUUACUUACUACUACUACUGUACUCCAGCUUCGCAUUAGGUAAGUUACUGUAGCCGUUGUUACGAUCACAUCAGAUAAAUUUAAACAAGUCCACCCCGCUGAUUACCUGAAGAGGUUAGCCGUCGCCAAUUUACCGUUUCGACCUCGCGCGCCCAACCCACUUUCCUAUUCUACAAGGGGCAAAUUCGGAAUGACGGGCGAAUGGACGCUUCAUAUCCGUUACGGGCCCCUCCUCUGUCCCUCGCACAGUGGUCGUGGUGGCAUCAUCUCUCUCCCACCUUCUUCUUCUUCGCAUGUUGCCCCACCGCUUGCUUCCUUUUCCUCUCUCGACGGAGCCACAUUCCGGCUCAACGGGAGAUGGCGGAGCCGCAUCUGCUUCGGCCGUGCGGCCGAUCGUCGAAGACGGGACGCCCCCGUGUGGGGGCCACACAGAGAGAGAGGAAUGGGGCUAUGAUCGGGGCUCGGCGCGCUCUGUGGCUGCAAAGGCGGGGCCGAGCAAAGACGUUCGGCGGGCGGCGGAUUCGAGGGCGUGCUGGAGUUGAGGCGGAUGUGUGAGUUUCUCGAAUUUUUUUCUCUCUGGCUGGGUUGAAUGGUUGUUGUUGCGUGAUGAUUAUGCUGUUGUCGUUUGGGGCGUAAAUCUUGUCGGAGGAGAUGAGGUUUUGAUUCCUUACUCUGAUUUGUGCCAAAACCUUUUAUUUCUCAGAUCUUCUUUGGGAGUGGGAAUUUUCUUCUAAAGAACAUGACUUAUGAUAGAAUAUCUCUUUGAGCAGUAAUUUUUCAACAAAUCUGUGCUCUUUCUUAUAAAAAAAAGUUCAGAUUUUUGUUUUUUGUACAUAGAAUAUGAAUCUAGUGCUUAGAAAGUUCUUUGCUACAGAGUAACUUGAUUCCUUUGCCAGAGUUUUUUGGUUUUUCGACCUGUUUGGUGACCUGUUGUAACGUUACCAUAUCAACGAAAUAUACGAAGAGAGUGACAUGCCUCGACAAAUCAUACUGUUUGGUGUACUACAAUUUCGGCAAAGCACCUUUUCAUAUGAUGAUUCACUAUUGCUUAUCCUCAUAUCAAGCCUUGUAAUCAUUUUGCUACAGAUCUUGCACCCGUGCUUUAUGUUCUUAAAAAUAUAUUUUUCUUUUCUGAAAACAAAAGACAUUUCAUAAAAAUCAAUUUCUGUUUGAAAAAAGGUGUGAUACUUUUGUUUUGUCAUUUCUCUAUAUUAACUUCUGUUAAAAAUUAAGUGAAUUAAAAAAUUCCUCUUCAAAGUCGUUUCCAAAUGUUGCGAAUUAUGACAAUUUUCUUCCUUACUCUCUUUUUCAAUUAACUUUGGGAGUUUAAAUUUGCUUUUAAAGAAUGUCAUGCAGAGUAUUUUAGAUUCUUUCACAAGUUUUUCCCCAAUGUAUUUCCUCAUAGCUUUAUGAGUGGCAAGUUUUCAAAUAUCUAUUUUUUGCCAAAUAAGUUUAAACUUCUGUUUUCUUCUCGUGGAUAUAUUUCUCUUUCUUGAAAACUUUUUGAAAGACAUUUCGUGAAGAUCUAUCUUUGUUUGAAAGAGGUGUGAUGCUUUUGUUUGUUUUGUGAUUUCUAAAUAUUAACUUCUUGAUUUUAAGUUUUUUGUUAAAGAGUGAUUGGGUUUAAAAGUUUAUUUUCAAAGUCGAUUCCAAAUGUUGCGAAUUUUCACAAUUUUCUUCCUUAUUUUGUACAAGACACACCUAUUCAAACAACUUUGGCAUUUUAAAUUUGCUUUUAAAGUAGGUUGUGCAAAUUAUUCUAGAGUCUUUCACAAGAUUUUCUAAUCUAUUUCCUUCUAACUUUCUGAGCAGCAAGUUUUCAAAUAUCUCUUUUUUGUCAUAUAAGUUUAAUUUUGUUUUCUCCUUUGAAUAUAUCUGUCUUUUUUUUUUAUAGUUUUUUAUUAUGACAUAUUGGAAAAAUGUUCUCUGUUUAAAAGAGCUGUGAUACUUUUGUUUUGUCCUUUCUGAAUUUUAACUUCUUGAGCUUAAGUUUUCUGUUAACGAGUAUAACUAGAUUUAAAGUUUCUUCUCAAAUUUGUUUCCAAAUGUUGCAAAUUAUGACAAUUUUCGACCUUAUUCUGUUUUGUACAAGACCUACCUUUUUCAAACCACUUUGGAAGUUUAAAUUUGCUUUGAAAGAACGUAAUGCAAAUUAUUUUGGGUUCUUUCACAAGUUUUUCCAAUCUCUUUCCUCAUAACCUUAUGAGCAGCAAGUUUUCAAAUAUCUAUUUUUUGUUGAAAAAGUUCGAACUUUUGUUUUCUCAAUUGAAUAUAUUUCUCUUUUUUGAAAACCUUUUUAAAGACAUUUCAUAAAAAUCAAUCUCUUUUUGAACUGGUAGGGAUUGUGGCCCUCACCUGGUUCGGCCAAGGGCCGUUGACCCUCGCUGGCCAGGGCUUGGCGACCCUAGCUAACCCUCCCCCUUCGUCGUUGGCCCUUCUCGGUGGUGGGGCGGUGGCCGCGGCAAGGGCUUAGCCCUUAGCCACCUCCCUCCUCUUUUUUUUCUUUAAUAUUUGUAUUUUUUAAGUGUUUUAAAUAAAUGUAAUUUUAAAUUAAAUUAAAUUACUUAUUAUGUUAAUUAUUUACCACGUCACCAUCAAAAUAACGUCUUUUUGACGCUGUUUAGCCAUAUCAGCAUGCAAAAUGAUGCCAUUUUGUACUUACUUCAUUAGAAAUUGCACACGUCAGCACUGAUUUUGGCUUAAGUGUUACGUCCGUAACUUUAACUUUUGACACUUAAUAUCAUUUUGUGUCAACUUUUGGUACUCUAGAGGUCCGGGUGUUGGAGGUUAACUCACCGAUUUCCAGCGACAGUGAGCUUGUCGGUGACAGCGGCGUGAUGGCGUCGAGAACGUGCCGCUUGCGAUGGCAACGGCGGCGGCGGUGGGGAGGAAGAGAGAGGGAAGAAAAGACGAAAAAAAGAAAAGGGGAGGAGGUGACGUGAGAGGGAAAGGGGAGAAGAGAGAGAGACCGACAGACAGACAGAAAGGGGAAGGGGGGAUGGAUGGCAGAAAAGGGGGAGAAAUCGCGUGGGGGUGGGGUGGGAAGAGAGAGGGAAGAAAAGACAAAAAAAAGAAAAAAGGAGGGAGGAGGAGAGAGAGGAAGAGGACAAUGCGUCUUGACUUAGAGACGCAGUUUUUAGCUUUAACUAAUACGACAGUAUCACAAGUCGCACAUUAUAUCUUCCUCAACAAACGGUCAAAGUUUCAGAAAAUAAAAGGAAAAAUAAUGAUAAUAGGAAAUAAGGUCGGUCCGCAAAUACUUUAAUAGUUUGCACCUGCUUUGAAAAUGCCAUCAAAAGCAACAACAAACGCGGACGAAGACCAGCGUUGACUCUUGUUAACAUUAGGGAAGUUUCUUGCACAAGGCAAUUAGUAUGAAAACGAGAAGAAUUCUACACUAGUGGUUUACUCUUUUCUCCUCUAUAUAUCAGCUUGAAGGUUCCUAGCAUGGAGAGUUGCUGCCGUUGCUUUUCGGAACCCAUCUUUGUUUUCUUUCUUUUAUGAUAGAUCCCACUCUGUGCAUCAUUCUUUUUCUUCCUCUUUGAUUGCCUUUGAUUGAGGGAAAGGUUGCAAGUUGUUAAGGUAAGUGUUAUAUCUAACUAGUGCUCACUCUUGUUAAUUUGUUCUUAUCAAUGAUCAUGAUGAUAAAUAUGGGGUUUUAUGGCCUUUAUCAUAUUGUUUCUUUCCAUUGCUCAAGAAUUUUGAGCAAAGUUCUGUUUUGCUGUGUAUCCAAAUGUAGUAUAACCACUCUAUAUGAUGACCUCAAAUGCACUUGCCAUUUUCUUUCUACUCCCAUCAAGUGAUUAAAAACCCUGUCGCUUAGCCUUUUGCAUGUUGUUUUGGACCCCGCUUAUGGCUAAAUGUGAACGUUUAUAUGGUCAACUAAGCUGUAAUUAUCUUGCUAAGUGAAGCAAGAAAGGAGGGAGCUUUACAACUCUGUAUCUAUGUCCCAUGUGUGGUCCUUUGGUCUUCAAUAUAUGCUCUAACACCACAGGAUUAGGAGGGAUUAUGAAGCGAGGGAAAUGGUUCUAAGAGAGACUAGAAGGGAAUGGUCUAGUUAAUCCUAUGUUCAUUUUAAAUAUUGGAGGUAUUUGUAUAUAAAUAAACAAAUUUAUUAUUCACUCUCACUUGUUCUUUUAUUUUACAUUCAUCUAGAAAUCCUACUUAUAAUACGUUCUUUUCCUCUUUUUUUCCCUCCUAGCAUCCAAACAAAAUUAUAACUCAAUCAUUUCAAAUCCUUUCUUUGCUUUUUACUCAUAAUUAAUUAAAUCUCUUCUUUACCCCCUAAUUACUCCAUUCAAACUGAGUGUCAAUAUGGAGGUCGGGUUUCUCUCUUCUUCGGUAAGAAUUUCGUCUCUCCCUUGGUGUUGUAUUCCCUAUCCAUGGUGAUAGUUCUCCCUUGAUACCCUCCUCAUGGAGCCUCUUCCAAAAUCAAUCCCACUUACCAUUCUGUUUCAUCUUGGAACGCGAUAUCCGUAUAUCAUUCAUGGUCCAACAUCCUCCCUUCUCCUCGAAUCCUGUACCAUGAAGAAAUUCAUUUAUCCUCACUCGCACCAUACAUCCUCCCUUUGGUCUUUAGAAUUUGCUCCAACAUUUCGUUUGUUAGGAGGGAUUAGGAGGGAAGAAACAUAGCUUGAAAAAAUACAAUCGUGUUUGGAUGGGGAGAAACAAACGGAUGGAAAGGAUCGGGAGGCAUUAGGAAAGGCUAGAAAGAAUUGAUCUGGUCAAUUUUACUUGCAUUAUAAUUCUUGGAGUAAGUCGUAAGGAUUUUCAUAUAAAUAAAUAAAUUUACUCUUCUUUCUCGCUUAUUCUCUUAUUCUGCUUCAUUUAGUAGUAGAUAAAAGGAUAUUCAUUUCAUUAUGCAUUCUUUCCCUCGUUAGCAUUUAAACAACAUGAUAACUCAAUCGCUUCAAAUCAUCUCUUCUUUUUCCACACAAAUAUUUAAAUAUAUUAUUUUUCCUCACAUAGUACUUCAUGAAACCUAAUCAGCCCUUCCUUCAUGCGUGGAUUUGUUUCUUUUUUCUUUAGAAGCCAUCAUAAUAUAAUGAAAAUGACUAAACAAAUAAGCUCUAGUAAAUUUAACGCCCAUGCAAAGCGUUUGGUAACUUUUUGCAAAAUGCACAAUCAAUUACGCCUUGAACUUGGCUUCACACUAUUUUAAUAUCUUCCGAGAAUCCUAACUCCGCAUAUUAUAAAUACACACUUCAAUCCCUCCUCUCCCCACACCACCGCGUUCUUCUCUCUCUCUCUCUCUCUCUCUCUCUCUCUCUCCCUCUCUCACAGUGCCUUUCGAAACCAACUGUCUCUCAGUGUCUUUUGACUCCUUUGGUUUUUAGGUGCGUGCACAAGACACAAAGCAACCUCAGGUGAGCACACACUUUCCACUGAUUUUGAUUCGGCGAGUGUUGUUUUUACUUUUAAGUAGAACUAGACAAAAUCCAGUUGAAAGAACAUAGUCGCUGAUGGAUGAUGAACAAGUUUGAAGGUCCUUUCAUUUAGUAAGAAAGAAUUUGGUCUCCACAGACACGACUUACUUUAAUAUUUUCUUCUUUUUAUGUUUUCUUUAGGGGACUUCAAACAUGGUUGACAACACUGCCACCAAGACAAACCAAAACCACCACCACCAAGUUGGUGACAUCUCCAAUGAAAUGCUUCCACAGAAUGACACCGAAUCUCAGAGUAAACACACAGCCACUAAUUUUGAUUCGGUGAGUGUUAAUUAAACUUUUAAGUAGAACUAGACAAAGCCCAGUUGAAACGACAAGGUAUCUGAUGGAUGAACAAUUUUGAAGGUCCUUUCAUUUGACUAGACAAAAUUUAGUUUCCACACACACAACUUACAAACAAAUACUAUUUCCUCCUCCUUUUUCGUUUUCUUCAGGAGACAUUAAAGACGGUUGAUAAAGCUGCCACCGAGAACAACCAAAACUAUCACCACCAAGUUGGUGACAUCUCUAGUGAAAUGCUUCCACAGAGUGACUCCGGAUCUCAGAGUAAACACGUACUUGCCACUAAUUUUGAUUCGGUGAGUGUCAAUUAAACUUUCAAGUAAAACUAGACAAAUCCCGACAUGGUCUCUUAUGGAUGAACAAGUUUGAAGGUCCUUUCAUUUGGCUGGAUACAAUUUAGUUUCCACACGCGCCACUUACUGACGAUUGCCAUUUCCUUCUUCUUCUUCUUUUUAUCGUUUUCUUUAGGGGACAUUAAAGAUGGUUGACAACGCUGCCACCGAGAACAACCAAAACCACCACCACCUAGUUGGUGACAUCUCCAGUGACAUGCUUCCUCAAAGUGACUCCGGAUCUCAGAGUAAACACACACUUUCCACUGAUUUUGAUUCGGUGAGUGUUAAUUAAACUUUCAAUUAUAACUAGUCCAAACCCAGUUGAAAGGACACGGUCUCCGAUGGAUGAAUAAAUUUGAAGGUACUUUCAUUUGGCAAGACAGGCUUUAGUUCCCCACGCAAGACAGGCUUUAGUUCCCCGCACAAGACUUACUAACAAUUGCUAUUUCCUUCUUUUUACGUUUUCUUUAGGGGACAUUAAGGAUGGUUGACAAUGCUGCCAUCGAGAACAACAAAAACCACCACCACCAAGCUGGUGACAUCUCCAGUGAAAUGCUUCCUCAGAGUGACUCUGGAUCUCUCAGUAAACACACACUUUCCAUUGAUUCUGAUUCGGUGAGUGUUAAUCAAACUUUCAUGUAGCUUUAGACAAAAACCAAGUUUGAAGGUCCUUUCAUUUGGCAAGACAGGAUUUAGUUUCCACACAUAAGACUUAAUAACAAUUGCUAUUUACUUCUUUUUUGGUUUUCUUUAGGGGACAUUAAAGAUGGUUGACAAUGCUGCCAUCGAGAACAACCAAGCUAUCUCCAAUGAAAUGCUUCCUCAGAGUGACUCUGGAUCUCAGAGUAAACACACACUUUCCAUUGCUUCGGAUUUGGUGAGUAUUUAUCAAACUUUCAAGUAGAUUUAGACAAAAUCCAAUUGACAAGACAUGGUCUCUGAUGGAUGAACAAGUCUGAAGGACUUCUCAUUUGGUAAGACAGAACUUAGUUUCCACGUACACGACUUACUAAAAAUUGCUAUUUCCUUCUUUUCUUUGGGGGGACAUUAAAGAUAGAAUUUAGUUUCCCCAUGUCGGUAACUUCCAGCCUAAAAUUGGCUAGAUGAGUUCAAUUGUUACCAAUGUGAUAGGAUAUAUAACUAAAUUGGUCAAAUUGAAAGGUUUAGAACUGAUAUGAUAUCAAUGCAAUUAAUUUAGGACUUUUUUGGUACUUUUUUUGGUCUUUAACUAAUAUGACAGUUCCUCAAGUUACACAUCAUCUUUCUCAAGUUGUGAUUAAAGUUUAAAAAAUAAUAAGUAAAUGAAAAACAAAUAGUAAUAACAAUAGGAAAGAGGAAACGAAGCAAUGGUCGGCAAGUAGUUUAUAGUUUGCACUGGCUUUGAAGUUCGAACAUCCAAUCAAGUGCAAUAACAAAUACGGACGAGAAACAAGCAUUGGUACCUCUCAACAACGGAAAAGAUCCUUACACGGGAGAGUGAAUGUGAAAACGGAGAAGAUCCUUACGUUAGCUACUUACUCUUUUCUCCUAUAUAUAAUUAGUGCCCGCUCUUAUUCUUGAUAGUGAUGAUAAAUUUGGUGUCUCAUGGCCUUGCGGUUGUUUCCUUCCAUUGCUCAGGAUUCUUGAGCAACGUUCUGUUUUGCCAUGUAUAUGUUUUGCAGUAUAACCACUCUAUAUGAUAACCUCAAAUGCACUUGGCAUUUCCUCUGCACUCCCAUCCAGUUAUCAAAACCAAUUCACCUUUUAAGAGCCUGUUCAUCAGACUUGAUCCGCUCAUCCAAUUGGCAUAUUCAUGAAGAAAUUCUACUUCAAUCAAUAUGACUUUCCCUUUUAUUGAUCUUUUAGGACCACACUUAUGACUACAGUAGUACAGCUGACGUUUAUAUACUCGAAUAAGCUCUAAAUAUCUUAGUAAGUGAAGCAAGAAAGGAUGGAACAGGUGAAACUAUUUUAUGACUUCAUAUUUGUGUCCCAAGUGUGGUCCUUUGGUCUUUAGAAUAUGCUCCAACAUUAUGUUUGUUAGGAGGGAUUAGGAGGGAAGCAAUAUAGUUCCAAAAAAUACAAUCAUGUUUGGAUGGAGAGAAACAGACGGAUGGAAAACCUACAAGGGUUUAGUCCAUCGUUAAUGUUCUUACACGAGAUUCUCAUUAGGUAGUAAUUAGGCCAUAUAUGGUACUUGGUUGAGCCAUUUUGUCAAGAGCACAAUUAUAGUUACUAAAAAUGUCACUACAGAGUUCUCCCUAAAUGGUGUUCACAAUUUCCACGACCUUAGACAAAGGCAAUGAUUAAAGACUCGAUGAAGAGGAAGAUGAUAUAUAGUUCUCGCUAAAUUUAACAGUAAAAUUUGAUGGAAACUAACAAAGGGUAAAUGUAUUAUGUGUGCAUUGGUUUGAGAUUUUUGGUGACCAUAAAUUAUUUUGGAGUAAAUUUAUCAAAUGUGUACUAGUUUGUGGGACAUUUGUUACAAGUGCACCAAUUUAGGAUUUUUUGUGGUGUUAGCCCAUUAAUUGAUCCAUGCCAAGUACAUGUGGCAUCCAAGCAGCAAUUCAAUGAUAAUAUUUAAUGAAAUCUAAUAGAGAGUAAAUAUAUCACGUGUACACUGGUUUAGAGCUUUUAGUAGUAAAAAAAUAAGUUUUGGAUAAGUUUGUCGCUAUUGUACCAGUUUGGAUUUUCGUUUGUAUUAACUCUAUAUAAUUAGUGCUCACUCUCGUUAAUUUGUUCUUAUUAAUGAUAGUGAUGAUCAAUUUGUCGUUUCAUGGCCUUACGAUCGUUUCUUUCCACUGUUCAAGAUUCUUGAGCUAUGUUCUGUUUUGCUGUGUAUAUGUAUGCAGUAUAACCACCCUAUACGAUAACCUCAAAUGCCCUUGGCAUUUCCAUUCUACUCCCAUCUAGUGAUCAAAACCAUUUCGCAUUUUCUGUGUUGUUUUGGAUCACACUCUAGACUACAUGUGAACGUUUAUAUGCUCAAAUAAGCUUCAAAUAUUUAAGGGAAGCGAAGGAGGAAACCAGUGAAACUGUUAUGCGACCUUGCACCUAUGUCCCAUGCGUGGUCCUUAGGUCUUUAAUAUAUGCUCUAACACUCUUAAGAUCAGGAGGGAUUAUGAGGGAAGGGAAAUAGUUCUCAAAUUACAAUCGUGUUUGGAUGGAGGGAAACAAACGGAUGAAAAGAAUUAAGAGGGAUUAGGAGAGCAAAAAGAUCUGGUUAAUUUCAUAAACAAAUUACAUUUAGGACGGAUUUGUGUAUUAAUAAAAUAAUUUUUUUCCUGCUCACUUGUUCUUUCAUUUUACAUAUAAUGGGAAAUCCAUGAAGGAUAUUUACGUCAUUAUGCAUUGUUUUUCCUUUCUUUUUCCUCGCUAAUAUCUAAAUAUUAUCAUAAUCCAAUCACUUACGGUCCUUUCUUUUCUUUUUACUCAUAAUCAUUCAGACUUUUCGUUCCCAAUUACUCCAUCCAAGCUGAUAAUAUGCAAUCAGCUCUUCCUUUAUCCGUGGAUUUCUUUCUUUUACUUUAGAAGCCAUAAUAAUAUAAUGAAAAUGACUUAGUGAAUGAGCUCUAGUAAAUUUAGAACACAUGCCAAAUUUCACACGGUGAGUGUUUUUUGAGAGAGAGAGGAAGAGUGGGAUUGAAGAGGUUGACAUAUGAUUGAAGAGUAUGCCCCAAUGACAUACUCGUCGGGUCCUCCUGUCACGUGAGUUCUUUGCUUAUUCCUUUUCUUUCUUUAUAAUUUACUUUCAAAGCUUUUUUUAAUGAUGUAAUGCAACCAAUGGUUCUCCUCUUAAAGGAAUGAGAAGAAUAAUAAUUUCUACUAAAUUUUAUUUGCAAAUAUCAUUCAACGAGCGGGCCACCUUGUGGAUGGAUAUUCUUUGCUCCUAUAGUGUAAAAUUUCAUACAAUCACUUAAAAUAGCCAUUUAGCACUUUUUUUUCCAUUGUCAGCGAAAGAAGAACAUAAGAAAGCAUGCUCUUUGACAGACGAAUUUAACCAUCAAUGCAAAAGAAAUCAUUUUAUGCAUUCGAUUAAUAUGAGUUCGAUACACGGAAUUUUUAUAUCACUUGCAUUUCAUAAAUUUCCUGUUUACGUUAAAAUCACAUAAUUGAAGUGAUGCUGAACAUUACUUUAAUAUCUUCCACGAAUCCUAAGGCCGCACAUUGAAGUACCCACACUUCAAUCCUUCUUCUCCCUCCAUUCUAAGUACUACUGUUUCUCGCCCAACUACACUUCCAUACAUUCACAUGUUUGGCGCAACCAUCUCUUGGUUUUCAGGUGGGUGCACAAAACACAAAGCGAUCUCAGAGUCAAAGAAACACCGACUUUCCACUGAUUUUGAUUCUAUUAGUUUUAAUUAAACUUGCCGGUAUAACUGGACAAACCCAGAUUGAAACAAUAUGGCUUCUGAUGGAUGAAUAAUUUUGAAGUUCUUUUCACUCGGCAAGACAUAAUUUAAUAUCCAAACACACAACUUACUGACAAUUGCUGUUAAACUUCUUUUUUCGGGGGACAUUAAAGAUGGGUGAGAAUGCUGCCACCAAUAACGACCAUAACCACCAGCACCGCCGCCACCAAAUUGGUGACAUGUCCAUUGAAAUGCUUCCUCCGUGUGUCUCCAGACGCUCUGACGACGAAGGCAGCCGCAAAAGAACUGGUAAUCAACCUUUUCUUCUUAUACUAGAUUGUCUAGUUCUUUGAUACUUGUUUACUUCAAGUUUGAUACAUCAGCCUUCCAAAAUAUACAUUUUUCUGUACUAUGAGUAAGAGUUUGAUAUGUUUUAAGUCAAGCGUAAUUCCUUCAUUAAUUAUUGGAUAACUAACUUAAGAGACAAUGGAAGUUUUCCAAUUGUAAAGAGUUAAUCAGACUUUAUCGGUUGACCGAUCAGGGAACGUAUGGACGGCCAGUGCAAAUAUAAUAGUAGUGAUGGUAGGAACAGGAGUGCUUUCGCUGGCAUGGGACAUUGCUCAGCUGGGUUGGAUUGCGGGCCCUGCUGUGAUCCUAUUCUUCUCCCUUGUGGGCUACUACACCUCUCGCUUCCUCUCUGAUUGUUACCGCACCGGUGACCCUGACACCGGUGAUCGUAACUCCACUUAUAUGGACUCUGUUCACUCGAUUCUUGGUAAGGUAUUCUAUCAUCAUGUUGUUGCUUCUAAUUAUUUGACGGCCGUAAAUUUCCCAUUACCACGUAUUUCCAAAUGUACAGCCAAAUGAGUCACGAAACUUUUAAUUAGGUGAUAAUUGUGAGUCUACAUUCUUAGGCUCCGUUUGUUGCAUGGCAAAAAUAAAUGAUUUGGACUACAUUUUCCUAAAAAUAAUUAUCUAUAUUGCUUAUAAAAAUAAAUAAACGAAAACUAUUUUCAUCAUCCACGAAUAUAUUUAGACACAAAUUGUUGUUGAUAAUGAAAACAUUUUCUAUUAACUAACUAAAUCAAUUGAUAUAUGCGAUUAUUUUUUAGGAAAAUGUUUUCUAAGAUUAUUCAUUUUCCGCAAAACAAACAAAGCCUUAUCAUAUUAACAUCUUCAAGGUUUAUUCUCAGGUGGAGCCAAAGUAAAAGCAUGUGGUUUUCUUCAAUAUAUAACCCUAUUCGGAAACGCCAUUAGCUGUAUCGUCGAAGCAUCUCUCUGCAUGAUGUGAGUGCAAUUCUACUUGCCCAAACUCUUAACAAAUUUUAUUUAGCAGAUCACAAUGAACUUCUUGUUCUACGGUUUCUGAUAUAACCUGGUUAAUUCAAUCUUAUACAUGUUCCCUCUUUCCAAAAAAAGGGCAAUAAAAUAUAUGAAUUGCUCCCACGAGAGUAACUGGGAGAACCGGUGCUACAUUUUAAGCAAUCCAUAUAUGAUCAUCAUCGCCGUCACAGAGAUUCUGCUGUCCCAGAUUCCAGAUUUCGAUCAAAUACGGUGGAUUUCUGUUGUGGCUGCUGUCAUGUUCGUCACUUACUCUUUAAUUGGUCUUGGCCUAGGAAUUGCCCAAGUUGUAGGUACAGAUUUAUUCUUUUCUCAAGACAGAUGGCCAUCAAAUUCAAGAGAUUAUAUUGUCAUACCAUAAAUAAGAAGUUGUUUCCAGCAAUUUUUUUUUUCUUGAUGAGCAGAUACUGGAAGUUUCAAGGGUAGUUUUAGAGUAAUAAGCGUUGGAGAUGGGACUGAAACCCAAAAGGUAUGGAGGAUCCUCCGAGCUGUUAGAGGUAUCGCAAAUGCGUACUCAUUUUCUCAGAUCCUCAUUGAAACUCAGGUACUAAAAUAUGAUUCCAUCAGUUCAAAAACUAAGGAAAUGGUUAAGAGUGGAUAGAACAGACAGGAACUACCUUGUUUUUCCUUUUAUCUUUGUCAGGACACCAUCGGAUCUCCGCCAUCAGAAGCAAAGACCAUGAAGAAGGCCAUUUCUCGGAGCACCGCAGUGAUGACGACUAUCUACAUGCUAUGUGGCUGCAUUGGGUAUGCUGCUUUCGGAGAGGCCACUCCAAUAAAUUUUCUGAUGGAAUUGGCUUUUUACAAGCCAUUCUGGCUUCUCGAUAUUUCCAACGCUGCUAUGGUGAUCAAUCUCGUUGGAGCUUACCAAGUAAACAGCCAGCCGAUAUUUGCCUUCGUCGAAAAAUGGGCCGAUCAGAGAUGGCGUGGUAGUGAGCUCAUCGCUAAAGAGAUAAAGAUCCCGGUACCGGGCUUGGGCCAAUACAACAUGAAUCUCUUUAGGCUUGUUUGGAGGACGGUUUUCGUGAUCCUGACCACUGUGCUAUCGAUGCUAGUGCCGUUCGUCUUCAACGAAGUCGUGGAUAUCAUCAGCUUGGGAUUUUGGCCUUUAAUGGUCUAUUUUCCCGUCGAGAUGUAUAUUAGACAGAAACAAAUUCGCAGAUGGAGCACUAAAUGGGUAUACCUGCAAAUGCUGAGCAUGACCUGUCUUGUGAUAUCGAUC
This 361628-nucleotide long non-coding RNA is filed under the name Eucalyptus grandis. Its description in RNAcentral is "long non-coding RNA (EGRA_LNC005356)". The record is from RNAcentral. Lineage: Eukaryota; Viridiplantae; Streptophyta; Magnoliopsida; Myrtales; Myrtaceae.